RNAcentral lists this long non-coding RNA (632972 nucleotides) under Triticum aestivum (bread wheat). Its description in RNAcentral is "long non-coding RNA (TAES_LNC007825)". The stretch from base 175227 to 175362 matches the Rfam family "MIR1120/MIR1122 microRNA precursor family". Lineage: Eukaryota; Viridiplantae; Streptophyta; Magnoliopsida; Poales; Poaceae. The record is from RNAcentral.
UUUUUUUUGAGGUCGACUGGUCGACUUUGUCUUCAACAGGAUUAGUGGGGGCACGCUGAGUGCACCCACUGGGUGUAGUCCCCGAGACUACGGUCGAAUGCUUGUAUUCGGCUGUAGUCUUAGAAACGUGUGUUUUUCCCUUUUUCACUCGGAAGUGAAUUAUAUUUGACAUUUAGUCGAUUGGUUCUUCGCAGAACUCUUGUGAUCUUGUGGCUCGCUACUCAGAGCUGGAACACAAGCAUACUCAAGUCGAGCUGAGCUUGAAGCUAGUUCAGGAGAAGCUGUCAAAGGCAAAGGAGGAGACCGAAGGUAUGUUUGGUGAGACCCUGACGACUGCUUUUCCCUUUGCUUGUUUCAAAAUCUGAUCUUGCUGUAACUUGUAGGUAAGGUAAGGGAGGCCCAGCAGAAGAAAGACCUUGAGCUAGCUGAGAAGAUCAAGCUUGCCGACGAGAAGUUAGCUUCAGUCACCAAGCUUGAACAAGACAAUACCAAUCUGAAAGCUGCUCUUGGGAUUGCCAACAAGGAGGUCAGUCGACUGAAAACUGAUAAAGCUGCACUGACCGACCAAGUCAGCAAAUUGACUGGGAAGAAAACUGAUCUGGAGGCCUUCCUGAGUGGACUUGGCAAGAAGCUGUUUCUUAUGCUUGAAGGUAAACCUCUAUGCUUGGCAAAUAUUUCCAAUUAUGGCUUUUUCCAUUCGACUAUCUCCUUGACUUAGUGAUCACCCUUGCAGAAUUUUGUCAAAACUUUGAAGAAGAAACCAGCCGACUGGAGCCAAACCUUGACCCCGUCAAUUCUCCGGUGAACGACGAAGUUGCCAUGGAUGUUUUCCGACUGGAGUCUCGUGUUGCAGCUGUCAUGGACUAUCUCGCAAGGCUGAAGGCCGCCACAUCUCGCAUCGACUCGACGCUCUGGCCUGAGGAGACACUUCAGAAUGACCUUGAGUCGCUGAUGGCCCGCUUGAACACGAUCCCUGGUCGAGUGCAGGAGUGGAAGAAGUCCUCGGCUCGGUGUGGUGCAGAUGUCGCUCUGUGUCUGGCCCGAGUCCACUGCAAAGAUGCGCGAGAAGAGAAGCUGGCGGCCCUUCGGGUGGCCAAUACCAAGAAGCACGACUUCAGAUCCUUUAUGGAAACUUUCCUUGCAGCUGCCACUCGGAUCGCCGACGGGAUUGACCUUGAUGAAUUUGUUGCACCUUCCAGCCCUCCACAGGAGGGGUAAAAAACUUCUUCUGGCUCGACGCUUUAAAUUUGCCUCGGUAUGCCGAGUGAAAUUGUAACCGACAAACCUUAACAGGCUUGACGCCUGAGCACUUUCGGUUCCUUUAGAUGUCGAUUCAAACUUGGAUUUGGUGCUUGAAUACGAUUGCCUUCGGCUCGGAAUGUCUUUUGCAGGUUCAAAGCAAGGUGCCUGUGCUUAGGCGAGCGCUUGGAAUGCAGCUAAGCCUCCGAGUGAGAGGGUUGCUCUUCACUCGGUAGGAUUUGUGUAACUUAGGCGAGCACAGGGCUGCAGCUAAGCCCCCGAGUGAGAGGGUUGCUCUUCACUCGGUAGGAUUUUCACAACUUAGGCGAGUGCUUGGACUGCAGCUAAGCCCCCGAGCGAGAGGGUUGCUCUUCACUCGGUAGGAUUUUUAUAACUUAGGCGAGCACGAGGCUGCAGCUAAGCCUCCGAGUGGAAGGCUGGCUUACCACUCGGUAGGAUUUUGAUAACUUAGNNNNNNNNNNNNNNNNNNNNNNNNNNNNNNNNNNNNNNNNNNNNNNNNNNNNNNNNNNNNNNNNNNNNNNNNNNNNNNNNNNNNNNNNNNNNNNNNNNNNNNNNNNNNNNNNNNNNNNNNNNNNNNNNNNNNNNNNNNNNNNNNNNNNNNNNNNNNNNNNNNNNNNNNNNNNNNNNNNNNNNNNNNNNNNNNNNNNNNNNNNNNNNNNNNNNNNNNNNNNNNNNNNNNNNNNNNNNNNNNNNNNNNNNNNNNNNNNNNNNNNNNNNNNNNNNNNNNNNNNNNNNNNNNNNNNNNNNNNNNNNNNNNNNNNNNNNNNNNNNNNNNNNNNNNNNNNNNNNNNNNNNNNNNNNNNNNNNNNNNNNNNNNNNNNNNNNNNNNNNNNNNNNNNNNNNNNNNNNNNNNNNNNNNNNNNNNNNNNNNNNNNNNNNNNNNNNNNNNNNNNNNNNNNNNNNNNNNNNNNNNNNNNNNNNNNNNNNNNNNNNNNNNNNNNNNNNNNNNNNNNNNNNNNNNNNNNNNNNNNNNNNNNNNNNNNNNNNNNNNNNNNNNNNNNNNNNNNNNNNNNNNNNNNNNNNNNNNNNNNNNNNNNNNNNNNNNNNNNNNNNNNNNNNNNNNNNNNNNNNNNNNNNNNNNNNNNNNNNNNNNNNNNNNNNNNNNNNNNNNNNNNNNNNNNNNNNNNNNNNNNNNNNNNNNNNNNNNNNNNNNNNNNNNNNNNNNNNNNNNNNNNNNNNNNNNNNNNNNNNNNNNNNNNNNNNNNNNNNNNNNNNNNNNNNNNNNNNNNNNNNNNNNNNNNNNNNNNNNNNNNNNNNNNNNNNNNNNNNNNNNNNNNNNNNNNNNNNNNNNNNNNNNNNNNNNNNNNNNNNNNNNNNNNNNNNNNNNNNNNNNNNNNNNNNNNNNNNNNNNNNNNNNNNNNNNNNNNNNGCAGCUAAGCCUCCGAGUGAGAGGAUUGCUCUUCACUCGGCAGGAUUUUGAUAACUUAGGCGAGCACAAGGCUGCAGCUAAGCCUCCGAGUGGAAGGCUGGCUUACCACUCGGUAGGAUUUUGAUAACUUAGGCGAAACGGAUUCGCAGCUAAGCCUCCGAGUGGGAGUCUGGCUCACCACUCGGUAGGAUUUUUACAAACUUAGGCGAAACGGAUUCGCAACUAAGUCACCCACUGAGGGGAAUUUUAUUGGAAAAUAAAAAGUGACAGAUAGUGUGGAGGAACUAUGACACUAUUAUUUUGAGGUCCAUGAACUACAAAAGUACUUUAUUGCAACUCAUCCGAGUGAUAAAACUUAAGUGUAAAAUGGGCGGAGUAGCUCCGCGUUCCAAGCUCGGGGCUCGUCGAUAUUAUGCUCGACGUUGUAAAGACGGUACGCCCCGUUGUGGAGAACCUUGGUGACGAUGAAGGGGCCUUCCCAAGAAGGAGCAAGCUUGUGUGGUUUGUGUUGAUCCACUCGGAGAACCAAAUCCCCUUCCUGGAAGGCUCGACCUCUCACAUUUUGGGCGUGGAAACGGCGCAGAGCUUGUUGGUAGAUGGUCGAUCGGAUCAGAGCCAUCUCCCUUUCUUCCUCUAAAAGGUCGACUGCGUCCUGCCGCGCUUGUUCAGCUUCUGCUUCGUUGUAGAUUUCAACUCGAGGAGCAUUGUGGAGAAGAUCACUCGGCAAGACUGCUUCAGCUCCAUAGACCAAGAAGAAUGGAGUUCUUCCGGUCGACCGAUUAGGCGUGGUCCGCAGUCCCCAGAGUACAGAUGGGAGUUCGUCGACCCAAGCUCCAGCCGCGUGUUUGAGAUCACGCAUCAGUCGAGGCUUCAGUCCCUUGAGAAUCAGUCCAUUAGCUCGCUCUGCUUGUCCAUUCGACUGCGGAUGGGCGACUGAUGCGUAGUCGACCCGUGUGCCCUGGGAGUCGCAGAAAGCUCUGAAUUCCUCUGAGUCAAAGUUCGACCCAUUAUCCGUAAUGAUGCUGUGCGGGACUCCAUAUCUGAAUAUUAGUUCCCUGAUGAAGCUAACAGCAGUACCGGUGUCAAGGCUCUUGAUUGGUUUAGCCUCGAUCCACUUGGUGAACUUGUCGACUGCCACCAGUACAUGCGUGAAGCCACUUCGUCCUGUUCUCAAAGGACCGAUCAUGUCCAGCCCCCAAACUGCAAAAGGCCAGACGAGUGGGAUGGUCUUCAAAGCUGACGCAGGCUUGUGCGACAUAUUCGAGUAGAACUGACAUCCCUCGCACUUAUCUACUAUCUCUUUUGCCAUCUCAUUCGCCUUGGGCCAGUAAAAUCCGGCUCGGUAUGCUUUGGCCACGAUGGUCCGAGAGGACGCAUGAUGACCACAGGUUCCCGAGUGAAUAUCAUUGAGGAUGAGUCGACCUUCUUCUGGUGUUAUGCACUUCUGACCGACUCCAGUCGCGCUUUCUCUGUAUAAUUGUCCUUUGAUUACGGUAAAGGCCUUAGAUCGAUGGACGAUCUGUCGAGCCUCUUCUUCAUCCUCCGGAAGCUCUUUCCUCAAGAUAUAUGCGACAUACGGAAUCGUCCAGUCGGGAAUGACCACCAAAACCUCCAUGAUCAAGUCGACCACCGCUGGGACUUCAACUUCAGUCGGAUCUGUGGCGCUCUUGGGCUGCGGAGUUUCUUCGGUGAAAGGAUCCUCUUUGACUGACGGAGUGUGUAUAUGCUCCAAGAACACACCACUCGGAAUGGCUUCUCUCUUGGAACCUAUCUUUGCUAGAUCAUCAGCUGCUUGAUUUUUCAGUCGGGGUAUAUGAUGGAGCUCCAACCCCUCGAACUUCUUCUCCAGCUUCCUCACUGCACUGCAGUAUCCAGUCAUGGCUGGGCUUCUCACGUCCCACUCUUUCAUCACCUGAUUGACCACUAAAUCCGAGUCGCCAUAGACCAUUAGGCGACGGACGCCGAGUGAAAUGGCCAUGCGCAACCCAUAUAGGAGGGCCUCAUAUUCUGCCUCAUUGUUGGAGGAAUCAAAGUGAAUCUGGAGCACAUAUCUGAGCUUAUCUCCUCUGGGGGAAACCAGGACAACCCCAGCACCGGAACCAUUCAACAUUUUAGAGCCAUCGAAAAACAUGGUCCAAUGCUCCGAGUGAACUUCAGUCGGCUGCUAUUGUUCAAUCCACUCGGCGAGGAAAUCUGCUAUCGCCUGGGACUUAAUGGCUUUCUUUGCCUCAAACUUGAUAUCAAGGGGAAGAAGUUCAAUCGCCCAUUUGGCCACUCGACCAGUUGCAUCUCUGUUGUGCAAAAUCUCUGAUAGUGGAGCGUCGCUGACGACUGUGAUGGAAUGGUCAGAGAAAUAAUGAGCAACCUUCUUUGUGGUCAUGUAUAUUCCAUACACAAGCUUCUGAUAAUGAGGAUAUCUCUGCUUGGAUGGAGUCAAGACUUCAGACAAAUAAUACACUGGGCGCUGAACUUUGAGAGCUUUUCCUUCUUCUUCCCGCUCGACCGUUAGAACAGUACUGACGACUUGUCCUGUGGCUGCGAUGUAGAGCAACAGAGGCUCUUUGCUGAUUGGAGCAGCAAGCACCGGCUGGGUGGAGAGCAGAGCUUUUAGCUCGGCAAACGCUGCAUCAGCUUCUGGAGUCCACUCGAACUUGUCAGCCUUCUUCAUCAGUCGGUAAAGAGGCAGUGCCUUUUCACCGAGUCGUGAGAUGAAUCGACUUAAUGCGGCCAAGCAUCCAGUAAGCUUCUGGACAUCGUGCACUCGCACAGGGCGUUUCAUUCGGAGAAUAGUGCCAAUCUUCUUUGGGUUAGCGUCGAUUCCCCGCUCGGAAACGAGAAAACCGAGUAACUUGCCACCAGGAACUCCAAAUGUGCACUUUGAUGGAUUGAGCUUGAUAUCAUACCUUCUGAGGUUGGCAAAUGUUUCGGCGAGGUCAGCGAGCAGGUCGGAACCUUUUCGUGACUUGACAACAAUAUCAUCCAUAUAAGCUUCCACAUUCCGACUGAUUUGGGUGAGUAGACACUUCUGAAUCAUUCGCAUAAAUGUGGCUCCGGCAUUCUUGAGGCCGAAUGGCAUGGUGAUAUAGCAGAAGCACCCGAAUGGAGUGAUGAAAGCUGUUUUUACCUCAUCGGGCCCGUACAGACGGAUCUGGUGGUACCCGGAGUAAGCAUCUAAAAAAGACAACCUCUCGCAUCCCGCGGUCGAGUCAACAAUUUGAUCUAUGCGAGGGAGAGGAAAGUGAUCUUUCGGGCAGGCCCGGUUGAUGUGCUUGAAAUCAAUGCACAUUCGGAGCGACUUGUCCUUCUUAGGAACCAUGACGACAUUAGCGAGCCACUCGGAGUGGUAUAUCUCUCGGAUAAAUCCUGCCGCCAACAGUCGAGCCACUUCUUCACCGAUGGCCUUUCUCUUCUGGACGGCGGACCGCCGAAGAUGCUCUUUGACUGGUUUUGCAGACGAGUCGACUCUUAGGCGAUGCUCAGCCAGCCCCCUGGGAACACCUGGCAUGUCAGCGGGCUUCCAUGCAAAAAUGUCCCAGUUCUCACGGAGGAACUGGAUGAGCGCUUCUUCCUAUUUUGGGUCGAGUGUUGUGGAGAUGCGGGUCGGAGCUGCUUCGGGGUCGGUCGGGUGAAUGUGAACAGGCUUCGUCUCAUCGGACGACUGGAAUGGAGACUCUGUGGCGGGCUUCUUGGAUCGCAGCAAGUCACUCGGAUCUGCGUUUUGCUUGUAUUCUUCGAACUCGACCGCCGUCACUUGGGAAUCGGCAAUCUUGGAGCCCUUCUGAAAGCACUCCUCUGCCUUUUUCCUAUCACCGGUGACAGUGAUCACACCUUUGGGACCGGGCAUCUUCAAUUUGAGGUACACGUAACAUGGUCGAGCCAUGAACCGUGCAUAGGCUGGUCUCCCCAAAAUGGCAUGAUAUGCACUUUGAAAAUCCACGACCUCAAACGUCAACUUUUCUUUGCGAAAAUGCUUCGAGUCACCAAACACUACGUCCAAAGCUAUCUGGCCGAGUGACUCGGCCUUCUUCCCUGGUAUGACUCCAUGGAAGCUCAUGUUACUAGUGCUCAGUCGGGACAUCGGAAUGCCCAUACCUUUCAAUGUGUCUGCAUACAAUAAAUUCAGCCCACUUCCACCAUCCAUCAGCACCUUUGUCAGUCGAGUGCCUUCGACAACUGGAUCGACCACCAAAGCUUGCCUCCCGGGGGUGGCAAUAUGAGUCGGGUGAUCAGAUUGGUCGAAUGUGAUGGGUGUUUGAGACCACUUCAGAUAAUUUGCCUUUGCUGGGGCAACCAUGUUCACCUCUCGGUUAAUCACUUUCAGUCGACUUCUGCUUUCCACAUCUGCAAAGAUCAUCAGAGUGGAGUUGAUAUGCGGAUAUCCUCCCUCACUGUCCUCUUUGUCUUCGGCCUUGUCCGACUCCUUCUCCUUGUCCUUAGACUGUUUUCCCUGAAACUGCUGGAUCAGGAGUCGACAUUGGCGAGUGGUGUGCUUUGGGUAAAUGAUAUUCCCCUCUUCAUCUUUCUUCGUGUGAAUGUGACACGGCAUAUCCAUCACGUCGUUCCCUUCUUUAUCCUUUACCUUCUUGGGGUUCCAGGAUCCUUUUGGUUUCCCCUUAAACUUUCCUUGAAUCACGGCCAGAGCCUCUCCAGGAGCUGCCGGUUCAGCCUUCCGCUUCUGUUUCCGACUGGUGUUUCCUUUUUCCGACUGACUCGGCUUGUGCUUGCCGCUUCGGAGUCGGUCUUCUUCUUCGCCGUUGGCGUACUUGGUAGCAAUCUCCAUCAUCCGACUCAAGGUCAUGUCACCGGUUCGACCAAAUUUCAGACUCAGUUCUCUGUUCUUGACGCCGUCUUUGAAGGCGCAUACUGCCUGAUGAUCAGAGACAUUUUCCACAGUGUGGUGUAAAGUGAUCCACCUCUGAAUAUACUCUCUGAGAGUCUCAUUAGUUUUCUGCACGCAGACUUGCAACUCUGUCAAUCCCGCUGGUCGCUUGCAAGUCCCUUCAAACGUUCUGACGAACACUCGGGACAGAUCUUCCCAAGUGUAAAUGCUGCUAGGAGGUAAUUGAGUCAACCAUGCCCUGGCAGAACCUUCCAACAUGAGGGGCAAAUGCUUCAUGGCCACCUCGUCGUUCCCACCACCGAUCUGAACUGCCACUCGGUAGUCUUCAAGCCAAGUUUCAGGCUUAGACUCACCAGUGAACUUGCUGACUCCUGUUGCCAACCUGAAAUUGGGGGGGAUAACUGCGGCUCUGAUAGCUCUGCUGAAACAUUCAGGACCAGAAACAUGUACUCGACUGCUCGUGGGUACAUCUCUGUCGAGUGCGCCUCGAUGGGCUCUGUUCCGGUCGACCAACCCUUGCACGAUAAUGGACCGCGCGUCGAAGCCUGGCUCUCUGGGGUCAACUGGAACCCUACGCCCUGUACUGUACUGACGCCUAUCAUCUGGCUGCCGAGGAGCGUAAGACCCACCCCUCGGAGGGGAAUAGGGCACUCGACGCCUAUCAUCUCGGUCGAGUCUGUCGCCAUAUUGAUCUCGCCGAUUCUCACGCCCUUCGCGCCGCGGAGGCGAUCUGGGGCUGUGAGCCGACUGAACCGUAUUCACAGUGACAGAUCGACUGUGAAUUCUGUUGCGCGACUGAGACACGGCUGAAUUCUGAUCUCCUGCUGCCCGGAGCAGAUCCCUGAUCUGCAGCAAACCUCUGCCAGCUUCCGACUGCGAAGGCUGAAUGGACUCUGCUAUACGGGUCGCAGCUGCUAAAUUCUGAAUUGGGGUUCGAUAUACCUGAGUCGGCGGGAAGAGUUGACGUCGACUGGUGUCGGGAACUCGUUGCCGCGCGCGCUCGUCGAGUGCUCGUUGAAGGUUCUCCAGUCGAGUGCGCUCAGCCAAAUUGGCCAGACGCGCCUCUUCCAAGGCACGAGCCUCGGGGGUUUCUCCUGCGAUGGGAAUACGCAGGGGAUCCUCGUUCCUGCGGCGAAGCUCUUCUCUUUGCAGAGAGUCGAGUGGCUCGGGCUGGUACUCUUCGUAGUCUCGUGCAGGGUCGCCGCCGUCACCUGCUCCACCACCUCGGGCGAAGCCAGGAGGGCUGUGGGGCCCGUCGACCAUCAAGAUUUCCGCCGCUGGAUCACUGCUUCCGCACUCGGAUGCGGUCUCUCCGGAGCCAGUCGACUGAUCGAACAAGCCGUAGAGAGAUUCGUUGGGCUCGAUUGCCGCAACUUGUGUAGUGGCCGAUUGGCGAGCCACCGCGUGACUCACCCAUCGCUGAAGCCUCGACCGGCCUGAGCGCUUGCGCUGGCGGGAGACCGGGAGGGUGGACGAUGGAGGAGCCGACCGAUACUGGGUCGACGGUUGCCGCAGCAGAACGCCGCGGACACAUGCGCGAAAAUGCGUCGCACCGCGGACGGGGAGCGCGUCUACGUCGAGUGGAGCCUCCUGGAGCCAUGCGGAGUCGUCGGCGAUGAAGGUGAGAGUGCCGAGACGGAUCUCUUGACCCUUGACCAAAACUCCAGCAGACACCAUGAUGAGAGUACUCGGAAGAAUCGCAACUUCUCCACAAAAUCGCUAAAACACCUGCCCCACGGUGGGCGCCAACUGUCGUGGUUCUAAGCCUGACAGUAGAGUGGGGGGUAGGUAUGGAGAGGCAAGGUCCUAGCUAUGGAGAGGUUGUAAGCACCAAGGAUGUACGAGUUCAGGCCCUUCUCGGAAGAAGUAACAGCCCUACGUCUCGGAGCCCGGAGGCGGUCGAGUGGAUUAUGAAUGUAUGAAUUACAAGGUGCCGAACCCCUCUGCCUGUGGAGGAGGGUGGCUUAUAUAGAGUGCGCCAGGACCCUAGCCAGCCCACGCAGGAGAGGGUUUAAGGUGAGUUAAGUCUGGGGCGUUACUGGUAACGCCCCACAUAAAGUGCCUUUACUAUCAUAAAGUCUACUUGAUUACAGGCCGUUGCAGUGCAGAGUGCCUCUUGACCUCCUGGUGGUCGAGUGAGUCUUCGUGGUCGAGUCCUUCAGGCCAGUCGAGUGAAUCCUCGUUGGUCGACUGGAAGGCGACCUCUUCUAAGGAUGUCCUAGGGUAAGUUACUUGGAUCAGGUCCAUGAUCCUACCCUAGGUACACAACCCCAUCACUAACCAUGUCAUUAACCCCAACAAGACCCUAAAUGAUAUUUCUUACUACCCAAACAAUGCUAGUGACAAAAUACAUUGUCAAAGCACAAACAUUACCCUAAAUGCAUCAUAUACAUUGAUUUCACCACAACAAAACCAUGAACUAGUGAUUCCAACAAAAUGAGCAAAAUGCAUGAUUUGAACCAACCAAAUGAAGGGGGGAUGGGGGAGGUCCUUGGGUGAUGCAAAUGGCCUCGAUCCACCGGACAAAUCUCAAGCAAUGGAGGGAGAUCUAGUGGGUNNNNNNNNNNNNNNNNNNNNNNNNNNNNNNNNNNNNNNNNNNNNNNNNNNNNNNNNNNNNNNNNNNNNNNNNNNNNNNNNNNNNNNNNNNNNNNNNNNNNNNNNNNNGAGAGAGUGAGAGCUCGAAAGAAGAGUGGGGUAAAUGAGUGGGUGGGGGAGCAGCACAGCCCCCUCCUUCAAAACCUUAUCCAGGAACCUACCGCCGGAGAGUCUGGCGGUAGGUUGCAACAGCCUACCGCCAUAGACGGAGGCGGUAGGUCCUUUGCCACGUAUACACGGCCGUUAACGGCCAGACGGCGUCAGGGAACCUACCGCCAUGAGGGGCGGCGGUAGCCUGCACACAUCUACUGUCGGGGUCUCCGGCGGUAGCAAAAGGGUCAGAUCUCGAAAUUUUUCCAUAACGGGGUCAGAUCUCGAUUUUAGAUGUGAAAAGGGUCAAAACACGAAAUUUGGCCGGCCCUGCUCGAGGAAAACCUUCUUGCUCGCUUUCUAGAACGUACCUGCAAUGUGCUUGCGUUGUUGUCCUUGUGAGCUCUUUGACUAGGGUGACAUCUUUCGGUGUCCUCAGUCCUUCCUCUUCCGAUGGGGAGUUAAUUGCACAGAAGUAUCACAAUUGGGGCAUCACAUGUACUCCCUCCGUUCUGAUUUACUCGUCGUGGUUUUAGUCCGUUCUGAUUUACUCGUCGUGGUUUUAGUUUAAAUUACGAUUAAAUCGGUGAACUAAAACCACGACGAGUAAAUCGGAACGGAAGGAGUAGAUUGGUACCAUGAUUGUUAAUUUUUGAGUGUUGUUAGACUUGUAGUUAUACGUCAAUACGUAUUAUAACUUGUAUACAACUGUACUUGUAUCCAGAGUGGUUUCUCUCCAUAUAUAUAUAUAUUGUCGUGGCCGAACCUUGUGGUGUGGAAGCCCACAAUACCCCAAAACCUCUUGCGUAACAUGGUAUCAGAUACGAUCGUUAACUCGAUCCUGCCCUAAUCGCUACGCAGCCGCCGCCCGACCUAGUCGCUACGCCACCGCCGCCCAUGUCGUCUUCCGCUGCUGACUCCUUGGCGGCCGCCGCCGCUGCCCUCUCCGACGCGGCCACCCUUGCUACUCUCACCGGCGCAGCCACCUCGUCUGCUGCCGCCACGGAGCUCUCCACCCUGCCCUCGCUCGCUGAUCCCAUCGGAUCGCGUGCGCCCGUCCUUGGUCCGCCGGCUUCUGUGUCAUCGUUCCUGGCUACUCUCCUCCAAGGAGGACCUACGUCUACCCCGCUGAUGACCAGAUCGACGGGUGCUCUGUUUUCCAGGUCUACUUCUUCGGCCCCUCUCGGAUCGCCGGUGUUGCACCAUAACUAUGGCACGCUGGCGCCCUACGCACCGUCACCGUACACGCAUGAUCCUGCUGCCUACGGUGCUCCUUACGGCGCCCCCUACGGCAUGUCCUACGGCGCCCCCUACGGCACUCACUAUGGCACUGGACAUGGCGCCCCUCAUGGUGCUGGCUAUGGUGCUCCGUACGGCUCCGGCUACCAGGCGUUCCUGAGGCCUGCUCCUUAUGGCGCGUCGCUGUCUCCUCCACCACCGGUUCCUCCGGCUGCAAUGCAGUCCUCGCCCGAUGUCGCCUCUUCUGGUGCUACUACUGUACCACCCUACGACUUUGCCCUCGACGUCAUCAUAACUCCGCCAUUCUACUUCAGCAACCUUCUCCAGGUAAAACUGAAGAUGGACAACUAUUUGUUCUGGUGUGCGCAGAUUCUUCCCCUCCUUCGCAGUCAUUAUCUGGAGGGUUUUGUGGAUGGAACUUUGUCGUGUCCUUCGCCAGAUCAUCAUAUGUACCGACCAUGGAUUGCUCAAGAUCAAGCGAUUCUCUUGGCGAUACAGUCCUCUCUCACCGAGGGCGUUGCCGCCUUGGUACUUUUUGCUACUACAUCACAUGAGGUAUGGAGUGCGCUGGAGUCUAGCUUCUCCGCGCAGUCAUCAUCUCAGCAUAUGGCUCUUCGUACCCAGCUUAAUGAGACUCACAAGGAUCAUCACUCCGUCACCGUCUUCUUCAACAAAAUCAAGCGCCUUGCUGAUCAGCUUGCCUCCAUUGGCGAGCCCCUUCGUGACACGGAGUUUACUACAUAUAUUCUCCAAGGUCUCGAAGACCACGGCAACAGGUGUGAAUACCAGAUGUUUCUCACCAGAUUUGAAUUUGGAGGAAGGACUAGGUGCAGAUUUUUUAUUUCGAGUUUCAAGGUACGAACACUGUGGCUGAAACGUGUCAAAGUCAACGCAAAGACUCUGCCCACACUGCUCAGCUCAGAUGCUGACUGAUAACAUGCUCAAAAAAAUGAUGCUGAUUAAUGAUAGCUGUGUUUUCUGGUUAGUGAUGGCAGUGGACGUGCUGGUCUUUGCUUACCCAAGAAAAACUCGAUGUCGGCUCGCUCUUGCUAUCAACUUUUUUUUCUUUCUUUCUGUCAACUAAAAUUGCUUGUGAUUUAGUCCGUAUAUUGUAAUGGCAUCAGUCUAAUCGCCUGUGUGUGAGAUGGUAUUCUAGUCUCUUGUCCGGCGCCCAUUUUCAUCACGCAUUGCGACAGAAUUUUCUUGGUAAUAACUGUCGUGACAAUACAAUAUUUCCUUUGGAAGCAACGGAAAGUAAAUAAUUUGCAUUCACCAUUUCCUCCUGCAAAUUGAGCCGCCUCACGUGCGCAAGCGCGCAAUGCUGCAGCAUCCUCUGCACUCCGCAAGAACAUGAAUCCUAACAAGCAGCCGUCGAAAAACGAGACGCGCUAAGCUAAAGACGGCAUCCGUGGCGGCAUCGGCGGGCAUUCCGGCCGUGGCAGCCCCGGCAGCGGCGGCCCGAGCCCUCCGCGGCAGAGCGGGCACGUCCCGCGCUUCCGGAGCCAGCGGUCGACGUCGCAGCUCGCGUGGUAGAAGUGCCCGCAGGCCGGCACCACCCGCACCAGCUCGCCGGCCUCGCCCUCGCCGUACUCCGACAGGCAGAUGGCGCACCGCUCCUCCUCUCCCUCCUCCUUCUCCUUUUUCCUGGCCACCGCCUGCUCGUAUGUCAUGAGCGUGUCGUCGCCGAGAGCGGCCUCGACGUCGGCGUCGUGCACCGCGGCGCUCCCGGUGGCGCCGGCCGCGUCGUCGCAGGCUCCGCCGGAGGCGAUGACGGCCACGGCGACGAUGAUCACUGCCAUCAGGACCACCGCGGCGAUCUCCAGGUGGAGCACGAGUUCCGGGUCCAUGCUGCCAAUGCCAGCGAACUACCGCUCCAGUCCAGCCUUUGUAUAGGAGUGUUAGAGAUAUAUUUGGGUUACAUGUAUUUGGUAGUUUAGGAUUCCUACCUUAUCUCUAGGAGAGGCGUCUUGCCCUCCAAGUCUUGUACUCAAUAUAUACUCGCCCUCGAGGCUCGAUAAUACAUCCAUCAUAUUCCUCAACAAUCCCUCUCUCUCCCUUCUAACAUGGUAUCAGAGCAAGUCGAUCCUAAACCCUAGCCGCCGUCGCUUCCGCACCUGCGCGCCGCCCCCGGGGCGGUCGGCCUCCAUGACCGCCGCCGGGGGCCGCGCUGCCCGUACCUAGGGUUCGUCCGCCGGCCGUGUUGGUCGGCUGCCCUAGAGAGUCUUUUUCCCGAUCCUUUGAUCCGGAUUUUCUCUCUCUCGCCGGUCGCUUUGAUCGGCGUCUACUUUUUGGUUUUCCGGUCUAUGUGAUCCGGUUUGCGUCGCCCACCGCCGCGUCGACCUCGUGCGCCUCUACUCCAACAUCGGCGCGAUUGGCCAGCUUCUUCACCGACCCGGCGGCCUCGCGCGUCGUCCGCGCGUCGGCCCGCCGGUCGCCCCGACCGGCGGCCACGCGUCAUGUGGCGGCCCUUCACCGCCAUCGUUCGCGCGACGGCCCGCCCGUCGAUCUACGCCGGCCGUCACCGCCUGCUCCGACCGGGACUCCUGCAUCACCCCGACCCGGCGGCCUCGCGCCAUGCGGCGGCCAAUCAUAGCCGCCCUGCCGCCCGCCGCCGCCGGCUUCAUCUCGGACUCCGCCGCCACCACGCCUUCACCGAGCGGUGUCCCCGACCUCGCGCGCGAUCGGCUUGAUCACCCGCUCGCCGCCGCUAUCAGCCUCAUCUACGCCGCGCGACCGACCUGGCCCGUCGGUUACGCGCGCCUUCGCAGGUCCCGUGAAGAUCGUCCCCGAGUUCAGCGCGCCCCUCCAUCGAUCGAGCAACGGGCUGCCGCUGCGUCGCCCCGUCGGGCCGCAGCGCCGCCGCCCCGUGGUUCUCCUCCCGGCUGCACCGACCCGCGUCACCGCUGCGUCGCCCCUUCGGGCCGUAGUGCCGCGGCCCGCGGUCUACCGCCGCCCCGAGGUCGUCCACUCCAGGCCGUCCCCGUGGCUGCACCGACCCUCGCGCCGCCGCUGCGUCGCCCCGUCGGGCCGUAGCGAGCGUGGCACGCGGUCCACGCAGCCGUCUCGAGGCCGUCCACGCGGUUGCACCACCCCGCGCUCCGCUGCUGUGCCGCCCCUUCGGGCUAUAGCACCGCGGCCCGCGGUCCCUGCGACCGUCCCGACGUCUUCCGUCGUCACCCCGACCUGCCCGCCGCUGCCGCGUCGCCCCUUCGGGCCGUAGCGCCGCGGCCCGCGGUCCACCGCCGUCACCGCGUGUCGACCUCCCGUGGUAUGCGCCGCGCCGUCUCCCUUGGCGCGGGAACGCCACCGUCCACGCCGGUCUUCGUCAUGCUGUCAGGGUUCUUCGCCUACGUCGAGCACCGCCGCCGCACUCCUAACCUAGCCGCCGCCGCCGCCUUCAAGCCGCCGCUGCCGCUCUUCUUUGGCCGCCGCCGCCGCUACCUUUGUAGCCGCCGCCGCCGCCCGUCCACCCCCUUCGUCUUCGUCCAGCACCAGUUCGUCGCCAGCGUCACCGUCAUCUACCCCGACCGCUUCAUCUACUCCGACAACCGCGGGCGACAUUGGCCCCGCGCCGAUUGGCGCCGCAACCGUCGUCGAGUCCUUCUCUGCUGGCCUCUCCGACUUCUCCGACAUGGCGUACAGCUCGUGCAGGUCCCUCAUCUACGCAUGCCCGGUGCUGGCAACACCGAUGCGUGCCUUCAUCCACGACGUGUCCCCGGGCCUGGCAAGCCUGGUCGGCGCUUCGUCAACUUCGUCUUCGUCCGUCUACGCAUGCCCGGUGCUGGCAACACCGGUGCGUGCCUUCGUCCACUAUGUGUCCCCGGGCUUGGCAAACCCGUCGCGACGCGUCGUCAACAACAUCUUCUUCCCGGCGCACCACUACUUCGACACCCUUGCGCCCAUGCUAACUCGGCGCCCCCUUGCGCCCACGGCUCCACGGCGACUUCCUCGACACCGGCCACCCCGACUCGACAUCGACCACGGCAUUCUUCGCACGGCUACCUCGACCACGGCUACACCACCCUACGCUCUCGGCUACAUCGACAUCGGCACAAAGGGUUAUCAUCCGCUUGAGCAUCUCGUCGGCUUCCUCUACAGUCAACGCGUCCGCGACGCGACACCGUCCACGACGCUCCCGCUAGGACUGCGGGGGGAUGUCAGUCCGUCGGCUGCUAUUCUCUUCAGUCUGACCGUCCGCGUCGCUCCUGUUGUUCGCAACGCUACCGCUACGACUGCGGGGGGAUGUUAGAGAUAUAUUUGGGUUACAUGUAUUUGGUAGUUUAGGAUUCCUACCUUAUCUCUAGGAGAGGCGUCUUGCCCUCCAAGUCUUGUACUCAAUAUAUACUCGCCCUCGAGGCUCGAUAAUACAUCCAUCAUAUUCCUCAACAAUCCCUCUCUCUCCCUUCUAACAAGGAGCUCCGGUCCAGAGCCUUCUCGGCCAAGUCAGUACGUAGUGUCAAGGAAAGACAGGCGUUGAGCUUUGCCAGAAUGUUUCAGCUGAUUUCCUUUCUUCUUCCGGUGGACAAUUCCCUUGCGGCUGUCUUGUUUCACAACUCCGGUUUUGGACUUGAUUAGUUGUCUUCUUCUUCUCUCUUUUCUUUUGAAAAUGAUUCAAGAUGUGAUUAUUACCCUGUAACUUGUAUCCCUUUGCCUCUCUUAAUAAAAUGAAAAACGACGUCGCUGUCUUCCAUUUACAGCAGCCUCACUUGUUAUGACAACCAGCUAAAACUGUUUGUUCAUCCGUAGACUUUUGUAAUUUCUUAAAAUCCAAUCAUGUUUUUUAUUCAUCUUUUCUUUGCGGGAAACCAUGUUUUUUAUUCUUUCAACUAAAAGAAGUUAUCCACGUUAUGUUUUUUCCUUUGCGGUGCACAUUAGGUUACAUACAAAGAAUUUGUCAACAAAAAAAAGGUUACAUACGAAGAAUUGCUCUAAAAUUAAUCGGAUAGAUUGUAGAAAUUGAUUAAUCCUCAUAUAGAGUAGCGAAAAGGCAGAAAGGGCUAUAAGAUUAUUACCCUUGGUAUUCGUCAUAAUUUUCACCAUAUGAUUAGUUGAUGCGCUCGCUUGCGUGCCGACCACAUAGAAAAACAGAAGCACUAAGAUUGCAGUGACGCGCUUUAUUUAAAUAAACUGUAUGUAUAUAUGCUGCACUUGCUCGGACAGUAACGUUUUGGCUUAUACUACUCCACUGUGAAAAUUCGUGGCAGCUGACACCGUUUGUUGAGUAUAUUAUGUACGUGUAUAUUUGUGUGUAGGUCCCACCUCCUGUUAUCUUUGUAUAGUUGAGUUGUGGCCCACCUCUGUACUUAUAUAUACGUGUCUGAUGCACCGAUCAAUACAUCGAGAUUGCACAGCCCAUAACUUGCCCUUCUACAUGGUAUCUAUCGCAGCACGAUCCUAACCCUAAAGCCGCCGCCGCCGCCGCGCCUCUACGCGCCGCCGCCACCGCCGCUACUCCCGGCCGCCGCCACCUCUCUCCCGGUCGCCGUCGCCGCCGCUGGUCGCCGCCGCCUCUCCCCACCACCUCGCACGCCGCUGCCGCCGCCUCUUCCCGAGGCCGCCGNNNNNNNNNNNNNNNNNNNNNNNNNNNNNNNNNNNNNNNNNNNNNNNNNNNNNNNNNNNNNNNNNNNNNNNNNNNNNNNNNNNNNNNNNNNNNNNNNNNNNNNNNNNNNNNNNNNNNNNNNNNNNNNNNNNNNNNNNNNNNNNNNNNNNNNNNNNNNNNNNNNNNNNNNNNNNNNNNNNNNNNNNNNNNNNNNNNNNNNNNNNNNNNNNNNNNNNNNNNNNNNNNNNNNNNNNNNNNNNNNNNNNNNNNNNNNNNNNNNNNNNNNNNNNNNNNNNNNNNNNNNNNNNNNNNNNNNNNNNNNNNNNNNNNNNNNNNNNNNNNNNNNNNNNNNNGCUUGUCCCGCUUCCGCCCGCGCCCUCCCUCUAGCCGCCACCUCCCCUCCCACCCGCGCGGCACCCGCUCCACCCCACCUGCCGCCUGCGCCGUCGCACCUCCCAGUCGCGCCGCAACCCGCCCCGUAGGUCCCAAACCCUAACCCUCGCCAUGAGCUCCUCCUCGUUCACUGUCUCCAACCCGUUCGCCGGUCCCGAUGUCACCCUCGUCCGCGACCUCAACAUCCACGAGCGUGUUCCGGUCAAGCUUGAUCACACCACCGCGUCCUACUCCGCUUGGAAGCGGUAUUUUUCGCUUGUGUUCCAUGAGUACCUCCUGCACGGCCACGUGGACGGCACCAUGGACUCGGCACUCAUGAUCAACGACGAGGAAUGGAUGAUCCUCGACACCACCAUCAUCCGCUGGUUCUACCUCACCAUCUCCAGCGACCUCUUCCACACCGUGGUGGACGACGAGGACAACGCCUAUGCGGUCUGGACCAAGCUCAACGACCUCUUCACCGACAAUCGGCUGCAGUGCAAGGUCCUGCUCUAUGAUGAGUUUUACGGGUGCCAGCAACUUGACUCAUCCAUCGAUGAUUUUUGCAUGCGCCUCAAGAAGCUCGCCGAUGAGCUCCGCGAUCUUAGGGAAAAGAUCGGCGACGAGCUCCUCAUCAGCACCCUCUCCGGCGGCCUCAACGAGGACUUCGGGAACGCCACCUCCAACCUCACCCUCAUCCCGGAGCCCACCUUCGCCAAGGUGGUCGCGUACCUCAAGUUGGAGGAGUGCCGAAUGCGGGUGGCGCGGUCUCGCGCGACCCACACCGCCCUCGUCGCAGGCACCCGUGGGGGUUCGGCCCCGCCAACGCCGCGCCCGACGCCGUCCCAGCCGGCGGCGACCGCCUUCCCGCCAAGCUUCUCGCCCGCACCGGCCGCCCCCUUCCCGCCGCCCCAGCCGGCGGCCAACAGGGGGGGGGGGGGUUGUCGCGACAUCGUCGUGGCAGCCGCAAGCAGGGGGCGCAGGUGCUCAGGGAGGAGCGCCCCGCCCACCGCAGCAGGCUUCUCAGCCGGCCCCGUGGUACGCCGGCCAGAACCCAUGGACCGGCGUUGUCCACGCCUACUCCAUGCCGGUUCCUCGGGCCCCUGCCCCGGGCAUUCUCGGCACCCGGCCUCAGCCACACCAGGCGUACUACGCCGCACCGCAGCCCUACGCGGCGCCCUACGGUCAGCAGCCGCCGCCAGGUGGGCCGCCGCUGCUGCCCCUGACGGCCGCGCCGCCUCUCCCGUCGGCACCAUGGGACCCGGCCCUCCUGGCGGCUCUCCACAACACUCCUUCCCCGUCCAGCUACACCGGCGGUGGCGACUAGUACAUGGACAGCAGCGCCACCGCUCACAUGGCGGCGUACCCCGGUAACCUCCACACCGCCCAUCCUGUCCACACUUCCAACUGCAUCACCGUCGGUGACGGCUCUUCCCUUCCCAUCACCCAUUUUGGUCAUACAUAUUUUCCGUCUAACUCCACUCAUAUAUCCAUGUCUAAUAUUCUCGUUUCUCCUAAACUUAUUAAAAAUCUUGUUUCUGUUCGUUCUCUUACACGUGAAAAUCCGGUUACCGUUGAAUUUGACGAAUGUGGUUUUUCUGUUAAGGACGCUCGCACGCGGAUGGUGCUCCACCGAUGUGACAACCCCGACGAGCUCUACCCGGUUCACUCCGCCACCUCCACCACUUCCGCCGCCCCUGUCACUCUCGCCACCAGAGUGGAUCUUUGGCAUGCUCGCUUGGGUCAUCCUAAUCCUGCCACCCUUCGCCACAUACUUCAGAGUUUUUCUUUCACGUGUAAUAAGAACGAGGAUCACUCGUGUCAUGCAUGUCGCCUUGGCAAACAUGCUCGUCUUCCGUUUAGGGCUUCUUCUUUUGUUGCAUCGUACCCGUUUGAGUUAAUUCAUAGUGAUGUUUGGACAUCUCCUGUUGCCAGUAAUACGGGCUUUCUUUAUUAUCUUGCCAUACUUGACGAUUUUUCGCAUUAUAUGUGGACCUUCCCGUUGCGCCGCAAGUCGGAUGUCAUAUCCACUCUCGCCGCUUUCUAUUCUUAUGUUCUCACGCAGUUUGGUCGUUCCAUUCUUGCAUUGCAGACAGACAACGGGAAGGAGUUUGACAACCUCGCUGUUCGUAAUCUUCUCACCACACAUGGCAUGAUUUUUCGUCUCACUUGCCCGUACACCUCGCAGUAGAAUGUUCGUGCUGAGCGCAUCCUUCGCACUCUCAAUGACUGCGUUAGGACUCUUCUCUUUCAUGCCAAUGUGCCUCCGCGCUUUUGGCCUGACGCGCUCGCCACCGCUUCUCUCCUCAUCAACAUCCGCCCAUGUCGUACUCGCGGGAACUUUACACCUUAUCAUCUUCUCUUCGGUGCACCCCCCUCUUAUGAUGGGCUUCGCAUCUUCGGCUGCCUAUGCUACCCUAGCAUCGCCGCUAUUGCGCCUCAUAAGCUUGCACCCCGCUCCGUCACCUGCAUCUUUCUCGUCUACCCACCUAACACCAAGGGCUAUCGCUGCUAUGAUCCCGUCUCACAUCGUGUUUUCACCUCCCGACACGUUUACUUUGAUGAGAUGGUGUUUCCGUUUCAGCAGCAGGUACCCCUUGUCGUCUCGUCACCGUUGGCCACUGGCGGCCCUUCGACGACUUCGUCAGGUGGACAGUCCCAUCAGGCUUGUGGACCGCCUCCGGGCUUUGGCGGUCCUCGUGCCCUCACGCCGGCACCCGCCCCCUCGGCCUCCUCGACCGGCUCUGACGGUGCAGCCGGCGCCCUGCCUUCACCCGCCGCCCCGACUCAGGCGCCGCGGGAUCGGGAGCUGCAGGUUCGGCCGCCUCUUCUGCGGCCUCGAUGCCAGCCACCUCGCCGGCCCUGAUGCCGGCCCCCUCGCCGGCUCCGAUGCCGGCUACCUCGCCAGCCCUGACGCCGGCCCCGACGCCGGCCGUCUCGCCGGCUGCCUCGCGGGUGGCUUCGGCGGCGCCGCCCACCCCAGUCACCCGUGCUCGUACCGGCAUUCAUCGUUCGAGCCUUCGAUACUCGAGCGACGAGUACGUCCUUGCCUCCUCUGCCGCGGAGCCGUCGCCCAUUCCCGCAUCCGCUCGCGCCGUCCUCCGUGAUCCUCACUGGCUUGCGGCGAUGCAGGAAGAGUUCGAUGCUCUUCAACGGAACCGCACCUGGACCCUGGUUUCCCGGCCUCCUCGCGCCAACGUCAUCACCGGCAAGUGGGUCUUUCGCCAUAAGACCCACUCGGAUGGUACUCUCGAGCGCUACAAGGCUUGCUGGGUGGUCUGUGGUUUCCGCCAGCGCGCUGGAGUGGACUUCACUGAGACGUUUGCCCCGGUUGUCAAACCGGGCAUGAUCCGCACCGUUCUCCAGCUCGCCGUAUCCCGCGGCUGGCCUGUUCACCAGAUGGAUGUCUCCAACGCCUUUCUCCACGGCCAUCUUGAGGAGCAAGUGUAUUGUGAGCAACCCACCGGUUUUGUCGACGCCUCACUUCCCGGCCAUGUGUGUCUGCUGUCCCGCUCUCUAUAUGGGCUCAAGCAGGCACCCCGCGCCUGGUACCAGCGGAUUGCCGGGUUUCUUCAGACACUGGGCUUCAGCGUUACUCGCUCGAAUGCCUCAUUGUUUGUCUAUCGCCAUGGUGACACGACUGCAUAUUUGCUGCUUUACAUCGAUGACAUCAUCCUAACGGCCUCCUCCGCAUCUGUUCUUCAGUAGAUUACUCUCCGGCUAUGUGACGAGUUUGCUAUCAAGGACCUGGGUGCUCUACAUUAUUUCCUUGGCAUUGAGGUCGUUCGGUGUCCGGACGGUUUCUUCCUUCAUCAGCAGAAGUAUGCGCAUGAGCUUCUUGAGCGUGCUGGCAUGCUCAACUGUCACCCUGUUGCUACUCCUGUUGACACGAAGGCCAAGGUCUCUGCUCUUGAGGGCUCGCCUGCGUCGGAUGCUCCUUUCUACCGGUCUAUUGUCGGCGCUCUUCAGUAUUUGACUCUCACGAGACCGGAUCUUCAGUAUGAUGUUCAGCAGGUGUGUCUCCACAUGCACGCCCCUCGUGACUCUCAUUGGACUCUCGUGAAGCGGAUCCUUCAUUACAUCCGCGGCAUGAUGACACUUGGGUUGACACUUACGGCGUCUACUUCUCUGGAGAUGGUGGCCUACUCCGAUGCAGACUGGGCCGGCUGCCCCGAUACUCGUCGGUCCACCUCUGGCUACUGCGUCUACCUCGGUCCUUCACUCGUCUCGUGGUCGUCUAAGCGACAACCCACGGUUUCGUGCUCCAGCGCGGAGGCUGAGUACCGAGCUGUGGCCAACGCUGUUGCCGAGUGCACCUGGCUACGACAGUUACUUCAGGAGCUGCAUCACGACGUAUCCCAGGCUACGGUUGUCUACUGUGACAACGUUUCUGCGGUGUACCUCUCCGCCAACCUCGUUCAUCAUCGCCGGACUAAACACAUUGAGCUGGACAUUCACUUUGUGCGCGAGCAGGUGGCUCUUGGACGCAUUCGGGUUCUCCAUGUGCCGACUGCCCAACAGUUCGCCGAUGUGAUGACGAAGGGACUGCCGACUUCUACCUUCAAGGAGUUUCGUUUCAGUCUUUGCGUCACUGGCGCCGCUUCGACUGUGGGGGGUGUUGAAUAUAUUGUGUACGUGUAUAUUUGUGUGUAGAGCCCACCUCCUAUUUCCUUUGUAUAGUUGAGGUUGUGGCCCACCUCUGUACUUAUAUAUACGUGCCUGGUGCACCGAUCAAUACAUCGAGAUUGCACAGCCCAUAACUUGCCCUUCUACACUGUCAAAAUCGUGGAACCUUCCAAUUGUGUCGUGGGCUGGCCCCGCUCGAGGGAAGCCUUCUCGCUUGCUUCUAGAACAUCUAGUUCUUGUGUUGGUUUCCUUGUCAGCUCUUUGACUCGGGUGACAUCUCUCGGGUGUCCUCAGUCGUUCCUUCCUCUUCCGACUGGAAAGAACCCAUGCGACCUGCGUCCGCCAGCGUCUUGGACGUCUCUCAGCCAGUUAAAACUUAGAACACAUCAAAGUCAACUGAGGAACCCACUGGUCUGGUACUGGUAGGUACCCUCCCCUGCAAGUGUUGGUGGAUGAACACUUUUUUUGACCUGAAACUGUAGGGCUUAGGCCCCACAGCAAUUUUAUUACUCCCAAACAAAAAUGCAUAUGUGCAGUAAUUACAAGGUCAGGGAGACCUUAAAAGAGAAAAGGCAAGGUGAAAAAGCUAACCUCAAGGAGGCAAAAAAGAGAUCCAUCUAAUCAGAUCAUCUUUGAAUUUAGGUUUAAUCCUAUGAACUAAAAGAGAAACGUCCAAAAUAAAUGAAGCUCUCCACCUACGAAAAGAUGGUUUGAUAUUCCUGAAAACCCUGUCAUUUCUAACAUUCCAGAUAUUCCAGCAAGCUAGAAAAACAACUUCAGAGAAGAAAGGCCUUGCAAAAUCCCUUCUAGCUUGAUAAGCAAUGGCAGUCAUGUCAUCUCCAGCAGGCCAGCUGAUUUAAAGGUAGUUCCAGACCCUGCAACUAAAGUUACACUGGAAGAAAAGAUGAUCCAUGUCCUCCUUGGUGUGUGUGGGACACAACACACACAAAUUUGAGUCAGAAACAUUCCAGUGCCUUCUCUCUAGCAUAUCUUGUGUAUUCAGGCGAUCCAUGAUCAACAUCCAAGCAAAGAACUUGAUCCUCAAGGUGCAACAACUAGCCCAAAUCCAGGACAAUAUUGGGUUUGACACAAUAUGCUUAUGCAAGAAGGUAUAAUAUUUCUUGGCAGAGUAAUCCUUUCCAUCCUCUUUCCAAACCCAAACAUCAUUCAACUGGUGAUUAAGAUUUGAAUUUCCAAGCAAGGAUUGCAAUGACUGCAACUCACCAAAAGCUCUCUCAGAGAGUGGUAAAUGAAAUAAAGGAGUGAGCUCAGACAUCUCAAAAACCUCAGCAGUAGAAAUAAGAGGGUCAAUGACAAAGGAGAAUAGUCUUGCAAAUCUUUGAUCAAGUGGUACACUGGAAUCUCCCAAAGACCAAGAAUCAGACCAAAACAGAACUGUGUCACCCCUAUGAACAUGCACAGCACAGACCAUCCUGAACUUAUCCAUUAAAUUGCAAAUAUCCCUCCACCAGAAGGAACCACAAAUGGUUGUGGCAUGAGGGACUCUACCAUGAUAGUAAGUAUUCCAAAUCAAAUGCACCCAGGGAACAUCAACUUUGUUGUAGAACUUACUAACAUGUUUGAGGAGUAGGGCUUCAUUCUGCAGCCCCAAAUUCAAAAUACCCAGCCCACCUUUAUUCUUUGGUCUGCAGACCAAGCUCCAAGCAGCCAAAGACUGACCAGACUCCUGUCCAUACUUUCUCCAAAGGCACUGCCUCUGAAUUCUCUCCAGUUGCUCUAAAAUACCAGGAGGCAGGUCCAAACUGCAGAGGAAAAAAAUAGGAACAAAAGAGAGAGCAGAGAUCAAGUACUGUAGCCUUCCUCCAUGAGCAAGGAAGGAGGAGCUUACAGAAAGUUUCCUCUCCAUACUAUCCACCAAAGGCAUUAAGUCUAGAAUCUUGGGUUUGUUGAUUCCCACAGGUAGCCCAAGAUAGGUAAAAGGCAGAGAGCCAACCACACAACCAAAAACUGAAGCCAGCCUAGCUAUCUCCACUGGAUCAACAUUAAUAGGAAGCAUAGAAGACUUAUGAUAGUUGACAUGCAACCCAGUGGACUUGGAGAACAGAAGUAACAUCUUCUUCAAAGCAACCAAUUGAGGUUCCUCGGCAGGCAAUAUAAUUAGGGUGUCAUCAGCAUACUGAAUAAUGGGAUAGUCCUUGUCAUGACAGGGAAUGGGAAGCUCCAAAAGUCCCUUAUGAAACAUAUCAUUCACAACUAAUUGCAACAAAUCAGCAGCAAUUGCAAACAGGAGUGGAGAGAGAGGGUCACCCUGCCUAACACCUUUCUUGCAGGUAAAUUGCUUACCAGGUACUCCAUUAAGCAAAACAGAAGAAGUACCAGAAGCAAGGAACUGCUUAACCCAGGAAAUCCAUUUGUCAUUGAAACCUUUGUGUCUCAAAAUCUGAAAUAUAGCCUCAUGCUCAAUUGAAUCAAAAGCUUUCUCAAAGUCUAACUUAAGAAUAACAAUAGGCCUUUUAGACUGGUGGCAUUGAUGCAAGUAUUCAAGUGUCCAAGCCACACAGUCCUGAAUUGUUCUUGACUUGAUAAAACCAUAUUAGUUUUUGUGCAAACAUCUCAUGAUAUCCAACUGAAGCCUGUUUGCAACCAUCUUUGAAAGAAACUUAACCCCCAUACCAGUAAGAGAGAUAGGUCUAAAGUCACUGAUAGAUUCAGGAGACCUCUUCUUUGGUACCAGAGUGAUGUAUGAAUAGUUGAUAUUCUCAAGAUUAGCAGUCCCUUCAUGAAAAGCAGCAACCAAAGCAUAGAAGUCCUUGCUGAUUAUAUGCCAACACUUUUUGAAAAACAAGCCAUUAAAUCCAUCAGGGCCAGGUGACUUAUCAAUAGGCAUGUUCUUAACAGUGUUAUCCAUCUCCUCCUUGGAGAACACUUUAGUCAAGGAAUCCAAACCCUUCACCCUAUCCAAAAUAGAGGAGAGAUCAAAACACAUUUCAAUCCCAUGACUAGUGCCCAUUCUGUUCUUGAAAUUAAGCCAUAGAGCAGCAGCCAUUUGCUCAUGAUCAGACACCACAGAGCCAUCCUCCAGCCUUAAAGAAGCAAUGGAGUUAUGCCUAUAUCUUUCAGAAGCCAAGGCAUGGAAAAAUUUAGUGUUCUCCUCCCCCACUUUAAUGGAUCUAAUAGUACACCUUUUCCUCCAAUAUAGAUACUGUAGGUGUAGGAGAUGCUCCAGAUGCAGCUUAACAAGAUUUCUGAAGUUGAAUUCAUGCCUGAAUAGGGGCCUCAACUCCUCCAAACAAUCCAAAAUGAGAACACUUUGAUAAUGAACUUAACGGUUUUCCCGACUAUUUACAAAACGUGUAGAGAGACGAGUGGGAGGAGCAGCCAAGCCCCGAGGCCGAAUACGGCGGGGACGCCGGCGACGGCGAGGCCUCGGCCAGGAGUGACCCGGAACCAACGGCGACACAGGUGGAGGGGAGUCAAGAUUGACGGGUGAGGGUGGAGGGUCCGGGCUUGCCAGAGAAAAUCUGAUGCCAACGCGAGGAAGAAUUAAGAUGAAAAGAUGAGGUGUGGCAGUCUCCCUUAACUAUUGCAUGAAUGUUCCAACGCCACCUAAUUCGCUGCCUACCUGUGGUAAACGUAUCAGAGGUAUGAAAUGUUAUCAGUUGGACACAUUAUCACCUAAUCCCGAUUAUUUCAGCCGUUGGCGUGAUGACAAAUGAAAUUCGCACUAGAGACAGUAAAAUUCUUGCAGCAAAGAAAGAACGUCCCAUUUCACCAGUAGCAAGUGAAGGUGUGCAAUGCAUCUUCCCCUACUACUAGUACGUACGAAGCUCAAAGCAGCUGGAGCUGAUAAGAAGAAAGAAAAAAAUGAUCGGCUACGGUACGACCACUACGACGACAACGGCGCCGGCGCGGUCCGGCGGGCGCGGCGCGGCAGGCCAGAGCGCGCCCCGGNNNNNNNNNNNNNNNNNNNNNNNNNNNNNNNNNNNNNNNNNNNNNNNNNNNNNNNNNNNNNNNNNNNNNNNNNNNNNNNNNNNNNNNNNNNNNNNNNNNNNNNNNNNNNNNNNNNNNNNNNNNNNNNNNNNNNNNNNNNNNNNNNNNNNNNNNNNNNNNNNNNNNNNNNNNNNNNNNNNNNNNNNNNNNNNNNNNNNNNNNNNNNNNNNNNNNNNNNNNNNNNNNNNNNNNNNNNNNNNNNNNNNNNNNNNNNNNNNNNNNNNNNNNNNNNNNNNNNNNNNNNNNNNNNNNNNNNNNNNNNNNNNNNNNNNNNNNNNNNNNNNNNNNNNNNNNNNNNNNNNNNNNNNNNNNNNNNNNNNNNNNNNNNNNNNNNNNNNNNNNNNNNNNNNNNNNNNNNNNNNNNNNNNNNNNNNNNNNNNNNNNNNNNNNNNNNNNNNNNNNNNNNNNNNNNNNNNNNNNNNNNNNNNNNNNNNNNNNNNNNNNNCCAGCACGCACUCCACGUCCUCGGCCGCCGCCGCGGCGCCGACGUCGCCUCUGCAGGCGCCCGAGGCGGCGGCGGCGAGGGCGACGAUGAGCACCGCCAGGGCGACCACCGCCGCCACCUCGGGAUCGAACGUCAUGGCGGGGCUCAUCUCUUCCAUCUUCCUUCCUUCCUGGCCUGAUCGAUGGAACGAACGGUAGUGCGCGACACCAACCUUGUAGGAUUUCUAAGGACUUCCUAUUUUGGUAGGAUUUUUAGAGUUCCAGAAGUAUUCAAGAGUUACAGAUUGCUACAGACUGUUCUGUUAUUGACAGAUUCUGUUUUUCGUGUGUUGUUUGCUUAUUUUGAUGCAUCUAUGGCUAGUAUGUAGGGGUAUGAACUAUAGAGAAGUUGGAAUACAGUAGGUUUAACACCAAUAUAAACAAAGAAUGAGUUCAUUACAGUACCUUAUGUGGUGGUUUUUCUUUCUUGCACUAACGGAGCUUAUGAGAUUUCCUGUUGAGUUUUGUGUUGUGAAGUUUUCAAGUUUGGGUAAAGAUUUGAUGGACUAUGGAAUAAGGGGUGGCGAGAGCCUAAGCUUGGGUAUGCCCAUGGGACCCCAAGAUAUUCAAGGAUAACCAAAAGCCUAAGCUUGGGGAUGCCCCGGAAGUCAUCCCCUCUUUCGUCUUCAUCUAUCGGUAACUUUACUUGGAGCUAUAUUUUUAUUCGCUACAUGAUAUGUGUUUUGCUUGGAGCGUCUUGUAUGAUAUUACUCUUUGAUUUUUAGUUUACCACAAUCAUCCUUGUUGUACACACCUUUUUGGGAGAAACCCGCUUGAUUGGAAUUUAUUAGAGUACUAUAUGUGCUUCACUUAUAUCUUUUGAGCUAGAUAGUUUUUGCUCUAGUGCUUCACUUAUAUCUUUUAGAGCACAGCGGUGGCUUAAUUUUAAAGAAAUUGUUAAUCUCUCAUGCUUCACUUAUAUUAUUUUGAGAGUCUUUUAGAACAGCAUGGUAUUUGCUAUGGUUAUAAAAUUGGUCCUAGAAUGAUGGGCAUCGAAGUUGGGUAUAAUAAAAAAUAUCAUAGGAAGUGAAUUGGAUGCUAUGAUCAAUUUGAUACUUGAUAAUUCUUUUGAGAUAUGGAGGUGGUGAUAUUAGAGUCAUGAUAGUUGGGUGAUUAUGAAUUUAAAGAAUGCUUGUGUUGAAGUUGGCAAAUCCCGUAGCAUGCACGUAUGGUAAAAGUUAUGUAACAAAUUUGAAACAUGAGGUGUUCUUAGAUUGUGCAUCCUUAUGAGUGGCUGUCGGGGACGAGCGAUGGUCUUUUCCUACCAAUCUAUCCCCCUAGGAGCAUGUGCCUAGUGCUUGGUUUCUUAUGACUUGUAGAUUUUUGCAAUAAGUGUCGUGGUUCUAAGUCUGACAGUAGAAUGGGGGUAGGAAUGGAGAGGCAAGAUCCUAGCUAUGGAGUAGUUGUACACACGAGUGUUUUACGAGUUUAGGCCCUUCUCGGAGGAAGUAAUAGCCCUACGUCUCAGAGCCCGGAGGCGGUUGACUGGUUUUCUGUGUAUAUGUGUUACAGGGGUGCGAACCCUUUACACUGAGGAGGGGGUGGCUUAUAUAGAGUUCGCCAGACCCCUCCGGCCCUCGGUUAUGUAGGGUUUAAAGUACAUUAAGACAGGGGGUUACUGGUAACGCCCUCAUAAAGUGCCAUGAAUAUUAUUAAAGCUACUUAAUGACAGACCGUUGCGUGCUGAGUGACUUUAUGUCUCCUGGUCGUCGAGUGGUUAGCUUCAUGGUCGAGUGGCUAUCUUCAUCGUCGAGUGUCCUUGAGUUCGUCGAGUGAAGUCCCUCUUGGUCGACUGGAAGGUAGCUUCUUCUAAGGAUGUCCUUGGGUAGGGUAUCCUAGAUAGGUCCGUGACCCUACCCUAGGUACAUAUCUUCAUCAUUAGCCCCCGAAUGGAUCGAGGUUCGAGUGAGGAAGGGGUUGAUAAUUUUCUCCGACCCAUUUCCCGUGCUCUGAUUAUGUCGUAUCCUGGAUCAGCGAUUUUUCUUUUACGGUGUUGGCAUUAACUUUUCUUUCAGUCGCCUUGAUCCAUUCUUUUCUUCUGUCGAGUGAACUUUUGAACUUAGUGAACUUCCGAGCAACGGAUCACAGGAAAUCUAUCGUCUGACAGAUUGAUCUGCCGUUAGUGGAUUUUGUGGGAUCCUAAUUUUGGGAAGCGCGCGAAGCGGGGCGGACCGCGGUACUCGGAUGAGAUAAGGCGUGGACGCCUCGAUUUCCACGCCGCCUUUUUUGCCACGUAUCAUGCGUGCGCGACUGUUUCGGGAUGUGACAGGACCGCCCGGGCCUACUUGUCAGCCACUUGGAAGCGUCCUUAUAUAAAGCGUCGGGCGAGGGUUUUUGAACAGUGCCUUCUCAUUCUCCUCUCUGCCCUCUUUGCCCCCGCCCGCUGUGCCUGCUCUCGCCUCCGCCUAUCCACUCCUCGCGUGCUUCGCCGGCGACAAUGGUGAAGAAGAAGACGGCGGCCUUGGAGCGCGCGAAGAAGGCGACGGCGACGGGGAAAGCGAAGGGGAGAGUGUCCAGUUGGGGCGGAUCUUCAUCAAGGUCCCGCCUGCCAAAAGGUUGGGUCCAAGGGGAUUGGAUCCGUUCGACCAUCACCGAGACGGAUCUCAAUGACCUGGCGAACGAGGUCUGAUCCCCCACGGGUCAGCAAGGCUUCCGGGGACCGAGUGUCAACUGCAGCCGCAGGAGGGUGAGUGCAUUCUCCUUGCCACUCAUGUAGACCGUGGAUUCUCUCUGCCGCCGAGUGUUUUCUUUCGAGGGUUUCUGAACUUCUUUGGGGCGCAACUCCACCACUUCACUCCCAAUUCCAUUGCCUAUCUUGCUGCUUUCGUGUCCAUGUGCGAGAACUUCCUGGGUUGUCGACCACACUGGGGUCUCUUUAAGCACAUAUUCACCUAUCGCUCAUAGACGGUGAAAAAGGCGAGUCCGGAUGAUGAGAGGACUAAGGUUAUCCAGAUGUGCGGGGGUCUUGGGAUUCAGAUGAGGAAUAAGAGUACUUUCCCGGCCAUGACCCUUCCUGAGUCGGUCAGAGGGUGGCAGUCGACUUGGUUCUACUACCAAGACGAGUCGACGCCGGGGCAGUCGACUGGUCUCCCUCCGUUCUCCAUGGACCGAGUGGACAAACCCUCUUCUCUGAAGGUACUUCCUGAGGAGAAAGCUCAGGUAAAAAUGUUGAUGGAGCGCGUAGUCCAACUUGUUAGGGACGGAGUGACGGGUAUGGAUCUUCUGGAGGUCUUCCUUAGACGGCGCAUCCAACCGCUUCAGUACCGAGGCCACCCGAUGUAGCUGUACUGUGGUACCGAAGACACCACUCGUGUCCAUCCAGAAGCGGUCAACGACGCCACACUGGGGAGGUGGGUGGCCGCAAUCACAGGGAAUAAGGACAACCCUCGAGGGGCUAGGAGGAUCCCACCACUCGACUGUCCCUAUACACCGGACACGGUAUGACCACUUGUCUCCAAUUGUAUCUUGCUUUAUUCAUUCUGCUUCGCUGCGAAUUGGUCGAUUGAUCUUUGUUUUUGUUUUGUUGUCUGACAGGCCACCGCUGAGUUAUACUCGAUACCCAAUGGAGCGCAAACGCCGACUGAGGAGGAUGAAGGAAGUGGGGGCGAAAGCCCGGAGGAGUGGGAUUCGGAUGCUGACGACGAUGAUGAGGGUGAUGACUCAGGUGAGGAGGAAGAGGAGGAAGAGGAGGAGGAAGUUGUACCUCCUCGCUCGGAAAGACGCUCGAAGCUUGUCCAUGAUCUCGCGGUCGAGCGUGGUAAGGGGGUCACAACCGUCACGCAGUCGUCCAAGCGCCCUCAAACUACUUCUUCGGUGUCGACUGAGAAAGCUCCGAACCAAUCUCGAGUGGCGCCGUCGAAGUCGGCGAAGGUCUUGCCGAAGAUGAAGAUGGUGAUCCCCACUAUCUCAGGGUAAUGGUGUAGCUUGAGUUUGUCUGUUCCACAUGAGCUUAUUCUUGGUCGACUCAUGAGCUAAUCGACUGACUUCUGGAACCGCAGUGCUGCUACUUCUGAUACCUCGGGCAGAGCUGAAGAUCAGGAGAUGGAGGAUGUUGUUACUUCAAAACCUGGUAUGACUCUUGUAAUUCCGUCUUCAGUCGAUUGAUUUCUUGUCUCUGAUUUUGAUUCUUUUUCUGCAGCUUCAUCUAACGUUGUUAUCGACCUUCCCGACGACGAUGAGGAGGAACCACUGAGGCAGAGAAGGAACAAGAAAGCGUCUGCUGGCAAGGCGACUCAGGACGUGCCAGCACCCGAGACAUUGGCCGUGGAGGGAGACAAUGUCACUCGGCCCACCGUAACCUUUGCGGUGCCGUUGACGAGUGCUCGUCCUUCAUCGUCGAGUGCUGCUCAACCCUCGCUUUUCUCAACCUACCACGUCCCAGAAGACCAAGCUAGUGCUGCUAAAGAAGCAAUACGCCAAGCGGGGGUCAUGAUGGAGCAAGUGAAGGCAAUUCGAGAAGCCAGCCAGGCAGGCUAUGACGCCAGUUCAGCUCUUCAGAGUAAUGUUCAGUUCAGUCGGUCACUGCCUGUUCUGUUAGGAUAUGAUAUCUGAAAACUCUUCUUUCUGAAAUUCCUAGAGUUUGUCCUACACCCACUGGGUGUGUCGAUUGAAAUUCCGGGUUAGUGGGGGCACGCUGAGUGCACCCACUGGGUGUAGUCCCCAAGGCUAUGGUGGACUGCUGGCAGUCGACCAUAGUCUUUAUGUCUUAAGUUUUUUCCUCGGGGAUCAAACUAGGUCGAAUAGAUUCAUAGACCGGUGGGGGCACGCUGAGUGCACCCACUGGGUGUAGUCCCCGAGACUGUGGUCGACUGCUGGCAGUCGACUAUAGUCUGAAGAACACCUCCCGUUUUUUUGUUUUUUUUGUUGGUCGACUGGUCGACUCUAACUGAUGAAACUAGUGGGGGCACGCUGAGUGCACCCACUGGGUGUAGUCCCCGAGACUGUGGUCGAAUGUUUGUAUUCGGCCAUAGUCUUAGAAACGCUAUGAUUUUUCUUUAGUCACUCGGAAGUGAAUUGUCUUUGACAUCUGUCGAUUGGUUCUUCAUAGAAAUCCUGCGACCUUGCGGCUCGUUAUACUGAGUUGGAGAACAAACACAUCCAGCUCGAGCUUGAUCUGAAACUGACCCAAGAGAACCUAACGAAGGUGAAGGAGGAAGCUAAAGGUAUGUUUGGUGAGGCCUCCGACGACUGCCUUUGCCUCUCGUUUGUUUCAGAGUCUGAUCUCACUGUAACUUUGCAGAAAAAGUGAGGGAUGCCCUGAAGAAAAAAGACCUUGACUUGGCUGAGAUGCAGAAAGCGGCUUUAAAGAAGACCAAGCUCGCAGAUGAGAAGCUGGCUUCAGUCACCAAGCUUGAAGAAGAAAACACCAAUCUGAAAGCUGCUCUGGAUGCUUCCAACAAGGAGGUCAGUCGACUGAAAAGUGACAAGAUUGCCCUGAACGACAAGGCCAGUGAGUUGCUGGGAAAGAAGAACGAUCUGGAGGCUUAUCUGGGUGGACUCGCCAAGAAGCUAUUCCUCAUGCUUGAAGGUAAUCUUUUGUAUCAAACAGACAUUUUAACUGUGAUCUUCAACUGUUGUCUUGACUCGGUGGUUGUGCUUGCAGAAUUUUGCCAGAACUUUGAAGAGGAGACUGGUCGACUGGAAAUAAACCUGGAUCCCAUCAACUCUCCCGUGAAAGAUGAAGUCGCCAUGAAUGUGCUCCGGCUUGAAUCUCGCAUCGUUGCUGUCGUCGACUAUCUCGCAAGGCUGAAGGUCGCAACUUCUCGCAUCGAUGCAACACUCUGGCCAAGAGAGAUGCUCCAGAACGACCUCGAGUCUCUGGUGACUCGACUGAACGAGGUCCCAAGUCGAGUGCAGGAGUGGAAGAAGUCUUCUGCCAGGUGUGGCGCGGAUGUUGCUCUGUCUCUGGUUCGCGUUCACUGCAAGGAUGCACGAGAGGACAAGCUGGUGGCCCUUAGGGUGGCCAACACCAAGAAGCAUGAUUUCCGAUCUUUCAUGGAGACCUUCGUCGCCGCUGCCACUCGGAUUGCAGAUGGAAUCGACCUGGAUGAGUUUGUUGCACCUUCUAGCCCUCCACAGGAGGGGUAAAAAACUUCUGAGCUUGAUACUUUAAAUUUGCCUCGGUAUGUCGAGUGAGUUUUGUAACCGACAAACCUUAACAGGCUUAGCGCCUGAGCACUUUCUGUUCCGUUAGGUAUUAUCCGAACUUGGAUUCGACGUUGGAUAUGUUUGCAUUUGGUUUGAGGUGUCUUUUGCAGGCUAACGCGGAGUGCUCAUUGCAAUCGACUUGUUCCCCGAUAUACUUAGGCAAGCACUGGGCUGCAGCUAAGCCCCUGAGUGGGAGGUUUGCUCUCCACUCGGUGGGAUUUUCAAAAACUUAGGCGAGCACUGGGCUGCAGCUAAGCCCCCGAGUGGGAGGUUUGCUCUCCACUCGGUGGGAUUUUCAAAAACUUAGGCGAGCACUGGGCUGUAGCUAAGCCCCGAGUGGGAGGUUUGCUCUCCACUCGGUGGGAAUUUCAAAAACUUAGGCGAGCACUGGGCUGCAGCUAAGCCUCCGAGUGGGAGGUUUGCUCUCCACUCGGUAGGAUUUUCAAAAACUUAGGCGAGCACUGGGCUGCAGCUAAGCCUCCGAGUUGGAGGUUUGCUCUCCACUCGGUAGGAUUUUCAAAAACUUAGGCGAGCACUGGGCUGCAGCUAAGCCCCCGAGUGGGAGGUUUGCUCUUCACUCGGUAGGAUUUUCAAGGCGUACCUCUGGAGAAGGAAGUAGCAGUCGACCUGCACCUCGUCUUCCUUGCAGAGCGCACGUUGUAUUUGUGGCGUAGCUCGGAAGGAGAGAGUAGCAGUCGACCUGCACCUCGUCCUCCUUGCAAAGCGCAUGUUGUAUUUGUGGCAUAGCUCGGAAGGAGAGAGUAGCAGUCGACCUGCACCUCGUCCUCCUUGCAGAGUGCAUGUUGUAUUUGUGGCGUAGCUCGGAAGGAGAGGGUAGCAGUCGACAUGCACCUCGUCUCCCUUGCAGAGCUCACGUUGUAUUUGAACUUAGGCGAGCGUGAUGCUGCAGCUAAGCCUCCGAAUGGAAGGCUGGCUUACCACUCGGUAGGAUUUGGUUUAACUUAGGCGAGUACUUGGACUGCAGCUAAGCCUCCGAGUGGAAGGCUGGCUUACCACUCGGUAGGAUUUGGUUUAACUUAGGCGAGUACUUGGACUGCAGCUAAGCCUCCGAGUGGAAGGCUGGCUUACCACUCGGUAGGAUUUUGUUUAACUUAGGCGAGUGCUUGGACUGCAGCUAAGCCUCCGAGUGGAAGGCUGUCUUACCACUCGGUAGGAUUUUGUUUAACUUAGGCGAAAUGGAUUUCGUAGCUAAGCCUUCGAGUGGGAGGCUGGCUCAUCACUCGGUUAGGAUUUUUUUAUAGACUUAGGCGAAUCAGAUUCGCAGCCAAGCCACCCACUGGGGGAUUGCUUUAUGUGGACAAAAGUAAUAACAAUUACUGGGAAAAUUAUAAAGCUCUUGUCUUUGAUAAAUAAACUACAGAAGUACUUUUAUUACAACUCAUCCGAGUGAAUACUCAAGUGUAAAAGGGGCGGAGAAGCUCCGUGUUCCAAGCUCGGGGCUCGUCGAUCUGAUGCUUGACAUUGCAGAGACGGUAUGCUCCAUUGUGGAGAACCUUGGUGACGAUGAAGGGACCUUCCCAAGAAGGAGCAAGCUUGUGUGGUUUCUGCUGAUCCACUCGGAGAACCAAAUCUCCUUCCUGGAAGGCUCGACUCUUCACAUUUUUGGCGUGGAAGCGACGCAAGUCUUGUUGAUAAAUGGUCGAUCGGAUUAGGGACAUCUCCCUUUCUUCCUCUAAAAGUCGACUGCAUCCUGCCGUGCUUGUUCUGCUUCAGCCUCGGUGUAGAGCUCGACCCGAGGAGCAUUGUCGAGAAGGUCACUCGGCAAGACCGCUUCAGCUCCGUAGAACAAGAAGAACGGAGUUCUUCCAGUCGACCGGUUGGGCGUCGUCCUUAACCCCCAAAGUACCGAAGGAAGUUCGUCGACCCAUGCACUAGCCGCAUGCUUGAGGUCACGCAUCAAACGGGGUUUCAACACUUUGAGAAUCAGGCCGUUGGCUCGUUCUGCCUAUCCAUUCGACUGCGGAUGGGCGACUGAAGCAUAGUUGACUCGUGUGCCUUGAGACAUGCAGAAAGCUCUGAAUUCUUCGGAAUCGAAGUUUGACCCAUUGUCAGUGAUGAUGCUGUGCAGGACUCCAUAUCUGAAUAUUAAUUCUCUGAUAAAGCUGACAGCAGUACCGGCAUCGAGGUUCUCGAUGGGUUUGGCCUCGAUCCACUUGGUGAACUUGUCGACUGCUACCAGCACAUGGGUGAAACCGCUUCUGCCUGUUCUCAAAGGGCCGACCAUAUCCAACCCCCAUACUGCAAAGGGCCAAACGAGUGGUAUGGUUUUUAAAGCUGAGGCGGGCUUGUGUGACAUAUUGGAGUAAAAUUGACAUCCCUCGCACUUGUCGACUAUCUCCUUUGCCAUUUCAUUCGCUCUUGGCCAAUAAAAUCCGGCUCGGUAUGCUUUGGUCACAAUGGUCCGGGAAGACGCAUGAUGGCUACAGGUCCCCGAGUGGAUGUCAUCAAGGAUUAUUCGACCUUCGUCUGGCGUUAUGCAUUUCUGACCAACUCCAGUCGUGCUUUCUCUGUAUAGCUGCCCCCUUAUCACAGUAAAGGCUUUAGAUCGGCGGACGAUCUGUCGAGCCUCUUCUUCGUCCUCCGGGAGCUCUUUCCUCAAGAUAUACGCGAUAUACGGUACUGUCCAAUCGGGAGUGACCACCAAAGCUUCCAUGACCAGGUCGACCACCGCUGGAACUUCAACCUCAGUUGGAUCCGUAACACUCUUAGGUUGCGGGCUUCGUCGGUAAAAGGAUCUUCUAUGACUGAUGGAGUAUGGAUAUGCUCCAAGAACACAUCACUGGGGAUGGCUUCUCUCUUGGAUCCUAUCUUCGCCAAAUCAUCAGCCGCUUGAUUUUUCAGUCGGGGUAUAUGGUGGAGCUCUAACCCUUCGAAUUUCUUUUCGAGCUUCCUCACUGCAUUGUAGUAUCCAGUCAUGGCUGGGCUUCUAACGUCCCACUCCUUCAUCACCUGAUUGACCACCAAAUCUGAGUCGCCAUAAACCAUAAGGCGACGAACGCCGAGUGAAAUGGCCAUGCGCAACCCAUACAAAAGUGCUUCAUAUUCUGCUUCAUUGUUGGAGGAAUCAAAGUGGAUCUGGAGCACAUAUCUUAGCUUAUCUCCUCGGGGGGAAACCAAAACUACCCCAGCACCAGAACCAUUUAACAUCUUAGAGCCAUCAAAGAACAUGGUCCAAUGCUCCGAGUGAACUUGAGUCGGCUGCUGUUGUUUGAUCCACUCGGCAAGGAAAUCUGCUAUAGCCUGGGACUUAAUGGAUUUCUUUGCCUCAAAUUUGAUAUCAAGGGGAAGGAGUUCAAUUGCCCAUUUAGCCACUUGACCAGUUGCGUCUCUGUUGUGCAGAAUCUCUGACAAUGGUGCGUCGCUGACGACCGUAAUGUCAUGAUCAGAGAAAUAAUGAGCAACCUUCUUCAUGGUCAUGUAGAUCCCAUAUAUGAGCUUCUGAUAAUGAGGAUAUCUUUGCUUCGAUGGAGUCAAAACUUCAGAGAGAUAAUACACUGGGCGCUGAACUUUGAAGGUUUUACCUUCCUCUUCCCGCUCGACCGUAAGUACUGAACCGACGACCUGUCCUGUGGCUGCAAUGUAAAGCAACAGAGGCUCUUUGCUGAUUGGAGCAGCAAGCACUGGCUGGGUGGAGAGCAGAGCUUUUAGCUCGGCAAACGCUGCAUCAGCUUCUGGAGUCCACUCGAACUUGUCUGCCUUCUUCAUCAGUCAGUAAAGAGGCAACGCCUUUUCACCGAGGCGAGAGAUGAAUCGACAUAACGCGCCCAAGCAUCCAGUAAGCUUCUGGACAUCGUGCACACGCACAGGGCGUUUCAUUCGGAGUAUGGUGCCAACUUUUUCUGGGUUAGCAUCGAUUCCUCGUUCUGAAAAGAGAAAACCGAGUAACUUUUCGCCAGGUACUCCAAAUGUGCACUUUGAUGGAUUGAGCUUGAUAUCAUAUCUCCUGAGAUUGGCAAAUGUUUCGGCUAGGUCAGUCAACAGGUCGGAACCCUUUCGUGACUUAACCACGAUAUCAUCCAUGUACGCUUCCACAUUCCGACUGAUUUGAGUGAGUAAACACUUUUGAAUCCUUCUCAUGAACGUGGCUCCGGCAUUCUUGAGACCGAAUGGCAUGGUGAUAUAGCAGAAGCACGCGAAUGGAGUGAUGAAAGCUAUUUUGAUUUCGUCAGGUCCAUACAGACGGAUCUGAUGAUACCCGGAAUAGGCGUCUAAAAAAGACAAUCUCUCGCAUCCCGCAGUCGAGUCGACAAUUUGGUCGAUGCGAGGGAGAGGAAAAUGAUCUUUUGGGCAGGCCCGAUUGAUAUGUUUGAAAUCAAUGCACAUGCGGAGUGAGUUGUCCUUCUUGGGGACCAUGACGACAUUGGUGAGCCACUCGGAGUGGUAUAUCUCUCGGAUAAACUCUGCUGCAAGGAGUCGAGCCACCUCCUCGCCAAUGGCUUUUUUCUUCUGAACGGUGGACUGUCGAAGAUGUUCUUUAACAGGUUUUGCUUUUGAGUCGACUCUAAGGCCAUGCUCAGCCAGCCCCCUGGGAACACCCGGCAUGUCAGCAGGCUUCCAUGCAAAGAUGUCCCAGUUCUCACGGAGGAACUGAAUGAGCGCUUCUUCCUAUUUAGAGUCGAGUGUUGUGGAAAUAUGGGUCGGAGCUGCAUUGGGGUCAGUCGGGUGGAUAUGAACUGGCUUCGUCUCUCCUGAUGACUGGAACGCUGACUCUGUGGCGGGCUUCUUGGCCCGCAGCAAAUCACUCGGAUCUGCAUUUUUCUUGUAUUCUUCUAGCUCUACCACUGUUAUCUGGGCAUCCGCAAUCUUCGAGCCUUUCUGGAAACACUCUUAUGCUUUCUUCCGGCUGCCAGUGAUAGUGAUCACGCCUUUGGGGCCGGGCAUAUUUAAUUUGAGGUACACAUAACAUGGUCGAGCCAUGAAGCGGGCAUAGGCUGGUCUUGCCAAAAUAGUGUGGUAAGCGCUCUGGAAAUCCACGACUUCAAAUGUCAGCUUCUCUUUGCGGAAAUGCUUCGAGUCGCCGAACACUACCUCCAGAGCUAUUUGACUGAGUGCUCAGCCUUCUUUCCAGGAAUGACUCCGUGAAAACUCAUGUUGCUGGAGCUGAGCCUGGACAUCGGAAUGCCCAUUCCCUUGAGCGUCUCUGCAUACAGUAUAUUCAACCCACUGCCGCCAUCCAUCAAUACCUUCGUCAGUCGAGUGCCUUCGACGACUGGGUCGACCACCAGCGCUUGCCUCCCAGGGGUGGAAAUGUGAGUGGGGUGAUCGGAUUGGUCGAACGUAAUGGGAGUUUGCGACCAUUUCAGAUAGCUUGGUGUCGCCGGGGCGACCAUAUUUACCUCUCGGUUGAUCACUUUCAGUCGACUUUUGCUCUCUACAUCAGCAAAAAUCAUCAGGGUGGAAUUGACAUGAGGGUACCCUCCAUCACUGUCCUCCUUGUCCUCGGCCUUGUCCGACUCCUUCUCUUUGUCCUUGGGUUGUUUUCCUUGAAACUGCUGGAUUAAGAGUCGGCACUGGCGAGUGGUGUGUUUCGUGUAAAUGAAGUUACCCUCUUCGUCUUUCUUCGUGUGGAUGUGACAUGGUAGAUCCAUCACGUCAUUUCCUUCUUUAUCCUUUACCUUCUUGGGGUUCCAAGAUCCUUUGGGCUUCCCUUUGAAUUUGCCCUGAGUCACGGCCAGAGCCUCUCCAGGAGCAGCUGGCUCGGCCUUCCGCUUCUGCUUCCGAAUGGAGUUUCCUUUUUCCGAUUGACUCGGCUUAUAUUUGCCACUCCGGAGCCUGUCCUCUUCUUCACCGUUAGCGUAUUUGGUGGCAAUCUCCAUCAUUCGACUCAGGGUCAUAUCUCCGGUUCGACCAAACUUCAGGCUCAACUCUUUGUUCUUGACACCAUCCUUGAAGGCGCACACCGCUUGAUGGUCCGACACAUUCUCCACGGUAUGAUGCAAAGUGAUCCAUCUCUGGAUGUAAUCUCUCAAUGUUUCAAUCGACUUUUGUACGCGGACUUGCAGCUCCGUCAAUCCGGCCGGUCGCUUGCAAGUUCCCUCGAACGUCCUGACGAACACUCGGGAAAGAUCUUCCCAGGUGUAAAUGCUGCUAGGAGCUAACUGAUUCAACCACGCCCUGGCCGAACCCUCUAGCAUGAGUGCCAAAUGCUUCAUGGCCACCUCAUCAUUACCACCACCAAUAUGUACAGCCACUCGGUAGUAUUCAAGCCAAGUUUCAGGCUUGGACUCUCCGAUGAACUUACUUACCCCAGUCGCCAACCUGAAGUUGGGGGGUAUCACUGCGGCUCUGAUGGCUCUGCUAAGGCAUUCUGGACCUGAAACAUGGACUCGGCUGCUGGUGGGCACAUCUCUGUCAUGGCCACCUCUAUGAGCUCUGUUCCGAUCGACCAGAUCCUGCACGAUGAUGGAUGUCGCGUCAAAGCCUGGUUCUCUGGGGUUGACCAGAGCUCUCUGCCCAACACUAAGCUGGCGCCUGUCAUCUUGCUGCCAAUGGGCGUUAGACCCACUUCUCGGGGGAGGAGUGGGCACUCGACGUCUAUCAUCACGAUCAAAUCGGUCAUCAUAGUGGUCCCGCCGGCCUUCACGUCCCACGUGCCUCGGAGGUGACCUUGGGCUGUGAGCCGACUGAACAGUAUUCGCAGCGACGGAUCGAUUGUGAAUCAUGUUGCGCGACUGUGACACAACUGAAUUCUGAUCUCCUGCCGCCCGGAGCAAAUCCCUGAUCUGCAUCAAGCCUCUUCCAGCCUCCGACUGGGAGGGAUGAAUUGACUCCGCUAUACGGGCUACAGCUGCCAAAUUCUGAAUCGGGGUUCGAUAUACCUGAGUCGGUUGCGGAAAGAGCUGACGUCGGCUGGAGUCAGGUACUCGUUGACGCGCACGCUCGUCGAGUGCUCGCUGGAGGUUCUCCAGUUGAGUUCAUUCAGCCAAGUUGGCCAAACGCGCCUCUUCCAAAGCAUGAGCCUCAGGAGUUUCUCCUGCGAUGGGAGUAUGCAGGGUAUCCAUGUUCCGGCGGCGAAGAUCUUCUCUUUGCUGAGAAGUGAGUGGCUCGGGCUGAUAUUCUUCGUGGGCCCGAGCGGGAUCACCUCCAUCGUCCAUCCCGUCGGCGCGGGGGAAACCGGGAGGGCUACGAGGCCCGUUGACCAUCAGGACCUCCGCCGCUGGAUCACUGCUAUCGCACUCGGAUGCAGUCUCUACGGAGCCAGUCGACAGAUCAAACAGGCUAUAGAGAGAUUCGUCGGGCUCAAUUGUCGUGACUUGGGUGGUGGCCGAUUGGCGAGCCACUGCAUGUCUCACCCACCGCUGAAGCCUCGACCGACCAGAGCGCUUGCGCUGGCGGGAGACAGGGAGGGAGGAUGACACAGGACUCGACUGGUAUGGGGUCGACGGCUGCCGCAGCAGGACGCCGCGGACACACGCCCGAGAGUGUGUCGCCCCGCGGACGGGGAGCGCGUCGAUGUCGAGUGGUGCCUCCUGGAGCCAAGCGGAGUCGUCGGCGAUGAAAGCGAGCGCACCGAGACGGAUCUCGCGGCCCUCGACCAGAGCUCCGCCAGAAACCAUGAUGAAGGCAAUCAGACAAAUUGCAACUUCUCCAAAAAGUCGCUAAGACACCUGCCCCACGGUGGGCGCCAACUGUCGUGGUUCUAAGUCUGACAGUAGAAUGGGGGGUAGGAAUGGAGAGGCAAGAUCCUAGCUAUGGAGUAGUUGUACACACGAGUGUUUUACAAGUUCAGGCCCUUCUCAGAGGAAGUAAUAGCCCUACGUCUCAGAGCCCAGAGGCGGUCGACUAGUUUUUUGUGUAUAUGAGUUACAGGGGUGCGAACCCUUUACACUGAGGAGGGGGUUGGCUUAUAUAGAGUUCGCCAGACCCCUCCGGCCCUCAGUUAUGUAGGGUUUAAAGUACAUUAAGACAGGGGGUUAUUGGUAAUGCCCUCAUAAAGUGCCAUGAAGAUUAUUAAAGCUACUUAAUGACAGACCGUUGCAUGCUGAGUGACUUUAGGUCUCCUGGUCGUCGAGUGGUUAGCUUCAUGGUCGAGUGGCUAUCUUCAUCAUCGAGUGUCCUUGAGUUUGUCGAGUGAAGUCCCUCUUGGUCGACUGGAAGGUAGCUUCUUCUAAGGAUGUCCUUGGGUAGGGUAUCCUAGAUAGGUCCAUGACCCUACCCUAGGUACAUGUCUUCAUCAAUAAGUAUAUGAGUUCUUUUGACUAAUGUUGAGUCCAUGGAUUACACGCACUCUCACCCUUCCAUCAUUACUAGCCUCUUCGGUACCGUGCAUUGCCCUUUCUCACCUUGAGAGUUGGUGCAAACUUCGUCGGUGCAUCCAAACCCCGUGAUACGAUAUGCUCUAUCACACAUAAACCUCCUUAUAUCUUCCUCAAAACAGCCACCAUACCUACCUAUUAUGGCAUUUCCGUAGCCAUUCCGAGAUAUACUUCCAUGCAACUUUCCACCAUUCCGUUCAUCAUGACACGCAUCAUCAUUGUCAUAUUGCCUUGCAUGAUCAUGUAGUUGACAUCAUAUUUGUGGCAAAGCCACCAUGCAUAAUUUUUCAUACAUGUCACUCUUGAUUCAUUGCCCAUCCCGGUACACCGCCGGAGGCAUUCAUAUAGAGUCAUAUCUUGUUCUAGUAUUGAGUUGUAAAUAAAUAGAAGUGUGAUGAUCAUCAUUAUUAGAGCACUGUCCCCAAAAAAAGAAAGGCAAAAAAAAGAAAGGACAAAUUAAAAAAAAGCCCCCCCCAAAAAGGGGGCAAUGUUACUAUCCUUUUCCACACUUGUGCUUCAAACUAGCACCAUGUUCUUCAUAUAGAAGGUCUUUCAUGUUGUCACUUUCAUAUACUAGUGGGAAUUUUUCAUUAUAGAACUUGGCUUGUAUAUUCCUACGAUGGGCUUCCUCAAAAUGCACUAGGUCUUCGUGAGCAAGCAAGUUGGAUGCACACCCACUAGUUUCUUUUGUUGAGCUUUCAUAUAUUUAUAGCUCUAAUGCAUCCGUUGCAUGGCAAUCCCUACUCGUCAUGUUGACAUCAAUUGAUGGGCAUCUCCAUAGCCCGUUGAUUAUCCUCGUCAGUGUGAGACUUUCUUUUUUUUUGUCUUCUCCACACAACCUCCAUCAUCAUAUUCUAUUCCACCCAUAGUGUUAUAUCCAUGGCUCACGCUCAUGUAUUGCGUGAAAGUUGAAAUUUUUUUGAGAUUAUUUAAGUACGAAACAAUUGCUUGGCUUGUCAUCGGGGGUGUGCAAGAUGGGAGCAUUUUUGUGUGAUGAAAAUGAAGCAUGACCAAACUAUAUGAUUUUGUAGGGAUGAACUUUCUUUAGCCAUGUUAUUUUGAGAAGACAUGAUUGCUUUGAUUAGUAUGCUUGAAGUAUUACUAUUUCUUAUGUCAAUAUGAACUUUUAUUUUGAAUCAUUUGGAUCUGAACAUUCAUGCCACAAUAAAGAAAAUUACAUUGAGAAUUAUGCUAGGUAGCAUUCCACAUCAAAAAAUCUGUUUUUGUCAUUUACCUACUCGAGGACGAGCAAGAAUUAAGCUUGGGGAUGUUUGAUACAUCUCCAACGUAUCUAUAAUUUUUGAUUGUUCCAUGCUAUUAUAUUACCCAUAUUGGAUGUUUAUGGGCUUUACUUUACACUUCUAUAUCAUUUUUGGGACGACCCUACUAACCGGAGGCCCAGCCCGAAUUGCUGUUUUUUUGCCUAUUUCAGUGUUUCGAAGAAAAGGAAUAUCAAACGGAGUCCAAACGGAAUGAAACCUUCAGGAGCGAUCUUUUUGGAACAAACGUGAUCCAGAGGACUUAUAGUGGAAGUCAAGAAACAAAGGAGGAGGCCACGAGGGUGCCCGGCAUGCCCCCUACAGGUGGGUGCGCCCCCCACCCUCGUGGGCCCCUCGAGCGUCCACCGACCUACUUCUUCCUCCUAUAUAUACCCAUGUACCCCGAAAACAUCAGAAGCGACCACGAAAAACUAUUUCCACCACCGUAACCUUCUGUAUCCGCGAGAUCCCAUCUUGGAGCCGUCGGCGGCGCUCCGCCGGAGGGGGAAUCCACCAUGGAGGGCCUCUACAUCAUCUCCGAGGCAUGUCCUAUGAGUUGUGAGUAGUUUACCAUAGACCUUCGGGUCCAUAGUUAUUAGCUAGAUGGCUUCUUCUCUCUCUUUGAAUCUCAAUACAAAGUUCUCAUUGAUCUUCUUGGAGAUCUAUUCGAUGUAACUCUUUUUGUGGUGUGUUUGUUGAGAUCCGAUGAAUUGUGGGUUUAUGAUCAAGUUUAUCUAUGAGAAAUAUUUGAAAAUCUCCUCUGAAUUCUUUUAUGUGUGAUUAAGUUAUCUUUGCAAGUCUCUUCGAAUUAUCAGUUUGGUUUGGCCUACUAGAUUGAUCUUUCUUGCAAUGGGAGAAGUGCUUAGCUUUGGGUUCAAUCUUGCGGUGUCCUUUCCCAGUGACAGAAGGGGCAGCAAGGCACGUAUUGUAUUGUUGCCAUCGAGGAUAAAAAGAUUGGGUUUAUAUCAUAUUACAUGAGUUUAUCCCUCUACAUCAUGUCAUCUUUCUUAAUGCAUUACUCUAUUCUUUAUGAACUUACUCCAGAUGCAUGCUGGAUAGCGGUCGAUGUGUGGAGUAAUAGUAGUAGAUGCAGGCAGGAGUCGGUCUACUUGUCAUGGACGUGAUGCCUAUAUACAUGAUCAUGCCUAGAUAAUCUCAUAAUUAUUCGCUUUUCUAUCAAUUGCUCGACAGUAAUUUGUUCACCCACCAUAAUAAUUAUGCUAUCUUGAGAGAAGCCACUAUUGAAACCUAUGGCCCCCAGGUCUAUCUCUUAUCAUAUAAGCUUUCAAUCUACUUUUAUUUGCAUCUUUACUUUUCCAAUCUAUAUUAUAAAAUACCAAAAAUAUAUUUAUCUUAUCAUAUUAUCUCUAUCAGAUCUCACUUUCGCAAGUGGUUGUGAAGGGAUUGACAACCCCUUUAUUGCGUUGGUUGCGAGUUCUUGUUUGUUUGUGUAGGUGCGUGGGACUUUUGAGAAGCCUCCUACUGGAUUGAUACCUUGGUUCUCAAAAACUGAGGGAAAUACUUACGUUACUAUUGCUGCAUCACCCUUUCCUCUUCAAGGAAAACCAACGCAAGCUAAAGACGUAGCAGUGUGUUGAGGAACUCAGCGUCCCUUGGGUGGUCCUAAGAAUGAAAUACAAGUGUCGUUAGUUGCGAUUAGGAGUAGGCAAUGGUGGACAGUAUGAAAAGGAAGAGGGUUGUGAGCUAACCGCAACAUGGCCGGCAUAGUGCUCUACCUCCAGAACUAUGGAGCAAGUGUUCUCAUCACAUGAGGCGCCGCUAAGGUCUCUUAGCUUGGACACUUGGAUCCAUCAACCUCUCCAUUUCCUCAGGUGGUUGUACACCUGGGUGGCAGACACCUUUUGCCCACAGAACUCGAACACCUGCGUCGCAACGUUGUUCAAGUGCACCUUCUUGAAGCCCUUGUCAGUCCUAACUCCACUAGAGAUGAGCUCACACAUCUUAUUCAGCACAAAUGUGGACAUGAACGGCUGCCACUUCAUGUUGUUCGACCUACCAUCCUUCUUUGCCUUUGCUGCUGCUACCUUGAGUGCAACGGCAGCAACAGCAGUAGCAGGAGUUAGCUCAACGAGCACUACUGGCACAUAGAGGGAAUCAGACGCGAACACCUCUGAAUCAUGUGCCAUCUCGGACAUAGUCUACGAGUCCUCGACAAACGAUGGAGCAAACUGGCUGUCAGACAGGACAAGGGCCUGACUAAGAUCUUGCGUCUACGUGGUCAUGUCCUACAAUCGUAGCAUGCAUUGACAGUAAGCAUAGCACACAACAUACCGGAGAAUCCAUGAAAGCAGCAGCAUACAUGUACAUGGUUCAUGGCUAUCAUACUAAGCAUACCCGACAACCUAUGAGCACGAACAUACAUCUACAACAAACAGCAUGCUACAAAUGGACCACCAAUAGGUACAAAUCAUAGAUCUAAGCACGAAUCAACACAAGCACAAGGUUCAACUUCGAACUCUACUACUAAUCUAGCCUACCACAUGCUUGAACAUCUAGCCCUACCAUAAAUUGCAACCGCAGCAUAGCAAUCAACCAUAUCAGCUCACAGAUUAUACCACUAAUCAACCAUGCAUCUAGAUCAAAUCCUAGCUGCAGUUCAGAUCUAGCUAGAAGGAACAAAGAGAAAGGGGGAUUGAACUCACAGAGGCCAUGGCUGCAGCUCGAGGACGAGGGGGGACGGUCGUGGAAGAUCAACGCCGGUCGGUGAAGGAGUGCCGACGCCGUGGACCGUCGGCCGAUGAAGAUCCGCCGCUUACCUGCUCGUCGGUGCCGAUGCAUGUCGGAGGGAAAGCUCGAACGAAGGGAGAAUGGUGGCGGGAGUUGGGGUGGUGAGGAAGGGGGCUAAAUAGGGGUGGACUCGGCGGGAGGUGAGCCGAAAUCCUCCCGCCGAUUUUUCGGUGACGCGGGUGAGCUCACGCCAUCUCCCUGCUUGCACGAGGGAAAAAGCGCGUCGCCCUCCCCUGCCUCGCCCGAGCCAGGCUCGCGAGCUACUGUCGAUUCGGGCGUUUCCCCUAGGCCUGGCCUGGACGUGCUUUAAGUUCCGUGCGAUGUGGGCCGCACAGUGAAUGCAGGUUACCAAACGGACUCAAUCUUUCCUGCACGGGCCAGGCUGGGCCAUAUGCAGGCAACCAAACACGCCCAAUGUGGUCUCGCCAGCCCAUCCGUGGUAUACCAUCUCCAACGUCAUCAUGUAGUUUUGUGGUGCCGUUGCACGAGUGGAGACAAUGUGGCCAUCCAGCUCGUCAACCAUGAUGAUGGUAAGUUUUGCUUCUUGUUGCUCUAUAUGUUUGUAAAUUCAUUCAUUCACUCAAUGUUUUAACUUGAUAAUAAUCAUGUUGUGUAGCUCGGACGUGUUGCCGUAUUGUACUAUAGGACAGAGAGCAAACCAUUUACAUUCAUACAUGUUGGAUGAAGCUCAAGGACAAGGGUGCGUGAAAUGAAGUGUGCCGAUUCUGGCUCAAGUAUCAUUGAAUUUGGAAUCGAUGAAGGGUGGGCUCGAUUGAAACCAUACGAGAUGGCUCAUGAUUUCAUAUUUAACAUUUUUUAUGAUAAAAAGGGCGUCGGUCUGAUUUUCAAUAGCAAUAACCAUAAAGUUCUUAUAAAACUACUGAAAAUGAAAAUCAAAACUUAUGACAAGGCACCUACAAUAUCAGACUAUAAAAGACCUCACCAGAUCUAAGGAGCUCUAGACCAUCGACAAGAGGUAGUCCAGGAAGAUAACAACAAACGUUGGAGACGUUGUUGUCUAAUACUCCCUUCGUCACAUUUAAAUGUUGCUCAAACAGAUGUAUAGCAUCUACCCUCUCAACAGCAGCAGAAAACAAAAGGGUAUGAAUAUAGUUUUUCCAAAUCAACAUACACACAAAAGUGAUAACAUUAUCAGCAAGCUUCUCUCCACCGGUCUCCCACCUAGAAUGUUCCUUGAUCUCCCAUCAAUCUUCAAUCGAUCCAGAGAAUGCCAAAACGCAAACCUUGUACCGCUCUAAACUCAUUGUUUGUUGUUUGUUGGUGCACUUUACCACCCACCUAAUCUUUCUGAUCUUUCUGUUUUUUCUGCAAAAUGUUCCAAUCACUCAGCCAUCUAUCUAUUAUAUUAAGGGCAUGUACAAUAGGGGCAGUUGGUAGGUGCUUCCCGGCGCAUUCACAUAGACAAAAAAGUAUGAGGCAUUCAGUUGAAUAAUUUCUUUCGCAAUGCAGUGCGUUGAGACCAUCAACUUUGGGACCCACGUAGUGAGCUGAAGCUUGGCAAGAGGUAACAUGCAUAGGAAUGCGCGCUCACCGUCGCCAGCAUGCCCCUCUUUCUCUCAUCACUUUUGGUCGUUGGACCACAACCUCUCUCCCCAAAUACCCACCUCUUGCAGAAGAAUCAUCUGUCUUUGUGAGGCAACCACUUUUGUUUCACGCUUGGCAUCCGAGCCUAGCUGACAUGCGGGGUAGCACCCUUGGGGCAUACUGUUGACCAUGCCCUAAUAGAGACACAAAGGUUAGUAACUUUAACAUUGUCAAAAAUGAUGCCCUCCUAUUCAAAUUAAUUGACGCGGUUUCAGUACGACUUUACUAGUAUAAAAUACUAAAGCUACAUCAAUUAAUUCAGAUCAAAGGGAGUACUCUACUGUUUCUUAAUUUCCAGAUGGUCUAGAAGACCACGGCAACAGGUGUGAAUACCGGAUGUUUCUCACCAGAUUUGAAUUUGGAGGAAGGACUAGGUGCAGAUUUUUUUCGAGUUUCAAGCUAGGAACACUGUGGCAGGAACGUGUCAAAGUCAACGCAAAGACUCUGCCCACACUGCUCAGCUUAGAUGCUGAUUGAUAACGUGUUCAAAAAAAAAAUGAUGCUGAUUGAUGAUAGCUGUGUUUUCUACCAGUUAUUAGUGAUGGCAGUCGACGUGCUGGUCUUUGCUUACCCAAGAAAAACUCAAUGUCGCCUCGCUCUUGCUAUCAACUUUUUUUUCUUUCUUUCUAUAUCAACUAAAAUUGCUUGUGAUUUACUCCGUAUAUUGUAAUGGCAUCCGUCUGAUCGCCUGUGUGUGAGAUGGUAUUCUGGUCUCUUGUCCGGCGCCCAUUUUCAUCACGCAUUGCGACAGAAUUUUCUUGGUAACUGGCGUGACAAUACAAUAUUUCCUUUGGAAGCAACGGAAAGUAAAUAAUUUGCAUUCACCAUUUCCAACUGCAAGCGCCCAAUGCUGCAGCAUCCUCUGCACUCCGCAAGAGCACGAAUCCUAACAAGCAGCCGUCGAAAAAGGAGACACGCUAAGCUAAAGACGUCAUCCGCGGCGGCAUCGGCGGGCACUCCGACCGCGGCAGCCCCGGCAGCGGCGGCGGCCCGAGCCCUCCGCGGCAGAGCGGGCACGUCCGGCGCUUCCGGAGCCAGCGGUCGACGUCGCAGCUCGCGUGGUAGAAGUGCCCGCAGGCCGGCACCACCCGCACCAGCUCGCCGGCCUCGCCCUCGCCGUACUCCGACAGGCAAAUGGCGCACCGCUCCUCCUCUCCCUCCCCCUUCUCCUUCUCCUUCUUCCUGGCGGCCGCCUGCUCGUACGUCAUGAGCGUGUCGUCGCCGAGGGCGGCCUCGACGUCGGCGUCGUGCACCGCGGCGCUCCCGGUGGCGCCGGCCGCGUCGUCGCAGGCUCCACCGGUGGCCAUGACGGCCACGGCGACGAUGAUGACCGCCAUCACGACCACCGCGGCGAUCUGGAGGUGGAGCACGAGUUCCGGGUCCAUGCUCAGUGCUCCUUGGCCAAUGCCAAUGCCAAUGCCAGCGAACUACCGCUCCAGUCCAGCCUCCAGCCUUUGUAUAGGAGCUCUCCGGUCCAGAGCCUUCUCGGCCAAGUCAGGACGUAGUGUGAAAGAAAGGCGGAGGUUGAGCUUUCCCAGAAUGUUUCAGCUGAUUUCCGCCUUUCUUCUUCCACUGGACAAUUCCCUUGUGGCUGUCUUGUUUCACUUCACUACUCCGGUUUUGGACUUAAUUCAAUUGUCUUCUUCUCUUCUCUCUCUUUUUAUCCCUUUUGAAAAUGAAUCAAUAUGUGAUUACGCGUAACUUGUAUCCCUUUGCCACCCUUAAUAUAAAAUGAAAACGACGUCGCUUUCUUCCAUUUACAACAGCCUCACUGGUUAUGAAAACUAAAGCUGUUUGCUCACCAAUUGACUUCUGUAUUUUCUUAAAAUCCAAUCCUGUUUUUUAUUCCUUUUUUUUUUUGCGGGAGAUCAUGUUUCUAAUUCUUCUUUCAACUAAAAGAAGUUAUCCACAUCAUGUUUUUUCUUCUGCGGUGCGCAUUAGGUUACCUACAAAGAAUUUGUCAAAAAAAAAGGUUACAAACAAAGAAUUGCUCUAAAAUUAAUCAGAUAGAUCAUACUAGAAAUUUAUCCAAUUGAUUAAUCCUAAUGGAGUAUCGAAAAGACAGGAAGGGCUAUAGUAAGAUUAUUAUCCCUGGUAUUCGUCAUAAUUUUUACCAUAUGAUUAGUUGAUGCGCUCGCUCGCGUGCCGACCACAUAGAAAAACAGAAGCACUAAGAUUGCAGUAACGCGCUUUGUUUAAAUAUAUAAAUCGUAUGUAUUUAUACUGCACUUGCUCGGACAGUAACGUUUUAGAUUCUACACCGCUGUGAAAAUUCGCGGCAGCUGACACUGGCAAAAUCGUGGAACCAUCCAAUUGUGUCGUAGGCCGGCCCCGCUCCAGGAAAACCUUCACGCUCGCUUCUAGAACAUCUAGUUCUUGUGUUGCUUUCCUUGUGAGCUCUUUGACUCGGGUGACAUCUCUCGGUGUCCUCAGUCGUUCCUUCCUCUUCCGACUGGAAAGAACCCAUGCGACCUGCGUCCGCCCGCGUCUUGGACGGCUCUCAGGCUCUCGGAUAGCUAGAACACGUCAAAGUCAACUGAUGAACCCACUGGUCUGGUACGGUGGUACCCUCCCCUGUAAGCGUUGGUAGACUGAUGGCGAUGUUAUGAACAUUUUGAUAAUCAACUUGACGGUUUUGCUGACUGUUUACAAAACGCGUAGAGAGACGAGUGGGAGGAGCAGCCAAGCCCCGAGGCCGAAGACGGCGGGGACGCCGGCGACGGUGAGGCCUCGGACAGGAGUGACCCGGAACUUACAAUGACACGGCGGCGGGCGACACAGGUGGAGGCCUGGAGGGAAGUCGAGGUUGGCGGGUUCGGGUGGAGGGUGCGGACUCGCCGGAGAAGAAGAUGAGCAUGUCAGACGUGAGCAGGAGGAAGGGAUGGCGGCCGUUAGAUUUCAGUAAUUCAACCGACCGAUGUAAAUAGCUUUUCCAGGCAAGUGUGGCAUGGGUGCUUCUCACCCAAUUCGCCAUCGGCUGUUGUUUCUCAUUUGCCUACCUGUGUUAAACGUAUCAGAAAUAUGAAAGGCCAUCACUUGGACACGUCAUCACCUAAUCCCUAUUAGUUAAGCCGUUGGCGUGAUGCACCGUAACGAAUGAAAUUCGCACCGGAACCAGUAAAAUUCUUGGAGCAAAGAGAGAACGUCCCAUUUCACCAGUAGCAAGCUGACGUAAAUGAAGGUGGAGUACAAUGCAUCUGUCUCUACUAAGACUACUACGAAGCUCGAAGCAGCUGGAGCUGAUCGGCGAAAAAAAUGAUCGACUAUGCUACUACUACGACGACGGCGGCGGCGGCGGCGCGGGUCGGCGGGCGCGGCCAGAGCGCGCCCCGGCAGAGCGGGCAGGUCCGGCGCGCCCGGAUCCACCGGUCGGCGUCGCACGCGGCGUGGAAGAAGUGCCCGCACGCCGGCACCACGCGCACCACCUCCUCGGGCGCCUUGGCGUACUCCGACUGGCAGAACGCGCAGCAGCGCUGCCGCGCCCUCGCCGCCUCGCCCACCUGCGCGUACGCCACCAGCGUCGCGUCGCCCAGCGCGCGCUCCACGUCCUCGGCCGCCGCCGCGGCGCCGGCGUCGUCCCUGCAGGCGCCCGAGGCGGCGGCGGCGAGGGCGACGAUGAGCACCGCCAGGGCGACCACCGCCGCCACCUCGAGAUCGAACGCCAUGGCGGGGCUCAUCUCUUCCGUCUUCCUUCCUUCCUGGCCUGAUCGAUGGAACGAACGGCAGUGCGCGACACCAACCUUGUAUGCGCAGUGCGUGUGCUCUUCCGAGCUUCCCUUCUUCCUUGGCCUGACCUCUUUUUGUAGUAUCUUCCGUGUUUCAGCUAACCAGAUUAACGAACGGGCCUUCUUUUCUCGGUGGCCUUCUUUUCCGUGUCUCCCCUCCCCUCUCACUCGGCUCGCGGUCUGCUUUCUGUACGAGCUGGCGGUUACCACGAAUAAAAGUUUUUUUUUCACGGAAAAUUACCAAUCUAUUCAUUUUUAAUCAUGACAGUACAACGAACACCAGUAAUAAUAAAAGCUACAUCCAGACCCGUAGACCGCCUAAUGACAAACUUGGUUAUGUUAGAAUCUUCAGAUUUGUGCGAGUGUUGUUUUCCUUUUUCUUUUUCACGUAUGGUUGGUAUCGAGACACUAUUUUAAAGGAAAUAAAGAUUAAAAGUUCAUGCCUACAAACGUUGGCAUCAAAAUCUAAUGUCCCACUCCAAUCAAAAGAGAAAGAUCUAAUGUACUACUUUAGAGUUUGAAUCAUUAGAUUUUUUCUGUCUAGUGAUUUGAUCGAGACACAGUAAAAUCGCAGCCACUGCGAUUUAAGGUCUAAGCCAUGACCUAAGGCCAACCAGCAUGACACAACUGCAAAAAACAACACAAUAAAAGGGGGUUUAAGAUCAACAUGCAAAUGCCAGCACGGGCACAUAAUCCUGAUAACUUUUGUCAAUGUUUGUCACUGAAAAUUUCUAGAAUUUUCUUAAUUUGUUUUCAAUAUUUUUUUCGAUUUUAUGGCUCACCCGAGAUCAUUUGAGCUCGAGACUAGAAGAGUACUUCGUCGAUUUCCUUUCUUCUUCCGGUGGACAAUUCCCUUGCGGUUGUCUUGUUGCUACUCCGGUUUUGCACUUAAUUGUCUUCAUCUUUUUCUUCUCUCUUUGCUUUGCUCUACGGUAGAGUUGGACUUAAUCAGGAUGUGAUUACCAUGUAACUUGUAUCCCUUUGCCUCUCUAAAUAAAAUAAAAUGGAAAAUGUCUUCCAUUUACAACAGCCUCACUGGCUAUGACAACUACACUGUUUGUUCAUCGGUCGAUUUUUUGUAAAAAACGAUAUUUUCUUAUUCUCUCGAUAGAAAAAUGGCUAUCCACAUUAUUUUCGGGGAAAACCUUCUCGCUUCUAAAACAUUAGUUCGGAGUCGUUCCUCUUCCCACUGGAAGGAGAGCGUAGCCUAAGUUAAGUUAGAACACGUCAAAGUCCACGCGAGGACUACUAUGGUACUCCUGUGCACGUGUUGGUCGAUUGAUGUUAUUAUUUGAACAUUAACUUACGGUUUCGCUAAUACAAUACUCAGCCAACCCAAACUAAUCUUUGCGUCAACCGAUCUCCAGAACGCGUAGAGAGACGAGGGGAAGGAGCAUCGAAGCCCCGAGACCAAAAACGGCCAUGUACGAGGAAGACGGCGAGGCCUCGGACGGAAGCGAGCCCGUAACCGGCGACGACGCGGCAACGGACGACGACGCAGAUGUUAAACGCAUCAGAUGUAUGAUGAAAUGUUAUCAACUGGACACGCUAUCACCACCUAACGCCGAUUACUUAAUUAGUAUUACGCCGUUGGCGUGAUGCGCCGGACGCCAGCCCACCAAAGUUAGUUCUUGGACAAAGAAAUGGUGUGCCGUUUCACCAGUAGCAAGCUGACGUACGUGCCCAAGUAAGUGACGGCGUACAAUGCGAGAAUAGAAUUUUGGAAUUCGGGUGUAUUUGAGGACCUUAUUUUAAAUACUUUGAAAAUCACAUUUAAGGUUUCAAAAAAUUCUGAAAACAAUUCUACUUGAUCAUAUGGAUUUAUAGUACACAUGUGUAAAGUUUGGUGAUGAAAUAAGUAAAUAUGCGACCUAUACAAAAAUGACAAAAAUGGUUAUUUCCAAAUAGUGAAUAAUGCAUGCACUGUUCACCUUUCCAAAAUCAUGAUUUUGUCAUUUUUGUGUAACUCACAUGGUUACUUAUUUCAGCAUCAAAAUUUACACAUGUGUAAUAUACAUUCAUAUAAACAUAUUGAUUUGUUUUUAGAAUUUUUUGAAACUUUAAAAUAGCAUUUUGGCACAGUUCCAAAAAUAGGGCUCCAAUGCAUCGGGGUUCCAAUGUGACUUUUUGCGUACAAUGCAUCUUUCUCUACUACUACGAUGCAGCUGAAGCUGAUAGGGGGAAAUAAUGAUCGACUAUGGUGGUACUACUACGGCGGCGGCGGCCAGAGGGCGCCCCGGCAGAGCGGGCACAUCCGGCGCGUCCGGAUCCACCGGUCGGCGUCGCACGCGGCGUGGGAGAAGUGCCCGCAAGCCGGCACGCGCACCAGCUCUUCCGGCGCCUUGGCGUACUCCGGCAGGCAGAACGCGCCCUCGCCCGCCUCCGCGUACGCGUACGCCACCAGCGUCGCGUCGCCGAGCGCGCGCUCCGCGUCGUCAACCGCCGCUCCAGCGUCGUCGUCGGAGGCGAGGGCGAUGAUGAGCACCGCCACGGCGAUCACCACGGCCACCUCGAGAUCGAGGGCCUGAUCGAUCGGACUGCAGGGCGCGACAGUAACCUUCUAUGCGCAGUGCACGUCCUCUUCCCUUUGAUUGGUGUGGCCUCCUUUUGUAGUAUCUUCAUUGCUCCAGGUUAACCAAAUUAACAGGGCAUCUGCCUUCUUUCCCGUGUCUCACAUCACUCGGCUCGCGCUCUGGUCGGCAAAUUUCCUUCUUGCAGUGGCCAAGUCGGUUACAGCAUCUCCAAUAGAUGGUUCAAAUUUUAACGGUCCAAAACCGAAGAUUUAAAAUAUGGUCCGUCAAAUAUGUGCUUUAGAGCUUCCGAAAUGCUCAACUCCAACAGAUGGUUUAAAUCAGAGAUGUAAAAGAGCAACUCCAACAAAUGGUCCAAAACGAAGAUGUAAAAUUGCCUUGAUCGUCUUCUUCAAUCUCGGGAUGUAGGCCACCUUCAUCAAAUCCGUCGCCAUCAAGCUCUCCCCGAGCGCGCCAUCCUUCCCGUGAUGAGCUCCUCUCCCAAUUCCUCUAUUUUUUUUUCCUUCGAUCGGUGUCGUUUGUCACCGCUCCUGAGCACGUAGGCGGCGACGGCAGCGAUAAUUUGGGGAAUGGCAGCGGCGGAUUGCAGCUGACUGGUGCAGUUGGGCGCUUGCGGGCGGUCACCGAAUUUGGACCAGUUCUCAGUAAUGCAAAUUUGCACCACGAUGACCGGAUGGUCCAAAAUUUAGGUAUUUUUACAUUUGAACCGUCUAUUGAAGAUGCUCUUAUACUUGUGCGUCCCCUUCUGCUUUUCCCUUUGGAGCCAUUAUACUGGCACUUUUGCGACCUUAUUUUUUGUGAAGGAUAAAGUUUGUGCCUGCCUUUUGCGACAAUCAAAAACUGUCUUGUGCGAAACAAGAAACGACUUAAGAUCGCAGCCACAGUAAAACCAUAUACGGAGUACUCAUGUCAACCUACGACCAACCAGCAUGAAACAGCCGCAAAAACAACAUUAGAAAAGGGUGCAAGACGAACGGAUUAAGAUUAAGAUCCAAAUGCCAGCACGGCACAUAAUCCAGAUAACACAAUCUAUAACUCCAGCAGGACAAACAGAACUCAAUGGAACAGGUCAUUGUGCAGAGUGCCGGACUUCAACAAAAACGCACGUUGCAAGACUACACUGGGGUGGACAAAGAGCUCUUCACUCGUCGUCAUCCUCAUCGUCAUCGGCGGCACCCGCAGAGUUGUUGAGGGCGUUGAGCCUUUCGACGAGGCUGGCCUUCCUCUGCUCAUAGGUCAGCUUCUUGGGGUUGUAUCUGCAUCCAAAAGGCAAAGUUCACAAUGCAGCUCACAACAAGUUGGAAAAGAAGCAGCAGUCAGGAGUAAAUGGCCCUUGUCCACAAUGCAUCCAAAAGACAGUAUGAUGAAGAGCUUGCCGACUAUACCUCUUGUGAGUCUUGGGAGGCGCCUUGGUUGAUUUGGCCAUGGUGGGAUCAGCACGGAUGGCAGCAUGAACCUUCUUGUAAACUGCUUCCAUGUCAUCAGCUGAGAUUCCCCUCUUGAUGUACUCACUGAAGUGAGUUUGGAACUUCUCUGGUUCCUCAUCUGCUAGUGACUGGAAUAAGAGAAAGGCAAAAGUUCAGUAAGAAAUGAAAGAGGAACUAGGGUCAUUUUAUUGCCCUAGGUACAAGAGCAUGAACAAGAGUAAUACAAAAUCAAGAGAGCAAUGGCUUCCAACUCACCCUCAUGUAGUCAGCAACAUGCCCUCCAAAGAUGUACUUGCGGUGAAUCUCAGCAUCCAGCGACUUCUCAUCCUUUUUGAAACCAGCAAAUCUCUUGUCACUGUGGGGAAUGUCAAGACCACCGUCCAAAGCUCCCUGCAGGAGCAAAAAUAAUUACACCAGCAGCAGAAAAAGCACUAGAGGGAUACAACCCAUGCAUUCAAAAACAAAAUAAGUUCUGAAGUGCAGCAGAAUAGGGAGCACCAUAUCACUUAAUGCAAAUAAAAAAAUGAGAACAAACAGCAAUAACAAUGAUUUUUCACAAGGUCAAAUAGCACAAUAAAGCAGAACAGUUUCAUGUCAAAGGCCUGUGACAAGUUACAGGUAGCUAAAGAAGAACGACCAAUCAUGAUUUGCCAAUAGUUUCAUGUCAAACCUUUCAAGAAAAAAUAGUUUCAUGUCAAAGGCCUGUGACAUUGAGUGCCUAUCUGCAAUCAUAAAAUGUACAGUAAUAACAUGGCUUACCUUAAGGGCACCAAACACACGGUUUCCAGUGGUGGUCCUAAUAAGACCAACAUCCAAAAGCGCACGGAAAGGCCUCCUCUCAUCAGAAGGCUCAACAGAGAAGUCCUCGCCAGUGGCCUGAGCACAGACAUAUAUUAUUUGUGUUCAUCAGAAGCAACAAAUCAGGAUAUUAAACUAAAAAAAAUGAUGAAACCAAAUUAUACCUCAACAUUGCCUUCAUACUCCUCAUCAAGAUCACGGUUCUUGAGCACACGACGGGCCAAAAGCAGACCAGUGCAGUAGGCUACAUCAUGCAUUCAGAAAAUUAGAUUAGAAAAGAGGCAUGCAUACACAGCAUGCAUUAGCACAUUCAUUCAGUAGAUAAAAUCAACCUGCAGCAUAGUUGGUGAGGCCAACUUCAAGACCAUAGCGAGGCAACUCAUGGGAGUAAGCAGCGGCCAUCACGAUAUCACCAGCAAUGGUAGCAUACACAAUUUGUGCAGUGACAUCCUUGUUGGUCUGAAGUACUAUUGUUAAGAGAUACAACAUGCCUCCAAGGUAAUAAUAAGCAGAACAUUGAUGAUUGACAAGUGCACAAAUUAUAACGAAGAAACUUUGAAGGAUACAAAUCGCACAACAAAACGGUACUUGGGGGUAUUGUAUUUGUUCUUGUCCUGGUUUGUGAGCCUCAGCCUGGCCCUGUAGUCGGUCUUCCCCUCUGAGAAAACAUGGGGAAAAGGAAAAUCAGCCAGUCAGAAUCGCUGUCAAAUGACAGAAGUGGCAGAUUCAUGGAGAGGCAUGUGUUAGACAUACGGCGCCUUCUCUUGAACUUGACUUGGAAACGCUUGGAGUACGCCCUUGUCUUCUGGUUCUUGAUGUACACCUACAAGACGUAUCAAAGAGAAGCACAUGAGUAUACACCUAGGUUUGGAACAUCAGUGCUACCCUGGAAAUCCUAGUAAUCAAUCAGGCGGCACAAACAAAACAUUUAAGACAAGAUUUUAAGUAGCUCAUAGUUCUAUUCAAUGACGAGAAACCUCAUGGAACCUCCCAAGCUUAGGAUAAUCAAGGAAGUAAUUCCUAUAUAAACCCCAGUCUACUAUCGCGACAAGAAACAAAACCGCAGCAUAAACCAAUCCCUCGUCAAUCCACUACAAUAGUGAAUCUGGUCUAAGAAAUGGGAACUUCUUCUCAGUUCUAAAAUUAGAGCAGGCAAAGAGCUAGUAGAGCAUGAUUUGCGAGCAAUAAAAUCUUAUCAAGCGGCACAAAUCCAGAUCUAACAGAUUCUACGAGCGGCGAGGACUAUUCCUCCACGACAGAGCAAAAACCCCGCAGAUCUGACCAGUCCAGUGCUGAACCCUUAAGCCCUGAGUUGGGUAGUGCAAGCUAUGAAACAAGAAUCGAAAACCUAGGCGCCGAUUCCUGCAGCGAAGGCGCACGAAAGCCAGACGCUGCGGGCAGCAACGCAAGCGCGGACUGAAGCAGCAGCCAUGGAGGAAGAGGAGGCGGUGAGAUCGGACGUACCAUCGCGCCUGCGAGGAGGGAGCUCCUGCGGAUGGAGGAGGCGGCGGCGGCGCGGGCGGGCGGGCGAGCGGAAGGGCUAGGGAUGGGAGGCAGCGUGGUGGCGCUUAUAUAUACGAGGGGGCGGGCCUGGCUGCUUGCUGGGCCGCGGUGCGAGUCACCCCCGAAUAGGUGGGCUUCUUUCGGUCUGCUUCUAAGGCCCAUGAACUGCGUUUCGGUUUUUUUUUUCCUUAUUCUCGGCUCACUGGAGAGCUUAGAGCAUAACGGCCGCUGUUGCAUGUUGCGGUUGCAGAGUGGAGAGAGCAGUUGGUCGUUCCAUCGCUCGUCUUAUGCUGAUACUAAUACCUCUGUAAAAAAAUAUAAGAGCGUUAAGUUAUUACUUAUCUUUAUUUCUAAAAGAGGAGUCUGCGGUUGUGAUGGUGCGUUCAUACAUCGUUCGCUCGUUCGCCCCUCCCCUCGUCCCACCCUUCCCAGUGCCAAAGUCAUACAUGAAAACAAACCCAAAUAAUCCUAAAGAAACAAACCCAAAUAAUCGGCACCGUUGUAAUCUUCCUCCGUACGUACUAAAAAUAAUUAGCCUUCCUCCCACCAUGGUAAGUGCAAAAGUAGUAUACGUGGGAAACAAACCAUAGAAUCCUAACAAUACUUAGCCCAAUUAUUACAUACUAAACAUAAAGCACAUUCUCAAAAAGAAAACAUAAGGCACAAGAUAAGAAAAACCCGACAAGAUUGAUAACGCCUCAAGUACUCACCAUCAAGCACAGACGAUACAUUGCUGGGAGAUCAUGAUGGCGAUCACACCAGGUCACCAUGGAGGUCACAUGAGUUUAUCAUCAACCUGUCAGCCUCGCUUUCAUCAUCCGGAGGUGAGUUCACCUUUUGACAAAGCCAUAUGUUUCUCCGACGUGGUGCUCUUUCUUGUGGAUCUUCAUAGUCCUGAUAUAUGCAUUACUAAUUUAUUUAGUUCACAAAAGGCGAUGCAUGGCGAACUACUAUUAAAAAUGAUUGUCAUAGUUUUGGGGUUUCAUAGGCUAGAUAGAUUGUAAGGGCAUCUCCAGCCGUUGCCCCCCCCCCCAGGACGCAUACAAAAUCGCCCCCUGGGGGCGAGCCGGCGAUACACUCGGCGCUGGGGGCGGUUUUGCGCCCAGUCGUCGCCCCCAGCUCGCCCCCAGGCGCCGAAAUUGGCCCACUUUGCAGCCCAAUUUCGGCGAAUAAACGGCCCAUAUGGGCGAGAAUAGACCCAUAUUCGGCGUGGUUUCGCCGUGUCUCGGCGUUCAAUUAUCAACACAAUUAUUCCUUAUCACAUAUUUCAUCACAGAAAAAUCAAAUACUUCAACAAAAUACUACAACAACAAAUAGUUCAAUACAAAUUAUAUAGUUCAACAGAUAAAAACUCAUAUUUCAUCACGCGGCGUCCCCCUUGAGCCUCCAUAGGUGCUCAAUCAGAUCUUUCUGCAGUUGAUGAUGCACCUGUGGGUCUCGGAUCUCCUGACGCAUACUGAGAUAGGCAGUCCAAGUUGCCGGUAGCUGGUGAUCAACUUCGGCUAGAGGACCCUGCCUGUAGUAUGGUUCAGUGUCAAACACUGGGUCUUCUUGCUCGCUCUCGAUGAUCAUGUUGUGCAAGAUGACACAGCAAGUCAUGAUCUCCCACAUUUGAUCUUUCGACCAGGUCUGAGCGGGGUACCGAACAACAGCGAAUCGAGAUUGGAGCACACCAAAUGCCCGCUCGACAUCCUUCCUGCAAGCCUCCUGAAGCUUCGCAAACCAGGCGUUCUUGCCUCCUGCCACAGGGUUUGAGAUCGUCUUCACAAAUGUCGACCAUCUUGGAUAGAUGCCGUCAGCUAGAUAGUACCCCUUGUUGUAUUGGUGACCAUUGAUCUCGAAGUUCACCGGAGAAGAAUGGCCCUCAACGAGCUUGGCAAAAACAGGAGAGCACUGCAGCACGUUGAUGUCAUUGUGAGUUCCUGGCAUACCAAAGAAGGCGUGCCAAAUCCAGAGGUCCUGUGUGGCUACCGCCUCAAGCACCACACUGCAACCGCCUUCGGCGCCUUUGUACAUCCCCUGCCAACCAAAUGGGCAGUUCUUCCAUUUCCAAUGCAUGUAGUCGAUGCUUCCAAGCAUCCCAGGAAAUCCUCUUGCUGCAUUUUGGGCUAGGAUCCGAGCAGUGUCUUCCGCAUUGGGUGUUCUCAAGUAUUGUGGCCCAAACACUGCCACCACUGCCCGACAGAACUUGUAGAAACACUCUAUGCUGGUGGACUCGGCCAUGCGCCCAUAGUCGUCGAGUGAAUCACUGGGAGCUCCAUAUGCAAGCAUCCUCAUCGCUGUGGUGCACUUCUGGAUGGAGGUGAAUCCAAGAGCGCCAGUGCAAUCCAUCUUGCACUUGAAGUAGUUGUCGAACUCCCGGAUGGAAUUCACAAUCCCGAGGAAGAGCUUUCGGCUCAUCCGAUAACGGCGCCGAAAUGUUCUCUCGCCAUGAAGUGGAGCAUCGGCGAAGUAGUCAGAGUAGAGCAUGCAGUAGCCUUGCAGACGAUGCCGGUUCUUUGCUUUCACCCGCCCCAGCGCCGAGCCACCUCGACGCGGCUUUUCGUUGCUCGCCAGCAGCUGGGCGAGGGCGACGAGCACCAUCAGAUGCUCUUCUUCCUGGACGUCGGUCGCGGCUUCCUCCUCCAGCAGCGUGGCGAGCUCUUCCUCCUCAUCCGAGUCCAUGGCUGAGACAGUCAAAACGCCGAACACCUUGCGCUCGGUGGGUGUGUACCCGCCAUUAAACCGCGCCUCCGCGGCCGGAAACGGCGGCCGGAAAUGCCCAGCUGCUGCGGGAGGGGCUGCCGCGGCGAAGCGCUGCUAUUUUCCGGCGGGGAAUGGCUAUCUAGCGGAGUAGGCCGGCGGCCGUCGCCGGGAUAUAGCUAGUGGUGGCCGAGGGCGCGGGGGGUGCGAGGCGAGUCGGGGGAAGAAAACCUUGAGUUUUCCCCUGUCGGUGUGGGCCAGGCGUGCUUUUCCCUAGCGCCGGAGCCCCCAAUGGCUCCCCAGCGCGCCGGGUUCGGCCUGUGACCGCCGGGCGGAAAAAAGGUCCGAACCGGCGAUUUUCGGCGUCCUGGGGGCGUGACUGGGCCGUUUUUUCGGCGCCGGCGCCAAAAAGUGGCCUGGGGGGGCUGUUGGGGGCGCGGCUGGAGAUGCCCUAAUUACACAAGUCACGUGCAUACCGCUGGUGGUUUCCAGGAACUUUCAACUUGAGCAAUACGAAAUGUAACCUCACCAAGCAAACUUGUAGAAAUUCAUUAAAAUUUAGAUGUCUGGAGAAGACAAUAAUGUGCGCAUGGAGGAGAAACUGUGUAUGUAGGUAAAUAUUAUUUAUUUUUCUUUGUUUAUGAACCAUGUUGUUGAAGGUUCGAAGGGCCUUAAUCACCAUCCCUGCACCAUUUACUACUGCAGUAUUUUUUUGCCCUCUUUUCUGAAUUCUCCCUCAUAGCAUCUUUACUACCAACUAAUCGUAGCACCAACUAUUUUACUUUCUUUAUGAACCACAGUGCUGAAGGUCCAAAUGUCAUUAAUCAUUAUCCAUGCAACAUUUGCUUAUAAGAUGUCGAAGGAUAAGUGAAAAAUAAAUGUGUAUUCUCUAACAAUUUGUUUAGGCAUAAUGUCUUAAUUGAUGAUUUGAAGGUGACCAUCUUGUAAUCUUUACUGUUGUUGUUGGAACAGUCAUAUCGAUGUUCAUAUGUGAACCAUCCACCCAAUUAGCUACAACGCUUCCCAUAGCCAGUACCAUGAUAGCAUUGGAGCCACGGGAGCAUGUGGGAACAUCAAAUGGUAUUUACCCUUUCACACGACGUUUUUACCAUUGAAGUAUGGUCGUCUAUAGAUCUAGAUUUAUUGAGUCUAAACGUGUGAUGGGUAUAUUCGUUCAAAUGUGGGUCUUGGAUUUAGCAAAACACACACUGGCCAUGCAGAAAACCCUACAACACCUCAAGGAACACUGAGUGGUGCUGAAGAUAUUGCUUCCAAUGCAAGCAUUAAAGAAGACAAACAUCAACAAAGACGGAGCCGUGAUAAAGAAAGGCGAGAUAGCCUAACACCCGGGCAAAGAGAAGAAAUGAAUGCACAUCGAAGAGCAUCUAGAAAAAAUUAGACUAUCGAAGAUAGGAAUGCAAGCCAAAGGGCUGCCAGACAAAAUCUGACAACAAAGGAGAGGCAAGAGAUGAACGCUCGUAGAAGAGCAGUAAGUACAAAUAUACCAACUGAGUAGAGGCAAGAGAUGAACGCUGGUCGAAGAGCACGCCUGCAGAGCAUACACUACUGCAGGAUGCUGCUAACGCGACACUACAAUCAGAGACCCUUCGAGAAACUGUGUGCGAUGCAAUAAUCGCAAACGGUGGUGUAAGAGAACCGUAAAAAAUGUGCAAAAUGUUUGCGAUGACGGAUGCAUCAAACACGGUUCAGAUUUUAGUUGCGUGUGCGAUGCACGGCAUACGGUUCAGUUCAAUGAACUGUUUGCGAUGAGGAAGAAGAACGGAAACGGGCAGCCAGAUGAAGGCGUGUGCGAUAUACGGCAUAUAGUUCAAUCGAAUUAACAGUAUGUGAUGAGGCGGAACAAUAGAAACGGACAGCUAGAUAAAGGUGUGUGCGAUUGAGGGCAUACGCUUCAUAAGGAUUAAUUGUUUGUGAUUAGGCAACAUAACAGAAGCGGUCAGCCAGAUCAAAGGUGUGUGCGAUUGAUGGCAUACACUUCACACGGAUGAACUGUUUACGAUUAGCCACAACAAACAAAAAUAGUUAGACAGAUCAACGUGUGUGCCCUAGACGGGCACACAUUCUAACUAAAAGAAGCGUGCGCUAUGGUAAUAACGAGCGCCCACGUGAAAGGAUCUAGAUUGACCUAGAGGGGGGGUGAAUAGGUACAAUUACAAAUUUUAAUUGUUACUUAGCAAUUUUAGGCAAUAAUGCAAAAUAUGAAGUUGAGCCUAACAAUUGCAAGUGUGAAGCUAUGAACUAAGCAAGGUAAACAAGUAGCUCAAGUAGGAGAGUAAGCAAGCACAAUAUGAUAUAAGUAAAGACUAAGAGACAAGUAACCACAAAUAGGGAGUUAAGGUUAGGGAUAACCGCAACUCUGAGAGACGAGGAUGUAUGCCGAUGUUCACUUCCUUGGAGGGGAGCUACGUUACCAUUAGAGAGGUGGGUGUUACCACGAAGGCACACCAACACCACGAAGGCUCACCCUAUUCUCCCUUUGAGACAACACCACGAAGGCGUUUCUCAACCACUAGUGGUAGACCUUGGGUGGUCUCCAAAUCCUCACAAACUUUCCGGGGGUAAUCACAAAGAACGAUUCCUCUCCGAAUGACUCCUACCGCCUAGGAGUCUCCAACCUCCAAGAGUAACAAGAACUAUGGGGAAAAAGCUCAAGACUUGCUCAAAUCAUGAAUUCCUUUGGUGAACAUCGAUAUGAAAGAAGUGGAUCUAUCACUUGGGUGGACAACUUCUCUCAAAUGCUCUCAAAUCCCUUAGGGAUCUAAGAUCUGGUGUUGGAGUGUGUGUGAGAGAGUGAAGAUGUGUUCUUGAGGGUGCUUGAAGUGAAUGGUCAAUCCUCUCACGGGAUAGGAGAGAGAUAUUGAUAGUAUGCCUCAAUAACUGGCUGUUGGAGCCCAAAACAGCACAGCAUCGUCGGACGUCCGAUGCACAACGGACGACCGAAGGCUUGACAGACAUCGGACAUCCGACAGGGACCGGACGUCCGAUGUUUUGGCACGGUAUAGUAGGUAGCGGACGACCGAUGUUUAGGCUCUGUGGAAAAGGUACGGAGUGACCGAAGGAUAUCGGACGACCGAGGGCUCUGCAGACAACGGACGUCCGACAAGGACCGGAGGACCGAUGUUUUGGCUCUGGAUAGGAUUUGCCGGACGUCCGGUGCACACUGGACGACCGAUGUUUUGGUUCUAUAUAGAGGCGAUCGGACGUCCGGUGAGUACCGGUCGUCCGCCAGAGAUGAAGAUCAGACACUGACUUUGAAGUAGUUGUUUGAGCAAGACUUUAGCAAUAACCCAUGUUCCCCUCUUAAUAGUGCGGGGUCCUAUACUCAAGAAUAAACAUAAAAAUAGUCUUGUUUCUUCGUUCUUAAUGAGGUUAAACAUUUCUGAAGUCAUAAUCCACACACACAAUUGAUUCCGAGGGGACUAAAACUUGAGAUAUACUUGACAAACUUUGUUAGUCCCCUAUGAGUAUAUUGUCAUCAACAUCAAAAUAAUAUUUAGGGCAUAAUUGCACUUUCAAUCUCCCCCUUUUUGGUAGUUGAUGACAAUAUACUCAUAGCACAAAAGAAAUCAAGUUGCUCUAUGCUUUAAGACACGUGUAUUUAAGAGCUCCCCCUCUCAACCAUAAUCAUUGCAACAUUAUAUGGAGAGCUCUCCCUCACAGAGACAACCAAUCUAGAAUAUAUGAGAAAAAUAUCACAAGAACCAAAUAAAACCAUCAUCAUAUAAGCACAACCGCAUAAUAUCAUAAUAUCUCAACAUUCAUAGAACACAGAGGUUCAAUAUGUUCAACAUCACAGCAUAAGGCAUAGAUAUAAAGUCAUACACCCACUCAAGGUAAAUGGUUCAACAUAAGAGCAACAUGAAUAGAAAGCUAGAACUAGUUCUCCCCCUUGGCAACAACUACCCAAAAAGGGACAGAGAGAACCCUUAGACAAUCACAAGUCAUCAUCAUCAUCAUUUGGAGCUCCACUCCCACUAGCUUCAUUGAGGAAAUCAGCCCACUCAGGCCCCGAAGGAAAACCAAAGUCAGAAGGAGGAGCAGUUGGGAGGCGCUCAUCGUCACUCACAUCAGUAGCCCUAGAGUCACGGUGACGAGACUUCAAGGCAUUCUUGGAAGUGAUCAAGCGAGUGACAACAUCAUGGUUGUGUGUGCAGUUGAAGGAGAAUGCCAUCAUCAUGGCAGAGUGAGCCUUUCGAUAAAACGAGCAAAACGCCCAAAGGACGCCGAGCUGGCAUUAGCAGGAUGGGAACUAGCGUCAGACCUACGAGCAAGAGCAGACUUGGAGGAACCUUUUGGAGAAAAAUCAUUGGCCAUGUGAGGAGUGUCGGUGUACUAAAAUAGGGGCGCUCUUUGUUGGGAUCUAUGGUAGGGUGCGUCGACUGCAAAUUAAAAUUUCCUACGCGCAGAACAACCAAGAACAUGCUACGGGAGAUGGAUUACGGAUCGUUACCACUAGACACGCAGUGCCGUGCAGCGGAAGAAGAGUUGGGGCAGCGCAUCCGCGUGGAUCGUCUCCUCCUUGUCCGAUCUCCCUCGAACAACCGGUCGCCCGAUCCAACGUACAAGUUCACCGGAGCGGCACAAGUGCACCGCCUCUAAUGGUAUCUGCGCGUGCAGGAGGAACACCGUGCGGUGGACUGCUAGGUCCGAUCACACAGUCGGCGGCAAGUGGAGGUGGCUAUUCGCAACACAUGCAAACCCUAGUCGCAGCACCGAAGCGAUCAACCGCAUGAGUGUGCCGCACCUCCACUUUAUAUAGGCGUCCGUCACGAGCUCAACACUUGGGCCUCGCACGGACCCUAAAGCCCACAAGUCUACUCGACCAUAAUCCGAAUACAGCUAGGACCACAUCCGACCAAUGUCCUCGGAUCCGACCUCGUAGGUUCCUUCCCUUAAGCGCGCGACCCUUUAGGUUCAAGUCGGCUUGGUCGCUGUUCGGAUCACCUCCGAACUGCACGGUUGGUAGCGGCCUCUAGCAAGGCAUGCCGAACACCAAGCAGACCAUGAAGCUGGUUAGGUGAACCUGUACAUCAUACUUUUGUUCCCUUUGCCACACGAUAUAUGUUGUCGGGCUCAAGGCGAGAUUGUCAUCCUUGUGCUAGCCCGACCUCUUUCUCCUUCCAGUGAUACCGACCACUAUCCGGAUUAUCUCAUAAUCCUUGUCGCAUGGCCAUGCUUAUCCUGAUCGGAUCACACGAGGGGCCCAGAGUAUAUCUCUCCUGAUCGGAGGGGCAAAUCCCAUCUUGCUCAACCAUGUCUCGCAGCAUGGGACUGGACAAACCUGAAACCUACCUUUGUAACUAUCUAGUCACGGAGUAGCGUUUGGUCGGCCCAAAGCAAGUCUGUCACCAUCCCGAGCACAUGCGUCAGCUCAGGUCUUAGGACAUAGAACAUAUGUUGUACUAGAGACUCACAUAUGACAUAUCGUUGCGUCUCAUAGUUGGGUCUGUCCGACUCAAACCUUAUCUCGACUCGGAUCUGACUACGUCGAAUCCGAUCAGACCUUCCCAAGUCCAUAUUAUCUGGUUAGCAUGGCUAGUGAGACCAAGCCAUCGACCGUGUCAUAUGCUAGUCUAGUCGGCUACGCGUCCACACAACCCUUUCGACUAGGGACCUUUUAGGACAGUCAUCAUACAAUGCAUAGUCCCACAAACAAGUCACGUACUUGCUGAUACACAUCAUUGAUAAUGUCCAAGGACUAUCUUUAUUUGUAAACACGUAGGAAAUAUCAUCAUACAUGAUUGCCUCUAGGGCAUAUCUCCAACAGUCUCCCACUUGCACUAGAGUCAAUCAAAUAGACAUCGAAUGCCCAUAGCUCUAACGUGCCCCUCAUGCUUGGGUUGUGGAAGCGGCUUAGUCAACGGAUCUGCAACAUUUGCAUCCGUGUGAAUCUUGCAUAACUCUACAUCACCAUUCUUUAUGAUCUUUUGUAUCAGGUGAUAUUUCCGAUCUAUGUGUCUGACCUUGUGGUGAUUCCUUGGCUCCUUGGCUUGUGCGAUGGCACCAGAAUUAUCACAAUAAAGGUCCAACAGUUUCACCGAGGCUGGGAAAAUACCAAGAUCAUCCAGAAAAUGCCGGAUCCAAACACCUUCCUUUGCAGCUUCACAAGCCGCAAUGUAUUCGACUUCUGUGGUAGAAUCAGCCACCGUAUCCUGCUUGAAACUCAUCCAGUGCACUGCUCCUCCGUUUAGGAUGUACACGAAUCUAGACAGUGAUCGACAAUCAUCUCUGUCGGUUUGGAAACUAGCAUCGACGUAACCCCUUACGACGAGCUCUUCCUCACCUCCAUAAACUAGGAACAUCUCUUUAGUCAUUUUCAGGUACUUCAAAAUAGUCUUUACCGCUGCCGAGUGACUCUCACCUGGGUUGGCCUGGUAUCUGCUUGUUAGGCUUAUUGCAAAAGCAACAUCAGGCCUUGUAGAUAUCAUGGCAUACAUGAUGGAUCCGAUUGCCGAGGCAUACAAAAUCCUACUCAUCCUGCUUCGCUCAUCAGGUGUCGAAGGACUCUGAGUCUCGCUUAGCCUUAUACCAUGUGAGAGUGGCAAGAACCCUUUCUUCGCCUCACUCAUGUUGAACCGCUUCAACACUUUAUCUAUGUACGUGCUCUGGCUUAAGCCGAGCAGCCUCCUUGAUCUAUCUCUAUAGAUCUUAAUGUCUAAAAUAUAUACUGCCUCACCAAGGUCUUUCAUUGAAAACUUGCCAUUCAAUGACUCGUUGACCGAGUUUAGCAUCGAAACAUCAUUUCCGAUCAGUAGUAUGUCAUCCACAUACAAGAUCAAAAACACUAUCGAGCUCCCACUUAACUUCUUGUACAAACAAGAGUCCUCUUCACUUUUGAUGAAACCGAGACCAGUGACGACCUCAUCAAAACGAAUAUUCCAGCUCCGAGAUGCUUGCCUCAACCCAUAAAUGGAUCUUUUGAGCUUGCAUACUUUACUAGUGCUAGUAGGAUCAACAAAACCCUUGGGCCGUAUCAUAUACACGUCCUCGGUUAAAUUUCCAUGAAGGAAAGCCGUUUUGACAUCCAUCUGCCAUAUCUCGUAAUCGAAAUAUGCAGCUAUAGCUAGUAUGAUCCUCACCAACUUCAGCAUCGCUACCGGUGAGUAAGUCUCAUCGUAGUCAAUUCCUUGAACUUGUCCAUAACCUUUAGCGACAAGCCGAGCUUUAUGGAUCUGAACAUUUCCAUCCACAUCGGUUUUCUUCUUAAAGACCCAUUUGCAACCAAUGGAUGUUAUGCCAGGUGGCGGAUCAACCAAGUCCCAAACUUGAUUCUCAUCCAUGGACUUUAACUCGGAUCUCAUGGCCUCCAGCCAUGCCUCAGAAUCUGGGCUCACCAUCGCUUCUGCAUAUGUGGCCGGCUCGUCGCUUUCCAGCAACAAUACAUCACACACUCUGCGCAAUCUUUUCGACCUUCGUGGUUCUGGUGCCGCUUCCACUACGGGUUCCCUGACUGACUCCGGUAUGAUCUCAUCACUAGCCGAGCCGUCCCCGAGUGGUCCUUGAAUUUCUUUGAGUCGGACCAUCCUCCCACUAGCCUCCCGACUGAGAAACUCUUUCUCAAGGAAAACCCCGUUCCGAGCAACAAACACUUUGUUCUCUUCUCGGUUGUAGAAGCUAUAUCCCAAGGUUUCCCUCGGAUAUCCCACGGAUAUGCAUUUAUCUGACUUGGGUGUAAGCUUGUCUGACAUAAGUCGCUUGACAAAUGCUUCACAGCCCCAAAUCUGUAGAAAAGACAAACUGGGACUCUUCCCGGUCCACAUCUCAUGUGGUGUCUUGUCUACGAACUUUGAUGGUACCGUGUUAAGUGUGAAAGCUGUGGUUUCUAGAGCGUAUCCCCAGAAUGACAAGGGUAAAUCCGAUUUGCUCAUCAUAGACCGGACCAUGUCCAACAAGGUCCUAUUCCUCCGUUCUGACACGCCGUUUCUCUGUGGCGUACCCGGAGGUGUGAGCUGAGGUACUAUACCUCGACUUUUCAGAUGAUCAUCACACUCCUGGCUCAUGUACUCACCUCCACGAUCAGAUCGCAUAAGCUUUAUAGUGUUGCCGAGUUGAUUUUGAACCUCGUUCUGAAACUCCUUGAACUUUUCAAAAGUCUCCGACUUGUGCCUCAUCAAAUAGAUAUACCCAUAUCUAUUCAAGUCAUCGGUAAAAGUCACGAAGUACUGAUAGCCACCUCUAGCAGUUGUGCUCAUUGGACCACACACAUCACUAGGUAUAAGUUCCAACGGCUCGGAUGCCCUUUCGCAACUCUUUGUAAAAGGAGACUUAGUCAUCUUGCCGAGCAAGCAUGAUUCACAUGUCUCGAACGACCUGAAAUCGAACGAAGUUAGGAGCCCAUCAUCAUGGAGCUUCUUCAUGUGUUUCAGACUAAUGUGUCCAAGCCGGCAAUGCCAGAAAUAUGUCGGAUUUAUCUCAUUUGGCUUAUGCCUCUUGACAUUCACGUUAUAGACCGGUUCCUGUUCUAGAUUCAAUAUAAUUAGCCCAUCAAUAAUGGGUGCAUAGUCGUGGAACAUACCAUUCAAAAAUAUCGAACAACCAUUGUCCUUUAAAUUGAAUUCAUAACCUUGACUCAUCAAACAUGAGGCAGAAAUAAUGUUCCGAGUAAGUGCAGGAAUGUAAUAACAAUUAUUCAAUUCCAUAAUGAAUCCGGAAGGAAGCUGGAGUUGCAUCGUGCCGACCUCCAACGCAGCAACUCUUGCUUUGUUGCCGACCCUGAUGUCAAUCUCCCCUUGUGCCACAUGCCUAGUUCUUACCAGCCCCUGCAUCGAGUUGCAAAUAUGAACAACCGAUCCGGUAUCAAAUACCCAAGAGCUACUAGGUAUGUCAGCAAGGUAAAUGUUUAUAACAUAUGCAACAAGUGUACCUUUGCCUGAAGAAGCAUUCCUGACCUUCUUGCCAUGCCCUGCAAGCCACUUGCUAUAGUUCCUCUUCCAGUGACCGGUCUCCUUGCAGUGAUAACAAAUGGUCUUUGAGUCCGGUCCAGACUUUGGUGCAGCGGCGGAGGUUACCGUCUCCGUGCCCUUUGCCUUAGCCUUUUCCUUGGACCAACUCUUCUUGAACUUAGCCGAUUUCUGCACCAUCAAGACUUGAUGUGUGCCUUUCUUAAUGUCCUGCUCUACCACUUUGAGCAUCCCAUGCAAUUCAGUGAGCUUCUUAUCCAUGCUAUGCAUAUGAUAGUUCCAGAUGAACGUCCCAUAGCUGGGUGGAAGAGAACUCAGAACAGCAUCUAUAGCAAGCUCAUCCAAGAGCGGGAAACCCAACCGAUCCAAAGCUUGCACAUAUCCGAUCAUCUUGAUCACAUGUGGGCUCAGUGUAUCACCUUCCUUCAGCUUGCAAUCCAUCAAGGAUCGCCAUACGUUGAACCUUUUGGUCCUAGCCUGUGUCUGAAACAUGCUCUUGAGACUCUCAAUCAUAUCGUAAGCCUCAACAUUUUCAAAAUCCUGUUGCAAAUCGGGCUCCAUACAAGCCAGCAUCAAACAGCUGAUCUCCGUUGAUUCAUCAACGAGUUUCUGGUAGGCAUUCUUAGUUGUGGCAUUAGCAUUAUCGGCAGGUUCCUCUGGAAGUGGAUCCUCUAGAACAUGUUCCUUUUUAUCAUGCUUGAGAACAAUUCUCAGAUUUCUAUACCAGGUGGUAAAGUUUGUUCCAUUCAGUUUAUCCUUUUCCAGAAUUGAUUUCAAUGCAAAGUUGGGUUGAGCAGGUGGUGCCAUUGAUCUACAACAGAAAAUAUGCAAUCACUAAGCAAUGUGUUUAUGUAGAGUAAUUCAAGCCUAAACAGAAAUACUCCCACUGAAGUCAGCAUCCCUCCGCAAACUCUUAGUGAUUCAGGAUCCGACUAGCGCAUGCGACUAGUGAGCUUUAGCAUCACUACUAGCCAACAUACCUAUCUGUCGGAUUUCGGGUUCCGGCAGACCCUCUAGGUUCGAACUCUGGGGUGCACGCGGAGAUUUCACCCUCUGCCUACCUGCACCUCACCGCCUCGCUAUGAACUAAGCAAUCAAGGAACAACACAAGAGACACAGAGUUUAUACUGGUUCAGGCCACCAUUGUGGUGUAAUACCCUACUCCAGUGUGUGGUGUGGUGGAUUGCCUCUUGGGCUGACGAUGAACAAUACAAGGGAGAACAGCCUCGCGAGGGUCUGUCCUUGGCUGGUGCGAUGAACUGCUAGGGGGAGUUCAGUCGCUCUCUCUACUGGUUUCCUGGUGAGGAUCCCAUCUCUAUCUGUUGAUAUUGUUGUCCGUUGUCCGUUGUUCGUUCUCCGUUUCUGUUGUUACUAGUCCUAUAUAUAGGCAAAGGCCCUGGGCCUCCUCCCAAAUAUUGAGCGGGAAGGGUGCCAACAAUUGGCCAUUUUGAAGGGGAACAUCUAGUACACUUAUCCUGACUAAAGUUGGUCCUCGCCUGCUAAAGGCUCUGGUGGUGACACCGGCUUGGGCUCCACGAUGACCUUCAUCCGGCCGUUCUGCUGGUCUUGGUCUCGUUGCACCAAAAUGGAUGCCUUUGCUUGAUGCUCUCGCUUGCGCUUGCUCCCUUUGCACCAAAGAGGAAAGAAGGACACUGUGCGGGCUGGCGCCCUUGGUCGUCAUGGCUUGCGUCAUGGGCACCUCGUGAGGUACCCCGCCUUGAUCUCCUCGCCUCCUCGCGAGCCAGCCUGACACGGCCGUGCCUGAGGAAGCCUCCUAUCGUCCGCCCCGCGAGGCUUGGCCUCUUGCGAGGGUCUUGAGCUCAUGCUGAUGAAGAUGGGCCAUGCUGGGCCGCGCCUUGAGCCACGCCGCAGGCCGCAGGCAGGCAAGUCCGGGGACCCCCGUUCCCAGAAUGCUGACAGUAGCCCCCGGGCCCAAGGCGCGCCCGGACUUGGCUGAGCAGAGAGGCGAAGGGGCAAGUGCGAAGCGCCGCGGGCCCUAACAGCCUGCGGCCUCGAGCAUCGCGUUGCGGUUGAUUGGACGUGGGCGGCUCCGCUCCCCCACGACGCCUCGGCGAUUGCACGAACUGACAAGUCCCUGCGUGCAAAAACUGGUCAUGGUUACCUGUGAUCAUGGAAGCCAACGGCUGGCCUCCCCUGGCUAUAAGUACGGAACGACGUGAGCCAUUCCAGUUCAUCUUCCUCUGCUACUUCUCCUCUUCUUCAUCUUCGCCACUGCUCCGCCUUGGCGCAAUGGCUCCGAUACGCCGGUUCUCCGCAGAAGAGAAGGGAAAGGCCCCCCGAGAGGGCCCCGACCCGCUUCCACCAAAGAAGCAGUUGAUCCUCUGCCGCCGAGACGAGGGCGUGCGGCAGGAGGUGUCGAGGCCUUAGUGCGAGCAGCCGCCACCAGGGUUUCCGCUGACCUUGUACGCCCACCUUGAGGGCCCUGCAGGAGCCGAUGCCGAGUGUCAUGGACGACGACGCCAUUGGCGCCGGCGGGUCACGGCGGUGCGCGUUGUCCCUCCUGGAGUUCACACUAGGGGCUCCUCCCGAGAGUUUGUGCUCCACGCCGCCAUGCCUCCUCGGUUUUGGAUUCGCCUUCCUCCUUCCUUCGCCUUCGAGAUUCCGUCGAGGGGGCCUUUCAGGCUCUGGCUGCAGCACGCCAAUUGCCCGACUCCUGCGACAAAUGCGGAUGUCGAGGUCGUCGCCCCAGGUAAGGUCUUCAUGACCCGGGGCUAGGGCAAGAUCGCCCGGGCUUGCAGGACGAGGGGCGCCCUCGUGAUCCACCUGGAGUUCGACGGUGCUUCCAUGAUGCUCUUCAAGGUCUUCGAUGAAGAUGGGCGUCGGCUGGAGUGCUGUCCCAGAGGCAGCGGCAGAAGCCCCGGAGCGGCAAGGACCAGGCCUGCCGUCGCACGCUCUUCCAGCAGCUCCUCAAGCGGCGAGGGCGCCGGAGGAUCCAGCGACUCCGCCGAGCUCUUCGCGACUCUGGAGACGAGCGACGACAGCUACGAGCCCUCGAGCCUGCGCCGCUAUCGGAGCAGGACAGGCCCGUUAGGCUGCCGCCGUCUCUGAUCUGGAUGAGGUUGGCGCCGGUGCCUGGCGGCCCACUGUUGAUGAUGGCGUCUGCCACGACGGUUCCUGCAGUUAGGACUCCUUAGGAUAUGCGUCUCUUGUCCCUACGAGGAGCCAAGAAUACACCCCGUGGGGGCUUGUAAGGUGUCUGUAGCUCCGUUUGUCAAUAUGAUCCUUAUCGUGAAGUAGUGCGAGAUUCUUAUUCCGUCUUAGCUUAGUUUCUUCCUUUCGGACCUCACGAGGGCUUGGCGCUCUACGCCGACAGGUCCCGGUCCCAAGGCGGCUUCACCAUCGCUGGUAUGCCAGGUCGCGAUGCCAUGGUCAAGGCCAGGAGGUGAGCGGCCCGGGGUCCAGUAAGAGCCCCUGAGUCGCGAUGCUCAGGAGGUCCCCUUUGGCGCUCAAGCAGCUAUCGUUCGGUGAGAAAGGAAUGUGAUGUUGCUAACACGGGAUUGCAUUGGAUGCGGUGACGGUGCUGCGAUAGCUAGUGUUUCCGGAGAGUGACUUAUCUCGAGGGUCGGGUAACGCUUCCUGGUGCGGCGCUAGGUCCGUGCCUUGGCCGGCAAGGGGUUGCCUGGCGAGGUCUCCGCGUGCCUCUUUCCUCUCUUCUCUGCUCCCCUUUCUGCUCUACGUCCUCGGAUCCCGGCCCUCGAGUUGGUCUCAGCCGUCGCUGGUUUGCCAGGGCGCGAUGCCGUGGGCAAAGCCAAAGGGUGAGGGCUGGAGAGCUGGUAGGAGCCCUGAGUCGCGAUGCUCAGGCACCCCCCCUUUAAUGCGCAAGCGGUUCGCAUGGACGAGAGUGAAGAGGACGCCUUGAGGGCCUCGCCUGGCGCUUCUCCUUGGGGGGAUCCUGCAGACCCACCACAAAAAGGAGCAAAAGCCCGCUAUGACAAGCGGUGGUCAGCCGUUAGUUGCUUUGGAGAGGCGACGAGGCACUAAAGGCCUGACGAGGUGUAUUGGGGCACCCGUGAGCCAGCGCGGGACUCACGGGGCCCUACCCCAAGGCGGGCUGCACCUGGCACCGGGCCUUAUCCUGUGAUGUGUUCCUGCAAAUUUGGCCAGAUGCCGAUGCUCUACGUCCUCGGGUCCCGACCCUCGAGCUGGUCUCAGCCGUCGCUGGUUUGCCGGGGCGCGAUGCCGUGGGCAAAGCCAAAGGGUGAGGGCUAGAGAGCCGGUAAGAGCCCUGAGUCGCGAUGCUCGGGUACCCCCCCUUUAACGUGCAAGCUUGGUUAGAUGUAGACACUCUACAUCCUCGGGUCCCGGCCCUCGAGCUAGUCUCAAUCGUCGCUGGUUUGCCGGGGCGCGAUGCCGUGGGCAAAGCCAGAGGGUGAGGGCUGGAGAGCCGGUAGGAGCCCUGAGUCGUGAUGCUCAGGUACCCCCCCUUUAACGCGCAAGAUUGGUUAGAUGUCGACGCUCUACGUCCUCGGGUCCCGGCCCUCGAGCUGGUCUCAGCCGUCGCUGGUUUGCCGGGGCGUGAUGCCAUGGGCAAAGCCAGAGGGUGAGGGCUGGAGAGCCGGUAAGAGCCCUGAGUCGCGAUGCUCAGGCACCCCCCCUUUAACACGCAAGCUUCCGACAUCAAGGAAGAAGAGGUGCCACGGAUAGGCACCAAAUAACAAGCAUGAUGGGUCGAAUGCAUGGCCCGAAAAUAAACGCAAGAGGGGUACACGUCGCCGGGUCUGACCCGAGCGACUUGGGGAUGAUGCAGCCCGAGGGGCGCCCCCAACAAAGUAAGAUAAGAACACAAGCAAAAGGGAUACACGCCGCAGGGACGGACCCAUGCGGCCUGGGAUUGAUGCAGCCCUGAGGGCGCUCCCAGCUGGAAACGAAACUUGAAAGAUGUCACCUGAUAGUGUUGACGACGAAGGGGUGUUGAAGUAGCAGACGUAGCGGGCUGCGAGAGCCGAUCUUCAUGAGCCCCCAGGCCCAGGAGCCUCGGGAGGCUCCAGAGGCGCUGGUGGCUCUUCGCGAACCGUCUCCAUCUCCACCAGGACUGCAGAACGCCUGGCCUCCUGAGCCUCCAGGAUGCUCCUCAUGAGGUGCUGGUGCACCGCGGCCGUGUUCGGCAAGCCGUAGGGCAUGCAAACGUAGCCGUGGGGUGGGCCUCUGCAGCGCCCCACACGUGAGGGCCAGAAGUGCUCCUGAGAGGCGACUCGGUUGAGCCCUGGGAUGUCGAUGCAGACUCACAGCCCGCCAUCCUCACCUGGAUGGGGAGCUGUGGCGGGUAGGCGGCGGCUGCCACUCAUGACUCUUGACUCCUUCAACUCCUGUGUGAUCUGACUGACGAACUCCUGCGGGGUUGGCCCUCCUUGCUUUGCUCCUUCCUGAGGGAAACGUGUUCUGAAACACGCCUCCAAGCGGUGCCCAAGCGCCUCCCUCGUGACCUUAGCAAGGUCGAUGGCCCUCCAGGUGGGAGCCCCCGAGCCCUGCUUGAGGAGAGCGCUGGGCACGCCUCCCUAUGCGACAGAAGGAGGCACCCCCUGAGCAGGCGCAGACCCUGAGGGGCCUGCCUCCUGAGGGGUCGGGCCUGGCGAUGUCUUCUUCUUCUUGGGGGCGGUCUCAGGGAGCCUCCCACUCCCGCGAUCUGGGUCUUCAAGUGAUGCGGCCUGAAAAGCUCGUUCCAGGGAACACACCGCGUCUCUUUCUUCACAAGGCACCGUGAUGACUCCACCGCUUCCUGGCAUUUUGAGGACGUUGUAGCCGUGAUGAGUCACGGCCAUGAACUUGGCGAGAGCUGGGUAGCCAAGGAUGGCAUUGUACGGCAGGCGAAUGUGGGCAACGUCAAAGUCGAUGAGCUCGGUGCGGUAGUUGUUGCGUGCCCCGAAGGUGACAGGGAGGAGAACCUGCCCAAUUGGAACUGUGGAGCCGUCGGUGACUCCAGAGAAAGGCUUGGUUGGCUAAAGCUGAUCGUAAGGCACUUGGAGAUUGUUGAACGUCUCUACGGACAGGACGUUGAGCCCUGCCCCACCAUCGAUGAGGGUCCUGGUGGCUUGCACGUUGCUGAUGACUGGGGAGCAAAGCAUCGGGAGGACUCCGGCUGUGGCCGCGCACUUGAGCUGAUCCGCUGAGCAGAACGUGAUGGUGCAUGCUGACCACCUGAGGGGCGCGUGGCUUCAAGCUUAGGAAGGACUGCAUUCACUUCAUGGGCGAACUGCUUGAAGAUGCGUUGAGAGGCUGGGGCUUGAGCUCUGCCCAGGAUGCAGGCAAUCGCGCGCGGCUCCUGGAAGCCCCCAGCCCCCUCGUCCUGAUGAUGGUCCUCAUUUCUCCUUGGCUGUGGCGGCAGUGGAGGGAGGCCUGCGUUUCCUGGGCGAUCCUCGCGAGGCCGAUCCCUCCAGUCUCCCUCGCAAGGCUGAUCCUGCCAGCGAUCCUCGCGAGGUUGGUCGCGCCACCCUUGGCGAGGGCCGCGGUCUUCCCAGCGUCCUGUGUUCCUUCCUCCUCCUCGGCCAUAGCCGCGAUCAUUGCGGUCGGGGCGUCGGCCGACCCUUCCUUCUCGCACGGCUCGGAGCUCUUGGCAUUCGUUGGUGUUGUGGGUGUGGAGGUCGUGGUACACACAUUACCGGCUGCCCUUGAAAGACUCGUGUUGAUCUCUGCCCCGCUUGGUGUCUGGUUCCGCCGCGAGCACGGCAGCCCCCUUGCACUUCACGUCCUUGGCCUUGGAUUUCUUCUCUUCUGGGUCGGCGGCUGGCAGCUCGAGGAGGGAAAGGCACCCUUCCUCAGCCCUCGCGCACUUGGUUGCCAAGUUGAACAGCUCCAAGGAAGUGCACAGAUCUUCAUGCAUCGCCAGCUCCUCCUUCAUCUUGACGUCGCGCACGCCGUCGGAGAAGGCUGAGAUGAUGGCCUCCUCGGUCACCUUGGGAAUCUUGAGACAUGCGUUGUUGAAGCGCUGGAUGUACUUCUGCAGGGUCUCCCAUGGUUGCUGCUUGAUGCGGCGCAUGUCGCUCACGGUAGGUGGCCGGUCGCGAGUACCUUGGAUGUUGGUGAUGAAAUGGGUGCGCAUCUCGUCCCAGGAGGAGAUCGUGCCUGGCGCCAGGUUCAGGAGCCACGUGCGGGCCCCGUCCUUGAGUGCCAUGGGAAACCAGUUCGCCAUGACCUUCUCGUCCCCGUUGGCGGCUUCGAUGCCCAGCUCGUAGAGCUGGAGGAACUCCGCAGGGUCGAUCAUGCCGUCGUAGCGAGGAGGCAGGUCUGGCUUGAACUUGCAGGGCCACAAGACGCUGUGCAGCCCGACGGUGUAGGCGCGACAUCCUACCGUGGCCACGGGAGGCCUCUGGUGACGGGGAGCAUGGUCUUGCGGGUCCCCAUGCGCUGGAGCUGGGAGCAGCGCGCGCUGGGACAGGAGCGUGGUCGUGACGGACCGGUGCAGGGAGCACUCGGGCAGCUUCUUAGGGGCGAGGAACCUCUUGGCAGCUCCGCUCUUGCUGCACUGGCGCUGGACGGGGUGGGUUCCAUCCAGGGGCCACACGCCUUGGGGCCAGGGCGCCUUCUUGAGGAGGAGGCGGCUGAGGCGCCCCCAGAGCUUCAUUGCCCGCGCAGGGCGGGGUGCGGUGCAGCGAGAAGGACGGCGUGGGGGAGCCCCUGCGGCGCGGACGAGCUUAGUGACGCGGUCGAGCCACUCUUCAUAGACGUCGACUGGGCGGUAGCGCAGGAGCUCGUUUGCCGUGAUGAGCGCAGCUCGAGCCUCCAUGGCCGCGCGUGGCGCGCGGGACGAAGAACCAGCCGGGGCGAGCGAGGGAGUAGCAGUGAGGCCGUCUCGCCUCAUGGAUGGAUGCUGGGACGAUGCUUGCUGCUCGUUCCCCGCUGGGCCGGUGGCGGCGUUGACGGAAGGCGACGGGGAACGACGGGGGUGGCCGCCGACGGGGGCCGUCUGGGCGACGCAGGAAGCGAGAGCGGCUCGGCGCUCGGCGCGGGACUGACGAGCGUCUGACAUGGACGUGAUGGUCGGUGAAGAACAGGGCGGAAGAAGGCGAAUUCUGGCGCACCCCUAGCUGGCGCACCAAAUGUCGGAUUUCGGGUUCCGGCAGACCCUCUAGGUUCAAACUCUGGGGUGCAUGCGGAGAUUUCACCCUCUGCCUACCUGCACCUCACUGCCUCGCUAUGAACUAAGCAAUCAAGGAACAACACAAGAGACACAUAGUUUAUACUGGUUCAGGCCACCAUUGUGGUGUAAUACCCUACUCUAGUGUGUGGUGUGGUGGAUUGCCUCUUGGGAUGACGAUGAACAAUACAAGGGAGAACAGCCUCGCGAGGGUCUGUCCUUGGCUGGUGCGAUGAACUGCUAGGGGGAGUUCAGUCGCUCUCUCUACUGGUUUCCUAGUGAGGAUCCCAUCUCUAUCUGUUGAUGUUGUUGUCCGUUGUCUGUUGUUCGUUCUCCGUUUCUGUUGUUACUAGUCCUAUAUAUAGGCAAAGGCCCUGGGCCUCCUCCCAAAUAUUGAGCGGGAAGGGCGCCAACAAUUGGCCAUUUUGAAGGGGAACAUCUAGUACACUUAUCCUGACUAAAGUUGGUCCUCGCCUGCUAAAGGCUCUGGUGGUGACACCGGCUUGGGCUCCACGAUGACCUCCAUCCGGCCGUUCUGUUGGUCUUGGUCUUGUUGCACCGAAAUGGAUGCCUUUGCUUGAUGCUCUCACCUGCGCUUGCUCCCUUUGCACCAAAGAGGAAAGAAGGACACUGCGCGGGCUGGCGCCUGCCUGGCGCCCUUGGUCGUCAUGGCUUGCAUCAUGGACACCUCGUGAGGUACCCCGCCUUGAUCUCUCCGCCUCCUCGCGAGCCCGCCUGACGCGGCCGUGCCUGAGGAAGCCUCCUGUCAUCCGCCCCGCGAGGCUUGGCCCCUCGCGAGGGUCUUGAGCUCGUGUUGAUGAAGACGGGCCAUGCUGGGCUGCCCCUUGAGCCACGCCGCAGGCCGCAGGCAGGCAAGUCUGGGGACCCCCGUUCCUAGAACGCCGACAGUAUCCGGUAAGCAACUCCUUGCUAAUCAUAUCUCUGUAUGACUCCUAUCGGUCGGGAAGGUAUCUCAUACCCCGGCUCCCAACCUUCUUUGCCACAAGGCCCAAAACCGUUUUGAUAGCCUUGUGAAGUUAACCUGAUGUAGUGCAUGUCCAUGUCCGACAUGAACCCUUCAGUUGAAGGACACCUAGCAGCACCCCAAUUUUAUGAGCCUACUACUAGACGUACUUCACGUGCGAAGGUGCAACAUCGGGGAUGGCAUUUUGCUUGAUAUUCAUGAGGGAUCAUUCUACCAUUCUAACAUGCAUAGAAACAAAGAAGCAUAACAAUCACAAAUAAACACAUAUUGUGAAAUAGUAUGGCUCCUUCAUGGACGUUCUUCCAGGUCGGCUCCGACUCCGAUGACCAUCUAGAAACUCCAUCUUGUUUGUCCCGCCGGGACGCCAAGCCACCAACCUGAUCUCUAUUAUCCAACUACUACAACUAGUAAUGAAUUUUACAUAGAGUCACAAGUCGACACGCAGGUCGUUAUACAAUAUAAUGACAACACUUUGGCUCCUGCCGGCUGACAAACAUGACACGCAGGCCACGUAUAAAUUACACACAUGCAUCACAUACACAUGGGCCAUACUAUUCACAUCAAACCUACAAAACAAAGUUAUGCAUAGAAUUGCAUUCUACUGGUUUGUGUGUCAGGUACGAAAUACACGGCGCUACGCACACGGCGGUACAAGUGCACCGCCUCUAAUGGUAUCCGCGCGUGCAGGAGGAACACCAUGCGGUGGACUGCUAGGUCCAAUCACAUAGUCGGCGGCGAGUGGAGGUGGCUAUUCGCAACACAUGCAAACCCUAGUCGCAGUGCCGAAGUGAUCAAUCACAUGAGUGUGCUGCACCUCCACUUUAUAUAGGCGUCCGUCGCGGGCUCAACACUUGGGCCUCGCACGGACCCUAAAGCCCACAAGUCUACUCGGCCAUAAUCCGAAUACAGCUCGGACCACAUUCGACCAAUGUCCUCGGAUCCGACCUCGUAGGUUCCUUCCCUUAAGCGCGCAACCCUUUAGGUUCAAGUCGGCUUGGUCGCAGUUCGGGUCACCUCCGAACUGCACGGUUGGUAGCGGCCUCUAGCAAGGCAUGCCGAACACCAAGCAGACUGUGAAGCUGGUUAGGCGAACCUGUACAUCAUACUUUUGUUCCCUUUGCCACACGAUAUAUGUUGUCGGGCUCAAGGAGGGACUGUCAUCCUUGUGCUAGCCCGACCUCUUUCUCGUUCCAGUGAUACCGACCACUAUUUGGAUUAUCUCAUAAUCCUUAUCGCAUGGCCAUGCUUAUCCUGGUCGGAUCACACGAGGGGCCCAGGGUAUAUCUCUCCUGAUCGGAGGGGCAAAUCCCAUCUUGCUCGACCAUGUCUCACAGCAUGGGACUGGACAAACCCGAAACCUACCUUUGUAACUACCUAGUCACGGAGUAGCGUUUGGUCGGCCCAAAGCAAGUCUGUCACCAUCCCGAGCACAUGCGUCAGCUCAGGUCUUAGGACAUAGAACGUAUGUUGUACUAGAUACUCACAGAUGACAUAUCGCUGCGUCUCAUAGUUGGGUCUGUCCGACUCGGACCUUAUCUCAACUCGGAUCCGACUACGUCAAAUCCGACCAGACCUUUCCAAGUCCAUAUUAUCUGGUUAGAAUCCAAUGCUCCAUGGCUAGUGAGACAAAGCCAUCGACCGUGUCAUAUGCUAGUCUAGUCGGCUGCGCGUCCACACAACCCUUUCGACUAGGGACCUUUUAGGAUAGUCAUCAUACAAUGCAUAGUCUCACAAACAAGUCACGUACUUGCUGAUACACAUCAUUGAUAAUGUCCAAGGACUAUCUUUAUUCAUAAACACAUAGGAAAUAUCAUCAUACAUGAUUGCCUCUAGGGCAUAUCUCCAACACUCUUUUGUGCCCCUUAUUUGUGCACGGGCAAUCAGAGCCGCGCCCACGGCCGCACUUAAGUAGGGCAGAGACAGGAAAUCAGAGCCACAACACAGAAUCAAAGCAACGCCAUGAUAGAAGCACAAAGAGCCAGAAGGCGAAGUGGUUUCCCCCGCGGUAAGGUUCUUGCCAGGGCAGCCCCCACGGCCCCGGCAAGGCCCUUGCCGGGGCAGCCUACCUGACGCCAGCAGGGCAUGCCACCCUUGAGACCUGAUCCAUCCAGAGCCACCAUGCUGGCAUGCGGAUCUUUGUGAAGACAAGGAUAAUACUCCAAAUCAGAAGAGUAGAAGACGACGAACCUCGACGAGAUCUUCGCCGAGAAAACCCACAAGACCCCCGGCAAGAUCCUUGCUGGGGACGGCCGCAACACCAUGACGAGACCCUUGCCGGGGGCACCGGCAAGGCCCUUCCCGAGGACGUCCAUGAGACCACAGCCAGGCCCGCACCUGCCAAGCUUCUGCUACCACUCCCAUGUAGCUGCAAGCCCACUAGCUGGGCAGGCACCUGCGUGUCAGCACAAGGAUUCUUGGCCAAAUCAGUGCAUGCCUACGUGGUGGCAUGCAAAUCUUCGUGAAGGCCCUACCACCACGCCACCUCAGCAGCCUGCCAGCCUACAUGGCACCACCGCCUCGCUGGCCCAGGCGCGUGUCAAAGCAGGGUGAGGUGGCGGUAAAGUGGAGGGGACACAUCAGGGGCGCAUUAAAUGCACUUUGUCCCGUAAUGGCGAGGGAUAGGCUUAAUCACAGUGCCCCGAUGCCACCUCCUGUGUGCCACUGUGGCGAUCCCGUUGCCUAUAAAAGGAGGCCUGUGGCAUCCAGGAGAGGGAUUCAGACUUUUGAACAAGUUACGCCCAUUGUAGCUAGUUCAAGAACCUCAAGAACACAAAUACACACAUCCAAGCAGGACUAGGGUGUUACGCAUCUCUACGGCUCGAACCUGGGUAAACGAUCCGCGUACUUUACUGACUGCUGAUCCUGCUCUCCUCACCACCCAGCGCCCCGCAACCGAAGUCGGAAUCCUUCUGAUCCCAUAGGUGUCGUUUCCCACCGACAUCUUUGGCGCGCCUGGUCGGGGGCGCAGUAGUGAGCAUUCGGUUUAGCGGCUAGUAGCACAACUCUUCAUCGCCAUGGCUCCCGAGAACAAGACGACCAUAGCGAUCGGUUCAUCCGGGACCGGACUGCCUGUACCGGCAUUGACCAAUAGCGGGCCAGUCAUGGAGAGAACCCGUGGCGCAGCCCGCGAACAUCCCCAUCACCCUGGCAGUCCGGGCCUGGUGAGCGGUGUCGUUCGUGCGCUAGUCGAUGAGCCACACGUCGUGAACUCCAUAGAUGGAGUUGGGCCCCCCGCGGGCGGCGCGGGGCCCUCCAGGGGCGUCGUCGUGCCGCCAGACGGCGACGCGGCGACCUCCAAGACACCAACACCGGCGCCCACGGUGCGCUCUUCUCGGGUCGUGCUCGAUGAGCAGCCGCCCCGCUGGUGAUCCUGGGCGCCGCCCUGGGAAGAGUCCCGUGCGCUCUUCACGUGACGAGGAGGGCCAGCAUGCGCGCUGAGGUGUUGGCAGAGGUGGCGGACGGCCGCAGGGCCGUGAUGGAGCUCCUUCUAACGUAGUUAGAAGUCGAAGCGCAUCACGGUCCAUGCAGCUUUCGCCGCCGCCCACACCAGCAGAAGCCCUAGCGCGCGUAGCUGCUCCUCGACUUUCCUCCCGCUGCGGAGAAGCUCGACAAAUGGAGGGCCACUGUUCGGAGCCUCGUCGGCAUCACCAACAAAGAUGAGUUGUGACCGGCGGGGCCCGUAGGCCGUCGCUCCAUCGAGCCACCGCAUGCCAGCGGUGGACGGGCCGGAGGUGAUGCGGCCACGGUGCACUCCCCUCCUCCACACCAGCCACCGCAGGUGUCGGUCCAUCGCGAAGACGCUCAAGAUGAUAUUUCCAUAGCGUCGUCCAACCCACGAACCCACCGCGACCAGCGUCAAGUUCUUCAGGAGCGAGCUCAUGAAGACGCCCGAACCACCAUUGAGCGCCAACGUGAUGCACGCCACUAGUCGGACAGGCAGGCAGGGCCCACUAUGGACCACCCAACACCGGGAGGCUACGGCGGCCUACCUUAGGAGGUGGGUUGUUCGGCCUUCACCUGUGAGCUGCGGCAGUUCCAGUGGCCCUCCCACCGCACGUUCAAGCCCGACGUUGGCGAGAAGUACAACGACAAGACUCACCCGUCGGAGUUCCUCAGCAUCUACACCAUCGCGAUGCAAGUUGCCGGGGCUCGCGAUGAUAAGGUGCUUGCCAAUUACUUCCCGUUGGCACUCAAGUCCAAUGUUAUGUCAUGGUUGAUGCACUUGCCGAUGGACUCCAUUUCUUCUUGGUCGGAUCUGUGUCAUGAGUUUGUUGGCGCCUUUACUGGAGGCCACCAAGCUCAUGGCCAUGCGAGCGAUUUGCAUAUCAUCCCCCAGAAGGAAGGAGAAAACUUGUGUAAGUACAUCCAAAGGUUCAGCCGAGUGCAGUACAACAUCCCAGACAUUCAUCCUGCCGCCAUGAUCAGUGCAUUCCAUCAGAAUGUGCAUAACCGCAAGAUGCAUCAGGAGCUGGCAAUGAACAAGGUCAGGGUUGUGGCCGAACUUUAUGUUCUGGCUGAUCGGUACGCUCGAGCUGAAGAGGGGAGGAAGUACCCCGGUGAGGACGCCGGCGCGGAAACCGACUCCAUGGAUGACACCGCCACCCCGGCAAAGAAGGGCCGGCGCCGUAACAAGAAGCGCAGGGGCAAGACCGUGCUUGCCGUUGAGGGGUACGACGACACCGGCACCACCAAGAAGGCCAAUGCAAGCGACCUCGGCAAGGAGGUUGCCGGGUGCACCGCUUGCCGGGCCUUGGCGGCUGCCGACAAGCUAGGGGGCUCCGACAAGCAGUAUUGCAAGAUCCACAGCACCAAGGGACACGACCUCCAGAACUGCCGGCAAGUUGAGCUGCUCGCUGAGAAGCAAAAAGCUGAGUAUGAGCAGCGGGACAAGGAGAAGGGCCAAGAGGGUGCCGAAGGAUCCGGCAAGAAGCACGGCAGCCAAGGAGGCCGCUGCGGCAAAGAUAAUUAGCAGGAGAGGCCCGCCCGAGGCCGCGACAAGAAGCAGGAAGACGAUGAUCAUGACGAUGACGAUGAGUCCGGCGACCACGAGUUCUAGAAAGCUACAGAGGCCAUGUGCAUCGACGGUGGCGCCUCGCUGCAUGUAUCCCACCGCCAGCUCAAGCAGUGGGCGUGUGAGAUCAUGGCGGUGGAGCCGUCACUCGAUUCACGGAAGCCAUUGAAGUGGUCCAGCACGCCUAUCAUCUUCGACACCGAGGACCACCCUGACCGCGCCACUGCGUUCGGGUGCUUGCCGUUGUUGGUCUCACCAACAAUCUGCAACCUCAAGGUGAUGAAGAUGCUAGUUGACGGCGGGGCCGGUCUGAACUUGAUCUCACUUGUUGUGAUCAAGAGGCUGAAGAUCGCUGAUGGGGACCUCGAGGAGACGGGCACGUUCCAAGGGGUCAUUCCAGGGAGGAGCCAGCCGAAGGGAAAGGUCAUGCUGCCCGUGACAUUUGGAGUUGAGUUGAACUACAUGAUUGGAGAGGAUUGUCUUUGAUGUAGCCAAGAUCCCCUUGCCUUACAACGGGGUCCUCGGCCGCCCGGCACUAGCCAAAUUCAUGGCGGCUUCUCACUACGCCUACAACACGCUGAAGAUGCCCGGGCUGAUGAACAUCAUCACCGUCCCCUCCGACAAGAAAGACACAUUGAUUUGCGCCGACCAACUCUACCGGGAAGCGGUUGCAGCAGCUGCCGCAGCUGCCGCCAAGGCACCUGCUCCCGCCGACGGAGUCCCGGGAGGAAAGAAGACCGACGAGACUCCUCGCACCCACUCCAGCAAGCACACCUCCUCGGGGUGUAGCGCUCCCGUCAGAACGUGCUAGAGAGCUCCACCGGCAAGAGCAAGAAGUCCAGAGCUGCACCACCAGAGACCAAGAAGGUGUCCGUCAAGGAGGACAGCACGGGAGGGGCUUUUACCAUAAGCUCCACCCUCGAUGGCAAAUAGGAAAGCGAGCUCGUCACUUUCUUGCGGGCGAAUGUUGAUGUGUUUGCAUGGCAAGCAUCCGACAUCCUCGGCGUUCCCAGGGAAGUGAUUGAGCACCAUCUUGCUGUCUGUCCUCAUGCAUGGCUUGUCAAGUAGAAGGCCAGGAAGCAAGCUCUGGAGAGGCAGGAGUUCAUCACGGAGGACAUCAGAAAACUAGAGGCAGCAGGCUUGGUAAGGGGGGCGCUCCACCCGACAUGGUUGGCCAACCCGGUAGUGGUGCGCAAGGCAAACGGGAAGUGGAGACUGUGUAUUGAUUACACAGACAUCAAUAAAGCUUGUCCAAAGGAUCCCUUCCCGUUACCAUGCAUCGACCAGAUUGUUGACUCCACGGCCGGGUGUGACCUGCUAUCAUUCCUCGACGCCUACUCAGGGUAGCAUCAGAUCUUCAUGACAAGAGAAGACGAGGAGAAGACGACAUUCAUCACCCCAUGUGGUACGUAUUGCUUUUUACGAAUGCCUUUCGGGUUGAAGAGUGCUGGCUCGACCUUUGCAAGAGCAGUCCAAAUUGGUUUUGAGCCCCAGCUACAUAGAAUUAUGGAAGCUUAUAUGGAUGACAUAGUGGUCAAAACCAAGGACAAAGCAACACUUGUGCAAGAUCUGGAGGAAACAUUUGCAAACCUGCACAAGAUCAACCUCAAGUUGAACCCUGAGAAGUGUGUCUUCGAUGUCCCGUCCGGCAAGCUUCUCGGGUUCUUUGUGUCACAGCACGGGAUUGAGGCAAACCCAGACAAGAUCAAAGCCAUCGAGCAAAUUGAGGCACCUAGGCGGAUCAAAGACGUGCGUCGGCUCACUGGUUGCGUUGCCGCCAUGAGCAGAUUCAUCUCCAAGUCCACAGAGCGUGCCCUUCCCUUUUUCAAGAUCUUGAAGAAGGCGGGCCUGAUGUAGUGGACCCCAGAGGCUGAGGCAACGCUGCAGAGUUUGAAGAAAUACCUCUCCUCUCCCCCAGUGCUGGUAGCACCUAAACCACAAGAACCGUUGCUGCUGUACCUAGCGGCAACGAAUCAGGUGGUUAGCGCCGCACUGGUGGCACAGAGAGAGGUCGACGAAGAGGCAAUAGCAACGACAGAAUCAACGGAUGGCGAGCCAGAACCCUCCCCGGCAGGGCUCGGUCCCGGCAAGACUGAGUCCCCGGCAAAGGCUGACACCAGUGCAACCGGGCCCGCGCGACUAGGUGAAGUGGUGCAAAAGAAGAAAAUGGUGCAACACCCACUUUACUUCGUCAGCUCCCUCUUGCAGGGGGCUAGGUCGAGGUACUCGGGGGUGAAAAAAUUGCUCUUCGGCCUCCUUAUGGCCUCGAGGAAGCUGCGUCAUUACUUACAACCGCAUGAGAUCACCGUUGUCACCCGCCUCCCAUUGCAACGGAUACUUCAUAACCCAGAUGCAGCGGGGAGGAUUGUGGAAUGGGCCCUGGAGCUGUCAAGUUUUGGUUUAAAGUUCGAGAGCACCUCGACGAUUCAGAGCAGAGUCUUGGCGGAGUUCGUUGUAGAAUGGACCUUGACGCCCGACGAAGAGGUACACGAGACCACUCUCCCGGGCAAGGAAACGAGCUGCAACUGGAUCAUGUACUUUGAUGGGGCUUUUUCACUGCAAAGCACCAGUGCUGGCGUGCUCCUUGUCGCACCCACCGGGGAGCACCUCAAGUAUGUCAUCCAAAUGCACUUUCCCGGGAGAUGUCAACUAACAACACCGCCGAGUACGAGGGCUUGCUUGCCGGUCUCAGGAUCGCAGCAGAUCUCGGAGUUAAAAAGCUCAUCGUUAGGGGUGAUUCACAGCUCGUCGUCAUGCAAAUCAACAAGGAUUAUUAGAGCUCGCUGAUGGAAGCUUACGUCGAUGAAGUGAGGAAACUGGAGGAGCGUUUUUACGGGAUACAUGCGGAGCAUGUCCCCCGAGUGGAGAAUGACGUCGCCGACUAUCUGUCAAAGCGUGCUGCCCUCAAGCUACCUGUGGAACCAGGUACUUUUGUGCUUCGAUUAACUCAACCAUCCGUCGAACCAUCGACCGGGUAGAACAAGCAGAGGAAGCUAGGCCCCGGCAAGUACUUCCCUGUCGAGCUCCGUGGAGCCGCCGGCGAAGGAGUUUCCAUGGACGCCGAGCCUGCCAUGGGACAACCGACUCCAGCGGGGUGCCAGGCCCUUGCCGCGGAGGCAACCAUUCCCAUGACAGAGGAAAUGCCUUUGGUCCUCGCUGUCGAGCCACAGGCUCCGGCAUGGGCGCAGCACACCAUCCGAUUCCUCCAAAUAAGAGAGCUUCGUGAGGAGCAGGAAGAGGCAGAGAGGUUAGCCCGCCCGUCUGGUUUGUACCAAUUCGUUGACAAUGUCUUAUACAGAAAAAGACUGAAUGGGGUGAAAUUGAAGUGCAUCUCCCGGGAGGAAGGACUGGAGCUGUUGGCAGAGAUACAUGGAGGCAUAUGUGGCUCCCACAUAGGGUCGAGGGCCCUUGCUGGCAAGGUUUUUCGGCAAGGUUUCUUCUGGCCCACAGCCCUCCAGGAUGCGACGACACUAGUAACCAAGUGUGAAGCGUGCCAGUUCCAUUCGAAGAAACUUCAUCAGCCAGCUCAAGCCUUGUAGACAAUCCCUCUCUCCUGGCCAUUCUCGGUCUGGGGGCUGGACAUACUAGGCCCUUUAACCCGCGUCGUCGGGGGAUUUGAGUACUUGUACGUUGCAAUCGACAAGUUCACAAAGUGGCCUGAGGUGGAAGCAGUGAGAAAGGUGACAACGCAAUCAUCCAUCAAGUUCUUGAAGGGGCUAGUUUGCCGCUUUGGUAUACCCAACAGGAUCAUCACUGACAACGGCACACAGUUCACAAGCCACGCUGAUGUCUACUACACAACCUUCUUCUUGUAGACGUUGUUGGGCCUCCAAGUGCAGAGGUUUGUAGGACAGUAGCAAAUUUCCCUCAAGUGGAUGACCUAAGGCUUAUCAAUCCGUAGGAGGCAUAGGAUGAAGAUGGUCUCUCUCAAGCAACCCUGCAACCAAAUAACAAAGAGUCUCUUGUGUCCCCAACACACCCAAUACAAUGGCAAAUUGUAUAGGUGCACUAGUUCGGCGAAGAGAUGGUGAUACAAGUGCAAUAUGGAUGGUAGAUAUAGGUUUUUGUAAUCUGAAAAUAUAAAAACAGCAAGGUAACUAAUGAUAAAAGUGAGCGUAAACGGUAUUGCAAUGGUAGGAAACAAGGCCUAGGGUUCAUACUUUCACUAGUGCAAGUUCUCUCAACAAUAAUAACAUACUUGGAUCAUAUAACUAUCCCUCAACAUGCAACAAAGAGUCACUCCAAAGCCACUAAUAGCGGAGAACAAACGAAGAGAUUAUGGUAGGGUACGAAACCACCUCAAAGUUAUCCUUUCUGUUCUAUCUAUUCAAGAGUCCGUAGUAAAAUAACAUGAAGCUAUUCUUUUCGUUCAAUCUAUCAUAGAGUUCAUACUAGAAUAACACCUUAAGACACAAAUCAACAAAAACCCUAAUGUCACCUAGAUACUCCAUUGUCACCUCAAGUAUCCGUGGGCAUGAUUAUACGAUAUGCAUCACACAAUCUCAGAUUCAUCUAUUCAACCAACACAAAGUACUUCAAAGAGUGCCCCAAAGUUUCUACCGGAGAGUCAAGACGAAAACAUGUGCCAACCCCUAUGCAUAGGUUCAUGGGCGGAACCCGCAAGUUGAUCACCAAAACAUACAUCAAGUGGAUCACGUGAUAUCCCAUUAUCACCAUAGAUAAGCAUGGCAAGACAUACAUCAAGUGUUCUCAAAUCCUUAAAGACUCAAUCCGAUAAGACAACUUCAAAGGGAAAAAUCAAUUCAUCACAAGAGAGUAGAGGGGGAGAAACACCAUAAGAUCCAACUAUAAUAGCAAAGCUCGCGAUACAUCAACAUCGUGCCAUAGAGAGAACACGUCAGAGAGAAAGAGAGAGAGAUCAAACACAUAGCUACUGGUACAUACCCUCAGCCCCGAGGGUGAACUACUCCCUCCUCGUCAUGGAGAGCGCUGGGAUGAUGAAGAUGGCCACCGAUGAGGGAUCCCCCCUCUGGCAGGGUGCCGGAACGGGCUCCCGAGAGGUUUUUGGUGGCUACAGAGGCUUGCGGCGGCGAAACUCCUGAUCUAUCUUGUUAUUCAUUGUUUUUAAGGUAUAUGGGAUUAUAUAGGAGAAAGAAGUCGGUCGGGGGAGCCACGAGGGGCCCACGAGACAGGGGGAGUGCCCAGGGGGGUGGGCGCGCCCUCUUAUCUCCUGGCCUCCUCGAAGCUUCCCUGGCUUGUACUCCAAGUCUCCCGGAUCAUGUUCAUUCCAAAAAACACGCUCCCAAAGGUUUCAUUCUGUUUGUACUCCGUUUGAUAUUCUUUUUUCUUCGAAAUACUGAAACAUGCAAUAAAACAACAAUAUGGGCUGGGCCUCCGGUUAAUAGGUUAGUCCCAAAAGUAAUAUAAAAAUGUAUAAUAAAGCCCAUAAACAUUCAAAGCAGAUAAUAAUAUAGCAUGAAUGCUUCAUAAAUUAUAGAUACGUCGGAGACGUAUCAACAUCCCCAAGCUUAAUUCCUACUCGUCCUCGAGUAGGUAAAUGAUAAAAGAAAGAAUUUAUGAAGUGUGAAUGCUAGCAGGUGCACAAGUUUGUUCAAUGAUAAUUUCAAUCACCUUUUCUAGCAUGAUUAUAUGUCAUAACAGUGGUUCAUCUCAUAAAACUUCUCACGAACAAGCAACAAGCAAUUCACAUGUUAAAGCAUAGACCAUAAACUUUCUUGAAAACUAGCAAACUUCAUUCUCAGUCAUCAAACAAUUACGAUUCAUCUUAUUUUCAGGAAGGGUCUAUGUCAGAGCUUUGAUUUAGCAAACUCCACAUACUCAACUAUCAUAUAGUCUUCUACAAUUGCUAACACUCACGCAAUACUAAUGGUUAUGGAGUUUUAAUCGGACACUGAGAAAGAUAGGGGCUUAUAGUGUUGCCUCCCAACGUAUUCACCUUUGGGUGAUGUCAACAAUAAUAGUUCAUGCUAACUUACAUCCAAUUGGAUAUAUAUAUCAGGAUCUUCCCAACACGAGGUGCUUGCCAAAGGAUAAAAUGAAAAAGGGAAAGGUGAAGAUCACCUUGACUCUUGCAUAAAGUAAAAGACAUAAAGUAAAAUAUAUGCCCUUCACAGAGGGAAGCAGAGGUUGUCAUGCGCUUAUGGUUGGAUGCACAAAAUCUUAAUGCAAAAGAACGUCACUUUAUAUUGCCACUUGUAUAUGGACCUUUAUUAUGCAGUCCGUCGCUUUUAUUGCUUCCAUAACAAGAUUGUAUAUAGCUUAUUUUCUUCACACUAAUAGAUCAUACAUAUUUAGAGAGCAAUUUUUAUUGCUUGCACCGAUGAAAACUUACUUGAAGGAUCUUACUCAAUCCAUAGGUAGGUAUGGUGGACUCCCAUGGCAAAACUGGGUUUAAGGAUGUCACAGCCCUAGAAUAAUGUUUGUAAUUAGUGGCAUUGCAUCCAUGCAUCAUGUCUAAAUUCUGAAAGUUGAACUGAGGAAAUUUGAAAGCCUCAAAAAUUCAAUUAAAAGAAGGGCAAAUAACCCUGGAAAAUGCAUCCAAUGUUUCCAGAAUGCACUUCAAUGAUGUUUGAUAUUUUUUUACAAGGGUUCUGACCCAAACCAAAAAUAUGGAACAUUUUUUAGGAAUUAUUUUGGCCAUUUGGAUUUAAAUCAAUAAGUAUUUGAGUUGGAUUUAAUUCUCCAAUAAAAGAAUUAUAAGUCCAACAAUUCUGAAAAAUUGUGAGUGACUUUGAAUACUUUGUAUCAAGCCACAUAAAUCUUUUCAGAAGCUACUAAAAUGAUUUGAUUUUUAAAUUGAAUAAAAACAAACUUCAGGAAAUAGAAAACAAAAAGAAAUAUGAAAAAUCAGAAAGGAGAAGGGAGAAGCUACCUGGGCCUUACCUGGCAGCCCAGCAAUCGGCCCAGCCGACUGGCUCUGCCAGUCAUCCCCUUCCUCCCGCCAGUGUGCACUGUGCGUGGCGCACGCAGAGGAGGCGAGGGCCACCUCCUGCUUCGCGCUGGAGGCUUGUCCUCCUUCCUGACCCCACUUCUGGAGAUGCCUAGAGCCCCCUGGACCCCCUCGCUCUCUUCCUCUCCCUCGUUCCCCUCCUCUGUCUCGUUCUCUCACACACACCCGAACACGUCGUCGCCACGGCUCGCUGUUGCUGCGUCCACCGGCCACCCCUUGCGCUAAAAGCCAUCCCAGAAGCUCCGCCUCACCGCGCUUCUUUGCCUCAUCGACUGAAGGGACCCCGGGAGGUCGACAGCAUCGCCAGGAUUGCCAUCUUUGCCGCCUACUGCCGCACCUCGCCGUCGUCGAUUCACGGGCUCCAGUGCAUCCCCGAGCCAACUGACCUACCCAACCGACCCGCGGUGAGCCCCUGAGCGUCUCCCCUCUCCCCUUUUGCUCGCUUCCAUGCCGUAGCGCCGUUCCUCGCCGUGACCGAAGCCGCCCUCCGCCGUGGCCGUUGUUCCUGUAGCGACCGUGCUUCUCCGCUCGGAUCCGUGCACCCCGCAGGCUCCUGGAGCAACCAGGAGGCCAAUGCCACCCCUAGCCGGCUUCCUUGCGAGCUGCGGCCCCGCAGCCGCACACCUCCAAGCUCCGGCCGCCGCCCGGCUCGUUGCCUCCGCCAUUAUAGGCUGCCCCAGUGCACCACGCGGCCACCACCGCUUGCGCCACACCGCCAGCUCUCCGUAGCUGCAAACCGCGCACGAAAUGGCGCUCUACAGCGCCGUCCCGAGCAAUGCCGGCGAGCCACCGCCGCGGGAUUUGGUCGUCGAUGGCUAACCGCCGUUUUGGAUGACGUGGCACUUAGUUAGGAGCUAAUCACCCGGUUAACUAAUCCAGUGACACUGACAGUGGGCCCAGCCCGGCUAAAUAUCUUGUUAGAUUUUUAACUAAUUGUAAUUAGUCACUGUGACACUGACAUGCGGGUCCCACGGCCAGGUUUGACCGCUGUUGACUUGAUGACAUCACCCUGACGCAAUGCUGACGCAAUAAAUCAUUUACUGGAUUUAUUCUUAUUCAGGAAAUUCCAGAAAAUGCUUCAAACUUCAACAAUUCAUAGAAAAUUACCUACAACUCCAAAUGAAAUAAGUUAUAUAUGAACAAUGAUCAGAAAAAUCCAAUCUAUCCAUAUGUACUAGUUUCAUGCAUGUUUAACAAGCUAACUUGCUGUUUAGUGCAAAACAUGAUAAAGCACUAUUUAAGAUCACAAGUGAGUUUGAACUUUGAAUCUUUGGUUCAAAAUAGCUCAAACCCAUUUGGUUGUAGUUGCCUUAGCCGAACACACUCAUUUUACCAUGUCAUGAUCAUGCAUCAUAUUGUUGCAUUGCAUUGAUUGUGUUUUCUCUCUGUUGCCAGUAAAUGUCCCCCUAGUAGACGUGGUUCCGACGAUGAGAUCGAUGACACCGAUGAAGAGCUAUAUUAUCUUCAGAAGUGCCAGACAAGCAAAACCCCCUUGUUCAUUUCGAUACAAUCCCACUCUCUUGCUCCUGCCCUAUUUUACUGCAUUAGGACAACAACGAUACAACUGUUACUUGCUGCGGUAGUUGAACCCCUUUAUCCUCUGCAUGACCUGUCAUUGCCACAGUAAAUAGAUGAAACCCACUAGCAUGAGUAGGAGUUGUUUGAGCCCUGAUGUGCCUACUCAUUCAUGCUUGUUGUCAUGCCUGCUACUGCUUAGAGUUGAGUCAGGUCUGAUUCAUCGGGGAUGAAUUGGAAUGUGGUGUACAUGUCCUACUGUGUGUGGUCUAAGAGUGUGAACAUGAUUUGGUAAAGGUAGCGGUGAGAGGCCAUGUAGGAGUACAUGGUGGGUUGUCUCAUUGCAGCCGUCCUCAGGAACUGAGUUCUGUGUUUGUGAUCCAUGAACAGCUACUACCACACAUUGGGAUCCUUAAUUGACUCUCUCGACUUAUUAACCAACUUGAUCUCUGUCCAGGAGUUGCAACUAGUUUCUGGUGUUUGUAGGUAGUGUUAGUAGUCUACCAAGUGGCACCCGGUACAGGUGGGCUUGGGACAGACUAGGCACAGUGGCCCGGUGUACCAAGUGGCACCCGGAUGGUGGGCUUGGGAACCCUGCACACAUCAUUUGGGGCCGUGAGCGACACCCCUGCCGGAUCUCCUUGCGGAUGGAACCCGAAUAGGCGAUAAACCUGGAUGAGAGACUUGUGUGGUUAGUCAGGUCGUGGCCGACUCCCUCGCCAGGCUUCCGCUUGAAGGUUGCCGAGAUACACGAGGUGUACAUGGCGGUAAGUGGCGAGAGCGUGUGUGAAGAAGUACACCCCUACAGGGUUAAUAUGAUCUAUUCGAAUAGCCGUGUCCGCGGAAAAGGACUUCUGGGUUACCUGUACAGUUCAUAGACAAGUGAAAGUGGAUACUCUAAAAUACGCAAGAUAAGCGUGAGUGCUAUGGAUGGCAUUCUUGUAGGGAGACGGGAGCGGAUCCAUAGUGGUGUAUUGAUAUGGUGAAUAUGUGGACUCGUGUGCGCCACCUCAAAGAGUUACAUUGCAGUCGUAGUUCAGGAUAGCCACCGAGUCAAAGCUGGCUUGCUGUAGUUAAACCCCACCAUCCCCUUUGUUGAUAAUGAUGCAUAUGUAGUUAGUUCUGAUGUAAGUCUUGCUGGGUACAUUUGUACUCAUGUUUGCCUAUUUUAUGUUUUGCAGAGACUUCCGUCUCACUAGUAGUUCCGCAUGGACUUCGACGUUUAGCUUGUUACCUUAGCUACGAUCUUGUGCCCUCGGCAGGAUCUGGUAGUUAGUCAGGUUUCUUAGCCUUUUUCAUUUGUAGUUGUCUGUACUCAGACAUGUUAAGCUUCCGCAUGUGCUUUGACUUGUAUGCUCUGAAUGUUGGGUCGUGAGACCCAUGUUUGUAAUAUCUCGCUCCUCGGAGCCUAUUGAAUAAAAUACUUGAGUUGUAGAGUCAUGUUGUGAUGCCAUGUUGUAUUUGCACAUAUCGAGCAUAUUGUGUGUAUGUUAUUGAAAUGCUUGGUAUGUGUGGGAUCUGACUAUCUUGUUGUUUAUCCUUAGUAGCCUCUCUUAUUGGGAAAUGUCUCCUAGUGCUUCCACUGAGCCAUGGUAGUUUGCUACUGCUCCGGAACACUUAGGCUGGCCGGCAUGUGUCCUUCUUCGUUCAUGUGUCUGUCCCUUCCGGGAAAUGUCACGCGAUGAAUACCGGAGUCCUGUUAGCCCGCUACAGCCCGGUUCACCGGAGUCCUGCUAGCCCAGUGCUACAACCUAGAUUCACUCGCUGAUGACCGACACGUUCGAUGCUGGGUCAUGGAUGCCUGUCCCUGUAAGUUUGUGCCACUUUGGGUUUACGACUAGCCAUGUCAGCCCAGGCUCCUUAUCAUAUGGAUGCUAGCGACACUAUCAUAUACGUGUGCCAAAGGGUGCAAACGGUCCCGGGCAAAGGUAAGGCGACACCCGUGGGGAUACCGUGCGUGAGGCCGCAAAGUGAUAUGAGGUGUUACAUGCUAGAUCGAUGUGGCAUUGAGUCGGGGUCCUGACAAAGGAUAUUUGGAAGCACAAGUAGUAUCUCUACUUGGUGCAAGGAUUUUGGCUAGCAUGAGGGGGAAAGGCAAGCUCAACAUGUUUGAAUGAUCCAUGACAAUAUACUUUAACUGAGAUGUGAGAAAACAUAACCCAUUACAUUGUCUUCCUUGUCCAACAUCAACUCUUUAACUUAUCAUACUUAAUGAGUGCUCAUAUUAUAAAAGAUGUCUAAGAUAGUAUAUUUAUAUGUGAAAUCUCUCUUCCUUCAAUAUUCUUUCAUGAAUUGUUCACAUGACCAAUACAAUGCUUGCUAACCUUCAAUAAAUUUACAACCUCUACUUUUUAGAUGUGAAGUCAUUACUCCCCAUGGGAUAAGCAAAUGAGACAUAUAUAAUUUUAGAUUUAUGACAUUCAACUCAAUCAACCAUUUACUCAAAGGAUAUAAGUGAAGCACACGAGUAAAUGACAAACUACUCCAAAAAGAUAUAAGUGAAGAUCAAUGAGUAGCUAAAUAAUUAUGUAACUAUGCAAAAACUCUCUCUCCUUUAAGAAUUUCAGAUCUUGGUAUUUUAUUCAAACAGAAAGCAAAACAAAAUAAAAUGACAUUGCAAGGAUAGCACAACUCAUGUGAAGAAGCAAAAACUUAGGUUCGGCCAAUACUAACCGAUAAUGGUUGAAGAAGAAAGGUGGGAUGCCUACCGGGGCAUCCCCAAGCUUAGAUGCUUGAGACUUCUUGAAAUAUUAUCUUGGGGUGUCUUGGGCAUCCCCAAUCUUGAACUUUUGUGUCUCCUUAAUUCCUCUCAUAUCAUGGUUUCUCUUUUUAUCAAAAGCUUCAUCCACACCAAACUCAACAAGAACUCGUGAGAUAGGUUAGUAUAAACCAAUGCAAAACCUUAUCAUUUUCUACUGUAACAAAUCACUAAAAUUAUUAUUCAACAUUGCAUAGUAAAUUCCUCUGCAUAUUUAAUACUCCUAUCCUCAAAUAGAAUCAUUAAACAGGCAAACAUAUGCAAACAAUACAAACAUAACAGCAAUCUGCCAAAACAGCAUAGUCUGUAAAGAAUGCAUGAUUCAUCAUACUUCCCUAACUCCAAAAAUUAUGAGAAAAAUACUACACUGUAGAAGAUUUAUCAGAUCUCAAUACGCAAAAAGUUUCAACAUUAUAUCAUUCUCUGACUUUUCUAGGGAAUUUUUGCAACAGCGGUAAACUUUCUGUUUUCAAACAACAACAUGUAUACUAGCAAAAUAAGCAUGGUAAAGGCUAUCCUUAACAUUUUUAUUGAAAAUAAAGAUGCAAAACAUUAUUCUAAAUAACAGCAAGCAAAUACUAACAAAAGAUAAUGACGCUCCAAGCAAAACACAUAUCAUGUGGUGAAUAAAAAUAUAGCUCCAAGUAAAUUUACCGAUAGACGAAGACGAAAGAGGGGAUGCCAUCCGGGGCCUCCCCAAGCUUAGGCUCUUGGUUGUCCUUGGAUAUUACUUUGGGGUGCCUUGGGCAUCCCCAAGCUUAGGUUCUUGCCACUCCUUAUUCCAUAGUCCAUCGAAUCUUCACCCAAAACUUGAAAACUCUACAACACAAAACUCAACAGAAAACUUGUAAGCUCCGUUACUAUAAGAAAAUAAAACCACCACUUAGGUACUGUUGUGAACUCAUUAUAAAUUCAUAUUGGUGUAAUAUCUACUGUAUUCCAACUUCUCUAUGGUUCAUACCCUCCGAUUCUACUCAUAGAUUCAUCAAAAUAAGCAAACAACACAUAGAAAACAGAAUCUGUCAAAAACAGAACAGUCUGUAGUAAUAUGUAUCAAACGUAUACUUCUGGAGCUCCAAAAUCCCUACCAAAUUAUGAAGACCUGGUCAAUUUAUGUACCAAUCCAUAGCCAAAAGAAUAAGAUCAAAAGCACGUUUCUGUGAAUUAUCAGAACUAAUUUACUGUGUGCAAAAGUUUCUGAUUUUCAGCAGGAUCAACACAACUAUCACCGUAAGCUAUCUUAAAGGUCUUACUUGGCACUUUAUUGAAACAAAAGAUAUAAAACAUGAUUACUACAGUAGCAUAAUCAUGUGGACACACAAAAAUAGUAGGGGUAAAUAUUGAGUUGUCUCCCAACAAGCGCUUUUCUUUAAUGCCUUUCUAGCUAGGCAUGAUGAUGACAAUGAUGCUCACAUAAAAGAUAAAAAUUGAAGCGUAACGGGAGCACCAUGAAGCAUAUGACUAGCACAUUUAAGUCUAACCCACUUCCUAUGCAUAGGUAUUUUGUGAGCAAACAAUUAUGGGAACAAUAAUCAACUAGCAUAGGAAGGCAAAACAAGCAUAACUUCAAGAUUUUAAGCAUAUAGAGAGGAAACUUGAUACUAAUGCAAUUCCUACAAGCAUAUGUUCCUCCCUCAUAAUAAUUUUCAGUAGCAUCAUGAAUGAAUUCAACAAUAUAACCAACACAUAAAGCAUUCUUUUCAUGACCUACUUGCAUAGAAAUUUUAUUACUCUCCACAUAAGCAAAUUUCUUCUCAUGAACUGUAGUGGGAGCAAACUCAACAAAAUAAUUAUCAUGUGAGGCAUAAUCCAAUUGAAAACUAAAAUCAUGAUGACAAGUUUCAUGGUUAUCAUUAUUCUUAAUAUCAUACAAGUCAUCAUAAUAAUCAUCAUAGGUAGCAACUUUGUUAUCAUAAUCAAUUGGAACCUCUUCUGAAAUAGUGGAUUCAUCACUAAAUAAAGUCAUGACCUCUCCAAAUCCACUUUCAUAUUCAUCACAAUAAGAUUCAACAUCCUCAAAAAUAGUGGGAUCAUUACUUCCUAAAGUUGACACUCUUCCAAACCCACUUUCAUCAAUAUAAUCAUCAUAAAUAGGAGGCAUGCUUUUAUCAUAAUAAAUUUGCUCAUCAAAACUUGGGGGACUAAACAUAUCAUCUUCAUCAAACAUAGCAUUCCCAAGCUUGUGGCUUUGCAUAUCAUUAGCAUCAUGGAUAUUCAAGGAAUUAAAACUAACAACAUUGCAAUCAUGCUCAUCAUUCAAAGAUUUAGUAUCAAACAUUCUAUAGAUUUCUUCUUCUAGUACUUGAGCACAAUUUUCCUUUUCAUCAUACUCACGAAAGAUAUUAAAAAGAUGAAGCGUAAUAGGCAACCUCAAUUCCAUUUUUUGUAGUUUUCUUUUAUAGACUAAACUAGUGAUAAAACAAGAAACAAAAAGAUUCGAUUGCAAGAUCUAAAGAUAUACCUUCAAGCACUCACCUCCCCGGCAACGGCACCAGAAAAGAGCUUGAUGUCUACUACACAACCUUCUUCUUGUAGACAUUGUUGGGCCUCCAAGUGCAGAGGUUUGUAGGACAGUAGCAAAUUUCCCUCAAGUGGAUGACCUAAGGUUUAUCAAUUCGUAGGAGGCGUAGGAUGAAGAUGGUCUCUCUUAAGCAACCCUGCAACCAAAUAACAAAGAGUCUCUUGUGUCCCCAACACACCCAAUACAAUGGCAAAUUGUAUAGGUGCACUAGUUCGGCGAAGAGAUGGUGAUACAAGUGCAAUAUGGAUGGUAGAUAUAGGUUUUUGUAAUCUGAAAAUAUAAAAACAGCAAGGUAACUAAUGAUAAAAGUGAGCAUAAACGGUAUUGCAAUGGUAGGAAACAAGGCAUAGGGUUCAUACUUUCACUACCUCAACAUGCAACAAAGAGUCACUCCAAAGCCACUAAUAGCGGAGAACAAACGAAGAGAUUAUGGUAGGGUACGAAACCACCUCAAAGUUAUCCUUUCUGUUCUAUCUAUUCAAGAGUUCGUAGUAAAAUAACAUGAAGCUAUUCUUUCCGUUCAAUCUAUCAUAGAGUUCAUACUAGAAUAACACCUUAAGACACGAAUCAACCAAAACCCUAAUGUCACCUAGAUACUCCAUUGUCACCUCAAGUAUUCGUGGGCAUGAUUAUACGAUAUGCAUCACACAAUCUCAGAUUCAUCUAUUCAACCAACACAAAGUACUUCAAAGAGUGCCCCAAAGUUUCUACCGGAGAGUCAAGAUGAAAACAUGUGCCAACCCCUAUGCAUAGGUUCAUGGGCGAAACCCGCAAGUUGAUCACCAAAACAUACAUGGAUCACGUGAUAUCCCAUUGUCACCACAGAUAAGCAUGGCAAGACAUACAUCAAGUGUUCUCAAAUCCUUAAAGACUCAAUCCGAUAAGACAACUUCAAAGGGAAAACUCAAUUCAUCACAAGAGAGUAGAGGGGGAGAAACAUCAUAAGAUCCAACUAUUAUAGCAAAGCUCGCGAUACAUCAAGAUCGUGCCAUAGAGAGAACACGAGAGAGAGCGAGAGAGAGAGAGAUCAAACACAUAGCUACUGGUACAUACCCUCAGCCCCAAGGGUGAACUACUCCCUCCUCAUCAUGGAGAGCGCCGGGAUGAUGAAGAUGGCCACCGGUGAGGGAUCCCCCCUUCGGUAGGGUGCCGAAACGGGCUCCCGAGAGGUUUUUGGUGGCUACAGAGGCUUGCGGUGGCGGAACUCCCGACCUAUCUUGUUCUUCGAUGUUUUUAGGGUAUAUGGGAUUAUAUAGGCAAAAGAAGUUGGUCAGGGGAGCUACGAGGGGCCCACGAGAUAGGGGGCGCGCCCAGGGGGGUGGGCGCGCCCUUCUAUCUCCUGGCCUCCUCGAAGCUUCCCUGGCUUGUACUCCAAGUCUCCCGGAUCAUGUUCGUUCCAAAAAUCAUGCUCCCAAAGGUUUCAUUCUGUUUGGACUCUGUUUGAUAUUCCUUUUCUUCGAAAUACUAAAACACGCAAUAAAACAACAAUAUGGGCUGGGCCUCCGGUUAAUUGGUUAGUCCCAAAAGUAAUAUAAAAUGUAUAAUAAAGCCCAUAAACAUUCAAAAUAGAUAAUAAUAUAGCAUGAAUGCCUCAUAAAUUAUAGAUACGUUGGAGAAGUAUCAACGCCUUCAUGCAGUACAUCGAGGAUCUCGGCAGCAAGGUCUGUUUUGCUUCCGUGGCACACCCACGAAGCAACAGCCAAGCAGAGAGAGCAAAUGUUGAAGUUCUACGAGGCUUAAGAACGGAGGCUUUUGACAGGCUGCACAAGAGUGGAAGGCGCUGGAUUGACGAGUUGCCGGCGGUUCUUUGGUCGAUCAGAACGACACCAAAUCGAGCCACCGGUCAGACACCCUUUGCCCUUGUCUACGGGGCAGAAGCAGUUCUCCCCAUGGAACUCAUAUAUGGGUCACCUCGAGUGGUCGCUUAUGAUGAGCUUGAUCAAGAGCGAUUGCGGCAAGAUGAUGCAAUGUUCCUUGAGGAAGAUCGUCUCCGAGCGGCUGUGAGGGCAGCAUGCUACCAGCAAGCCUUGCAUCGCUACCAUAGCCGCAAGGUUCAUGCCCGGAGCUUUGAGGAAGGCGACCUUGUUCUUCGGCACGUUCAGUCGGCCAAGAAUUCCAAAAAGUUGACGCCAAAGUGGGAAGGCCCUUAUCGGGUAACACGAGUCAUCAGGCCGGGCGCAGUCCGCCUGGAGACCGAAGAUGCCAUUCCGGUGAGCAACUCCUGGAACAUCGAGCAUCUUCGCAAGUUUUACCUGUAAGGCACGGCUGUCGGGCCCCCCGGCAAGCCACCUUUUGUACAAGCCUUGUCAGCAAGGCAUGUAACCCUUUGUACAAAGCCAGGCGCAGACCCUGAGCAUAAAUAAGCGAAGCGCUGGCGCCCUAAGUUAUAGCAGGCAUGCUAGAUUGAGUCUCUCCCUCGGUUAGGGUUGAUAGUGCUUAGCGGCGACUAACCCCUAGCAUAGAGGUCGAGUUUGCAUCAUUUUGUUCCUAUCCAUCCUCUUUGGUAUGCAGGGUACAUGAAUGUUUCCGCCAAGCCAAGUGGAAGGAAGAGAACAAGCCGGCGCUCCGGACCCGGCAAGCCAAGCUUGCCGAGGGCUGAAGACACGAGGGUCCACACACGGCAAGUCAGGGCUGCCGGGGGCUGCAGAUCGGGAUAGGUUUUCCCAUUCCCUGUCAUGCAUUUCCGUAUGAAACUUGGGACGUACAGAACCUCGUUUUGUUCGAAAGCUGACGUGCUCCCCUCGUUCCUAUCACCCAAGAGCUUCUUGGUUCAAAAUAUGGUUACAGUCAUGGCGGCAAGGAAGCAAGCAUAGGGCCCACCCCCACUUCGUCCUUGCCUUCGCCAAAGGCGUGAGUAUGGACGGACGGAGCAGGGGAACGGCAAGGCCUACUGCCGGGCAGCAGUGUUUAUAUUGAAAAUAACAAGGAUUUGUUCCUUGGUAUGGGCUUUGCUCACACGCACACACAAGACCCAACAAGCACCCAUUUUCCAUUAAUACGUUCCAUACAUGUACAAUUCGUACGGAAUGUAAACAUGAACAGGAAGAUUACAUGUUUUAGAUCUAAAUGAGGCCCGUGGGCUUACAAAUUGAAAAAAAGAUAAGAUGCCCGUAAUCCCUUUCUUGUCCCUCUCCUCAGGAAAUGAAACAAGAAGACAAAAGGGUAGAAUGAGCGCCUAGGCGAGGUACGAGCAACAGUAGGUGCCAAGAGAACAUGUCGGCGGUCGCCUAGGAGAGGGUCGGCGGUGGUGGCACCGGAGGAAGAGCUGGAAGAUGAGGCAGCGGUCCGUCAAUACGCUACAAAGGUGUCAUGGAAUUAACACGUCAGAUGUCCUCAUGAAAGGACUUAGUCGUGGAGCCAUCACAACGGGUUAGCUUGAAGGGGUUAAACCGGACAAGGGAUACGGGAGUUUUAUACUAGUUCGGCCCCUUCGAUGAAGGUAAAAGCCUACGUCUAGUUGUGAUGGGAUUGAUUGAGUUUCGAUGACCAGGGAGCGAAAACGCUUGCCUGAGUCCCGAGUUGUUGUUUCUUGUCCCUGAACCGCCGCUGAGUCUUCCCUUUAUAUACAUAGGUUGACGCCCGGCCGGUCUACAGAUCCCCGAGGCCAACUCAUACAAGGUGUCCGGCUCGGUCUAUCCUUUCCUAACUUACAUUACAAGUUACAUAGUCAUGGCGGUUUACCAUUAUGGGCCCUAAUCCGCCUUUGGGCUUCGGGCCUCUAAGCUUCAUUAAUAAAGCACCAUCUUCUAGAUCUUCAUGGGCUUCAACAUAGUCGAGGGUGAACCGGGCCCUCCUGGCUGGUUUACACUCAGUAGUUAUAUCCCCAAGAUUAGGCCCCAGAUUGAUUUGAACCUAUUCAUGUCAAUCUUCAACACUUCAAAGAAAUCUUGUAAACAUCUCCUUAUAUUCUUGUAAACCGCCAUGUUUACUUCCUGUAACUUUUGUUAAACUGCCAUGACGUCAUCCUCUGGACAUAGUAACGGCCAUCAUGACGUCAUCUCUGCAUAAAAAAGAUUAAAAAGAUUCCCCUCAUUUAAUGAUAUCCUGAAAAUCAAGGCGACAGGCGCACCCUCUCUGCCGCUUCAGGCUCCUCGAUUCUUGGGCCUGCCCUUUAUCUCUUUCUCCUUAUAAAUAAAGCCCGAGGGUCCUUUUCUUUCUUCCCCUUCCGUGCCUUUCUUCUUCCUCGCGAAGCCCGAGCUCUGAAGCUCCACCGCCGCCCUCGACCCUUGAGAACUUCAUCGACAAAGGACGCUGCAUCAACCUGAAAUGGACCAGAGUUCGCCGCAUCUCUCCGCAGUAGAUCUGCACUGGUAAGUUUCCUCCUUCCCGCAUCGUUAGAUCUGUGCUAGGGUUCAUGAGUUCGUCUGUACAGUUCUUCAUUUUUCCUUCUUAGUUCUUUGUUUUUCCUUCUGCCGUGAUUGCUUCAUUCCAAUAGUAGCGCAAAUCUCGUGCGGUAGUUACUCUGCAUCCAUUUUUAGUACUAGUAGAUCUUUCCUUUCUUUUGUAGAGUGCACGACCUUCUCUGUUCUUGCUUAACGCCAUUAUAAGUCGCAGUAAUUUUUCUUUACUGAAGCAUGGUAGAUCCAAAUAAAUUUCAUCCUUGUGUGGAACCUGUUUCUGCCAACACUUAGCAAAUUUUCAUUUCUGUCUCCUCCUCCUAAGGGCGGUUUAACAUUUUAGCAAAUGGUAAUCCGCCACCUAUCAUUAGCCCUCGCUUUAAACCGCCAGUUUGAUCUGAAUAGCAGCUUCCAGUUUAUUUCACACAUAUGCCUUGAUCAAAUUUUCCGGUUUAAUAGCAACUAAUACUUCUUGAACCAUCAAUUGUAAACCGGCCUUCAUUUUACCUUUACACUUUGCUGUUCAAGAUGACCAAACAAUUCGCCGCUUGCAAUUGGGUUCCGUCCCGGAUCACAAAAACGCAGAUCAAUGGAUAUGUAGUGACGGGCGCUUUAGCAUCAAAAAAUGUCCUGCACUGGCGAGUUCCUGGCCCUGAGUGCCCUCCUGAGCCUCAGGAUGGCAAAGUUAUUGUUUUUAUGCAGCACUUAGACCGGGGCUUCAGCCCUCCCGGAUCAAAAAAUUUCCGGGAUGUCCUUGCGAGCUUUCAACUCCAUCCGCAAGACAUUGUCCCAAAUUCUGUAUCAAAUAUAUGCAACUUUCAAGUAUUUUGUGAAGUUUACCUUCAAGAGGAACCUUCUAUCGAGCUAUUCCGGGAUUUCUUCCACUUAAACCGCUGAACCGAGUUUUCUGAUGGCCCUAAUACAGAACUUGGCGGGGUAUCAAUCCAGAAGAGGAAGGAGGUUGAUUUCCCACAUGCAUCACACCACAGUCAUCCCAAAGACUGGAACCAAACUUGGUUCUACUAUCAAAACACUGCCCCUGCUAAAGAGAAUCCCUUGCCAGGUUACUACCCUCAUCGGCUUAGAAAUGGCCACCCGUUACCUAAACGUUUAACUGCCAGAGAGAGGCAAACUUAUGCCCCUCAACUCACCAAGCUCCAGGCUCUCAUGGCCAAUGGAUUAACUGGCGUUGAUCUUGUCCGCUGGUGGGUUAAAUGGCACAUCCUGCCCUUAAGUCGCCGUUCUGGAUUAAUGCAUGAGUACACUGGCAACUCCAACGAUCCUCAACGGUUUACUGAGAUAGAGGUGACCGAUGACGAAGUCACCGAAUCAGUAAAGAAGAUGUUAGACGAACCCAUCACCAUAUGUAGUCAAACUGGGCUAGCUCCUUUUUACACUGCCAACAAACCGCCAGCAGUAAGUCUUUUAACCUUGUAUUUUCUUGAUCCGCCUCCACUAACAUUGUUCUAAUAAUCCUUUGUUUAUCUUUCCAGGCCAACAACUCCUUUUGGAAAAAGAAGGCCUCAGAAAAAACGACCAGAGCUCCUCGUGCCAAGAGUAAAGUUGUCAAGAAAUCAACCAAGAAGAAGACCGGCGAAGCUGCUGAUCCGCCCGAAGAUGCUGAAGAUUCGGAUCAAGAGGUAGAACUUGAUUCCCUUGGCUCCUUUUUCAUACAUCUUAUUAACAACGAUUAUCAUCAGGAUGAUGCGGAGGUCAGCCGUGCGGACCAUGUUGAGGUAAUCUCUCUUUCCUCCGGUUCAGAUCUUGUGUCGGUUUAAAGAUUUCGCCGUGCAGUUCGGAAAGUGAAACGCUCUCACCCUCUUGCUUAUUUGGAUCCAAAAUUUUCUUUAAAGAAACAGCAACCUGAAGAGAGCCGCACAACCCGACACAGUGGCCAGCAAGUCACUUCUUCCGGUUUACCGGAUACUCCAAUUUGGAAGCGUCGUCCAGAGGUUAUUUGUUCUCUCGAAAAAUGUUAUCCUUUGAAGGGUUUCUUCCGAUACCCACUUAAUCCGUCUAAUCCAAAUUACCAGGCAUCUUCUAACUCGUCUGGCGGUUCAUCAACCACACAACUGCCUCCCCUCAAGACCGUCAUUGGGUAAGUGCAUCAUUUGUUGGUUUGUCUCUUCAUGCAUCAGUUUACCAUACUAAUCUUUAUUUUGAUGUUGCAGUGCCAAAGCUCGAUUGAGUAAGAAAGCCAAGACCAGUGGUCCCUCUGACAAUGUUGAACCGGAGAAGACCCCAGAUAAUGCUGGCGAAGAUACUGAUGAUGUCAUGGAUGAAUCCGCUCCACAAGAUCCAGCUGCUGAUGCCAAUCUGCCGGAGGCUGAUUAGGAAACACAUCUUGACACAUCAAGUCCACAUGCCAUGCCUCCAAGUCCAAUUGCUGAUCCGCUGGGCUCAACUGCUAAUCCGCCAAGCCCUGCUGCCAAUCUGCCAAGCCCUGCUAUCAAACCGCCAAGCCCAGCCAAAGACAAGGUCAAUCCAUCGAGCCCAGCCACGGAUGACGAUGACAUUGUUGUCACUGGUACUGCUUAUACCACCCCCGACAAUCCAAUUGCAUUAUCAAAGCACACUGCCAAGGACGAAUUUGCUGCUAUGAGCAAGGGGAAGGGGAAGACUGAUUUGUCAGCCUAUGUUGACCUUUCUACUCAAGACCUUCAUUCCGGAUUCUUGAACCGGCUUUACACCAGCCGAGAUUAUGAAGCCGGUUUGGUGAAUCUGAUGAAGGAACGCUAUGAGGUAAUUUUCAAAAUACCAUCUUUAUUCUGCCCAUUCCUUAUAUUGUAGCCCCCAAGGGCUGGUUUGUCUUGUAAAGACAAACCGGGACUUUUAUAUUCCAUACUGUACCUUGUUGGCUUUCCUUGUGUAUUUUUUGGAUCAAACACACAUUAGCCCCUAAGUGCCAAGAUUAAAACUUGUAUUGAUCCUUGGGACUUUAAACAUUUAGUAGUAAAGAAGCAAUCCGCAUUAGCCCCCAAGUGCCGAGUGCAUAACUUGUUAUAUGCUUGGGACUUUGACAAUAUUUACAUGCUCCUGCUCUGUUUGUGACAGGCUGACAUAAAUCACCAAGGCAAUCAAAUUGCUGAUCUCCAAGAGAACAUCAAGACCCAACAAGCAGAAACGUCCAAGGCAAAAGAUGAGCUUAAAGCCGCUUUGGCCGCCAUGGAGCAGGUCAAAGAAGGGUUCCAGUCGGAGCGUGCCAACUGGGAGACGGAGAAAAAUGCAUUGCUGAAGCGGGCAGAAGACGCCGAAUCAGCUCUUAAACCGGUGGCGGAAGAGCUAACUGGGUUGAAGCACCAAGUGAAUGCAAUGACUUCUGCAGUAUUUGGUAAGUAGUUUUGCCAAGACUUCUUGAAUGACCAUGUUUGUAAUUUGCCGGUUUAACAUGAAAACCAUUGUAGGUGGCCGCAUUGCUCAUCCGGGCUCUGAUAUGCGGAUGAAGCUGAAGGCAACAUACACUCUGAUUGAACAACUAUAUACCGGUACCCAACGGGUUAUCUGUGCAGCUUCAUACAAUAAUCCGGCCCCCACUUUGAUCAAGGAUACUCUAGCAAAGUUAUCCGUAACGCCGGCACAGAUAGAAGAGAUGAAUCGAUCUGCUGCCAGGGCUGGCGAUUUGUUGGCACUCACUCAAGCCAAAGCAUGGAUAGCUGACCUUGAUCCGGUGGAUAUUGCCAAGGGCUUCCCCAGUGAACAAGAGAACGGGGGAGAGUUUGACAAUGAUGCCCUCAAAGCUGUGACAAGGGAGAUGCGUCCUUUGGUGAGUCAACUGCCAAAAGAAGCGAACUUGACGGUUCACCGGUCCUUCUAUGAUGCCAACAACAAACGGGUUGACACUGUCAUACCGGAAGUGCAAAAUCUUAUCCCGCCAAUCCGUAAGCACACUUACGCCCCUGACGUUGAUCCGGCCGAACUUAUAAGUGAAGAGGUUGUCUUUCAGGCUUUAACCCGGAUUGACUGGACCACCACUGUCUUCCAGCUACUGGAUGAGGAGGAGGCUGAACCGACACCAGAUGAUCCAUCCACUUCACGUCAACAUGGUGAUGAGGCCUGAUUCGGCAAUCUGAUUGAUGCUUCAUAGACUGUUCUGUGGAAAGAACAAUUCCGUAUUUUGGGCCUUAAAGCGCCUUGUAAUAGGUUAGUUAAAAUACUUUUAUCUGCUACCAUCGUGCACUGGGAUAUACUUUGCUAGAUCCGCCAUGCCAAUUUCAAUGCUAGCUUAUAUAUUGUGCAAUCCCUGUGUAUGCAUUGAAAAAAGAUGUCCUGCGGUUUACCGCUGGACGGGUCAAAGUGCCCAAGAUAAAGCCUAGUUAAUAACCAAAGCGGAAUAAAUAUGAAAUAACUCAUACCUGUGAUAUGGAGUCACUUAAUAAGGGUGGAAACCCACAUUUUUGAGCUUUCAAAACCCUUACCCUAUAAUGAUAAGAUGAAUAAGUCAUGCCGGGUUAUAAUGAACACCAGAUGAUCAUACUGGCGACAUAUAGUCAAAGCCAGGCCGGGUUAACAAACACCGGUUUGAUGAGAUGGCCUGACAACUUAUAGCUGAAAGCCAAGCCAGGUUUAACAAGCACCGGUUUAAAAAUAUGACUGAAAAGCCACAUCGGGUCAAAGAACACUAGUUUAAGAUAAAUUCAAAAAAGGUGAAAACUUAGCAAAAAAAGCCAAUAAGAAAUCAUGUAGUCAAGGCUUUUCAAGGGCUGCCAGGCCCAAAUUCGAGGCUUUUCAUGGGCUGCCAGGCCACCGAGUUAAACCAUUUUGCAAAGCCUUUUAAGAUGGGCCUCCAACUAACCAAUCGUCGUUUUAACUUUGACAAGUUCAGGGUCUGUAUAAGAUUGACUUGUCAAACAUUCGGCGGGUUGUGCCAGGAUUACCUGGAUAAGAGUGGCUUACUUGAUGAAGGCAGGUUAACCCGGGGUUUUAGGUGAAUACACCAGGCUUCCAAGCCAUGGGUCGAUACCCAAUUACAAGGGUCCGUUCAAGCUCUUUGUGGCUUUUGCACAAAAAGCCCCCAAGUAACUUUGUGAGCUGUGCUCAAUGGGUGCCCAUGUUUGAGCUGUGCAUAACAUCCAGACUCUCUUUGGCCCCUUGGGUGUGAAGCUCCCAAGCUAUGUUGUGGCAUGAUAGCCGGUUUAAUAGGUAAGGUGAGUCAUCGCUUUGAGAGCAGAAGCCCCCUUGUAACCAAGAAAUUUUGGAAAAAACGGCAGAGGCCCUGCUUUUAGCAAGGAUGCCGGUUUAUUAUAUUGAUCAUAAUAUAUACAUUGUCAUAAUAUGUACAUAAGGAAAGCCUAUGGCUCAGGUGUAGUAAGGCCGAAGGAGAGCUAUGUUCCAUGGCCGCCGAGUCUCCUCCUCAGAACUGCGUGAGUCUUCUCGAAUGUCAAUGAGGUAGUAAGAUCCGUUGUGCAGAUUUUUGCUGACCACAAAGGGUCCUUCCCAAGGUGGGGAUAACUUGUGCAUAUCGGUCUAAUCCUGGAUGAGCCGAAGCACUAAGUCGCCUUCUUGAAAGGUUCGUGUUUUAACCUGGCGGCUGUUAUAACGCCGCAGGUCUUGUUGAUAAACCGCCGACCGAGCCAAAGCCAUGUCCCAUUUCUCAUCUAACAGGUCCAAUGCCUCUUGACGCGCUUGCUCACUGUCCGCUUCAACAUAAUUGGCAACCCGGGGCGAGUCAUGACGAAUAUCACUUGGGAGGACAGCCUCAGCCCCGUAAACCAUGAAGAAAGGUGUAUAACCCAUGGAUCGGUUUGGGGUGGUGUUUAUACUCCAUAACACAGAUGGUAACUCUUCCACCCAACAACCCGGCGUCCGCUUCAAGGGAACCAUAAGCCUAGGCUUAAUACCCUUCAGGGUCUCUUGAUUCGCCCUUUCAGCUUGACCAUUGGACUGUGGAUGAGCCACAGAUGCUACAUCAAGCCGGAUGUGCUCUCGUUGGCAGAACUCCUCCAUCUCACCUUUAGAAAGGUUCGUGCCAUUAUAUGUGAUGAUGCUGUGUGGAAACCCAAAACGGAAAAUGAUCUUUUUGAGAAAUUGAACCGCCGUGGCUGCAUCACACUUGCUGACAGGCUUCGCUUCAACCCAUUUAGUAAACUUGUCAACCGCCACCAACAGGUGGGUCUUCUUAUCCUGGGAAUGCUUAAAAGGUCCUACCAUAUCAAGCCCCCAAGUGGCAAACGGCCAAGUGAUAGGAAUCAUCCGUAGCUCCUGAGCCGGAACAUGAGCUCGACGUGAAAAUUUCUGACAAGCGUCACAUCGCUUUACCAGAUCCUCUGCAUCAGCAUGAGCUGUCAACCAAUAGAACCCAUGACGAAAAGCUUUCGCCACCAGGGAUUUUGAACCGGCGUGGUGACCACAACCCCCUUCAUGGAUUUCAUGUAGAAUCUCUUGUCCUUCUUCAGGGGAAAUACAACAUUGAAAAACUCCUGAAACACUGCAACGGUGUAACUCGCCAUUGUGAAUAACCAUGGACUUGGACCGCCGUAUUAUUUGUCAAGCGAAAGCCUCAUCAUCUGGUAACUCGCCCCGGUUUAAAUACGCCAAAUAUGGAACCGUCCAAUCCGGAGUAGUGUGUAAAACGGCCACCAAUUGGGCCUCUGGAUCAGGAACAGCUAAAUCCUCCUCUGUAGGCAACUUAACAGACGGGUUAUGCAAGAUAUCUAAAAAGGUAUUGGGUGGUACCAGUUUACGCUGAGAUCCCAGCCGGCUUAAAGCAUCUGCUACCUCGUUUUUGUGCCGGUCAAUGUGCUCCACCUGAUAUCCCUUAAAAUGAUCUGCCACAAUAUCCACCUCGCGUCUGUAAGCCACCAUUAGUGGGUCCUUAGAAUCCCAAGUACCAGAAACUUGCUGAGCCACCAGAUCAGAGUUGCCAAAACAGCGGACCCGGCUUAAGUUCAUCUCCUUAGCCACGCGGAGACCGUGGAGUAAGGCCUCGUACUCAGCUGCAUUGUUAGUAUAGGGAAACAUUAAGCGGAGAACAUAACAAAUUUUAUCACCUCGAGGGGAAGUAAGAACAACUCCAGCCCCCGAGCCCUCCAAUUGCCUGGAACCAUCAAAGUGAAUGAUCGAAUAUGUAUUAUCCGGUUUGUCCUCUGGUGCUUGUAACUCGGUCCAAUCAUUGAUGAAGUCAACAAGUGUCUGUGACUUGAUUGAUGUCCGAGGCAUAUAUUUCAAUCCGUGCGGGCCAAGCUCAAUUGCCCACUUUGCAACCCGGCCAGUUGCCUCCCUGUUCUGAAUUAUAUCGCCCAAAGGAGCUGAACUGACCACUGUAAUGGGAUGGCCUUGAAAGUACUGUUUGAGCUUCCGACUUGCCAUAAAAACCCCAUAAACUAGCUUCUGCCAAUGCAGAUAUCGUUGCUUUGACUCGAUAAGCACUUCACUGAUGUAGUAAACCGGCCGUUGAACCGGGUAUUCCUUACCAGCCUCCUUGCGCUCCACCACAAUCGCCACGCUGACAGCACGAGCAUUAGUAGCCACGCACAAUAACAAGGGCUCGUUGUCAACCGGAGCAGCAAGAACCGGCGGUUCAACCAACUACCGCUUUAAGUCAUCAAACGCCGCAUCAGCUGCAUCGGUCCAUAUGAAAUCGUCCGUCUUUUUUAACAUCUGAUAUAAAGGAAUCGCUUUCUCUCCCAAACGGCUGAUAAACCGGCUAAGGGCGGCAAUUCGACCCGCCAGACGCUGAACAUCAUUGAUACACUUCAGUUUAGUCAAAGAUGUAAUCGCUUUGAUUUUUUCCGGAUUAGCCUCAAUGCCUCUGUUGGACACCAGAAAGCCUAAGAGCUUGCCUGCCGGAACACCAAAAACACACUUAUCCGGAUUAAGCAUCAUUUUGUAAAUCCGAAGAUUGUCAAAUGUUUCCUUGAGGUCAUCUAUCAAGGUUUCCUUCUUCCUGGAUUUUACCACAAUGUCAUCCACAUAGGCAUGAACAUUACGCCCAACCUGCGUGUGAAGACAAUUUUGCACACAACGCUGAUAAGUUGCCUGGGCACUCUUGAGCCCGAAAGGCAUAGAAACAUAGCAGAAGGCUCCAAAGGGAGUGAUGAAGGCUGUCUUCUCCUGGUCCUUAACUGCCAUUUUAAUCUGAUGAUAACCUGAAUAAGCAUCCAAAAAACUCAGGCGCUCACAACCCGCCGUCGCAUCAAUAAUCUGAUCAAUAUGCGGGAGAGCAAAGGGAUCUGCCGGACAAGCCUUGUUCAAAUCUGUGUAGUCCACACACAUACGCCAAGUGCCAUUUUUCUUAAGUACGAGCACCGGAUUAGCCAACCACUCAGGGUGAAACACUUCAAUGAUAAACCCAGCAGCCAACAGCCGGGCUACCUCUUCACCAAUGGCCUUGCGUCUUUCCUCGUUAAACCGCCGAAGAAAUUACUUGGCCUGUUUAAACUUGGGAUCAAUAUUGAGAGUGUGCUCAGCGAGUUCCCUCGGUACACCUGGCAUGUCAGAAGGCUUCCAUGCAAAAAUGUCCCGGUUCUCAUGGAUGAACUCGAUGAGCGUGCUUUCCUAUUUUGGAUCCAGAUUGGUGCUGAUGCUAAAUUGUUUGGAUGAAUCGCCAGGAACAAAGUCAACAAGUUUAGUCUCAUCAGCUGGUUUGAAUUUCAGGGUCGGGUCAUGCUCAGUGGUGGGCUUCUUCAAAGGAGUCAUGUCUACCGGAUCAACAUUGUCCUUAUAAAACUUCAGCUCCUCCGUAGCACAAACUGACUCAGCGUAAGCCGCAUCACCUUCCUCACAAUCCAAAGCGAUCUUUCGACUUCCAUGUACUGUUAUAGUUCCCUUGUGACCCGGCAUUUUGAGCUGUAAAUAGAUAUAGCAGGGCCUCGCCAUGAAUUUUGCGUAAGCCAGCCGUCCAAACAGUGCGUGAUACGGGCUCUGGAUUUUUACCAAUUCGAAGGUCAACUUUUCAGACCUGGAAUCAUGCUCGUCUCCAAACACAACCUCCAAAGAGAUCUUGCCAACAGGAUAUGCCGAUUUACCUGGUACUACACCAUGAAAAACAGUGUUGGACGGUUUAAGGUUCUUGUCUGUCAACCCCAUGCGACGAAAAGUCUCAUAGUACAGGAUGUUGAUGCUGCUCCCUCCAUUCAUCAGGACUUUGGUAAACUUGUAACCUCCCACCUGAGGUGCUACCACCAAAGCUAGUUGACCCGGAUUGUCAACCCAGGGCGGAUGAUCCUCUCUGCUCCACACAAUGGGCUGCUUGGACCACCGUAAAUAAUGUGGCACUGCCGAUUCAACAACAUUAACUGCCCUUUUGUGAAGCUUCUGAUCUCGCUUACACAGGCUAGUAGUAAACACAUGAUACUGCCCCCAUUCAACUGCUUGGGGUGACUUUGAUAACCUGAUUGCUGCCGAUUCCCUUGAUUAUUCUGUUGGCCAUUACCCCCUUGGUUAUGCUGGUUGCCCUGAUUAUUCUGAAAUCCAGAGCUUGAACUGCCGCCACCAUGAAAACCUAGACCUGAACCGCCCGACGGACCCUGAUCAUACCGGAAAACAUCGGAAUUCUUGAACUCCUUCAUGAUAUAACAAUCUUUCCACAGAUGCGUGGAAGGGGCCUCUUUGGUCCCAUGCUUUGGGCAGGGCUGGUUCAUCAAAAGUUCCAAAUUCAUCCCUCCACCGCGCUGGGGCAGUUUACCCUUACGACGCUGCAUAUUGGUGUUAGCCACAAGAUCUGAAUUAUCUGCCUUGCGCUUACCAUUAUUCCCAUGGCCUCCUUGGUUGUGAUGAUGUCCCUUUGCACCGCCGUUCUUCUUUCCCUUCUCCGGUUUCUCAUCAUCAGAAUCAGGAUCCUGUUGGAAAUAUGCCCUAGAGGCAAUAAUAAAUUAGUUAUUAUUAUUAUAUUUCCUUGUUCAUGAUAAUCGUUUAUUAUCCAUGCUAUAAUUGUAUUGAUAGGAAAGUCAGAUACAUGUGUGGGUACAUAGACAACACCAUGUCCCUAGUAAGCCUCUACUUGACUAGCUCGUUAAUCAAUAGAUGGUUACAGUUUCCUGACCAUGGACAUUGGAUGUUGUUGAUAACGGGAUCACAUCAUUAGGAGAAUGAUGUGAUGGACAAGACCCAAUCCUAAGCCUAGCACAAAGAUCGUGUAGUUCAUAUGCUAAAGCUUUUCUAAUGUCAAGUAUCUUUUCCUUAGACCAUGAGAUUGUGCAACUCCCGGAUGCCGUAGGAAUUCUUUGGGUAUACCAAAUGUCACAACGUAACUGGGUGGCUAUAAAGGUACACUACGGGUAUCUCCGAAAGUGUCAGUUGGGUUGGCACGAAUCGAGACUGGGAUUUGUCAACGGAGAGGUAUCUCUGGGCCCACUCGGUAGGACAUCAUCAUAAUGUGCACAAUGUGACCAAGGGGUUGAUCAUGGGAUGAUGUGUUACAGAGACUUGCUGGUAACGAGAUUGAACAAGGUAUCGACAUACCGACGAUCGAAUCUCGGGCAAGUAUAAUACCACUGGACAAAGGGAAUUGUAUAUGGGUUUGAUUGAGUCCUUGACAUCAUGGUUCAUCCUAUGAGAUCAUCGUGGAACAUGUGGGAGCCAACAUGGGUAUCUAGAUCCCGCUGUUGGUUAUUGACAGGAGAACGUCUCGGUCAUGUCUGCAUGGUUCCCGAACCCGUAGGGUCUACACACUUAAGGUUCGAUGAUGCUAGGGUUAUAAAGGAAGUUUGUAUGUGGUUACCGAAUGUUGUUCGGAGUACCGGAUGAGAUCCCGGAUGUCACGAGGAGUUCCGGAAUGGUCCGGAGGUAAAGAUUUAUAUAUGGGAAGUCAUCAUACGGUCACCGGAAUAAUUCGGGGGUUACCGGUAUUGUAUCGGGACCACCGAAGGGGUACCGGGGGUCCACCGGGAGGGUCCACCUGCCCCGGAGGGCCCUGUGGGCUGUUUGUGGAGAGGGACCAGCCCCUUAGUGGGAUGGGCGUAUCCCCCGUAGGGCCCAUGCGCCUAGAGUUUGGGGGAACCCUAAAGGGGGGCGCCCCCUUGCCUUGGGGGGCAAGGCAACCCCCUCUGGCCGCCGCCCCCUCCUCAGAUUGGAUCUGAGGGGGGCGGCCCCCCUCUCCCUUGCCCCUAUAUAUAUGUGGGGGUGGAAGGGCAGCCGCACCCAAGUUCUAGCGCAGCCCUUCCCCUCUCCCAAGUCCUCCUCCUCUCUCGCGGUGCUUGGCAAAGCCCUACAGGAUUGCCACGCUCCUCCAUCACCACCACGCCGUUGUGCUGCUGCUGGAUGGAGUCUUCCUCAACCUCUCCCUCUCUCCUUGCUAGAUCAAGGCAUGGGAGACGUCACCGGGCUGUACGUGUGUUCGGCACUAGGAUCCCCGAUGAUUUGGAUCACGACGAGUACGACUCCUUCAACCCCGUUCUCUUGAACGCUUCCGCUUAGCGAUCUACAAGGGUAUGUAUAUGCACUCUCCUUCCCCUCAUUGCUAGUCUCUCCAUAGAUAGAUCUUGGUGACUCGUAGGAAAAUUUUGAAUUUCUGCUACGUUCCCCAACAGUGGCAUCAUGAGCUAGGUCUAUGCGUAGUUUCUAUGCAUGAGUAGAACACAAAGUAGUUGUGGGUGUUGAUUUUGUUCAAUAUGCUUACCGUUACUAGUCUUAUCUUGAUUCGGCGGCAUCGUGGGAUGAAGCGGCCCGAACCGACCUUACACGUACUCUUACGUGAGACAUGUUCCAUCGACUGACAUGCACUUGUUGCAUAAGGUGGCUAGCGGGUGCCAGUCUCUCCCACUUUAGUCGGAUCGGAUUCGAUGAAAAGGGUCCUUAUGAAGGGUAAAUAGCAAUUGACAUAUCACGUUGUGGUUUUUGCGUAGGUAAGAAACGUUCUUGCAAGAAACCCAUAGCAGCCACGUAAAACAUGCAAACAACAAUUAGAGGACGUCUAACUUGUUUUUGCAGGGUAUGCUAUGUGACGUGAUAUGGCCAUGAAGAAUGUGAUGAAUGAUAUGUGAUGUAUGAGAUUGAUCAUGUUCUUGUAAUAGGAAUCACGACUUGCAUGUCGAUGAGUAUGACAACCGACAGGAGCCAUAGGAGUUGUCUUUAUUUAUUGUAUGACCUGCGUGUCAUUGAACAACACCAUGUAAUUACUUUACUUUAUUGCUAACCGGUAGCCAUAGUAGUAGAAGUAAUAAGUUGGCGAGACAACUUCAUGGAGACACGGUGAUGGAGAUCAUGAUGAUGGAGAUCAUGGUGUCAUGCCGGUGACGAUGAUGAUCAUGGAGCCCCGAAGAUGGAGAUCAAAAAGGAGCAAAAUGAUAUUGGCCAUAUCAUGUCACUAUUUUGAUUGCAUGUGAUGUUUAUCAUGUUUAUGCAUCUUAUUUGCUUAGAACAACAGUAGUCAAUAAGAUGAUCCCUCAUUAAAAUUUCAAGAAAGUGUUCCCCCUAACUGUGCACCGUUGUGAAAGUUCGUUGUUUCGAAGCACCACGUGAUGAUCGGGUGUGAUAGAUUCUAACGUUCACAUACAACGGGUGUAAGCCAGAUUUACACACGCGAAACACUUAGGUUGACUUGACGAGCCUAGCAUGUACAGACAUGGCCUCGGAACACGGAAGACCGAAAGGUCGAGCAUGAGUCCUAUAGAAGAUACGAUCAACAUGAAGAUGUUCACCGACAUUGACUAGUCUGUCUCACGUGAUGAUCAGACACGGCCUAGUUGACUCGGAUCAUGUAAUCACUUAGAUGACUAGAGGGAUGCCUAUCUGAGUGGGAGUUCAUAAGAUGAACUUAAUUAUCCUGAACAUAGUCAAAAGAUCUUCGCAAAUUAUGUCGUAAGCUCACGCUUUUUCUACUGUUUAGAUAUGUUCCUAGAGAAAAUUUAGUUGAAAGUUGAUAGUAGCAAUUAUGCGGACUGGGUCCGUAAACUGAGGAUUGUCCUCGUUGCUUCGUAGAAGGCUUAUGUCCUUAAUGCACCGCUCAGUGUGCUGAACCUCGAACAUCAUCUGUGGAUGUUGCGAACAUCUCUCACACAUGUUUUGAUAACUACGUGAUAGUUCAGUAAUGAUAAACGGUUUAGAGUUGAGGCACCGAAGACAAUUUUGGAACGUCGCGAAACAUAUGAGAUGUUUCAAGGGCUGAAAUUGGGAUUUCAGGCUCGUGCCCACGUCAAGAGGUAUGAGACCUCCGACGGUUUUCUUAGCCUGCAAACUAAGGGAGAAAAACUCAAUCGUUGAGCUUGUGCUUAGAUUGUCUGAGUACAACAAUCACUUUAAUCGAGUGGGAGUUGAUCUUCCAGAUGAGAUAGUGAUGUUUCUCCAAAGUCAUUGCCACCAAGCUGCUAGAGCUUCGUGAUGAACUAUAUCAGGGAUAGAUAUGAUGAUCCUUGAAGUAUUCGCGAUGUUUGACACUGUGAAAGUAGAAGUCAAGUAGGAGCAUCAAUUGUUGAUGGUUAGUAGAACCACUAGUUUCAAAAAGGGCAAGGGCAAGGAGGGAUACUUCAUGAAACGGCAAAUCAGCUGCUGCUCUAGUGAAGAAACCCGAGGUUGAACCCAAACCCGAGACUAAGUGCUUCUGUAAUGAGAGGAACGGACACUAAAGCAGAACCACCCUAGAUACUUGGUAGAUAAGAAGGCAUGCAAGGUCGAAGGAAGUAUAUUGGAUAUACAUUAUGUUAAUGUGUACUUUACCAGUAUUCCUAGUAGCACCAGGGUAUUAGAUACCGGUUCAGUUGCUAAGUGUUAGUAACUCGAAGUAAAAGCUACGGAAUAAACAGAGACUAGCUAAAGGUGAGCUGACGAUAUGUGUUGGGAGUGUUUCCAAGGUUGAUAUGAUCAAGCAUCACACACUCCCUCUACCAUCGAGAUUGGUAUUAAACCUAAAUAAUUGUUAUUUGGUGUUUGCGUUGAGCAUAGACAUGAUUGGAUUAUGUCUAUCGCAAUACGGUUAUUCAUUUAAGGAGAAUAAUAGUUACUCUAUUUAUUUGAAUAAUACCUUCAAUGGUCUUGCACCUAAAAUGAAUGGUUUAUUGAAUCUCGAUCGUAGUGAUACACAUGUUCAUGCCAAAAGAUACAAGAUAGUAAUGAUAGUACCACCUACUUGUGGCACUGCCAUGUAAGUCAUAAAACGCAUGAAGAAGCUCCAUGUUGAUGGAUCUUUGGACUCACUCGUUUUUGAAAAGUUUGAGACAUGCAAACCAUGUCUAUUGGUAUGUACGCAUGAAGAAACUCCAUGCAGAUGGAUCGUUUUGGACUCACUUGAUUUUGAAUCACUUGAGACAUGCAAAUCAUACCACAUGGGCAAGAUGACUGAAAGCCUCGUUUUCAAUAAAAUGGAACAAGAAAGCAACUUGUUGGAAGUAAUACAUUUUGAUGUGUGCAGUCCAAUAAGUGCUAAGGCACGCAGUAGAUAUCAUUAUGUUCUUACUUCACGGAUGAUUUGAGUAGAUACUGAGUAUAUUUACUUGAUGAAACGCAAGUCUGAAUUAUUGAAUGGUUCAAGUAAUUUCAGAGUGAAGUUGAAGAUCAUCAUGACAAGAGGAUAAAAUGUCUAUGAUAUGAUCAUAGAGAUGAGUAUCUGAGUUACAAGCUUUGGCACGCAAUUAAGACAUUGUGGAAAUUGUUUCACAACUAAUACCGCCUGGAACACCAUAGUGUGAUGGUGUGCCCGAACAUCAUAGUUGCACCCUAUUGGAUAUGGUGCGUACCAUGAUGUCUCUUAUCAAAUUACCACUAUCGUUCAUGGGUUAGGCAUUAGAGACAACCGCAUUCACUUUAAAAUAGGGCACCAUGUAAUUCCGUUGAGACGACACCGUUUGAACUAUGGUUUGGAGAAACCUAAGUUGUCGUUUCUUAAAAGUUUGGGGCUGCGACGCUUAUGUGAAAAAGUUUCAGGUUGAUAAGCUCGAACCCAAAGUGGAUAAAAUGCAUCUUCAUAGGACACCCAAAACAGUUGGGUAUACCUCCUAAUUCAGAUCUGAAAGCAAUAGGGAUUGUUUCUUGAAUCGGGUCCUUUCUCGAGGAAAAGUUUGUCUCAAAAAUUGAGUGGGAGGAUGGUGGAGACUUGAUGAGGUUAUUGAACCGUCACUUCAACUAGUGUGUAGCAGGGCACAGGAAGUUAUUCCUGUGGCGUCUACACCAAUUGAAGUAGAAGCUUAUGAUAGUGAUCAUGAAGUUUCGGAUCAAGUCACUACCGUACCUCGUAGGGUGACAAGGAUGCGUACUACUUCAGAGUGGUACAGUAAUCCUGUCUUGAAGGUCAUGUUGCUAGACAACAAUGAACGUACGAGCUAUGGAGAAGCGAUGGUGGGCCCAUAUUCCGACAAAUGGUUAGAAGCCAUGAAAUCCGAGAUAGGAUCCAUGUAUCAGAACAAAGCAUGGACUUUGGUGGACUUGCCUGAUGAUCGGCAAGCCAUUGAGAUAAAUGGAUCUUGAAGAAGAAGACAGACGUGGACGGUAAUGUCACCGUCUAUGAAGCUCGACUUGUGGCGAAGAGUUUUUCACAAGUUCAAGGAAGUUGACUACGAUGAGAUUUUCUCAUUCGUAGCGAUGCUUAAGUCCGUCGGAAUCAUGUUAGCAUUAGCUGCAUUUAUGAAAUCUGCCAAAUGGAUGUCAAAACGAGUUUCCUUACCAGUUUUCGUAAGGAAAGGUUGUAUGCAAUACAAUCAGAAAGGUUUGUCGAUCCUAAGGAUGCUAAAAGGUAUGCUAGCUCCAGCGAUCCUUCUAAGGACUGGAGUAAGCAUCUCGGAGUUGGAAUGUACGCUUUGAUGAGAUGAUCAAAGAUUUUGGGUUUAUACAAAGUUUAUGAGAAAUUUGUAUUUCCAAAGAAGCGAGUGGGAGCACUAUAGAAUUUCUGAUAGGUAUAUGUUGUUGACAUAUUGUUGAUCAGAAAUGAUGUAGAAUUUCUGGAAAGCAUAUAGGGUUGUUUGAAAGGUGUUUUUCAAUAGAAAACCUGGAUUAAGCUGCUUGAACAUUGAGUAUCAAGAUCUAUGAGGAUAGAUCAAAAAAACGCUAAAUGGUAUUUUCAAAUGAGCACAUACCUUGACAUGAUCUUGAAGGUGUUCAAGAUGGAUCAGUCAAAGAAGGAGUUCUUGCUAGAAUUGUAAGGUAUGAAGUUAAGACUUAAAGCUCGACCACAGCAGAAUAGAGAGAAAGGACGAAGGUCGCCCCCUAUGCUUCAGACGUUGGCUCUAUAGUAUGCUAUGUUGUGUACCGCACCGGAAGUGUGCCUUGCCAUGAGUCAGUCAAGGGGUACAAGAAUGAUCCAGGAAUGGAUCAUUGGACAACGGUCAAAAUUGUCCUUGGAGUAAAUAAGGACAUGUUUCUCGAUUAUGGAGGUGAUAAAGAGUUCGGUGUAAAGGGUUACGGCGAUGCAAGCUUUAACACCUAUCCGAGUGACUCUGAGUAGCAAACCGGAUACAUAUAGUGGAGCAACCAUUUGGAAUAGCUCCAAGUGGAGCGUGGAAGCAGCAUUUACAAUAUGACCUAGAGAUUUGCGAAGUACAUACGGAUCUGAAUGUUACAGAUCCAUUGACUAAAACCUCUCUCACAAGCAAAACAUGAUCAAACCCCAGAACUCAUUGAGUCUUAAUCACAUGAUGAUGUGAACUAGUUUAGCGACACUAGUAAACUCUUUGGAUGUUGGUCACAUGGCGAUAUGACCUGUCAGUGUUAAUCACAUGGCGGUGUGAACUAGAUUAUUGACUCUAGUGCAAGUGGGAGACUGUUGGAAAUAUGCCCUAGAGGCAAUAAUAAAUUAGUUAUUAUUAUUAUAUUUCCUUGUUCAUGAUAAUCAUUUAUUAUCCAUGCUAUAAUUGUAUUGAUAGGAAACUCAGAUACAUGUGUGGGUACAUAGACAACACCAUGUCCCUAGUAAGCCUCUAGUUGACUAGCUCGUUAAUCAAUAGAUGGUUACAGUUUCCUGACCAUGGACAUUGGAUGUUGUUGAUAACGGGAUCACAUCAUUAGGAGAAUGAUGUGAUGGACAAGACCCAAUCCUAAGCCUAGCACAAAGAUCGUGUAGUUCAUAUGCUAAAGCUUUUCUAAUGUCAAGUAUCUUUUCCUGAGACCAUGAGAUUGUGCAACUCCCGGAUGCCAUAGGAAUGCUUUGGGCAUACCAAACAUCACAACGUAACUGGGUGGCUAUAAAGGUACACUACGGGUAUCUCCGAAAGUGUCAGUUGGGUUGGCACGAAUCGAGACUGGGAUUUGUCACUCCGUGUGACGGAGAGGUAUCUCUGGGCCCACUCGGUAGGACAUCAUCAUAAUGUGCACAAUGUGACCAAGGGGUUGAUCAUGGGAUGAUGUGUUAUGGAACGAGUAAAGAGACUUGCCGGUAACGAGAUUGAACAAGGUAUCGGCAUACCGACUAUCGAAUCUCAGGCAAGUAUAAUACCACUGGACAAAGGGAAUUGUAUACGGGUUUGAUUGAGUCCUUGACAUCGUGGUUCAUCCGAUGAGAUCAUCGUGGAACAUGUGGGAGCCAACAUGGGUAUCCAGAUCCUGCUGUUGGUUAUUGACAGGAGAACGUCUCAGUCAUGUCUGCAUGGUUCCCGAACCCGUAGGGUCUACACACUUAAGGUUCGAUGAUGCUAGGGUUAUAAAGGAAGUUUGUAUGUGGUUACCGAAUGUUGUUCGGAGUCUCGGAUGAGAUCCCGGACGUCACGAGGAGUUCCAGAAUGGUCUGGAGGUAAAGAUUUAUAUAUGGGAACUCAUCAUACGUUCACCGGAAUAAUUCGGGGGUUACCGGUAUUGUAUCGGGACCACCGAAGGGGUUCCGGGGGUCCACCUGCCCCGAAGGGCCCUGUGGGAUGUUUGUGGAGAGGGACCAGCCCCUUAGUGGGCUGGGCGCCUCCCCCCUAGGGCCCAUGCGCCUAGGGUUUGGGGGAACCCUAAAGGGGGGGCGCCCCCUUGCCUUGGGGGGCAAGGCAACCCCCUCUGGCCGCUGCCCCCUCCUCAGAUUGGAUCUGAGGGGGCCGGCCCCCGUCUCCCUUGCCCCUAUAUAUAUGUGGGGGGUGGAAGGGCAGCCGCACCCAAGUUCUGGUGCAGCCCUUCCCCUCUCCCAAGUCCUCCUCCUCUCUCGCGGUGCUUGGCGAAGCCCUGCAGGAUUGCCACGCUCCUCCAUCACCACCACGCCAUUAUGCUACUGCUAGAUGGAGUCUUCCUCAACCUAUCCCUCUCUCCUUGCUGAAUCAAGGCAUGGGAGACGUCACCGGGUUGUACGUGUGUUGAACGCGGAGGUGCCGUCCGUUCGGCACUAGGAUCUCCGGUGAUUUGGAUCACGACGAGUACGACUCCUUCAACCCCGUUCUCUUGAACGCUUCCGCUUAGAGAUCUACAAGGGUAUGUAGAUGCACUCUCCUUCCCCUUGUUUCUAGUCUCUCCAUAGAUAGAUCUUGGUGACUCGUAGGAAAAUUUUGAAUUUCUGCUACGUUCCCCAACAGAUCCUUGGUAUUAUCAGAAUCUCCAUACUUGACCAAGGCUGCCAUGAGGGUUCCCAUGUCAUUGCAGUGGCGCUUGAGACAUCCCAACUUCAUCUUCAGUGACUUAAACCGGCAAUUGCACUCUAGCGUUAUGAUCACUUGACCAGCGUUAAUCCGGUCAGACGAAUGCAAAACUUCUGAAACCCGGCGUACCCAAUGAGUUGUUGACUCGUUCUCCCCUUGAACACAAGCAUCCAGAUCCACAAUGGACAUGGGCUGUUUGCACGUGUCUUUGAAAUUGGCUAUAAACCAGGCCUUCAUUUGAUCCCACGACUCGAUGGAGUUAGCUGGCAAAUUUUUCAACCAAGUACGGGCCGUCUCUUCCAACAUCAUCGUGAAGUACUUUGCGUAGGCCACUUCAUCCACAUCUAGCAUCUCCAUUGCCAUCUCAUAACUCUCGACCCAUGCCUCAGGUGGCUGAUCCGCAGUAUAAUUAGGCACCUUACGUGGACCCUUGAAAUCUUUGGGCAGAUGCACAUUACGGAGAGCCAGAAUAAGACACGGCACUCCCCAGGAACCGAAGGCAAGCCCGGUGCCUCGGUCUACUGACGUCGCUGGCUGAACCGGGGCGGGUUGAUGACGACCCAAAGCGGCCUCCCUUCAUGCUCUGCCAUUAUCCACCAUGUCUUGAGCAUUACGAUGCCGAGCACUGCUAGACACUUCCGGUUCAUCCAUGUGCCUGCUAUAGCUUGGGCUCGGACGAGGGGUUGAAUGAAUUGUAUCCCGGCUAUAAGAAUAAGCCUGCUGCAGCACCACAGCGGUUUGAAGAAGGUCCCUAGCCCGCCGCGUUUCAAUUGCUGCCAGUGAAUCGCCCUCCAUCGAAAUGGCUGCCAGGCGCGAUGCUGCAGCAAUCAUGUUAUCCAGAGGGCUCGAGAAGUGACCCGGCGGUGUAGACACGUAUUGCAACGGGUUAUCUGUUCGCCGGGGUAGUUCUGUUAUCAGUAGUUGAUCCAGAGCUGUCCUAGGUGCAUCAGUCUGGUUUGCAGCUACCAGAUUGCUCGACCCAGCGCCUGGUGUUUGAAAGAGGUUCAAUCCUUCGUAGACCGACGGCAGACGAGACCGGUACUUCCUUCGCAUUACAUCCUCUGAUGCGGUCCGAUCCAGCAUGAGUUUAUAAUUCUGCGCCUGUAUCUGCUGUGACUGGGCAUCCAAAGCGGCCCGUUCUUCAGCCAUCCUAGCAUCCUCAGUUGCCAGGUCCUCAGCCUGUGUUAUCUAGUCCUUCAGCUUCGCAUGUCCGCAUUGUGCUGAUCCCGCGUCUCCGGGGUGACUGCCGUGGUUAACAAAGUCGCCCAGGCAUCCAUCAAACCGGAGAGGACUUGAGCCGGUCGGCGCGCCGGGGCUCCUGCCGCGGCUGCUGAUCCGGUAUUCAUUGCCGCUAUAGAUGAAGACUGCAAAGUGGGCUGUGUUCCGGCCAUGUAAACAGCAUCCCGACUUGGCGGUUCAAGGAGGUCCAGAAUACUGUUGCCGUCGGAAUAUCCUUCAAACACACCGUUAUGAAUCUGAUACAGGGACUCAGUUUCACCAAUGGAUGACUCGCCAUCAGAAUAAACAACCGUCUCGCCUUCAGACACCGGUUCAGAUCCGAUCCCAUGGACACAUCCUACGAAUGCACGCUUCAUGGCGGGAUUAACCCGGGCUGGACUUGCACGCUGAGCCGUCUCGACGAGGUCGGUGUAGAUGUCCGGCUCAGGGCCUGGUUCGCCGAUCUUGCCGAUGAAGACAUGAAUUCCGCCAAAGGGGACCCGGUACCCGUGCUCGAUUGAGCCGGCCUCGGGGCCCCAGCCUUCGUCGUCGAUGUGGAGCUUGCCGCGAUGACUUUUGGUCAUCCGGCUGACCAUGUACCCCUUAAGUCCUUCAAAGCUGCUCUUCAAGAACUCAAAACCAUCAUGCGAUAGCCCCACAGUGGGCGCCAACUGUCGUGGAAUUAACACGUCAGAUGUCCUCAUGAAAGGACUUAGUCGUGGAGCCAUCACAAUGGGUUAGCUUGAAGGGGUUAAACCGGACAAGGGACACGGGAGUUUUAUACUAGUUCGGCCCCUUCAAUGAAGGUAAAAGCCUACGUCUAGUUGUGAUGGGAUUGAUUGGGUUUCAAUGACCAGGGAGCGAAAACGCUUGCCUGAGUCCCGAGUUGUUGUUUCUUGUCCCUGAACCGCCGCCGGGUCGUCCCUUUAUAUACAUAGGUUGACGCCCGGCCGGUCUACAGAGCCCCGAGGCCAACUCAUACAAGGUGUCCGGCUCGGUCUCUCCUUUCCUAACUUACAUUACAAGUUACAUAGUCAUGGCGGUUUACCAUUAUGGGCCCUAAUCCACCUUUGGGCUUUGGGCCUCCAAGCUUCAUUAAUAAAGCGCCGUCUUCUGGAUCUUCAUGGGCUUCAACAUAGUCGAGGGUGAACCGGGCCCUCCUGGCCGGUUUAAACUCAGUAGUUAUAUCCCCAACAAAAGGCAUCGGUGCCAUCAUACUCCGACUUGACGGCCCGCCACCCGCCUUCUUCGCCUUCUCCGGCCUCCCCAUGCCAGCUGCCCAAGGAGGCGACCCCGAGAAGUUCAAGGAGCCGGCAACACAGAUGAUGGGGUCGCCGGUGUCUCCCCGGAGCGGCGCGCCCGACGCUUAGUCGGACAUGUCAUCCUGCCGCUCGCCACCCUCGCCGUCGCUGCCGCUGUCCUCCUCGACACUCUUGCUCGAGGAGGAGUCUUCGUCAUCAGAGGAGCUCUCCAUGCAGCACCUUACGCGAGUCCCGAAGUGUCCAAAGACCUUGACGGAGAGGAGGCCACUCUUCAUUAAUUUGAAAUGGAGAGUGAGCCCCUCCGUCAGGCUGUGGAUGCAAGCAAAGGUCUUCCACCCUCGGCGAAGAUACAUGACGUGAGGGGCGGGGAACUCGACGUUGGUCCAUGUGCCGCUAUUCCCACAACCCCUCAUAUGCAGCCGUAGCGCCUGCGGCGGGUCCAACUCCAUCUCCCGUGCAAAUGGGGUCGGGAGGCGAAGACGACGGUGCGGCGGCUGGCGCAGCCUGAUGAAGAACUCGUAGGGGUUGUCCCUGACGUGGCCCUCCACUGGGGGAGGGGCCGCUGGCGAAGGCGAGGCCGAUGUGCCGCCCCAUCCUCCUCUUCCCCGAGCGUCGCGACGUCCUCGACCUCGCCCCUCCCCCUGCCUCUAACAGCUAGCUCCGCCACCACAAGCUCUUGGGGAGGGGCGAUGCGCUGUCGAGCAGAGACCCUCGCCGCCACCGAUGAAGCAUCACCGCCCUCUCGCCCUGGUAUAAGAGAGGAAGGAGUAGGGAUGGGGAGAGGCGAAUAGUAAAGGACUAAGAGGCGCCAUUCCUCCCGCUCCCCUCCUUAUAAAGAGACGGGGGCGGGGCUCGGCCACCCCUCUCGGCCAAUCCGGCUCAUUAAAGGUGACAGCGGGCGAGGCCGUCGACCGUCCUCCCCUCCCAAUUGAAGGCGCGUGGGAAUCGACCCACGCGCGCACGUCUUCCUGUAUCCCGCACGCCUGUCAUUCCCUUUGCUUUGUGCAUGCAGUGUACGUGGCGCGAGAGACGGGGUAAUGGGACGCAUGGAAUGACAGUUUCUAGGUAAGGACAAUAAAUGAUCUGCGGCCCUACGGUCUCAAAGGGACACGCAAGCCGCCUCUUUACUGUUCACCGCAAGAUGAUGCAAGCAUGCUUCAAUCACCCGCGCGCGCGACCCCCACGUCACGCAUUCAACGCAGGUCGUGGGGAAGCGUAGCGGACGGAAAGAUACCAUGGUAAAAACCGCCCCGCCUGCCCGCGCACCGUUCUGGGCCUGGCCCAACAACGUGUCACGCUUAUGUGUGGCCCAGGCCCGGGGGCUCCUGUCGGUGUACUAAAAUAGGGGCGCUCUUUUGUACCCCUUAUUUGUGCACGGGCAGUCAGAGCCGCGCCCAUGGCCACACUUAAGCAGGGCAGAGACAGGAAAUCAGAGCCACAACACAGAAUCAAAGCAACACCAAGACAGAAGCACAAAGAGCCAGAAGGCGAAGUGGUUUCCCCUGGCAAGGUUUUUGCUGGGCAGCCCCCACGGCCCCAGCAAGGCCCUUGCCGGGGCAGCCUACCUGACGUCAGCAGGGCACGCCACCCUUGAGCCCUGAUUCCUCCAGCGCCACCAACCGCGUUGGACCAAGGCUCGGGAGGCGUCACCAUGGUGGCAUGCAGAUCUUUGUGAAGACAAGGAUAAUACUCCAAAUCAGAAGAGUAGAAGACGAUGAACCUCGGUGAGAUCUUCGCUCAGAAAACCCACAAGACCCCUGCUACGUCUUGAGCUUGCGUUGGUUUUCCUUGAAGUGGAAGGGGUGAUGCAGCAAUAGUAGCGUAAGUAUUUCCCUCAGUUUUUGAGAAUCAAGGUAUCAAUCCAGUAGGAGGCUCCUUAAAAGUCCCACGCACCUACACAAACAAACAAAGAACUCGCAACCAAUGCAAUAAAGGGGUUGUCAAUCCCUUCACGGCCACUUGCAAAAGUGAGAUCUGAUAGAGAUAGUAUGAUAAGAUAAAUAUACUUUUGGUAUUUUAUAAUAUAGAUUGGAAAAGUAAAGAUGCAAAUAAAAGUAGAUUGAAAGCUUAUAUGAUAAAGAAUAGACCCGGGGCCAUAGAUUUAACUAGUGGCUUCUCUCAAGAUAGCAUAAGUAUUAUGGUGGGUGAACAAAUUAUUGUCGAGCAAUCGAUAGAAAAGCGAAUAAUUAUGAGAUUAUCUAGGCAUGAUCAUGUAUAUAGGCAUCACGUCCGUGACAAGUAGACCGACUCCUGCCUGCAUCUACUAAUAUUACUCCACAUAUCGACCGCUAUCCAGCAUGCAUCUAGAGUAUUAAGUUCAUAAGAACAUAGUAAUGCAUUAAGAAAGAUGACAUGAUGUAGAGGGAUAAACUCAUGCAAUAUGAUAUAAACCCCAUCUUUUUAUCCUCGAUGGCAACAAUACAAUACGUGCCUUGCUGCCCCUGCUGUCACUGGAUAAGGACACCACAAGAUUGAACCCAAAGCUAAGCACUUCUCCCAUUGCAAGAAAGAUCAAUCUAGUAGGCCAAACCAAACUGAUAAUUCGAAGAGACUUGCAAAGAUAACUCAAUCAUACAUAAAAGAAUCCAGAGGAGAUUCAAAUAUUUCUCAUAGAUAAACUUGAUCAUAAACCCACAAUUCAUCGGAUCUCGACAAACACAUCGCAAAAAGAGUUACAUCGAAUAGAUCUCCACAAGAGGGGGGGGGGAGAAUAUGGUAUUGAGAUCCAAAAAGAGAGAAGAAGCCAUCUAGCUAAUAACUAUGGACCCUAAGGUCUAUGGUAAACUACUCACAAAUCAUCAGAGGGGCUAUGGUGUUGAUGUAAAAGCCCUCCAUGGUCGAUUCCCCCUCCGGUGGAGCACCGGCGAAGGCUCCAAGAUGGGUUCUCACGGAUACAGAAGGUUACGGAGGUGGAAAUUGUUUUUCGUUGGCUCCCUGGAUGUUUUCGGGGUACAUGGGUAUAUAUAGGAGGAAGAAGUACGUUGGUGGCCGCCCGAGGGGCCCACGAGAUAGGGGGUGCGCCUUGUAGGGGUGGGCGCGCCCUCCAGCCUCGUGUCCACCUCGGCUUCUUCUUGACUUGCACUCCAAGUCCUCUGAAUCACGUUCGUUCCAAAAAUCAUGCUCCCGAAGGUUUCAUUCCGUUUGGACUCCGUUUGAUAUUCCUUUUCUUCGAAAUACUGAAACAAGCAAAAAAACAAUAUGGGCUAGGCCUCCAGUUAGUAGGUUAGUCCCAAAAAUGAUAUAAAUGUGUAAAAUAAAGCCCAUAAACAUCCAAAAGGGGUAAUAUAAUAGCAUGGAACAAUAAAAAGUUAUAGAUAUGUUGGAGACGUAUCAAGCAUCCCCAAGCUUAAUUCCUGCUCGUCUUCGAGUAGGUAAAUGAUAAAAACAGAAUUUUUGAUGUGGAAUGCUACCUAGCAUAAUUCUCAAUGUAAUUUUCUUUAUUGUGGCAUGAAUGUUCAGAUCCAAAUGAUUCAAAAUAAAAGUUCAUAUUGACAUGAGAAAUAGCAAUACUUCAAGCAUACUAAUACAAGCAAUCAUGUCUUCUCAAAAUAACAUGGCUAAAGAAAGUUCAUCCCUACAAAAUCAUAUAGUUAGGCUAUGUUUCAUUUUCAUCACACAAAAUACUCCCAUCAAGAACAACCCCAAUUUCAGCCAAGCAAUUGGUUCAUACUUUUUAACGUGCUUCAACCUUUUUCAACUCUCAUGCAAUACAUGAGCAUGAGCCAUGGAUAUAGCACUAUGGGUGGAAUAGAAUAUGAUGAUGGAGGUUGUGUGGAGAAGACAAAAAAAGAGAAAGUCUCACAUUGACGAGGAUAAUCAAUGGGCUAUGGAGAUGCCCAUCAAUUGAUGUCAACAUGAUGAGUAGGGAUUGCCAUGCAACGGAUGCACUAGAGCUAUAAAUGCAUGAAAGCUCAACAAAAGAAAACUAGUGGGUGUGCAUCCAACUUGCUUGCUCACGAAGACCUAGGGCAUUUGAGGAAGCCCAUCGUAGGAAUAUACAAGCCAAGUUCUAUAAUGAAAAAUUCCCACUAGUAUAUGAAAGUGACAACAUAUGAGACUCGCUAUAUGAAAAACAUGGUGCUACUUUGAAGCACAAUAUAUGAGACUCGCUAUAUGAAGGACAUGGUGCUACUUUGAAGCACAAGUGUGGAAAAAGAGAUAGUAACAUCGCCCCUUUUUAUUUUUUUAUUUUUUUAUUUUUUAUUUUUUAUUUUUUUAUUUUUUUCUUUUUCUUUUUUUGGGCUUUCUUUUUUUCCUUUUUCUUUUUUGGGACAAUGCUCUAAUAAUGAUGGUCAUCACACUUUUAUUGAUUUACAACAUAUGAAUUACAACUCAAAACUAGAACAAGAUAUGACUCUAUAUGAAUGCCUCUGGCGGUGUACCCGGAUGAGCAAUGAAUCAAGAGUGACAUGUAUGAAAAAUUAUGCAUGGUGGCCUUGCCACAAAUAUGAUGUCAACUACAUGAUCAUGCAAUGGCAAUAUGACAAUAGUAAUGCGUGUCAUGAUGAUAAACGAAACGGUGGAAAGUUGCAUGGCAAUAUAUCUCGGAAUGGCUAUGGAAAUGCCAUAAUAGGUAGGUAUGGUGGUUGUUUUGUGGAAGAUAUAAGGUGAUUUAUGUGUGAUAGAGCGUAUCGUAUCACGGGGUUUGGAUGCACCGGUGAAGUUUGCACCAACUCUCAAGGUGAGAAAGGGCAAUGCACGGUACCGACGAGGCUAGCAAUGAUGAAAAGGUAAAAUUGCGUAUAAUCCAUGGACUCAACAUUAGUCAAACGAACUCAUAUACUUAUUGCAAAAAAAAUAUUAGCCCUCGAAGCAAAGUACUACUACACAUGCUCCUAGGGGGAGGUUGGUAAGAGUUAACCAUCGCACGCCCCCGACCUCCACUCAAGGGAAGGCAAUCAAAAGAGCACUCUAUGUAAUAAAUUUGUUACACAACUUUUACCAUAUGUGCAUGCCACGAGACUUGCUAACUUCAACACAAGCAUUCUCUAAAUUCAUAAUCACCCAACUAGCAUGACUUUAAUACCACUACCUCCAUAUCUCAAAACAAUUAUCAAGUAUCAAGUUUAUCAUAGCAUCCAAUUCACUUCCUAUGAUAGUUUUUAUUAUACCCAACUUGGAUGCCUACCAUUCUAGGACCAAUUUUAUAACCAUAGCAAAUACCAUGCUGUUCUAAAAGACUCUCAAAAUAAUAUAAGUGAAGCAUGAGAGACUAGCAAUUUCUACAAAAUUAAGCCACCGCCAUGCUCUAAAAGAUAUAAGUGAAGCACUGGAGCAAAAACUAUCUAGCUCAAAAGAUAUAAGUGAAGCACAUAGAGUAUUCUAAUAAAUUCCAAUCAAGUGGGCUUCUCCCAAAAGGUGUGUACAGCAAGGAUGAUUAUGGAAAAAUAAAAAACAAAUACUAAUAUCAUACACGAUGCUCCAAGCAAAACACAUAUCAUGAGACGAAUAAAAAUAUAGCUCCAAGUAAAGUUACCAAUGAACGAAGACGAAAGAGGGGAUGCCUUCUGGGGGCAUCCCCAAGCUUAGGCUUUUGGCUAUUCUUGAAUAUCUUGGGGUGCCAUGGGUGUUCGCACCCGAACACGUCACUGUGUACCCUCAACACCGGGGGUGAUGCACCGCAACUGACGUCGAAGGAGACCCGUCCGGAAGCGCGGUACGCAAGCAAUCCGGUGGGUGCUUUUGUAGACCCAAAACCCCACACGCCCGGGAGGGACCCCGUCAGGGCGCGUGGCAGCUAUGGGCUGCCCUAGGUCGACCUGAUCGCCCCUAGGGCCUCGAGGUUCGCCGCCCUGCAACAAGAAGAACGAACGAAGAACGAGGAAGAAGAAGAACUAGGGUUAAGGAGAAAAGAUAAAAGAUAAAAAGUGGUAGAUGAUUUGAUCGAUUGUGUGUUGUUCAAUCGGCCGUCACCCCUUAGAUAUAUAAGAGGCGGCUGGACUUCCCGUGCAAGGAAAAGGCUUGGAUUCACGUCCAAAACCCUAGUCAAAUUUGGAUUGGUUUUGUCCGAACUUUCCAAAACUGUUCGGUUUAAACUGGCUGCACCUUGUGAGUCUUUUUUCUGGUGGUAAACGACCUCAGAUGGAAACGAGCCCAAAAGCAAUCUUAACCGUUUCGACGAGACGAACAACUUUAUUGUUGAAUGUUUUUUGAUCAGAGGCCAUCUUGAGGGAGUUUUAGGCUGUUUUCCGAAGUUUGUCGCAGAAAAAUCCAAAACCCGGACAAACAACCCCGGAGUGUCCGGCCGUCCUCGGAGAAACCCAAAACCCGGAUGAUCAUUCCCGGAGUGUCUGGCCAUCCUGAUGCAGCCGCGCAUUUUUGGCUCUAACUUUUGCAUACGAACUUGGAUUGGGACGAUUUUUAUAUCAAAAUCGACCUUUUCGAUGAGACGAAGACAAUUCAUGUAGAUAAUGUUUUCAUUUGAAGUCUUCUUGGGGGCCUAAUAGGCCAAACUGUACUCUGAAUAUAAGAUCUUUGUACUUUGAGCAUAGUUUCGGCCUUCGAGAUGAAACCGGACGGUGAUGGCCCAAACUUCAAAGAUGUUCAUAUCAACAAUACGGAACUCUUUCAUGUAGAACACUUCUCCAUUUGAAGCCAUCUUAAAUAAGUUCUUGACCGUGCCAAAAUCUGGUGUCAACACAUGCCCCCCUGUUUUUCGGCAAAGCUUGUGUGCCGAAAAAUAAUUUGCACAUAUCUUACUCCGAGGACGAUGUCAACACUCCAUCGGCCAUUUGUAUGUGCUUAGGACGAUAAGUAUAUAUCAGCCAUUGCUUGUUUGAACCUCUUGAUGCAACUUGGGUGAAAACUUCUCAACUUAUAUAACAAUCCGAUGAUAAGGUUCCAUACAUAUGCAUCGCAAAGCCAUCCUCUGAACCAUAUUAUUCACCCUUUCGCUAGGAUUUUGCAGAUAAUCAAGAAUGAACUUCCUCCAAUCCUUGCUUUGCCUACAUAAAAGUUUCAUUAGUGGCCGAGGUGGUGAGCUCCAAUUCGGCCUUACCUAUGUUGGCAAGAAUAAGCAUCGGCUGUUGAUAGAUGUGCAAUAUACCAUGAUGGACAUGGUAGCCGGAUGCUUGCUAUGCCAACUCUCUCCAAUUGUCAUGUCUAGAUAUAUGAAGUAUAUUAAAGUAACCAAGGUAAAUUUUGCAUCUAGACAUAUCCCAAGAUAAACUAUAAAUGAUUCGUCAAAACAUUGAUAACCCUUGGAUAUUUGUUGCACUAUUUUAUAACGAAUCACUGAAAGCCUCAAUUUGUAUAGCACCUAUAGCAACCAAAAUCUUCAAACCGAAUACAAUUUCAUAUUCGGCUUUGAUUUUUGUGCAAAAAUAUUUUAAGUGGCAUGAGGCUUCACAAAAUAACGCCAUAUGGAGAUAUAUGAACAACACUGACACAUUGGCCAUUGCUACGAAUUGAACCAUCAAAAUAUAAUCUCCAUAGUACUAGAGAGACAAGGCUAAUAUCACUUAACAUGUACCUUGUCUCGGUCUCCAAUUGAAUUAAGGACGAUGUUAGAAUUCCACACUGGCCAUGAUCAGAUAGUUUCUUAGGACGAUAGUUAAGUAUCGGCCAUUACCAUGAGGUCCAUGUAGAAUUCAUCCACUAAAGCAUGUAUAGCCAAAAUAAACAAAUAAAAUAGCAAUAAAAUAUUUCGGCCCCUUUGUAUUAGCAACAAAAAUGAAACUAACCAAAUGUAUAGUGAUUUGGUAAUACCCUCUCAUGAUAUAGAAAAUUAUGUUGCAUCCAUGGACCAAAAUGAAUCCAUGGAGGGUAAUUGAUCAUACCUAGGGAUGAAUUCCAUGGCAAAGGCAUCAACGACAUGGUUGAAGAAAAUGGAUGAUGUGCUAACCGAAGAUUUUGAUGUUGUGAUGCGCACCUUCGACUUAAUUGUUUGUUGCUUUCCUUCUUUUCCUUCUUCACUUUUAUUGUACUUGUUGCAAUAGAAACAUGCACAUCAUUUUUGUUUUGAUUGAUCUUCUUGGGAACCCAUGCCACGUUCUUCUUUCUCAGCUCUUGUGCACUAAGAUUUUGUAAUUCCUUCUUUUGCCAAUAUGAUAAGCUGAGUGAGCAGCUCGACUGUGAUUUUCUUUCAAUAAAUGGCAACUCUUUUUGGGCCUUGUGCACCCUCAACUUCUUUUCUUCAGAUUUGGCACUCUGAUUUUUAUCAAUUGAUUGUUUCACUUCUUUGCCUUUUGUAGCCAAUGUCAACACUUUAAUUGGCUCUUUGUUAUUUGAGAUCAAAUCUGAAGUAGCACACUUACGACCAUCUCUUUUCAUGCGGUAAACUUGCUUUACCACCUCUUUCUUCUUCCUUGAGCUCUGGACCGAUUCCUUAUGAUUGAAACAGUCUUUAAUAUGCGACUGUUCAAAUGUUGAUCUUCUCGGAGCUGCAUAAUAUUGGUGAGAUGGUCUAAAAUAAGAUGGAGAAUGUGCCCUUGUAUCAUACCUAUCCCAUGAUGGAUAUGAAUCAACAUGAGCAUAGGGAGGCAUCCACGACAUUGGCAUUGGCGGCCCAAAAUAAGGAUAUGAAUAUCUUGCAUUAAAAUUAUCACUUUGCCAAUACCGUUCCUCAUAUUUGCGCCUUGGGGGUGAUCUUGGUUUCUUUGCAUGAUUUGGCCAAUAAGCAUUCUUCUCUUCACUCUUCUUUUGAUAUUUAUCCAAUAGUUCAGCGAAGGUGAUUUUUGAUCUCUUACACUUGCGCUUACUUCGCCUUUGUUUUCUUUUGGUUUGCUUUCAUCGAUCAUUGGAUUUGCUUGCUACCCCCCAGUCCUUGGCGUCUCCAUUGUAGCUUUGAUGGAAUUUUCACCCUCAAGAUUAUGUUCAUUAUGCUCUUCAACAACUUCUUUACUUGAAAGCUUGAUCCCAUCACCCGCAGUUUUUACCUUCUCUUUAAAUGGGUCGGCUUGAAGCAGCCAAUGCAAAAACUUUCUGCCAUCGGGACCAAUCCGAAUAGACUGGUCAUCUCUUGGUGUCUCAACAAAUUUCAAUCGUCCUUUAGCAAUGGCCGAUUUAACUAUUUUAUGAAACAUAUUGCAAUCCUCAAAAUUAUGUUCGAACGAAUGAUGCAACCUACAAUACAUUCGUCCUUGAAUUGAUGGCUUGACAUGGUGAUAAAAAAUUCUUAUGUAAUUAUUUUUCAGCAACAAAUCAAAUAUUUAAUCACACAUGCUUGAAUUGAGGGCGAACUUUUUAUUUUCUAGCCGAUCUUGCUGUGAGAACGGCUUUGGAGUUAAGCAAACGAAUGAUUCAGAUUUUGUAUCUCUCCAUUUGGCUAUGAAUUUUAUUUUGCAUUCUCUUACCGAUGUCAUUGGAUAAGAAACUAUACUUGCAUCAGUUUGCUCAAAAGAUUUUAACCUUGGCUUUAAAUUUCUGAAACAAAAAUAGUUAGAACAUACAUGUCUCAAUUGAGACCAAGUGUAAGCCAAGUAAGAAAUAAGCAAAGCUACCUAAUUAGAUAUGAAUUUUAGACAAAGCAAUGGCGAAAGCCUUGGCUGCAAUAAUUUUUUGCUAUCGGUCUUUCUGAAUGGUGUAAUGUGUUGACCGAUAUGCUUCAUAACAAGUUUAUUGCUAACAAGUAAAUUACCCUUCUUCAUUGGUCUUUCAAAAUUACUUAUGAGAAUAUUUCUUAUAGAUGCAUCAAUAAUGAAGUCGCGACCAAAUCUGAAAAUAGGUAAAUUACUCUCUAUGCAUACCUCUUCAAAUAUGUUGGGAGAAUAUGAUGGCGGUGCUACUUGAAGAACAUCUUGCUCCAUCUUUGGAUGGCUCCCCAACACCUUUUCAUCAUAUUUUUCUUGAUUCCAUGCAUCAUUGCUUUGAAGAUCCAUGUCAACCGAACUUUGUUUGGCUACUUGUUCUUGUCCUUGAGGCUUGUCAAUUUCUAUGGCACGAAACUCAUAGGGCAGGAAGUAGGUUCCAUUGACUUCGGAAAAAUCAAAUAUGGCUGUUUUGCCAUGCUUUCCAUGCCCUUUCUCAAUAAUGCUUGCCUCUUUGGAUUUGAUGAACUCAUAAUAUAUACUACUUGAUUCGGCUUUUCUAACAAUCAAAUUUUCUUUGUUACCUGAAUCAACAACUUUAUCUUUUUGAAUUUGCGAGGCUUCUCGCUUUCGUAUAAUUUUGGCCCACAUCUCAGCUUGGCGAGCUUUAAACUUUUUCAUCUCAAUUUCCAUCCACUCAUCAUGAGAUUGCCCCCCAAUACUUUGAGACUCUUUCGGCAAUGAGGUGCCGAAACUUUGAGAUUGUUUAGGUGGUAUACUGGAUGGUACAACACUGCACAACUCUAGCUUUUACAGCAGCAAAAUCAUGAGGCUUCCCGCCUUCUAUUAGUUCCUUGCGAAUAGAGUUGCACAAAUCCCAAGAGAAUGUAAGCUUGUUCUUAAUUACCCAGUCUGGAUAUGGUUGCCCCCGAAUGCUUUUAGACUCUUUCGGCAAUGAGAUGUUGCCGAACUUCUGUAAUUGUGAAGGGGGUACAUGAUAUGCCACGGUAGUAGGUGAAGGCAUUUGUGCUCCUGCAGAAGUUUCACUUAUUCGGCCAUGACCAUGAAGGUGCGGAGCCGAAUUAUGGACAUCAAUAGUAGCAUAUGGUGCCAAAAAAUUAGUAGCAUUAGGUAUAGCAUAUGAUGUUUGAGGGUAAUUGGCCAAAUAACUAGUAGUAACAUGGCCAAUUCCCCUAUCCACCGGCACAUUUGGAUUAACGUACUGCAAGUUAUUUGCCGAUCAAUAAGAACUUGAAACACUUUGUUGCAUACCAUUGGAAGUUCCUACAUAGGGUGUCUCAACUUGAUUAACCGAACUCAUCAUGUUAUUCAUUGGCAUAUAAAUUUGUGGGGUUGCCGAUGCAUGGGAGUUGGGAUACAUAUGUUGCAUGUUGCUAAAAUUAUAUGAAGUAGAAUCAUGGAUAUUUUGUUGCACCGGCCCUUGCACAUAAUUAGAUGCAUAAUUGAUAAAGCUAGGGCUAGCCGAUACAUUAUGCUCAUUAGAUGAUCUAGCAACAACAUAUGCAUUAUUUGCAUCUGCAUAUGUGAUUUGGGUAUUCAUAUUACCUUUGUAGAUUGCAAACCCUAGAUGACGAUCUCUUCGUAGCAAGAACGGGUCGGAGACCGUUCAAAGCUUCAUCCCCAGCGGAGUCGCCAAAAAGUGUGUUCGCAUACGAAAACAUCACCGUGUACCCUCGACACCGGGGGUGAUGCACCGCAACUCACGUCGAAGGAGACCCGUCCAGAAGCACGGUACGCAAGCAAUCCGGUGGGCGCUUUUGUAGACCUGAAACUCCACACGCUCGGGAGGGACCCCGUCAGGGCACCCGGCGGCUAUGGGCUGCCCUAGGUCGACCUGAUCGCCCUAGGGCCUCGAGGUUCGCCGCCCUGCAACAAGAAGAACGAGCGAAGAACGAGGAAGAAUAAGAACUAGGGUUAAGGAGAAAAGAUAAAAGAUAAAAAGUGGUAGAUGAUUUGAUCGAUUGUGUGUUGUUCAAUCGGCUAUCAAGCCUUAGAUAUAUAAGAGGCGACUGGACUUCUCGUGCAAGGAAAAGGCUUGGAUUCACGUCCAAAACCCUAGUCAAAUUCGGAUUGGUUUUGUCCGAACUUUCCAAAAUUGUUCGGUUUAAACUGGCUGCACCUUGUGGGUCUUUUUUCUGGUGGUAAACGACCUCAGAUGGAAACAAGUCCAAAAGCAAUCUUAACGGUUUCGACGAGACGAACAACUUUCAUGUUGAACGUUUUUUGAUCAGAGGCCAUCUUGAGGGGGGUUUAGGCUAUUUUCUGAAGUCUGCGGUAGAAAAAUCCAAAACCCGGACAAACAACCCCGGAGUGUCCGGCCGUCCUCGGAGAAACCCAAAACCCGGAUGAUCAUUCCCGGAGUGUUUGGCAAUCCUGAUGCAGCCGCGCAUUUUCGGCUCUAACUUUUGCAUACGAACUCGAAUUCGGAUGAUUUUUAUAUCAAAAUCGACCGUUUCGACGAGACGAAGACAAUUCUUGUAGAUAAUGUUUUCAUUUGAGGUCUUCUUGUGGGCCUAAUCGGCCAAACUGUACUCUGAAUAUAAGAUCUUAGUACUUUGAGCAUAGUUUCGGCCUUCGAGAUGAAACCGGACGGCGAUGGCCCAAACUUCAAAGAUGUUCAUAUCAACAAUACGGAACUCUUUCAUGUAGAACACUUCUCCAUUUGAAGCCAUCUUAAAUAAGUUCUUGACCGUGCCAAAAUCUGGUGUCAACAAUGGGCAUGCCCAAGCUUAGGCUCUUGCCACUCCUUGUUCCAUAGUCCAUAAAAUCUUUACCCAAAACUUGAAAACUUCACAACACAAAACUCAACAGGAAAUCUCAUAAGCUCCGUUAGUGAAAGAAAACAAAACCACCACAUAAGGUACUGUAAUGAACUCAUUCUUAUUUAUUUUGGUGUUAAACAUACUGUAUUCCAAGUUCUCUAUGGUUCAUACUACUUAAUACUAGCCAUAGAUGCAUUAAAAUAAGCAAACAACACACGAGAAACAGAAUCUGUCAAAAACAGAACAGUCUGUAGCAAUCUGUAACUAAUGCAAACGUCUAGAACUUUAAAAAUCCUACCAAAAUAGGAAGUCCUGGGUAAUUUGUCUAUUGAUCAUCAGCAAAAAGAAUCAAUGCAAAAGCAUGUUUCUGUGAUUUAACAAAACUAAUUUCAUGCGCGCAAAGUUUCUGUUUUUCAGCAGAAUCAAAUUAACUAUCACCAUAGGUUAUCCUAUAGGUUUUACUUGACACGAACACUAAUUAAAACAUAAAAACACAUCUAAAAAGAAGGUAGAUGCAAAAUUUAUUACUAAACAGGAAUGAAAACAAAAAACACAAAUAAAAUUGGGUUGCCUCCCAACUAGCGCUAUCGUUUAACGCCCCUAGCUAGGCAUACUCAAUUCCUCAAUAGAGCACUUUUAAUCUUUAGGGGUUUCUCCCUUUUUAGCAAUGAUUAAACCUUUAGGCAAAAAUUCAAGAAAUUCGUUUGUAGCAAAAGGUUCCUUAAUGAUAGAGAGACAAUUGGGAUGAACGCUUAUUGAUUUUAGAUCCGCGUCUCCCUUACUAGAAGAUUCACCCUUAUUUUUAGGAACAUAAAUAAACUUGGCAGUUUUGGUAGGAGGUUUUGGAGUGUUUUUCAUGGAAGAAAACACCAACCCUAAGUUGGUAAUAAUAUUCUCAAGUUUACCGAUUCUUGCAGAAUCGAAAUCUAUCUUUUCAUUAACUAUAGGUUCUUUCUCUAUAAAAGUUUUCAAAGUAACUCCGACCCUAGAUCCAUAUUGGGUAAUGUGAUUAUGAAUCUUUUUAUCCAAAUUUUCAAUCAACUCAACAGUGACAACUUUGUUUUCAAUAAUUUCAAGCUGUUGCAUCACAUGUUCCAAAGUUAAAAUAGUUCCAUUAACCAAAAGAGGUGGUGGGCCAAACAAAUCUAACAUAGCAUUAUAAGCAUUAAACGUAUGGCUACUCAAGAAAUCCCCUCCGGUAAUGGUAUUAAGAACGCAUCUAUUCCAAGGAGUAAUGCCUACAUAAAAAUUGCGAAGAAGAACGGAAGUAGAAAGCUUCCUAGUGGAUUUAUUUCAAGCAUUGCAAAUUCUAUGUCAAGCAUCUUUUAAAUUUUCUCCCUCCCUUUGCUUAAAAUUAAGAAUUUCAUGUUCGGGAGUAAUAACAAAGAUAGGAGGACUAGCCAUUAUGACAAGGUAAACGAUCUAACACACGAGCAAACAAAAAAGGCAAGCUAAAAAGAGAGGAGAAGAUUGGGAAAGAGAGGGCAAAUAAAACGGCAAGGGUGAAGUGGGGGAGAGGAAAACGAGAGGCUAAUGGGAAAUAAUGUAAAUGCGAGGGAGAUGAGUUUGUGAUGGGUACUUGGUAUGUCUUGACUUGAGCGAAGACCUCCCCGGCAACUGCGCCAGAAAUCCUUCUUGCUACGUCUUGAGCUUGUGUUCGUUUUCCUUGAAGAGGAAAGGGUGAUGCAGCAAUAGUAGCGUAAGUAUUUCCCUCAGUUUUUGAGAACCAAGGUAUCAAUCCAGUAGGAGGCUCCUCAAAAGUCCCACGCACCUACACAAACAAACAAAGAACUCGCAACCAACGCAAUAAAGGGGUUGUCAAUCCCUUCAUGGCCACUUGCAAAAGUCCUCAGUUUUUGAGAACCAAGGUAUCAAUCCAGUAGGAGGCUCCUCAAAAGUCCCACGCACCUACACAAACAAAUAAAGAACUCGCAACCAACGCAAUAAAGGGGUUGUCAAUCCCUUCACGACCACUUGCAAAAGUGAGAUCUGAUAUAGUAUGAUAAGAUAAAUAUAUUUUGGUAUUUUAUAAUAUAGAUUGGAAAAGUAAAGAUGCAAAUAAAAGUAGAUUGAAAGCUUAUAUGAUAAAGGAUAGACCCGGGGGCCAUAGGUUUCACUAGUGGCUUCUCUCAAGAUAGCAUAAGUAUUACGGUGGGUGAACAAAUUUCUGUCGAGCAAUUGGUAGAAAAGCAAAUAAUUAUGAGAUUAUCUAGGCAUGAUCAUGUAUAUAGGCAUCACGUCUGUGACAAGUAGACCGACUCCUGCCUGCAUCUACUACUAUUACUCCACACAUCGACCGCUAUCCAGCAUGUAUCUAGAGUAUUAAGUUCAUAAGAAUAGAGUAACGCAUUAAGAAAGAUGACAUGAUGUAGAGGGAGAAACACAUGCAAUAUGAUAUAAACCCCAUCUUUUUAUCCUCGAUGGCAACAAUACAAUACGUGCCUUGCUGCCCCUGUUGUCACUGGGUAAGGACACCGCAAGAUUGAACCCAAAGCUAAGCACUUCUCCCAUUACAAGAAAGAUCAAUCUAGUAGGCCAAACCAAACUGAUAAUUCGAAGAGACUUGCAAAGAUAACUCAAUCAUACAUAAAAGAAUUCAGAGGAGAUUCAAAUAUUUCUUAUAGAUAAACUUGAUCAUAAACCCACAAUUCAUCGGAUCUCGACAAACACACCGCAAAAAGAGUUACAUCGAAUAGAUCUCCACAAGAGAGGGGGAGAACAUGGUAUUGAGAUCCAAAAAGAGAGAAGAAGCCAUCUAGCUAAUAACUAUGGACCCAAAGGUCUGUGGUAAACUACUCACAAAACAUCAAAGGGGCUAUGGUGUUGAUGUAGAAGCCCUCCGUGGUCAAUUCACCCUCCAGCGGAGCGCCAACGAAGGCUCCAAGAUGGGAUCUCGCGGAUACAGAGCGUUAUGGCGGUGGAAAUUGUUUUUCGUUGGCUCCCUGGAUGUUUUCGGGGUACAUGGGUAUAUAUAGGACGUAGAAGUACGUCGGUGGCCGCCCGAGGGGCCCACGAGACAGGGGGCGCGCUCUGUAGGGGUGGGCGCGCCCUCCACCCUCGUGGCCACCUCGGCUGCUUCUUGACUUGCACUCCAAGUCCUCUGGAUCACGUUUGUUCCAGAAAUCGCGCUCCCGAAGAUUUCAUUCCCUUUGGACUCCAUUUAAUAUUCCUUUUCUUCGAAAUACUGUAAUAGGCAAAAAAAACAGCAAUACGGGCUGGGCCUCCGGUUAGUAGGUUAGUCCUAUAAAUGAUAUAAAUGUGUAAAAUAAAGCCCAUAAACUUCAAAAAGGGGUAAUAUAAUAGCAUGGAACAAUAAAAAAUUAUAGAUACGUUGGAGACGUAUCAACCCCCGGCAAGAUCCUUGCCGGGGACGACCGCAACGCCGCGACGAGACCCUUGCCGGGGGCCCCGGCAAGGCCCUUGUCGAGGACGUCAGCGAGGCCACAGCCAGGCCCGCACCCGCCAAGCUUCUGCCACCACUCCCAUGCAGCCGCGAGCCCACCAGCUGGGCAGGCACCUGCGUGUCAGCACAAGGCUUCUUGGCCAAAUCAGCGCAUGCCUACGUGGCGGCAUGCAAAUCUUCGUGAAGGCCCUACCACUGCGCCACCUCAGCAGCCUGCCAGCCUACAUGGCACCACCGCCUCGCUGGUCCAAGCGCGUGUCGAAGCAGGGCGAGGUGGCGAUAAAGUGGAGGGGACGCAUCAGGGGCGCAUUAAAUGCACUUUGUCCCGUAAUGGCGAGGGAUAGGCUUAAUCACAGUGCCCCUAUGCCACCUCCUGUGUGCCACUGUGGUGAUCCCCUUGCCUAUAAAAGGAGGCCCGAGGCAUCCAGGAGAGGGAUUCACACUUUUAGACAAGUUACGCCCAUUGUAGCUAGUUCAAGAACCUCAAGAACACAAACACACACAUCCAAGCAGGACUAGGGUGUUACGCAUCUCUGCGGCCCGAACCUGGGUAAACGAUCCGCGUGCUUUACUGACUGCUGAUCCUGCUCUCCUCACCACCCAGCGCCCCGCAACCGCAGUAGGGAUCCUUGUGAUCCCAUAGGUGUCGUUUCCCACUGACAAGGAGGAAUAAUCCACUUCUCAUGCACAUGGGUGCGGACAAAAAGGAGAAUGGAGCCACACUCUCAAUAAGAGCCUGAAUGAAUGGAGCAUGAGGAAAGGCACACUUGUACUGAAAGCUAGCAAGUCGGAUUUCAUGCCAAAGGAAAUGAGGAACAUUAAUCUUGCCUUUGGGAGACUCAUAGAGACGAGACAUGAGAUCAAUGCAAUAACUGUUGCAAGAACCUUGGUCACCCAUCUUAGGAUAGAUGGUGCGAAUGAUGCAUUGGUAGAUGAUGUAGUACGUAGAUCUACAAAUAGAAACUUGAUUAAGAUCCUUCAGCUUUUCCUCCUCAGUUAGUUCAUCAAUUUCCUUUAGGAGAUAUCCACACGCCUCAACCCCUUUGGGUUUGUGAUUUGGAUCAUCUUUAUGGAUCUUGAAUCCAGUGUUCGGAAACCCAAGAGCAGCGACAAAUUGAGCAUAAGUGGCAGUGAGCUCAGUGUCAGAGGUCAUCCAGGUGACGGUCUUGUUAGGAGCAAAGAAGCAAGUGGCAUAAGACUGAUGGAUAGCAGCCUGAUUAAAAUCAUGUUGAAAGGCAAACAGAGCAGCAAGACCAGAUGACUCAAUGAGCUCAAUGGCACCCGGAUACUUCACGGGAUGUUUUCGAAUAUAAUCUAAGUCAAUGAAGUGUUGCAGAGAUAGACCCUUUGGGAGGACAACAGAGGUGUAGAUGUCAGCCUGAACAUUUGUGUGAAACCGUUGAUCCAGGGAAUCUUGAACCACUUCAAAUUGAUCAACAUCAUGCCGGAACUUAAGAUAUGCUGGCUUGGGCACUUUAGUGAAGUCCUUGAGGAUACACCCAUGAAGUUGAGGAGCCUCAAGAGGUAUGUGGCGACCAUCGGCAUGCGGCUGAUCGGGAGGAGGAGCAGGCAUGUGAGAGGCCCGACGAGAACCACGGGGGCGGGACGAAAACGUCACACGCGCACCACGCUCCUACUCCUCCCCCAUCUCUUCUUCAUAGUCAGAACCAUCGCAAGAGGAGGACUCCAUGAUCACGGGACAUUUUCCAGCAUGCUUGCGGGGACGCAACUCCUCCUGAGAGUCAUUAGAACCACCACGACGGGAGGCUAAAAUCAAGAGGAGAGGAACAUGUACAACCAUAGUGAGCCCCUGACCCGAAUGGAGACAAAGAUGAUGAAAAUUUGAAACUAAAAAAGGACAUAAUUACCAUGGGCAGAGGUACCCCCCGCAUCCUUGUGAGCGGUAUGCUUGAUUUUCACCAUCGUGGGACAAACCUCACCUGAGAUAUUAUCCAAGAGAGAAAGGGGAUCACAACCGUGUGCACGAAAGAGUGACGGAACCAAGAGAAAGAGAGCCGAGAAACACAACAAGGGAGGAGUACCAGAUUGGGAGGAGGGGCGACGGCGAGGCCCUCCAGGCGGCGCGGCAGUGGACUCAGUCAUGCGAAUGGGGAAAAAGGGGAUAGGGCAACCAUUCAGCCCAACCCCAGAAUAUAUAUGUGACCCGCACUAUCAUCGGACGACCGACCGUGGUCGGACGUCCAUGCACUGGUGGACGUGCCAGGCGACGGACGACCGGUGAACCACGGAUGUCCGAGACCUGGGGGGGGUGGUGAUUUUUGGGCUUGUGCAAGAUUGCUGCACAGCAACCGGGCAGCCGAGAGAAGUCGGUCGACCGGAAACUGUGAGUCAUCGUAUGUUCGAGAACCGUCAGACGACCGAUGGCAAAGGGUUUGGCAGAUCACACAUGCCAUAUCUAGAGGAACCAAAAACCAGGAAUAGGUAUAUGACAAAAUAUUAUGGACAAUCAGACAUGUAAAAUACCACAUGGUGAGCAACUCGACACGCAAGUUAAGAACCCAAAACAUGAUUGGACAACCUCUCCUUUUGAGGAGAGUUGGUGGCCAAUAGGCCACCAUGUGUGAGUAUAAGUGUCAUGAUGCCACAAAAAUAGUGUCCUUGGGCUCAAUAACACGACUCCAUCAUUUUAAAGUACCAUAGUUCGAAGAACAUGGUAACUUUGAGAGUGUUUGUUUUAUUUAUGCAUUAUAUAGGGUGAGAGUACUCAUGAGUUGAAAGUCUCCCCCUAAAUAUAUGCCUACAUCUAAACAAGACAUGAUGAAAAUGAAUGAAUGGGUACUAUAUUUCACAUAAUGUUGUCAAGCUCCAAGAUACCAAGUUCACGCCUAAGUUGACAAAAUCUUGCUUCAUCCAAUGGCUUUGUGAAUAUGUGUACAAGUUGAAUAUCUGUACCGACAUGAUCAAUACAAAUGCCCCCCCUUUCCACAUGAUCUCUCAAGAAAUGAUACCUAAUAUCAAUGUGCUUGGUGCGGGUAUAAUCUUUGGGAUUCGCAGCAAUAUUGAUGGCACUUUCAUUAUCACAUAGAAGAGGCACAUGUCUAUAGGUGAUACCGUAAUCCUUCAAAGUUUGCCUCAUCCAUAGUAGCCGAGUUGCACAACUGGCGGUUGCAAUGUAUUCAGCUUCGACGGUGGAGAGAGCAACACAAUUUUGCUUCUUCGAGGACAAACUUACCAAGGAGCGUCCAAGAAACUGACAUGCAUCGGAGGUGGACUUUCGUCUGACUUUGUCUCCAUCCCAAUCCGCAUCCGUGUACCCAAUGAGAUCAAACUUAGCAUCCUUGGGGUACCAUAGACCCAACUUUGGGGUGUGAACAAGGUAUCUAAGAAUAUGCUUAACUGCCUUAUGAUGACUUUAGGGGAAGCUUGAAAUAGCACACAUGCAUACACUGAACAUGAUGUAUGGUCUAAAUGCACAAAGAUAAAGCAAUGAACCAAUCAUAGAGCGGUAAGUACAUGGGUCGAAAGGAAUACCAUUUGUGUCUUUAGUGAGUACAAUUUUGGUUGGCAUGGGAGUCUUACAUGGACUGGCAUCAGACAUGCUAAACUUCUCUAGAAUAUCCUUAAGAUACUUUGCUUGAGAUAAUAAUGUUCCUUCUUGAAAUUGUUGAAUUUGGAAUCCGAGGAAGAACUUCAAAUCCGUAGUGAGUGACAUCUCAAAGUUCUUGGUCAUGGAAGCCGCGAACUUCUUGCACAAAUGAAUGUUAGGAGAACCAAAAAUGAUAUCAUCUACAUAGAUUUGGCAUAAGAUCAAAUCACCCUUGUCCCUCUUAGUAAAAAGAGUGGGAUCGAUCACCCCUCUCACAAAAUCAUCAUCGAGUAAAAACUUCUUAAGAUGAUCAUGCCAAGCACGAGGUGCUUGUUUGAGGCCAUACAGAUCCUUAUGAAGUUUAUACACAUAGGCUUUGUGAUCGGGAUCAACAAACCCAGGUGGUUGUGAUACAUAUAAUUCUUCUUGUAGAGGACCGUUAAGGAAAGCACUCUUCACAUCCAUUUGAUGUAAUGUAAAACCAUUGAAAGUAGCAUAAGCAAGUAAGAUGCGAAUAGAUUCAAGAUGGGCAACGAGAGCAAAGGUCUCACCAAAGUCCAAACCUUCAACUUGUGAGUACCCUUGUGCCACUAACCUUGCCUUGUUCACUACAAAAAAAGACACAUCCAUGACAUUUUGGGCCGAACGAAACUUUUUUCUGUCAUAGAUAUGACACUUCUAUGAUGAUAGUUGUGACAAAACCCGGUAUCAUCAUAGCUGUGGUGGGCUCCUACUUCUAUGACAAAAAACCAUGACAGAAAAUGGGCUUUUUGUCCUGGGCGUGCCGGAGACGUAGCUGCAUGACAUUCUUUGGGUCAUCCAUGACGGAAAAAACCGUGGUAGAAGCAAGGGCGAAGAAGAUUUCGGGGAGUUCCCGGUUACGGUGGGCGGUCGGGGGCCGAGCGAUGCGCGUUUCUCUUGUACACAUACGCAUGUGUGUGCGAGGCGUUGGCUCUAACUGAACUAGAGCGAGGCGUUGGUCUCUAACUGAACCCGAGCGAUUGCACUGCAGGCUACGCAUUACUGAACCCGAGUGAUCGAUCGAUGGCUGUUAACUGAACCCGAUCGAGCGAUUCCUUUGCUACUGCUGCUAACUGAAGCCGAUCGAUUGGAUGAACAAUGAGCAUUGCGCGCGGUGGNNNNNNNNNNNNNNNNNNNNNNNNNNNNNNNNNNNNNNNNNNNNNNNNNNNNNNNNNNNNNNNNNNNNNNNNNNNNNNNNNNNNNNNNNNNNNNNNNNNNNNNNNNNNNNNNNNNNNNNNNNNNNNNNNNNNNNNNNNNNNNNNNNNNNNNNNNNNNNNNNNNNNNNNNNNNNNNNNNNNNNNNNNNNNNNNNNNNNNNNNNNNNNNNNNNNNNNNNNNNNNNNNNNNNNNNNNNNNNNNNNNNNNNNNNNNNNNNNNNNNNNNNNNNNNNNNNNNNNNNNNNNNNNNNNNNNNNNNNNNNNNNNNNNNNNNNNNNNNNNNNNNNNNNNNNNNNGGAGGCUGGAUGAACAGGAGCCCGUGGAGGCUGGAGGAGGUCGACGGUAGCCCGUGGAGGCUGGAGGAGGUCGACGGUGGAGAUGAACAGUAUCCCGUGGAGUCCCGUUUUGCGAUACGCCACACCCCUCCCAAUGAACAGGACCCUCAUUUCGACCGUAGCGCUCCAACACAAGUCCGUUUUGUCCGUUUUGCGGUACGCCACACCCCUCCUGAUCAACAUGACCCCCGUUUUGACUGUAGCGCUCCAACACAAGUCCGUUUCGUCUGUUUUGCGGUACGCCACACCCCUCCCAAUCAUUAGGACCCCCGUUUAGACCGUAGGAGGUCCGUUUCCUCCGUUUUGCGGUACACUAGACCCCUCCCGAUGAACAAGAUCCCGUUUCGAACAUGGCCGGUCGAACACAAGGCCGUUUCCUCCGUUCUGCGGUACGCCAGGCCUCGUUUCCAUGGCCUGUUCCGUCCAAGCCCUCCCGAUGAACACGAUGACGCAUUCCGUUCCGACCCAGCCGGUUGGCUCCCCAUGAACACAACGACGACGCUGUUUCUCCGUUCCGACCCAGCCAUGUACACGAGCCCUGGCCAUACGUAUGCGCGAGUAGGCGUUCGAGACCCCGCCCGUAUGUACACAUACGUGGCUGUAUUUUCUUUCUUGCACACUGGCCGCUGUACGUAUGUGUACAUGCUAUGUGCGCGCCUCUAUUACGACACGUGCGCGCCUCUACAUCGACACGUGCGCGCCUCUACAUCCACCAGUAUAUAUGUACGUACACGUUCGUGACCAGAAUGACAAGCUACGUACGCUUCGACCAGGUGGGUCCCGACUGUCAGGCACUUCCUUGCGUGCGAAGAUGUAACUAGUGAGUCCCAGCAGUCAGGGGGGCGAGUCUUUUUUUGCUCGGACGCACUUCCUUGCGUGCGAAGGUGUAGCUGGUGGCUCCUAGCAGUCAGGGGGCGAAUCGUUUUUUCCCGGACGCACUUCCUUGCAUGCGAAGAUGUAGCUGGUGGGUCCCAACAGUCAGGGGGCGAAUCGUUUUUUUUGCCCGGACGCACUUCCUUGCAUGCGAAGGUGUAGCUGGUGGGUCCCAGCAGUCAAGGGGGAAACAUUUUUUCGCGAAAUACGGUGGCCCGUCCGGUGGGUCCCUGCUGUCAGGUGGAGGAAUAAUUAUUUUGCGUGUAAUAAGGAGGCACUUCCUUGUGGCCGCCGUGGACCCAGCUGUCAGCCUCUCCACGCACAGUACUCUUCCGAUGGAAGUCGGUCGUUGACCACAUUGACCACGCCGCGCCGAGAGCACCACGGUGGUGGACGACGGCGAGGCCUAGGAAGGGAUGGAGCGGAGCAGGGGAAAACACAGCAGUGGAUGCCCAUGUGAAGAGGAGUACAAGGGUUCACUGGUUCGGCUGCGGUGUGAGGCUGCCAUCGCCGCAGAAUAACAGGGGGUGUGGGUGAGUAGAGGGAUGACCUGGCCAGCGGUGGGAGUAGUAGGGGGCGGUGAGGCCUCCGCGGCAUCACAGCCGUCCAUGGGAGGCAGGAGCAUGCGGCACGACCGGCGCUGCUUUGGGCGGCUGGAGCACGAAGACCAGAGGUUGAAGAGGCACUACUGCCGUUGGAUGGACAUCGUACGGUCACCGGAGCUAGAAUUGUUCAUAUUGACUAAGUUGACAAAGCCCUCCGUCCCCGUAAACUUAGUAGGCCCACAAGUCAGCCUCCCACCAAGGUGAGUCCCAGCUAGCAGGGGGUUAUUCAUUUUUUUCGUAAUAAGGAGGCAUUUCCGGUGGGUCCGAGCUGACAGUGGGGGGAACGUUUUUUUCGCGAAAUACAAAGGCCCUUCCGGUGGGUCCCAGCUAUGAGGUGGAGGAAUCAUUAUUUUGCACGUAAUAAGGAGGCAUUUCCCUGUGUGGGCCCCUACUGUCAGCCUCUUCCGAUGGCUGUUGUUUGUUGACCAUGUUGACCUCGCCAUGUCGAGAGCACAAACACGAUGGACGAGGGCAAGGCCCAGGAAGAGAACCACCCGGAGCCGGCAAAGCCACCGUAGCGGAUGCCCACGCUGAGGGGAGAACGAGCGCUGACUGGUCAGCUGCGGGAUGAGGCUGACAUCGCCGGAAAAUAACAGGAUGUGUGGGUGGUUAGAGGGAUGGCCUGGCGGCAGCACAGCCAGCCACAGGAGGAGGGAGCAGGCAGUCCCGUCGGCGCUGGUUUGGGUGGCUAGAGCAAGAAGAUCAGAGAUAGAAGAAGCAUGUCGGCCAUUGGAUGGACAUCCAACAGUCACUGCUGUGUGUUGACUAAGUUGACAAAGCCUUGCGUACGCGUCAAAAAAAUUUAGGACAGCAUCAUCGUCAACCUAGUAGGCCCAGAAGUCAGCCUCCAAAUCUGUGGAAAACAACAUACAUCCCAUUAGCCAUUAUUUUCAAUAAUUUACAGCCCAUUUUCUAAUUCUUAAGGAUAUUUGAAGCCCAUAUUCUUUUUAUUAGCAUUACACACCAUAUAUUCUGGGCACUGCUAAAAAAUUCAACGAAAUUUUGCAUAUUUCGGUGGGGUCCGAACUCUUUUAAUCAUGAAAUUUCGAGUCACGUUAAAAAUAAUUUUCAAAAAAUUAUAUCAAAAUAAAAUUCAAAAAACAAUUCUCCGCAAAAAAAGAAUGAAAUUUAGAAUCUUAACUAGCAAGAUGCCCGUUCGUUGCACGGAACAUGAAGAUGCAUUUGUAUGAGUAGUUUAUCUUGUGGGAGAAAAGAUGAUAUUUUAAUGUAAUUGCCAGUUGGCUUUGUUUUUUAUAAGAGUAGAGAGUAGAGAAAUCUUGAAAAAAAUGAUAUUUUAAUGCAAUUGUCGGUUGGCUUUGGUUAAAAAAUUUACAACCCAUUUCUUACAACUUAUAGCCCGUUUUCUGGGGAAGCGCAUUUCUUACUACUUACAUCCCUCCUUGUCUUGAAAGAUUUGCAGCCCAGCAGGGCUGAGAAAAGCAAGUAGGCCUCAAUUUUGGUAUUCUCCAAAAAAAGAACUGGGCUAGCCAAUUUCAGAAAGAAAAAAUAUAUCAACUGGGCUCAUCAUGUGCUUAAUAAAAGCGUAAGCGUGGGCUAGACGGGCCACAGCCCCCGCACAGCGCGCAGUUGAGCUCCGUCUUUGAAACUGAAAAACAACUGGGCGAGCUGCUGGGUCCCUGGUGUUAUCCGCUCGUUGUGUAAUUUUCUCGUUUAUUGACUACAUUAACAAUGGCGUGGACCCUAGUUGUCAAACAAUUAGGAGGAAGUAUUUUUUUGGCUUGUAAUAACGAGGCACCUGCUUGCGAAAUGCAAUGACCCUGGUGGGUCCCUACUGUCAGCCUCUCCAUGUACAGUCAUCUCCUGAUUCCUCUUGGUUGUUGACCAUGUUGACAAUGCCAGACGGCGGCGGGCACAACGAGCGAACCAAGACGGAGAACGACGGAAAGGCCUCGGACGGGAACGAAUAGCAGCCAUGGAAGAUGCGGCCGUGUAGUGGCAGGUGGAGGGGAGUACGAGGGCAACAACAUGCAAGUCAAGCAUACAAAUGGCACAAAAAGCCCAAGGAUUAAUUGUUCAUCAAGUUUUUAGACAAAACCCAGAUUGAACAUGACAGUAACAUCUAACCCAACCACUCUUUUUUGCAGUCACAGACAAAUGGAUCGGUCUUAUCCAUAAAAUCAACAUCCUGUGCAAAAAUUUUUAUUUCAGGAUGUCUACAACUUAUUGUAAAUAGAAGCCGAGCACGUUUAGAAGCCCAUUUGUCCACCUGAAACUUCUUUUUUUGCUGUUCAACAUGUUCGUCCGUGAGAAAUAUCUUGCUGUAAAAAUUAAGCCUCAUGGACAAAGUAACCUCACAUUCAACAGGAAGAAUGUGACAAAGCUUCUGUUUGCCUGGUUGGAUGCAUAUCGUCCCAUCGUUAUUGUCCUCAAAUGAAUGUCAUGAGAACUGAGAAAAUCCUUGUGCUUAUUACGCCAACGAUUGGUUAUAUGUUUUUCUCCAUGUGGUUCUACCUAAGUAGACAUGAAGAUUGAAAACAAUUAAGGUCUGAAAAAAGAGUAUGUCGAAAGAACGACAGCUGAACAGUUAAUUCUAGUACAAUAUAUACGGGCUUUCAAUGUGCAUGAAAUCAUCACCUCCAUGUAUAAAUUCUCCAUAGAUCGAAAGCAUCGCAGCAAGCCAAUAAUUAUGUCCAGAUCAAAACUAUACAUUCUGAUAUAUAUGAUCUUGACAGAAUCCAGCAGCAUUGAUAGGCUAUCAAUGGACGAACUCUUCAUUGAGCAUAUAACAUAAUAUUAGUACCCAAAGUGUACUCCAAGAUGAUAUAAAACUUAUGCGCACAAAUGAAAAAUGCAGCAUAUGAUUACAAAUGUGUAGAUGAUAAUAUACGGUACCUGAAAAAGUGAGGAGCCAAACACCAACUCCUUGUGAUUAUUAAACGGGUCACAAAUUACACCCAAGGUCUCUAGUUUGGGCGCAAAGACGACAAUUAUUUCUGAAGGUGUAUAACAGUUAUGAAGGAGCAACCUUUCAAGUGAAGGGGCAUCUUCGAUGAUGAGCUGCUGUCCUUUAAAACAAAUUCCAAUGCUUUUAAGGUGAGGCGACUUUAUUUGGAGACAAAUGAUACUGAUUUCUAUUCCCAAAACAAUCAGCAAGUGCUCCAGGGCAGGGCAACUGGAGUGGAUGAUGCUGUGCAGUGAGGCCUCCGACAGAUAAACCACCACAAGCGGAAUUUUUUUUAGCAGUGGGAGUCGAAGCAUUUGUACCAGAUCGUCUAGUAGAUGGCACCGGGCGAAGGUGGCGGUGUGGAUAGAGGAGUAAAACCGCGAGAUGGACAAUGGUGGUGUGGGCAUGAAUUCUUGGUAUGUUCGUGGUAUGAAACUUUUGUGGUAAUGGUAGAACUCAAACUGCUGGAGUUUUCCGAAUUCAGGGGAUGUCAGCCAAGCGUCCACCUUGUCGGGUAUGGACAGCAGGUAGCUUGUCGGGAUGCAGAGGCAUUGAAUGGGGCCCUACUGGUGAGAAGAGACGAUGGCUCUGAGGAUAUCAAAUUCAGGAAGGACAGAUAUCUGAUGACAGUCGAGAUUGAGGGGUGCGGUGCGCCAUAGAGGGCGCCACCGAGUUGAGAGGACUUGUGUGCGGCAGCAAUCCUUGGUGGGGAGAAGCGAGAUGAUCUCCUCAAGGAUGACGCCCGGGAGAUCGCUGAUGCGGUCCACCGGAGAUUCUACCGGUUCCUCAGAUCCGGGUGGGGGGUGGAGGGGCUCGCCGCUUCUCCCCGCGCUACCGGGUGCGGGAUCUACAACCGGCGUCGCCGCUGGCAGGGGCCUCAUCUUCUUGGCGCUGGGGCCAGCCGACUCCAUUUUCCUUGUGGGCGUCGCGCCGAGCUCACGGGUUUGAGCAGAGUAGCCAGAGACGAGCCUAGUGCCAGUGCGAGUGGGGAAGAAGGAGGGUUGGGGAUUUCUGUAGGAGUGGAAGAAGAGGAGCAGGCGUUUUCUGUAUGAGUGAGGAAGAAGGUGAGCAGGGUUUUCUGUAUGAGUGAGGAAGAUUGGGGAGCGGGGGGAAUUGGGAGGGAGACAGAAGCAGGAGAGCGAGCUGUUCGUGUUUAUAAGGCCUGCUGCACUAACUACUCGCUUUUUCCCAAGAACCACUCUCUUCUUUUGCAUUUCUGCAUUGGAGCUGGCGCAUGGACUUGGCUGACUGGCCAUGCAUGCAGGAUGCAUGUGCCCGCCGGCCACUGCAUGCGCCUGGUUUGUUACUAGGCCUAUUUAAUAGGGUGGUUAUGGAGUAAAUUAAGGAGAUUUAUUUUCUCUGUGUGCAUCCACCAAAUUAGAGGAUGCGGUACUGGAUGCAGACACUCACAUUAAACUAACAUCCGGAAGAACAAAAGUUCAGCAUGUCUAUGCAUCUCAAUGAUUCACCAUACUAUAACCAAUACAAAGCUGUGAGAAGGUGUGGAAAUACAGAAAAUCGGUCGAUGCUUCUCUGAGCAAAGGGCCUCCCUGCGCACGCAUUAAUUUCCUGGGCAUGCUUGUUUCUUCUCAAUGUUGCGAGCACUUUGAGCAUGUUGGCAACUCCACAACUAGCUAGCUGCCUCAUCUUGCAAUUGAUGCUGACACAUUUGCAGCAAACACAUGAGGCAAUAGAGGUGACUCAACAUGGGUCCAUAUUGUGCAGUUUCCUGCUACCUCUUGAGCACUGCGUUGAAUUUCCCCGAAGAGGAGAGGACGAUGCAGCAAAGUAGCGUAAGUAUUUCCCUCAGUUUUUGAGAACCAAGGUAUCAAUCCAGUAGGAGACCACACACAAGUCCCUCAUACCUACACAAAAUGAUAGCAACUCGCAACCAAUGCUUAUGGGUUGUCAAUCCCUUCAUGGUCACUUACGAGAGUGAGAUCUGAUAGAUAAUAUUUUUGGUAUUUUUGAUAGAUAGAUGCAAAGUAAAAAAGUAAAAGGCAAAGUAAAAACAAAGCAAGUAAAUAAAGUGAUAGAGAUUGAUAUGAUGAGAAUAGACCCGGGGGCCAUAGGUUUCACUAGUGUCUUCUCUCAAGAGCAUAAGUAUUCUACGGUGGGUGAACAAAUUACUGUUGAGCAAUUGACAGAAUUGAGCAUAGUUAUGAGUAUAUCUAGGUGAUGAUCAUGUAUAUAGGCAUCACAUCCAAGACAAGUAGAUCGAAACGAUUCUGCAUCUACUACUAUUACUCCACUCAUCGACCGCUAUCCAGCAUGCAUCUAGAGUAUUAAGUAAAAACAGAGUAACGCCUUAAGCAAGAUGACAUGAUGUAGAGGGAUAAAUUCAUGCAAUAUGAUAAAAAACCCAUCUUGUUAUCCUCGAUGGCAACAAUACAAUACGUGCCUUGCAACCCUUUCUGUCACUUGGUAAGGACACCGCAAGAUUGAACCCAAAGCUAAGCACUUCUCCCAUUGCAAGAACUACCAAUCUAGUUGGCCAAACCAAAAAGGAUAAUUCGAAGAGAUUUGCAAAGAUAACUCAAUCAUACAUAAAAGAAUUCAGAGAAGAAUCAAAUAUUUUCCAUAGAUAAUACUGGAUCAUAAACCCACAAUUCAUCGGUCUCAACAAACACACCGCAAAAAGAAGAUUACAUUGAAUAGAUCUCCAACGAGAGAGGGGGAGAACAUUGUAUUGAGAUCCAAAAAGAGAGAAGAAGCCAUCUAGCUACUAGCUAUGGACCCGAAGGUCUGAAGUAAACUACUCACACUUUAUCGGAGGGGCUAUGGUGAUGAUGUAGAAGCCCUCCAUGGUGGAUGCCCCCUUCGGCGGAGCUCCGGAACAGGCCCCAAGAUGGGAUCUCGUGGAUACAGAAGGUUAUGGCGGUGGAAUUAGGUUUUUGGCUCCUGUUCUGAUCGUUCGGGGAUACGUAGGUAUAUAUAGGAGGAAGGAGUACGUCGGUGGAGCAUCGAGGGGCCCACGAGGUAGGGGGUGCACCCAGGGGGCGCCCUCCACCCUCGUGACCGCCUCUGGCACUGCUUGGAGUAGGGUCCAAGUCUCCUAGAUCAUGUUCGGUUGGAAAAUCACGACCCCGAAGGUUUCAUUCUGUUUGGACUCCGUUUUGAAGGAAAUAUGCCCUAGAGGCAAUAAUAAAGAUAUUAUUUAUUUCCUUAUUUCAUGAUAAAUGUUUAUUAUCCAUGCUAGAAUUGUAUUAACCGGAAACAUAAUACAUGUGUGAAUACAUAGACAAACAUAGUGUCACUAGUAUGCCUGUACUUGACUAGCUCACUAAUCAAAGAUGGUUAUGUUUCCUAACCAUAGACAUGUGUUGUCAUUUGAUUAAUGGGAUCACGUCAUUAGAAGAAUGAUGUGAUUGACUUGACCCAUUCCGUUAGCAUAGCACUUGAUCGUUUAGUAUGUUGCUAUUGCUUUCUUCAUGACUUAUACAUGUUCUUGUAACUAUGAGAUUAUGCAACUCCCAUUUACCGGAGGAACACUUUGGGUGCUACCAAACGUCACAACAUAACUGGGUGAUUAUAAAGGAGUACUACAGGUGUCUCCGAAGGUACAUGUUGGGUUGGCGUAUUUCGAGAUUAGGUUCUGUCACUCCGAUUGUCGAGAGGUAUCUCUGGGCCCUCUUAGUAAUGCACAUCACUAUAAGCCUUGCAAGCAAUGUAGCUAAUGAGUUAGUUACAGAAUGAUGCAUUACGUAACGAGUAAAGAGACUUGCCGGUAACGAGAUUGAACUAGGUAUUGGAUACCGACGAUCGAAUCUCGGGCAAGUAACAUACCGAUGACAAAGGGAACAAAGUAUGUUGUUCUGCGGUUUGACCGAUAAAGAUCUUCGUAGAAUAUGUAGGGGCCAAUAUGGGCAUCCAGGUUCCGCUAUUGGUUAUUGACUAAGAAUAGUUCUAGGUCAUGUCUACAUAGUUCUCGAACCCGUAGGGUCCGCACGCUUAAGGUUUCGAUGACAUUUAUAUUAUGAGUUUAUGAGUUUUGAUGUACCGAAGGAGUUCGGAGUCCCGGAUGAGAUCGGGGACAUGACGAGGAGUCUCAAAAUGGUCGAGACGUAAAGAUCGAUAUAUUGGACGACUAUAUUCGGAGUUCGGAAAGGUUCCGAGUGAUUCGGGUAUUUUUCGGAGUACCGGAGAGUUACGGGAAUUCGCCGGGGAGUAUAUGGGCCUUAUUGGGCCAUACGGGAAUAGAGGAGAGAGGCCAAAAGGAAGGAGGCCUGCGCCCCCCCUCUGGUCCGAAUUGGACAAGGGGCGCAGCCCCCCUUUCCUUCUUCCUCUCCCCCUCUUUCCCCUUCUCCUACUCCAACAAGGGAGGUGGAAUCCUACUAGGACUAGGGAGUCCUAGUAGGACUCCACACUUGGUGCGCCCCCUCCUAGGGCCGGCCUCCUCCCCCCUUGCUCCUUUAUACACGGGGGCAGGGGGGCACCCCAUGACACACAAGUUGAUCUACGGAUUGUUCCUUAGCCGUGUGCGGUGCCCCCCUCCACCAUAUUCCACCUCGAUCAUAUCGUCGCGGAGUUUAGGCAAAGCCCUGCGCCGGUAGAGCGUCAUCAUCGUCACCACGCCAUCGUGAUGACGGAACUCAUCCCCGACACUUUGCUGGAUCGGAGUCCGGGGAUCGUCAUCGAGCUGAACGUGUGCUGAACUCGGAGGUGCCGUACAUUCGGUACUUGGAUCGGUCGGAUCGUGAAGACAUACGACUACAUCAACCGCGUUGUCAUAACGCUUCCGCUUACGGUCUACGAGGGUACGUGGAAAACACUCUCCCCUCUCGUUGCUAUGCCAUCACCAUGAUCUUGCGUGUGCGUAGAUUUUUUGUUGAAAUUACUACGUUCCCCAACAAGUUUGAUAUUCCGUUUCUUCGAAAUACUGAAAAAGGCAAAAAACAGCAAUUCUGGGCUGGGCCUCCGGUUAAUAGGUUAGUCCCAAAAGUAAUAUAAAAGUGGAAAAUAAAGCCCAAUAUAGUCCAAAACAGUAGAUAAAGUAGCAUGGAGCAAUAAAAAAUUAUAGAUACGUUGGAGACGUAUCAGGCAUCCCCAAGCUUAAUUCCUGCUCGUCCUCAAGUAGGUAAAUGAUAAAAAAGAAUUUUUGAUGCGGAGUGAUACUUUGGCAUAAUUUCAAUGUAAAACUUCUUAAUUGUGACAUGAAUAUUCAGAUCCGAAAGAUUCAAGACAAAAGUUCAUAUUGACACAAAAAUAAUAAUACUUCAAGCAUACUAAUCAAAGCAAUCAUGUCUUCUCAAAAUAACAUGGCAAAAGAAAGUUCAUCCCUACAAAAUCAUAUAGUUAGGCUAUGCUUCAUUUUUGUGACACAAAGAUGUUCCCAACUUCUAUACCCCUGAUGACAAGCCAAGCAAUUGUUUCAUACUUAAAUAAUCUCAAACUUUUUCAACCUUCAGACAAUACAUGAGCGUGAGCCAUGGAUAUAGCACUAUGGGUGGAAUAGAAUAUGAUGAUGGGAAUUGUAUGGAGAAGACAAAAAAGGAGAAGUCUCACGUUGACGAGGCUAAUCAACGGGCUAUGGAGAUGCCCAUGAAUUGAUGUCAACAUGAGGAGUAGGGAUUGCCAUGCAACGGAUGCACUAGAGCUAUGAAUGCUCAACAAAAGAAAACUAGUGGGUGUGCAUCCAACUUGCUUGCUCACGAAGACCUAGGGCAUUUGAGGAAGCCCAUCGUAGGAAUAUACAAGCCAAGUUCUAUAAUGAAAAAUUCUCACUAGUAUAAAAAAGACAACUUAUGAGACUUACUACAUGAAGAACAGGGUGCUACUUUGAAGCACAAUAUAUGAGACUCACUACAUGAAGAACAAGGUGCUACUUUGAAGCACAAGUGUGGAAAAAGAGAUAGUAGCAUUGCCCUUUUCUUUUCUUUUUUGGGCCUUCCUUUUUUUAUAUUUUGGCCUUUCUUUUUUUUUUAUUUGGGUAAUGCUCUAAUAAUGAUGAUCAUCACACUUCUAUUGAUUACAACAUAAGGAUUACAACUCGAAACUUAAAACAAGAUAUGACUCUAUAUGAAUGCCUCCAGCGGUGUACCGGGAUGGUGCAAUGAAUCAAGAGUGACAUGUAUGAAAAAUAAUGCAUGGUGGCUUUGCCACAAAUACGAUGUCAACUACAUGAUCAUGCAAUGGCAAUAUGACAAAAGUAAUGUAUGUCAUGAUAAUGAUGAUGGAAGUACGGAAUGGCUAUGGAAAUGCCAUAAUAGGUAGGUAUGGUGGCUGUUUUGAGGAAGAUAUAAGGAGGUUUAUGGGUGAUAGAGCGUAUCGUAUCACGGGGUUUGGAUGCACCGGCGAAGUUUGCACCAACUCUCAAGGUGAGAAAGGGCAAUGCACGGUACCGAAGAGGCUAGCAAAGGCGGAAAGGUGAGAGUGCGUAUAAUCCAUGGACUCGACAUUAGUCAAAAGAACUCAUAUACUUAUUGCAAAAAUUUAGAAGUCAUCAAAAAUCAAGUACUACGCGCAUGCUCCUAGGGGGAUAGAUUGGUAGGAAAAGACCAUCGCUCGUCCUCGACCGCCACUCAUAAGGAUGCACAAGCCAGGUACACUUCAUGUUUCAAAUUUGUUACAUUACUUUAACCAUACGUGCAUGCUACGGGACUUGCAAACUUCAACACAAGUAUUUCUCAAAUUCAUAAUCACCCAACUAGCAUGACUUUGAUUAUCACCUCCAUAUCUCAAAACAAUUAUCAAGCAUCAAACUUAUCUUAGUAUUCAAUUCACUCAAAAGAAAGGUUCACAUAUCUUGAACACCAAGUAUAUUAACAUUAAGCAAAUUACCAUGCUAUUAACAACUCUCAAAAUAAUCUAAGUGAAGCAUGAGAGAUCAAUAAUUUCUUUAAAACAAAUCCACCACCGUGCUCUAAAAGAUAUAAGUGAAGCACUAGAGCAAAAAUUAUCAUGCUCAAAAGAUAUAAGUGAAGCACAUAGAGUAUUCUAACAAAUUUCAAUUCAUGUAUGGCUCUCUCAAAAGGUGUGUACAGCAAGGAUGAUUGUGGUAAACUAACAAGCAAAGACGCAAAUAAUACAAGACGCUCCAAGCAAAACGCAUAUCAUGUGCUGAAUAAAAAUAUAGCUCCAAGUAAAUUACCGAUGGAAGUGGACGAAAGAGGGGAUGCCUUCCGGGGCAUCCCCAAGCUUUGACUUUUUGGUGUCCUUGGAUUAUCUUGGGGGUGCCAUGGGCAUCCCCAAGCUUAGGCUCUUGCCACUCCUUGUUCCAUAACCCAUCAAAAGAAUUCACCCAAAACUUGAAAACUUCACAACACAAAACUCAACAGAAACCCCGUGAGCUCCGUUAGAGAAAGAAAACAAAAGACUACUUCAAGGUACUGUAAUAAACUCAUUAUUUAUUUACUUUGGUGCUAAACCUACUGUAUUCCAACUUCUCUAUGGUUUAUAAACUUUUUUACUAGCCAUAGAUUCAUCAAAAUAAGCAAACAACACACGAAAAACAGAAUCUGUCAAAAACAGAACAGUCUGUAGAAAUCUGUAACUAACGCAAACUUCUGGAACUCUAAAAAUUCUACAAAAAUAGGAAGUUCUAGAAAAUUUGUUUAUUGAACAGCAGCAAAAAGAAUCAACGCAAAAGAGCGUUCCUGUGAUUUAACAUAACUAUAUUCAUGCGCGUAAAGUUUCUGCUUUUCAGUAGAAUCAAAUCAACUAUCAUCGUAGGUUAUCCUAUAGGUUCUACCAAACACUAAUUAAAAGAUAAAACCACAUCCAAACAGAAGCUAGAUGGAUUAUUUAUUCCUAAACAGAAGCAAAAACAAAAAACACAAAAUAAAAUUGGGUUGCCUCCCAACAAGCGCUAUCGUUUAACGCCCCUAGCUAGACAUUGAGAUUUCAAUGAUGCUCACAAGAAAGACAAGAAUUGAUGCACAAAGAGAGCAUCAUAAAACAUGUGACAAACACACUUAAGUCUAACAUACUUCCUAUGCAUAAGCAUAUUAUAGGAAAACAAAUUAUCGUAGCAAACAAAAACUAGCAUAUGCAAGGAAGCAGAAAGGAACAAUAGCAAUCUUAACAUAACGAGAGGUAAUUUAGUAACAUGAAAAUUUCUAUAACCAUAUUUUCCUCUCUCAUAAUAAUUACAUGUAGGAUCAUAAGAAAAUUCAACAAUAUAACUAUCACAUAACAUAUUCUCAACACGAUCCACAUGCAUGCGAAGUUGGCACUCUUUCGAAAUAGUGGGAUUAAUAUUAACUAAAGUCAUGACCUCUCCAAACCCACUUUUAUCAAAAACUUCAUAAGAUUGAUCAUUAUCCAGAUAUGUGGGAUCUAAAGUUGAUACUCUUCCAAACCCACUUUCAAUAUUAUUGCAAACAAUAUUAUCAAUGUCAUAUUCAUCAUGGGGAUCAAAUAAAUUUUCAAGAUCAUAAGAAGAAUCACCCCAAUCAUGAUCAUUGCAACAAGUAGAGGACAUAGCAAAACUAGCAUCCCCAAGCUUAGGGUUUUGCAUAUUUUUAGCACAAUUGACAUCAAUAGAAUUUAUAGUAAAAUCAUUGCAAUCAUGCUUUUUAUUCAAAGAUCUAUCGUGAAUCACUUCAUAAAGUAUUUCAUCACAAUUUUUAGAUUCACUAAUUUUAGGCAAAACCUCAUAAAGAUAAUCUAGUGCACUAAGUUCACUAGCAAUAGGUUCAUCAUAAUUAGAUCUCUUAAAGAGAUUAGCAAGUGGAUGAGGAUCCAUAAACUUUUAGCAAGUGAAGAUGUAAGCAAAAAGAAGGCACAUGGUAACACAAGAUUGAACAGAGGAAGGGCGAAUAAAACGGCAAGGGUGAAGUGGGGGAGAGGAAAACGAGAGGCAAAUGGCAAAUAAUGUAAUGCGAGGGAUAGGGAUUGCGAUGGGUACUUGGUAUUGUUGACUUGCUUGCGUGAGCCUCCCCGGCAAUGGCGCCAGAAAUUCUUCUUGCUACCUCUUGAGCACUGCGUUGGAUUUCCCCGAAGAGGAGAGGAUGAUGCAGCCAAAGUAGCGUAAGUAUUUCCCCCAGUUUUUGAGAACCAAGGUAUCAAUCCAGUAGGAGACCACACACAAGUCCCUCAUACCUACACAAAAUGAUAGCAACUCGCAACCAACGCUUACGAGUUGUCAAUCCCCUCAUGGUCACUUACGAGAGUGAGAUCUGAUAGAUAAUUUUUUGGUAUUUUUGAUAGAUAGAUACAAAGUAAAAAAGUAAAAGGCAAAGUAAAAACAAAGCAAGUAAAUAAAGUGAUAGAGAUUGAUAUGAUGAGAAUAGACCCCGGGACCAUAGGUUUCACUAGUGGCUUCUCUCAAGAGCAUAAGUAUUCUACGGUGGGUGAACAAAUUACUGUUGAGCAAUUGACAGAAUUGAGCAUAGUUAUGAGUAUAUCUAGGCGAUGAUCUUGUAUAUAGGCAUCACGUCCAAGACAAGUAGAUCGAAACGAUUCUGCAUCUACUACUAUUACUCCACUCAUCGACCGCUAUCCAGCAUGCAUCUAGAGUAUUAAGUAAAAACAGAGUAACACCUUAAGCAAGAUGACAUGAUGUAGAGGGAUAAAUUCAUGCAAUAUGAUAAAAAACCCAUCUUGUUAUCCUCGAUGGCAACAAUACAAUACGUGCCUUGCAACCCUUUCUGUCACUGGGUAAGGACACCGCAAGAUUGAACCCAAAGCUAAGCACUUCUCCCAUUGCAAGAACUACCAAUCUAGUUGGCUAAACCAAAAAGGAUAAUUCGAAGAGACUUGCAAAGAUAACUCAAUCAUACAUAAAAGAAUUCAGAGAAGAAUCAAAUAUUUUCCAUAGAUAAUACUGGAUCAUAAACCCACAAUUCAUCAGUCUCAACAAACACACCGCAAAAAUAAGAUUACAUCGAAUAGAUCUCCACGAGAGAGGGGGGGAACAUUGUAUUGAGAUCCAAAAAGAGAGAAGAAGCCAUCUAGCUACUAGCUAUGGACCCGAAGGUCUGAAGUAAACUACUCACACUUCAUCGGAGGGGCUAUGAUGAUGAUGUAGAAGCCCUCCGUGGUGGAUGCCCCCUCCGACGGAGCUCCGGAACAGGCCCCAAGAUGGGAUCUUGUGGAUACAGAAGUUUGCGGUGGUGGAAUUAGGUUUUUGGCUCCUGUUCUGAUCGUUCGGGGAGACAUAGGUAUAUAUAGGAGGAAGGAGUAUGUCGGUGGAGCGUCGAGGGCCCACGAGGUAGGGGGGCGUGCCCAGGGGGCAGGGGGGCACCCUCCACCCUCGUGACCGCCUCUGGCACUGCUUGGAGUAGGGUCCAAGUCUCCUAGAUCACGUUCGGUUGGAAAAUCACGAUCCUGAAGGUUUCAUUCCGUUUGGACUCUGUUUGAUAUUCUGUUUCUUCGAAAUACUGAAAAAGGCAAAAAACAACAAUUCUGGGCUGGGCCUACGGUUUAUAGGUUAGUCCCAAAAGUAAUAUAAAAGUGGAAAAUAAAGCCCAAUAUAGUCCAAAACAGUAGAUAAAGUAGCAUGGAGCAAUCAAAAAUUAUAGAUACGUUGGAGACGUAUCAUUCCCCUGAAAUCAUAUUCAUUGUCCUGAAUCUGAAAAGAUAGGAAAACAGUAGCUAUACUUAAACGGUGUUGCAAAACAGUAGCACAUAUCAAUAGCUCGGCAUGACAAAACACGAUCAUCUGGACGAAGGGGAUACUGACCUGCCUGAGGAAGAUUAUAUAUAAUUUCAUAAGUCCUUGGUUGAUUUCCACCUUCGGCUGCACUGCUUGUUUGCUCCUCCACACAUGACAGGAUCGUUCUGCACUGCAUUCAGCAAGUCAACGUACGAAUAAGCUAAUUUCAUCUUGCGGUGGUCAUUGUACCAAGUUACGAAUGUAGGAAUACCUGGAGCACCAUGAGGUUAGCUGACAGCCGGUAGAUGUAGCCAUAUAAAUUUUGUGUAGUGCUACCAAAAUUGAGGUUUGUAUCCCUUCCCGUUAUGAGAAUUGUUCUUGAAGUUGGUAGAAUGUGACGGCUUGUUCUUUGCAUCAAACUUGCCUUUCCCCUGAGAUUUGUUCUUGUUGUUUUGGGGCUGGUUGGGCUGGAAGUUCUUCUCAUGUACCAUUUGGGCACUAGAAGCUCCCUCAGCGACCCGAGCACUGUCGGAGUAAUGGGCCACGGGUAGGCUAACCUGAGCCCCAGAGCCUUUCAAGGCAUCAGGGCAGGCUGCGCCCCUUAAGCCAAGUCCCAGGCAGCGACUCCAAGAUGAGCCGAGUCCCAAGCAGCGACUCCAAGAUAAGCCGAGUCCCAGGCAGCGACUCCAAGAUAAACCGAGUCCCAGGCGGCGACUCCAAGAUAAGCCGACUCAUGGCCGACGACUUCCAGAGAAGCCGGCUUUAGAGAGUCGGCCUGCGAUUCCACCCGUCACCUACCUUCGCCACGAUAGGCGAGGCGUGGUACGGUCACGGCGUGGCCGUCACCCCCUGCUUACGAGGAGCUGGCAUGGCUACAGUAUGCCGUAUCGCUGGAGAUCUCCAGCAUGGCGCGGCACUGUUGCCAUGCCUGCCCUGACUUCAGCCAAAGUGGCGGCGCACUAUGGCCACGACGGCCUACCUGUACGACCCAGAGAUGGCAGGACCCGCCCGUCAGCAAGAGAACAGAAGACGACUGGGUGCACCCCGAAGACGGACCCGUGGGAGUCGGCUCCCCUGGAGUCGGCCGGCCCUUCCCACGAGCCCCACACACCAUUAACCAGACAAGACGGAGAAUGGCGACAGUGACCGUCCGAUAGACGGCAGCACUAUUGCCACGACCCCAUGACCAAGCCUGCGUCAUUAGAAGCACGACUACAGUAUCGGACCCGUCGGCGGGGCCCACCAGUCGGCGGGCCCCAGUAGUCGGCGGAGAAGACGGCGGCUUGUGAGACAAACGGCUGGGACCCGCGCCUAGCCGGAUUACCAUUGUACCCCCACGGGGUAGGCCUAUAUAAACCCCCCGGGGCACCCAUGCAAAGGGUUUGGAUCCAUUAGCACUAGACCAGAUCAUACAGGGAGGAGAGAGUUAGCCUUGCCUUCUCCUACCUCCAGAAUACAGCUCUAGGAGCAACCUUGUACUCACUUUGCCUUAGUGAUCAUGCGGAGACCCCGCAGAGCAGCAGUAGGGGUGUUAUCUCCCCGGAGAGCCCCGAAGCUGGGUAAGAUCCGCCGGCGUGCAUGUCUUCGCCUCAUCCCGUUUCCUGGCACCGGCGACGUUCUACUCGCUCCCACCAUGAUAAGCCAUCCUUUGGCAUAUGUCGCACCCAACCCCCGACAUUUGGCGCCCACCAUGGGGCGAGGUGCACCGUCAUCCGGAGACCCGCUCUUGACGGGAACCCUCUUCCUCCCCAGCGAGCGUAGCCAGCCCGGCACGCCCGAUGGCACUUGCCCCGACGCGCUGCAAGGCAUCCACGACGCCUGCGCAGCGAGCUGCCUCGCCGAUCUUCUUGGCGAGGUUUGCAUCUCCGACGAGCCUGCAUCCGACGCAGGCACGGGCGGGCCUCCUCGACCAACUCCAUGUCGCCGGCGAGCCCGCCGUCCAUAGGCUCCACCGACCCGAUGCUGGUCGACUCCGACAGUGUGUCGCUCGACACGUUCCCCACCAAUUUGGUGAUCUAUGACGAUCCGUUCCCUCGCGAGGAGAGCGGCGGAAGCACCGUCACGGAGGUGCUCGUUAUCAGUCAUGGCGAGCACUCCGGUGAGGGAGCUCACGAUCCACUCGACGCGGCUCUGCGAGACCUGACUGCACCCAUUCUGGAGGACGCUGACGGCGAGACGCUGGAGGCACGCCGCCUUCAGCUCAUCAAAGGCGCGAAGAAGCUGGCAAGCAUGAGACGCUUUUCAGAAGCCUACCAGCGUGAAAUGGAUCGCGCUGUGGGCGGCUCGCCAGCCCCGACUGGGCCUAGCCGCCUAGGUGCGGUCCGGCAACGCGGCAUGGCCAUCGCCAACCUGUUCGGGGCCGAUCACCCCAUGUAUGCCACGCCUGCGGAGAACAUUCGCGCCGCCCAGGCGGCGGCGAACGAGCUAGACAACUUCGAAGGCGAAGAGCGCCGCCUAAUGACCGAGCGGGUCCAGCGGCUCCUCAAAGCGGCUGCCGCGCAGAACGAAGCCGGCUGCCGCACGGAGGCGCCGCAACGACAAAACAACAACUUGCCUCCCCGCCGAGAUCAAGGCGCGACGUCUCGGACGCCGACUGGCGGUGUCCGUGGAAGAAAAGAGAAGGAUCCGGCUGUCAGCCACAGUCGGACUCGCAUCACCAUCGAGCGCGACCAAGACGGCCGCCCCAGAGCGGUGGAACGGCAGGGCGACUAUCUGCCUCCCCCACCACGAAGAGAAAGAUGAGUCUCCCCGCCACCUGUUGAGCAUCCGACUCUCGCGACCGCCUUGGCCGCCGAGAGGGAGUCGGAGAGAACGAUGCCCGCCACCGGAUCGACCGACUCCACCGAUCCCUGGCGCUGGAAGAAGAAGAUGAGCUGGGCCCGCCCUGUUUCGGACCCCACAUCCGAGACGAGCCUUUUCCCAAAGGGUUCACGCUCCCCCGAGACACGCCCAAGUACACCGGCUUCGUGAAGCCGGAAGAUUGGCUAGUUGACUAGUCCACAGCAGUCAACAUAGCCAACGACAACAAGCGUGUUGCCGUGAAGUAUGUUCUGCUCAUGCUCCAGGGCACGGCCCGGACAUGGUUAAAUAGUCUGAAGCCCCGCAGCAUCAACAGCUGGGUCGACUUCACCGAGGCCUUCGUCUGCAACUUCACAAGCAUGUACAAGCGACCCCCCAAGAUGCGUCAGCUUUCCUUGUGCGUAAAAGGCCAAGACGAGUCGACUCGCGACUACCUCAGACGAUGGGGCGAGCUUCGGCUCCUGCGAGGGCGUGCACGAGGUGCAGGCUAUUGAGUACUUCACCGCCGGGUGCAGAGAAGGCACCCUCCUCAAGCACAGGCUCCUCUGCGACGAGCCGGAGACCCUCGACGAGUUGCUGGUCAUAGCAGACAAGUAUGCGACGGCCGACUCCUCCAUGAAGACAGAGAUUCAAGUUAGUGCGACUGGCAAAGUGGCCCCUCAAGCUCCCAGAACUCCGGCUGGAGAUACCAGUCGGCGACAACAGCAAAAUGAUCACAAGCACAAAGCCCCACAGCCGACUUCCAGUAGUCGGCAGGUUGCGACAGUCGAAGACCAACAGCCGGAAGGGCAGCCUCCGGCGAAGCGACAGAAAGGCGGCAAGUCCAACUGGUUGCCGACCUUCUCUUACGAGCAGACACUGGAUGGUCCCUACAAGUUCCACAGCGGCGCGAAGCCGUCGAACCAUACCACCCGGAAAUGCCACUGGCUCACCAGAAUCGCCAAGGGAGACGGCCUUCUUCCUCCUCCGCCUGCUGGGCCGCCGCCUCCACAGCCGCCCCAGCAGCCGGCUGCCAGGCCAGUCGGCGCCGUACAAGAUGAGUACCCGGAAGAGCAUGGAGCCUAUGUAGUGUUCACCAGUAUGGCUGAUGACCGACGCAGCAGACGGCUGUAGCAGCAAGAAGUAAAUGCAGUAGCAUCAGAUACUCCGGAGUUUAUGCAUUGGUCCGAGAAGCCCAUCAGUUGGAGGAGAGCUGAUCACCCAGAGGUAAUGCCGAAUCCGGGCUCCUAUGCCUUGGUUUUAAGCGCCACCUUGGCCACAGAUAGGCGGGCCGCUCGCUUCUCGCGAGUGUUGAUAGACGGAGGCAGUAGCAUCAACAUCCUGUACAAGGAUACCAUGGAGAAAUUAGGAAUCAAGCAAAGACAGCUUCAGAGCAGCCGAACUGUGUUCCACGGCAUUGUACCUGGCCUUUCUUGCUCACCAAUCGGCAAGAUCCUGAUAGACGUUCUCUUCGGAGACAAAGAUCAUUUUUGCCGAGAGCCAGUUUGGUUUGAAGUGGUGGACCUUGAAAGCCCAUACCAAGCAUUGCUUGGCCGACCUGCUCUGGCCAAGUUCAUGGCGGUCCCCCACUACGCCUACCUCAAGAUGAAGAUGCCGAGUUCAAAGGGGAUACUGACCGUACCGGCGACUACAGGAAGUCGUCCGCCCGCGCGACUAAUAGUAGUCGGCUAGCCGAGUCCCUGGUGAUCGCAGCUGAGAGGCGGCUCCUUGAUCGGGUUGUGGCAAUGGCCGACAAGCAGCCAGAGAUGUCGCCCGACCCCAAGGAGUCGGAAGCUGAGGGUCCGUUCAAGCCGGCUAAAGAAACAAAGAGGAUACCUUUGGACCCAGAGCACCCAGAGAGGCAUGCUGUCAGAGGUGCAAACCUAGACAGCAAAUAGGAAGGUGAGCUCGUCGAUUUCCUCCGUGAGAAUCGAGACAUCUUCGCAUGGUCCCCUAAGGACAUGCCAGGUGUACCGACGGAAUUCGCCGAGCACAAGUUACAUGUCCGAUCUGAUGUGAAGCCCAUCAGGCAGCCCUUGCGCCGCCUGUCAGAAGAAAAGAGAAGAGUUGUUGGGGAAGAGAUAGCCCGACUCCUAGCGGCCGACUUCAUUAUGGAGGUGUUCUUCCCAGAAUGGUUGGCAAACCCGGUCCUAGUGUUGAAAAAGAACAAGCAGUGGCGGAUGUGUAUCGACUACACAAGCCUCAACAAAGCUUGCCCCAAAGACCCAUUUGCUUUGCCGAGAAUUGAUCAGGUGAUAGACUCCACAGCCGGAUGCGAGCUGUUGAGCUUCUUAGAUGCAUACUCAGGAUAUCACCUUAUCAAGAUGAACCCGGCAGACAGACUGAAGACUGCCUUCAUCACGCUGUUUGGAGCCUUCUGCUACCUGACUAUGACGUUUGGCUUAAGGAAUGCCGGCGCCACCUUUCAGCGUUGCAUGCAGAAAUGUCUCCUCAAGCAACUCGGCAGAAACGCCCACGUCUAUGUAGAUGAUGUGGUGGUGAAGACGGAAAAACGUGGGACACUAUUGGAAGAUCUCCAAGAAACCUUUGAGAAUCUGCGCCGAUUCCAGAUCAAGCUCAACCCUGAGAAGUGCGUCUUCGGAGUACCAGCCGGCCAGCUCCUUGGCUUCCUGGUCUCUGAACGCGGCAUAGAGUGCAACCCUAUAAAGAUCAAAGCCAUCGAGAGGAUGGAAGUCCCCCACCGACUGUUAGAUGUGCAGAAGUUCACCGGCUGCUUGGCGUCCAUUAGCCGAUUCAUCAGUCGGCUGGGUGAGAAGGCUCUCCCUUUGUACUAACUGAUGAAGAAGACCACCUUUUUGAGUGGAACCACAAAGCGGACGAAGCAUUUCUCCAGUUGAAAAAGAUGUUGACAACUCCCCCUGUGCUGGCGGCUCCGACUCCUAAAGAGCCUAUGCUCCUAUACAUUGCCGCUACCAGCCGAGUGGUCAGCACAGUCGUCAUAGUUGAAUGCAAGGAGCAAGGCAAGGCGCUCCCUGUCCAGAGACCGGUAUAUUACCUGAGUGAGGUACUGUCGACCUCCAAGUAGAACUACCCCCACUACCAGAAGAUGUGCUACGGCGUGCAUUUCGCCGCCAAGAAGUUGAAGCCUUACUUUCAAGAGCAUCCAAUCACUAUGGUCUGCACAGCUCCACUAGCCGAGAUCAUUGGAAGCCGAGAUGCUUCGGGCCGAGUGGCCAAAUGGGCCGUAGAUUUGGCUCCCUACACCAUCUACUACCAGCCCUUCAUCGCCAUCAAGUCACAAGCACUGGCCGACUUCCUUGUCGACUGGGCCGAGACCCAGUACCUGCCGCCAGCGCCCGACUCCACUCAUUGGCGGAUGCAUUUCGAUGGCUCCAAGAUGCGCACCGACUUGGGAGCCGACAUCGUCCUCACCUCCCCCAAAGGUGACAAGCUCAAGUAUGCGCUGCAAAUCCACUUCGCCGCCUCCAACAACGUUGCCGAAUACGAGGCGCUCAUUCACAGGCUCCGGCUUGCCAAAGAACUCGGCAUCCGCCGGAUCCUGUGCUAUGGCUACUCCGAUUUGGUGGUCCAGCAGUCGUCUGGCGACUAGGACGCCAAAGAUGCAAACAUGGCGAGCUACUGCUUCCUGGUGCAGCAACUCAGCGGAUAUUUUGAGGGGUGCGAAUUCCUUCACGUGCCAAGAAAUGACAACGACCAAGCUGACGCCCUGGCACGGGUCGGCUCCACACGCCAAGCAAUACCAUCCGGCGUCGCCCUUCAGCGCCUCCUCAAGCCGUCUAUCAAGCCUUCACCAGAAUCAGACUCCAUCUUUGUGCCGGCUCCCCCCGAAGAAGUCGGAUCCGACUCCAAAGCACCAGUAGACGGCACGAGAAUUCUCACAGACGGCUCCAAGAAUACCGCAGUCGAAGCCGGCCCGGGGACUUCAGAACCCGGCUCGGGGACUGCGACGAUCAGCCCGAAGACUCCAGAGCUCGGCCCAGGGACUUCGCCGAUCCAGCAAGCGGCCGCAGACUCCAGCCCGCCGCCUCCCAGCCCAGCCGCCCUUGUCCAAGUCGCAAUAGUGGCAAUUGAAGAAACAGCAGCACCCUCAUGGGCCCAGCCCAUCCUCAAGUUCCUAGUAAACACAGAGCUGCCAACCGAUGAAAUCUUGGCUCGGCAGGUGCAACGCCGAGCGACAGCCUACACCAUAGUCAACAGAGAGCUGGUCAGGCGCAGUGUCACUGGUGUCUACCAACACUGCAUCGAAGCAGAGCAAGGCCAAGCAAUUCUCAGAGACAUCCAUGAAGGCGAGUGCGGCCACCAUGCGGCCUCAAGAGCACUCGUCGCCAAAGCCUUCCGGCACGGUUUCUUCUGGCCGACUGCCCUAGAAGAGGCCAAAGAGUUAGUCCGAAAAUGCAAAGGGUGCCAGAUGUUCCGUUCCAAGCCACUUCAGCCGGCUUCCACACUCAAGACCAUCCCCAUCGUCUGGCCCUUUGCAGUUUGGGGCCUGGACAUGGUGGGACCAUUCAAGACGGCACGAGGCAGCCUAACUCAUCUGCUUGUCGCGGUGGACAAAUUCACCAAGUGGAUAGAAGUAAAACCCAUCAAGAAGUUGAAUGGUCCGACUGCAGUGACUUUCAUCGCCGACAUCAAGACUCGGUACGGCAUACCACACAGCAUCAUCACCAACAAUGGCACAAAUUUUGCCAAAGGCGCCUUGGCCCGUUUCUGCGCGACGUAGGGCAUCCGACUGGACUUAGUGUCCGUUGCCCAUCCGCAGUCAAACGGCCAGGUGGAGCGAGCAAACGACCUCAUCCUAUUCGGCAUCAAGCCUCGACUGAUUGAACCACUGGAGCAUUCGGCUGGCUGUUGGCUUGAGGAGCUGCCAGCCGUCCUCUGGAGUCUGCGCACGACUCCAAACAAGUCAACCGGCUUCACGCCUUUCUUCCUUGUCUACGGUGCUGAAGCCGUCAUCCCAACGGACAUAGAGUUCGACUCCCCGCGAGUCACCAUGUACACCGAGGAGGAAGCAGAAGAAGCACGUCAAGACGGUGUCGAUCUGCUGGAAGAGGGCCGGCUGUUGGCACUCAGUCGGUCCGGCAUCUACCAGCAGAGCCUGCGCCGAUACUACAACAGGAAGGUCAGGCCAAGAUCUUUCCAAGAAGGCGACCUUGUGCUCCGACUGAUCCAGCGGACAGCCGGCCAGCACAAGCUGUCGGCACCUUGGGAAGGCCCCUUCAUUAUCAGCAAAGUGCUGGGCAACGACUCCUACUACCUGAUCGACGCUCAGAAGCCCCAAGCACGCAAGAGAGACGAGUCCAGCAAAGAGUCGGAACAACCAUGGAAUGCAAAUCUCCUCCAAAGAUUUUACAGUUGAUGCAGUAUGUACCAUGCUACCCCUUUGUAUUAAAGUACCGAGACUUCGGGCCCCCCGAGACGAGCUCGGGGACUGCCCCUUUUGAUUAUCUGUAUGAUAAGAAUUAUGCCUUCGAGUAUGCUACUUCUUGCUACGCCGCUUGGCGCCGGGUUCGACUAGUCGGCCCGGGGACUCGCCGUCUGGCGCUAUGAAAUGUUUCCUAAAGUCGGACAAGUAGUGUGCGGCGCCUAAGCCGUCUCCUGCCAGAGGCCGCAGCUUGCAGAGCGACUGUUUGGUGGGCAGGAGUAAGAAUGAAUGGGCAUUCACACGAAAAAUGGCUAAGGACCUAAAGCAUUAACAUAGCUUAAGCCGGCUUCCAGCCCCUUUUCGCAAAACCGACUCGCGAGUAGUCGACUUGCCGCUUUCUAUCCAACUUGUUAAAAAAACUCCAAUGAAUGGCAAGUACUUGCUUUCCCCAAAGUAGCCAGGCACUUGGUCCAGCGGCAGUGCGCGGAGCGGUUGUCCGGCUGACAAGGCGGCAACAAGGGGAAGGCGGCAAAGGAAAAAGCCAAAGGAGCAAUGAGCAAGGAAAGAUAGAACUCGGAUUAAUAUUUACAUAGCAUAGGCCCUUGGCCGAAUCUUCAAACAGAAGUUCAAAAUACACCCCGCGGGUGGAAUUGUGCAAAUUAACAAGUUCUUCAAAGACUUUUUUAGAGCAGAUAAAAUAAAAGCCAGAAAGCAGCCUAGGGAGCAGCAGACGGGUUCGGAGGAUCGGAGGAGACGGCGGUGUCAGGCGCCGGGGCAGCCGGCUGGGCAGUCUCGGCUUGAUCGCCGCCAGCGGCAGCCGGCCCGGUCGGACGCGGGUCGUUGCUGGAGGCACGGUCGAGCUAAGGCUAGUCGCCCGCUCCGUCUUCUGGUGCCUCCGUCUCGCCUUCAUCCUCCGCCUCGCCUUCCUCCUCGGUGCUAGAGUCAAUCACCUCCGCCGAGUCCUCGCCAUAGUCCGGGUUCAUCCCGAACCACUCUGGCGGCACCUCCUCACCGCCUGCAGCCCGCUCAGGGACGAAGACACUGGUAUCUGUGUAGUCGGCAAUCGCCACCGCACGCUCGACAAGGGCGCCCUCCACAGCCACCAGCUCUGCUUGGGCCUCUAACCAGAACACGGCCAGCCGGCCCAGGUCCAGCCCCGGAUACCACCCCUUGACGAAUUCCAAGGCCCGGCGCGCUCCGUCCCGGGCCGAGGAACCCUUCCAAGGUUCAAGACGGCCAGCUGUGACCUCCAGCCAGUCGGCAGUCCGACUGGCGGUGCGCAGAGCCGGCAUGUCUGGCCACAGAGCGGCAACCUCCUGGGCGCCGGCACGCUGAAGCCGGCGCAUCAACCGAUGGGCCGGACAAAGACGGGCCUCGAUGCUCAGAAGCUGCUCGUCGACAGUCAGGGGGGCGUUAGCGGCGAUCUCCGCGCCGCUUGCCCUCCGUGCCUCGCGAUCAGCCUCGAUGGCCUGAGUGACUGCCUGCGAGUGGCCAGGGAAGAAGUCUGCCAAGACAAAAAAGAAGCAAGUCAAAAAAUCAGAAGUCAGCCCGACCUAUAGUCGGAAGCUCAAAGAAAGAAAGGAAGAAAAGAAACUCACCGUCGACGAUGUCCUUGAUCUCAUGGAAGCCGGAGGUCAGCAUCGCCUCCUUGUCAGUCCAGGAGGAGCGCUCGCUCUCGAACUCGGCCAGGAGAGCAGCCUCCUUCUUCUCGGCCUCGUCCUGUGCCUUCUUAAGCAGCUCCUUCUGCUCGGCCAGCUGCGCAGCCAGCAGGUCGCGCUCUGUGGCAAGCUUGCUGCACUCCUCCCCCUUGACGCGCAAGGCGGUGUUGACUUCGCCCAGCUGCUCCUGAAGAGUGGCGUUGGCCCCUGAAGAACGAAAGAAAGAGACGUUAAGUCGUCAGCAAAGAAGGUCGCCGGAAAGAUCCGGCCCGACUGCUCAACAGUCGGCCCGAAUCUCGGGGACUACAGCCCGCGGGUGCGCCAGCGCGCCCCCGCGAAGAAGAAGAAGAACAAAGAAAGAGACAUUAAAGUCGUCAAGAAAAGAAGGCCGCUGGGAAGAUCCGGCCCGACUGCUCAGUAGUCGGCCCGAAUCUCAGGGACUACAGCCCGCGGGUGCGCCAGCGCGCCCCCGCGAAGAAGAAGAGGAACUCACUCCGGCUCUCCAUCAAGUCGGCAAUCCGCUUGCUCAACUCCUCAACGUUGCGGUUGAAGGCAGUGGCGCGGAGGUUGUGAUACUCCUGUAAUAAACAUUUCAGACAAAGAUAAAUACUUGGAACUCGCCAGAGGGAGUUCUGAACCGCCUGCUCAGCAGCUGGCCCGAAACUCGGGGACUACACCCAGUGGGUGCGCUAGCGCGCCCCCAUAGAGAAGAGCAAGAAAGACAAGAAUCAAAGAAAAAGCAUACCCGGACGGCCGCUUGCGACGCCAGAUGCGCCUUGGUGCAGUUCUGGAGAGCGUCGCCCUCGGCUCGCAGCUUCGCCUGGACGUCCAGAAGCGCCUGGUACAGCGGACCUGUGCCGCCUCCACGCACCCACCCAACGGGCGCGGCGCUCGUCGCCAUGGCGUGUGGGAUGGCCGAGCUGGCGGCACCGACCUCCAAGGGCCGCGGCGCCGAAGUCACCUUCUCAAGACGGCGGCGCGCUGGCGAGGCGACUUGAAGGAGCAGCGUCACCACGGCCUCGUCUUCAGUCGGCGGCACCGGCGGGCCCGCCGGCUGUUUUCCACGCGCGCUCCUAGACGGCGGCGGAGGCGGCGGUGGCGGCACGAGCGUGUACGACAUGGAGGCCUUGCCGCUUUCCUUCUUCGCGAUGGGGUUCUCGGCGCCGGCUUCUCCAGUCUGCCCCAUGAACUCCGGAGGCGGCGGUGUGGACGACAGGGGGAGGACGUGCAACACCGAUUGGCGGCGCGUGGCCUCCUCAGCUCGCCAUCUGGCCGCGAUGGCGGCUUCGGCCUCUUCCAGCUUCUUCUGGGAAGAGGCCGCCGCCAUCUUAGCCUCCGCCUUCUCCAGGCGGUCGGCCUCCUCCUCAUCGCGCCUCUCCCGCGCGUUUCGCUCCGUCGCCUCCCAGAGGUCGGCGGCGGGGUCGACCCGCCGGGUGUUGGCGGACAUCUCUGCCGAGCCCAUGACGGAGGGGACGGCGACCCUCUCAAGGAGACUAGCGGUGGCCUCUUCACUUCCUUACAAAAGCGGUUGGCCUUCGCGGCCGCCUCCUCCCGCUUGGUCGCGGCGGCCGCCCCCUUGAACUUCUUUGGCUUGCCGCCGAGCGAACUCGGCCCGGCGUGGCGCCUCUUCACGCCGCCUUGGCCGGCCAAGCCGGCGGAGGAACCCGCGCCCGAUGGGACGACCCUUGGCUGGUGGCGCGGGACGACUUCCCCUUCGGCGUCGUCUUCAGACCAGUCGGUGAAGGUGGCCGAGGGCCUGAGGCCGCUUCCCGCUCCUCCUCCGCCGCCUUCGAUGUCGGCCUCCAUCGCCGCCGCCCCCAAGUCAGGGUCGUCAACGUCGCUCUCCGCUCGGUCGGGGACGAACUCGUGGGGCGGUCUUGCGACACCGGCUACGGGCUGAAUGAGGGGGUUCUAACUCAGAGAAACCAAUGAAAAUCAGAAGUCAGAUUCGGCUAUAAAGAAGACAAAGCAAUAAAGAGAUGUGACUUACCACUGGAGGGGGGUUGGCACGCGAGUACGGCUCCUUGCCGAACUGCCAAUCCUCCCCGAGCUCGCAGUUCGCGAUGUGGUUCACCAUGUUUGCCACCUCUGCACGGGGCAUUUCCCUGGUGCACAUCCGACUCGGGUCCCGGUGGUCGCUCAUCUGACUGAUUAGAUGAGUCCGGCCUUGGAGCGGGAGGACUCGGCGUGCCACGAAGGCGGCUAGCAAGUCGGCCCCAACGAGGCCCUCCGACUGCGUCAGAACUCGGAGUCGCGCUACGGCGGCGGCUCCGGCGGGAGUCAGCGUCUUGACUCGAUGAGACCAGCUGGGGAGCCUACUAGCCGGUGUGCCGGCUUCAUAAGGCGGCAGAUUGACCCAGUCGCCGUCGGGGGCGACGUUCUUCAUGUGGAAGUACGACCGCUACCACAUCUUCACCGACUUGAUCAGCGGGAUGGAGGGAAACAGAUUGUCGGCCGUCGAUCGCCGCAUCGCGAUGAAGGCGCCGCAUUGAGCCGGCACGCCGGCGACGUGCGUGCCGAGCUUGGAUGAGAAGAAUUCUCCCCACAGCUUGAUGGUGGGGAGAACGCCGAGAAAGCCUUCGCACAGGGUGGCGAAGGCAGCCAACAACACCACCGUGUUCGGGGUGAGGUGGUGCGGCUGGAGCCCGUGGAACUCCAAGAAGGAGCGAAAGAAGCCGCUCGCCGGCAGCCCCAGGCCGCGCAUGAGGUGCGAGCGGAAGAUGACCCGCUCUCCUUCCUCCGGCGCCGGCGAUAUCUCCCUCGCCGGCGCGACGCGGGCUCGCACGAGGUGCGCGCCGGGGAGGCGGUGCGUCUUGCGGAGAAACUCGAUGAGGUCGACAUCUACCUCCGAGCCGUCCCACACGCCGGAGCGCAUGACAGAAGCCGCGGCGGCGGAGGAGGAGCUCCUCGCCGUUGGCACGGUGUGGUUCUGCACGACGGCGGCAAAGAAGAAGAGCAGAGGAGGCAAGAGGAGGCGGGGGAGCAAGGAAGAUGGGCGCGCGUGCUUUGCCGCUCCACUUCUCCCGCCUACUUAUAGCCUUGUAGGCUGAGAAGCCGAUGGGGCGGGCGUGGGAUUAACUGCGCACGGGACCCCACGCCUCCCACCGAUUUACCCCAUGAAGUUACUGCGCGCAGUAACAACGUGGGAAACCCAACCGUCCGCACGGCCGCAACGGAUCCGUUUGCAUGGGUAGGCAGACUGUCCUUGCCGCGUGGCGCCGCGUGACACGACCGCGGCGGGCGGCUACGGGGAAGCGUAUCAGGCACGCCGCCUAAUCUCCCGCCACGACUGUCGAACUCUUUACGGAGCAAGACAGCUCCCUGCGAAUCCGACUCUGGAUAGUCGGCCUGAAGGAAGACGGGAAGCGAAGCCUAGAUUCCACUGCCAGAAGAAUGAAACUAUUGAGGCCCCAAAACGUAUCACUCUCGGAGCCUCACCAGCUUCGGGGACUACUGUCGGAGUAAUGGGCCACGGGUAGGCUAACCCGAGCCCCAGAGCCUUUCAAGGCAUCGGGGCAGACUGCGCCCCUUAAGCCGAGUCCCAGGCAGCGACUCCAAGAUGAGCCGAGUCCCAAGCAGCGACUCCAAGAUGAGCCGAGUCCCAGGCAGCGACUCCAAGAUAAACCGAGUCCGAGGCGGCGACUCCAAGAUAAGCCGACUCAUGGCCGGUGACUUCCAGAGAAGCCGACUUUAGAGAGUCGGCCUGCGAUUCCACCCGUCACCUACCUUCGCCAUGAUAGGCGAGGCGGGGUACGGUCACGGCGUGGCCGUCACCCCCUGCUUACGAGGAGCUGGCAUGGCUACAUUAUGUCGUAUCGCUGGAGAUCUCCAGCAUGGCGCGACACUGUUGCGAUGCCUGCCCUGACUUCAGCCACAGUGGCGGCGCACUGUGGCCACGACGGCCUACCUGUACGACCCAGAGACGGCGGGACCCGCCCAUCAGCGAGAGAAUAGAAGACGGCUGGGUGCACCCCGAAGACGGACCCGUGGGAGUCGGCUCCCCUGGAGUCGGCCGGCCCUUCCCACGGGCCCCACACGCCAUCAACCAGACAAGACGGAGAAUGGCGACAGUGACCGUCCGAUAGACGGCGGCACUGUUGCCACGACCCCAUGACCAAGCCUGCGUCAUUAGAAGCACGACUACAGUAUCGGACCCGUCGGCGGGGCCCACCAGUCGGCGGGCCCCAGCAGUCGGCGGAGAAGACGGCGGCCUGUGAGACAGACGGCUGGGACCCGCGCCCAGCCGGAUUACCAUUGUACCCCCGGGGGGUAGGCGUAUAUAAACCCCCCGGGGCACCCAUGCAAAGGGUUCGGAUCCAUUAGCACUAGACUAGAUCAUACAGGGAGGAGAGAGUUAGCCUUGCCUUCUCCUACCUCCAGAAUACAGCUCUAGGAGCAACCUUGUACUCACUUUGCCUUAGUGAUCAUGCGGAGACCCCGCAGAGCAGCAGUAGGGGUGUUAUCUCCCCGGAGAGCCCCGAAGCUGUGUAAGAUCGGCCGGCGUGCAUGUCUUCGCGUCAUCCUGUUUCCUGGCACCGGCGACGUUCUACUCGCUCGCACCAUGAUAAGCCAUCCUUUGGCAUAUGUCGCACCCAACCCCCGACAAGCAUGUGUGUCUUUUGCUCUCGCCUUCUCCUCAAAAUCAAGAGUGCUAAUGAGAUCCAAAAUAGAAAACUCAUGUCUCUUGUUUUUCAGAGAAGUAGCAAAAUCGUUCCACGAAGGUGGAAGCUUGGCAAUGAUGGUCCCAGCAACAAAUUUGUCCAGCAACACACACUUAAAGUACUCAAGUUCCUUAGAGAGUGACUGUAUCUCAUGAGUCUGCUGAACAACAGAGCGCUCAUCAGUCAUCUUGUAGUCACAGAAUUGCUCCAUGAUGUACAACUCAUUGCUAGCACCCGAGGGCCCAAACGUGGCCUCGAGCGCAACCCACAUGUCUUUGCCGCUGUCAAACAACAUAUAUGAAUCCACAAUGGAAUCGUCAAGAACACUCAACAUGGCGGCUUUGAAGAGGGUAUCCAUGUUCUGAAAAUCUUCCUGCUGUGUAGGAUUAAGAUCGCCCUCAGACUUACCCUUAGUGGCAUCAUAGCAGUACAUGAUCUGAAACCAAUAUACUGCUCUUGUGCGCCACCUUUUAUAUUGCACCCCCUUAAAAGUAGGCGGCUUCAAAAGCGCAGCAAAACCACUCGGAGUAAAUUGCCUGUAAUCAGGUUUUUGGAUUGGAUAGUUGAAUAUAUGAGCAAUUUAGUAUGGGAUUUAAUCCGAAUCAGCAGUAAAUAGAUCAUGACGACAAUUGCAAACAUCAAAGUAAUGAUGCGGACUAAACUAGGAGGACAUAAUCACAUACUGUAUAGUGGGAGCAGAACCGAUGUGGUUGAUGUUGUCACUCAUGUCGUUGAUGAAGGGGUUACCGAGGUCGGGGAAGAAGGCUGUCGUUGAGGAAGUCGUCACUGGCAGCAGUCACAGGAGUGUGCUCCCCAAAAACCUGAUCGCCCCUCUCCCGUACAGGAUCACGAAAGGCGACUUUCGGUGGACUGCUGUCCCUUCUCGCGGUGCACGCCGGAAGGAGGGCUGGAGAAGAAUUGCGUGGCGGCACUAAGAUCUGGAAAGGUGCAAAACCAUAUGAUACAACGGCGGCUAGGGUAGAGCAUGUCAGGUCGGUCGUGCGAGUAUAAUAGUAGGCCUUUGGCCCCCAAACCCCACGUCCAAGUCAAUAAUAGCUCAAAAAAAGUCAAUAAUAGCCCCACCAAGGUUUGUCUCAAAAAAACAAAGUAAUUAAGGCGUCCGUUAGUCCCUUUAUUAUAAAUACUAUAUCAUUAAUAAUGGCCCCACCUUUUGUCUCACAAAGUAUGUUGGAGUACAACUAGCUACACGUUUACAAUCCGCUUCUCUUCUCUCUCCUCUUCUCUCUCCUUCAACUAAGCACAAAUACUAUAUUUAAAUCCUUAUAGUCUGCUUAUGCAAUCUAAUUGUAGUACUUGCUCUAAAGUUACUCUCCACUGUGUAGUCUGAAAUGCCGAGCGUGCAGCGGGCGAUUCCCUCGGCCGGCGCGCCGCUUCAACAGCGGAAGUAGAGAGAGGUCACGUUGCCCUGACUUGCCAUCAAUGUGGAGUAGCGGGCUCAGCUGGCGCCGGGUGGGAAGCACGCGUGGGAGGGGGGAGGUUUUUUUGUUGGGCCAAGAAGGUGAGAAGCCAACUUGGGACCGGUCCGGACGGGGAAAUAUCAUGUGCUCCCAUACUCUGCAUAUGACACUGGUCUAUGUUACUACUCCCUCCUUUCCGGUUUAUAGAGAUGUUUAGAGUAACAUAGUAAUAUGUUACAAUAUAAGUUACUCCCCACUAUGACCAGCCUUGGCAUCUCCCAGUGCUCCACCAUGUAUAGCUGCUAAGCCUGCCACGUAGGCAUAAAAUACGAUGUGGCACCAAUAAACUAAGCACCUAUGCAUUGAAGACUUGAGUUACUAAGCCAUUUAAUGCACUUAGCACCUCAUCUAAAGAGCAUGGUUAAUAGUAUAUCCAGCUGCUGGCUAUAAGCCAGUGCCAUGUCAUCUACAACCCAUCUUAUAGUCAACAUGUACAAUAGUAGAUCAAAAGAGUGUACUACUUUUUUUAUUAUGUGGCCCACCUUUCAUUCUCACAAAGUGCCUAGGAGCAUGUGCUAGAGCUGGCUCUUCACGAAGAGCCCGCUUACCUUCUCUCUCCUCUUCUCUUUCCUCCAACUAAGUAGAAAUAUACUAGUUUAUUCCUUAUAACCCGCUGACUCAACUCUAUUGUACUUGCUCUAAGCACAUCUAAGCACUCACUAGCACCACCUUGAUCGUGGACCUUGACGGUGUACGUCACCUUGUGUCUCAUAAUUUUCCUCGUCAUCAUCUGAGUACUAGAAGAUCUCACCCACAUCAUCAUUAGCAUACAGCCGCCUUGAUAGACAACAUGCACAGAAGGAGUAGAGGCGACUGGGGACGCACCACCACCACAUCGUGGGCACUCUGUAUGUGCUCGUGUGCGUGCAACAUGCAUGUUUUUCCAUCGGUGCUAGCUAUAAGGCCGAGGCUGCGGUCGUCUUCGUCUCCGACUAGUAGUUGAGCAACGACGGCAAAGAGGUGCUGCAAGAGAUGCGUAUGCGCCGUUGCGUGCGAGCUUCGCCGUAGCACGAUGAACCGGAUGUCGCCGCGGAUGGCGCAUGCCUCCAUGCAGCCGAGUGUGUGCGCAUGCAUGUGUUAUUCACAUGCAUUCUGCGGCCGAGCGUGUGUGCAUGCACGUGUUGUGUACGUGCGUUGUGUGCUCCAUGCUGUGCGCGUAUGUGCAUGAGUUGGAUCGGAUGGAGUUAGUGUGUUGGCUUGUGUACAUGCGUGGCUGCAUGCGUCCUAUACAUGCGUUGCUUGUUGCGUGGUUAUCAAUAAUUCAAUAUAAACUACUCCCUCCGUUCCUAAAUAUAAGUCUUUCUAGUCAUUUCAAAUAGAUUACAACAUAUGGAUGUAUGUAGACAUAUUUUUGAGUGUAGAUUCACUUAUUUUGUUUCGUAUGUAGUCCCUUAUUGAAAUCUCUAAAAAGACUUAUAUUUGGGAACGGAGGGAGUAUAAAACAUCUUCAACUUAGCAUCCUGAUGUACCGUUUCUAGUGGUUAGCGAAAAAUUCAUGUUCUUUUAUUUGUUUAUAGGUGGGCAGGCAGCAAAAAACAGGGGAAAACGCGCAAGGUUCCUUGCAGACGCUCCACCGCGAGGUUCCUUGCUCCUUCUCGGUCGUCGGGAAUCUAUGCUCUUCAACUCUUUUCUUUUACGUGAGCUUUGUUCAUCCUUUUCCCAACACAUGAGACAUCUAGCAUCAAGGUGCACGUGUCAUGCAAGAAAAUGGAGAUAAUCAGAUAAGCAAUGCGUAAGUGAGUCAUGCGGGGGGAAAAGCGGGGGGGGGGACCCUUUUUCGUAAGUGGGUCGUGCACUUCGAUGGCACCUACGCAAUAUUUUUUCUCCUCGAUGGCACGUGAAUAGUGCACGUACUCAACGACGGAGCACAGGAUGGUAGCAAUGACAUGGUCAGCCCUCUUUUGGAGAGACUACGUACUACUAGUAAAUAAAUUCGAUGUGUCCUGUCAACUCGCAGAACGACGAGAAGCUUGAUUAUGCCUUCUCCCUCGCCAACGCGUGCGCGGUGGCUCGCAGCACGAGGAGAAACUUUUGCUUACAAGCGGUGGACGUGCAACAGUUCAUUUGGUGUCAGAUUGCCAGAAGCACUACUGUAGAACCAUCGACUUCCGGAAGAGGUGAAGAGCCAAGUGCAAGGUCACCUACUAACCUUAGGCUAGGUGUAGUGGGAAUAACAUAAGUAGGGGUACCUUCUUUUUUUAUUCUAGAAACAACCACAUGCGAAUAUCAAGGUGCUGGUUACGUAGAACAAAUUUCCUGGAAUCCGUGCUCAGCCCUCCUCUAUCUCUCUUCUCAGCCAGCCAGCGGACGUGUGGAGCCCAUUGUUUGUUUGCUCACAUGCGGUCCCACAUGUCAGUGAAAACGAAAGAGGACCCACAGAACCUGCACAUCUUUCACCUCGGUGUGCUGGUGAUAAAAAACAAAUCGAAAUAAAGAUCUUCGGUGGCUGCUUUUGGAGUUACUCAAGAGUAGUAAGAUUCUAUUUAUAGUUUAACCCAAGAUGCACAUCACGUGGCUUCAUCUACCACUCUAUUUUCUUGCAUGACACGACCUAGAUGCUGGAUGUCCCACGUGUCGGCAAAAGGAGGAAGAGCCCGACCAAAUCUUCGGUUGUGCUCUCGGAUUAGACUAGUUGUGCUAACUUAAAAAAUUUAUUGUGUACUCCCUCCGUUCCAAAAUACUUGACUUCCAUUUGUCCAAAAAUGGAUGUACCUAUAUACUAAAACAUGUCUAGAUACAUCUAUAUUUUGACAAAUAGAAGGCAUGUAUUGUGGAACGGAGGGAGUAGAAUGGAUGCAAGUUUUGGUAUUAGGAAGAAGAGUACAUCCAUAUAUUGAUAGAGCGUUGGAGUUGGCCUUACAAGUGGGACCACAGUUGAGGAAACCGACUAUUGGCAAACCCCCACCUCGCCCGCCGCGCGAUGGCUGAGUUAGAGAAACGAUGAGGUUGAAGAGAUUGCUCUAGUACGGACUCCAAGAAAUAUGGUGUCAGAUGGAAGUCGUGCUGGUGGCGUGUGCCGUACUCCUGGACGUGAAUGCUUGUUCUGGCGCAUGCCACCCUACUACUCCUACUACUUACUAUAUAGUACUAGUAUCGAGGAUUCGAGCUGCUGGUUACGUAUAGUAUGGCUACAGUAAAAACACCCACCCAAUGCGCGAAGCAUGUGAAGCUAGUACAAAUAGUGUACUACUAUUGUUGAUUGGCCUCAUCUGAUAACCUGUUGCAAUGCACGUACAAUUAUGUAUUCAGAAAAUAUUUUUUUGCCUCAUCGCACCACUCACUCAGAGAAGCGACUCGAAAGCCAUUCAUAAAUUUAGUUAGUUUAUCACAAGCAUAUCAUUUUAUUACAUACAAUAGGUCAUCAACCCACAUCGACAACGAGGAUACGUUAUAAAUACUAAAGUUUUCAUCACACAACAAAUAACAAGCAAUGAAAUGAACUUCAAAUCAACCAAUCCUCAGCGUUGGAAACACUUGCUUUGAACCACAAGUGAUUCUCUGGGACGGGCCAUCUAUUGUCGAUCUCGAGACCAACGCAGGACUGAUCAUCCAUGCUGAAGUGGCCUACUAUAUCAGUACCAGGGUAGGGAACCACCCAAAUGUCCGAGGUAUAGACACAGUUGCUUCUCAUAAAUGGUACUAGAAACAUUGUGUCAACAACAGUUGGAUCGCCUUUCACCAUCAUCGGAUAGUUUUGUCCAAGGAAGAGCGAGUUUUCUGCAAGACUAUCAAUUCUGUACCAGGGAGAAGGUGUUGGCGCUAGCACACUAGUAUCCAUCCUGAAUACCAUGCAAUGGGUGUUGGAAUAGGUCCGGAGAGUGCGACCAUGGGAUACUACACGUGCUCCCUUAGUAGUAACAAACUCAGUGCGCUGUAUACACACAAGAAGAGGUGAUCCAUCGGAAUUAGUUGCCAGGCGCCACUGAGUAUAUACAUUUUGCUCGUCCUCAUGCUCAUGAUCAUCACCAUCGUUAUCUCCCCCUUGGUUAUAAAAAUUUUCAAGUAUAGGUGGUGGAAUGUUCACAGGACCUUGGAAACACAAGAAGAAGGUUAAUUAGUAAAGGGAAACUUGCUAACCCGAUGAAACAAUUAUAAUUAUGGUGGAAGACAAACAUACUGAAAGUAUAAGGAUUCCAUGCAAAAACAGUGCCACGAGUAGUGGCAGCAAACACAAGGCCCAUCGUAUUGAAUUGCAUCACAGUACACAUUCAUGUAUAGAAACUAAUUUUUGAGCAAUAUCCAUCCAGUCGAACCACGAAGGACGGCAACAAGCUUGUCGAAGAUAGCAACAACUUCAUAGUUGUUUUAAUUCCAAGAGCGGUUGGGAACUCAACAAAUUGCUAUCUUCCGUAGAAGACAGUCACCAUGAUCGUAUUUGAACGUGCGUACAAUAUCGGUGUGCUCAACCUCUGGGCAGUCUGUUGAGAUUUUUGGAAGUGGAACCCGGUCACGAGUGUACACAUUCACAAGUUCCCACUCACAAUUAGACCCAACGUAAACAACCCAAUCUCCAUUUGCGCCUACCCAAUCCUUGCCCUCAAGCGAUGGCAUCUUAACAUCAUAUGUAUCAUUAUCAAGCGGCAUCAGCUUGCACAAGGCGAGGCCUCCGUCGUCCCCGCACCAGUAGUCAUCAGGGUCACGACGAAGAAGAUAGGGGAGAUCAAACCGCUCCUUGACUCUUGGGUUCCUUGUAAUGAUGUUAUUAGUUGAGUCGAGAAUGGGCUUGAACGAACCUAUCAUGCUAGCCUAGGUGAUGACAUCGCACUGAUCAAUGAGUUCCUCCACCAUGUCAUCUUUCAGAUCGGGGAAAGAAUAAUGGGGUCGUUUUCGGCCUGUUCCCUCCAUGGAGAAGACAAUCAAACAAUGGCAGAAGGAAGGGUGAAGGGCUAAAGGAAAAUGGAGGAGGGAGAGGAAGAGCGUGCGACAGCAGUUCCAAAUCGAGAGGGAAAGGCAAAGAGUCGGUGGACGGUUGCCUAGUUUGCCAUGGUUCACGAAGAGGCGGCCUACACGUCUGUUCGGGAAUACUAGUAGAAAAGGACUCGCCGUCGUCUCACUGAUAUGUUGGAACGGUGAAAGCACAAGUGCUCCCUAGGUGGUUUUGGUAAUUAAUAUCAACAUAUCUCUUGUUGGACUAACACUUUUAUCUAGUAUGUUUCAGAUAAGUUCAACAAUGGAGUGGCAUGGACUAAAGGAUGUGGGAACUCCUUCAAGAUGCUAAGGACAAAGGAUUGGCUCAAGCUUCAAGCUCUAGACUCUUCAUUUUACAUUUUAGUGAUCCCAAAUCACAUUGAGUCUAUAGGAAAAGCCAAUACUAUCAAGGAGGGAUGAGGUGUUGCUUAAUGAGCCUCUUGCUUCAAGUGCUUAGUGAUAUGCUCCAAAUACCCUCAACUACUUUCCCACUUCCACACAUAUGACCUAAACCUAAAGUCAAACUCGGUCACACCGAUUCUUCCUAUCCGGCGCCACCGAGUUCAGUUGUCAUAGCCACUGCCAGAAACCCUAGGCAAAUCGGUCUCACCGAUAGGGAUCUCGGUCUCACCGAGAUGGGAUUGUAAUCUCUCUGUGUAUGUCCAUUAUCAAAAUCGGUCUCAUCGAGUUUGAGCAAUCAGUACUACCGAGAUUACAAUGCAAACUCUCUGGUUAACUUAUUAUCAAAAUCGAUCCCACCGAGUUUGAGUAAUCGGUCCCAUCGAGUUUGCCUGACCAACUCUCUGGUUAGCUAAUUACCAAAAUCGGCCUCACCGAGUUUGUGUAAUCGGUCUCACUGAGAUUAUGUUAUGCCCUAACCCUAACCAUAUCGGUUUUACCGAGUUGCAUUUUGGUCCCAUCGAAAAUCCUAACGGUCACUAGGUUUACUACAUCGGUCCAACCGAGUUUGAUGAUUCGGUCCCACCGAGUUUGGUAAAUUGUGUGUAAUGGUUAGAUUUUGUGUGGAGGCUAUGUAUACCCCUCCACCUCCUCUUCAUUCGUGGAGAGAGCCAUCAGACUGAACCUACACUUCCAGCAUCCUAUCUCUGAGUGAGAACUACCUACUCAUGUGUUGAGGCCCAGAUAUUCCAUUCCUACCAUAUGAAUCUUGAUCUCUAGCCCUCCCAAGUUGCUUUCCACCCAAAUCUUCUUUCCACCAGAUCCAAAACCUAUGAGAGAGAGUUGAGUGUUGGGGAGACUGUCAUUUGAAGCACAAGAGCAAGGAGUUCAUCAUCAAUGCACCAUUUGUUACUUCUUGGAGAAUGGUGUCUCCUAGAUUGGCUAGGUGUCACUUGGGAGCCUCCGACAAGAUUGUGGAGUUGAACCAAGGAGUUUGUAAGGGCAAGGAGAUCGCCUACUUCGUGAAGAUCUACCGCUAGUGAGGCAAGUCCUUCGUGGGCGACGGCCAUGGUGGGAUAGACAAGGUUGCUUAUUCGUGGACCCUUCGUGGGUGGAGCCCUCCGUGGACUCGCGCAACCGUUACCCUUCGUGGGUUGAAGUCUCCAUCAACGUGGAUGUACGAUAGCACCACCUAUCGGAACCACGCCAAAAACAUCCGUGUCUCCAAUUGCGUUUGAAUCCUCCAAAACCCUUCCCUUUACAUUCUUUCAAGUUGCAUGCUUUACUUUCCGCUGCUCAUAUACUCUUUGCAUGCUUGCUUGCUAUAUGUUGUGAAUGCUAAACUUGUGGCUAAACUCCACUUAAACUUUAAGAACUUAAAAACUGCAACUUUGGUACUUAGUGUCUAAUCACCCCCCUCUAGAUACCUCUUCUCAAGGUCCUACAAGUGGUAUUAGAGCUUUAGUCUCCAUUGCCUUGGUUUAAUCACCAUUGGAGGAAGAUGGAUGAGUCUACUUUGGGGAGUCUUAGACAUAGAGUGCCUAUUCUUGAUGGAGAGUAUUUUCAUGAGUGGAAAAAUGAGAUGCUUGUAAUUUUCAAUCAAUAUCAUUUGAACAAGUACAUUGCUAGCCCUUGCGCACCUCAUGUUGAUCCUAUGCAUCCUACCCUUGAUGAGUCAAUUGACAUGGUUAGGAAUCUUAGAUCUGCCGAACUUAUUAUUAGAGGAUUGCCUAGAAACUUGAUUGGAUGUUUGCCUACUCUUGAGUGUGCCUACACUAUAUGGAAAUUUCUUGAGGAACGAUUUCCAGAUUAUUCCUUGAAAAAUCUUGAUGAAAUUCUCCAUAAGUCUAUUGCUUUGAGUAAGAUGAAUACUAGUGAUCCUAUGUUUGGUGAUCGUCUAUUUGAACUUACAAACCUUAUGCGUGCCAAAGGAGGUGUUGGAAUUAUUAGUGAUAUUGUUUCCGAAGCUAUAAAAAUUCAUAAGCAAGAUCAUUGUCAAACUCACUCUAACGAAUCACCCUCUCUAGGAUUUGAUCCACCACAUGACGAUGUUGAACAUGGAUACUAUGAUGAGGAUGAUGAUAGUGACUUCGAUCUUGAUGAUGCAAUGAGACAUUUUGGUCUUAUGGCAAAUCUUCGGGGAUAUAUGUCAGGAGGAAAGGAAUGGGUUCUUGAUAGUGGAUGUACCGAUCACAUGACCGGAGAUAAAGACAUGUUUCGUGAGCUUGCUGAAAAUGAUAGUCCUCGAAAGUCUGUCACUUUCGAUGACAACUCAAAGGGUAAGGUGGUUGGCCUUGGUAAGGUGGCCAUAUCACAUGAUAGCUCCAUACAAAAUGUUAUGCUCGUUGAAUCUCUUGGAUACAACCUACUUUCAGUAUCUAGACUUGCUGAUUUCGGUUUCAAUGUCCUAUUUACUGAAGUAGAUUGCCAAGUGUUUCGUCGAGACAAUUAUAAAAUGGUCUUUACCGGUGUACGUAGAGGUGAUCUAUACAUUGUUGAUUUCACUAAAAAGGCUCAACCUAAAACUUGCUUCAUUGCUAAAUCCUCAAAAGGUUGGUUAUGGCAUAGACGAUUAGGUCAUGUUGGUAUGCGAAACCUUGACAAGCUUAUUAAGGGAAAUCAUAUCCUUGGAGUUAAUGAUGUCAUAUUUGAUAAGUAUAGACUUUGCAGUGCUUGUCAAGCAGGUAAACAGGUUGGCGGAAGGCAUCCCGUGAAGAACAUUAUGACCACAAGGAGGCCACUCGAGCUACUUCAUAUGGAUCUCUUUGGUCCUAACUCCUACAAGAGUCUCGGUGGAAAUUCUUUUGGUCUAGUUAUAGUUGAUGAUUUUUCAAGAUUUCGUGGGUGUUCUUUCUCGAUGAUAAAUCGCAGGUUCAAAAGAUCUUCAAAAAUUUCGCUAGGAAGGCCCAAAAUAAAUUUGAAGUGAAGAUCAAGAAGGUUCGCAGCGACAACAGAACGAAAUUCAAGAACGCAAAUGUGGACACCUUUCUUGACGAAGAAGGGAUUUCACACGAGUUCUCGGCUACAUACACACCUCAACAAAAUGGAGUUGUUGAGAGGAAGAACCGGACGCUCAUCGAAAUGGUGAGAAAGAUGCUUGAUGAGUACAAGACGCCGAAGCACAUUUGGGCAGAAGCGGUUGAGACAGCUUGUCAUGCAACAAAUCGCUUGUAUAUUCACAAGCUACUCGGCAAGACGGCAUAUGAGCUCCUCACCGGUAACAAACCCCAAGUUGGAUACUUUCGAGUAUUUGGCUCAAAGUGCUACAUUCUUGAUAAGCAUCGUUGUUCUAAAUUUGCUCCUAAGUCUCAUGUAGGUUUCCUACUAGGUUAUGGCUCAAACUCUAACACAUACCGUGUCUACAACAAUUUCACCCAAAAGGUUGAAGAGACGGUAGAUGUGAAGUUUGAUGAAUCUAACGGCUUGCAAGUAGAGCAAUUGCCAAUUGAUGUAGGAGACAAAGAUCCUUCGGAAGCAAUCCAAGACUUGUCUAUUGGCAAGGUCCGUCCAACGGAGGUGAAGGAGAGUACCUCGUCCAUCCAAGUGGAAGCUUGUACUUCACGACAAGGUGAACCAAGAGUUGAUACGGAAGCAUCCACAAGUGGGACACACCAAGAUGAAGAAAACGAGGAAGUGCAUCAAGAUGAACGUCAACAACCUCCUUCUCCACCAUGACAAGAGAACGACAAUGCCAAAAAUGAAGAAGGCCAAGAAGAAGGAGAAGAUGAAGAAGAAGUUCAACCAAGAUCCAAGCAAAAACUUUCACGAGUUCGAGCAAGAAUUGCUAAAGACUAUCCCGUCGAGCAAAUCUACAAUGAUAUUCAAACCGGGAGAAUCACUCGCUCUUAAACUCGUUUAGCUAACUUUUGUGAAAACUAUUCUUUCAUCUCUAGCAUUGAACCUAUGAAGGUCGAAGAAGCAUUGGAAGAUCCGGAUUGGAUAAAUGCUAUGCAUGAAGAGCUACACAACUUUGAGAGGAACCAAGUUUGGACAUUGGUUGAGAAGCCCGACAACAACCACAACAUCAUCGGUACCAAAUGGGUGUUUCGCAACAAGCAAGAUGAAGAUGGACAAGUAGUUCGCAACAAAGCACGUCUCGUUGCCCAAGGUUACACACAAGUCGAAGGUAUGGACUAUGGUGAGACUUAUGCUCCUGUUGCUAGACUUGAGUCCAUUCGCAUCUUACUUGCCUAUGCUAAUCACCAUGAUAUCACCUUGUACCAAAUGGACAUUAAAAGUGCUUUUCUAAAUGGUGAAAUAGAGGAGGAAGUUUAUGUUAAACAACCCCCCGGCUUUAUCAAUUCUAAGAAACCCAAUCAUGUUUACAAACUUCACAAAGCUCUUUAUGGUCUUAAACAAGCUCCUAGAACAUGGUAUAAAUUCUUGACCAAGUUCCUUAUUGAAAAAGGCUUUGAAAUUGGGAAAAUUGAUUCCACACUUUUUACUAAAAGGGUUAAUGGAGAACUCUUUGUGUGCCAAAUCUAUGUUGAUGAUAUUAUAUUUGGUUCAGCUAAUCCUCAUUUUAGUGAAAAGUUUGGGAAGCUAAUGUCGGAGAAGUUUGAGAUGUCUAUGAUGAGUGAACUUAAAUUCUUUCUUGGGUUGCAAAUCAAGCAAACUAAGGAAGGUACUUUUGUCUCUCAAACCAAGUACACCAAGGACUUAUUCAAGAAGUUCAAUAUGCAAGAAUGCAAAGGUAUGACUACACCCAUGCCUACUAGUGGACAUCUUGACUUAACCAAAGAUGAUGAACCGGUUGAUGAAAAGGUUUAUCGCUCUAUGAUUGGUUCAUUGUUAUAUCUAUGUGCUUCACAUCCCGAUAUUAUGCUAAGUGUGUGCAUGUGUGCACGAUAUCAAGUUGCUCCUAAAGAAUGUCAUCUUAAGGCCGUGAAAAGGAUAGUGAGAUACUUAAUCCAUACACCAAAUUUUGGCAUUUGGUAUCCUAAGAGGGCCUCUUUCGAUCUUGUUGGAUACUCCGACUCGGACUAUGCCGGAGACAAGGUUGAUAGAAAGUCCACUUCGGGUACUUGUCAAUUUCUUGGUAGAUCUCUUGUGUCUUGGUCCUCCAAGAAACAAAACUCGGUAUCCUUAUCCACCGCCGAAGCGGAAUACACUGCCGCUGGUUCAUGUUGUGCUCAAUUACGUUGGAUGACUCAAACUCUUAAAGAUUAUGGGAUAUAUGUGAAACAUGUUCCAUUGCUUUGUGACAAUUAAAGUGCUAUCAAAAUUGGUCAUAAUCCUGUGCAACAUUCUUGAACUAAGCAUAUUGAAGUUCGUCAUCAUUUCAUUCGAGAUCAUGUUGCUAAGGGUGACAUUGAUCUUAAGCAUGUUCGCACCGAAAGCAAUUAGCGGAUAUAUUCACUAAACCUCUUGAUGAGAAAGUGUUUUGCAGGUUAAGAGGAGAAUUGAACAUCAUUGAUGCUUCAAACUUGGAGUAGAAACUCCAUUGGAUACAUGCAAGACAUGAGCUUAUGACUAAUCCUUGAUAUUUCUCUUAUGAUCAAAAUCUUCUGUCUUGGAUAUAUUUGUAUCUUGCAUGUUAUCUAACCCAUGUAGGUACUUGGUUGAAUCAAAUUCCAUGAGAUUGUAACCUACUCAUAUCUUGAGCAAUCUCUACAUCACCAAGUCUCUACACUAUGGUGGUUGAAGACAAGGAAGCAUGGAACCAUUCAAACAUAUCCUUUGACAAAUUCUAUGUUGAGCUUCAUGAUUGUCAUUUUUGGAUACACAAGUGCUAUUCCUUGCAAGAACUAACCCAUGUAGGUAGAUGGACACAAAUUCCAAGUGGUGCUCCAAAUUCUUGAUAAGCUACAUCACCCUUGAGCAACCCACAUGAGUUCAACUACAUGGACAACACCAUCAACCAAGGUAUGUUAUUCCAUCUUAGAGAAGCUUUACUCCAAGUCAUGAGUUAAAGCACCUCGACAAGAUGUGAAUACAUCAAGAUGCUUAAACAAAAAAUGGCAACCCCAUUUUGAGCUUAAACGAUGAGUAUGACCUAUGAUCAAGUGAUCUCACUUGACUCCUAAGUCAAUAUACUCUAACAUAGGUGACCUUGUCGCCGACCAUCUCUAGAUGAAGUUCUCUUAUGUUCUCUUCUGUGUUUUUGCAUUCGUCUCAUGCAUAUUUGUUUCCCCUUUUUUUAAAAAAAACUUCAUCUAGAUUUCUUUCUAUUUGUUCUGCAUUUUUUGCAUCCAAUUCAUUGCAUAUCAUUCAGUUAAUUCCUUGCAAAUCCUCGUGAGAUAUUAUUAGUCUAGUGAGCUGAGGUGACAACUGUUUUCCCUGCAAUGAACUCGGUUCCACCGAUUUGUUAUUUUCGGUCCAACCGAAUACUUUCGGUACCACCGAAGCAUACCACUCUAUGCCACCGAUUUCACAACAGAAAAAACCAGUUUGCCACUUAUUCUGUGUUUCUUAUGAUCCAACUCCACUCAAUGAAUCUUGUCCUCUACAAGCAUCACAUUUUUUUUAUAUAAAUUCUUUGUGCUGUGACUCAAGGAUCAAACCCUUCUUGGAAAUUGAUGUCAAAGGGGGAGAGAGAGAUCACAUCAAAGCUUAUCACUUAAAGAGAUCACAUCAGAGAGAGAGAGAGUAUCACCUCCUCAGAGGGAGAGAGAGAUCCUUCAGGGGGAGAAAGAGAUCUCUAGGGGGAGAGAAUACUAGUAGAAAGUAUUUCUCAAGGAUCCCAGAUGCUUGGUGUUCAAGAGGAGAGAUGCCACAUGUAUUCUUGAGGGGAAAGACAUGUUCAUUCGUGCUCAUUUGCAUUAGCUCUGUUCAUUUAUAACUUUCAGCUCUGAUUUUCUAUUCCCUAUCUUCUCCCAGUAUCCCAUGCUAGAUUCAGGGGGAGCAAGACAUCUAAGUGAAAGAAAUCAUUUAAAUUCAUUGCAUAUCUUUACUCUUGGGGACAUGUCUAAUCCAAUGUAGUACUUAGUACUCACUCUCUACAUGUCAUCCCAAUCUUGGUAUUCUUGUGGUUUCUUCUGUUUGCUCUGGCUAGUAGAUGUAUCUGUGUUAUCUAACCUUGUUUACGCAGGUUCAUUCCAUCCUAAGCCAACUCAAGACUACAAGGUAAGUAUAUGCAUCACAAUCAUGUGUAUGAGGAAUUCUUGCUGAUGUACAUACUGUUUGCAAGAAGGACUCAUGUGCAUGAAGGUAUUCUCUUUAAUAUUCUUUGCUCUGAUGCAUAUGGCCAAGAUACAUGUAACACAUUGCCUGCUCUAUCAUGGUUAUGCUAUCACAUGCUUCUAUAUUUCAUAUUCACAUGAUUGCAUACAUGUAGGGGGAGCCUAUGCUUGUUACAUGUCUUUCCAAAGCUUUACUUGCUACUCUUUAUAUCUUUAUCGAAAGCUUUGAUGUAUGUUGUCAUGAAUUACCAAAAAGUGGGAGAUUGAAAGCACAAGUGCUCCCUAGGUGGUUUUGGUAAUUAAUGUCAACAUAUCUCUUGUUGGACUACCACUUUUAUCUAGUAUGUUUCAGAUAAGUUCAACAAUGGAGUGGCAUGGACUAAAGGAUGUGGGAACUCCUUCAAGAUGCUAAGGACAAAGGAUUGGCUCAAGCUUCAAGCUCAAGACUCUUCAUUUUACAUUUUAGUGAUCCAAGAUCACAUUGAGUCUAUAGGAAAAGCCAAUACUAUCAAGGAGGGAUGAGGUGUUUCUUAAUGAACCUCUUGCUUCAAGUGCUUAGUGAUAUGCUCCAAAUACCCUCAACUACUUUCCCACUUCCACACAUAUGACCUAAACCUAAAGUCAAACUCGGUCACACCGAUUCUUCCUAUCCGGCGCCACUGAGUUCAGUUGUCAUAGCCACUGCCACAAACCCUAGGCAAAUCGGUCUGACCGAUAGGGAUCUCGGUCUCACCGAGAUGGGAUUGUAAUCUCUUUGUGUAUGUCCAUUAUCAAAAUCGGUCUCACCGAGUUUGAGCAAUUGGUACUACCGAGAUUACAAUGCAAACUCUCUGGUUAACUUAUUAUCAAAAUCGGUCCCACCGAGUUUGAGUAAUCGGUCCCACCGAGUUUGCCUGACCAACUCUCUGGUUAGCUAAUUACCAAAAUCGGUCUCACCAAGUUUGUGUAAUCGGUCUCACCGAGAUUACGUUAUGCCCUAACCCUAACCAUAUCGGUCUUACCGAGUUGCAUUUCGCUCCCACCGAAAAUCCUAAUGGUCACUAGGUUUACUAAAUCGGUCCAACCGAGUUGGAUGACUCGGUCCCACCGAGUUUGGUAAAUUGUGUGUAACGGUUAGAUUUUCUGUGGAGGCUAUAUAUACCCCUCCACCUCCUAUUCAUUCGUGGAGAGAGCCAUCAGACUGAACCUACACUUCCAGCAUCCUAUCUCUGAGUGAGAACUACCUAGUCAUGUGUUGAGGCCAAGAUAUUCCAUUCCUACCAUAUGAAUCUUGAUCUCUAGCCCUCCCAAGUUGCUUUCCACUCAAAUCUUCUUUCCACCAGAUCCAAAACCUAGGAGAGAGAGUUGAGUGUUGGGGAGACUAUCAUUUGAAGCACAAGAGCAAGGAGUUCAUCAUCAACGCACCAUUUCUUACUUCUUGGAGAGUGGUGUCUCCUAGAUUGGCUAGGUGUCACUUGGGAGCCUCCGACAAGAUUGUGGAGUUGAACCAAGGAGUUUGUAAGGGCAAGGAGAUUGCCUACUUCGUGAAGAUCUACCGCUAGUGAGGCAAGUCCUUCAUGGGCGACGGCCAUGGUGGGAUAGACAAGGUUGCUUCUUCGUGGACCCUUCAUGGGUGGAGCUCUCCGUGGACUCGCGCAACCGUUACCCUUCGUGGGUUGAACUCUCCAUCAACGUGGAUGUAUGAUAGCACCACCUAUCGGAACCACACCAAAAACAUCCGUGUCUCCAAUUGCGUUUGAAUCCUCCAAAACCCUUCCCUUUACAUUCUUGCAAGUUGCAUGCUUUACUUUCCGCUGCUCAUAUACUCUUUGCAUGCUUGCUUGCUAUAUGUUGUGAAUGCUAAACUUGUGCCUAAACUCCACUUAAACUUUAAGAACUUAAAAACUGCAACUUUGGUACUUAGUGUCUAAUCACCCCCCUUGACGGUGUCCUAGACUAGGGGGUACUCAAUGCGUCGUCUCCCGAUCAGUUGGAUUGGGCUGAGGACCCCCAUGGCCGUAUAUUCAUGGGCCAGUCCGGACAACUGCCGCAUACAAGGAAGAAUCCACAAGACUUGGCGAUCAAGACAAGGACUCCUCCCCCACCGGCGUAUUCGGCUGGGACUCUUGUUAUCCUAGGCCUCUGGUGCAUUAUAUAAACCAGGGCCAGGCUAGUCGAUAGACAUAUACAAAAAACAAUCAUACCAUAGGAUAGCUUCUAGGGUUUAUCUUCUCUGAUCUCGUGGUAGAUCAACUCUUGUACUAUCCCUAUCAUCAAUAUUAAUCAAGCAGGAGUAGGGUUUUACCUCCAUCGAGAGGGCCCGAACCUGGGUAAACAUUGUGUCCCUUGCCUCCUAUUACCAUUGAUCCUAAGACGCACUUCUUGGGACCCCCUACCUGAGAUCCGCCGGUUUUGACACCGACAUUGGUGCUUUUAUUGAGAGUUCCGCUGUGUGGUCGGCGAAAGAAUCAAUGGCUCGACUGCAGGUCAACUGCGACGUUGGCUUCUUCGUCACUAGCUCGACUGGUCACGUUGGCUUGACCGAGGACUGCGCCCUACCUCUGAUCAUCAUGUUCGGAUGAAGGCCUUCAUCAACACCAACUCCGAUCUCUAUCAAGAUCAUGGAGGAGUCAUCCAUGGAGCUCGGGGGCUCAACGUCAACAUUGCCUUCAGGCGACCGUGCUAUUUUUCCGGACAACAAACUUGUAUCCGCCGCCACCGCCUCCUCGAGUGUCGCUUAAACGAUUACUUCGGUGGGAUUAUGCGGAAUUAAGUCUACAACAACCCUGCAAAAAUUUCGUCGAGUUCCGAUGGAGGAAUAUCCGGCAAUCUCCGAUAUACCGGAGCCCUGUUGAAUCUGGAUGAGAAUCCGGACGAGUUUAGGGCGUGGUAUCCAGCAUCUAUCUCGGAUGUCCUUUGGAUGAUCCAACCAUUGAUUUUCUGCGGAAUUCCCAUAUCUACCACCUGCCAAAAAUUCAGCUCGAUCCAACCGUCCAAACUCCGGGAAACUUCCGAUUAGUGCAUCACUUUUUGGAUCUGUUUUCUGUGCGAGAACUAAUCCGACCCGAAUUCAUCUUCUUUAUGAACGGGAUCUCAGACAUCCUUUUUGAAGGAAGUUUUCGUAUGGGGUGUUGUGUUUUAUUCUCAAACACAUCCCAGUAGUACUAAAAGUAUUCUUGCAAUACGAACUUCACCGUCGCGCUGGUGUCCAACUAGCCCAACAACAUCACUCCACGGCGGCUGACUGCGUUAGACACGUCGUCACUUUGUUGAGUCGAGCUCAAUUUCUUCGGAUCAUCAUAUCGGCCAGCCGAACAAUAGUUCGGCAUCGUGAAGGAUAAAUCGUCACCAACAUCGCCGCCCCACGGAUUACACGGAGCGGGCACACCGGCAUCGCCACACAGUCACUUCAUCAAGCCGGCAUCGACCACGUCACGACCUGCAUCGCUGGACCGGGGGCUUCAUCAUCUCUUCAUCAACCUACUCCGGAGACUUCGGCGUUGCUGGCUGGCCAGCUCCAUCACGUUAGCUGGACCGAGGGCUUUGCCUCGGCGUGCCAACCUUUGCCAGCAUCACCAUGCCGUUGCUUUAUCGCCCAUCAGGCGAUAGGUGUGCGGAUCGAGUCCCAAUUUUGGGAAUCACCUUUCUUCGGAUUGCUACAACAAAUAAGCCAGGUGCUAUUAAUCCUAGUAUUUUUCACUUGUUAGGGUUCAUUUUUCCCAAUGAAUUAUUACUCUGGUUUGUCCGUCAUAUGUACGCAGGUCUAUCAAAUGGUGGCCGCAUUAACGAGGUUGCAUGGUGGUUAGGUCAGUUUCCGUACAUAGUCCGGCGAACGCCGCAUCCGGAACUCGAACCGACCUGUGAAUUCAGGCCUUGCCAUGCCUUUACCGCAUCACGCCGCCGCCCGGCAUCGACAUUGACUUCGGCGCCAGGCCAUAUUUCUUUUAUUACUCACUUUGCAUAAAUUAUUUGUUAUGCAACGAAUUUUUAUUAUUAUUAUUAUUACUAUUAUCUCCGAUUUGCACUAUUUUUUGUGCACAGGAAAAUGAUCCAGCCGGACUAUAUCCUUUGGCGUCACCUCGGCUGGACGGGGGGCUUCGUCAACACUUCAUUACCCCAUGCCGGGGACUUCGGCAUCACCCUGCCGCCCUGCAUUGACCGUGCUAUGUCACCACUUCGGAGUGCCGAGCUCCUUGCUCCGUGACCUCGGGACCGGCUCGGGAUGGAACCUUGUCCCGCAUCAAGCUCGGACCGCGUCAUCAAUACCGAACACAUUAACCAGCUAAGUUGUCUUCAUGCUCAAAGUUUUAAAUUUUUAACUUGUGUUCGGCUCGGACAAGCAUUAUACUUUUUUGGAAAAAAGUUGCUUGUAAAAAUUUUCUUGUCCAAACUUUGUUUGUGAUGCGCAAAUUCAAAUACCCCGUUUACUUGGGGGCUUCCUUAAUGAAGCUUUUUCCUGUUGCAUAUGGUUAUACUUGUACGGCUUCGUUCCUUGUUCGUGUAUUACGCCACAAUAUGCACCAUAUUGACUUAAGCGAUUUGCAAGCUGGGUUGCCUGGCUUCUGUGCUUAUCCCUACGUUCUCGAUUGUUCGGCUAGGGAGUAAAGGGAGCACCUCUGCGAUUGUCACGAUCGGGUCACCCGAGCCGGACCUCAGACUAGGUGAAGCCGAAAGCUAGCGCUCUUAUUGUUUUCAAUCAUGGUCGGCACACAACGGAACUCAUGAGUACAAAAAAUCUAUUGCACAAGUCUCAUAAUAACAAUGAGCACCGAAGAAAGGUAUCGGUGGGGGUACUAUUUUCUUCGAAGAUGCUUCUUACUCUUCGCAAUAAUAUAGCAUAAGUUCCCUGAGCGCGCUUUGUCUGUUACAUCCUUAUGGCCUGAUUGCCUGGUUAUUGGAAACACCGUCGAUAUUCUCGACAGAUGGAGUACAUAACACUUUUCGGUCCUUGACCGAAGAGGGAGAAGCCGACGGUCGGUUAAGACGCGUUUAAAGUUUGGUUGAACAUAGAUAUGAUAUAAGUACUUCGGUACAUGCAAUCAUUCUUUUACCCAAGUCACUUGGGGGCUCUUAAAUUUAUAUGAGCCGUUUUAUGAUAAGUGUUUUUCUUCUUAGUCGUUGCAGAGUUUUUAUUAUUAUUUGUCACUCCUUUUCUCGACACGAGUGUGCGGUCACUAGCCGGGGAGCCUAAUUUCUCUCUCAAAGCCGCUAGAGUUUAGUUUGCUAAACUGGCCUAGUAGGAAGUACUCCGCCUUCGGGAUAGGAGGUUGAAGCCGUAGGCUGACCCGCUUGAAGUUUUGAGAUAGGAUGUGUCAUGUUAAAGCACGACAGAAGCACCUUUUUUUUUCUAAAGUCCAAUUUUCGGAUUGGCACCGAACACUUGAUCUAGUUCGGACAUUAAUCUUUUGAAUAAGUUUUUUUGGCUUUUCGAGCCCAUGGCACUUUUAAACUAUUUGUGUGUUUUCAGCACAAGUCUCGCAGGGCAACGCCGGACACCUUUAGAGAUUCGGCAAAAACAUUCUCGGAUAUUGCUAUAUAUGCAUCAGUUUCGAAUUGUGUCUUCGGUCAAUAGUUGGGUUUCCCGGCUCCUGCACUUGCCUCCUAUGUUCCGCUUUGUUCGGCUAGGUGUGCAAAGGGAGAACCACUGCAAUUGUGCUUCCAGCUCACAUGGUUAAGCACCUCAGUGGAGAAAGCCGAAAACUGACUGUCAUAAUAAGCGUAAACUGGUCGGUGAUCCGAUGACGUCGUUAAACGACGGGCCAUUCAUAACAAUGCCGAAGUGUUUACGGCUUGACCUUGACUAUCGCCGAACACUACCGGAGGCUAUUAACUGGCCUCCCAAACGAAAUCCUCGAUAUUUUGCUCUUACAUUGGAGCUGAGGUUUCAUGAUCAUGCUUAGCAUGACAACCCAAAGAAAGGAACCGAUAGCGGAGCUAUUUUCUUUGGAAGACAUUUCUUCUAUUAAACAGUAAUAUAACAUGUCUCUCUGUGUACCUAUGUUUAUAAAACCGUAUGGCCAUAUUGCCUUGUUUGUUGUGAAUCUUUGCCCUCAUAAAGGCUUUAUAAAGUAGGACAAACACUCCUCGGCUAUUGGCCGAGGAGGUGGAAGCCGAUGGUCGGUCAACAAAGUUUUGUACAAUGCGGAUCCGAGCAUUAAUGACGUAAAGUACUUGGAUACAUAGAGUCAUUACACAUAAUUUGUGAUUUUACUAUGGAUAUCGAUCCUUAAUUUGGCCUCCCGUGCCCGCAUUAAGGCUCGGGGGCUACUGGGCUUUAGGCUUAUUAUUUACAAAUAUUAAAGGGGCACAUCGAUCCCCUGAUCUGGUGUUGCCACACGACCAGUGUCUCGGGGGCUACUGCAUUGCCUGUUCUAUGCAGAAAAUUUUAAGUGCAAUACAAUUUCCGAGGAGAUUUUGAUCCUCAGGUUGGUCGGCCGCAUCCAACCUGAGUCUCGAGGACUGAGCACACCACUUUUUGUGUCCCGAAGUAUUCUGCCGAGCUAGGACUUGAUCCUCAGGCCGAUUUUGCAAAUCAACCUGAGUCUCAGCGGUUACUGGGAUCAGCGGUCUUAUGUCAUCCUUCAGGUGCAUCUCGGGUUUUAGACCGAUACACACCUUGAGGGCUACUAGCUAUAUAUCUCGUCAGAGAACAAAUUGCAUCAAUAAAAACAUUGACCAAAAAUCAGCCCAUGACCGAGGUGCUUAACCACCUCAGAAGCAGUUCGGCGUAUAGCUCGGAUGAAAGUGGCUGGCUCCUUAGAGGGCAUUUCCGGCAUUAAGCUCGCUAAACUCCUUCAACUUUUUUGGACCAAGAUGAUCUAUGACAUCUUGGAUAUAGUCCGGCAUUGGAGCUUGGACACAGUCCGGCGUUGGAGUUCGGAUACAUUUCGGCGUUGGAGCUCGAAAGCAGUCCGGCAUUUGUGCUCGUCUGCAAGAGAUACCUUGAAUGCAGUCCGGCGUUAGAGCUCGGACGCAAGAGGACACUGCCUCCCGGGAACAACUUCAAACCCGAGGUGUGGCUUAAAAAUAACAAGGCAUUGCUAAAGGCCAGAAACUUAAAGGGGCUCCUCGGAUACCCGACGUGUAAACUCGUCGAAUGCAUUUCGGCGAUCCUCAAGAUAGAAGAUGAGAAGAUUUGUUGAACCAGUUUUCAAGACCGGCAACCGAAGAUGAAGAACAGUUCGGAAGAAUCGAGGAGCGUCCCUAACUUGAAGACCAGUUCAGGGGGCUACUAACGGUGUCCUGGACUAGGGGGUACUCAACGCGUCGUCUCCCGAUUAGUUGGAUUGGGCCGAGGACCCCCAUGGCCGUAUAUUCAUGGGCCAGUCCGGACAGCUGCCACAUACAAGGAAGAAUCCACAAGACUUGGCGAUCAAGACAAGGACUCCUCCCCCACCGGUGUAUUCGGCUGGGACUCUUGUUAUCCUAGGCCUCUGGUGCAUUAUAUAAACCAGGGCCAGGCUAGUCGAUAGACAUAUACAAAAAACAAUCAUACCAUAGGCUAGCUUCUAGGGUUUAGCCUCUCUGAUCUUGUGGUAGAUCAACUCUUGUACUACCCCUAUCAUCAAUAUUAAUCAAGCAGGAGUAGGGUUUUACCUCCAUCGAGAGGGCCCGAACCUGGGUAAACAUUGUGUCCCUUGCCUCCUGUUACCAUUGAUCCUAAGACGCACUGCUUGGGACCCCCUACCCGAGAUCUGCCGGUUUUGACACCGACACCCCUCUAGACACCUCUUCUCAAGGUCCUACAAACGGGACCACAUGUCAACGAAACAUGGUGUGUAAUUUCUCGUGCAAAAUGCGAUCUGGCCGCGUUGGCCCAAGGUGCCGCAUUAGUUUUUUUUGAAAGUUUGCCGCAUUAUUUAUCGACAUUUAUUUUUUUAACAUGCAAUCUGAAUGGAUAGCUCCUGUGGCCAUCAAACGUGAGCAGAUAUAGUGAUGGUUGAUUCGCCCGAGCAACUCAUUACUGUGGGAAUAUGGGAGUACCAGCGGAUUCAAGGAACAGAGAAAUGAUGGUUGCUUCGUCCGAGCAACUUACUGUGGCGAAGGUGGGGCUCUGUGAUUUGACUGCUCACUAGUCAUUACUACUGUGGCGCAACGACCAGGGUGAAUCUUUCCCUGAAGUUGUGUUGUGCACUCAAUAUUGCUGCAUAGCAGGUGGAGCCGGAUGAAGGAUGUCCAACAGGACACAACUUUGGUGCCUUAAAGGCACCUACCUUUGGGUCACUAACAUGUGGGUCAGCCAUUUGUUGGACCCACAUGUCAUAGACACAAAGGUAGGUGCCUUAAGGCACCAAAGUAUUGUCCAUGUCCAACAUGUGGGCGAAACGAAGUUGAAUUGUUUCUGGCAUUGCUAUCAAUCCUUCAGGAUUUGUUUAUAUGUACGCAUAAUUUUGAUGAAAUUGUACUGUGAUGCUAUGAAGGUUUCAACUUUGGUUCCCGCAGGAAAAAAAGGUUUCAACUUAGGAUUCAUGUGUCUUGCCUCGAGAUUAUCUCGUUACAACAUUCCAUCAAAUACAAAUGAAACUACCAUGGCUAAUGCAUCUCAAUGGUUCGCAGAUCAGCGCCAAUAUUCACAUUACAACUGAAGACAAAGUUGUGAGAAGGUGUACAAAUAAAGAAAAAAAUAUAAUUGAUCGAUGCCAUUCGUAGGCAUGGCUCCAUUUCCUUGGCAUAGUGUUCAUUGCUUGGCAGCUAGUUUCACCCAGCUCUGUAGCCAAAAAAGAGGUGUAUGAAGGACACCAUAAUCCGAUCAUUUUGUGCAGCUCCACUAAAAUCGAGCGGAUCAUCCCUAUUUGCAAAGAUAUCCAUUCAGUGUGAUUACAAUAAUAGUUGAACUAGAUGAUGAAACAUAACACACAUAAAUAGAAGCCGAUCACCUCUACGAUUUCUCUUUAGGACUAACUUCUUGUUGGAGAAGAUUAGGCACGGAGUUGGAUGAGGAGGAUAGCAAAACCAAUCUCCCUUUCCGCUGUCCCACAAAAAUGUAAAAAUGUUGCCCGUGUGACAUUUUGGCGGAAAUGCACAAAACACUCUUUAGAAAAGUGAUUUGUGCAGUUCACCAAAAGGUCGCAAUAGCAACAAGGUGAAAAUGGAUAGCCCUGCUUGCAAAAGGAGGUCGAAAUGAAACAAUUACUGCCCAAUAACACGAGUUGAAGACACAUACGCCAACAAAAAAGAAGCAUGUUCCAUGUAAUAAGGGAAAGAUAGCACAUGGUGUUUUAUCAAAAAUGGUUUGAGGACGAGAUUGUAAGAUGGGAAAUACGCCAGCCAAGAUACGAUUUAAGAAAACAACUAAAGAAGAUCCACAUGCAGCAACGUGGAAGAUGGGCAGUGGAGCAAGGUCGGAGGAAGUUGUAGGUGAGGGUCGUCGGGAUGUUCCUAGGAGGGCGCCGGCGGUCGGGAUCUGCCCGUACUGCGGCAGCGAGCAACUGGCGAAGGCCCUACCGCGCCGGAGCUUGGUCAGAGCAAACGGUGGGUACCACAGAUUGGGACGUGCUGCCUCAACACUAUCGAACGGAGAGACGAUGCACAUCCUCCCUUUCCGCCGGCGGACGGGAUGCGGCCAGAUCACUGACCAACACUGAGAGAGAGAGGCCACGGUGGCCUUGUGUGAGAUGGUGUGACGAGAGACAAACCGAUUUUUCCAUUUUCCCCACGGCAAUCGUUUUAUAUUCUGUACGUGCCAUUGAGGAAUAUAUAACUAUUUAAUGCUAACGCAUCAAGUCGAACUUUGUUCCGUCUAGGCGUGGUACCCAACCCUCCUUCGAGUAAACAACCGCUACACGUGUCAUGGGCUGCCUUUUCGUACAGAAACGAACUCCACCGUGUACCCGCGCGGGUGUGGCCGGGAACGAGACGUGAGUACGUGCGUCCUGCGUGCACUUCUUCUUUAGGUGCAGGUACGUACGUGGGUGGGUGUGAGAGAGAUGGUUUGUGCGAAACAGAGGCAAUGUGUUGAUGGUAUCUCAAUCAGAAAAAUGUAACAUAUGCAAUGUGUGUGAAAUGGAGUCAUGGACGUGAGAUAUCAAUAGAAUUGAAAACAGGGAUGAAGUGUGUGGCUGCGCGAUCGAUAAAGAGUGCCAUCGAAUUUGUGUUUGCCCACGUCAAAGAUACAGGGCGGCUGGCCUACUAGAAUUUGAGAGGCCAGAGGUGCAGUUUUUCUCCAUGGCAUGGAUACCUACCUACAGCGUUCGACUAUCGGUGUGUGUGUGUGGGGGGGGGGAGGGGGUAGAGACCGAUCGACUAGUAUAUGUGUGGGGAAGGAGAGAGACCUAGCUAUGUAUUGAGGGAGAUUGAUCGACAUCCAUGGAUAUGUGUAGCAGAGGAAUAAGGUUGGGAAAAAGACAAAGGUAGAGCGUCAGAGGGUUGGUGGUGGAGUGGCAUCUCACAAAUGGUGGGAGAGGCCUGCUAGACAAACGGAGGGUAUGAGUGCAAUAUCAAUAAGAGUGGGCGGGGGAUGUCUGUCUGUCUAUGCACGUGCGUGUGAGAGACGGAUUGGGAGGUAUUAAAGGAUGAUGAGGGGAGAAGAUAUGGUUGUGGUAAGCAUACGUAACUACAUAGGAAUAUCAACCGUCGUGUGUCCGAGAAAGGGAGAGACAUAACUAGCGAGGUAAGUGUAUCGAUGCUUGGUGAAAACGAAUUAUAGUUGACCUGGCUAUAUGUAGGGAGAUCAGUUCAUAUACAUGCCUGCAUGUGUUAGAAGCAAAUAAGGUCCAGAGAGGCAGACAGGGGGAGAGAGUGUGGCUAGGAGGUGGUGCGAGAGGCCUACCAUGUCGAGGGGGAGGAGUGUGCGAGUAUGUGAUCAAUGAAAAGAGGGGCGGGAGUGUGCACCUGCGUGGAAUCGUAUUGGACAUAGGGGGGCAUGGACGAUGAGAAGAGAAGAGGGGAAGUAUAUAUGUGUUUGUUAUAGGCACACGUAUCUAGAGAGGUAUAUCGACCGGUGUGUGCCAGAAAGAAGGAGCCGGGGGCCUACACACACCGCUAGUGGACGACCUAAAGAGAAAUAAUGAACGUGCGCGAUGGAGGGGACGCUAAGGGUGGGUGAGAGGGGGGCGGGCGUGUGCAUGCACGAUAGAAAGUUAGCGCUAGCUAGCUACAAAUAGAAGAGGAUCGUGAAGGUGUAAAAGAUGAACAAAGAUCAUAAUUCAUUAUAAAAAAGUGGAUAUGGAUACUUGAAGAAGAUAUCAUAAUGUAGAACAUUGAUUAUAAUUUGGGCUAAUGUGUGGCUUUUGCAACUCAGGUCUAAAUACUUGUCAUAAUGUAGGGGGCGGGGCACUAUACUUUGUGUGAUAAACACGGUGUACGUAUGGAACAUGGUUUAGAUUAUGAAUAUAUAGUUAGUACACCAAAUGUACUAUUAUUUGGAAUCAACAUCAAGUGUAUUCAAAAAAUAGAAUUCAAGUUCAUAUAGUACACAUAGUUCAUAUCUAUCUCUAUAGUAAUCAUGUGGUGUGUUAUUAAGGUAAUACACGAAUGAUGGUUGAAGUUGGCAACAAUCAUGAUUGUAGAUUCUUAUUGAAAUAGAGAAAUGAAUUCAAAUUUAGUUCGAAUUGCAGCGGUAGUAUAGACAUUUGGAGUGCACUAAAAUGUUGGUAUGAGUAGGUUACAUGCAUUAUACAGCAAGUGAAAAAAUUUAAUCGGACAUAACAUGGAUUCAUACUCCCUCCUUCCAUCUAUAUAGGGCAUAAUGAGAUUUUUAAGACCGCCUUUGACUAUUGACAAGAUUAAUAGUACAUGACAUGCACAAUGUGAAAAUUAUAUCAUUGAAAGAACCUUUCACAGACGUAUUUAACGGUGUGCUUUGUGUAAGUUGCAUGUCAUAUAUUAUUGCUCUAAUAUUUGGUCAAAGUUAGCAUCAAAAAAUGCAUUAGGCCCUAUAUAGAUGGAAGGAGGGAGUAGCUUUGAAUAGCAUUUGUAUAGUAAAAUGGGGCAAGGCUCUCUCUUUGUGUGGUGUGAAUAGUUUUAUUUUUUUCGUUUUCUUUUUGGUUGAGGGAAGUGCGAAUUGAUUUGGUACGUACAAGUACAAUAUUACUACACGUUAGGCUUGUCCCUAAAAUUCAACCUGCGUCUUGUUAUAUCCCGAAAAUUCAGAUAUCAUGCUCCCAAAACUGGUGCCUUCACAACCCGCGCCUUGCUAUCCCAAAAUUACAACGCGCACGAAAACUCCCUCCAGCUGCCAAAUCCCGACACACGAAAUCCCCCUUCUAACCCUGAGCCGAAAGGGUCGCUAGUUCAAAUCGGUGGGGGGUACUUUUGUAACACACCCUACAUUUUGUACAAGCGCGUCCCUAAGUCAUGCUUCACCCCUCCCAUCGCCCCCUUUUCACCAUUCGAAAUCCCAGGCCGCCAUAACCUCUUCGCUCCAGUCGCAAAACCCCACCCUCCUCCGUCCGCCACCUCACCGCUGCCCAGCCGGAGCCUCUUCCCCGACGACGUCGUCCACCGCAACAGCUCGACGUCCCUCGUCCACCUCCCCGGAUGAGGAUCCGUCGUCCAUCUAGUCAUCCCGCCGGUUCAGCCGCCCCUCCUCCACCUCCAAGGAGCUGCUUCGACGAUCGCCUCGUCUAUCGCGGCUGCUCCAUCCCCACAGCGCUGCCUUACCCUGCUCCACCAGAACCGUAGCAUCCUCACCGACUCCUCGGACGAAGCCGAGCCCUACUCGGUGCCACCAAAGAGGUUGUACACUCAUCACAUCGCACCUUCUCCUUAACUCGACCUCCCGAAGACGACGGUGUUCCAUUCCGCACCCCCAUGGAGCGGCUACCUUGAAGCCGGUGCCGCAUGCGACAUCUCCACGGCGGCUCUCCCCUAGUGCGAGGCCCCCUCGGCGGCGGUGUCCAUACCAGCCAGAUCUGCUGCUGCUGCUCCGGCUCUCGCUCGCUCGCUCGUGCUGCUACUACUGCUCUGGCUCUCGCUCGAUCGCUCGCUCGCCCAGCUGCUGCUGCUGCUCUCCCCCUCGCUCGUGCUGCUGCUCUGCUCCGAUUUAGCCACACUUCAGUCGACUGAAUUGACUUUUGGGUUAGUCGNNNNNNNNNNNNNNNNNNNNNNNNNNNNNNNNNNNNNNNNNNNNNNNNNNNNNNNNNNNNNNNNNNNNNNNNNNNNNNNNNNNNNNNNNNNNNNNNNNNNNNNNNNNNNNNNNNNNNNNNNNNNNNNNNNNNNNNNNNNNNNNNNNNNNNNNNNNNNNNNNNNNNNNNNNNNNNNNNNNNNNNNNNNNNNNNNNNNNNNNNNNNNNNNNNNNNNNNNNNNNNNNNNNNNNNNNNNNNNNNNNNNNNNNNNNNNNNNNNNNNNNNNNNNNNNNNNNNNNNNNNNNNNNNNNNNNNGGCGGCGAGGCGGCGCUAGGGCCGACUGUUCGGCCGGUGGUGGCUGGCGGCUCAGGGGGGUGCAGGUUGAAGAUGAACUGCAGGCCCUCCCUAAACUACAUGUCAAGUGCCUCUCUGCUACCAUUGCGUUGAGUUUCGACAAUAGCAUUCAGAUUCCACAGUAAAUUUCAGUUUUGAGAGUUAAGUUCAGAGUCAACAGUUUUUACCUCAUAUGUUGUAGUCAGGUGGUUUUUGGUGAUGUAAAUUUUACAUCCAUUUUACAUCAUCUAUUGGAGAUGCUAUUAGAAUCCCACUUAAGAUCGACGAUGUCUAUCUUGUGCUGCUUCAGCCUUGAUGUCUUACGGCUCACCGGAGUUGCUCCAACGACAGAACGAUCCAUCACAACAGAGCAGUGCCCUGGACACCGUCUACAGAUUCCUCAGAUCUUCCUCCACACCUCCGACAGCCACCUCUGCCUCAACUGCUUCAGUGACCAACCCAAUUAUUCAUGCAUUUUGUUGAAAGGAAUGAAGCAAAACAUCCACCUGGACCUACUUUUCAAAAUCCUAUGCAUGAAAACAAGACCAAGUGCAUUAGUGCCAGAAUAACAUUCUAACUGUACACGCUUUCAUAUGGUUUCACUUUAUUUUGGCCAUGUUUCUUUGCAUUCCUCUGCUCUUCCAAUUCCUGUAAACCAAACACCCAAGUUGACAGAAAUCCUAUGUUUACAAAUGCUUUGUUUACCAUGUGCAUUUUCCUAUCCUAUUCCGGUGUUUUUCCUAUCCCUGCGUUUUAAGAAUCAUGCAAGCCAAUUGAGCCCUUACAGAAUUACUUCAGUUACAGGUACGUGUCGAAGGGGACUUUGUGUGGUUUGUCCUGCUCCUCCCGCGAUGUCGUCCACCUCACUUGAGCCGCCCCAUCGACAGAAGCAUCCACCAAACCAGACAUCACGACUCCUGACCAUCUUUCGCCGCCUCAGAUCUCCUUCCCUACCGCCGGCACCCACCGCAACGGCAUCACCAUCAUCGACUCAGCAUAUGAACUUGAGGAGUACACGGGUCCACAAGAGAGGUCGCACUCUUUUGUUUCUACUUAUGUUAUGCAUUGCUUAAACUUACCUGCUACUUUAUCGUCCUGUUCAGCACUUGGACUCCCAAGUCAGGUCCAAAUUAAUGUUCAAACUUGAGUUCCAAAUUAGUUGUGGGGCACAUAUUGAGGCAGCAAUGAAUAGUAUGUCUGUCUAAUAUCCGGUUCACCUAGGGUAUGCCUAUGUUGUUCAUCUUGGGUGGGAAACAAAUAGUAAAGCAAUCAUCAUCUGUCUUUUUAUUAAUUUAAAGCAAUCAUCAGCCUGCUAUCAUUAUUUUUGGAUCCAUCCAUUGGUUGUUACCAUCACUCUAAAUUUUUGCAUGCACUCCUUAUAUAAUCUCACCAUAUUUUUUCAUAUGCAUGUCAGAUAUUGUACACAGUCAUGCUGAACAUGUAGAGAAAAAGAGAAGAGUUUUGCACGGCAAUACAAUGUCAUGCAGACAUCGCUCCAUGGUGGGUCCAAUAGCAAACCCUCCCCACCCUCUCCAGAUUGUAAUCCAGAGGAAGAUAUCUAUUCUGAGGCGGAUUUAGACGCCGCUAACCACUCCUAUCUACCCCCCAAGGUGUUUGCUCUACCUUGGCAUGAUGAUGUUAGUCAUAUCAUGCAUAUGUUGCCUUGCAGUGCCUACUGUCGGGGGUUGGAUACGACAUAUGCCAAAGGAUGGCUUAUCAUGGUGGGAGCGAGUAGAAUGUCGCCGAUGCCUGGAAGCAGGAUGAGGCAUAGACAAGCACGCCGGCGGAACUUACCCAGCUUCAGGGCUCUCCUAGGAGAUAACACCCCUACUGCUGCUUUGCGGGGUCUCCGCAUGAUCACUAAGGCAAAGUGACUACAAUGGUGCUCCUGGAGCUGUUUUGGGAGGCAGGAGAGGGCAAGGCUAGCUCUCUCCUCCCUGUGCUAUCUGGUCUAUCUCUAUCUAGGUUCGAACCCUUUGCAUGGGUGCCCCGGGGGGUUUAUAUAGGCCUACCCCCUGGGGGUACAAUAGUAAUCCGGCUGGGCGCCGGUCCCAGCCGUCUGUCUCUCAGGCCGCCGUCCUCCCCGCCGGCUUCUGGGGCCCGCCGACUGGUGGGUCCCACAGACAGGCUUGAUACUGUAGCGGCACUCCUGAUGACGCAGGCUUGGUCAUUGGGUCGUGACAAUAGUGCCGCUAUCUAUCGGGCGAUCACUGUCGCCAUUCCCCAUCCUAUCUGGUUAAUGGCUCGUGGGGCCCUGGGGAGGAGUCGGCCGACUCCAAGGAGGCCGAUUCCCAUAGGUCCGUCUUCGAGGCGCUCAGGCCGCCUUUGGCCCACCCACUGACAGGCGGCCCCGCCGCCUUCGGGUCGUACAGGCCGGCGUCAUGGGCACAGUGCGUUGCGCACUGUGGCUGAGGUCAGGGCAGGCAUGGCAACAGUGCCGCGCCUCGCCGGAGAUCUUCCAGCGAUACGGCUCACUGUAGCCAUGCCGGCCCUUCGUAAGCAGGGGGAACGACCACGCCGUGACCGUACCCCACAUCGUACUUCGAGAUGAGGGAGGAGUCAUGGGCCGACUCUCCAUAGUCGGCCUCUCUGGAGGUUGCCAGCUCGGAGUCAGCUUAUCUCGGAGUUGCCGUCUGGGACUCGGCUUGUCUUGGAGUCGCUCCUGGGACUCGGCUUGAGGGGUGCGGCCUGCCCCGAUGUCUUGAAAGGUCCUGGGACUCGGGUUAGGCUACCCGUGGCCCAAUACUCCGACAGUAGUCCCCGAAGCUGGUGAAGCCCUGCGGACACUGCAUUGUGGGGCUUCAACAGUUUCAACCUUCCAGGAGCGGACUCUGGAACUCAGCUGCCGUCUUCCCUUGGGCCGACUGUCGAGAGUCGGAUGUUUAGCGAAGAGCCGCAGCUCAAAAGUCGCGGCGGGAAACCAGGCGGCAUGCCUGAUACGCUUCCCCGCAGCCAUCAGGGCGGUCCUAUCGCGUGGUGCCACGUGGAGAGGGUUGUCUGCCUGCCCACGCGUGCGACGGGACGGCCGUCAGGUGGGGCCCGCCACUACUGUGCCUCGGCAUACGAACGGAUCCGUUGCGGCCAUGGACGGUUGGUUUUCCCAUGUCGUUACUGCGCGUAGUAACUNNNNNNNNNNNNNNNNNNNNNNNNNNNNNNNNNNNNNNNNNNNNNNNNNNNNNNNNNNNNNNNNNNNNNNNNNNNNNNNNNNNNNNNNNNNNNNNNNNNNNNNNNNNNNNNNNNNNNNNNNNNNNNNNNNNNNNNNNNNNNNNNNNNNNNNNNNNNNNNNNNNNNNNNNNNNNNNNNNNNNNNNNNNNNNNNNNNNNNNNNNNNNNNNNNNNNNNNNNNNNNNNNNNNNNNNNNNNNNNNNNNNNNNNNNNNNNNNNNNNNNNNNNNNNNNNNNNNNNNNNNNNNNNNNNNNNNNNNNNNNNNNNNNNNNNNNNNGGAGCGGCACAGCACGCGCGCCCUUCUUCCCCGCUCCCCCGCCUCAUCUUGCCUUCUCUCUCUCCUGCCUCCGCCGUCAAGCAAGAGCACUCCACACCACGGUGAUGAGUUCUUCCUCCACCGCGGCCCCCACCGUGCGCUCCGGCGUAUGGGACGGCUUGGAGGUAGAAGAGGAACACAUCGAGUUCCUCCACCGGACACGCCGUCUUCCCAGCUGGUCCCACCGAGUCAAGACGCUGACUCCCGCCGGAGCCGCCGCCGUAGCGCGACUCCGAGUCUUGACGCAGUCGGAGGGUCUCGUCGGGGCCGACUUGCUGGCCGCCUUCGUGGAGCUCCGAGUUCUCCCUCUCCAAGGUCGGCCUCACUUGAUAUGUCAGAUGAGCGGCCUCCGAGACCCGAGUCGGAUGAGCACCAAGGAGAUGCCCCGCGCGGAGGUGGCAAACAUGGUGAAUCAUAUCGCGAACUGCGAAUUCGGGGAGGACUGGCAGUUUGGCAAGGAGCCUUACUCGCGCGACAACCCCCCACCAGUGGUAAGUCACGUCCCCCUAUUGUUUUGUCUUCUUUGCGGCCGACUCCGGCUUCUGACUCUUGUCAGUUUCUUCUGAGCUAGAAUCCCCUUAUGCAGCCUGCAGCCGGCGCCAUGAGACAGCCCCACGAGUAUGUUCCCGAUCGUGCGGACAGUGACGUCGACGACCCCGACUUGGGGGCGGCGGCGAUGAAAGCCAACGCCGAAGGCGGGGGAGAAGGAGCAGAAGGCGACUUCAGGCCCUCGACCACCUUCGCCGACUGGCCUGACGACGACGCCGAAGGGGAAGUCGCCCCGCGCCAUCAGCUGAGGGUCGGCUCGUCGGGUGCCGGCUCCUCCGCCGGCCUGGCUGGCCAAGGCGGCGCGAAGAGGCGUCACGCUGGGCCGAGUGCGCCCGGCGGCAAAUUGAAGAAGUUCAAGGGGCGGCCACCGCGACCAAACGGGAGGAGGCGGCCGCGAAGGCCAACCGCUUCCGAAGGGAAGUGAGAAGGCCGCCGCUUGUCUCUGCGUAAGUCUUUACGCUUUUUUAUUUUCCUUCGUUGAAUCUUGUCUGAGUCUUCUUUUAUACUACCUCCAUUCUUCUUCAGGGCCCCUCUUUCCCUUGAGAGAGUCGCCGUCCCCUCCGUCAUGGGGUCGGCAGAGACAUCCGCCAAUACUCGGCGGGCCGACCCCGCCGCCGACCUCCGGGAGGCGACGGAGCGAAAUGCGCGGGAGAAGCGCGAGGAGGAGGAGGCCGAAUGUCUGGAGAAGGCGGAGGCCAACAGGGCGGCCGCCUCCGCCCAGAAGAAGCUGGAGGAUGCCGAAGCCGCCCUUGCGGCGAGACGGCGUGCCGAGGAGGCCGCGCGUCGCCGAUCAGCGAUGCUCAUCCCUCCACUGUCGUCUGCACCGCCGCCUCCGGAGUUCACGGGGCAGACCGGAGAGGCCGGCACCGAAAACCCCAUCGUGGAGAAGGAGAGCGGCGAGGCUUCCAUGUCGGACACUCUCGUGCCGCCACCGCCGCCUCCACCACCGUCUGGGAGACCGCACGACAAACAGCCGGUGGGUCCAUCAGAGCCGCCGGUCACGGACGAGGCCGAGGCGCGACUGCUUCUCCAAGUUGCCUCACCGGUGCGUCGCCGUCUUGAGAGGGCGACCUCGGUGCCGCGACCUCGGGAGACCUGCGCCGCUAGCUCGGCAACCUUAGACGCCGAGGCCACAAGCGCCGCGACCUCGGGAGACCGGCGCCGCUAGCUCGGCAACCUUAGACGCCGAGGCCACAAGCGCCACGCCCACCGGGUGGUUGCGCGGAGGCGACACCGGGCCGCUGAAUCAAGCGCUUCUGGACGUUCAGGCGAAGCUGCGCGCUGAAGGCGAGGCCCUUCAAACUUGCACCAGGGCGCAUCUGGCAGCGCGGACGGCCGUCCGAGUACGUUUCCUUCUUCUUUUUGAUUCUUGUUUUUCUCUGUGGGGGCGCGCCAGCGCACCCACUGGGUGUAGUCCCCAAGUUCCGGGCCAGCUGCUGAGCAGGCGGUUCGGAACUCCCUCUGGCGAGUUCCAAAUACUAACUUUGUCUUCAAUGACUUAUUGCAGGAGUAUCACAACCUCCGCGCCACUGCCUUCAACCGCAAUGUUGAGGAGUUGAGCAAGCGGGCUGCCGACUUGUUGGAAAGCCGGAGUAAGUUCUUCUUCUUCGCGGGGGCACGGUGGCGCACCCGCGGGCUGUAGUCCCCGAGAUUCGGGCCGACUGCUGAGCAGUCGGGCCGGAUCUUUCCGGCGAUCUUCUUUGUUGACGACUUAUUUGUCUCUUCUUUCGUUCUUCAGGAGCCAACGCCGUUCUUCAGGAGCAGCUGGGCGAGGCCAAUACCGCCCAGCGUGCCAAGUAGGAGGAGUGUGGAAAGCUUGCCGCGGAGUGCGACCUGCUGGCAGCGCAGCUGGCCGAGCAGAAGGAGCUGCUCAAGAAGGCGCAGGACGAGGCCGAGAAGAAGGAGGCCGCUCUCUUGGCCGAGUUUGAGAGCGAGCGCUCCUCCUGGACUGACAGGGAGGCGAUGCUGACCUCUGGCUUCCACGAGAUCGAGGAUAUCGUUGAUGGUAAGUUUCUUUUAUUUCUUCGGGCUUCCAACUAUGUGUCAGGCCGACUUCUGAUUUUUCGACUUGCUUCUUUUUUGUCUUGGCAGACUUCUUCCCUGGUCACUCGCAGGCAGUCCCUCUGGCCAUCGAGGCUGCUCGUGAGGCGCGAAGGGCAAACGGUGAGGAGAUCGCCGCUAAUGCCCCCCGAACCAUCGAUGAGCAGCUUCUGAGCAUUGAAGCCCGUCUUCGUCCGGCUCACCGGCUGAUGCGCCGGCUUCAGCGUGCCGACGCCCAGGCGGUUGCCGCCCUGUGGACAGGCACGCCGGUUCUGCGCACCGCCAGCCGAACUGCCGACUGGCUGGAGGUCGCUGCCGGCUAUCUUGAGGCCUGGAAGGGCUCCUCGGCCCGGGCCGGAGCGCGCCGGGCCUUGGAGUUCAUCAAGGCGUGGUAUCCAGGGCUGGACCUGGACCGUCUGGCCGCGUUUCGGUCAGAAGCCCAGGCCGAGAUGGAGGCCGUGGAGGGCGCCCUUAUCGAGCGUGCGGCGGCCAUCACCGAGUACACGAACACCAGUGUCUUCGUCCCCGAGUGGGCUGAAGGCGGCGAGGAAGUGCCGCCAGAGUGGUUCGGGAUGAACCCGGAGUAUGGCGAGGACUCGGCGGAGGUGAUCGACUCCAGCACCAAGGAGGAGGAUGAGGCGAAGGACGAAGGCGAGGCAGAGGUGCCAGAAGACGGAGCAGGCGGCCAGCCUCAGCUCGACCGCGCCUCCAGCAACGAGCCGCGUCGAGAGAAGGCGACUGCCGCCGGAGGCGAUCAAACCGAGACCGCACAGCCGACUGCCCCGGCGCCUGACACCGCCGCCUCUUCCGAUCCUCCGAUCCCAGAUGCCGCCUCCUAGGCUGCCUUUUUCACCUCUGUUUGUCUGUCUUAGUAAUCUUUUGAAAACUUUGUUAGAUUCGAACAAUUCCACCCGCGGGGUGUAUCUUGAACUUCUAUUCGAAGAUUCGACCAAGGGCCUAUGUAAAUAUUUAUCCAAUUUCCGUCUUUCCUUGCUUACUGCUCUUUAGGCUUUUCCCUUUGCCGCCUUACUUUAGUCGCUGCCUUGUGAGUCGGACAGCCGCUCUGCGGUCUGUCGCUGGGUCAAGUGCUUGGCUACUUCGGGAAGGCAAGUACUUGGCCGUUUAGAGUUUCUUUAGCAAGUCGGAUAGAAAAAGACAGGCCGACUACCCAAGAGUCGGCCGUCCUUGAUAGAGGCUAAUAAAGACGGCAAGCCGGUUACUCAUGAGUCGGCUUUCCGCUUCAGAAAUGCUGGAGGCCGUCUUAUGCUAUGUUCGUGCUUUAGGUCCUUAGCCAUUUUUCGUGUGGGCGCUCGUUCUUCCUCACUCCUGCCCGCCUCACAGUCGCUCUGCAAGCUAUGGCUUUGCCAGGAGGUGGAUUGGGCACCGUGCACUACUUGUCUGACUCCAGGAAGCUCCUUAUAGCGCAAGGCGGCGAGUCCCCGGGCCGACUAGUCUGGCCCGGUGCCAAGCGGCUUGUAAUGAAAGUAAUGUACUCGAAGGCAUAAUUCUUACCAUACAGAUAACAAAAAAAGGGCAGUCCCGAGCUCGUCUUGGGGGGCCCAAAGUCUUAGUACUUUAAUACAAAGGGGUAGUGUGAUACAUACUGCAUCAACUGUAAAAUCUUCGAAGAAGAUUUGCAUUCCACGGGUGCUCUGUCUCUUUGCCGGAGUCGUCCCUCUUGCACGCUCGGGGCUUCUGAGCGUCGAUCUGAUAGUAGGCGUCGUUCCCUAGCACCUUGCUGAUGAUAAAGGGGCCUUCCCAAGGUGCCGACAGCUUGUGCUGGCCGGCUGUUCGCUGGAUCAGCCGGAGCACAAGGUCGCCUUCUUGGAAAGAUCUUGGCCUGACAUUCCUGUUGUGGUAUCGGCACAGACUCUGCUGGUAGAUGCUGGACCGGCUGAGUGCCAACAGCCGGCCCUCUUCCAGCAGAUCGACGCCGUCUUGACGUGCUUCUUCUGCUUCUUCCUCGGUGUACAUAGUGACUCGCAGGGAGUCGAACUCUAUGUCCGUUGGGAUGACGGCUUCAGCACCAUAGACGAGGAAGAAGGGUGUGAAGCCGGUUGACUUGUUUGGAGUCGUGCGCAGACUCCAGAGGACGGCUGGCAGCUCCUCAAGCCAACAGCCGGUAGAUCGCUCCAGCGGUACAACGAGUCGAGGCUUGAUGCCGGAUAAGAUGAGGCCGUUCGCUCGCUUCACCUGGCCGUUUGACUGCGGAUGGGCAACGGACGCUAAGUCCAGUCGGAUACCGUGUGUCGCGCAGAAACGGGCCAAGGCGCCUUUGGCAAAAUUCGUGCCAUUGUCGGUGAUGAUGCUGUGUGAGAUGCCGUACCGAGUUGUGAUGUCAGCGAUGAAGGUCACUGCAGUUGGACCAUUCAACUUCUUGAUGGGUUUCACCUCCACCCACUUGGUGAACUUGUCCACUGCGACAAGUAGGUGAGUCAAGCCACCUCGUGCCGUCUUGAAUGGUCCCACCAUGUCCAGGCCCCAAACUGCAAAGGGCCAGGCAAUGGGGAUAGUCUUGAGUGCGAAAGCUGGCUGAAGUGGCUUGGAACGGAAAAUCUGGCACCCCUUGCACUUUUGGACUAACUCUUUGGCCUCUUCCAGGGCGGUUGGCCAGAAGAAACCGUGCCGGAAGGCUUUGGCAAUGAGUGCCCUGGAGGCCGCGUGGUGACCGCACUCGCCUUCAUGGAUGUCUCUGAGGAUUGCUUGGCCUUGUUCUGCCUCGACGCAGCGUUGGAAGACGCCGGUAACGCUGCGCCUGACCAGCUCUCUGUUGACUAUGGUGUAGGCUGCUGCUCGGCGUUGCACUUGUCGAGCCAAGAUUUCAUCGGUUGGCAGCUCUCUGUUUACUAAGAACCUGAGGAUGGGCUGGGCCCAUGAAGGUGCUGCUAUUUCUUCAACUGCCACUAGUGCGACUUGGACAAGGGCGGCCGGGCUCGGAGGCGGCGGGUUGGAGUCCGCAGCCGCUUGCUGAUUUGACAAAGUCCCGGGGCCGACUGGAGCAGUCCCCGGGCCGAGCUCUGGAGUCUUCGAUCUUGCCACUGCAGUCCCCGGGCUGGGUUCUGAAGUCCCCGGGCCGGCUUCGACUGUGUGUUUCUUGGAGUCGGAUCCGUCUUCCUCAGGCGGAGCCGGCACAGAGAUUGAAUCUGAUUCUGGUGACGGCUUGAUAGAAGGCUUGAGGAGGCGCCGGAGGGCGACACCAGAUGGUAUUGCCUGGCGGGUGGAGCUGAUUCGUGCCAAGGCGUCUGCUUGGUCGUUGUUGUUCCUUGGCACGUGGAGGAACUCGCACCCCUCGAAGUAUCCGCUGAGUUGCUGGACGAGGAAACGGUAGCUCGCCAUAUUUGCGUCCUUGGCGUCCUAAUCGCCAGAUGAUUGCUAGACCACCAAGUCAGAGUCGCCAUAACACAGGAUCCGGCGAAUGCCGAGUUGUUUGGCAAGCCGGAGCCCGUGGAUGAGCGCCUCGUACUCGGCCACGUUGUUGGAGGCGGCGAAGUGGAUCUACAGCGCAUAUCUGAGCUUGUCGCCCUUGGGGGAAGUGAGGACGACGCCGGCUCCCAAGCCGGUGCGCAUCUUGGAGCCGUCGAAGUGCAUCCGCCAAUGGGUGGAGUCGGGCGCUGGCGGCAGAUACUGGGUCUCGGCCCAGUCGACGAGGAAGUCGGCCAGUGCUUGCGACUUGAUGGCAGUGCGGGGCUCGUAGUAGAUGGUGUAGGGGGCCAGGUCGAUGGCCCAUUUGGCCACUCGGCCAGAAGCAUCUCGGCUUCCGAUGAUCUCGGCCAGUGGAGCUGUGCAGACCACAGUGAUUGGAUGCUCCUGGAAGUAAGGCUUCAAUUUCUUGGUGGCAAAAUGCACGCCAUAGCACAUCUUCUGGUAAUGGGGGUAGUUCUGCUUGGAGGCCGACAGUACCUCGCUCAAGUAAUAUACCGGUCUCUGGACAGGCAGCGCCUUGCCUUCCUCCUUGCGCUCGACUACAAUGACUGUGCUGACUACUCGGCUGGUGGCGGCAAUGUAUAGCAGCAUGGGCUCUUUGGGAGUCGGAGCCGCCAGCACAGGGGGAGUAGUCAACAUCUUCUUUAGUUGGAGAAAAGCCUCGUCCGCCUUGGGAGUCCACUCAAAGAAGGUCGUCUUCUUCAUGAGCUGAUACAAGGGGAGAGCCUUCUCGCCCAGCCGACUGAUGAAUCGGCUGAUGGAUGCCAAACAGCCGGUGAACUUUUGCACAUCUAAUAGUUGUCUGGGUGCUUCCAUCCUCUCGAUGGCCUUGAUCUUCACAGGAUUGCACUCUAUGCCGCGUUCGGAGACCAGGAAACUGAGGAGUUGGCCGGCUGGUACUCCAAAAACGCACUUCUCUGGGUUGAGCUUGAUCUGGAAUCGGCGCAGAUUCUCAAAUGUUUCCUUGAGGUCCUCCAGCAAGGUUCCAUGCUUCUCUGUCUUCACCACUACAUCAUCCACAUAGACGUGGGCAUUUCUGCCGAGUUGCUUCAGGAGGCACUUUUGCAUGCAACGCUGAAAGGUGGCGCCGACGUUUCUUAAGCCGAACGUCAUGGUCAGGUAGCAGAAGGCUCCAAACAGCGUGAUGAAGGCGGUCUUCUGUCUGUCAGCCGGGUUCAGCUUGAUCUGGUGAUAUCCUGAAUAUGCGUCUAGGAAACUCAACAGCUCGCAUCCGGCUAUGGAGUCUAUCACCUGAUCGAUUCUCGGCAGAGCAAAUGGGUCCUUGGGGCAAGCUUUGUUGAGGCUCGUGUAAUCAAUGCACAUCCGCCACUGCUUGUUCUUCUUCAGCACCAGUACUGGGUUUGCCAUCCACUCUGGAAAAAACACUUCCAUGAUGAAGCCGGCUGCCAGGAGCCGGGCUAUUUCUUCUCCAACAACUCUUCUUUUUUCUUCUAACAGGCGGCGCAAGGGCUGCUUGACGGGCUUCAUAUCAUACCGGACGUGUAAUUUGUGCUCGGCGAAUUCCGUCAGGACACCAGGCAUGUCCUUGGGGGACCAUGCGAAGAUGUCGCAAUUUUCACGGAGGAAAUCGACGAGCUCACCUUCCUAUUUGCUAUCAAGGCCUGUGCCCAUGACAGCGUAUCUCUCCGGGUCCAAUGGUAUCUUCUUUGUUUCUUUGGCCGGCUUGAAUGAUCCUUCUGCUUCCGACUCCUUGGGGUCGGGCGAUAACUCGGGCUGCUUGCCGGCCAUCGCCACGACCCGAUCAAGAAGCCGUUUCUCAGCCGCGAUCACCAAGGACUCGACCAGCUGACUGCUUUCGGCCGCGCAAGUGGACGACUUCCUGUAGUCGCCGAACACGGUUAGGAUUCCCUUGGAACUCGGCAUCUUCAUCUUAAGGUAGGCGUAGUGGGGGACCGCCAUGAACUUGGCCAAGGCGGGUCGGCCAAGCAAUGCAUGAUAUGGGCUUUCAAGGUCCACCACCUCAAACCAAAUUGGCUCUCGGCGGAAAUGAUCCUUGUCUCUGAAGAGGACAUCUAUCAGGAUGUUGCCGAUUGGUGAGCAGGAAAGGCUAGGGACGAUUCCGAGGAACACAGUCUGGCUGCUCUGAAGUUGUCUUCGCUUGAUUCCUAAUUUCUCCAUUGUAUCCUUGUACAGGAUGUUGAUACUGCUGCCUCCGUCUAUCAGUACUCGCGAGAAGCGAGCGGCCCGCCUAUCUGUGGCGAGUGUAGCGCCUAAGACCAAGGCGUAGGAGCCUGGACUCGGCAUCACCUCUGGGUGAUCAGCUCUGCUCCAACUGAUAGGCUUUUCGGACCAAUGAAUGAACUCUGGUGUACUUGACGCAACCGCAUUCACUUCUUGCUGCUGUUGGCGCCUGCUGCGUCGGUCAUCCGCUACACUUGUGAACACCACAUAGGCUCCAUGCUCAUCCAGGAACUCGUCUUGUAUCGCGCCGACUGGCCUGACGGCCGGCUGCUGGGGAGGCAGUGGAGGAGGCGGCCCAGCAGGAGGGGGAGGGAGCAGGCCGUCCCCCUUGGCGAUUCUGGUGAGCCAGUGGCAUUUCCUUGUGGUGUGGUUUGAGGGCUUCGCGCCGCUGUGGAUCUUGCAGGGACCGUCUAGAGUCUGCUCGUAGGAGAAAGCCGGCAGCCAGUUGGACUUGCCACCCUUCUGUCGCUUCGCCGGAGGCGGUCCCUCCAACUGCUGGUCCUCUGCUGUUGCCACUUGCCGACUGUUGGAAGUCGGCUGCGGGGCUUUGCGCUUCUGGUCAUUCUGCUGUUGCCGCCGACUGGUGUCUCCAGCCGGAGUUCUUGGAGCCUGAGGGGCGACUUUGCCAGUUGUGCUGACCCGAAUCUCCGUCUUCAUGGAGGAGUCGGCCCUGGCGUACUUGUCCGCUGUGAUCAGCAGGUCAUCAAGGGUCUCCGGCUUGUCGCAGAGGAGCUUGUGCUUGAGGAGGGUGCCUUCUCUGCACCCGGCAGUAAAGUACUCGAUGGCCUGCACCUCAUGCACGCCCUCGCAGGAGUUCCGGAGUUCGCCCCAGCGUGUGAGGUAGUCGCGAGUAGACUCGUCAGGGCCUUGCAUGCACAAGGAGAGUUGGCGUGGCUUGGGAGGUCGCUUGUACGUGCUGGUGAAGUUGCGGACGAAACCCUCGGUGAAGUCGACCCAGCCGUUGAUGCUGCGAGGCUUCAGACUGUUCAACCACGUCCGGGCCGAGCCCUGGAGCAUGAGCGGGACGUAUCUUACGGCAACACGCUUGUUGCCAUUCGCUAUGUUGACGACUAUAGAAUAGUCGAUCAGCCAAUCUUCCGGCUUCACGGUGCCGGUUUAUUUGGGCGUGUCUCGGGGGAGCGUGAACCCUUUGGGGAAGGGCUCAUCUCGGAUGCGGGGUCCAAAGCAGGGGGGACCCAACUCGUCUUCUUCUUCCAGCGCCAGGGAUCGGUGGAGUCGGUCGAUCCGGUGGCGGGUGUCGUUCUCUCCGACUCCCUCUCGGCGGCCAAGGCGGUCGCCGAGAGUCGGAUGUUCCACGAGCGGUGAGGAGACUCGCCUUUCUCUGCGAGGAGGGGGAGGCAGGUAGUCGUCCCACCGUUCCACCGCUUUGGGGCGGCCGUCCUGGUCGCGCUCGAUGGUAAUGUGAGUCUGACUGUGGCUGACAGCCGGCUCCUUGUCCUUCUUCCCACGGGCCCCGCCAGUCAGCAUCCGAGACGUCGCACCUUGGUCUCGGCGAGGCGGUGGGUCGUCGUUUUGGCGCUGCGGCGCCUCGGUGCGGCAGCCGGCAUCAUUCUGCAUGGCAGCCGCGUCGAGGAGCUGCUGAACUCGCUUCGUCAUUAUGCGGUGCUCUUCGCCUUCGAAGUUAUCGAGCUCGUCUGCUGCCGCCUGGGCGGCACGGAUAUUCUUUGCGGGCGUGGCAUACACAGGGCGAUCGGCCCCGAAGAGGUUGGCGAUUGCCGUGCCGCGCUAUCGGACCGCGCCUAGGCGGCUAGGACCGGUCGGAGCCGGCAAGCCGCCUACGGCGCGAUCCAUCUCGCGUUGGUAAGCUUCUGACAAGCGCCUCAUGCUUGCCAGCUUCUUCGCGCCCUCGACGAGCUGAAGGCGGAGCGCCUCCAGCGUCUCGGCGUCGGCGUCUUCCGGAAUCGGCGCUGCAAGGCCUCGCAGGGCCGCGUCAAGCGGGUCGUGCGCUCCUUCGCCGGAGCGCUCGCCGUGGUUGAGGAUGAGGACCUCAGUGAUGGUGCUUCCGCCGCUCCCCGCGUAAGGGAGCGGCUCGUCGUAGACCACCACGUUGGUGGGGAACGCGUUGAGCGACGCGGUGUCGGAGUCGACCAGCAUCGGGUCGGUGGAUCCUAUGGACUCCAGGUCCGCGGCAGGCUCGCCGGCGACGUGGAGUUGGUCGAGGAGGCCCGCGAGGAGGCUCACGGGGACACUCGUGCCUGCAUCGGACGCAGGCUCAUCAGAGAGGCGAACCUCGCCGAGAAGAUCGGCGAGGCAGCUGGCCGCACAGGCGAUCUCAGCGCCGUGCAGCGCGUCGGCACAGACGCCAUCCGGCGUGCCGGGCUGGCUGUGCUCGCCGGGGAGGAACAGGGUUCCCGUCCAGAGCAGAUCUCCGGACGACGGUGCACCUCGCCCCAUGGUGGGCGCCAAAUGUCAGUGGUUGGAUACGACAUAUGCCAAAGGAUGGCUUAUCAUGGUGGGAGCGAGUAGAACGUCGCCGGUGCCUGGAAGCGGGAUGAGGCGAAGACAUGCACGCCGGCGGAACUUACCCAGCUUCAGGGCUCUCCUAGGAGAUAACACCCCUACUACUGCUCUGCGGGGUCUCCGCAUAAUCAUUAAGGCAAAGUGACUACAAUGGUGCUCCUGGAGCUGUUUUGGGAGGCAUGAGAGGGCAAGGCUAGCUCUCUCCUCCCUGUGCUAUCUGGUCUAUCUCUAUCUAGGUCCGAACCCUUUGCAUGGGUGCCCUGGGGGGUUUAUAUAGGCCUACCCCCCGGGGGUACAAUAGUAAUCCGGCUAGGCGUGGGUCCCAGCCGUCUGUCUCUCAGGCCGCCGUCCUCCCCGCCGGCUUCUAGGGCCCGCCGACUAGCGGGUCCCGCUGACAGGCUUGAUACUGUAGCAGCACUCCUGAUGACGCAGGCUCGGUCAUUGGGUCAUGACAACAGUGCCGCCAUCUAUCGGGCGAUCACUGUCGCCAUUCCCCAUCCUAUCUGGUUAAUGGCUCGUGGGGCCCUGGGGAGGAGGCCGACUCCCACAGGUCCGUCUUCGGGGCGCUUAGGCCGCCUUAGGCCCACCCACUGACAGGCGCCCCGCCGCCUUCGGGUCGUAUAGGCCGGCGUCGUGGGCACAGUGCGUUGCGCACUGUGGCUGAGGUCAGGGCAGGCAUGGCAACAGUGCCGCGCCUUGCUGGAGAUCUUCCAGCGAUACGGCUCACUGUAGCCAUGCCGGCCCUUCGUAAGCAGGGGAGGAACGGCCACGCUGUGACCGUACCCCACAUCGUACUUCGACAUGAGGGAGGAGUCAUGGGCCGACUCUCCAUACUCGGCCUCUCUGGAGGUCGCCAGCUCGGAGUCGGCUUAUCUCGGAGUCGCCGUCUGGGACUCGGCUUGUCUUGGAGUCGCUCCUGGGACUCGGCUUGAGGGGCGCGGCCUGCCCCGAGUCUUGAAAGGUCCUGGGACUCGGGUUAGCCUACCCGUGGCCCAAUACCCCGACACCUACUUUUGACAUCAUAUAUGUCAUCUGCUUAGUUUAGACAUGUUCUGUAAUGCCACCUGUUUAGUUUCUAUAUCAUAUAUGGGAAUUAUGCAGUCUCAUGUCUUUUAGCCAGCCAUAAUAUAUGUGAAAUGUGCAAUGCCAUCCUAUUUAACCAGGCAUCAUAUAUUUGAAUGAUAUCAUGCCCAUCCUUUUCUUCAUUACAUUUCCAUUUGUCAACAAUGUUUGUACAUUAAACUACUCUUCCUGUGAAUCAGCCAUUUGGGUGGGAGAUGGAAAAAUCUGGAGUGAAAACAAGGCCUUCAGAGCAGACAGUGCUACCAGUCGAAGCAUAUCUCUUGUUGGGUCCCGAUAGCUCCUCAGAGAUGGAUUCAGAGACAGAUGACCAGUCCUAUUCCCCCACUGAGGUGUAUGCUCCAACUUGGCACGGUUAUACUGCUCAUAUCAUGCAUAUGGUGUCUUGCAUUGCAUAGUUUAGACAUCAUAUACACAAUAUUCAACACCAUGUUCUUAGUUCAGACAUCAUAUCAAAUGCCCUCUGUUUAGCAUAUAAAUCACAUAUGUGAAUUAAAUGAUGCGAUCUUGAUUACUUAGAUAACAUGUAGGUGAAUUAUGUCAUGCGAUCCUGUUUAGUUAUUCAUCAUAUCUUUGAAUUAUGUUAUGCUAUGCUAUCCAGUUUAGAUAGACAUCAUAUAUGUGAAAUUAUGUCAUGCUAUCCGUUUUAGUUAAACAACAUACAUGUCAACUAUUUCAUGCCCUCUUUUUUCCAUGCUAUCUAUUGCAUCUGUCUCUCAUACAAUGUCUGUACAUUCAACUAUGUUUCCUGUUUAUCAGCCAUUUGAAUUGGAGCGGGUGAUGCCAGUAUCUAGCGGACUAAAAACAUGGUCUUCAAAUAAAACAGUGCUACCUCUUGGUGGAGAUAGCACCCUGGUUGUACAUGCACAAGAACUAGCCCUACCACACAUAACCCAAACUCUUGCAGAUUGUACCCCUACUGCGAUGGACAGAGAACCAGCUUCACCCAAUCUAACCCCAACCCCAGCCCAUAGUAACCCAGUUCCUGUUGACACAUCACCAUCUCCACCACAGAGCUCCCAAACAAGAGCAGUUAGUAAGGCAGCUCCAGUGCCCAAAGGGUCAGUACUAUCACGGCGAACCCCAACUCCACCAGUUAGUAUUCCUAUUCCUGUGGAGGAAGCACAACUAGCUAGUCUUAGUUUAGCAUCUAUCGCAUUUGAUGUUGUUAAAUCGUAUGUGCGUAUCUUCCCAUCUUGGAAAUAUUAUACUAAUGAUGAAGGAAAAUGCCAGUUGCAGGUGUUUGUCCAGGAGUUAUGUGUAAGUAAUGUUAUUCAUGGCAAUUACUUUGCUUUGUCCCAUAUAUCCUACCUCCAUGAUGGUUAUAAUACAGCAAAUUUUCCCAUUUUUCUCUAUAGAGAAGGACCGAUUUGGAAACUCAGGAUGAGGUAACCUAUGCUAAUACCUCUGCUAUCUUCAAGAAUGCUUGGUGGCAGUAUUGGAAUUACCUGAAGAAAACGUACUUCAUCGGCAAAGAAACUCAUCAAAUUCCCCUACGUUCUCCUGAGACACAUUUACUGGACAAUGACUGGGAACACCUUGUUCUGUACUGGUCCCGAACAAAGAAUGUGGUAAGGUCUAUGAGCUCAUUUUCUAUUUUAAGUAUUAUAUUCUUACGUCUUACUGUACUCUGUUCAUGUAGAACAAGUGCCUAAACCUGAAGAACAACUGUUCUAAUUUAAGAUUCCAUUGCUAUCAUAGUUCAAAAAAGCGCUAUGCAUUAAUUGUGCGCUUUGCCACCGCCUUGCGCUUUACUGACCAAAGCGCAUGCUUAUGUGCAGUUAUGCACAGAUUAAGCGUAGUUAUGCGCAAUGCGUUUUGCCAACGCCUAGAGCCUAGGCGCGCUUAAGCGCUCGCUUAGGCGCGCCUUUUUUUAACUAUGAUUGCUUUGCUCUUGUAUCACAGUAUUUACUCAUACAAACUUACUUUUAAAUUGAAGGAUCCAAUCAAAACUCCAAUGGCACAUCAGGUAUGUUCACGCAUGUUUCUUUAACAGGUUUGCUCUUACCAAUAGCUCUGUUGAUUUCAAUUUCAGUUGUGUAUACAUUUAACUUUCAUAUCAUGCACAUUACUAGCAUCACAACAGAGCCAAUAGUGUUGUUGUACAUGUAGACCCGUGGUACCCAUCUAAAAUCUUGUUGUGCCAUGUAGUUUCCCACUUUCACUGCUGCUUUGUCUUGAACUGAUAUGAUUUGAACCGUGUCUCUAUUUUGAUUUGGCAAGACAAUGCAGUGACCAUAGGACAUAGAUAUAUGUUUGUUUGAUGCUUUUAUUAUGUACUAGUACUUGGCAAUAGAAGACUUGGUAGUUUAAUCCUGUCCACCUUACUAAUGAACUGGUUCACCGAAAUGAGUUUCAUAUACUAGUACAUGCUAAACUUGUCAUGUGUUGCACAAGCUAUUCAAACUAACUGUCUGAAUCAGUUCGGUUUCUUAAGUCUCAACUACAAGCUGAAAGACAUCGAUCAGCUGUGCUGCGACAAGAAGUGGAAGGACGCGGAAGUCCCUGGAGCAUUCAGAUGCAUACUUUCUGGUGCAACAGCAAGCGUUGGAGGAUUUUAGCGCCAAACAGGACAAAGCUAAUAAGCUUGCUAAGAUUAUUGCCAGCAUGGUGGAUACCCAGGAUAACGUUUCUUGAGCUCUUCUGAAGUUGUUUCAGUUAUGCUCUUGUUUUGCUGCCACAUUUAUUUGCACUGAUGGCCAAUUUUGACGGCCAGUGUAUGUAAAUAUGCUGCUUUGUUCCCUAUAUUUGCAUUGGUGGCGAACUUUGAUGCCCAGUGGAUGUAAUAUGUGUAAUAGCGGUAAUAGGCUAGCAUUAAUUGCUUGCUUAUUUAUUUCCUUAUUGUCUUGUUUAGUUGUUUGCUUGUAGUCACUGCAGUUCUUUUUCUUUGUUUUUCUAGUGGCCACAAUAGUCUAUUUUUGGUAACUAGGCCAAAAUAAUCAUGGAAACACACGGACUGUUGUAACCAUGGGCCUCCUGCGGGCCAUAUGAUCCAUGGGCCUUCUUCCGGCCGUAGGAUCCAUUGGCCUUCUAUAUGGGCCGUAGGAUCCAUUGGCCUUCUAUAUGAGCCUUAGGAUUCAUGGGCCUUCUACAGGCCGUAGGGUCCAUGGGCCUUCUACGGGCCGUACGAUCCAUGGGCCUUCUACGGGCCGUACUAUCCAUGGGCCUCAUACGGGACGUAGGACCCAUGGGCCUUCUACGGGGCGUAUCAUCAUUUCGCCAAUCAUGGGCCGUACUAUUCGUGGACCAUAACGGGCCGUUAAUAGGCCGUAUUUGAUAACUCUAUGAAAACAGCCCAAUGAUUUUUUUGACAUGAAAACGCCCAACGUAUUCGGUCCACAAACGGGCCGACUGUAACGACGGGCUGAAUUUGGCCCACAAGCAGAAAAUGAUAGUAACGGGCCAUAUGUAACCGAAUGCUGCAAAUGAGCCCAAGAAUCAAUGGGCCCUGAGAAGGCCGAAAGAUAACUUGGGGCUGGAAACGGCCCAAUGGAAUAACAGGCUGUUAAUGGGUAUAAAGUGAUACACUGUUCAUUACGGGCCAGCUUCACCACGGGCCGUUAAUGGGCCAAGAGUUACAAAGGGCCUCAUAUGGGCCGAAAGAAGUCAUGGGCCACACAUGGGCUGGAAGUUAAAACGGGCUGGAAUCAUAUUGGACGGCCCAGAUGACGCUAUUGGGCCUAAUUCGGAGAGGUCGUAAUGGGCCCUGGGUUAGCGAACUAUAAAUGGGCUAUAUGCAAACAUGCCGUUAACAGGCUUUCCGUGGGGCGGCCCGCCACCUUUUGACCAAGUCAAACAGGCCGGCCUUUUCACAGGAAUGGGCCUCUGUUGGGCCGUGCCACGUGUCUCCAUAUCAUAGGCGCCUUCGGUCCAAUGAGUGGAUGACAUCUGUCCCAACAGUGAGCCGACACGUGUUUCCUCCAGCCAAUGAUGAUUUUACAUGUGGAAAUUCCCCAUUGGUCGGGGCUGUUAACGGGUUAUCGGAUCCAAAACCAGACCCGAUAGCUUAACACCGUUCCGUUACGGUGGAUGCCAUGUGUCGGUAACCCUUGACGAAAGCACUUCUACGACGCGCGAUUUAUCGUCAUGGAAGUGGACACUUCUGUGAUGAUAAUUUUGGUAAUGUCAUGGAACACUUCUACGACAGCACAUGUAUGACUAUCUUGAUUCUGUCAUAAAAUCGUCAUGGAUGUACAUGCAUGACAAAAAACGCGACCUACUGUGACAAACAUGUAUCAUCACGGAAGUGUAUUUUUUUGUAGUGGUUGCGGAUGAUUAUACCAUUCUCAUCUUGCUUGUUAUUGAAAAUCCAUUUGGUUCCAAUGACAUUGUGUUUCGUAGUUGGCCUCCUGACUAACGACCACACUUGGUUACAUUCAAAACUGUUCAACUCUUCUUGCAUAGCAAUGAGCCAAUCGUUGUCCAUGAAUGCUUCGUGUACCUUGAGAGGCUCAACACUAGACACAAACGAGAAGUGAGCACAAAAGUUUGUCAAUUGUUUACAAGUGACUCUACCUUCCGAUAUGCCAGUGAGAAUUUUAUCAACAUGAACACAACCGGCCACUCGAGGCAUGAUGGAGGUUAAGGUUUCACGAGGUUCAACUUCAUGUCCAUCAUCCACGUCCUCAACAUAUGGAUCAUUAAUUUGUGGUGGAAGAUCUUCUUCUUCAUAUCGCAUUUGUUGAGCUUCAUUAUCAAUGAUUUCACCUUCUUGUUCUUGCCCUUGAUGAUGAACUUGUUCUUGAAUAUUAUCAUGAAGAGGGACUUGAACAUCUUCUUGUACUUUGACUACGGGCAUUGGUUGAGUAGUAGGAGCUUGAGGAGGUAUGGGUGUUGGAGUGGUUUGAUGAUGUGUGAAGCUUACAUCUUCUUCCUCAUCAUCAUGAGGUUAUUGUUCCAUUGGAAGAAGUGCACCAACACCCAUGGUCAAAAUAUCUUGAGAAGAAUCUUCUUCACCUACAUAACUUAGAUCAACUUGCACCUAAUGGGAGCCAUUAAAUUCAUCAAACACCAUGUCACAAGUUUCUACAACACAUCCAGUGGAUUUGUUGUAGACUCUAUAGGCGUGAGAGUUUGAUCCAUAACCAACAAAUAUGCCCUCAAUUGUUUUGGAUUGGAAUUUUCCUAAACAUUCUCUUUUGUUGAGGAUGAAACAUUUGCACCCAAAUACAUUAAAGUACUUGACAUUCGGCUUGUUCCCAGUUAGGAGAUCAUAUGGAGUCUUUUCCAAUAUAGUGCGGAGGAAGAGCCAGUUUGAUGCAUGGCAUGCAGUGUUGACAGCCUCGGCCCAAAAACUAUAUGGCGACUUGUAUUCAUCCAACAUGGCCCUUUCCAUCUCCACAAGUGUAUGGUUCUUCCUUUCGGCUACACCAUUUUGUUGAGGAGUGUAUGGAGCAGAAUAUUGAUGCUCAAUCCCUUCAUCACUAAGAAAUUCUUCCAAGGUGUAGUUCUUGAACUCAGAGCCAUUAUCACUCCUUAUUGCCAAGAUGUCUUUAUCAAACUUGCGUUGUGCUUGCUUGGCAAAAUCAAUGAAGGUGAUCUUAUUCUCGUCCUUGGAUAUUAGAAAAAACAGCCAUGUAUACCUUGAGUAAUCAUCAACAAUGAUAAACCCAUACUUUUUCCCACCAAGACUAUCCCAUGAAGGAGGCCCAACAAGAUCCACAUGAAGGAGCUCCAAAGGCCUUGAAGUAGACACGAUAUUCUUGGGUGGGUGCUACCUCUUGAGCAUGCAUUGGUUUUCCCUUGAAGAGGAAAGGGUGAUGCAGCAAAUUAGCAUAAGUAUUUCCCUCAGUUUUGAGAACCAAGGUAUCAAUCCAGUAGGAGACGACACACAAGUCACCUAGCACCUACACAAACAAUCAAGAACCUUGCAACCAACGCAAUAAACGGGUUGUCAAUCUCUUGCUACCUCUUGAGCACAGCGUUGGUUUUCCCUUGAAGAGGAAAGGGUGAUGCAGCAAAGUAGCAAAAGUAUUCCCUCAAUUGUUGAGAACCAAGGUAUCAAUCCAGUAGAAGGCUCCUCAAAAGUCCCACGCACCUACACAAACAAACAAGAACCUCGCAACCAACGCGAUAAAGGGGUUGUCAAUCCCAUCACGGAAACUUGCAAAAGUGAGAUACAAUAGAGAUAAUAAGAUAAGAUAACUAUUUUUGGUAUUUUUAUGAUAUAGAUUGGAAUGUAAAGAUUGCAAAUAAAAGUAGACUGGAAACUUAUAUGAUAAAAGAUAGACCCGGGGGCCAUAGGUUUCACUAGUGGCUUCUCUCAAGAUAGCAUAAGUAUUAUGGUGGGCGAACAAAUUACUAUCGAGAAAUUGAUAGAGAAGUGCAUAGUUAUGAGAAUAUCUAGGCAUGAUCAUGUAUAUACGCAUCACAUCCGCAACAAGUAGAUCGAAACGAUUAUGCAUCUACUACUAUUACUCCACACAUCGACCGAAUCUUGCCUGCAUCUAGAGUAUUAAGUUCAUAAGAACAGAGUAACACAUUAAGAAAGAUGACAUGAUGUAGAGGGAUAAACUCAAGCAAUAUGAUAUAAAACCCAUCUUUUUAUCCUCGAUGGCAACAAUACAAUACAUGCCUUGCUUCCCCUGCUGUCACUGGGAAAGGACACCGCAAGAUUGAACCCAAAGCUAAGCACUUCUCCCAUUGCAAGAAAGAUCAAUCUAGUAGGCCAAACCAAACUGAUAAUUCUAAGGGACUUGCAAAGAUAACCAAUCAUACAUAAAAGAAUUCAGAGAAGAUUCAAUUAUUUCGCAUAGAUAAACUUGAUCAUAAACCCAUAAUUCAUCGGAUCUCGAAAAACACACCGCAAAAAGAGUUACAUCGAAUAGAUCUCCAACAAGAUCAAGGAGAACUUUGUAUUGCGAUUCAAAGAGAGAGAAGAAGCCAUCUAGAUAAUAACUAUGGACCCCAAGGUCUAUGGUAAACUACUCACAACUCAUCGGAGAGGCCUUGGAGAUGAUGUAGAGCCCCUCCGUGGUCGAUUCCCCCUCUGGCGGAGCGCUGGCGAAUGCUUCAAGAUGGGAUCUCACGGAUACAGGAGGUUGCGGCGGUGGAAUUAGGUUUUCGUGGUGCUCUUGGAUGUUCUCGGGGUAUGUGGAUAUAUAUAGGCGAAGGAGGUAGGUCAGGGGAGCCACGAGGGGCCUGCGAGGGUGGGGGGCGCGCCCACCCUCCUAGGGCGUGCCCUCCUGCCUCGUGGCUGCCUGGGUUGCUUCUUGACGUCCACUCCAAGUCUCCUGGAUUGCGUUUGUUCCAAAAAGAUCACUCCCAAAGGUUUCAUUCUGUUUGGACUCCGUUUGAUAUUCCUUUUCUUCGAAACACUUAAAUAGGCAAAAAAACAACAAUUCGGGCUAGGCCUCCGGUUAGUAGGUUAGUCCCAAAAAUGAUAUAAAAGUGUAAAUUAGAGCCCAUAAACAUCCAAAACGGGUAAUAUAAUAGCAUGGAACAAUAAAAAAAGUUAUAGAUACAUUGGAGACGUAUCAAGCAUCCCCAAGCUUAAUUCCUGCUCGUCCUCGAGUAGGUAAACGAUAAAAACAAAUUUUUUGAUGUGGAAUGCUACCUAGCAUAAUUCUCAAUGUAAUUUUAUUUAUUGUGGCAUGACUGUUCAGAUCCAAAUGAUUCUAAAUAAAAGUUCAUAUUGACAUAACAACAAUAAUACUUCAAUCAUAAUAAUAAAGGAAUCAUGUCUUCUCAAAAUAACAUGGCUAAAUAAAGCUAUCCCUACAAAAUCAUAUAGUCUGGCUAUGCUCUAUCUUCAUCACACAAAGUAUUUAAUCAUGCACAACCCCGAUGACGAGCCAAGCAAUUGUUUCAUACAUUAGUAUUCUCAAAAAAUUUCAACCUUCACGCAAUACAUGAGCGUGAGCCAUGGACAUAGCACUAUAUGUGGAAUAGAAUGGUGAUUGUGGAGAAGACAAAAAGGGAGAAGAUAGUCUCACAUCAACUAGGCGUAUCAACAGGCUAUGGAGAUGCCCAUUAAUAGAUAUCAAUGUGACUGAGCAGGGAUUGCCAUGCAAUGGAUGCACUAGAGCUAUAAAUGUAUAAAAGCUCAACAAAAGAAACUAAGUGGGUGCGCAUCCAACUCACUUGCUCACGAAGACCUAGGGCAUUUUGAGGAAGCCCGUCAUUGGAAUAUACAAGCCAAGUUCUAUAAUGAAAAAUUCCCACUAGUAUAUGAAAGUGACAACAUAGGAGACUCUUGAUACGUCUCAAACGUAUCUAUAAUUUUUGAUUGCUCCAUGCUACUUUAUUUACUGUUUUGGACUAUAAUGGGCUUUAUUUUCCACUUUUAUAUUAUUUUUGGGACUAACCUAUUAACCGGAGGCCCAGCCUAGAAUUGCUGUUUUUUUGCCUUUUUCAGUAUUUCAAAGAAACAGAAUAUCAAACAGAGUCCAAACGGAAUGAAACCUUCGGGAACGUGAUUUUCUCAUCAGAUAAGAUCCAGGAGACUUGGACCCUCCGUCAAGAAAGCCACGAGGCGGUCACGUGGGUGGAGGGCGCGCCCCUCCCCCCUGGGCGCGCCCCCUACCUUGUGGGCCCCUCGAAGCUCCACCGACGUACUCCUUCCUCCUAUAUAUACCUACGUACCCCCAAACGAGCAGGGGGAGCAAAAAAACCUAAUUCCACCGCCGCAACCUUCUUUAUCCACGAGAUCCCAUCUUGGGGCCUGUUCCGGAGCUCCGCCAGACGGGGCAUCCACCACGGAGGGCUUCUACAUCAUCACCAUGGCCCCUCCGAUGAAGUGUGAGUAGUUUACUUCAGACCUUCGGGUCCAUAGCUAGUAGCUAGAUGGCUUCUUCUCUCUUUUUGGAUCUCAAUACAAUGUUCUCCCCCUCUCUCGUGGAGAUCUAUUCAUUGUAAUCUUCUUUUUGCGGUGUGUUUGUUGAGACCGAUGAAUUGUGGGUUUAUGAUCCAGUAUUAUCUAUGGAAAAUAUUUGAUUCUUCUCUGAAUUCUUUUAUGUAUGAUUGAGUUAUCUUUGCAAGUCUCUUCGAAUUAUCCGUUCGGUUUGGCCAACUAGAUUGGUAGUUCUUGCAAUGGGAGAAGUGCAUGGCUUUGGGUUCAAUCUUGCAGUGUCCUUACUCAGUGACAAAAAGAGUUGCAAGGCACGUAUUGUAUUGUUGCCAUCGAGGAUAACAAGAUGGGUUUUUUAUCAUAUUGCAUGAUUUUAUCCCUCUACAUCAUGUCAUCUUGCUUAAGGCGUUACUCUGUUUUUACUUAAUACUCUAGAUGCAUGCUGGAUAGCGGUCGAUGAGUGGAGUAAUAGUAGUAGAUGCAGAAUCGUUUCGAUCUACUUGUCUCAGAUGUGAUGCCUAUAUACAUGAUCAUUGCCUAGAUAUACUCAUAACUAUGCUCAUUUCUGUCAAUUGCUCAACAGUAAUUUGUUCACCCACCGUAGAAUACUUAUGCUCUCGAGAGAAGCCACUAGUGGAACCUAUGGCCCCCGGGUCUAUUCUCAUCAUAUCAAUCUAUAUCCCUUUAUUUACUUGCUUUGUUUUUUACUUUACUUUUACUUUUUACUUUGCAUCUAUCUAUCAAAAAUACCAAAAACAUUAUCUCUAUCAGAUCUCACUCUCGUAAGUGACCGUGAAGGGAUUGACAACCCCUAAGCGUUGGUUGCGAGUUGCUAUCGUGUUGUGCAGGUAUGAGGGACUUGCGCGUGACCUCCUACUUGAUUGAUAUCUUGGUUCUAAAAAAAUGAGGGAAAUACUUAUGCUACUAUGCUGCAUCAUCCUCUCCUCUUCGGGGAAAACCAACGCAAGCUCGAGAUGUAGCAAGAAGAAUUUCUAGCGCCGUUGCCGGGGAGGCUUACGCAAAAGUCAACAUACCAAGUACCCAUCACAAUCCCUAUCUCUCGCAUUACAUUAUUUGCCAUUUGCCUCUCAUUUUCCUCUCCCCCACUUCACCCUUGCCACUUUAUUCACCCUGUCUUUCCCUAUCUCCUCCUCUCUUUCCCGUUUGCCUUGUCAUUAUGUCAAGUUCUUUUUCCGCUCCUAUGUCCCCCGAGUUUGAAGUUCUUCACUUCAAGCAAAGGCAAGGAGAAAAUUUAAAAGAUGCUUGGUAUAGGAUGAUGGAAUCUUAUCGCAAGUGCACCCUAGAGGUGAACUUUAGAAUUCUUCUUCAUAAUUUUUAUGUUGGGUUAAAUAUGACGCAUAGACAACUCUUGGAUUGCAUUGCCAAGGGAAAUUUCAUUGAGAUUGAUCCCAGUAUUGCGCAUGAAAUUAUAGAGGGAAUAGUGGAACACUACCUCAAAAUGGAGGAUCACAUCCUACCCAAGGAGAAACCCAAGUGUUUGAGAAGACUUGCGAAGUAACAAUUUUUUUACAAAAGUCUCUUGAGCCUCUUAAAAGUGUUAGCGGAAAUCUUCACCGCAUGAAUAUGUUGAUUACUCUUUGCAAUAAGCAGUUGGAUUCUUUAGAUCUAAAAAUUUCCGAGUAUGAAGGGAAGAGGAAAGAACCUCCCGGAUUCGAGCAUGACUCCACCAAAAAACUGAAAAUUAAAGAUGACACUACCUAGAUCUAUCCUUGCUUUUAUGCCUAGCUAGGGGCGUUAAACGAUAGCGCUUGUUGGGAGGCAACCCAAUUUUAUUUUGUGUUUUUUGUUUUUGCUUAUGUUUAGGAAUAAAUAAUCCACUACCUUCUGUUUGGAUGUGGUUUUAUGUUUUAAUUAGUGUUUGUGCCAUGUAAGACCUAUAGGAUAACCUACGAUGAUAGUUGAUUUGAUUCUGCUGAAAAACAGAAACCUUAGUGCUCACGAGAUUAGCUGCCAUUUUUUACUGGAGAGUCAUUUUGCGUUGAUUCUUUUUUAUGAUGAUAAAUAAACAAAUUGUCCAGGACUUCCUAUUUUGGUAGAAUUUUUAGAUUUCCAGAAGAUUGCGUUAGUUACAUAUUACUACAGAUUGUUCUGUUUUUGACAGAUUCUGUUUUUCGUUUGUUGUUUGCUUAUUUUGAUGAAUCUAUGGCUAGUAAAUUAGUUUAUAAACUAUAGAGAAGUUGGCAUACAGUAGGUUUAACACCAAUAUAAAUAAAGAAUGAGUUCAUUACAGUACCUUGAAGUAGUCUUUUGUUUUCUUUCUCUAACGGAGCUCACGAGAUUUCUGUUGAGUUUUGUGUUGUGAAGUUUUCAAGUUUUGGGUGAAUUCUUUUGAUGGAUUACGGAACAAGGAGUGGCAAGAGCCUAAGCUUGGGGAUGCCCGUGGCACCCCUAAUAUAAUCCAAGGACACCAAAAAGUCAAAUCUUGGGGAUGCCCCGGAAGGCAUCCCCUCUUUCGUCCACUUCCAUCGGUAAUUUACUUGGAGCUAUAUUUUUAUUCACCAACAUGAUAUGUGUUUUACUUGGAGCGUCUUGUAUUAUUUGUGUCUUUGCUUGUUAGUCUACCACAAUCAUCCUUCCUGUACACACCUUUUGAGAGAGCCAUACAUGUUUUGGAAUUUGUUAGAAUACUCUAUGUGCUUCACUUGUAUCUUUUGAGCUUGAUAUUUUUGCUCAUAGUGCUUCACUUAUAUUCUUUUGAGCGUGAUAAUUUUUGCUCUAGUGCUUCACUUAGAUCUUUUUGAGCACGGUGGUGGAUUUGUUUUAAAGAAACUUGAUCUCUCAUGCUUCACUUAGAUUAUUUUCAAAGUCUUUAAUAGCAUGGUAAUUUGCUUAAUGUUAAUAUACUUGGUAUUCAAGAUGUGUGAAACUUUCUUUUGAGUGCGUUGAAUACUAAGAUAAGUUUGAUGCUUGAUAAUUGUUUUGAGAUAUGGAGGUGAUAAUAUCAAAGAUGUGCUAGUUGGGUGAUUAUGAAUUCAAAGAAUUCUUGUGUUGAAGUUAGAAAAUCCCGUAGCAUGCACGUAUGGUUAAAGUUAUGUAACAAAUUUGAAACAUGAAGUGUACCUGGCUUGUUCAUCCUUAUGAGUGGCGGUCGGGGACGAGCGAUGGUCUUUUCCUAUGAAUCUAUCCCCCUAGGAGCAUGCGCGUAGUAUUUGAAUUUUUGAUGACUUCUAAAUUUUUGCAAUAAGUAUAUGAGUUCUUUUGACUAAUGUUGAGCCCAUGGAUUAUACGCACUCUCACCCUUCUGCCUUUGCUAGCCUCUUCGGUACCGUGCAUUGCCCUUUCUCACCUUGAGAGUUGGUGCAAACUUCGCCGGUGCAUCCAAACCCCGUGAUACGAUACGCUCUAUCACACAUAAACCUCCUUAUAUCUUCCUCAAAACAGCCACCAUACCUACCUAUCAUGGCAUUUCCAUAGCCAUUCCGAGAUAUAUUGCCAUGCAACUUCCACCAUCAUCAUCGUGACAUGCAUUACUUUUGUCAUAUUGCCAUUGCAUGAUCUUGUAGUUGACAUUGUAUUUGUGGCAAAGCCACCAUGCAUUAUUUUUCAUACAUGUCACUCUUGAUUCAUUGCACCAUCCCGGUACACCACCGGAGGCAUUCAUAUAGAGUCAUAUCUUGUUCUAGUUUCGAGUUGUAAUUAAUAUGUUGUAAUGAAAGUGUGAUGAUCAUCAUUAUUAGAGCAUUGCCCAAAAAAAGGAGAAAGGCCAAAAGAAAAAAAGAAAGUCCCCAAAAAAGGGGCAAUGCUACUAUCUCAUUUUCCACACUUGUGCUUCAAAGUAGCACCUUGUUCUUCAUGUAGUCAGUCUCAUAUAUUGUGCUUCAAAGUAGCACCUAGUUUUUCAUGUAGUGAGUCUCAUAAGUUGUCUUUUUAUACUAGUGGGAAUUUUUCAUUAUAGAACUUGGCUUGUAUAUUCCUACGAUGGGCUUCCUCAAAUGCCCUAGGUCUUCGUGAGCAAGCAAGUUGGAUGCACACCCACUAGUUUUCUUUUGUUGAGAAUUCAUAGCUCUAGUGCAUCCGUUGCAUGGCAAUCCCUACUCGCUGUUUUUUGCAUUUUUCAGUAUUUCGAAGAAACAGAAUAUCAAACGGAGUCCAAACGGAAUGAAACCUUCGGGAACGUGAUUUUCUCAUCAGAUAAGAUCCAGGAGACUUGGACCCUCCGUCAAGAAAGCCACGAGGUGGUCACGAGGGUGGAGGGCGCGCCCCUCCCCCCUGGGCGCGCUCCCUACCUCGUGGGCCCCUCGAAGCUCCACCGACGUACUCCUUCCUCCUAUAUAUACCUAUGUACCCCCAAACGAUCAGGGGGGAGCAAAAAAACCUAAUUCCAACGCCGCAACCUUCUGUAUCCACGAGAUUCCAUCUUGGGGCCUGUUCCGGAGCUCCGCCGGAGGGGGCAUCCACCAUGGAGGGCUUCUACAUCAUCACCAUGGCCCCUCCGAUGAAGUAUGAGUAGUUUAGUUCAGACCUUCGGGUCCAUAGCUAGUAGCUAGAUGGCUUCUUCUCUCUUUUUGGAUCUCAAUACAAUGUUCUCCCCCUCUCUCGUGGAGAUCUAUUCGAUGUAAUCAUCUUUUUGCAGUGUGUUUGUUGAGACCGAUGAAUUGUGGGUUUAUGAUCCAGUAUUAUCUAUGGAAAAUAUUUGAUUCUUCUUUGAAUUCUUUUAUGUAUGAUUGAGUUAUGUUUGCAAGUCUCUUCGAAUUAUCCCUUUGGUUUGGCCAACUAGAUUGGUAGUUCUUGCAAUGGGAGAAGUGCAUGGCUUUGGGUUCAAUCUUGCGGUGUCCUUACUCAGUGACAAAAAGAGUUGCAAGGCACGUAUUGUAUUGUUGCCAUCGAGGAUAACAAGAUGGGGUUUUUAUCAUAUUGCAUGAAUUUAUCCCUCUACAUCAUGUCAUCUUGCUUAAGGCAUUACUCUGUUUUUACUUAAUACUCUAGAUGCAUGCUGGAUAGCGGUCGAUGAGUGGAGUAAUAGUAGUAGAUGCAGAAUUGUUUCGAUCUACUUGUCUCGGACGUGAUGCCUAUAUACAUGAUCAUUUCCUAGAUAUACUCAUAACUAUGCUCAGUUCUGUCAAUUGCUCAACAGUAAUUUGUUCACCUACCGUAGAAUACUUAUGCUCUCGAGAGAAGCCACUAGUGAAACUUAUGGCCCCCAGGUCUAUUCUCAUCAUAUCAAUCUAUAUCACUUUAUUUACUUGCUUUGUUUUUACUUUACCUUUACUUUUUACUUUGCAUCUAUCUAUCAAAAAUACCAAAAACAUUAUCUCUAUCAGAUCUCACUCUCGUAAGUGACCGUGAAGGGAUUGACAACCCCUAAGCGUUGGUUGCGAGUUGCUAUCGUGUUGUGCAGGUACGAGGGACUUGCGCGUGACCUCCUACUGGAUUGAUACCUUGGUUUUCAAAAACUGAGGGAAAUACUUACGCUACUGUGCUGCAUCAUCCUCUCCUCUUCGGGGAAAACCAACGCAAGCUCGAGACGUAGCAACUCUCUAUCAUGAAGAUCAUGGUGCUACUUUGAAGCACAAGUGUGGUAAAAUGAUAGUAGCAUUGUCCCUUCUCUAUUUUUCUCUCAUUUUUUUCUCUUUUUUCUCCUUUUCCUUUCUAUUUUUUUCUUUCUAUUUUUUUCUUUCUUUUUUUCUCUCUUUUUUCUUUGGCCUUUCUCUUUUUAUUUGGCCUUUCUCCUUUUUUUUAUAAAGUCCGAAGUCUCAUCCCGACCUGUGGGGGAAUCAUAGUCUCCAUCAUCCUUUCCUCACUUGGGACAAUGCUCUAAUAAUGAGGAUCAUCACACUUUUAUUUACUUACAACUCAAGAUUACAACUCGAUACUUAGAACAAAAUAUGACUCUAUAUGAAUGCCUCCGGCCGUGUACCGGGAUAUGCAAUGAAUCAAGAGUGACAUGUAUGGAAGAAUUAUGAAGGUGGCUUUGCCACAAAUACGAUGUCAACUACAUGAUCAUGCAAAGAGCAAUAUGACAAUGAUGAUGCGUGUCAUAAUAAACGGAACGGUGGAAAGUUGCAUGGCAAUAUAUCUUGGAAUGGCUAUGGAAAUUCCAUAAUAGGUAAGUAUGGUGCCUAUUUUGAGGAAGGUAUAUGGUGGGUGUAUGGUACCGGCGAAAGUAGUGAGGCACAAGAGAGGGUAGCAAUGGUGGAAGGGUGAGAGUGCGUAUAACCCAUGGACUCAACAUUAGUCAUAAAGAACUCAUAUACUUAUUGCAAAAAUCUACAAGUCAUUGAAAACAAAGUACUACCCGCAUGCUCCUAGGGGGAUAGAUUGGUAGGAAAAGACCAUCGCUCGUCCCCGACCGCCACUCAUAAGGAAGACAAUCAAUAAAUAAAUUAUGCUCCAACUUCAUCACAAAGCGGGUCACCAUACGUGCAUGCUACGGGAAUCACUAACUUCAACACAAGUAUUCCUCAAAUUCAUAAUUACUCCACUAGCAUGACUCUAAUAUCACCAUCCUCAUAUCUCAAAACAAUUACCAAGCAUCAAAUUGAUCAUAGCAUCCAAUUCACUUUCUAUGAUAGUUUUUAUUAUACCCAACUUGGAUGCUCUUCAUUCUAGGACCAAUUUUAUAACCAUAGAAAAUACCAUGCUGUUCUAAAAGACUCUCAAAAUGAUAUAAGUGAAUCACUAGACAUCAACAAUUUCUACAAAAUUAAACCACCUCCGUGCUCUAAAAGAUAUAAGUGAAGCACUAGAGCAACAUUAUCUAGCUCAAAAGAUAUAAGUGAAGCACAUAGAGUAUUCUAAUAAAUUCCAAAUCAAGUGUGUCUCUCCCAAAAUGUGUGUACAGCAAGGAUGAUUAUGGAAAACUAAAAAGCAAAGACUCAUAUCAUACAAGACGCUCCAAGCAAAACACAUAUCAUGUGGUGAAUAAAAAUAUAGCUCCAAGUAAAGUUACCGAUAAACGAAGACGAAAGAGGGGAUGCCUUCCGGGGCAUCCCCAAGCUUAGGAAUUGGGUUGUCCUUGAAUUUCUUGGGGUGCCUUGUUCAUCCCCAAGCUUAGGGUCUUGCCACUCCAUAUUCCAUAGUCCAUCAAAUCUUUACCAAAAACUUGAAAACUUGACAACACAAAACUCAACAGGAAAUCUCAUAUGCUCCGUUAGUGCAAGAAAGAAAAACCACCACAUAAGGUUCUGUAAUGAACUAAUUUUUUAUAUAUAUUGGUGUGAAACCUACUGUAUUCCAACUUCUCUAUGGUUCAUACUCCCCGAUACUAGCCAUAGAUGCAUCUAAAUAAGCAAACAACACACGAAAAACAGAAUCUGUCAAAAACAGAAGAGUCUGUAGCAAUCUGUAACUUUCGAAUACUUCUGGAACUCUAAAACUCCUAAAAAAAUAUGUAGUGCUGGGCAAUUUGUCUAUUGAUAUACUUCAAAAGGAAUCAACGCAAAAACACAUUUUUGUGAUUUAUUAAAAUUAUUCUCGCGCGCGCAAGAGUUUCUGUUUUUCAGCAGAAUCAAAUUAACUAUCAUCGUAGGUUAUCCUAUAGGUUCUACUUGGCACAAACACUAAUUAAAACAUAAAACCACAUCUAAACAGAGGCUAGAUGAAAUAUUUAUUACUAAACAGAAGCAAAAAGCAAGGAACUAAAAUAAAAUUGGGUUGCCUCCCAACAAGCGCUAUCGUUUAGCGCCCCUAGCUAGGCAUAAAAGCAAGAGUAGAUCUAAGUAUUGCCAUCUUUGGCAUUCAAUUCAUAAGUAGCUCGCAUGAUAGAUUCAUAAGGUAAUUUGACUUUAUUUCUAGGGAAGUGUUCCAUGCCUUUCCUUAGUGGAAAUUGGAAUCUAAUAUUCCCUUCCUUCAUAUAAAUAAUUGCACCAAUCGUUCUAAGGAAAGCUCUACCAAGAAUAAUAGGACAUGAAAGAUUGCAAUCUAUAUCAAGAAUGAUAAAAUCUAUGGGCAGAUAAUUCUUAUUUGCAACAAUAAGAACAUCAUUGAUCCUUCCCAUAGGUUUCUUAAUGGUGGAAUCCGCAAGGUGCAAGUUUAAAGAGCAAUCAUCAAAAUCAUGAAAACCUAGCACAUCACAUAAAUUUUUUGGAAUUGUGGAAACACUAGCAACCAAAUCACACAAAGCAUAGCAUUCAUGAUCUUUAAUUUUAUUUUAUAGUAGGUUCCCACUCAUCAUAAAGUUUUCUAGGUAUAGAAACUUCCAAUUCAAGUUUUUCCUCAUAAGAUUACAUCAAGGCAUCAACAAUAUGUUUGGUAAAAGCUUUAUUUUGACUAUAAGCAUGAGGAGAAUUCAACACGGAUUGCGACAAGGAAAUACAAUCUAUUAAAGAACAAUUAUCAUAAUUAAAUUCCUUUAAAUCCAUAAUAGUGGGUUCAAUGCUAUGUAAAGUUUUGACCUCUCCAAUCCCACUUUUACCAAAUUUAGCAUCAAGAUCUAAAAACUCCGAAUCAUUGGGACGCCUUUUAACUAAAGUUGACUCAUAUCCAGCCCCAUCAUUAUCAAGAUUCAUAUUGCAAAACAAAGAUUUAAUAGGGGACACAUCAAUAACUUUUAGAUCUUCAUCAUUAUUUUCAUGGAAACUAGAAGAACACGCUUUUACAAAGCAAUCUUUCUUAGCACGCAUCCCAGCGGUUCUUUCUUUGCACUCAUCAAUGGAAAUUCUCAUGGCUUUGAGAGACUCAUUGAUAUCAUGCUUAGGUGGAAUAGAUCUAAGUUUCAAAGAAUCAACAUCAAGAGAAAGUCUAUCAACGUUCCUAGCCAAUUUGUCAACUUUAAGCAAUUUUUCUUCAAGCAAAGCAUUGAAAUUCUUUUGAGAGAUCAUAAAUUCUUUAACACUAUUCUCAAAAUCAAAGGGCAUCUUAUUAAAAUUUCCAUAAGAGGUUGUAGGAAUUACCAUAAUUAUUAGAGGAAUUACUAGGAAACGGCCUAGGAUUAAAGUUUCCUCUAUACGCGUUGUUACCAAAAUUAUUCCUACCAACAAAAUUCACAUCUAUAGAUUCAUUAUUAUUCUCAAUCAAAGUAGACAAAGGCAUAUCAUUGGGAUCAAUAGGAGCACUCUUAGUAGCAAACAAUUUCAUAAGUUCAUCCAUCUUUCCACUCAAAACAUUAAUCUCUUCUAUAGCAUGCACUUUUUUACUAGUAGAUCUUUUGGUGUGCCAUUGAGAAUAAUUGACCAUAAUGUUAUCAAGAAGUUUAGUAGCUUCUCCUAAGGUGAUUUCCAUAAAAGUGCCUCCCGCAGCCGAAUCCAAGAGAUUUAUAGAAGCAUAAUUCAAUCCGGCAUAAAAGUUUUGUAUGAUCAUCCAUAAAUUCAAACCAUGAGUAGGGCAAUUGUGAAUCAUUAAUUUCAUUCUUUCCCAAGAUUGGGCAACAUGCUCAUGAUCAAGUUGUUUAAAAUUCAUAAUAUCAUUUCUAAGAGAGAUAAUCUUAGCGGGAGGAAAAUACUUAGAGAUAAAAGCAUCUUUGCACUUAUUCCAUGAAUCAAUACAGACGAAAACCAAGUUUUAGCACGAUCUCUAAGUGAAAUGGAAAUAACUUCAAUUUAACAAUAUCAUUAUUUGUAUCUUUCUUAUUUUGCAUAUUACACAAAUCAACAAAGUUGUUUAGAUGAGUAGCGGCAUCUUCACUAGGAAGGCCGGAGAAUUGAUCUUUCAUAACAAGAUUCAACAAAGCAACAUUGAUUUCACAAGAUUCAACAUCAUUAAGAGGAGCAAUUGGAGUGCUAAGGAAAUCAUUAUUAUUGGUAUUGAAAAAAAUCACACAAUUUGGUUUUAUCUUGCGCCAUCGUGACAAGAAAUCCAACACACAAGCACACAAGAGGCAAGUGAAAGAGAGUGGAGAACAGGAAAGAGAGGGCGAAUAAAAUGGCAAGGGUGAAGUGGGGGAGAGGAAACGAGAGGCAAAUGGCAAAUAAUGUAAUGCGAGGGAGAUGAGUUUGUGAUGGGUACUUGGUAUGUCUUGACUUGAGCGAAGACCUCCCCGGCAACGGCACCAGAAAUCCUUCUUCCUACCUCUUGAGCACUGCGUUGGCUUUUCCCUUGAAGAGGAAAGGGUGAUGCAGCAAAGUAGCAUAAGUAUUUCCCUCGGUUUUUGAGAACCAAGGAAUCAAUCCAGUAGGAGGCUCCUCAAAAGUCCCACGCACCUACACAAACAAACAAGAACCUUGCAACCAACGCGAUAAAGGGGUUGUCAAUCCCUUCACGAAAACUUGCUAAAGUGAGAUCUGAUAGAGAUAAUAAGAUAAGAUAAAUAUUUUUGGUAUAGAUUGGAAAGUAAAGAUGCAAAUAAAAGUAGAUGGAAAACUUAUAUGAUAAAAGAUUGACCCGGGGGCCAUAGAUUUCACUAGUGGCUUCUCUCAAUAUAGCAUAAGUAUUACGGUGGGUGAACAAAUUACUAUCGAGCAAUUGAUAGAAAAGUGCAUAGUUAUGAGAUUAUCUAGGCAUGAUCACGUAUAUAGGCAUCACGUCCGCAACAAGUAGAUCGAAACGAUUCUGCAUCUACUACUAUUACUCCACACAUCGACCGACUCCUGCCUGCAUCUAGAGUAUUAAGUUCACAAGAACAGAGUAACGCAUUAACAAAGAUGACAUGAUGUAGAGGGAUAAACUCAAGCAAUAUGAUAUAAACCCCAUCUUUUUAAACUUGAUGGCAACAAUACAAUACGUGCCUUGCUGCCCCUGCUAUCACUUGGAAAGGACACUGCAAGAUUGAACCCAAAGCUAAGCAUUUUUGCCAUUGCAAGAAAGAUCAAUCUAGUAGGACAAACCAAAUUGAUAAUUCGAAGAGACUUGCAAAGAUAACCAAUCACACAUAAAAAAAUUCAUAGGAGAUUCAAUUAUUUCUCAUAGAUAAACUUGAUCAUAAACCCACAAUUCAUCGGAUCUCGACAAACACACCACUAAAAGAGUUACGUCGAAUAGAUCUCCAAGAAGAUCAAGGAGAAUUUUGUAUUGAGAUUCAAAGAGAGAGAAGAAGCCAUCUAGCUAAUAACUAUGGACCCGAAGGUCGGUGGUAAACUACUAACAACUCAUCAGAGAGGCCUUGGAGAUGAUGUAGAGGCCCUCCAUGGUAGAUUCCCGCUCCAGCGGAGCACCGGCGAAGGCUCCAAGAUGGGAUCUCGUGGAUACAAAAGGUUGCGCCGGAGGGGAAUCGACCAUGGAGGGCCUCUACAUCAUCUCCAAGGCCUCUCCGAUGAGUUGUGAGUAGUUUACCAUAGACUUUCGGGUCCAUAGCUAUUAUCUAGAUGGCUUCUUCUCUCUUUUUGAAUCUCAAUACCAUGUUCUCAUUGAUCUUUUUGGAGAUCUAUUCGAUGUAACUCUUUUUGCGGUGUGUUUGUCGAGAUCCGAUGAAUUGUGGGUUUAUGAUCAAGUUUAUCUAUGAGAAAUAUUUGAAUCUCCUCUGAAUUCUUUUAUGUGUGAUUAAGUUAUCUUUGCAAGUCUCUUCGAAUUAUCAGUUUGGUUUGGCCUACUAGAUUGAUCUUUCUUGCAAUGGGAGAGGUGCUUAACUUUGGGUUCAAUCUUGCGGUGUCCUUUCCUAGUGACAGCAGGGGCAGCAAGGCACGUAUUGUAUUGUUGCCAUCGAGGAUAAAAAGAUGGGGUUUAUAUCGUAUUGCAUGAGUUUAUCCCUCUAUAUCAUGUCAUCUUUCUUAAUGUGUUACUCUGUUCUUUAUGAACUUAAUACUCAAAUGCAUACUAGAUAGCGGUCGAUGUGUGGAGUAAUAGUAGUAGAUGCAGGCAGGAGUCGGUCUACUUGUCACGGACGUGAUGCCUAUAUACAUGAUCAUGCCUAGAUAAUCUCAUAAUUAUUCGCUUUUCUAUCAAUUGCUCGACAUUAAUUUGUUCACCCACCGUAAUACUUAUGCUAUCUUGAGAGAAGCCACUAGUGAAACCUAUCUUUUAUCAUAUAAGCUUUCAAUCUACUUUUAUUUGCAUCUUUACUUUUCCAAUCUACAUUAUAGAAUACCAAAAAUAUAUUUAUCUUAUCAUAUUAUCUCUAUUAGAUCUCACUUUCGCAAGUGGCCUUGAAGGGAUUGACAACACCUUUAUUGCGUUGGUUCCGAGUUCUUGUUUGUUUGUUUAGGUGCGUGGGACUUUUGAGGAGCCUCCUACUGGAUUGAUACCUUGGUUCUCAAAGGAUGAGGGAAAUACUUACGCUAUUAUUGCCGCAUCAUCCUUUCCUCUUCAAGGAAAACCAACGCAAGCUCAAGACGUAGCAAGAAGGAUUUCUGGCGCCGUUGCCGGGGAGGUCUUCGCUCAAGUCAAGACAUACCAAGUACCCAUCACAAACUCAUCUCCCUCGCACUUACAUUAUUUGCCACUUGCCUCUCGUUUUCCUCUCCCCCACUUCACCCUUGCCGUUUUAUUUGCCCUCUCUUUCCCAAUCUCCUCUCUCUUCUGCUUGUCUUCUUGUGUGCCUGUUUGCUUUUAUGGCUUUGCCUAAGAACACCGACCUUUAUCUUAGAAGGUUGGAAGAGAUUGAAUCAAACGUUAGAAGUUUUAUGACUUUACAAUUUGAGCAUAGUAAUUUCUUUAGAAAAGAGCUUAAAGAACAAAAAAGUUUUAUGGGGUUUAUGAACAAAGAGCUUGAUGAUAUAUCUAAAUAAUUUUAUGGUUUGAACUCUCAAAUUACUCGGCUUGAAAAUUCUAUAGCCCAAAUCUCUAAUAAGCAAGCUACGUACCUUAGUCAAUAAGAUGGCUGCCAAACCAGAAAAGUUAGAUGAAAAUAAUGAUGAAGAUCUAAAAUUUAUUGAUGUGUCCCCUAUUAAAUCUUUGUUUUGCAAUAUGAAUCUUAAUAAAGAUGGGACUGGAGAUGAGUCAACUCUAGUUAAAAGGCGUCCCUAUGAUUCAGAGUUUUUAGAUCUUGAUGCUAAAUUUGGUAAAAGUGGGAUUGGAGAGGUCAAGACUUUAAAUAGCAUUGAACCCACUAUCUUGGAUUUCAACGAAUUUAAUUAUGAUAAUUGUCGGUGUACUAAAGUAGGGGUACCUUAGUAUCCCGAACUUGUCCACGGGCAGUUGCAGCACCCCGCGGCAAGGCUUGCCGGGUGACCGUCAAGAUCCUCCGUGGUUCCUUUGGAGCCAUUCAAGAACAAAGUAUUCAAGCCAAGGAGACAAGGCCCCGGCAAGAGGAGCUUGCCGGGAAGGCCAGCCAAGGCAUCUCAAGGAACUUGCCGCGACGCGCCACGCGUCCCGGCAAGGCCCGGUGAGCGACAAGCUUCCGGACGCGACAAGACAACGACCGCGGCAAGGCGCUUGCCGCGACAAGCUACCACCCUGUACCCACGCUCCAGCACAUCUACCAACGUAUCACCUUGGGGCCUUUCCAGGCGCGCGUGGCAAGAGGCUGUGCAGCCAGCGGUGCGAGGUGGCAAGCAACGGUGACAAGAUUGCCAUCGUGGCGAACGGUGGCGUCCCUGACGGUCCUUUCCUGCACUGUUUGGGCGACACAGACGGGCAUUUAAUGCCUUUGUCCCCUGCCGUCAGGGUUAGGUAGGAUACACUGUACAUGUAGUUGUACCAACCGCAACUCCUUUUACGUUUUUACCCUUGUCUAUGUUGCCACCUGUCGGUGACCAGUUUAGCAUAUAAAAGGAGGCCCACGGGCAACGUAGAGGGGGUUCGGUUCGGGCCGAAGCCAGAAAAACACUCACGCUCGGUCUCGUUAGCAGCUAGAGUGCGCCAUAGCACUCAGCGCUCCCGAGCAAGAACAUAAUACACUAAAACAUGCAGCAGUAGGAGUGUUAUCUCUCCGGAGAGCUCCGAAGCUGGGUAAACUGCUCGUGUGCUUCGCCUCGAUCCGCUCUUCGUGCGACCUCCGCCCCCCGCCGAACCGAAAGGGGCUCGGUCCGCCGGUCCCAUAGGUGUUCGUGGAUCAGCUUCCCCGACAUCUUUGGCGCACUAGGUGGGGGGCGUCGAGAUUGUGUGAACCUGAUCCGACGUUCACACGAGCUGGAUCUUCAUUUUCUUCAUCAACAUGCCACCGAAGAAGAAGGCUUCGGGGGCAACUGUUCCGCCCACGUCGAUCCCACCACCACCGGAGCAAACGGGUGGUGGGAUAGACGCCGGCGGAAGAACGGACAUCGACGAGGGAGCUCACGGUGCUGCCAGAUCCAAGGACAAGGCUGCACAGACCUCAGCGUCCGUACAUGCACCGCGCCCAUCUCAGGAGGCGCAGGACUGACAGCGUCAUGGUAUUCGCAGUACCAUACGUUUGUUGGACCAAGAUUGAGCUGGUGGAUCUCGGAGUGCUCAAGACCAACAUGCACGCCAACAUGCAGGCACGAGCAAGAUACGAUCGCCUGGACGGGAUACUGCUCCUUCUAACAUAGUUAGAAGUCCGAGCAUAUCCCGCUCCUCGCGCCGUUCACCACUGCCACCCACCACUCGAGCAGAAGCUUUGGCGCGAGCUCAACUGCUCCUGGAUUACCCUCCAACGGCAGACAAGAUCGACGAAUGGAGCGCCACCAUUCAGAGUCUCAUCGACUUCGCCAAUGGCGACACUCCGCAGCAGCCGAGUGCAUCGCGGCCGCGGCAGGACUGCCAGGCACGAGCCGAUGGUGACAAAACCGGUGGGGGUGCAACCACCAUGCACUCUCCACCCCGAAGGCCAAGAUCGCCGACUCGCCGGAUCCACCUCGACAGCGACUCCACCGCAUCGUCAGAUCCACGAGCUCGUCGCGAUCAGCGCCAAGUUCUUCACGAACGACAGAAAGAAGACGCUCGUACUCGCAUCGAGCGCUGAAGAGAAGCGCGGCGUCAAUCUGACCAGCGCGCUGGGCCCUCUGUCGACAUGCAUGCGCCAGGGGCACCAGGUGACUUGCCGUACGCAGUAGGUUGCCCUGCGUUCACUCGUGAGCUGCGGCAAGUCCAGUGGCCCAGCACGAAAAAUUUCAAGCCAGAUGUACCAGAGAAGUACGACGGCAAGUCACAUCCGUCGGAGUUCCUCAGCAUCUACACCAUCGCGGUGCAAGCUGCCGGGGGACGGGACGACAAGAUCCUUGCCAACUACUUCCCGCUGGUGCUCAAGCCCAAUGUCAGAUCCUGGCUCAUGCACUUGCCGGACAACUCCAUAUCCUCCUGGGCGGACCUGUGCCAUCAUUUUGUCGGAGCCUUUACAGGCGGCCACAAGCCUCAUGGCCAAGAGAGCGACCUUCAUCUGCUCGCCCAGAAGGAAGGAGAGCCCCUGCGCAAGUACAUUCAGAGAUUCAGCCGUGUACAGCACAACCUCCCAGAUGUCCACCCUGCCGCGGUAAUCAGCGCGUUCCAUCAGAACAUGCGAAACAGCAGGAUGCGGGAGGAGAUGGCGAUGUGCAAGAUCAGAGAUGUCAGUGAGCUAUACGCCCUGGCCGACAAGUGUGCACGUGCUGAGGAAGGGAGGAAACUCCCCGGAGAGAGUACAGGAGCAGGAGGAUCUGAUAGUGAGGAUGCUGCCCCGACAAAGAAAAACCGGCGGCGGAACAACAGGAAGAAGAAAGGCAAAGAUGUGCUAGUCAUUGAGCAAUCCGGCAAGGAAGCCAAAGCUGGUAGCUUCGGCAAGGAGAUUGCCGUAGGCACCAACCACCAGGCUGUGGCGGUCGCCGACAAGCAGGACGACACCAACAGGCAGUACUGCAAGAUCCACCGCACCAAGGGCCAUGACCUCCAGAGUUGCAAGAAGGUCGAGCAGCUUGUCAAGCAGCAAAAGGCUGAAUACGAGCGACGCGACAAGGAGAAGGCCUAUGAAGGUGCUGGAGGAGCCGGCAAGAAACGCCCCGGCCGAGGAGGACGCCGCGGCAAGGCCAAGCAGCGCUAAGGAGACAGACCUCCCCGCGGCCGCGACAAGGAUGAAGAUGACGACAACGAUGAAGAUAUGGAUGAUGACGAGACCGAUGAGUAGGAGUUCUAGAAAGCCACAGAGAUCCUGUGCGUUGACGGUGGUGCUUCUCUGCAUACUUCACACCGCCAGCUCAAGCAGUGGGUGCGGGAAGUCAAUGCAGCAGAGCCACCCGUCGAGUCACGCAAGCCUCUGAAAUGGUCCAGCACGCCUAUCAUCUUUGAUAUUGAGGACCACCCUGAUCGCAUAACUGCGGUCGGGUGCUUGCCGAUGUUGGUUUCACCAACUAUCCGCAACCUCAAGGUCACUAAGAUGCUAGUUGACAGCGGGGCCGGCUUGAACCUGAUCUCCUCCGCGGUACUCCAGAAACUCCAGAUCCCUGAUAGCGAGCUCGAAGAGACCGGCACGUUCUAAGGAAUCAAUCCGGGAAGAAGCAAGCCAAAGGGAAAGAUCACGUUGCCGGUAACAUUUGGCAGCGAGUUAAACUUCAGGACUGAGAGGGUCACUUUUGACGUUGCUGACUUUCCAUUGCCUUACAAUGGGAUAGUCGGCCGUCCAACACUCGCCAAAUUCAUGGCAGCCUCUCACUAUGCAUACAACAUGCUGAAGAUGCCAGGCCCGAUAAGUGUCAUCUUUGUCCCUGGCGACAAGAAGGAUGCUCUUAUCUCCACCGACAAGAUCUACCGGGAAGCAGCAGCCGCAACAGAUCAUAGGUCACUUGCCGUUGAAGCUCCCGGGGGGAGGAAGAAGACCAAGUCCGGCAAGAGUUCUGAUGCCCACUCCGGCAAGCGCACCUCUUCGGGGUGCUGCACUACCGUCGAGGACGCACCAUCGAGCUCCACCGGGAAGUGUAAGAAGACAAUGGUAGCUCCACCAGAGACCAAGAAGGUGUCCGCCAAGGAGGAUGGCACUGGUGGUACCGUCACCAUCAGUGCCACUCUCGACCCUAAAUAGGAAGGCACACUCAUUGCUUUCCUGUGGGCGAAUGUCGACGUGUUUGCAUGGCAAUCAUCUGACAUCCCCGGUGUUCCUAGGAAAGUAAUCAAGCACCAUCUAGCCGUCUGUCCUCAUGCGCGGACCGUCAAGCAGAAAGUCAGAAAACAAGCAGUGGAGCGCCAAGAAUUCAUCGCUGAAGAAAUCAAGAAGUUGGAAGCAGCAGGCCUUGUUAGAGGAGUGCUCCAUCCCACGUGGUUGGCCAAUCCUGUAGUCGUGCGCAAGGCAAACGGGAAAUGGAGGCUUUGUAUCGACUUUACCGAUGUCAAUAAAGCUUGUCCCAAAGACCCAUUUCCCUUGCCGCGCAUCAACCAGAUUGUUGACUCCAUAGUCGGAUGUGACUUGCUUUCAUUUCUUGACGCAUAUUCAGGAUACCAUCAGAUCUUCAUGGCAGAAGAGGAUGAGGAAAAGACCGCAUUCAUCACACCAUGCGGCACAUACUGUUUCAUACGGAUGCCUUUCGGUUUAAAGAAUGUUGGUUCAACAUUUGCAAGGAUAGUCCAUGACGCUUUUGAGCCGCUAAUACAUAGGAAUGUGGAGGCCUACAUGGAUGACAUAGUGGUCAAGAGCAAGGACAAAGCAACUCUGAUUCAAGAUUUAGACGAAACCUUUGCAAACCUGCGCAAGAUCAACCUCAAGCUUAACCCCGAGAAGUUUGUGUUCGGAGUCCCCUCCGGCAAGCUUCUCGGGUUCUUCGUGUCUCAGCGGGGAAUCGAAGCCAAUCCCGACAAGAUCAAGGCCAUUGAGCAGAUUGAAGCACCAAAGCGCGUCAAGGAUGUAUGAAGACUUGCCGGUUGCGUAGCUGCUCUCAGCAGGUUUAUCUCUAGGUCUGCUGAGCGCGCCCUGCCAUUUUUCAAAUUAUUGAAAAAGGUAGGUCCAAUGAAAUGGACUCCGGAAGCGGAGGCUGCGCUGUAGGACUUAAAGAGAUACCCGUCCUCCACUCCGACACUUGUUGCACCUAAGCCACAAGAGAAGUUGCUGCUAUAUAGCGGCAACCAAUCAAGUGGUUAGUGCUGCGUUAGUAGCGGAGAGGGAGGCGGAUGAUGAGCCAGCAACCACGGCAAGUGCAUCCAGCGACAAGCAAGGAUCAUCACCGACAAGCUCUGGUCCCGGCAAAGAUGGAUCUGCGCAGGCGCGUGAGAAGAUGCAGAAGAGAAUGGUGCAGCACCCAGUUUACUUUGUCAGUUUCCUUCUGCAGGGGGCUAGGUCAAGGUACUCUGGUGUGCAGAAAUUGCUUUCCGGCCUUCUCAUGGCCUCGAGAAAGCUGCGCCAUUACUUCCAAGCACAUGAGAUCACAGUGGUCACUCGUUUUCCGCUGAAGAGGAUACUGCAAAAUCCAGAAGCAACAGGCAGGAUUGUCGAGUGGGCACUAGAACUGUCAAGCUUUGGCCUCAAGUUUGAGAGCACCUCAACUAUCCAAAGCAGAGCAUUGGCGGAGUUCAUAGCAGAGUGGACGCCAACACCAGAUGAAGAAAUUCCAGAAACGAGCAAACCCGUCAAGGAAGCAAGCAAAGAGUGGCUGAUGUACUUUGAUGGUGCCUUCUCGCUGCAAGGCGCCAGUGCGGGCGUACUACUUGUCGCACCCAUCGAAGAGCACCUCAAGUACGUAGUCCAGAUGCACUUUCCCAAGGAGCAAGCAACAAACAAUACUACAGAGUAUGAAGGUUUGCUUGCCGGUCUCAGAAUCAUAGCAGACCUUGGGAUCAAGAAGCUCAUUGUCAGGGGUGACUCACAGCUUGUCGUGCGCCAAGUGAACAAGAAUUAUCAGAGUCCAUUUAUGGAAGCUUACGUUGAUAAAGUGAGAAAGCUAGAAGAGCACUUUGACGGCCUACAGAUGGAACAUGUUCCAAGAGCUCAGAACGACAUUGCCGAUGGCCUGUCGAAGUGCGCCGCACUUAAGUUACCUGUGGAACCAGGGAUCUUUGUGCUCAAGCUGACUCAACCAUCCGUAACGCCAUCAACUCGACAGAACAAGAAGAGGAAGUUGAUUUCUGGUGACUAUUUUCCGGCAGAGCUCCCCGAAGCCGCCGCCAAGAAGGUCCUCAAGAUCAACACCAAGGAUGCUGAGGAGCAGUCUGCUCCGACAAGCCCUAGGGUUUGUUCCGUUGAAGCAGACGCUCCCGACAAGUUUUGCUGCGGCAAGCUUGCCGGGGAACGUCAAGCUCCGGCUGAGCCGCAGGUUCUCGCCGUAGAAGUGGAUGUUCCCGCAGCAGCAGAUAUGCCUUUAGUCCUUGUUGUCGAGCCGCAAGCUCCAGCAUGGGCGCAGCAGAUUGUCCAUUUCCUUCAAACAAGUGAACUUCCCGAAGAGCAAGAAGAAGCGGAAAGAGUAGCCCGGCAGUCAAGUAUGUACUAGUUUGUCGACAACACACUGUACAGAAGAAGACUCAACGGCGUGAAAUUGAAGUGUAUUCACCGGGAAGACGGAAAAAAGCUAUUGGCAGAGAUACACAGAGGCAUAUGUGGCCACCAUAUUGGCGCAAGAGCACUUGCCGGCAAAGCGUUCCAGCAAGGUUUCUUUUGGCCAACAGCCCUCCAGGAUGCAACUGCACAAGUAACCAAGUGUGAAGCGUGCCAGUUCCAUUCCAAGCAGAUACACCAGCCAGCUCAAGCUCUCCAGACGAUCCCUUUAUCCUGGCCAUUUUCGGUCUGGAGGCUCGACAUCCUCGGCCCCUUUCCCCGAGCUGUCCGGGGCUUUGAGUACUUGUACGUUGCAAUCGACAAGUUCACAAAGUGGCUGGAAGUGGAAGCAGUGAGGAAGGUGACAGCACAGUCGGCAGUCAAGUUCUUCAGGUCGAUUGUUUGCCGUUUCGGGAUCCCUAACAGGAUCAUCACCGACAACGGCACACAAUUCACGAGCCGCACCUUCAUGCAGUACGUCCAAGAUCUUGGCGCCAAGGUCUGCUUCGUUUCUGUUGCUCAUCCAAGAAGCAAUGGUCAAGUAGAGGGGGCAAAUGCUGAAGUGCUGCGCGGGCUCAAGACCAGGACUUUCGACAGGCUGCACAAGUGCGGAAAGAACUGGAUUGAGGAGCUGCCGGUGGUUCUUUGGUCGCUCAGGACGACGCCAAAUCGAGCCACUGGCCAGACACCUUUCGCUCUAGUCUAUGGAGCAGAGGCAGUUCUCCCCACAGAACUCGUAUACGGGUCACCUCGAGUGCUCGCUUAUGAUGAGCUUGAGCAAGAGCAGCUGCGACAAGAUGACGUGCUGCUCCUCGAGGAGGACCGUCUUCAGGCUGCUGUACGAGCUGCUCGAUACCAGCAAGCUUUGCGCCGCUACCAUAGCUACAAAGUUAAUGCCAGAAGUCUCGAGGAAGGCGACCUUGUUCUUCGGCGCGUUCAGUCCGCCAAGAAUUCCAACAAGUUGACGCCGAAGUGGGAAGGCCCUUAUCGGGUGAAAUGAGUCACUAGGCCUGGCGCUGUCCACCUUGAGACCGAAGAUGGCAUUCCGGUGAGCAACUCCUGGAACAUUGAGCAUCUUCGUAAGUUUUACCCGUAGGGCGCGGUUGCCGGAACCUGUUCCGGCAACCACCUUUUGUACAAGUCUUGCCGAUGUUGCAUGUAAUCCUUUGUACAAAGCCGGGCGCAGACCCCGUGCAUAAGUAAAGCUCAUGUGCCCCGCACAUCUUGUCGAUUUCAUGCUUUCUACUACUUUUUGCAUGCGUUAUCUGACACUUUGUGCAGCACCUACCCCCGGUAAGCAAUAACGAGCCAUAGGGCUCCAUAUCUUUAUUUUCUCUUCUUUCUCUUUCUCAAGGAAAGGAAGGAUCCCUCGCCCACAAGUUUGCCGGGGGGAAAGGAGAAGAUAAUGGUGUGGACCAGGCGUCGUUCGAGGGAGUUUCGCCUUACCGGGAAGCAAACGACAGAAAAGCUAAGUUGCCAAAGUUUGAGCAAUCAGUUUUAAAUUUUUUAAGUUAUCUUCCUCAAACGACCGUGCUUUGUAUGGAAAACCUGUGCACGGAGGAACCAACUCGUAGCUAGUUGCGCCCUUACUUUGUUUCGAGUCCGCUCAACAAUUUAAGUGAGCUGCGACUAGUUGCAACAAGGUUUCUUGUUGGUAGCGGCACCGCCAGCAGGCUGCUGACAUUCCGCACUCAGCGCUCGCGGCUAAGGUACCUGCACCGACAAGUUCCCUAAAAGCGUAGGGCAAAAACAUACAAAGGAAGGAAUCAAGUAAAGGAAAUAACACAUCAAUCUCUACCAAAAUAGAGUUGUAUUACAAGAUAACUUGUCACAACUCUAACAGAAUGUUCUCAUGACAUGACCAGCGGCGACAAAGAAAAAGAAAAGACGGGCGGCCUAAUCCACGCGUUCACCCUCAACCCUCUUGAUCUCGCUCACCUUGUCCACAGUGGGUGCGACAAGGGCCUUGAGCGCUUCCAGAUCAGCAUCCGGCGACAAGGACCUAAGGACGUUGGUGAGGUUGAGGCCUGGGUUGCGGAAGGCCACCUUCACCAGCACCUUCUGAAGAGCCCUCGCGCAGAUCCUGCGCGACUCGUCGGCCAGCUGCUUUGGGAUCUUCUCCCGGAGUCGCUGGAGGGCCGUCACCAUGCCUUUGAAGAACAGGCUGAGCUUGGCGCUGGGUUGGAGGUGCUCACCGGAGGAGUACCCGAGAUCCUCCAUCCCCAGCUGCGCCAACUCAACGUCGAUGGCUGCGGCAAGAUCCACUAGACCCUCGGUCCAGUGUUCCACAGUCUCCCUGAAAGCGUCGUGGGCGGCAGCAGCAUUCGCCAGCAGCGCCUCGUCGGUCUUGAUCUUCUCCUUCAAGGCCACCUCCUGCUCCCUGGCGCGGUCCAGCAUCUUGGUCAAGGUGGCCAGCUUCAAUUCGAGAUCCGCGUUGGAGUCCUUGGCGGCGCUAAGCUCUUUGCUCAUCUCAGCGAGACGACCCUGCAGCUCACCAUGAGCAGCGGCGUCCUUCUCGCGCUCACGCUUGAGCACAGCAAGCUCCUCGCCGCUCGCCUUGAGAUCAGCCUCCAGCUGCGCCAUCUUCGUCUCCAGCUCCUUCUUGGCGGCCACGGCAGCUGCGGCAGCAUCCUUUGCUUCCUUGAGAGCCCCGCCAAUCGCUUGCUCGCGCGCGGCAAGCUCCUCCUCGUGGCUGUCAAGGUUGACCUUGCGCUGCGCUAAUUCACCUUCCUGCGCAGACAACUUCUCGGCAGCGAGCCGCUGCUGCUCUUCAACCUCAGCCUUCCCGAGGAGGAAGGCUUUCCGCUCCUCAGCGAGUUGCUCCCACUCCUCUGCUAAGGAUCGGAGAGCUUCCUGCAUGAGACCCCAGAGCUCCUCCGCGCGCUUCUCGAUGUCCACUCCCGCCUUUGCGACAAGCGCCUCUCGGGAUGCCAGCUUGGCUUGUCGGGCGCGGUAGAGCAACAACAACUUCCGCAGCAACCGCUCCUCCUCAGGCUCAUCGCUGCAGCUUGGCGUGUCGACCAGCGUCAGCCCAGCAGAGGCGAGAACCUCUCCAUCCAAGAUUUCUCCUUCGACCGGCACCCUGGAACUUGACGCCCAGGGGAGCUUGAUGAAGAUGCCAUCGCCGGCCUUCAAUUAGGCGCCGGGCUGGGGCUCAUCGGAGCCUGGCGCUGCAGCAGCGGCGGAGGGAUCGGCGGUUGGCGUAGCGCCUGGCGCUCCUGCGGCCUCGGGGCCAUCAGUGCGAUCGCCGGAUCCCUCGCCAGCUUCUGCGGCGGCAGCUUUGGCGGCCUCUUCGCCGGCGGGAUCAUCAGCGCCGGCCUCUUCUUCGGUGGCAGGGGUGACUCGCAGGCGCCGGCCUCGGUGGCGUCGUUGUUGUUGCCAUGCGCGUUCUCCUCGCCGGCGACCUCGGUUUCCAUUGGAUCUGCGGCAGAUGGAUCUGACGACCGAGAAGGGGAGAAAAGUCAAGCAAAAAUUCAAAAAGAAAAUCAGAAGAAGAAGAACCCAAGGGAAGUUCUCAAGCAAGAGGAUUACCUGGAUCUACAGCCGCGGUCUCCGCCACUGGGGGGUCGCUGGUGCUAUCCCUUGCCGGAGAACUGUCCCUUGCCGGAGAAUUCUCCCUUGCCGGAGAACGCUCCCUUGCCGGGGAAUCCUCCCUUGGCGGUGUAGUCGAAGAAGAUGGCAUUUCGGGAGCGACUUCUGGGCACUCCUGGUGAGGCUGCUCUGCUCCUACACAAACCAACAAUCAGAUAUCAGCGAAGAAAGAGCACCAAUGCGCGCCUGACAGCAAGAAGUAAAAUAUACACUUACGCUGGGGGCUGCGCUGGAGGCUGCUUUGGGGAAUAGUUGCCGGGUCCGGCAAGGUGGUUUCAGGCGCGUCCCCUGUUGCCGUGGUGGGUUCGUCCUCAAUGACAAUCACCGGGACCUUGGCUCUCUUCGCCGCUCUCUGGGCCAGAGUCCUGAAAAGGAAUGAGUUCGGAGUAAAGCAAAUCAGAGACAAGACAAAACAACAAAGAUUGAAGAACUACAAGUACAACAAGGAAUAUUACUCUUCUUCUUCCUCAUCGGAGCUGAGCGCGGAGAGAUCGAAGUCUGGCUCGCCUCCGGUGCGACGAGGCGGAGGAGUAGGAUCCCUUGUCCACUUGGCAGGAGCAGUGGCGGUGGACCGGCAAGACCCCGCUCCAGUUGCUGCAGCGGCGUGAGGCUCUCCCGCGGCAACAGUGCUUGCCGCGGUCGAGCGCGUCGCGCGGUGCGGUGGCUGUUGACCCGUCUGCCGCCCCGCUACAUCCCCGGCGUUGCGGAGACGCCUUCUUGGUGGAGGUGGGGGCUCCGCUUGCGGCGAGCUGGCUGAAGGUGGGGAGGAGGAGGAGCCGAUCCUCAACGGGUCGCUCGCGCCCUCGGCGGGCUAGCUCGACUCAGAUUCAGGCCCAACAAGUUCUUCCUCACCGACAAGCUCUUCUCGCUCGGCAAGGCUUGCCGCCUCUGCUGCCUCUGCCUCCUCCACGGUGAAUCCAAAUUCGCCCGCGGCAGCUGCUGCCACUGCCUCUUCCAGCCUAGUGGCGAUGCGCUGCAUCUCCGCAUCGGUGGUGUCGCGAGUGAGGCUCUUCUGUUCAUCGACGCGGACCGGCACUUCUACCAAGCUGUCGAAGAACUCCUGCAUGACGUCGUCUGCAGGCUCUUGCCAAGUUGGGACGAUUCCAUGCGAAUCACACAGCGGCAUCAUUGCACGGAUGCGGUCGAGCGAGGAAUUGUUGCACAGCGGAACGACACUCCUCGGCAGCAUGAAUGGAUGUUGAGGAUCGCGCUUGAACAGCUCCAGAAGCAUCGCAUCCAGCUCCAAGACAGUGAAGUUGAAGUUGAGGCCCGGGCGCAACCUCAUGAUAUCCGCCGAGUUCUGGAACUCCCAAGCGGGUCUCCUCCUCUCCUGAAGGGGGGUGAUGCGGCGGCGAAGGAAAUCUGCGCCAACGGCGCCUACGGUGAGCCCGGCAAGCCUGAGGCGUAAGAUCCGGGUGACGGCAAUCUUCAGCCUAUCAUCUUCCGAGGCCACGUUGCUCCAAUCGUUGCCGCGUACAAUUGGGGUUUGGUGCCGGGCGGUGAAUGGCUGCGGGUUCUCCUCGACGAUCCAGCACCACUCUGCUCUCCAUUCUUCCCAUUUGCUGCGGAGCUCUCCCUCCAGAUAAGCAUCCUUCUUGCCAGUUCUCGAGAUCCAGGCGAUUCCACCGGCAAGGGGCUCUCCUCUCUCGACUCGGGGCAUAAAGAAGUGGCGAAAAAGGGCUACAUUGGGAUGGACUCCGACAAAGUUUUCGCAGAGAUGUGCGAAAACUGCCAUGGUCAGAACGGCAUUGGGGGUGAAAUCAAGGAUGCGGAACCCGUAGGUGUUCAUGAUAUCACAGAAGAAUUCAGAGAAGGGCGGGCAGAGCCCGCAGUAGAAGAAUAGCGCGAAGAAGGGGUACCCGUUCGGAGCCAGUUUUGAAGCGGCAGCUGAGAGUACCCUCGUGCGCGGAUGCGCUCGCGUCUCAGUCGACCAGAAGAGGUACUAGUACUCCCUCAGCUCCUUCGCGUCAAGCUGAGGGGGAAAGAUUGCCCGCUCCUUUCGCAGCGCCGCGAGCCGCUGUGCCUCGGCUGACUUCACGCCCUUCCCCUUGUCGGCUUUUGGAGCCAUGGCGGAGGCGGCGGGGGAGAUCGACGGCGUCGGUGGUGCCGGUGGCAAUGGGGGGCGGAGUGCUGCUCUCUUUCGACUUUGGGAAGAAGGGGGGAGCGGCGGAGAUUUCUGAGAUUGGAGUAGUAACCGGCGAGAUGGGCGAACUGCCCCUGUUUCCCCUGCUUAUAAAGAGGGAGGGGGCGGACAUUCCGCCUUUCUGAAUAAAGAAACCACCCACGAUCUCUCCCACGACGCCGCAUUCGACGCGUGCCGUUGGGGGAGGGCGCGGUGGAUACGGAGUGAGAUAUGGCGUGACCCAAGCCGUGCGUGCCCGUGCCUUGCUUUGCACCUGGCCCAACAGCGCUCGGCACCGUGUGUGGCCCAGGCCCGGGGGCUCCUGUCGGUGUACUAAAGUAGGGGUACCUUAGUAUCCCGAACUUGUGCACGGGCAGUUGCAGCACCCCACGGCAAGGCUUGCCGGGCGACCGUCAAGAUCCUCCAUGGUUCCUUUGGAGCCAUUCAAGAACAAAGUAUUCAAGCCAAGGAGACAAGGCCCCGGCAAGAGGAGCUUGCCGGGAAGGCUAGCCAAGGCAUCUCAAGGAACUUGCCGCGACGCGCCACGCGUCCCGGCAAGGCCCGGUGAGCGACAAGCUUCCGGACGCGACAAGACAACGACCGCGGCAAGGUGCUUGCCGCGACAAGCUACCACCCUGUACCCACGCUCCAGCACAUCUACCAACGUGUUGCCCUGGGGCCUUUCCAGGUGCGCGUGGCAAGAGGCUGUGCAGCCAGCGGUGCGAGGUGGCAAGCAACAGUGACAAGAUUGCCAUCGUGGCGAACGGUGGCGUCCCUGAGGGUCCUUACCUGCACUGUUUGGGCGACACAGAAGGGCAUUUAAUGCCUUUGUCCCCUUCCGUCAGGGUUAGGUAGGAUACACUGUACAGGUAGUUGUACCAACCGCAACUCCUUUUACGUUUUUACCCUUGUCUACGUUGCCACGUGUCGGUGACCCCUUUAGCAUAUAAAAGGAGGCCCACGUGCAACGUAGAGGGGGUUCGGUUCGGGCCGAAGCCAGAAAAACACUCACGCUCGGUCUCGUUAGCAGCUAGAGUGCGCCAUAGCACUCAGCGCUCCCGAGCAAGAACAUAGUACACUAAAACAUGCAGCAGUAGGAGUGUUAUCUCCCCGGAGAGCUCCGAAGCUGGGUAAACUGCUCGUGUGCUUCGCCUCGAUCCGCUCUUCGUGCGACCUCCGCCCCCCGCGAACCGAAAGGGGCUCGGUCCGGCGGUCCCAUAGGUGUUCAUGGAUCAGCUUCCCCGACAAUAAUUGUUCUUUAGAAGAUUGUAUUUCCUUGUUGCAAUCCGUUGUGAAUUCUCCUCAUGCUUAUAGUCAAAAUAAAGCUUUUACCAAACGUAUUGUUGAUGCCUUGAUGCAAUCUUUUGAUGAAAAACUUAAUUUGGAAGUUUCUAUACCUAGAAAACUUAACGAUGAGUGGGAACCUACUAUAAAGAUUAAAAUUAAAGAUCAUGAGUGUUAUGCUUUGUGUGAUUUGGGUGCUAGUGUUUCCACGAUUCCAAAGACUUUAUGCAUUAUUCUAGGUUUCCAUGAUCUUGAUGAUUGCUCUUUAAAUUUGCACCUUGCGGAUUCCACCAUUAAAAAGCCAGUGGGAAGGAUCAAUGAUGUUCUCAUUGUUGCAAAUAGGAAUUUGGUGCCCGUAGAUUUUAUCGUUCUUGACAUAUAUUGCAAUCUUUCUUGUCCUAUUAUUCUUGGUAGACCUUUCCUUAGAACAGUUGGUGCGAUUAUUGAUAUGAAGGAAGGUAAUAUUAGAUUCCAAUUUCCAUUAAGGAAAGGCAUGGAGCACUUUCCAAGAAAGAAAGUCAAAUUACCUUAUGAAUCUAUCAUGCGAGCUACUUAUGAAUUGAGUGCCAAAGAUGGCACUACUUAGAUCUAUCCUCGCUUUUAUGCCAAGCUAGGGGCGUCAAACGAUAGCGCUAGUUGGGAGGCAACCCAAUUCUAUUUGUGUUUUUUGUUUUUGCUUCUGUUUAGUAAUAAAUUUUGCAUCUACCUCCUGUUUAGAUGUGUUUUUUAUGUUUCAAUUAGUGUUUGUGCCAUGUAGAACCUAUAGGAUAACCUAUGGUGAUAGUUAAUUUGAUUCUACUGAAAAACAGAAACUUUGCACACACGGAAAUAAUUUUAGUAAUUCACAGAAACGUGAUUUUGCGUUGAUUCUUUUUUCUGUAGAUCAAUAGACAAAUUUCCCAGGACUUCCUAUUUUGGUAGGAUUUGUAGAGUUCCAUAAGUAUUCGAGAGUUACAGAUUGCUAUAGACUGUUCUGUUUUUGGCAGAUUCUGUUUUUCGUGUGUUGUUUGCUUGUUUUGAUGCAUCUAUGGCUAGUAUGUAAGGGUAUGAACCACAGAGAACUUGGAAUACAGUAGGUUUAACACCAAUAUAAAUAAAGAAUGAGUUAAUUACAGUGCCUUAUGUGGUGGUUUUUCUUUCUUGCACUAACAGAGCUUAUGAGAUUUCCUGUUGAGUUUUGUGUUGUGAAGUUUUCAAGUUUUGGGUAAAGAUUUGAUGGACUAUGGAAUAAGGAGUGGCAAGAUACUAAGCUUGGGUAUGCCCAUGGCACCCCAAGAUAUUCAAGAAUAGCCAAAAGCCUAAGCUUGGGGAUGCCCUGGAAGGCAUCCCAUCUUUCGUCUUUGUCUAUCGGUAACUUUACUUGGAGCUAUAUUUUUAUUCGCCACAUGAUAUGUGUUUUGCUUGGAGCGUCUUGUAUGAUAUUAGUCUUUGCUUUUUAGUUUACCACAAUCAUCCUUGCUGUACACACCUUUUGGGAGAAACCCACUUGAUUGUAGGUUAUCCUAUAGGUUCUACUUGGCACAAACACUAAUUAAACAUAAAACCACAUCUAAACAGAGGCUAGAUGAAAUAUUUAUUACUAAACAGAAGCAAAAAGCAAGGAACUAAAAUAAAAUUGGGUUGCCUCCCAACAAGCGCUAUCGUUUAGCACCCCUAGCUAGGCAUAAAAGCAAGAGUAGAUCUAAGUAUUGCCAUCUUUGGCAUUCAAUUCAUAAGUAGCUCGCAUGAUAGAUUCAUAAGGUAAUUUGACUUUAUUUCUAGGGAAGUGUUCCAUGAAUUUCCUUAGUGGAAAUUGGAAUCUAAUAUUCCCUUCCUUCAUAUAAAUAAUUGCACCAAUCGUUCUAAGGAAAGCUCUACCAAGAAUAAUAGGACAUGAAAGAUUGCAAUCUAUAUCAAGAAUGAUAAAAUCUAUGGGCACAUAAUUCCUAUUUGCAACAAUAAGAACAUCAUUGAUCCUUCCCAUAGGUUUCUUAAUGGUGGAAUCCGCAAGGUGCAAGUUUAAAGAGCAAUCAUCAAAAUCAUGAAAACCUAGCACAUCACAUAAAAUUUUUGUAAUUGUGGAAACACUAGCAACCAAAUCACACAAAGCAUAGCAUUCAUGAUCUUUAAUUUUAUUUUAUAGUAGGUUCCCACUCAUCAUAAAGUUUUCUAGGUAUAGAAACUUCCAAUUCAAGUUUUUCCUCAUAAGAUUACAUCAAGGCAUCAACAAUAUGUUUGGUAAAAGCUUUAUUUUGACUAUAAGCAUGAGGAGAAUUCAACACGGAUUGCGACAAGGAAAUACAAUCUAUUAAAGAACAAUUAUCAUAAUUAAAUUCCUUUAAAUCCAUAAUAGUGGGUUCAAUGCUAUGUAAAGUUUUGACCUCUCCAAUCCCACUUUUACCAAAUUUAGCAUCAAGAUCUAAAAACUCCGAAUCAUUGGGACGCCUUUUAACUAAAGUUGACUUAUAUCCAGCCCCAUCAUUAUCAAGAUUCAUAUUGCAAAACAAAGAUUUAAUAGGGGACACAUCAAUAACUUUUAGAUCUUCAUCAUUAUUUUCAUGGAAACUAGAAGAACACGCUUUUACAAAGCAAUCUUUCUUAGCACGCAUCCCAGCGGUUCUUUCUUUGCACUCAUCAAUGGAAAUUCUCAUGGCUUUGAGAGACUCAUUGAUAUCAUGCUUAGGUGGAAUAGAUCUAAGUUUCAAAGAAUCAACAUCAAGAGAAAGUCUAUCAACGUUCCUAGCCAAUUUGUCAACUUUAAGCAAUUUUUCUUCAAGCAAAGCAUUGAAAUUCUUUUGAGAGAUCAUAAAUUCUUUAACACAAUUCUUAAAAUCAAAGGGCAUCUUAUUAAAAUUUUCAUAAGAGGUUGUAGGAAUUACCAUAAUUAUUAGAGGAAUUACUAGGAAACGGCCUAGGAUUAAAGUUUCCUCUAUACACGUUGUUACCAAAAUUAUUCCUACCAACAAAAUUCACAUCUAUAGAUUCAUUAUUAUUCUCAAUCAAAGUAGACAAAGGCAUAUCAUUGGGAUCAAUAGGAGCACUCUUAGUAGCAAACAGUUUCAUAAGUUCAUCCAUCUUUCCACUCAAAACAUUAAUCUCUUCUAUAGCAUGCACUUUUUUACUAGUAGAUCUUUUGUUGUGCCAUUGAGAAUAAUUGACCAUAAUGUUAUCAAGAAGUUUAGUAGCUUCUCCUAAGGUGAUUUCCAUAAAAGUGCCUCCCGCAGCCGAAUCCAAGAGAUUUAUAGAAGCAAAAUUCAAUCCGGCAUAAAAUUUUUGUAUGAUCAUCCAUAAAUUCAAACCAUGAGUAGGGCAAUUGCGAAUCAUUAAUUUCAUUCUUUCCCAAGAUUGGGCAACAUGCUCAUGAUCAAGUUGUUUAAAAUUCAUAAUAUCGUUUCUAAGAGAGAUAAUCUUAGUGGGAGGAAAAUACUUAGAGAUAAAAGCAUCUUUGCACUUAUUCCAUGAAUCAAUACAGACGAAAACCAAGUUUUAGCAUGAUCUCUAAGUGAAAACGGAAAUAACUUCAAUUUAACAAUAUCAUUAGUUGUAUCUUUCUUAUUUUGCAUAUUACACAAAUCAACAAAGUUGUUUAGAUGAGUAGCGGCAUCUUCACUAGGAAGGCCGGAGAAUUGAUCUUUCAUAACAAGAUUCAACAAAGCAACAUUGAUUUCACAAGAUUCAACAUCAUUAAGAGGAGCAAUUGGAGUGCUAAGGAAAUCAUUAUUAUUGGUAUUGAAAAAAAUCACACAAUUUGGUUUUAUCUUGCGCCAUCGUGACAAGAAAUCCAACACACAAGCACACAAGAGGCAAGUGAAAGAGAGUGGAGAACGGGAAAGAGAGGGAGAAUAAAAUGGCAAGGGUGAAGUGGGGGAGAGGAAAACGAGAGGCAAAUGGCAAAUAAUGUAAUGCGAGGGAGAUGAGUUUGUGAUGGGUACUUGGUAUGUCUUGACUUGAGCGAAGACCUCCCCGGCAACGGCACCAGAAAUCCUUCUUCCUACCUCUUGAGCACUGCGUUGGUUUUUCCCUUGAAGAGGAAAGGGUGAUGCAGCAAAGUAGCGUAAGUAUUUCCCUCAGUUUUUGAGAACCAAGGAAUCAAUCCAGUAGGAGGCUCCUCAAAAGUCCCACGCACCUACACAAACAAACAAGAACCUCGCAACCAACGCGAUAAAGGGGUUGUCAAUCCCUUCACGAAAACUUGCUAAAGUGAGAUCUGAUAGAGAUAAUAAGAUAAGAUAAAUAUUUUUGGUAUAGAUUGGAAAGUAAAGAUGCAAAUAAAAGUAGAUGGAAAACUUAUAUGAUAAAAGAUUGACCCGGGGGCCAUAGAUUUCACUAGUGGCUUCUCUCAAUAUAGCAUAAGUAUUACGGUGGGUGAACAAAUUACUAUCGAGCAAUUGAUAGAAAAGUGCAUAGUUAUGAGAUUAUCUAGGCAUGAUCACGUAUAUAGGCAUCACGUCCGCAACAAGUAGAUCGAAACGAUUCUGCAUCUACUACUAUUACUCCACACAUCGACCGACUCCUGCCUGCAUCUAGAGUAUUAAGUUCACAAGAACAGAGUAACGCAUUAAGAAAGAUGACAUGAUGUAGAGGGAUAAACUCAAGCAAUAUGAUAUAAACCCCAUCUUUUUAUCCUCGAUGGCAACAAUACAAUACGUGCCUUGCUGCCCCUACUAUCACUUGGAAAGGACACUGCAAGAUUGAACCCAAAGCUAAGCAUUUUUGCCAUUGCAAGAAAGAUCAAUCUAGUAGGACAAACCAAAUUGAUAAUUCGAAGAGACUUGCAAAGAUAACCAAUCACACAUAAAAAAAUUCAGAGGAGAUUCAAUUAUUUCUCAUAGAUAAACUUGAUCAUAAACCCACAAUUCAUCGGAUCUCGACAAACACACCACAAAAAGAGUUACGUCGAAUAGAUCUCCAAGAAGAUCAAGGAGAACUUUGUAUUGAGAUUCAAAGAGAGAGAAGAAGCCAUCUAGCUAAUAACUAUGGACCCGAAGGUCGGUGGUAAACUACUAAAAACUCAUCAGAGAGGCCUUGGAGAUGAUGUAGAGGCCCUCCAUGGUAGAUUCCCCCUCCAGCGGAGCGCCGACGAAGGCUCCAAGAUGGGAUCUCGUGGAUACAAAAGGUUGCGCCGGAGGGGAAUCGACCAUGGAGGGCCUCUACAUCAUCUCCAAGGCCUCUCCGAUGAGUUGUGAGUAGUUUACCAUAGACUUUCGGGUCCAUAGUUAUUAGCUAGAUGGCUUCUUCUCUCUUUUUGAAUCUCAGUACCAUGUUCUCAUUGAUCUUCUUGGAGAUCUAUUCGAUGUAACUCUUUUUGCGGUGUGUUUGUCGAGAUCCGAUGAAUUGUGGGUUUAUGAUCAAGUUUAUCUAUGAGAAAUAUUUGAAUCUCCUCUGAAUUCUUUUAUGUGUGAUUAAGUUAUCUUUGCAAGUCUCUUCGAAUUAUCAGUUUGGUUUGGCCUACUAGAUUGAUCUUUCUUGCAAUGGGAGAGGUGCUUAACUUUGGGUUCAAUCUUGCGGUGUCCUUUCCUAGUGACAGCAGGGGCAGCAAGGCACGUAUUGUAUUGUUGCCAUCGAGGAUAAAAAGAUGGGGUUUAUAUCGUAUUGCAUGAGUUUAUCCCUCUAUAUCAUGUCAUCUUUCUUAAUGUGUUACUCUGUUCUUUAUGAACUUAAUACUCAAAUGCAUACUAGAUAGCGGUCGAUGUGUGGAGUAAUAGUAGUAGAUGCAGGCAGGAGUCGGUCUACUUGUCACGGACGUGAUGCCUAUAUACAUGAUCAUGCCUAGAUAAUCUCAUAAUUAUUCGCUUUUCUAUCAAUUGCUCGACAUUAAUUUGUUCACCCACCGUAAUACUUAUGCUAUCUUGAGAGAAGCCACUAGUGAAACCUAUCUUUUAUCAUAUAAGCUUUCAAUCUACUUUUAUUUGCAUCUUUACUUUUCCAAUCUACAUUAUAGAAUACCAAAAAUAUAUUUAUCUUAUCAUAUUAUUUCUAUUAGAUCUCACUUUCGCAAGUGGCCUUGAAGGGAUUGACAACACCUUUAUUGCGUUGGUUGUGAGUUCUUGUUUGUUUGUUUAGGUGCGUGGGACUUUUGAGGAGCCUCCUACUGGAUUGAUACCUUGGUUCUCAAAGGAUGAGGGAAAUACUUAUGCUAUUAUUGCUGUAUCAUCCUUUCCUCUUCAAGGAAAACCAACGCAAGCUCAAGACGUAGCAAUAAGGAUUUCUGGCGCCGUUGCCGGGGAGGUCUUCGCUCAAGUCAAGACAUACCAAGUACCCAUCACAAACUCAUCUCCCUCGCACUUACAUUAUUUGCCACUUGCCUCUCGUUUUCCUCUCCCCCACUUCACCCUUGCCGUUUUAUUUGCCCUCUCUUUCCCAAUCUCCUCUCUCUUCUGCUUGUCUUCUUGUGUGCCUGUUUGCUUUUAUGGCUUUGCCUAAGAACACCGACCUUUAUCUUAGAAGGUUGGAAGAGAUUGAAUCAAACGUUAGAAGUUUUAUGACUUUACAAUUUGAGCAUAGUAAUUUCUUUAGAAAAGAGCUUAAAGAACAAAAAAGUUUUAUGGGGUUUAUGAACAAAGAGCUUGAUGAUAUGUCUAAAUAAUUUUAUGGUUUGAACUCUCAAAUUACUCGGCUUGAAAAUUCUAUAGCCCAAAUCUCUAAUAAGCAAGCUACAUACCUUAGUCAAUAAGAUGGCUGCCAAACCAGAAAAGUUAGAUGAAAAUAAUGAUGAAGAUCUAAAAGUUAUUGAUGUGUCCCCUAUUAAAUCUUUGUUUUGCAAUAUGAAUCUUAAUAAAGAUGGGACUGGAGAUGAGUCAACUCUAGUUAAAAGGCGUCCCUAUGAUUCAGAGUUUUUAGAUCUUGAUGCUAAAUUUGGUAAAAGUGGGAUUGGAGAGGUCAAGACUUUAAAUAGCAUUGAACCCACUAUCUUGGAUUUCAAGGAAUUUAAUUAUGAUAAUUGUCGGUGUACUAAAGUAGGGGUACCUUAGUAUCCCGAACUUGUGCACGGGCAGUUGCAGCACCCCGCGGCAAGGCUUGCCGGGUGACCGUCAAGAUCCUCCGUGGUUCCUUUGGAGCCAUUCAAGAACAAAGUAUUCAAGCCAAGGAGACAAGGCCCCGGCAAGAGGAGCUUGCCGGGAAGGCCAGCCAAGGCAUCUCAAGGAACUUGCCGUGACGUGCCACGCGUCCCGGCAAGGCCCGGUGAGCGACAAGCUUCCGGACGCGGCAAGACAACGACCGCGGCAAGGCGCUUGCCGCGACAAGCUACCACCCUGUACCCAUGCUCCAGCACAUCUACCAACGUAUCGCCCUGGGGCCUUUCCAGGCGCGCGUGGCAAGAGGCUGUGCAGCCAGCGGUGCGAGGUGGCAAGCAACGGUGACAAGAUUGCCAUCGUGGCGAACGGUGGCGUCCCUGACGGUCCUUUCCUGCACUGUUUGGGCGACACAGACGGGCAUUUAAUGCCUUUGUCCCCUGCCGUCAGGGUUAGGUAGGAUACACUGUACAUGUAGUUGUACCAACCGCAACUCCUUUUACGUUUUUACCCUUGUCUAUGUUGCCAGCUGUCGAUGACCAGUUUAGCAUAUAAAAGGAGGCCCACGUGCAACGUAGAGGGGGUUCGGUUCGGGCCGAAGCCAGAAAAACACUCACGCUCGGUCUCGUUAGCAGCUAGAGUGCGCCAUAGCACUCAGCGCUCCCGAGCAAGAACAUAAUACACUAAAACAUGCAGCAGUAGGAGCGUUAUCUCUCCGGAGAGCUCCGAAGCUGGGUAAACUGCUCGUGUGCUUCGCCUCGAUCCGCUCUUCGUGCGACCUCCGCCCCCCGCCGAACCGAAAGGGGCUCGGUCCGCCGGUCCCAUAGGUGUUCGUGGAUCAGCUUCCCCGACAUCUUUGGCACACUAGGUGGGGGGCGUCCAGAUUGUGUGAACCUGAUCCGACGUUCACACGAGCUGGAUCUUCAUUUUCUUCAUCAACAUGCCACCGAAGAAGAAGGCUUCGGGGGCAACUGUUCCACCCACGUCGAUCCCACCACCACCGGAGCAAACGGGUGGUGGGAUAGACGCCGGCGGAAGAACGGACAUCGACGAGGGAGCUCACGGUGCUGCCAGAUCCAAGGACAAGGCUGCACAGACCUCAGCGUCCGUACAUGCACCGCGCCCAUCUCAGGAGGCGCAAGACUGACAGCGUCAUGGUAUUCACAGUACCAUACGUUUGUUGGACCAAGAUCGAGCUGGUGGAUCUCGGAGUGCUCAAGACCAGCAUGCACGCCAACAUGCAGGCACGAGCGAGAUACGAUCGCCUGGACGGGAUACUGCUCCUUCUAACAUAGUUAGAAGUCCGAGCAUAUCCCGCUCCUCGCGCCGUUCACCACUGCCGCCCACCACUCGAGCAGAAGCUUUGGCGCGAGCUCAACUGCUCCUGGAUUACCCUCCAACGGCAGACAAGAUCAACGAAUGGAGGGCCACCAUUCAGAGUCUCAUCGACUUUGCCAACGGCGACACUCCGCAGCAGCCGAGUGCAUCGCGGCCGCGGCAGGACUGCCAGGCACGAGCCGAUGGUGACAAAACCGGUGGGGGUGCAACCACCAUGCACUCUCCACCCCGAAGGCCAAGAUCGCCGACUCGCCGGAUCCACCUCGACAGCGACUCCACCGCAUCGUCAGAUCCACGAGCUCAUCGCGAUCAGCGCCAAGUUCUUCACGAACGACAGCAAGAAGACGCUCGUACUCGCAUCGAGCGCUGAAGAGAAGCGUGGCGUCAAUCUGACCAGCGCGCUGGGCCCUCUGUCGACAUGCAUGCGCCAGGGGCACUAGGUGACUUGCCGUACGCGGUAGGUUGCCCUGCGUUCACUCGUGAGCUGCUGCAAGUCCAGUGGCCCAGCAUGAAAAAUUUCAAGCUAGAUGUACCAGAGAAGUACGAGGGCAAGUCACAUCCGUCGGAGUUCCUCAGCAUCUACACCAUCGCGGUGCAAGCUGCCGGGGGACGGGACGACAAGAUCCUUGCCAACUACUUCCCGCUGGUGCUCAAGCCCAAUGUCAGAUCCUGGCUCAUGCACUUGCCGGACAACUCCAUAUCCUCCUGGGCGGACCUGUGCCAUCAUUUUGUCGGUGCCUUUACAGGCGGCCACAAACCUCAUGGCCAAGAGAGCGACCUUCAUCUGCUCGCCCAGAAGGAAGGAGAGCCUCUGCGCAAGUACAUUCAGAGAUUCAGCCGUGUACAACACAACAUCCCAGAUGUCCACCCUGCCGCGGUAAUCAGCGCGUUCCAUCAGAACGUGCGAAACCGCAAGAUGCGGGAGGAGAUGGCGAUGUGCAAGAUCAGAGACGUCAGUGAGCUAUACGCCCUGGCCGACAAGUGUGCACGUGCUGAGGAAGGGAGGAAACUCCCCGGAGAGAGUACAGGAGCAGGAGGAUCUGAUAGUGAGGAUGCUGCCCCGACAAAGAAAAACCGGCGGCGGAACAACAGGAAGAAGAAAGGCAAAGAUGUGCUAGUCGUUGAGCAAUCCGGCAAGGAAGCCAAAGCUGGUAGCUUCGGCAAGGAGAUUGCCGUAGGCACCAACCACCAGGCUGUGGCGGUCGCCGACAAGCAGGACGACACCAACAGGCAGUACUGCAAGAUCCACCGCACCAAGGGCCAUGACCUCCAGAGUUGCAAGAAGGUCGAGCAGCUUGUCAAGCAGCAAAAGGCUGAAUACGAGCGACGCGACAAGGAGAAGGCCUAUGAAGGUGCUGGAGGAGCCGGCAAGAAACGCCCCGGCCGAGGAGGACGCCGCGGCAAGGCCAAGCAGCGCCAAGGAGACAGACCUCCCCGCGGCCGCGACAAGGAUGAAGAUGACGACAACAAUGAAGAUAUGGAUGAUGACGAGACCGAUGAGCAGGAGUUCUAGAAAGCCACAGAGAUCCUGUGCGUUGACGGUGGUGCUUCUCUGCAUACUUCACACCGCCAGCUCAAGCAGUGGGUGCGGGAAGUCAAUGCAGCAGAGCCACCCGUCGAGUCACGCAAGCCUCUGAAAUGGUCCAGCACGCCUAUCAUCUUUGAUAUUGAGGACCACCCUGAUCGCAUAACUGCGGUCGGGUGCUUGCCGAUGUUGGUUUCACCAACUAUUCGCAACCUCAAGGUCACUAAGAUGCUAGUUGACAGCGGGACCGGCUUGAACCUGAUCUCCUCCGCGGUACUCCAGAAACUCCAGAUCCCUGAUAGCGAGCUCGAAGAGACCGGCACGUUCUAAGGAAUCAAUCCGGGAAGAAGCAAGCCAAAGGGAAAGAUCACGUUGCCGGUAACAUUUGGCAGCGAGUUAAACUUCAGGACUGAGAGGGUCACUUUUGACGUUGCUGACUUUCCAUUGCCUUACAAUGGGAUACUCGGCCAUCCAACACUCGCCAAAUUCAUGGCAGCCUCUCACUAUGCAUACAACAUGCUGAAGAUGCCAGGCCCGAUAAGUGUCAUCUCUGUCCCUGGCGACAAGAAGGAUGCUCUUAUCUGCACCGACAAGAUCUACCGGGAAGCAGCAGCCACAACAGAUCGUAGGUCACUUGCCGUUGAAGCUCCCGGGGGGAGGAAGAAGACCAUGUCCGGCAAGAGUUCUGAUGCCCACUCCGGCAAGCGCACCUCUUCGGGGUGCUGCACUACCGUCAAGGACGCACCAUCGAGCUCCACCGGGAAGUGUAAGAAGACAAUGGUAGCUCCACCAGAGACCAAGAAGGUGUCCGCCAAGGAGGAUGGCACUGGUGGUACCGUCACCAUCAGUGCCACUCUCGACCCUAAAUAGGAAGGCACACUCGUUGCUUUCCUGCGGGCGAAUGUCGACGUGUUUGCAUGGCAAUCGUCUGACAUCCCUGGUGUUCCUAGGAAAGUAAUCGAGCACCAUCUAGCCGUCUGUCCUCAUGCGCGGCCCAUCAAGCAGAAAGUCAAAAAACAAGUAGUGGAGCGCCAAGAAUUCAUCGCUGAAGAAAUCAAGAAGUUGGAAGCAGCAGGCCUUGUUAGAGGAGUGCUCCAUCCCACGUGGUUGGCCAAUCCUGUAGUCGUGCGCAAGGCAAACGGGAAAUGGAGGCUUUGUAUCGACUUUACCGAUGUCAAUAAAGCUUGUCCCAAAGACCCAUUUCCCUUGCCGCGCAUCAACCAGAUUGUUGACUCCAUAGUCGGAUGUGACUUGCUUUCAUUUCUUGACGCAUAUUCAGGAUACCAUCAGAUCUUCAUGGCAGAAGAGGAUGAGGAAAAGACCGCAUUCAUCACACCAUGUGGCACAUACUGUUUCAUACGGAUGCCUUUCGGUUUAAAGAAUGUUGGUUCAACAUUUGCAAGGAUAGUCCAUGACGCUUUUGAGCCGCUAAUACAUAGGAAUGUGGAGGCCUACAUGGAUGACUUAGUGGUCAAGAGCAAGGACAAAGCAACUCUGAUUCAAGAUUUAGACGAAACCUUUGCAAACCUGCGCAAGAUCAACCUCAAGCUUAACCCCGAGAAGUGUGUGUUCGGAGUCCCCUCCGGCAAGCUUCUCGGGUUCUUCGUGUCUCAGUGGGGAAUCGAAGCCAAUCCCGACAAGAUCAAGGCCAUUGAGCAGAUUGAAGCACCAAAGCGCGUCAAGGAUGUACGAAGACUUGCCGGUUGCGUAGCUGCUCUCAGCAGGUUUAUCUCUAGGUCUGCUGAGCGCGCCCUGCCAUUUUUCAAAUUAUUGAAAAAGGCAGGUCCAAUGAAAUGGACUCCGGAAGCGGAGGCUGCGCUGUAGGACUUAAAGAGAUACCCGUCCUCCACUCCGACACUUGUCGCACCUAAGCCACAAGAGAAGUUGCUGCUAUAUAUAGCGGCAACCAAUCAAGUGGUUAGUGCUGCGUUAGUAGCAGAGAGGGAGGCGGAUGAUGAGCCGGCAACCACAGCAAGUGCAUCCAGCGACAAGCAAGGAUCAUCACCGACAAGCUCUGGUCCCGACAAAGAUGGAUCUGCGCAGGCGCGUGAGAAGAUGCAGAAGAGAAUGGUGCAGCACCCAGUUUACUUUGUCAGUUUCCUUUUGCAGGGGGCUAGGUCAAGGUACUCUGGUGUGCAGAAAUUGCUUUCCGGCCUUCUCAUGGCCUCGAGUAAGCUGCGCCAUUACUUCCAAGCACAUGAGAUCACAGUGGUCACUCGUUUUCCGCUGAAGAGGAUACUGCAAAAUCCAGAAGCAACAGGCAGGAUUGUCGAGUGGGCACUAGAACUGUCAAGCUUUGGCCUCAAGUUUGAGAGCACCUCAACUAUCCAAAGCAGAGCAUUGGCGGAGUUCAUAGCAGAGUGGACGCCAACACCAGAUGAAGAAAUUCCAGAAACGAGCAUACCCGUCAAGGAAGCAAGCAAAGAGUGGUUGAUGUACUUUGAUGGUGCCUUCUCGCUGCAAGGCGCCAGUGCGGGCGUACUACUUGUCGCACCCAUCGAAGAGCACCUCAAGUACGUAGUCCAGAUGCACUUUCCCAAGGAGCAAGCAACAAACAAUAUUGCAGAGUAUGAAGGUUUGCUUGCCGGUCUCAGAAUCGUAGCAGACCUUGGGAUCAAGAAGCUCAUUGUCAGGGGUGACUCACAGCUUGUCGUCCGCCAAGUGAACAAGAAUUAUCAGAGUCCAUUUAUGGAAGCUUACAUUGAUAAAGUGAGAAAGCUAGAAGAGCACUUUGACGGCCUAUAGAUGGAACAUGUUCCAAGAGCUCAGAACGACAUUGCCGAUGGCCUGUCGAAGUGCACCGCACUUAAGUUACCUCUGGAACCAGGGAUCUUUGUGCUCAAGCUGACUCAACCAUCCGUAACGCCAUCAACUCGACAGAACAAGAAGAGGAAGUUGAUUUCUGGUGACUAUUUUCCGGCAGAGCUCCCCGAAGCCACCGCCAAGAAGGUCCUCAAGAUCAACACCAAGGAUGCUGAGGAGCAGUCUGCUCCGACAAGCCCUAGGGUUUGUUCCGUUGAAGCAGACGCUCCUGACAAGUUUUGCUGCGGCAAGCUUGCCGGGGAACGUCAAGCUCCGGCUGAGCCGCAGGUUCUCGCCGUAGAAGUGGAUGUUCCCGCAGCAGCAGAUAUGCCUUUAGUCCUUGUUGUCGAGCCGCAAGCUCCAGCAUGGGCGCAGCAGAUUGUCCAUUUCCUUCAAACAGGUGAACUUCCCGAAGAGCAAGAAGAAGCGGAAAGAGUAGCCCGGUAGUCAAGUAUGUACUAGUUUGUCGACAACACACUGUACAGAAGAAGACUCAACGGCGUGAAAUUGAAGUGUAUUCACCGGGAAGACGGACAAAAGCUAUUGGCAGAGAUACACAGAGGCAUAUGUGGCCACCAUAUUGGCGCAAGAGCACUUGCCGGCAAAGUGUUCCGGCAAGGUUUCUUUUGGCCAACAGCCCUCCAGGAUGCAACUGCACAAGUAACCAAGUGUGAAGCGUGCCAGUUCCAUUCCAAGCAUAUACACCAGCCAGCUCAACCUCUCCAGACGACCCCUUUAUCCUGGCCAUUUUCGGUCUGGAGGCUCGACAUCCUCGGCCCCUUUCCCCGAGCUGUCCGGGGCUUUGAGUACUUGUACGUUGCAAUCGACAAGUUCACAAAGUGGCCGGAAGUGGAAGCAGUGAGGAAGGUGACAGCACAGUCGGCAGUCAAGUUCUUCAGGUCGAUUGUUUGCCGUUUCGGGAUCCCUAACAGGAUCAUCACCGACAACGACACACAAUUCACGAGCCGCACCUUCAUGCAGUACGUCCAAGAUCUUGGCGCCAAGGUCUGCUUCGUUUCUGUUGCUCAUCCAAGAAGCAAUGGUCAAGUAGAGGGGGCAAAUGCUGAAGUGCUGCGCGGGCUCAAGACCAGGACUUUCGACAGGCUGCACAAGUGCAGAAAGAACUGGAUUGAGGAGCUGCCGGUGGUUCUUUGGUCGCUCAGGACGACGCCAAAUCGAGCCACUGGCCAGACACCUUUCGCUCUAGUCUAUGGAGCAGAGGCAGUUCUCCCCACAGAACUCGUAUACGGGUCACCUCGAGUGCUCGCUUAUGAUGAGCUUGAGCAAGAGCAGCUGCGACAAGAUGACGCGCUGCUCCUCGAGGAGGACCGUCUUCAGGCUGCUGUACGAGCUGCUCGAUACCAGCAAGCUUUGCGCCGCUACCAUAGCUACAAAGUUAAUGCCAGAAGUCUCGAGGAAGGCGACCUUGUUCUUCGGCGCGUUCAGUCCGCCAAGAAUUCCAACAAGUUGACGCCGAAGUGGGAAGGCCCUUACCGGGUGAAAUGAGUCACUAGGCCUGGCGCUGUCCACCUUGAGACCGAAGAUGGCAUUCCGGUGAGCAACUCCUGGAACAUUGAGCAUCUUCGUAAGUUUUACCCGUAGGGCGCGGUUGCCGGAACCUGUUCCGGCAACCACCUUUUGUACAAGUCUUGCCGAUGUUGCAUGUAAUCCUUUGUACAAAGCCGGGCGCAGACCCCGUGCAUAAGUAAAGCUCAUGUGCCCCGCACAUCUUGUCGAUUUCAUGCUUUCUACUACUUUUUGCAUGCGUUAUCUGACACUUUGUGCAGCACCUACCCCCGGUAAGCAAUAACGAGCCAUAGGGCUCCAUAUCUUUAUUUUCUCUUCUUUCUCUUUCUCAAGGAAAGGAAGGAUCCCUCGCCCACAAGUUUGCCGGGGGGAAAGGAGAAGAUAAUGGUGUGGACCAGGCGUCGUUCGAGGGAGUUUCGCCUUACCGGGAAGCAAACGACAGAAAAGCUAAGUUGCCAAAGUUUGAGCAAUCAUUUUUAAAUUUUUUAAGUUAUCUUCCUCAAACGACCGUGCUUUGUAUGGAAAACCUGUGCGCGGAGGAACCAACUCGUAGCUAGUUGCGCCCUUACUUUGUUUCGAGUCCGCUCAACAACUUAAGUGAGCUGCGACUAGUUGCAACAAGGUUUCUUGUUGGUAGCGGCACCGCCAGCAGGCUGCUGACAUUCCGCACUCAGCGCUCGCGGCUAAGGUACCUGCACCGACAAGUUCCCUAAAAGCGUAGGGCAAAAACAUACAAAGGAAGGAAUCAAGUAAAGGAAAUAACACAGCAAUCUCUACCCAAAAUAGAGUUGUAUUACAAGAUAACUUGUCGCAACUCUAACAGAAUGUUCUCAUGACAUGACCAGCGGCGACAAAGAAAAAGAAAAGACGGGCGGCCUAAUCCACGCGUUCGCCCUCAACCCUCUUGAUCUCGCUCACCUUGUCCACAGUGGGUGCGACAAGGGCCUUGAGCGCUUCCAGAUCAGCAUCCGGCGGCAAGGACCUGAGGACGUUGGUGAGGUUGAGGCCUGGGUUGCGGAAGGCCACCUUCACCAGCACCUUCUGAAGAGCCCCCGCGCAGAUCCUGCGUGACUCAUCGGCCAGCUGCUUUGGGAUCUUCUCCCGGAGUCGCUGGAGGGCCGUCGCCAUGCCUUUGAAGAACAGGCUGAGCUUGGCGCUGGGUUGGAGGUGCUCACCAGAGGAGUACCCGAGAUCCUCCAUCCCCAGCUGCGCCAACUCAACGUCGAUGGCUGCGGCAAGAUCCACUAGACCCUCGGUCCAGUGUUCCACAGUCUCCCUGAAAGCGUCGUGGGCGGCAGCAGCAUUCACCAGCAGCGCCUCGUCGGUCUUGAUCUUCUCCUUCAAGGCCACCUCCUGCUCCCUGGCGCGGUCCAGCAUCUUGGUCAAGGUGGCCAGCUUCAAUUCGAGAUCCGCAUUGGAGUCCUUGGCGGCGCUAAGCUCUUUGCUCCUCUCAGCGAGACGACCCUGCAGCUCACCAUGAGCAGCGGGGUCCUUCUCACGCUCACGCUUGAGCACAGCAAGCUCCUCGCCGCUCGCCUUGAGAUCAGCCUCCAGCUGCGCCAUCUUCGUCUCCAGCUCCUUCUUGGCGGCCUCGGCAGCUGCGGCAGCAUCCUUUGCUUCCUUGAGAGCCCCGCCAAUCGCUUGCUCGCGCGCGGCAAGCUUCUCCUCGUGGCUGUCAAGGUUGACGUUGCGCUGCGCUAAUUCACCUUCCUGCGCAGACAACUUCUCGGCAGCGAGCCGCUGCUGCUCUUCAACCUCAGCCUUCCCGAGGAGGAAGGCUUUCCGCUCCUCGGCGAGUUGCUCCCACUCCUCUGCUAAGGAUCGGAGAGCUUCCUGCCUGAGACCCCGGAGCUCCUCCGCGCGCUUCUCGAUGUCCACUCCCGCCUUCGCGACAAGCGCCUCUCGGGAUGCCAGCUUGGCUUGUCGGGCGCGGUAGAGCAACAACAACUUCCGCAGCAACCGCUCCUCCUCAGGCUCGUCGCUGCAGCUUGGCGUGUCGACCAGCGUCAGCCCAGCAGAGGCGAGAACCUCUCCAUCCAAGAUUUCUCCUUCGACCAGCACCCUGGAACUUGACGCCCAGGGGAGCUUGAUGAAGAUGCCAUCGCCGGCCUUCAAUUAGGCGCCGGGAUGGGGCUCAUCGGAGCCUGGCGCUGCAGCAGCGGCGGAGGGAUCGGCGGUUGGCGUAGCGCCUGGCGCUCCUGCGGCCUCGGGGCCAUCAGUGCGAUCGCCGGAUCCCUCGCCAGCUUCUGCGGCGGCAGCUUUGGCGGCCUCUUCGCCGGCGGGAUCAUCAGCGCCGGCCUCUUCUUUGGUGGCAGGGGUGACUCGCAGGCGCCGGCCUCGAUGGCGUCGUUGUUGUUGCCAUGCGCGUUCUCCUCGCCGGCGACCUCGGUUUCCAUUGGAUCUGCGGCAGAUGGAUCUGACGACCGAGAAGGGGAGAAAAGUCAAGCAAAACUUCAAAAAGAAAAUCAGAAGAAGAAGAACCCAAGGGAAGUUCUCAAGCAAGAGGAUUACCUGGAUCUACAGCCGCGGUCUCCGCCACCGGGGGGUCGCUGGUGCUAUCCCUUGCCGGAGAACUGUCCCUUGCCGGAGAAUUCUCCCUUGCCGGAGAACGCUCCCUUGCCGGGGAAUCCUCCCUUGGCGGUGUAGUCGAAGAAGAUGGCAUUUCGGGAGCGACUUCUAGGCACUCCUGGUGAGGCUGCUCUGCUCCUACACAAACCAACAAUCAGAUAUCAGCGAAGAAAGAGCACCAAUGCGCGCCUGACAGCAAGAAGUAAAAUAUACACUUACGCUCGGGGCUGCGCUGGAGGCUGCUUUGGGGAAUAGUUGCCGGGUCCGGCAAGGUGGUUUCAGGCGCGUCCCCUGUUGCCAUGGUGGGUUCGUCCUCAAUGACAAUCACCGGGACCUUGGCUCUCUUCGCCGCUCUCUGGGCCAGAGUCCUGAAAAGGAAUGAGUUCGGAGUAAAGCAAAUCAGAGACAAGACAAAACAACAAAGAUUGAAGAACUACAAGUACAACAAGGAAUCUUACUCUUCUUCUUCCUCAUCGGAGCUGAGCGCGGAGAGAUCGAAGUCUGGCUCGCCUCCGGUGCGACGAGGCAGAGGAGUAGGCUCCCUUGUCCGCUUGGCAGGAGCAGUGGCGGUGGACCGGGAAGACCCCGCUCCAGUUGCGGCAGCGGCGUGAGGCGCUCCCGCGGCAAUAGUGCUUGCCGCGGUCGAGCGCGUCGCGUGGUGCGGCGGCUGUUGACCCGUCUGCCGCCCCGCUACAUCCCCGGCGUUGCGGAGACGCCUUCUUGGUGGAGCUGGGGGCUCCGCUUGCGGCGAGCUGGCUGAAGGUGGGGAGGAGGAGGAGCCGAUCCUCAACGGGUCGCUCGCGCCCUCGGCGGGCUCGCUCGACUCAGAUUCAGGCCCAACAAGUUCUUCCUCACCGACAAGCUCUUCUCGCUCGGCAAGGCUUGCCGCCUCUGCUGCCUCUGCCUCCUCCACGGUGAAUCCAAAUUCGCCCGCGGCAGCUGCUGCCACUGCCUCUUCCAGCCUAGUGGCGAUGCGCUGCAUCUCCGCAUCGGUGGUGUCGCGAGUGAGGCUCUUCUGUUCAUCGACGCGGACCGGCACUUCUACCAAGCUGUCGAAGAACUCCUGCACGACGUCGUCUGCAGGCUCUUGCCAAGUUGGGACGAUUCCAUGCGAAUCACACAGCGGCAUCAUUGCACGGAUGCGGUCGAGCGAGGAAUUGUUGCACAGCGGAACGACACUCCUCGGCAGCAUGAAUGGAUGUUGAGGAUCGCGCUUGAACAGCUCCAGAAGCAUCGCAUCCAGCUCCAAGACAGUGAAGUUGAAGUUGAGGCCCGGGCGCAGCCUCAUGAUAUCCGCCGAGUUCUGGAACUCCCAAGCGGGUCUCCUCCUCUCCUGAAGGGGGGCGAUGCGGCGGCGAAGGAAAUCUGCGCCAACGGCGCCUACGGUGAGCCCGGCAAGCCUGAGGCGUAAGAUCCGGGUGACGGCAAUCUUCAGCCUAUCAUCUUCCGAGGCCACGUUGCUCCAAUCGUUGCCGCGUACAAUUGGGGUUUGGUGCCGGGCGGUGAAUGGCUGCGGGUUCUCCUCGACGAUCCAGCACCACUCUGCUCUCCAUUCUUCCCAUUUGCUGCGGAGCUCUCCCUCCAGAUAAGCAUCCUUCUUGCCAGUUCUCGAGAUCCAGGCGAUUCCACCGGCAAGGGGCUCUCCUCUCUCGACUCGGGGCAUAAAGAAGUGGCGAAAAAGGGCUACAUUGGGAUGGACUCCGACAAAGUUUUCGCAGAGAUGUGCGAAAACUGCCAUGGUCAGAACGGCAUUGGGGGUGAAAUCAAGGAGGCGGAACCCGUAGGUGUUCAUGAUAUCACAGAAGAAUUCAGAGAAGGGCGGGCAGAGCCCGCAGUAGAAGAAUAUCGCGAAGAAGGGGUACCCGUUCGGAGCCAGUUUCGAAGCGGCAGCUGAGAGUACCCUCGUGCGCGGAUGCGCUCGCGUCUCCGUCGACCAGAAGAGGUAGUAGUACUCCCUCAGCUCCUUCGCGUCAAGCUGAGGGGGAAAGAUUGCCCGCUCCUUUCGCAGCGCCGCGAGCCGCUGUGCCUCCGCUGACUCCACGCCCUUCCCCUUGUCGGCUUUCGGAGCCAUGGCGGAGGCGGUGGGGGAGAUCGACGGCGUCGGUGGUGCCGGUGGCAAUGGGGGGCGGAGCGCUGCUCUCUUUCGACUUUGGGAAGAAGGGGGGGAGCGGCGGAGAUUUCUGAGAUUGGAGUAGUAACCGGCGAGAUGGGCGAACUGCCCCUGUUUCCCCUGCUUAUAAAGAGGGAGGGGGCAGACAUUCCGCCUUUAUGAAUAAAGAAACCACCCACGAUCUCUCCCACGACGCCGCAUUCGACGCGUGCUGUUGGGGGAGGGCGCGGUGGAUACGGAGUGAGAUACGGCGUGACCCAAGCCGCGCGUGCCCGUGCCUUGCUUUGCACCUGGCCCAACAGCGCUCGGCACCGUGUGUGGCCCAGGCCCGGGGGCUCCUGUCGGUGUACUAAAGUAGGGGUACCUUAGUAUCCCGAACUUGUGCACGGGCAGUUGCAGCACCCCACGGCAAGGCUUGCCGGGCGACCGUCAAGAUCCUCCGUGGUUCCUUUGGAGCCAUUCAAGAACAAAGUAUUCAAGCCAAGGAGACAAGGCCCCGGCAAGAGGAGCUUGCCGGGAAGGCUAGCCAAGGCAUCUCAAGGAACUUGCCGCGACGCGCCACGCGUCCCGGCAAGGCCCGGUGAGCGACAAGCUUCCGGACGCGACAAGACAACGACCGCGGCAAGGUGCUUGCCGCGACAAGCUACCACCCUGUACCCACGCUCUAGCACAUCUACCAACAUGUUGCCCUGGGGCCUUUCCAGGUGCGCGUGGCAAGAGGCUGUGCAGCCAGCGGUGCGAGGUGGCAAGCAACGGUGACAAGAUUGCCAUCGUGGCGAACGGUGGCGUCCCUGAGGGUCCUUACCUGCACUGUUUGGGCGACACAGACGGGCAUUUAAUGCCUUUGUCCCCUUCCGUCAGGGUUAGGUAGGAUACAUUGUACAGGUAGUUGUACCAACCGCAACUCCUUUUACGUUUUUAUCCUUGUCUACGUUGCCACCUGUCGGUGACCCCUUUAGCAUAUAAAAGGAGGCCCACGUGCAACGUAGAGGGGGUUCGGUUCGGGCCGAAGCCAGAAAAACACUCACGCUCGGUCUCGUUAGCAGCUAGAGUGCGCCAUAGCACUCAGCGCUCCCGAGCAAGAACAUAGUACACUAAAACAUGCAGCAGUAGGAGUGUUAUCUCUCCGGAGAGCUCCGAAGCUGGGUAAACUGCUCGUGUGCUUCGCCUCGAUCCGCUCUUCGUGCGACCUCCGCCCCCCGCCGAACCGAAAGGGGCUCGGUCCGGCGGUCCCAUAGGUGUUCAUGGAUCAACUUCCCCGACAAUAAUUGUUCUUUAGAAGAUUGUAUUUCCUUGUUGCAAUCCGUUGUGAAUUCUCCUCAUGCUUAUAGUCAAAAUAAAGCUUUUACCAAACGUAUUGUUGAUGCCUUGAUGCAAUCUUUUGAUGAAAAACUUAAUUUGGAAGUUUCUAUACCUAGAAAACUUAACGAUGAGUGGGAACCUACUAUAAAGAUUAAAAUUAAAGAUCAUGAGUGUUAUGCUUUGUGUGAUUUGGGUGCUAGUGUUUCCACGAUUCCAAAAACUUUAUGCAUUAUUCUAGGUUUCCAUGAUCUUGAUGAUUGCUCUUUAAAUUUGCACCUUGCGGAUUCCACCAUUAAAAAGCCAGUGGGAAGGAUCAAUGAUGUUCUCAUUGUUGCAAAUAGGAAUUUGGUGCCCGUAGAUUUUAUCGUUCUUGACAUAGAUUGCAAUCUUUCUUGUCCUAUUAUUCUUGGUAGACCUUUCCUUAGAACAAUUGGUGCGAUUAUUGAUAUGAAGGAAGGUAAUAUUAGAUUCCAAUUUCCAUUAAGGAAAGGCAUGGAGCACUUUCCAAGAAAGAAAGUCAAAUUACCUUAUGAAUCUAUCAUGCGAGCUACUUAUGAAUUGAGUGCCAAAGAUGGCACUACUUAGAUCUAUCCUCGCUUUUAUGCCAAGCUAGGGGCGUCAAACGAUAGCGCUAGUUGGGAGGCAACCCAAUUUUAUUUGUGUUUUUUGUUUUUGCUUCUGUUUAGUAAUAAAUUUUGCAUCUACCUCCUGUUUAGAUGUGUUUUUUAUGUUUCAAUUAGUGUUUAUGCCAUGUAGAACCUAUAGGAUAACCUAUGGUGAUAGUUAAUUUGAUUCUACUGAAAAACAGAAACUUUGCACACACGGAAAUAAUUUUAGUAAUUCACAGAAACGUGAUUUUGCGUUGAUUCUUUUUUCUGUAGAUCAAUAGACAAAUUUCCCAGGACUUCCUAUUUUGGUAGGAUUUGUAGAGUUCCAUAAGUAUUCGAGAGUUACAGAUUGCUACAGACUGUUCUGUUUUUGACAGAUUCUGUUUUUCGUGUGUUGUUUGCUUGUUUUGAUGCAUCUAUGGCUAGUAUGUAAGGGUAUGAACCACAGAGAACUUGGAAUACAGUAGGUUUAACACCAAUAUAAAUAAAGAAUGAGUUAAUUACAGUGCCUUAUGUGGUGGUUUUUCUUUCUUGCACGAACAGAGCUUAUGAGAUUUCCUGUUGAGUUUUGUGUUGUGAAGUUUUCAAGUUUUGGGUAAAGAUUUGAUGGACUAUGGAAUAAGGAGUGGCAAGAUACUAAGCUUGGGUAUGCCCAUGGCACCCCAAGAUAUUCAAGAAUAGCCAAAAGCCUAAGCUUGGGGAUGCCCUGGAAGGCAUCCCAUCUUUCGUCUUUGUCUAUCGGUAACUUUACUUGGAGCUAUAUUUUUAUUCGCCACAUGAUAUGUGUUUUGCUUGGAGCGUCUUGUAUGAUAUUAGUCUUUGCUUUUUAGUUUACCACAAUCAUCCUUGCUGUACACACCUUUUGGGAGAAACCCACUUGAUUGGAAUUUAUUAGAAUACUCUAUGUGCUUCACUUAUAUCUUUUGAGCUUGAUAGUUUUUGCUUUAGUGCUUCACUUAUAUCUUUUAGAGCACGAUGGUGUUUUAAUUUUGUAGAAAUUGUUGAUCUCUCAUGCUUCACUUAUAUUAUUUUGAGAGUCUCUUAGAACAACAUGGUAUUUUCUAUGGUUAUAAAAUUGGUCCUAGAAUGAUGAGCAUCCAAGUUGGGUAUAAUAAAAGCUAUCAUAGAAAGUGAAUUGGAUGCUAUGAUCAAUUUGAUACUUGAUAAUUGUUUUGAGAUAUAGAGGUGGUAAUAUUAAAGUCAUGCUAGUUGGGUGAUUAUGAAUUUAAAGAAUACUUGUGUUGAAGUUUGUGAUUCCCGUAGCAUGCACGUAUGGUGAACCGCUUUGUGAUGAAGUUGGAGCACAAUUUUAUUUAUGGAUUGUCUUCCUUAUGAGUGGCGGUCGGGGACGAGCGAUUGUCUUUUCCUACCAAUCUAUCCCCCUAGGAGCAUGCACAUAGUACUUUGUUUUCAAUGACUUGUAGAUUUUUUCAAUAAGUUCAUGAAUUCUUAUGACUAAUGUUGAGUCCAUGGAUUAUACGCACUCUCACCCUUCCACCAUUGCUAGCCUCUCUUGUGCCCCGCAACUUUCAUUGGUACCAUACACCCACCAUAUACCUUCCUCAAAACAACCACCAUGCCUACCUAUUAUGGCAUUUCCAUAGCCAUUUCGAGAUAUAUUGCCAUUCAACUUUCCACCAUUUCGUUUAUAUGACACGCAUCAUCAUUGUCAUAUUGCUCUUUGCAUGAUCAUGUAGUUGACAUCGUAUUUGUGGCAAGGCCACGUUCAUAAUUUUCAUACAUGUCACUCUUGAUACAUUGCAUAUCCCGGUACACUGCCGGAGGCAUUCAUAUAGAGUCAUAUCUUGUUCUAAGUAUUGAGUUGUAAUCUUGAGUUGUAAGUAAAUAAAAGUGUGAUGAUCUUCAUUAUUAGAGCAUUGUCCCAGUGAGGAAAGGAUGAUGGAGACUAUGAUUCCCCCACAAGUCGUGAUGAGACUUCGUACCUUACAAAAAAAAGAAGAGAAAGGCCAAAUAAAAAAAAGAGAAAGGCCAAAGAAAAAAAGAGAGAAAAAGAGAGAAGGGACAAUGGAACUAUCCUUUUUACCACACUUGUGCUUAAAAGUAGCACCAUGAUCUUCAUGAUAGUGAGUCUCUUAUGUUGGCACUUUCAUAUACUAGUGGGAAUUUUUCAUUGCAGAACUUGGCUUGUAUAUUCCAAUGAUGGGCUUCCUCAAAAUGCCCUUGGUCUUCGUGAGCAAGCGAGUUGGAUGCACACCCACUUAGUUUCUUUUGUUGAGCAUUCAUGCAUUUAUAGCUCUAGUGCAUCCAUUGCAUGACAAUCCCUAAUCACUCACAUUGAUACCUAUUAAUGGGCAUCUCCAUAAUCCGUUGAUACGCCUAGUUGAUGUGAGACUAUCUUCCUCCUUUUUUGUCUUCUCCACAACCACCAUUCUAUUCCACAUAUAGUGCUAUGUCCAUGGCUCACGCUCAUGUAUUGCGUGAAAGUUGAAAAAGUUUGAGAUUACUAAAGUAUGAAACAAUUGCUUGGCUUGUCAUCGGGGUUGUGCAUGAUUAAAUACUUUGUGUGAUGACGAUAGAGCAACAACCAGACUAUAUGAUUUUGUAGGGAUAACUUUCUUUAGCCAUGUUAUUUUGAGAAGACAUGAUUGCUUGCUUAGUAUGCUUGAAGUAUUAUUAUUUCUUAUGUCAAUAUGAACUUUUAUUUUGAAUCAUUUGGAUCUGAACAUUCAUGCCACAAUAAAGAAAAUUACAUUGAGAAUUAUGCUAGGUAGCAUUCCACAUUGUCGUUGUCAAAACCGGCGGAUCUCGGGUAGGGGGUCCCAAGCAGUGCGUCUUAGGAUCAAUGGUAACAGGAGGCAAGGGACACAAUGUUUACCCAGGUUCGGGACCUCUCGGUGGAGGUAAAACCCUAAUCCUGCUUGAUUGAUAUUGAUGAUAUGGGUAUUACAAGAUUCGAUCUACCACGAGAUCAGAGAGGCCAAACCCUAGAAGCUAGCCCAUGGUAUGAUUGUUGUUGUAUAUGUCUAUCGACUAGCCUGGCCCCGGUUUAUAUAAUGCACCAGAGGCCUAGGAUAACAAGAGUCCUAGCCGAAUACGCCGGUGGGGGAGGAGUCCUUGUCUUGAUCGCCAAGUCUUGUGGAUUCUUCCUUGUAUGCGGCAGCUGUCCGGACUGGCCCAUGAGUAUACGGCCAUGGGGGUCCUCGGCCCAAUCCAACUGAUCGGGAGACGACGCGUUGAGUACCCCCUAGUCCAGGACACCGUCAGUAGCCCCCUGAACCGGUCUUCAAGUUAGGGACGCUCCUCGAUUCUUCCGAACUGUUCUUCAUCUUCGGUUGCCGGUCUUGAAAAUUGGUUCAACAAAUCUUCUCAUCUUCUAUCUUGAGGAUCGCCGAAAUGCAUUCGACGAGUUUACACGUCUGGUAUCUGAGGAGCCCCUUUAAGUUUCCGACCUUUAUCAAUGUGUUGUUAUUUUUAUGCCACACCUUGGGUUCGGAGUUGUUCCCGGGAGGCAGUGUCCUCUUGCAUCCGAGCUCUAACACCGGACUGCAUUCAAGGUAUCUCUUGCAGCCGAGCACCAAUGCCAGACUGCUUCCCGGCUCUAACGUCGGAAUGUAUCCGAGCUUCAACACCAGACUAUGUAUCCGAGCUCCAACGCCGGACUAUAUUGAGCUCCAAUGUCGGACUAUGUAUCCGAGCUCCAAAGCCGGACUAUAUCCGAGGUGUCGUAAAUCACCUUGGUUCAAAGAAGUUUGAAGGAGUUUAGCCGAGCUUAAUGCCGGAAAUGCCCUUUAUGGAGCCAGCCACUAGCGCCCGAGCUUUAUGCCGGACUGCUUCCGAGGUGGUGCACCUCCCGAAUGUGGGCCAAUUUUUGUCAAUAUUUUUGAUUAGUGCAAUUUAUUCUCUGCCGAGAUACAUAGCCAGUAGCCCUCAAGGUGGGUAUCAGUCUAAAACCCGAGAUGCACAUGAAGGAUGACAUAAGACCGCUGAUCCCUGUAGCCACUGGGACUCAGGUUGAUUUGCAAAAUCGGUCUGAGGAUCAAGUCCUAGCUCGGCAGAAUACUUCGGGACACAAAAAGCGGCGUGCUCAGUCCUCGAGACUCAGGUUGGGUGCGGCCGACCAACCUGAGGAUCAAAAUCUCCUCGGAAACUGUAUUGCACUUAAAAUUUUCUGCAUUGAACAGGCAAUGCAGUAGCCCCCAAGACACUAGUCGGGUGGCAACACCAGAUCACGGGAUCGAUGUGCCCCUUUAAUAUUUGUAAAUAGUAAGCCCGAAGCCCAGUAGCCCCCGAGCCUUAAUUCGGGCACGGGAGGCCGAAUUAAGGAUCGAUAUCCAUAGUAAAAUCACAAAUUAUGUGUAAUGACUCUAUGUAUCCAAGUACUUUACGUCAUUAAUGCUCGGAUCCUCAUUGUACAAAAAUUUGUUGACCGACCAUCGGCUUCCACCUCCUCGGCCAAUAGCCGAGGAGUGUUGGUCCUACUUUAUAAAGCCUUUAUGAGGGCAAAGAUUUACAACAAACAAGGCAAUCUGGCCAUGCGGUUUUAUAAACAAAGGUACACGGAGAGACAUGUUAUAUUACUGUUUAAUAGAAGAAAUGUCUUCCAAAGAAAAUAGUCCCGCUAUCGGUUCCUUUCUUUGGGUUGUCAUGCUAAGCACGAUCAUGAAACCUCAGCUCCAAUGUAAGAGCAAAAUAUCGAGGAUUUAGUUUGGGAGGCCAGUUAAUAGCCCCCGGUAGUGUUCAGCGACAGUCGAGGUCAAGCCGUAAACACUUCGGCCAUUGUUAUGAAUGGCCCGUCGUUUAACGCUGUCAUCGGAUCACCGACCAAUUUUCGCUUAUUGUGACAGUUAGUUUUUGGCUUUCUCCACUGAGGUGCUUAACCAUGUGAGCUGGAAGCACAAUCGCAGUGGUUCUCCCUUUGCACACCUAGCCGAACAAAGCGGACCAUAGGAGGCAAGUGCAGGAGCCGGGCAACCCAACUAUUGACCGAAGACACAAUUCGAAACCGAUGCAUAUAUAGCAAUAUCCGAGAAUGCUUUUGCCGAAUCUCUAAAGGUGUCCGGCGUUGCACUGCGAGACUUGUGCUGAAAACACACAAAUAGUUUAAAAGUGCCAUGGGCUUGAAAAGCCAAAAAACUUAUUCAAAAGGUUAAUGUCCAAACUAGAUCAAGUGUUCGGUGCCAAUCCGAAAAUUGGACUUUAGAAAAAAAAGGUGCUUCUGCCGUGCUUUAACAUGACACAUCCUAUCUCAAAACUUCAAGCAGGUCAGCCUACGGCUUCAACCUCCUAUGCCGAAGGCGGAGUACUUCUUACUAGGCCAGUUUAGAAAACUAAACUCUAGCGGCUUUGAGAGAGAAAUUAGGCUCCCCGGCUAGCGACCGCACACUUGUGUCAAAAAAAGGAGUGAUAAAUAAUAAUAAAAACUUUGCAACGACUAAGAAGAAAAAAACACUUAUGAUAAAACGGCUCAUAUAAAUUUAAGAGCCCCCAAGUAACUUGGGUAAAAGAAUGAUUGCAUGUACCGAAGUACUUAUAUCAUAUCUAUGUUCAACCGAACUUUAAACGCGUCUUAACCGACCGUCGGCUUCUCCCUCUUCGGUCAAGGACCGAAAAGUGUUAUGUACUCCAUCUGUCAAGAAUAUCGACGGUGUUUCCAAUAACCAGGCAAUCAGGCCAUAAGGCUGUAAUAGACAAAGCGCGCUCAGGGAACUUAUGCUAUAUUACUGCGAAGAGUAAGAAGCAUCUUCGAACAAAAUAGUACCCCACCGAUACCUUUCUUCGGUGCUCAUUGUUAUUAUGACACUUGUGCAAUAGAUUUUUUGUACUCAUGAGUUCGUUGUGUGCCGACCAUGAUUGAAAACAAUAAGAGCGCUAGCUUUCGGCUUCACCCAGUCUAAGGUUCGGCUCGGUUGACCCGAUGACAAUCGCAGAGGUGCUCCCUUUACUCCCUAGCCGAACAAUCGGGAACGUAGGGGUAAGCACAGGAGCCAGGCAACCCAGCUUGCAAAUCGCUUAAGUCAAUAUGGUGCAUAUUGUGGCGUAAUACACGAACAAGGAACAAAGCCAUACAAGUAUAACCAUAUGCAAGAGGAAAAAGCUUCAUGAAGGAAGCUCCCAAGUAAACGGGGUAUUUGAAUUUGCGCGUCACAAACAAAGUUUGGACAAGGAAAUUUUUACAAGCGACUUUUUUCCAAAAAAGUAUAAUGCUUGGCUGAGCCGAACACAAGUUAAAAAUUUAAAACUUUGAGCAUGAAGACAACUUAGCUGGUUAAUGUGUUCGGUAUUGAUGACGCGGUCCGAGCUUGACGCGGGACAAGGUUCCAUCCCCGAGCCGGUCCCGAGGUGGCAGAGCAAAGAGCUCGGCACUCCGAAGUGGUGACAUAGCACGGUCAAUGCAGGACGGCAGGGUGAUGCCAAAGUCCCCGACAUGGGGUAAUGAAGUGUUAACGAAGCCCCCUGUCUAGCCGAGGUGACGCCAAAGGAUAUAGUCCGGCUGGAUCAUUUUCCUGUGCACAAAAAAUAGUGCAAACCGGAGAUAAUAGUAAUAAUAAUAAAAAAAAUCGUUGCAUAACAAAUAAUUUAUGCAAAGUGAGUAAUAAAAGAAAUAUGGCCUGGCACCGAAGUCAAUGUCGAUGCAGGGCAGCGGCGUGAUGCGGUAAAGGCAUGGCAAGGCCUGAAUUCACAAGUCGGUUCGAGUUCCGGAUGCGGUGUUCGCGGGACUAUGUACGGAAACUGACCGAACCACCAUGCGACCGUUGUUAAUGCGGCCACCAUUUGAUAGACCUACGUACAUAUGACGGACAAACCACAAUAAUAAUUCAUUGGGAAAAAUGAACCCUAAGUAGCAAAAAAUACUAGGAUUAAUAGCACCUGGCUUAUUUGUUGUAGCAAUCCGAAGAAAGGUGAUUCCCAAAAUUGGGACUCGAUCCGCACACCUAUCACCUGCUGGGCGAUAAAGCAACGGCAUGGCGAUGCUAGCAAAGAUUGGCUCGCCGAGGCAAAGCCCUCGGUCCAGCUAACGUGACGGAGCUGGUCGGCCAGCAACGCUGAAGUCUCCGGAGUAGGUUGAUGAAGAGAUGAUGAAGCCCCCGGUCCAGCGAUGCAGGUCAUGACGUGGUCGAUGCCGGCUUGAUGAAGUGGUCGUGUGGCGAUGCAGGUGCGCCCGCUCCGUGUAAUCCAUGGGGCGGCGAUGUUGGUGACGAUUUAUCCUUCGCGAUGCCGAACUAUUGUUCGGCUGGCCGAGAUGAUGAUCUGAAGAAAUUGAGCUCGGCUCAACAAAGCGACGAUGUGUCUAACGCAGGUCGGCCGCCGUGGAGUGAUGUUGUUGGGCUGGUUUAACACCGGCGCGAUGGUGAAGUUCGUAUUCCAAGAAUACUUUUAAUACUACUGGGAUGUGUUUGAGAAUAAAACACAGCACCCCAUAUGAAAACUUCCUUCAAAAAGGAUGUCCGAGAUCCCGUUUAUAAAGAAGAUGAAUUCGGGUUGGAUUCGUUCUCGCGCAGAAAACAGAUCCAAAAGUGACGCACUAAUCGGAAGUUUCCUGGAGUUUGGACGGUCGGAUCAAGCUGAAUUUUUGGCAGGUGGUAGAUAUAGGAAUUCCUCAGCAAAUCAACGGUUGGAUCCUCCAAAGGACAUCCAAGCUAGAUGCUGGAUACCACGCCCUAAACUCGUCCAGAUUCUCGUCCAGAUUCAACAGGGCUCCGGUAUGUCGGAGAUUGCCGGAGAUUCCUCCAUCGGAACUCGACGAAAUUUUUGCAGGGUUGUUGUAGACUUAAUUACGCAUAAUUCCACCAAAGUAAUCGUUUAAGAGACACUCGAGGAGGCGGUGGCGGCGGAUACAAGUUUGCUGUCCAGAAAAACAGCACGGUCGCCUGAGGGCAAUGUUGACAUUGAGCCCCCGAGCUCCAUGGAUGAAUCCUCCAUGAUCUUGAUAGAGAUCGGAGUUGGCGUUGAUGAAGGCCUUCGUCGGAACAUGAUGAUCAGAGGUAGGGCGCAGUCCUCGGUCAAGCCAAGGUGACCAGUCGAGCUGGUGACGAAGAAGCCGACGUCGUAGUUGACCUGCAGUCGAGCCAUUGAUCGUUUCGCCGAUCACACAGCGGAACUCUCAAUGAAAGCACCAAUGUUGGUGUCAAAACCGGCGGAUCUCGGGUAGGGGGUCCCAAGCAGUGCGUCUUAGGAUCAAUGGUAACAGGAGGCAAGGGACACAAUGUUUACCCAGGUUCGGGCCCUCUCGGUGGAGGUAAAACUCUACUCCUGCUUGAUUGAUAUUGAUGAUAUGGGUAUUACAAGAGUUGAUCUACCACGAGAUCGGAGAGGCCAAACCCUAGAAGCUAGCCUAUGGUAUGAUUGUUGUUGUAUAUGUCUAUCGACUAGCCUGGCCCCGGUUUAUAUAAUGCACCAGAGGCAUAGGAUAACAAGAGUCCUAGCCGAAUACGCCGGUGGGGGAGGAGUCCUUGUCUUGAUCGCCAAGUCUUGUGGAUUCUUCCUUGUAUGCGACAGCUGUCCGGACUGGCCCAUGAGUAUACGGCCAUGGGGGUCCUCGGUCCUAUCCAACUGAUCGAGAGAUGACGCGUUGAGUACCCCCUAGUCCAGGACACCGUCACACAUCGAAAAUUCUGUUUUUAUCAUUUACCUACUCAAGGACGAGCAGGAAUUAAGCUUGGGGAUGCUUGAUACGUCUCCAACGUAUCUAUAAUUUUUUAUUGUUCCAUGCUAUUAUAUUACCCAUUUUGGAUGUUUAUGGGCUUUACUUUACACAUUUAUAUCAUUUUUGGGACUAACCUACCAACCGGAGGCCCAACCCAUAUUGCUGUUUUUGCCCAUUUCAGUGUUUCGAAGAAAAGAAAUAUCAAAUGGAGUCCAACCGGAAUGAAACCUUCGGGAGCGUGAUUUUUGGAACGAACAUGAUCCAGAGGACUUGGAGUGGAAGUCAAGCACCAACCUAGGCAGCCACGAGGGUGGAGGGCGCGCCCCCCCUACUGGGCGCGCCCCCUAUCUCAUGGGCCCCUCGCGCGUCCACCGACCUACUUCUUCCUCCUAUAUAUACCCAUGUAGCCCGAAAAUAUCAGAUGAGCCCACGAAAACCUAAUUCUACCGCCGUAACCUUCUAUAUCCGCGAGAUCCCAUCUUGGAGCCUUCGCCGGUGCUUCGCUGGAGGGGGAAUCGACCACGGAGGGCCUCUACAUCAUCUCCAAGGUCUCUCCGAUGAGUUGUGAGUAGUUUACCACAGACCUUCGGGUCCAUAGUUAUUAGCUAGAUGGCUUCUUCUCUCUCUUUGUAUCUCAAUACCAUGUUCUCCUUGAUCUUCUUGGAGAUCUAUUCGAUGUAACUCUUUUUGCAGUGUGUUUGUCGAGAUCCAUCGAAUUGUGGGUUUAUGAUCAAGUUUAUCUAUGAGAAAUAUUUGAAUCUCCUCUGAAUUCUUUUAUGUGUGAUUAAGUGACCUUUGAAGUCUGUUCGAAUUAUCAGUUUGGUUUGGCCUACUAGAUUGAUCUUUCUUGCAAUGGGAGAAGUGCUUAGCUUUGGGUUCAAUCUUGCGGUGUCCUUUCCCAGUGACAGCAGGGGCAGUAAGGCACGUAUUAUAUUGUUGCCAUCGAGGAUAAAAAGAUGGGGUUUAUAUCAUAUUGCAUGAGUUUAUCCCUCUACAUCAUGUCAUCUUUCUUAAUGCGUUACUCUGUUUUUAUGAACUUAAUACUCUAGAUGCAUGCUGGAUAGCGGGAUGUGUGGAGUAAUAGUAGUAGAUGCAGGCAAGAGUCGGUCUACUUGUCACGGACGUGAUGCCUAUUGUCGGGGAAGCUGAUCCACAAACACCUAUGGGACCGGCGGACCGAGCCCCUUUCGGUUCGGCAGGGGGCGGAGGUCGCACGAAGAGUGGAUCGAGGCGGAGCACACGAGCAGUUUACCCAGCUUCGGAGCUCUCAGGAGAGAUAAUACUCCUACUGCUGCUUGUUUGAUUGUAUUCUGUUCUUGCUCGAGAGAGCUAAGUGUGUUUCUGGCUUCCGAAUGAAUCAAACCUUCGAACCCCCUUCUACGUUGCACGUGGGCCUCCUUUUAUACGCUAAAGGGGUCACCGACAGGUGGCAACGUAGACAAGGGUAACAACGUAAAAAGAGUUGCGGUUGGUACAACUACCUGCACAGUGUAUUCUACCUAACCCUGACGACAGGGGACAAGGGCAUUAAAUGCCCGUCUGUGUCGCCCGAACAGUGCAGAAAAGGACCGUUAGGGACACCACCGCUCGCCACGAUGGCGAUCUUGUCAGCGUCGCAUGCCACCACACACCGCUGGCAGCACAGCCUCUCACCACGCGCGCCUGUGAAGGCCCCAGGGCGACACGUUGGUGGAUGUGCUGGAGCGUAGGUACAGGGUGGUUUCUUGCCGCGGCAAGCGCCUUGCCGCGGUCGUUGCCUUGUCACGCCCAGAAGCUUGUCGUUCACCGGGCCUUGCCGGGACGCGUGGCGCGUCGCGGCAAGUUCCUUGAGAUACCUUGGUUGGCCUUCCCAGCAAGCUCCUCUUGCCGGGGUCUUGUCUCUUCGCUCGAAUACUUUGUUCUUGAAUGGCUCCAAAGGAGCCACGGAGGAUCUUGGCGGUCGCCCGGCAAGCCUUGCCGCGGGGUGCUGCAACUGCCCGUGCACAAGUUCGGGAUACUAGGGUACCCCUACUCUAGUACACCGACAGGAGCCCUCGGGCCUGGGCCACACAUGGUGCCGAGCGCUGUUGGGCCAGGCACAUAACAGGGCACGGGCACAUGCGGCCUGGGUUACGCCAAACCUUACUCCGCAUCCACCGCGCCCUCCCCAACAGCACGCGUCGAAUGCGGCAUCGUGGGAGAGAUCGUGGGUGGUUUCUUUAUUCAGAAGGGCGAAACAUACGCCCCCUCCCUCUUUAUAAGCAGGGGAAAUAGGGGCAGUUCGUCCUCCUCGCCGAUUACUGCUCCAGUCUUCAGAAAUCUCCGCUGCUCCCCCCUUCUUCCCAAAGCCGAAAGAGAGCAGCACUCCGCCCCCCAUUGCCACCAGCGCCACCGACGCCGCCGAUCUUCCCCGCCACCUCCGCCAUGGCUCCAAAAGCCGACAAGGGGAAGGGCGUGAAGUCAGCCGAGGUGCAGCGGCUUGCGGCGCUGCGAAAGGAGCGGGCCAUCUUCCCCCCUUAGCUCGACACGAAGGAGCUGAGGGAGUACUACUACCUCUUCUGGUCGACGGAGACGCGCGCACAUCCGCGCACGAGGGUACUCUCCGCCGCCGCUUCGAGAUUGGCUCCGAACGGGUACCCAUUCUUCGCGUUGUUCUUCUACCGCGGGCUCUGCCCGCCUUUCUCCGAAUUCUUUUGCGACAUCAUGAACACCUACGGGUUCCGCCUCCUUGAUUUCACCCCCAACGCCGUUCUGACCAUGGCAGUUUUCGCACAUCUGUGCGAAAACUUUGUCGGAGUCCACCCCAAUGUUGCCCUCUUCCACCACUUCUUUAUCCCCCGAGUCGAGAGAGGAGAGCCCCUUGCCGGCGGAAUCGCCUGGAUCUCGAGGGUCGGCAAGAAGGAAGCCUAUCUGGAGGGAGAACUCCGCAGCAAGUGGGAGGAGUGGAGAGCAGAUUGGUGCUGGAUCGUCGAGGAGAACCCGCAGCCAUUCACCGCCCGGCGCCAAACCCCAAUAGUACGCGGCAACGAUUGGAGCAACGUGGCCCCGGAGGAUGACAUGCUGAAGAUUGCCGUCACCCGAAUCUUUCGCCUUAGGCUUGCCGGGCUCACCGUAGGCGCUGUUGGCGCAGAUUUCCUCCGCCGUCGCAUCGCCUCCCUGCAAGAGAGGGGGAGGCCCGCCUGGGAGUUCCAGAACUCGGCAGAUAUCAUGAGGCUGCGCCCAGGCCUCAACUUCAAUUUCACUGUCUUGGAACUCAACGCGAUGCUAUUGGAGCUGUUCAAGCGCGAUCCCCAACACCCAUUUAUGUUGCCGCGGAAUGUCGUUCCGUUGUGCAACAAUUCUUCGCUUGACCGCAUCCGUGCAAUGAUGCCACUGUGCGACUCGCAUGGGAUCGUCCCAACUUGGCAAGAGCCCGCAGACGACGUCGUGCAGGAGUUCUUCGACAGCUUGGUCGAAGUGCCGGUCCGCUCCGACGAGCAGAAGAGCCUCACCCGCGACACCACCGACGCGGAGAUGCAGCGCAUCGCCUCUAGGCUGGAGGAGGCGACGGCAGCAGCUGCCGCGGGUCAAUUUGGAUUCGCAUUGGAGGAGGCGGAGGCAGCAGAGGCGGCAAGCCUUGCUGAGUGAGAAGAGCUUGUCGGCGAGGAAGAACUUGUCGGGCCUGAAUCAGAGUCGAGCGAGCCCGCCGAGGGCGCGGGCGACCCAUUGCAGAUCGGCUCUUCCUCCUCCCCACCUUCAGCCAGCUCGCCGCAAGCGGAGCCCCCAGUUCCACCAAGAAGGCGUCUCCGCAGGGCCGGGGACGUGGCGGGGCGGCAGACGAGCCAACAGCCGUCGCAACGCACGACGCGCUCGACCGCGGCAAGCAUUGUUACCGCGGGAGCACCUCACGCUGCUGCGGCAACUGGAGCGGGGCCUUCCCGAUCCACCGCCACUGCCCCUGCCAAGCGGACAAGGGAGCCUUCUCCUCCGCCUCGUCGCACUGGAGGUGAGUCGGACUUCGAUCUCUCCACGCUCAGCUCUGACGAAGAAGAAGAAGAGUAAGUUUAUUUGUUGUACUUGUAAUCCUUCAUUUCUUGAGGUGCAUCUUGUAUCUGAUCUGCUUCGUUUCGGACUCAUCUCUUUGCAGGACUCUGGCCCAGAGGGCGGCGAAGAGAGCCAAGGUCCCGGUGAUUGUCAUCGAGGACGAACCCACUGCGGCAACAGGGGACGCGCCUGAGACCUCCUUGCCGGACCCGACAACUACUCGCCAAAGUAGCCCCCAGCGCAGCCCCCAGUGUAAGUGUAUAAUUUACUUCUUGCUGUCAAACGCGCAUGGGUGUUCUUCUAUUGCUGAUGUCUGUCUGUUGGUUUGCGUAGGAGCAGAGCAGCCUCACCAGGAGGGCCCGAAGGCCGCUCCCGAGGCGCCAUCUUCUUCGACUACACCGCCGAGGGAGGAUUCCACGGCAAGGGAGCAUUCUCCGGCAAGGGAGAAUUCUCCGGCAAUGGGGUAGUUCUCCGGCAAGGGACAGCGCCAGUGAUCCUCCGGAGGUGGAGACCACGACCGCGGAUCCUAGCAUAGGUAACCCUUUUGCCUAAAAACUCCCCUUGGAUUCUUCUUCUUCUGAUUUUCUUCUUGAGCAUUUACUUGACUUUUCUCCCUUCUUCGGUCGUCAGACCCACCUGCCGCGGAUCCCAUGGAAACCGAGGCCACCGGCGAGGAGGCGCACGCGGCAACAAUGAUGACGCCGCCGCCACCGAAGAAAGGGCCGGUGCUGAUGAUCCCACUGGCGAAGGGGCCGCCAGGGCUGCCACCGCAGAAGCAGGCGAGGAAACCGGCGAUCGCACUGACGGCCCAGAGGCCGUAGGAGCGCCAGGCGCUGCACCAACCGUCGAUCCCUCUACUGCUGCCGCGUUGCGAGGCUCCGAAGAGCCCCAGCCCGACGCCUACUUGUAGGCCGGCGAUGGCGUCUUCAUCAAGCUCCCCUGGGCGUCGAGCUCCAGUGCGCCGGUCGAAGGAGAAACCUUUGACGAAGAGGUGCUCGCCUCUGCUGGGCUGGCGCUUGUCGACGUGCCAAGCAGCAGCAGCGACGAGCCUGAGGAGGAGGGCUGCUGCGGAAGCUGCUGUCCCUUUACCGCGCCCGACAAGCUAAGCUGGCUUCCCGAGAAGCACUUGUUGCGAAGGCGGGGGUGGAUAUCGAGAAGCGCGCAGAGGAGCUCCGGGGUUUUAGGAAGGAGGCUCUCCGGUCUCUGGCGGAGAAGCGGGAGCAACUUCUCGAGGAGCGGAAAGCCUUCCUCCUCGAGAAGGCUGAAGCCGAAGAGAAGCAACGGCUUGUCGCCGAGGAUCUAUUUGCGCAAGAAGGAGAGUUGGCGCAGCGCAAGGUGAACCUUGAAAGCCACGAGGAGGAGCUUGUCUCGCGGGAGCAAGCCAUUGGCGGGGCUCUCAAGGAGGCAAAGGAUGUUGCCGCAGCUGCCGAGGCCGCCAAGAAGGAGCUGGAGACAAAGGUGGCGCAGCUGGAAGCAGAUCUCAGGGCGAGCGGUGAGGAGCUUGCCGCGCUCAAGCGUGAGCGUGAGAAGGAUGCUGCCCCUCAUGGUGAGCUGCAGGGUCUUCUCGCUGAGAGGAGCAAGGAGCUCAGCGCUGCCAAGGAUUCCAACGCAGAUCUCGAGCUGAAGCUGGCCACUCUGACUCAGACGCUGGACGGCGCCAAGGAGCGGGAGGCGUCCUUGUCAGAGAAGAUCAAGGCCGACGAGGCGCUGUUGACGAAUGCUGCUGCCGCCCACGAUGCUUUCAGGGAGAGUGUGGAGCAUUGGACUGAGGGUCUUGUGGAUGCUGCCGCAGCCAUCGACGGGGAGUUGGCGCAGCUGGGGAUGGAGGAUUUUGGGUAUCCUUCCGAUGAGCAUCUCCAACCCAGCGCCAAUCUCAGCCUGUUCUUCAAGGGCGUGGUGACGGCUCUCCAGCGACUCCGGGAAAAGAUUCCAAAGCAGCUGGCCGACGAGUCGCGCAGGAUCUGCGCGGGGGCUCUCCAGAAGGUGCUGAUGAAGGUGGCCUUCCGCAACCCAGGCCUCAACUUCACCAACGUCCUCAAAUCCUUGCCGCCGGAUGCUGACGUGGAAGCGCUCAAGGCCCUUGUCGCACCCAUUAUGGACAAGGUGAGCGGGAUCAAGAGGGUCGAGGGUGAUCGCGUAGACUAGGCCGCCCGUUUUCUCUUUCUCUUUGUCGCUGCUGGUCAUGUUACGAGAACAUCAAUUAGAACUGCGACAAGUUAUCUUGUAAUAUAACUCUAUUUUGGGUAGAGAUUGCUAUGUUAUUUCCUUUACUUGAUCCCUUCCUUUGUAUGUUUUUGCCCUACGCUUUUAGGGAACUUGCCGGCGCAGGCUCCUUAGCCGCGAGCACUGAGUGCGGAACAUCAGCAGCCUGCUGGCGGUGCCGCUUCCGACAAGAAACCUUGUCGCAACUAGUCGCAGCCCACUUAAAUUGUUGAGCGGACUCGAAACAAAGUAAGGGCGCAACUAGCUACGAGUUGGUUCCUCUGCGCACAGGUUUUCCAUACAAAGUACGGUCGUUUGAGGAGAAUAACUUCAAAAUUUAAAAACUGAUUGCUCAAACUUUGGCAGCUUAGCUUUUCUGUCGUUUGCUUCCCGGCAAGGCAAAAUUUCCUCGAGCGACGCUUGGUCCACACCAUUAUCUUCUCCUUUCCCCCUGGCAAACUUGUGUGCGAGGGAACCUUCCCUUUUGAGAAAAAGAAAGGAGAGAAAAUAGAGAUAUGGAGCCUUAUGGCUCGUUAUUGCUUACCGGGGGUAGGUGCUGCACAAAGUGUCAGAUAAUGCAUGAAAAUAUAAAGUAAAAAGCAUGAAAUUGACAAGAUGUGCGGAGCACAUGAGCUUUACUUAUGCACGGGGUCUGCGCCCGGCUUUGUACAAAGGAUUACAUGCAACAUUGGCAAGACUUGUACAAAAGGUGGUUGCCAGAACGGGUUCCGGCAACCGCGCCCUACGGUAAAACUUACGAAGAUGCUCGGUGUUCCAGGAGUUGCUCACCGGAAUGCCAUCCUCGGUCUCAAGGCGGAAAGCGCCAGGCCUAGUGACUCGUUUCACCCGUUAAGGGCCUUCCCACUUCGGCGUCAACUUGUUGGAAUUCUUGGCAGACUGAACGCGCCGAAGAACAAGGUCGCCUUCCUCGAAACUUUUGGCAUUAACUUUGCGGCUAUGGUAGCGGCGCAAAGCUUGCUGGUAUCAAGCAGCUCGUACAGCAGCCUGAAGACGGUCCUCCUCAAGGAUCAACGCGUCAUCUUGUCGCAGCUGCUCUUGCUCGAGCUCAUCAUAAGCGAGCACUCGAGGUGACCCGUAUAGGAGUUCCGUGGGGAGAACUGCCUCUGCUCCAUAUACUAGAGCGAAAGGUGUCUGACCAGUGGCUCGAUUUGGUGUCGUUCUGAUCGACCAAAGAACCACCGGUAGCUCCUCAAUCCAGUUCCUUCCGCACUUGCGCAGCCUGUCGAAAGUCCUGGUCUUGAGCCCGCGCAGCACUUCAGCAUUCGCCCUCUCCGCUUGACCAUUGCUUCUCGGAUGAGCAACAGAAGCGAAGCAGACCUUGGCGCCAAGAUCUUGGAUGUACUGCAUGAAGGUGCAGCUCGUGAAUUGUGUGCCGUUGUCGGUGAUGAUCCUGUUAGGGAUCCCGAAACGGCAAACAAUCGACCUGAAGAACUUGACUGCUGACUGUGCUGUCACCUUCCUCACUGCUUCCACUUCCGGCCACUUUGUGAACUUGUCAAUUGCAACGUACAAGUACUCAAAGCCCCCAACUGCUCGGGGAAAGGGGCCGAGGAUGUCGAGCCCCCAGACCGAAAAUGGCCAGGAUAAAGGGAUCGUCUGGAGAGCUUGAGCAGGCUCGUGAAUCUUCCUGGAAUGGAACUGGCACGCUUCACACUUGGUUACUUGUGCAGUUGCAUCCUGGAGGGCUGUCGGCCAAAAGAAUCCUUGUCGGAACGCUUUGCCGGCAAGUGCUCUUAAGCCAAUGUGGUGGCCACAUAUGUCUCCAUGUAUCUCUGCCAAUAGCUUUUGUCCCUCUUCCCGUUGAAUACACUUCAAUUUCACACCGUUGAGUCUUCUUCUGUACAGUAUGUUGUCAACAAACUGGUACAUACUUGACUACCGGGCUACUCUUUCCGCUUCUUCUUGCUCUUCGAGAAGUUCUCCUGUCUGAAGGAAACGGACAAUCUGUUGCGCCCAUGUUGGAGCUUGCGGCUCGACAACAAGGACUAAAGGCACAUCUGCUGCUGCAGGAACAUCCGCUUCUACGGCGAGAACCUGCGGUUUAGCCGGAGCUUGAUGUUCCCCGGCAAGCUUGCCGGAGCAAAACUUGUCGGGAGUGUCUUCUUCAAUGGAACAAACCCUAGGGCUUGUUGGAGUAGACUGCUCCUCAGCAUCUUUGGUGUUGAUCUUGGGGACCUUCUUGGCGGCGGCUUCGGGGAGCUCUGCCGGAAAGUAGUCACCAGAAAUCAACUUCCUCUUCUUGCUCUGUCCAGUUGAUGGUGUUACGGAUGGUUGAGUCAGCUUGAGCACAAAGAUCCAUGGUUCCACAGGUAACUUUAGUGCGGCGCACUUCGACAGGCCAUCGGCAAUGUUGUUCUGAGCUCUCGGAACAUGUUCCAUUUGCAGGCCGUCAAAGUGCUCUUCUAGCUUCCUCACUUCAUCAACGUAAGCUUCCAUCAACGGACUCUGAUAAUUCUUGUUCACUUGGCGGACGACGAGCUGCGAGUCACCCCUGACAAUGAGCUUCUUGAUCCCAAGGUCUGUUGCGAUCCUGAGACCGGCAAGCAAACCUUCAUACUCUGCAGUAUUGUUUGUUGCUUGCUCCUUGGGAAAGUGCAUAUGGACUACGUACUUGAGGUGCUCUCCGGUGGGUGCAACAAGUAGCACGCCGGCACCGGCGCCUUGCAGCGAGAAGGCACCAUCAAAGUACAUCAGCCACUCUUUGCUUGCUUCCUUGACGGGGAUGCUCGUUUCUGGACUUUCCUCAUCUGGUGUUGGCGUCCACUCUGCUAUGAACUCUACCAAUGCCCUGCUUUGGAUAGUUGAAGUGCUUUCAAACUUGAGGCCAAAGCUUGAUAGUUCCAGUGCCUACUCGACAAUCCUGCCUGUCGCUUCCGGAUUCUGCAGUAUCCUCUUCAGCGGAAAGCGAGUGACGACUGUGAUCUCGUGUGCUUGGAAGUAAUGGCGCAGCUUUCUCGAGGCCAUGAGGAGGCCAAAAAGCUAUUUCUGCACACCAGAGUACCUUGACCUAGCCCCCUGCAGAAGGGAACUGACAAAGUAAACUGGGCGCUGCACCGUUCUCUUCUGCAUCUCUUCCCGCGUCUACGUAGAUCCAUCUUUGUCGGGACCAGAGCUUGCCGGCGAAGUCCCUUGCUUGUCGCUGGAUGUACUUGUCGUGGUUGCUGGCUCAUCAUCCGCCUCCCUCUCUGCUACUAACACAGCACUAACCACUUGAUUGGUUGCCGCUAUAUACAGCAGCAACUUCUCUUGUGGCUUAGGUGCGACAAGUAUUGGAGUGGAGGACAGGUAUUUCUUCAAGUCCUGCAGCGCAGCCUCCGCUUACGGAGUCCAUUUUAUUGGACCUGCCUUUUUCAAUAUUUUGAAAAAUGGCAAGGCGCGCUCAGCAGACAUAGAAAUAAACCUGCUGAGAGCAGCCACACAACCGGCAAGUCUUCGUACAUCCUUGACGCGCUUUGGUGCUUCAAUCUGCUCAAUGGCCUUGAUCUUAUCGGGAUUGGCUUCAAUUCCCCGCUGAGACACAAAGAAUCCGAGAAGCUUGCCGGAGGGGACUCCAAACACGCACUUCUCGGGGUUAAGCUUGAGGUUGAUCUUGCGCAGAUUUGUAAAGGUUCCGUCUAAAUCUUGGAUUAGAGUUGCCCUGUUCUUGCUCUUGACCACUAUGUCAUCCAUGUAGGCUUCCACAUUUCUGUGCAUUUGCGGUUCAAAAGCAUCAUGGACUACUCUUGCAAAUGUUGAACCGGCAUUCUUCAAACCAAAAGGCAUCCGUACGAAACAGUAUGUGCCACAUGGGGUGAUGAAUGCGGUCUUCUCCUCAUCCUCUUCUGCCAUGAAGAUCUGAUGAUAUCCUGAGUAUGCGUCAAGAAAUGAAAGAAAGUCACAUCCGGCCGUGGAGUCAACAAUUUGGUCUAUGCGUGGCAAGGGAAAUGGGUCUUUGGGACAAGCUUUAUUAACAUCGGUAAAAUCGAUACAAAGCCUCCACUUCCCGUUUGCCUUGCGCAUGACUACAGGGUUGGCCAACCACGUAGGAUGGAGCACUCCUCUGACAAGGCCUGCUGCUUCCAGUUUCUUGAUUUCUUCAGCGAUAAAUUCUUGGCGCUCCACUGCCUGUUUCCUGACUUUCUGCUUGACGGGCCGCGCGUGAGGACAGACAGCAAGAUGGUGCUCAAUCACUUUCCUGGGAACACCGGGGAUGCCAGACGGUUGCCAUGCAAACACGUCGACAUUCGCCCGUAGGAAAGCAACGAGCGCGCUUUCCUAUUUAGGGUCGAGAGUGGCACUGAUGGUGAAGGUACCACCAGUGCCGUCCUCCUUGGCGGUCACCUUCUUGGUCUCUGGGGGAGCCACCAUUGUCUUCUUACACUUGCCGGUGGAGCUCGAUGGUGCGUCCUCGACGGUAGCGCGGCACUCCGAAGAGGUGCGCUUGCCGGAGUGGGUAUCAGAGCUCUUGCCGGACUUGGUCUUCUUCUUUCCCCCGGGAGCUUCAACGGCAAGUAAUCUGCGAUCUGUUGCGGCUGCUGCUUCCCGGUAGAUCUUGUCGGUGCAGAUAAGGGCAUCCUUCUUGUUGCCAGGGACAGAGAUGACACUUAUCGGGCCUGGCAUCUUCAGUACGUUGUAUGCAUAGUGAGAGGCCGCCAUGAAUUUGGCGAGUGCUGGACGGCCGAGUAUCCCAUUGUAGGGCAAUGGAAAGUCAGCAACGUCAAAAGUGACCCUCUCAGUCCUGAAGUUCAGCUCGCUGCCAAAUGUUACCAACAACGUGAUCUUUCCCUUCAGCUUGCUCCUUCCCGGAUUGAUUCCUUGGAAUGUGCCGGUCUCUUCGAGCUCGCUGUCAGGGAUCUGGAGUUUCUGGAGUACCGCGAAGGAGAUCAGGUUCAAGCCGGCCCCGCCGUCAACUAGCAUCUUAGUAACCUUGAGGUUGCGGAUAGUUGGUGAAACCAACAGCGGCAAGCACCCGACCGCAGUUAUGCGAUCAGGGUGGUCCUCAAUAUCAAAGAUGAUAGGCGUGCUGGACCAUUUCAGUGGCCUGCGUGACUCGACUGGUGGUUCUGACGCAUUGACUUCCCGCACCCAUUGCUUGAGUUGGCGGUGUGAAGUAUGCAGAGAAGCACCGCCGUCAACGCACAGGACCUUUGUGGCUUUCUGAAACUCCUGCUCAUCGGCCUCGUCAUCAUCCAUAUCUUCAUCGUCGUCGUCAUCUUCAUCCUUGUCGCGGCCGCGGGGAGGUCUGUCUCCUUGCCGCUGCUUGGCCUUGCCGCAGCGCCCUCCUCGGCCGGGGCGUUUCUUGCCGGAUCCUCCAGCACCUUCCUGGCCCUUCUCCUUGUCGCGCCGCUCGUAUUCAGCCUUCUGCUGCUCAACAAGCUGCUCGACCUUCUUGUAGCUCUGGAGGUCAUGGCCCUUAGUGCGGUGGAUCUUGCAGUACUGCCUGUUGGUGCUGUCCUGCUUGUCGGCAACCGCCACAGCCUGAUGGGUGGUGCCUGCGGCAACCUGCUUGCCGGAGCUACCAGCUUUGGCUUCCUUGCCGGACUGUUCAACGACUAGCACCUCUUUGCCCUUCUUUUUCCUGUUGUUCCGCCGUCGGUUUUUCUUUGCCGGGGCAGCGUCCUCGCUAUCAGAUCCUCCUGCUCCUGUGGUUUCUCCGGGGAGUUUCCUCCCUUCUUCAGCACGUGCACACUUGUCGGCCAGGGCAUAGAGCUCAUUGACGUCUCUGAUCUUGCACAUCGCCAUCUCUUCCCGCAUCCUGCGGUUUCGCACAUUCUGGUGGAACGUGCUGGUUACCGCGGCAGGGUAGACAUCUGGGAUGUUGUGCUGCACGCGGCUGAAUCUCUGAAUGUACUUGCGCAGGGGCUCUCCUUCCUUCUGGGCGAGCAAAUCAAGAUCGCUCUCUUGGCCAUGAGGCUUGUGGCCGCCUGUAAAGGCGCCGACAAACUGAUGACACAAGUCAGCCCAGGAGGAUAUGGAGUUGUCCGGCAAGUGCAUGAGCCAGGAUCUGACAUUGGGCUUGAGCACCAGCGAGAAGUAGUUGGCAAGGAUCUUGUCAUCCCGUCCCCCGGCAGCCUGCACCGCGAUGGUGUAGAUGCUGAGGAACUCCGACGGAUGCGUCUUGCCGUCAUACUUCUCUGGCACAUCUGGUCUAAAAUUCUUCGUGCUGGGCCACUGGACUUGCCGCAGCUCACGAGUGAACGCAGGGCAACCUACCGCGUACAGCAAGUCGCCUGGUUCCCCUGGCGCAUGCAUGUCGACAGAGGGCCCAGCACACUUGUCGGAUUGAUGUCGCGCUUCUCUUUGGCGCUCGAUGCGAGUACGAGCAUCUUCUUGCUAUCGUUCAUGAAGAACUUGGCGUUGAUCGCGACGAGCUCGUGGAUCCGAUGACGCGGUGGAGUCGCUGUCGAUGUGGACCCGGCGAGCUGGCGAUCUUGGCCUUUGAGGUGGAGAAAGCAUGGUGGUUGCAUCUCCACCAGUUUCGUCACCACCGGCCCGUGCCUGGUGGUCUUGUCACGGCAGCAACGUAUUCGGCUGCCGCGGAGUGUCUCCGUUGGCGAAGCCGAUGAGACUCUGAAUAGUGGCCCUCCAUUGGUCGAUCUUUUCUUCCGCUGGAGGGUAAUCCAGGAGCAGUUGAGCUCGUGCCAAAGCUUCUGCUGGAGUUGUGGGUGGCAGUGGCGAACGGUGCGAGGAGCGGGAUAUGCUCGGACUUCUAACUACGUUAGAAGGAGCAGUAUCCUGUCCAGGCGACCGUGCCUCGCUCGUGCCAGCACGUUGGCGUGCAUGCUGGUCUUGAGCACCCCGAGAUCCACCAGCUUGAUCUUGGUCCAACAAGCGUAUGGUACUGCGAAUACCGUGACGCUGUUGGUCCUGCGCCUCCUGAGAUGGGCGCGGUGCAUGUACGGACGCCGAGGUUUGCGCAGCCUUGUCCUUGGACCUGGUAGCACUGUGAGCUCCCUCGUCGAUGUCCGUUCUUCCGCCAUCAUCGUCCCCACCACCCGCUUGCUCUGGUGGUGGUAGGAUCGACGUGGACGGAGCAGUUGCCACCGAAGUCUUCUUCUUCGGUGGCAUGUCGAUGAAGAAGAUGAAGAUCUAGCCCGUGUGAACGCCGGAUCGGAUUCACACAAUCUCGACGCCCCCUACCUGGCGCGCCAAAGGUGUCGGGGAAGCUGAUCCACGAACACCUAUGGGACCGGCGGACCGAGCCCCUUUCGGUUCGGCGGGGGGCGGAGCUCGCACGAAGAGCGGAUCGAGGCGGAGCACAUGAGCAGUUUACCCAGCUUCGAAGCUCUCUGGAGAGAUAAUACUCCUACUGCUACUUGUUUGAUUGUAUUCUGUUCUUGCUCCAGAGAGCUAAAUGUGUUUCUGGCUUCCGAAUGAAUCGAACCUUCGAACCCCCUUCUAUGUUGCACGUGGGCCUCCUUUUAUACGCUAAAGGGGUCACCGACAGGUGGCAACGUAGACAAGGGUAAAAACGUAAAAAGAGUUGCGGUUGGUACAGCUACCUGCACAGUGUAUUCUACCUAACCCUGACGGCAGGGGACAAGGGCAUUAAAUGCCCGUCUGUGUCGCCCGAACAGUGCAGAAAAGGACCGUUAGGGACACCACCGCUCGCCACGAUGGCGAUCUUGUCAGCGUUGCAUGCCACCACACACCGCUGGCAGCACAGCCUCUCGCCACGCGCGCCUGUGAAGGCCCCAGGGCGACACGUUGGUGGAUGUGCUGGAGCGUAGGUAUAGGGUGGUUUCUUGCCGCGGCAAGCGCCUUGCCGCGGUCGUUGCCUUGUCGCACCUAGAAGCUUGUCGUUCACCGGGCCUUGCCGGGACGCGUGGCGCGUCGUGGCAAGUUCCUUGAGAUGCCUUGGUUGGCCUUCCCGGCAAGCUCCUCUUGUCGGGGUCUUGUCUCUUGGCUCGAAUACUUUGUUCUUGAAUGGCUCCAAAGGAGCCACAGAGGAUCUUGGCGGUCGCCCGGCAAGCCUUGUCGCGGGGUGCUGCAACUGCCCGUGCACAAGUUCGGGUACUAGGGUACCCCUACUCUAGUACACCGACACCUAUAUACAUGAUCAUGCCUAGAUAAUCUCAUAAUUAUUCACUUUUCUAUCAAUUGCUCGAUAGUAAUUUGUUCACCCACCAUAAUACUUAUGCUAUCUUGAGAGAAGCCACUAGUGAAACCUAUGGCCCCCGGGUCUAUCUUUUAUCAUAUAAGCUUUCAAUCUAAUUUUAUUUGCAUCUUUACUUUUCCAAUCUAUAUUAUAAAAUACCAAAAAUAUAUUUAUCUUGUCAUAUUAUCUCUAUCAGAUCUCACUUUCGCAAGUGGACUUGAAGGGAUUGACAACCCCUUUAUUGCGUUGGUUGCGACUUCUUGUUUGUUUGUGUAGGUGCGUGGGACUUUUGAGGAGCCUCCUACUGGAUUGAUACCUUGGUUCUCAGAAACUGAGGGAAAUACUUACGCUACUAUUGCUGCAUCACCCUUUCCUCUUGAAGUAAAACCAACGCAAGCUCAAGACGUAGCACCUUGCUGCCCCUGCUGUCACUGGGAAAGGACACCACAAGAUUGAAUCCAAAGCUAAGCACUUCUCCCAUUGCAAGAAAGAUCAAUCUAGUAGGCCAAACCAAAAUGAUAAUUCAAAGAGACUUGCAAAGAUAACCAAUCAUACAUAAAAGAAUUCAGAGAAGAUUCAAUUAUUUCUCAUAGAUAAACUUGAUCAUAAACCCACAAUUCAUCGGUUCUCGACAAACACACCACAAAAAGAGUUACAUCGAACAGAUCUCCAAGAAGAUCGAGGAGAACUUUGUAUUGAGAUUCAAAGAGAGAGAAGAAGCCAUCUAGCUAAUAACUAUGGACCCAAAGGUGUGUGGUAAACUACUCACAACUCAUCGGAGAGGCCUUGGAGAUGAUGUAGAGGCCCUCCAUGGUUGAUUCCCCCUCUGGCGGAGCGCUGGCAAAGGCUCCAAGAUGGGAUCUCACGGAUACAGAAGGUUGCGGCGGUGGAAUUAGGUUUUCGUGGUGCUCUUGAUGUUCUCGGGGUACAUGGAUAUAUAUAUAUAGGAGAAUGAAGUAGGUCGGUGGAGCCAUGAGGGGCCCACAAGGGUGGGGGGCACGCCCACCCCCCUAGGGUGCCUCGUUUACUUUUUAGUGUCCACUCCAAGUCUCCUGGUUUGCAUUUGUUCCAAAAAGAACGCUCCCGAAGGUUUCAUCCCGUUUGGACUCCGUUUGAUAUUCCUUUUCUUUGAAACACUGAAAUAGGUAAAAAAACAACAAUUCGGGUUGGGCCUCCGGUUAGUAGGUUAGUCCCAAAAAUGAUAUAUAAGUGUAUAGUAAAGCCUAUAAACAUCCAAAACAGGUCAUAUAAUAGCAUGGAACAAUCCAAAAUUAUAGAUACAUUGGAGACGUAUCACAAUCCCUUCAUGGUCACUUGCAAAAGUGAGAUCUAAUAGAGAUAAUAAAGUAAAUAUUUUUGGUAUUUUUGUUGUAUAGAUUGGAAAGUAAAGAUUGCAAAAUAGUAAACGAGAUGUUAUGUAUAUAAAAGAGAUGUAAUAUAAUAGGAAAGAGACCCGGGGGCCAUAGGUGUCACUAGUGGCUUCUCUCAAGAUAGCAUGUAUUACGGUGGGUGAACAAAUUACUGCCGAGCAAUUGAUAGAAGAGCGCAUAAUUAUGAAGUCAUCUAAGGCAAUGAUCAUGAACAUAGGCAUCACGUCCGUGUCAAGUAGACCGAAACGAUUCUGCAUAUACUACUACUACUACUCCACACAUCGACCGCUAUCCAACAUGCAUCUAGAGUAUUAAGUUCAUAAGAAUGGGGCAACACAUUAAGCAAGAUUACAUGAUGUAGAGGGAUAAGCUCAAGCAAUAUGAUAUAAACCCCAUCUUUUUAUCCUCGAUGGCAACAAUACAAUAUGUGCCUUGUUGGCCCUACUGUCAUUGGGAAAGGACACCGCAAGAUUGAACCGAAAGCUAAGCACUUCUCCCAUUGCAAGAAAGAUCAAUCUAGUAGGCCAAACUAAACCAAUAAUUCGAAGAGACUUGCAAAGAUAUCAAAUCAUGCAUAUAAGAAUUCAGAGAAGAACGAAAUAAUAUUCAGAGAUAAUCUUAUUCAUAAAUCCACAAUUCAUCGGAUCUCGUCAAACACAUCACAAAAGAAUUACAUCGUAUAGAUCUCCAAGAACAUCAAGGAGAACUUUGUAUUGAUAAUCAAAGAGAGAGAAGAAGCCAUCUAGCUAAUAACUAUGGACCCGAAGGUCUAUGGUAAACUACUCACGCUUCAUUGGAGAGGCAAUGGUGUUGAUAUAGAAGCCCUCCGUGAUCGAUUCCCCCUCCGGCAGAUCACCAGAAAAGCCCCCAAGAUGGGAUCUCACGGGUACAGAAGGUUGCGGCGGUGGAAAAGUGGUUUCGUGGCUCCCCCUGAUGUUUUUAGGGUAUAAGAGUAUAUAUAGGCGAAAGAAGAACGUAGGUGGAGCUACGAGGGGGGCACGAGGGUGGGGGGCGCGCCCUCCUUCCUCGUGGCCUCCUUGUAGAGUCCCAGACUUCAACUCCAAGUCUUCUGGAUUGCUUUUGGUCCAAGAAAGAUCCUCACGAAGGUUUCAUUCUGUUUGGACUCCGUUUGGUAUUCCUUUUCUGCAAAACUCUAAAAUUGGCAAAAAACAGAAACUCGCACUAGGCCUCCGGUUAAUAGGUUAGUCCCAAAAAUAAUAUAAAAGAGCAUAUUAAAGCCCGUUAAACACCCAAAACAGAUAAUAUAAUAGCAUGGAACAAUAAAAAAUUAUAGAUACGCUGGAGAUGUAUGAAGCAUCCCCAAGCUUAAUUCAUGUUCGUCCUCGAGUAGGUAAAUGAUAAAAACAGAAUUUUUGAUGUGGAAUGCUACCUAGCAUAUUUAUCAAUGUAAUUUUCUUUAUUGUGGCAUGAAUGUUCAGAUCCAAAAGAUUCAAGACAAAAUAUUAAUAUUGUCAACAAAUAAUAAUACUUCAAGCAUACUAACAAGGUAAUCAUGUCUUCUCAAAAUACAUGAGCGUGACCCAUGGACAUGGCACUAUAGGUGGAAUAUAAUGGUGGUUGUGGAGAGGACAAAAAGGAGAAGAUAGUCUCACAUCAACUAGGCAUAUCAACGGGCUAUGGAUAUGCCCAUCAAUAGAUAUCAAUGUGAGUGAGUAGGGAUUGCCAUGCAAUGGAUUCACUAGAGCUAUAAGUUUAUGAAAGCUCAACAAAAGAAACUAAGUGGGUGUGCAUCCAACUUGCUUGCUCACGAAGACCUAGGGCACUUUUGAGGAAGCCCAUCAUUGGAAUAUACUGUCACAUCCCUAGCUUCUGGCAUUGCUCUAGGUUAGCUUCAUGUGUGCAUCAUGUCUAUAUUUUUGAAAACUUGAAUUGAGGAAUAUUGGAAGCCUCAAAACCCUAAAUAAAAGAAGGGCAAGCACCCUUUAAAAUUGCAUUCUGUGAAUCCAAAAUGCCCUAAAAAUAGUUUUGUGAAUUUUGGCAAGAGUUAUAUAUCAAACCAAAAUUCUGGAAUAUUUUUAAGGAAUUAUUUGGUCUCUGAAUUUAAAUCAAUAAUCUAUUUGAAUUUGGGGAUAUAUUCAUAAUAUAUAAUGAAUAUAUUUGCAAAUGCUUUGAAAUGUUUUAUGUACUUUUGGAAUAGUCCAGAGAGGUAACAUAAAAUAUUUCAGAAUGUUUUGGCACUGUAAGAAAUUAUUUUGAAUUUGAAAACAGUGGCAAAAUAAAAUAAAAAGGGAAACAGAACAGGAAAAAAUAAAAAGAGAGAAGGAAGUACCUGGCCUCACCCGUGCAGCCCAGCCGGCCCAGCUCCUCCAGCGGCCCAGCCCACCUGGCCCCCUUCUCCUGUCUUCUUCCCGUGCCAGCGCACGAAGCAGCUGCAUGCUGGACGCACGCGCGCCGACGCCGGCCACCUCCUGCUUCGCCGUGGCAGCCUCCCCGACCCCCUCGCGACGCCACGGAGACGGCCUCGACCCCCCUCGACCGCCUCUCUCUCUCUGGACCCCCUCCUCCUCCUCUGUUCUCCCUCCCUCUCGUCACCGAACGCACCUGGGAGCGCCGCUCGCCGUAGCCAUGACCACGGCCACCCCCUCCCCUCUCCGACGUGCUCCCGAGCUCCUGCACCUCGUCGCCAACCCCCUCACCGAGCCACGUGACCGGAAGGGCCCCGAGCAGCCGCCAUCGUCAUCAUCUCCGAGCUUCGGCCCCGGUGCCGUCUCCGUCGGAUUCGGCCACUCCGGCGCGCCCCCGAGCCCACUGACCCUCCCUACAGCUCCGCGGUGAGCCUCCGUGCAGAACCCCUCUCUCUCCCCUCGCGUUUGCGAGCUCUAGGCCAUAGCCCCGUCGCGGCCGAACUCCGGCCGCCGCUGACCAUGUCGCCGCCGUGGCCUGAGCUCGAACGGGUCACGCCCGUGCAUCUCACCGAGCUCGUGGUGACUCCAGGAGGCUGCGCAGUGCUUUACCUCACUCGCCCGUGCUCCACAACGCCGUUUUCGCCGAGGUCCGAACUCCGGCGCCGCCUCGGGCUCCAUUCCGGAGAACCCCGGCCACCCCGCACCUCCCGUUGGCCCCCCUAGAUGCGCACGGGCACGGGCUACCUUCUGGUGCCCUUCGCGCGUCCAGCCGCCGCCCGUAGCGCAACCCCGGUGAACUUCCGCCGCGUUUCGGGUCGCCGCCGGCCGAACUCCGGUGGCCAGUGACGUGGCGCUGUCAUUAGCACUAAUGGCCCUGUUAAACUAACCCCGUGACACUGACAGUGGGCCCCGUAGCGGGUCAAAGCCCGGGUCAACGCGGGAUUAGCCCCUGUGUCACUGACGUGUGGACCCCCACACGUCAGGUUUGACCUGGACCGCCCGUUGACCUGCUGAGGUCAGCAUGAGGUCAUGCUGACGCCAUAAUUCAUUUUCUGGAAUUAUUUUAAUUCUAAAUAUUCAGGAAAUUCCAGAAAAUGCCUAAAACUUCAAUAAAUCAUAGAAAAUUAACCGUAACUCCAAAUUAAAUAAUUUAUAUAUGAAAAAUUAUCAGAAAAAUUCAAGGAAUCCAUCUGUACCAUUUUCAUGCAUGUUAGAACAACUUAUCACUACUGUUUAGGACAAAUGAAGUGAAUGACAUUUAAAUAAUCACAUAUGGAGUUUGAAUUUGAAUCUUGUAUUCAAACCAACCCCAUUUAAUCUGUUGCUAGUUGCAUUAGCCCAAAACACAUUCAUUUUGCCAUGUCAUGAUCAUGCAUCAUAUUGUGCAUUGCAUUGAUUGUGUUCCCUUCUGUGUUGCCGGUAUUUGUCCCCUCUCGAUAGACGCGAUACCGAUGAUGUGAUCGUUGACACUGAUGAAGACUCAAUGUUAUCUUCAGAAGUGCCGGACAAGCAAAACCCCCUUGUUCAUUCCGAUACAAUCCCACUCUCUCGCUCCUGCUCUCUUUUACUGCAUUAGGACAACACCGUUUCAACUGUUACAUGCUGCGGUAGUUGAACCCCUUUUAUCCUCUGCAUGACCUGUCAUUGCCACAGUAAAUAGAUGAAACCCACUAGCAUGAGUAGGAGUUGUUUGAGCCCUGUUGUGCCUACUCAUUCAUGUUUGUUUGUCAUGCCUGCUACUGCUUAGAGUUGAGUCAGGUCUGAUUCAUCGGGGAUGAAUCAGAGGUGUGUGAACAUGUCCUACGGUGUGUGAGGUAAGCGUGUGAACACGAUUUGGUAAAGGUAGCGUUGAGAGGCCAUGUAGGAGUACAUGGUGGGUUGUCUCAUUGCAGCCGUCCUCAGGAACUGAGUUCUGUGUUUGUGAUCCAUGAUUCAGCUACUACCACACAUUGGGCCCGAAACCAAUGGACCCUCUCGGCUUCUUAAUCACCCUUGUCCUCUGUCCAGGAGUUGCAAGUAGUUUCUGGUGUUUGUAGUAUGCUGGAGGCCGUGCGCAGCGCUGACCGUAGGGGUGGGCUGUGAUGCGGUAGGCACGUGGCACGGUGUACCGGGCGCCCGUUUGGUGUAUCGGGAACCCUGUUCACAUCGUUUGGGGCUGUGACCGAAACUCCGGCCGGAUCUCCUCAUGGAUGGAACCCGAAUAGGCGAUAAACCUGGACUAGAGACUUGAGUGUUUAGGUAGGCCGUGGCCGACACCCACGUUGGGCUUCCGCUUGAAGGUUGCCGAGUACAUGUCGUGUAAACGGCGGUAAGUGGUGAGAGCGUGUGUGAAGAAGUACACCCCUGCAGGGUUAAUAUGAUCUAUUCGAAUAGCCGUGUCCGCGGUAAAGGACUUCUGGGUUGCUUAUAUCAGUUCAUAGACAAGUGAAAGUGGAUACUCUAAAAUACACAAGAUAAGCGUGAGUGCUAUGGAUGGCAUUCUCGUAGGGAGACGGGAGCGGUUCCAUAGUGGUGUAUUGGUUGGUGAAUAUGUGGACUCGUGUGCGCCACCUCAAAAGAGUUACUUGCAGUCGUAGUUCAGGAUAGCCACCGAGUCAAAGCUGGCUUGCUGCAGUUAAACCCCACCAUCCCUUUGUUGAUAAUGAUGCAUAUGAAGAUAGUUCUGAUGUAAGUCUUGCUGGGUACAUUUGUACUCACGUUUGCCUAUUUUAUGUUUUUGCAGAGAGACUUCGGUCUCGCUAGUAGUUCCACGUGGACUUCGACGUUUAGCUUGAUACCUCAGCUACGAUCUUGUGCCCCGGCAGGAUCUGGUAGAUAGUCAGGCUUCUCAGCCUUUUUCAUUUAUAGAUGUCUGUACUCAGACAUGAUAGCUUCCGCUUGUGCUUUGACUUGUAUGCUCUGAUUGUUGGGUCAUGAGACCCAUGUUUGUAAUAUCUCGCUCCUCGGAGCCUAUUGAUUAAAAUACUUGAUUUAUAGAGUCAUGUUGUGAUGCCAUGUUGUAUUUGCACAUAUCGAGCAUAUUGUGUGUAUGUUAUUGAAAUGCUUGGUAUGUGUGGGAUCUGACCAUCUAGUUGUUUAUCUUUAGUAGCCUCUCUUAUGGGGAAAUGUCUCCUAGUGUUUCCACCGAGCCAUGGUAGCUUGCUACUUCUCUGGAACACUUAGGCUGGCCGGCAUGUGUCCUUCUUCGUUCCUGUGUCUGUCCCUUCGGGAAAAUGUCACGCGGUGAAUACCGGAGUCCUGUUAGCCCGCUACAGCCCGGUUCACCGGAGUCCUGCUAGCCCAGUGCUACAGCCUGGAUUCACUCGCUGAUGACCGACACGUUCGAUGCUGGGUCAUGGAUGCCUGUCCCUGUAAGUCUGUGCCGCUUUGGGUUUACGACUAGCCAUGUCAGCCCGGGCUCCUUAUCAUAUGGAUGCUAGCGACACUGUCAUAUACGUGUGCCAAAAGGCGCAAACGGUCCCGGGCAAAGGUAAGGCGACACCCGUGGGAAUACCGUGCGUGAGGCCGCAAAGUGAUAUGAGGUGUUACAUGCUAGAUCGAUGUGGCAUUGAGUCGGGGUCCUGACAGCGUUGGUAUCAGAGCUUGACUGCCUGUAGGAUUACCAAGCCAAACUGGUCGAAGUUGAGUCUAGAAAUUCUUUAGUUAUGUAAGGGAAUUGAUUGUGGGAUGGAACGUAAGGCUCUUUUUACUCCUUUACCUCAUGCCCUUCUGAUCUGAGUCAUCAUCUUCUCUUCUACGGGGAUUAAGAACUAGGCUAUCCCUUCUUUCUAUUAGGAUCACGUGUUACUAAUCAGUGGACUUAUAAGAUUGUUGGAUUUAAGUCUCAGUUCAGUUCCUACUACUUCCGUAUGUUAAUUGUUGAUCUCGAAACCUUGAUAUUGUGCUUCUGAGUGGUUAUGCCACCAUUUUUGUGAAUGUCUCAAAUCUUUUCUGAGCAUUUACAGCCGUUAUGCUGUCCGAGUCAUUCCAGGUUUCUAAAUAGUCUGAUGCAUUUGCAAAAUCCUUUCCCUCUAGUUUCGAUGUUCCUUUAUGCCAGCUCAAUCACACUAAUUGUUGAGUUGAGGUAUUCUAUUGCCUUGACAUUAUGUUGGAGUUACUAUUAUGACCCUAGGUGUCUCAGGGGAUCAUCUAGUAGUCCAGCCAUGAUUUAUGUUCCAGUGUGAUGACUCUGGCCGUCAUUAUCGAAAGCAUCCCGUGAUGCCAUUUAGUAGUAGGUAUUCUAUCCCUAGGUUUGAACCCGAGAUUCACCCUACUUACUUCAUGUUGAUAGUUUUGCUCGUUCCUUUAGGAUAUUAGCAACCUUUGCGAUAGUCCUUGAAGUCCGUGGUAUCUUCUUCUUCCAAAUACCAUGAACUACUUAUGGCAGAAGUUCCUCGUUGAACUGAAAUAUCACAACAGGAUUAUUCUUGAGGAGUUCUCCAUUCAUAAAUCGUGACUCUGCCAGUUCUACCUUUCUGCAUGGGUUAUCCGGAAGAAUUAUGUUGAACUCGGUUCGACAUACUAAUUUAUGCAUCCACAACUCAGAAAGUUAUAUGUUCCUUUGAGUUGUCCCUCUUUAGUUGUCUACUGACCUUCGUCUAUCAAUUGAUAGUCAAGAGUAUGCGUGCAUUCAUUCAUCGAUGCCUGUUACUCUUGUGGUCCGUCAAGCCAUUCUGUCCUGAAUGACUUGGAGAAACAAACUCCAGUACCUCAUCCAUAUCUAGGAUUGGGUCAAAGUAGUUGUAUUCCGCAGAUCAAAUGCCAAUCCAGCUUUUGGUUCUGUUCUACCCUGAAGUAUUACCUUCUUUAUGACAGGAAUUUCAUGAGAAUUGCACCACCUUUUGUGAAUUCUUGACAUAGUGAUACUUCUCGCCAUCCUUUUUCAUUCCUCGGUUCCGUGUUGUUGCAGCCGGAGCGCCGACAGGUGAAUUGUGAUGUGUGAAAUCAAUACUCCCAGCAACCUCGUUGCUUGGUAGUUAAAGGGUAAUAAUUUCAAUCUUAGCAUGUUGGGUUUUAAAUCAUCCCUCUAAGACUGAUCGUGCUACCUAGUCCUUAUUUCGGUGCACCCCUCGAUUGAUGAGAUAGGAUUUGCUAAGUCCUCACUCAUUUGAUCAUAUCGUCUUGCCCUCAAAAGCGAGAUUGUUCUCGAGCUUAGUAACAUACCGGUGGUUCGUGAUUUUCCAAAUAUCUUCUCGAAAGUAUCACCAGGCUGUCACCUGACUGUUAUGUUGAGCUCGUGAUCAAGUUGGUUUCUUGUGAACCACCUUCUCUCCAAGAAUCGGUGUUAGAUAUCCCUGAGCUAGUUGGUUAAGCUAGACAACAACUUGGAGAGUUGGAAGAUAAAAGCUUGCCGACUUAGUUCGUUCCAAAGGGAUAUUCUUGUGUAGUGUGUGUUGAAGAAAGAUGAUAUCUUCAUCGAUUGGUCCUUGUGAUCAGUUGCUGGACCUAUUGCCUUAUCAAUCCUUUGAUUUGAGUGUGGGCUAUCGUCAAAUCAAAUCAGUACCAACGAUGCUCGUAAUGUUGUCCUACUCGUGGUUGAUCCCUCGAGCAUACACCAUUACAUCUUUGGUCUGACCAAUGCUAUCACCGUGUUCACAUGAUGGUGGAAGUCCAGUGAUAUGGAAAUUCCGAUGAGUUGCUGUUGAGCCCAUCAGUAGCAUUUUGUCUGCCCCCAUGAAUCAUGUUGAACAUCAACCUAGUGUUGGAAACUUGUGUAAGCAUUUCUUCGUGUUUCGUUCAUGAAGCAUAUGUUUGAAUGAAAGUAGUGAUUUUCCCUAAUUCAUGUGCAUAUGAUGCAAGUUGCCGCCAUGAAUUUGAGGAAGAUUGUUUUGUUUCCCUGGAAUCAUUCCAAAUUAGUCAUGCACACGUGCGAAGUAUUCUGUGGUCUGGAGACUUGCAACCUUCAUUCCAUAUGUGUCCCGAGCACACCAAGCCACUGAUUGAUUUGUUCAAGGGGAAGAAGUUCCUUCAUAAGAGCUAAUCAUAUGACUUAUGCAAGGACUUCGUUAUCCACGGUGAUGGUUCCCAACCAGAACUCGGUAGUGUUUUAUUGUAAGACUACCACGUGGUCAUGCUUGUCCGGGACAACGUGUUCACAUGUUUGUAGCAGAACCAGCUCAUGUUUUGGAGCUUACUAUCGUAGUUCAUUUCCCGAGAAUCUCGCAACGUCAUCUCGUCGAUUUGUGUUGCAAACUUUCAUUUUUCUUUCUAGACUUGAUGAGUCUGGGAUAUCCUGACACGAACCAGAUCUGAAUCUCAGGCAGAUAUGAUGGUUGGAACAUUCUCCAAGAACUAUAAUAUUGGUCCCUCGAUAACCGGUAAAGUGGAUGUCGUGGCCAACACACCCAGCCGGAAGACCUGUUAUUAUAAUAUCUUGAUUGAGGAAGUUGGCCACCUCCCCAUAGGGAUUUCGUAGGAUUUACUCCCUAGUUGCCCCUAUGGAUUUUGAGAUCCCGAAGUCCGACCUUUUACUUGAUGUCCUAGAUACUAGACCAUUUCUAUGAAUGGGUUACACUAGCACAUCAAGGAGAACAUUAGAAGCAGAGUGCUAAAUGUUUCUCGGUCGAUCAUCCAGAUUUUGUUUCCUUGGCCUCGCUAAGAUGAAAUCUGAGAAGGUGUUAUCUUUCUUUGCAUCUACAUCCUCCAUCAUCAUUCAUCAUGGUAGCAAGUUGUGUUGCCGGACCCUUGACACGGAUGUUGGUAAAACCUUGAUGAAUAUGGAAAUGCUCAAGUUCUUGAGAGCACGCACAAGCGUUACGUGUUAUCAUCGGCUCUAACUGGGAUUACUCUCAGUUUCCUCGGCAAUGCUAUGACCUCUUCAAACAGUGAAUUCACUCCCUAUUGUUGGGUUCUUCCCCAGUUACCAGAAUCAUUCCUAGCAUUUGCAUUUUGUUCCUAGCUUGCACCGCCAAUGUGCCAUUCUACCAUGGGUCUCUUCCAUUUCCGGUGAUAAGCAAAUUCAUCCAUUACGUUGUCUUCAACAAGGUAAUCCACAUCAUCCAAGUCCGAGUAUGCCAUUCUACCGACCCCCUCCAAACGAUCGCUCGAGAAUUGCCUUAGGCUGGUUUAAAGAGUUUCAAUGAUCUCUGAAUCAAAAGUAAUUCUUUUUGCCACUUAAGGGGAUAUCUCUACGAGUCACCUUCCGUAAGGUGUAUCGUUAUGGUAUCAUGGCAACUCAACUCCUCGCUACGUUGACAAUCGUUUACCACCUUCUUAGGUAUAAAAUUGUUGUCUACCUAGUGAACCUUCGUCAUCCGUUUCUUCCACCCCUAUUGAUGUGUAUCUCGUGUCUCAACCCGAAAGAUGGUUCUAUGUCUCAUUCCGUAAGUUAAUCUUGAGUUGUUCGAUCUUCGAGGAGAUCGACCCUUCUAGAGUCUCCUUCUUCCCCCCCCUGUCAUGUUGACAGGAUUUCUCAGAGCAAGACGACAAGACAAAGAUGGUGUUCAAAUCAACGUUCAUUUGAAGUGCACCCUGGAUCGUGAACAUUAUACUAGUUGUGUUUCCCCUUCACCUUACCCUACGCUUGAAUCUCGAGACGAGAUUCUUGUUUAGUGGGGGUGAGUUGUCACAUCCCUAGCUUCUGGCAUUGCUCUAGGUUAGCUUCAUGUGUGCAUCAUGUCUAUAUUUUUGAAAACUUGAAUUGAGGAAUAUUGGAAGCCUCAAAACCCUAAAUAAAAGAAGGGCAAGCACCCUUUAAAAUUGCAUUCUGUGAAUCCAAAAUGCCCUAAAAAUAGUUUUGUGAAUUUUGGCAAGAGUUAUAUAUCAAACCAAAAUUCUGGAAUAUUUUUAAGGAAUUAUUUGGUCUCUGAAUUUAAAUCAAUAAUCUAUUUGAAUUUGGGGAUAUAUUCAUAAUAUAUAAUGAAUAUAUUUGCAAAUGCUUUGAAAUGUUUUAUGUACUUUUGGAAUAGUCCAGAGAGGUAACAUAAAAUAUUUCAGAAUGUUUUGGCACUGUAAGAAAUUAUUUUGAAUUUGAAAACAGUGGCAAAAUAAAAUAAAAAGGGAAACAGAACAGGAAAUAAUAAAAAGAGAGAAGGAAGUACCUGGCCUCACCCGUGCAGCCCAGCCGGCCCAGCUCCUCCAGCGGCCCAGCCCACCUGGCCCCCUUCUCCUGUCUUCUUCCCGUGCCAGCGCACGAAGCAGCUGCGUGCUGGACGCACGCGCGCCGACGCCGGCCACCUCCUGCUUCGCCGUGGCAGCCUCCCCGACCCCCUCGCGACGCCACGGAGACGGCCUCGACCCCCCCUCGACCGCCUCUCUCUCUCUGGACCCCCUCCUCCUCCUCUGUUCUCCCUCCCUCUCGUCACCGAACGCACCUGGGAGCGCCGCUCGCCGUAGCCAUGACCACGGCCACCCCCUCCCCUCUCCGACGUGCUCCCGAGCUCCUGCACCUCGUCGCCAACCCCCUCACCGAGCCACGUGACCGGAAGGGCCCCGAGCAGCCGCCAUCGUCAUCAUCUCUGAGCUUCGGCCCCGGUGCCGUCUCCGUCGAAUUCGGCCACUCCGACGCGCCCCCGAGCCCACUGACCCUCCCUACAGCUCCGCGGUGAGCCUCCGUGCAGAACCCCUCUCUCUCCCCUCGCGUUUGCGAGCUCUAGGCCAUAGCCCCGUCGCGGCCGAACUCCGGCCGCCGCUGACCAUGUCGCCGUCGUGGCCUGAGCUCGAACGGGUCACGCCCGUGCAUCUCACCGAGCUCGUGGUGACUCCAGGAGGCUGCGCAGUGCUUUACCUCACUCGCCCGUGCUCCACAACGCCGUUUUCGCCGAGGUCCGAACUCCGGCACCGCCUCGGGCUCCAUUCCGGCGAACCCCAGCCACCCCGCACCUCCCGUUGGCCCCCCUAGAUGCGCACGGGCACGGGCUACCUUCUGGUGCCCUUCGCGCGUCCAGCCGCCGCCCGUAGCGCAACCCCGGUGAACUUCCGCCGCGUUUCUGGUCGCCGCCGGCCGAACUCCGGUGGCCAGUGACGUGGCGCUGUCAUUAGCACUAAUGACCCUGUUAAACUAACCCCGUGACACUGACAGUGGGCCCCGUAGCGGGUCAAAGCCCGGGUCAAUGCAGGAUUAGCCCCUGUGUCACUGACGUGUGGACCCCCACACGUCAGGUUUGACCUGGACCGCCCGUUGACCUGCUGAGGUCAGCAUGAGGUCAUGCUGACGCCAUAAUUCAUUUUCUGGAAUUAUUUUAAUUCUAAAUAUUCAGGAAAUUCCAGAAAAUGCCUAAAACUUCAAUAAAUCAUAGAAAAUUAACCGUAACUCCAAAUUAAAUAAUUUAUAUAUGAAAAAUUAUCAGAAAAAUUCAAGGAAUCCAUCUGUACCAUUUUCAUGCAUGUUAGAACAACUUAUCACUACUGUUUAGGACAAAUGAAGUGAAUGACAUUUAAAUAAUCACAUAUGGAGUUUGAAUUUGAAUCUUGUAUUCAAACCAACCCCAUUUAAUCUGUUGCUAGUUGCAUUAGCCCAAAACACAUUCAUUUUGCCAUGUCAUGAUCAUGCAUCAUAUUGUGCAUUGCAUUGAUUGUGUUCCCUUCUGUGUUGCCGGUAUUUGUCCCCUCUUGAUAGACGCGAUACCGAUGAUGUGAUCGUUGACACUGAUGAAGACUCAAUGUUAUCUUCAGAAGUGCCAGGCAAGCAAAACCCCCUUGUUCAUUCCGAUACAAUCCCACUCUCUCGCUCCUGCUCUCUUUUACUGCAUUAGGACAACACCGUUUCAACUGUUACAUGCUGCGGUAGUUGAACCCCUUUUAUCCUCUACAUGACCUGUCAUUGCCACAGUAAAUAGGUGAAACCCACUAGCAUGAGUAGGAGUUGUUUGAGCCCUGUUGUGCCUACUCAUUGAUGUUUGUUUGUCAUGCCUGCUACUGCUUAGAGUUGAGUCAGGUCUGAUUCAUCAGGGAUGAAUCAGAGGUGUGUGAACAUGUCCUACGGUGUGUGAGCUAAGCGUGUGAACACGAUUUGGUAAAGGUAGUGGUGAGAGGCCAUGUAGGAGUACAUGGUGGGUUGUCUCAUUGCAGCCGUCCUCAGGAACUGAGUUCUGUGUUUGUGAUCCAUGAUUCAGCUACUACCACGCAUUGGGCCCGAAACCAAUGGACCCUCUCGGCUUCUUAAUCACCCUUGUCCUCUGUCCAGGAGUUGCAAGUAGUUUCUGGUGUUUGUAGUAUGCUGGAGGCCGUGCGCAGCACUGACCGUAGGGGUGGGCUGUGAUGCGGUAGGCACGUGGCACGGUGUACCGGGCGCCCGUUUGGUGUCUCGGGAACCCUGUUCACAUCGUUUGGGGCUGUGAGCGAAACUCCGGCCGAAUCUCCUCAUGGAUGGAACCCGAAUAGGCGAUAAACCUGGACUAGAGACUUGAGUGUUUAGGUAGGCCAUGGCCGACACCCACGUUGGGCUUCCGCUUGAAGGUUGCUGAGUACAUGUCGUGUAAACGGCGGUAAGUGGUGAGAGCGUGUGUGAAGAAGUACACCCCUGCAGGGUUAAUAUGAUCUAUUCGAAUAGCCGUGUCCGCGGUAAAGGACUUCUGGGUUGCUUAUAUCAGUUCAUAGACAAGUGAAAGUGGAUACUCUAAAAUACGCAAGAUAAGCGUGAGUGCUAUGGAUGGCGUUCUCGUAGGGAGACGGGAGCGGUUCCAUAGUGGUGUAUUGGUUGGUGAAUAUGUGGACUCGUGUGCGCCACCUCAAAAGAGUUACUUGCAGUCGUAGUUCAGGAUAGCCACCGAGUCAAAGAUGGCUUGCUGCAGUUAAACCCCACCAUCCCUUUGUUGAUAAUGAUGCAUAUGAAGAUAGUUCUGAUGUAAGUCUUGCUGGGUACAUUUGUACUCACGUUUGCCUAUUUUAUGUUUUUGCAGAGAGACUUCGGUCUCGCUAGUAGUUCCACGUGGACUUCGAUGUUUAGCUUGAUACCUCAGCUACGAUCUUGUGCCCCGGCAGGAUCUGGUAGAUAGUCAGGCUUCUCAGCCUUUUUCAUUUAUAGAUGUCUGUACUCAGACAUGAUAGCUUCCGCUUGUGCUUUGACUUGUAUGCUCUGAUUGUUGGGUCAUGAGACCCAUGUUUGUAAUAUCUCGCUCCUCGGAGCCUAUUGAUUAAAAUACUUGAUUUAUAGAGUCAUGUUGUGAUGCCAUGUUGUAUUUGCACAUAUCGAGCAUAUUGUGUGUAUGUUAUUGAAAUGCUUGGUAUGUGUGGGAUCUGACCAUCUAGUUGUUUAUCUUUAGUAGCCUCUCUUACGGGGAAAUGUCUCCUAGUGUUUCCACCGAGCCAUGGUAGCUUGCUACUGCUCCGGAACACUUAGGCUGGCCGGCAUGUGUCCUUCUUCGUUCCUGUGUCUGUCCCUUCGGGAAAAUGUCACGCGGUGAAUACCGGAGUCCUGUUAGCCCGCUACAGCCCGGUUCACCGGAGUCCUGCUAGCCCAGUGCUACAGCCUGGAUUCACUCGCUGAUGACCGACACGUUCGAUGCUGGGUCAUGGAUGCCUGUCCCUGUAAGUCUGUGCCGCUUUGGGUUUACGACUAGCCAUGUCAGCCCGGGCUCCUUAUCAUAUGGAUGCUAGCGACACUGUCAUAUACGUGUGCCAAAAGGCGCAAACGGUCCCGGGCAAAGGUAAGGCGACACCCAUGGGAAUACCGUGCGUGAGGCCGCAAAGUGAUAUGAGGUGUUACAUGCUAGAUCGAUGUGGCAUUGAGUCGGGGUCCUGACAUAUACAAGCCAAGUUCUAUAAUGAAAAAUUCCCACUAGUAUAUGAAAGUGACAACAUAGGAGACUCUCUAUCAUGAGGAUCAUGGUGCUAGUUUGAAGCACAAGUGUGGUAAAAGGAUAGUAGCAUUGUCCCUUCUCUCUUUUUCUCUAAUUUUUUAUUUGGGGCAUUUUCUCUUUUUAUGGCCUCUUUUUUUAGUCUGGAGUCUCAUCCCGACUUUUGGGGGAAUCAUAGUCUCCAUCAUCCUUUCCUCACAUGGGACAAUGCUCUAAUAAUGAAGAUCAUCACACUUUUAUUUACUUACAACUCAAGAAUUACAACUCAAUACUUAGAACAAAAUAUGACUCUAUGUGAAUGCCUCCGGUGGUGUAUCGGGAUGUGCAAUGAUUCAAGGGUGAUAUGUAUGAAAACAUUAUGAGUAGUGGCUUUGCCACAAAUACGAUGUCAACUACAUGAUCAUACAAGGCAAUAUGACAAUGAUGGAGCGUGUCAUAAUAAACGGAACAGUGGAAAGUUGCAUGGCAAUAUAUCUUGAAAUGGCUUUGGAAAUGCCAUAAUAGGUAGGUAUGGUGGCUGUUUUGAGGAAGGUAUAUGGUGGGUGUAUGGUACUGGCGAGAGUUGCGCGGUACUAGAGAGGCUAGCAAUGAUGGAAGGGUGAGAGUGCGUAUAAUCCAUGGACUCAACAUUAGUCAUAAAGAACUCACAUACUUAUUGCAAAAAUCUACAAGUCAUCAAAACAAAGUACUACAUGCAUGCUCCUAGGGGAAGGGUUGGUAGGAGUUAACCAUCGCGUGAUCCCAACCUCCACACAUAAGGAAGGCAAUCAAUAAAUAAAUCAUGCUCCAACUUCAUCACAUAACGGUUCACCAUACGUGCAUGCUACGGGAAUCACAAACUUUAUCACAAGUAUUCUUUAAAUUCACAAUUACUAAACUAGCAUGUCUCUAAUAUCACCAUCCUCAUAUCUCAAAACAAUCAUCAAGCAUCAAACUUCUCAUAGUAUUCAACACACUUUAUGUGAAAGUUUUUAAUUAUACCCAUCUUGGAUGCCCAUCAUAUUAGGACUAAUUUUAUAACCAAAGCAAAUUACCAUGCUUUUCUAAAAGACUCUCAAAAUAAUAUAAGUGAAGCAUGAGAGGUUAAUAAUUUAUAUAAAAUAAAACCACCGCCGUGCUCUAAAAAGAUAUAAGCGAAGCACUAGAGCAAAAUUGUCUAGCUCAAAAGAUAUAAGUGAAGCACAUAGAGUAUUCUAAUAAAUUCUGAUUCAUGCGUAUCUCUCUCAAAAGGUGUGUACAGCAAGGAUUAUUGUGGUAAACUAAAAGCAAAGACUCAAAUCAUACAAUACGCUCCAAGCAAAACACAUAUCAUGUGGUGAAUAAAAAUAUAGCCUCAAGUAAAGUUACCGAUAGAUGAAGACGAAAGAGGGGAUGCCUUCCGGGGCAUCCCCAAGCUUAGGCUUUUGGUUGUCCUUGAAUUACCUUGGGGUGCCUUGGGCAUCCCCAAGCUUAGGCUCUUGCCACUCCUUAUUCCAAAAUCCAUCAAAUUUACCAAAAACGUGAAAACUUCACAACACAAAACUUCGACAGAAAAUCUGAUGAGCUCCGUUAGUAUAAGACAAUAAACCACCACUUUAAGGUACUGUAAUGAACUCAUUCUUUAUUUAUAUUGGUGUUAAACCUACUUUAUUCCAACUUCUCUAUGGUUCAUACCUCCGAUACUACUCAUAGAUUCAUCAAAAUAAGCAAACAACACAUGAAAAACAGAAUCUGUAAAAAACAGAAAAGUAUGUAGCAAUCUAUAACUUUUAAAUACUUCUGUAACUCUAAAAAUUCUGAAAUAACUUGGUGGACGUGAGGAAUUUGUCUAUUAAUCAUCUUAGAAAAGAAUCAACCUAAAAUCACUCUCCAGUAAAAAAUGACAGCUAUUCUCGUGAGCGCAAAAGUUUCUAUUUUUUAAAGCAAGAUCGCAGAGACUUUACCCAAGUCUUCCCAAAGGUUCUAUUUGGCAGAAACACUAAUUAAAACACAAAAACACAUCUAAACAGAAGGUACAUGAAAUAUUUAUUACUAAAAAGGAGCAAAAAGUAAAUAACAAAAAUAAAAUUGGGUUGCCUCCCAACAAGCGCUAUCGUUUAACGCCCCUAGCUAGGUAUAAAAACAAGAAUUGAUCUAGGUAUUGCCAUCUUUGGCAUGCAAUCUAUGAGUGGAUCUCAUAAUAGGUUCAUAAGGCAAUUUAAUUUUCUUCCUAGUAAAGUGUUCCAUGCCCAUGUAGAUUCAUAAAUGGCUCUCAUAAUAGAUUCAAGGCAAUUAUUGAUAUUCCAAUUUCCUAGUAAAGAACAAUUAUCAUAAUUAAAUCCCUUGAAAUCCAAAAUAGUGGGUUCAUUGCUAUGUAAAGUUUUGACCUCUUCAAUCCCACUUUUAUCAAUUUUUGCAUCUAGAUCUAAGAACUCCGAAUCAUUGGGAUGCCCUUUAACUAAAGUUGACUCAUCUCCAGUCCCAUCUUUAUCAAGAUUCAUGUUGGAAAACAAAGAUUUAAUAAGAGUCACAUCAGUCACUUUUAGAUCUUUAUUAUUAUUAUCAUGAACACUAGAAGAACACGCUUUCAUAAAGCAAUCUUUUUUAGCACGCAUCCUAAUGGUUCUUUCUUUGCACUCAUCAAUGGAAAUUCUCAUGGAUUUGAGAGACUCAUUGAUAUCAUGCUUAGGUGGAAUAGAUCUAAGUUUCAAAGAAUCAACAUCAAGAGAAAUUAUAUCCAUGUUUCUAGCCAACUCAUCAAUCUUAAGCAAUUUUUCUUCAAUCAAAGCAUUGAAAUUCUUUUGCGAACUCAUAAAUUCUUUAACACUAUUCUCAAAAUCAGAGGGCAUCUUAUUAAAAUUUCCAUAAGAUUUUUUGUAAGAAUUACCAUAAUUAUUAGAGGAAUUACUAGGAAACGACCUAGGAUUAAAAUUGCCUCUAUACGCGUUGUUACCAAAAUUGUUCUUACGAACAAAAUUCACAUCCAUAGAUUCAUUAUUAUUCUCAAUCAAAGUGGACAAAGGCAUAUCAUUAGGAUCAGAAGAAACACUUUUAUUAGCAAACAAUUUCAUAAGUGCAUCCAUCUUUCCACUCAAAACAUUAAUCUCUUCAAUCGCAUGAACCUUUUUACUAGUGGAUCUUUCGGUGUGCCAUUGAGAAUAAUUAACCAUAAUAUUGUCUAGGAGUUUAGUAGCUUCUCCUAAAGUGAUUUCCAUAAAAGUGCCUCAUGCGUCCGAAUCUAAAAGAUUUCUAAAAGCAAAAUUCAAUCCGGCAUAUUCUUUUUGUAUAAUCAUCCACAAAUUCAAACCAUGUGUAGGGCAAUUAUGUAUCAUUAAUUUCAUACUCUCCCAAGCUUGUGCAACAUGCUCAUGAUCAAUUUGCUUAAAAUUCAUAAUAUCGUUCCUAAGAGAGAUGAUCUUAGCGGGAGGAAAAUACUUAGAGAUAAAAGCAUCUUUGCACUUAUUCCAUGAAUCGAUAUUAUUUUAGGCAAAGAAGAGAACCAAGUUUUAGCAUGAUCUCUAAGAGAAAAUGGAAAUAGCUUCAAUUUAACAAUAUCAUUGUCCACAUCUUUCUUCUUUUGCAUAUCACACAAAUCAACGAAGUUGUUUAGAUGGGUUGCAACAUCUUCACUAGGAAGGCCAGAAAAUUGAUCUUUCAUAACAAGAUUCAACAAAGCGGUAUUAAUUUCACAAGACUCAGCAUCGGUAGUAGGAGCAAUUGGAGUGCUAAUAAAAUUAUUGUUGUUGGUAUUGGAAAAGUCACAUAAUUUAGUAUCAUCUUGAGCCAUCGUGACAAACAAUCAAUCCAACACACAAGCACACAAGAAGCAAGCGAAAAGAAACGAACGAAAUAGGGGCGACGAAAAGGCAAGGGUUUUCAAAAAUCGUUUUAGAAGUGGGGGAGAGGAAAACGAGAGGUGAAUGGCAAAUAAUGUAAUGCAAGGGAGAAGAGUUUAUUAUGGGUACUUGGUAUGUCUUGACUUGUCAUAGAUCUCCCCGACAACGGUGCCAGAAAUCUUUCUUGCUACCUCUUGAGCAUGCGUUGGUUUUCCCUUAAGAGGAAAGGGUGAUGCAGCAAAGUAGCGUAAGUAUUUCCCUCAGUUUUGAGAACCAAGGUAUCAAUCCAGUAGGAGACGACACACAAAUCACCUAGUACCUGCACAAACAAUCAAGAACCUUGCAACCAACGCGAUAAAGGGGUUGUCAAUCCCUUCACGGUCACUCACAAAAGUGAGAUCUAAUAGAUAUAAUAAAGUAAAUAUUUCUGGUAUUUUUGUUGUAUAGAUUGGAAAGUAAAGAUUGCAAAAUAGUAAACGAGAUGCGAUGUAAAUAAAAGAGAUGUAAUAUAAUAGGAAAGAGACCCGGUGGCCAUAGGUUUCACUAGUGGCUUCUCUCAAGAUAGCAUGUAUUACGGUGGGUGAACAAAUUACUGCCGAGCAAUUGAUAGAAGAGCGCAUAAUUAUGAAGACAUCAAAGGUAAUAAUCACGAACAUAGGCAUCACGUCCGUGUCAAGUAGACUGAAACGAUUCUGCAUCUACUACUAUUACUCCACACAUCGACCGCUAUCUAGAAUGCAUCUAGAGUAUUAAGUUCAGAAGAACGAAGUAACGCAUUAAGCAAGAUGACAUGAUGUAGAGGGAUAAACUCAAGCAAUAUGAUAUAAACCCCAUCUUUUUAUCUUUGAUGACAACAAUACAAUACGUGCCUUGCUGCCCCUACUGUCACUGGGAAAGGACGCCGCAAGAUUGAACCCAAAGCUAAGAACUUCUCCCAUUGGAAGUAAGAUCAAUCUAGUAGGCCAAACUAAAUCGAUAAUUCGAAGAGACUUGCAAAGAUAUCGAAUCAUGCAUAUAAGAAUUUAGAGAAGAACCAAAUAAUAUUCAUAGAUAAUCUUAUUCAUAAAUCCACUAUUCAUCGGAUCUCGACAAACACACCGCAAAAUAAUUACAUCGAAUAGAUCUCCAAGAACAUUGAGAUGAACUUUGCAUUGAGAAUCAAAGAGAGAGAAGAAUCCAUCUAGCUAAUAACUAUGGACCCGAAGGUCUGUGGUAAACUACUCACGCUUCAAUGGAGAGGUAAUGGUGUUGAUGUAGAAGCCCUCCAUGACCGAUUGCCCCUCCGGCAGAUUGCCGAAAAAGGCCCCAAGAUGGGAUCUCACGGGUACAGAAGGUUGCGGUGGUGGAAACGUGGUUUCGUGGCCCCCCUGAUAUUUUUAGUGUAUAAGAGUAUAUAUAGGCGAAAGAAGUACAUUGGUGGAGCUACGAGGGGUGGUGCACUUCUCGUAAAAAUGUUUCUUUUAGAGGGGUGGUGCACUUUUGAGAGGACGACUUCUUCUUGCUUGUGCUUGGGUCAAACCAGAGCCCCUCUUUGGCAAACACCUCAUUGUGUUGGCUCAACACCUCAUUAAGGUUCUUUUGUCCUUGAGCACAUGUCAUGAGACCUUUCUCGAUUUGAACUUUGAGAAAGCGAUUCUCCUCAAGAAUAGAUGCUAGAUCACUACUAGAGUUAGUAGUACAAGCAUCAACAUUGAUAAUAGGAGAAGAGUAAGCUUUGGCUAGAGUUUCAAGAUAAGUAAGUUUGAGCGUCUUAAAACUCUUUGUAAGAAGGGUGAGAUCUUCUUCCUUAGUCUUGAGGGACACGGAUAGAAGCUCACAAUCCUGAGAGAGAGAAGCAUGAGACUUCACAAGCUUACUUUUAUCAUUCAUCAACUCUUCACAAGAUUCAUUAGCCUUUUUCAAGGAGGCAAGAUCUUUAGCAUGAACAUCAAUGUUUGAACCAAUUUUCAAGCAUAGUUCAUCAUUUCGUGCUUUCUCAUAUUGGUCUUUCCGCUCAAGGAUUUCAUAUUUUUCCUUUUCCUCGGUGACGAGGGUUUCGAGUUCCUUAAUGGUGAUGGUGUGCUUACUCACCAUCCCCAUAAGCAUAUGAAACAUAGUGAGCUUCUUUCCUUUGAGGGAGCACAUGAACUUAUUAAGUUUAGCAAGCAUAGGAUCAUCUAUAUCAUUAUCCUUAUAACUAUCCUCCGCAUCAAGAUACUCAUCACUAGGAGUAGAAGGAGUGAAAAGAGGAGGAUUUGAUCAUGGGGUUACCUUGACCUUGUCAGGAGAGCUUUGGUCCUCUCCAUCUUCUACCACGGCCUUUGCCAUUAGGCACUUGUGAGUGUUGCCAUUGGAGUCUUUCAUGUAGUUGUAGGUGACCACAUCACCAUUCUUGUUCACUAGCCUCAAAGUGUUUUGAGAAUCUUGAGCAACUCCGGCAACACCACUAACAUCAUCUGGAUCGGAUUCUUCAUGAGCAACCAUUGCUUUCCCAUCUCUCCUCUUGAGCUUGGAGUUCAAAGGAUUUGGCAAAUUCUUCUUGGGAAAGGUCUUGGGAAACCUUGGUUUAUCUUCUCUCUUCUCAUAAGGUCACUCGUUGGAGAAGUGGUUGGUUUCUUCACAGUUGUAGCAUUUCCUCACUUUCUUCCUCUGGAACCUUCCCUUGAAUUUUCCCGCGCUAAACUUCUUGACAAAGAGAGCAAUGUCUUCAUAUGACGGGCUCUCAUUUGAGUCAAUCUCAUCACCAUCCUCCUCCUCCUCAUCAUCAUCAUCUUCUUCUUCUUCUUCUUCACUUUUCUCUUCUUCACAUACAUGCUUGGCCUUCAAUGCAAGGUUGAUCUUUGAUGUUGAGGUACCAUGCAUGGCAAGAUGUUUUGUGGUAUUUGCCUUUGACUCUUCAAAUAGUUGGAAAGUGGAUAUCAUGUCAUCUGGAGUCAUUUCCUUGAAUCCAUGGUGUUGUCUUAUGUCCCACACCAUUUGGUGAUGAUAUGGAGCAAGAGCAUGAAGCAACUUAUCCACGAGAAAUCGCUUAGUCAAGUUGAAUCCAUCUUGAGUCUUGUCACAUUCACAUGACUCAAUGUCGGCGGUGAGAGUCAUGAGACGCUCAAGUAGUUGCUUGGGAGAUUCACCUUUCUCCAUACAAAAGUUUUGCAAUUGACCCAAGACGGAGAGUGGAAGUACCGGUCUUGGUCCUCACAAUGCUAUCCCGUAAUUCCUUGGCACUUGUGAUAUGUAUGUAUGGUCUCCUUUGCUUGUCAGUCAUACCUCUUCUUAUGUACAUGGUUGCUGUGUCGUUGAGAUUCUUGUCAUAAACCUCUCUUGGAGUAAGAUUCUUCGGGUCAAUAGCUUGGUAGCCAUACUCCAAGAUCUCCAACAUCUCAUCAUUUCCAUAUCGAAGAUGAUCCUGCAUAGCAACUCUCCACAAAGCAAAAUCGGUAGUGUCAUCAAGUAAAGGAGGCUUGCCUUGAGGGUUAUACUUAGGUUUCUCUAUUUGAGGUCUUGCAUAAAGCCAAGGAACACCGGAGUGUUCAUUACAAGGAGGUUAUUGGACAAGUGAGGAAGUAGGCACAACUGGCCUCGAGGUCGCACCACCAGAAAGUGGUGCAAGCAUCGUGGUUAGUGUGGCUAUACUCAUUUGGACCAAGGCCUCAAGAGAGGCAUCAUGCUCCUCCUUUUGCUUAGCAAGAGCUCGUUCCAGAUCCUCUGAAGUGAAGGACUUGGUUUUCGUGGAAGCCGCGCCCGUACUCUUCAGAUCUGCAACAAGGGGAGUCCCAUCAGGGUUCAUCUCGCUCUAGGGAAGUUACGCCACAAGAAUAGAGCACGAGGCUCUGAUACCAAUUGAAAGGAUCGAGAUGGACCUAGAGGGGGGGUGAAUAGGUACAAUUACAAAUUUUAAUUGUUACUUAGAAAUUUUAGUCAGUAAUGCGGAAUAUGAAGUUGAGCCUAACAAUUGCAAGUGUGAAGCUAUGAGCUAAGCAAGGUAAACAAGUAACUCAAGUAGGAGAGUAAGCAAGCACAAUAUGAUAUAAGUAAAGACUAAGAGACAAGUAACCACAAGUAGGGAGUUAGUGUUAUGGAUAACCGCAACUCCAAGAGACGAGGAUGUAUGCCGAUGUUCACUUCCUUGGAGGGAAGUUACGUCACCAUUAGAGAAGUGGGUGUUACCACGAAGGCACACCAACGCCACGAAGGCUCACCCUAUUGUCCCUUCAAGACAACACCAUGAAGGCUUUUUUCAACCACUAGUGAAAGAACAUGAGGUGCCCCCAUGUUUGGUUUUGGUAAUUGAUGACAAUCUCUAUGGACUAAUGGUUGCCUUGAGUUAUAUUUGAAGGUUUUGUCCAUAGGCUUUUCUUGGAGUACAUGUGUUGGUUUCAAGGAGAGUUUGUGUCGACCAAGGUGCUAUUCAAGGAAUUACGUAAAAUAUUGGUCUUGUGAGAGGUUGAUCAAGACUAAGUCAAAGAGUGAAUCAAGUUGAUCAACACACAAAGUGUAGAAGAUGUACCGAGAAGGAUCAAGUGAUCCCAUGGUAUGGUAAGCAUUGUCAAUUACUCUUUGUGUACUAUCCCAUGGUCUCGUGAGAGUUCUUUAUGGGGUUAGGAUGCGGUGUGCAAGUUCAAGUGAUGCAUCACGAAGAGAUCAAGUGCUUGAAGCUUGCUGUCCAUUGUGGUGACAAUGGACUUGUGAAGAUGAGCCGAAGAUUGGCUCACCCAUAGUGGACUAUGGGGAGCAAUCAUCUAGUCUUCAUCGAGCCAACGCAAUCAAGAAAGGCGGUCCAACUUGAGGGAGUCAAGAUCAUCAUCAUCUAGCUCAAGUGGACCAUGUGCAAGGCAAAGGUUUGCCCUCGAUAGGUUUUCUAUUUUACCGAUCUCAUGGUCGUAGUUGGAAGACUGGGUUAUAGGAUCGUUUGCCGUACUAUCAAGGUGGACUCUCAAGUUGGUAGCUUGAUUGUAUCAUUAGUAGAGAGAUCAAACCAUUGCAUAAAUGCAUCAUAUUUCUGAGUUCUUGUUUGGUUCUCUUUGUGAGUCUUAGAGCUUAUGGUCAUCUUGAUGCGAAGCUUGAGUUCAUCGAAAAUGGAGUUCGCAUGCGUCUUCUAUGAUGUUUUCGGUGUUGGAGGUUUUACCGGUCUUAUCCGAGGAAGGGUUCUCACCAUUUUCUUAUGGGUCUUUUCUCAUUUGCUUAUUAUUGAUAUGUCUAUCCAGAUUGUGUUAGCCCAUGUCGUUAGCUUUCCAAAAAACUUGGUUUCGUUGAAUUCGGAGUCCGUUUGCAAAAGUUGUGGCUGUUUUGGUAAAGACUGCAGCGGUACUAUCGCGACUAGAGCGGACAUAAAUUUUUACUACCGCUCCAGAGAGGUACUACCGCGGCUCCUGAGCGGUAGUACCGCUCCAGAGCUGUACUACAGUGGCUCCUGAGCGGUAGUACCACUCCGGACCAAAAUCUCAUGUUUUGCUUAGCGGAGGUAGGCACGGAAGUAUUUUUUUUAAUACCGCUCGCAAGCAGUAGUACCGCUACCAUUUGUGGUAGUACCGUGACGUCGAGCGCUAGUACCGUGAGGACGAGCGGUAGUACCGCUCCGGCGGUUCUACUGACCUUUUGCCUCCUCGUUGUUGUUUUUCAAAGGGGUUCUACCGCCCUAGCGGUAGUACCACUCCUUGGAGCGGUAGUACCGCUUUGUGCGGGGUGUGAGCAUAACGGUUGGAUUCUCCCCAACCUAUAAAAGGGGGUCUUCUUCCCCAUUGAACAUUAUCUCUUAAGCUCGUGUUCUUCCCCCAUUGUUGACCUUCUUCGAGCUUGCUAACACUCAAUCCCUCCAAUGAUUCUUGCUAGUUCUUGAGGGAAAAGAGAGAGGAGAUCUAGAUCCAUGUUUCCACCAAUCACUUUCUUCUCUAAGUGAGGGGAAUCCCUUGGAUCUAGAUCUUGGAGUUCUUCAUGUUCUUCUUUAAUUCUUCCUCUCAUUUUCCUCCCUAGCAUUAGUUGCUUUGGUGGGAUUUGGGAGAGAAGGACUUGGGCACUCCGUGUGCCCUUGCAUUGCUUUUGGUGCAUCGGUUUGAGUUCUCCACGUGAUACGUGGAAGUUACAUGUUGAGAAGCUUAUUACUCUUGGGUGUUUGGACACCCUAGAGCUUGUUCCUCUUGGGUGCCUUGGCGCCCUAGACGGUUGGUGUUGUUCGAAGCUCAAUCAUUGUGGUGUAAAGCCCCAGGCAAGCGUCGGGGGUCUCCAAUUAGGUUGUGGAGAUCGCCCCAAGCAAUUUGACGGGUACCGGUGACCGCCCCCAAGGGUUGCCAAAGUGUACGGGUUAGGUGACCUCCCCCAAGGGUUGCCAUUUGUAUGGGUUCAGUGACCGCCCUCAAGGGUCCCUUAGUGUAAUCAUGGCAUCUUGCAUUGUGCGAGGUCAUGAGGAGAUUACAGUGGCCCUAGUGGCUUCUUGGGGAGCAUUGUGCCUCCACACCGCUCCAAACGGAGAUUAGCAUCCGCAAGGGUGUGAACUUCGGGAUACAUCAUCGUCUCUGAGUGCCUCGGCUAUCUCUUACCUGAGCCCUUUACUUAUGCACUUUACUUUGUGAUAGCCAUAUUGUUCUUUGUUAUAUAUCUUGCUAUCACAUAGUUGCUUAUCUUGCUUAGCAUAAGUUGUUGGUGCACAUAGGUGAGCCUAGUUGUUGUAGGUUUUGUGCUUGACAAAUUAACCGUUAGGUUUAUUCCGCAUUUGUUCAAGCCUCUACCGUAAUUUUAAAACGCCUAUUCACCCCCCUCUAGGCGACAUCCAUGAUCUUUCAAUUGGUAUCAGAGCCUCAUCUCUCUUUGUUAGGCUUAACCGCCUAGAGAGUAAAGAUGUCGACUAGGGGAUUAGGAUUCUUUGACACUCUUAGUUUUGAUGGCACAAAUUUUGAUGUUUGGGUAAUUCGCAUGCUUAAUCUCUUUAGGGUCAUGGACCCAAAUUUAGAGCGAAUUGUAGAUAUGGGUUUUUCUCCUCCUAAGGAUCCCCAAAUAUUAUCUUUAGAGGAUGAGAAAAACUCUUAUCUCAAUGCUCAAGCUUCUAAUGUGCUUUUUGAUGCUUUGAGCAAUGUAGUUAUAUUUCAACUCAUGCCGUUCCGGGAUGCUCAUGAGUUGUGGACAAAGCUUCAAGAUAAAUAUGGUGUGUCAAAGAUUUGUAAGGAUGAUCAUUCUCCCUCCACCUCCAGCCGUGUUGCGUUCUCAACUUCUUCUACUUCACCUACAUGUGGUUUGCCACAAGGUAAUGACAUGGUGAGUAGUGGUGUUCAUUGCAAUGAUGAUAGUGGGCUUAUUGUUGAUAAUCCUUCAUCACUUUCUUAUUGCAAUGCUUCAUCUUUGGACUUUAGCACUUCGAGCACUCCCAAUGUUUCACAGCUUGUGUUGAUAGUUCUUGCAUAUCAUGUCGAAAUUGCUUGACUAAAUCUCAUGAUGAUAUGCUAGCUAUAUCUUGUUGCCAUGAUAAAAAUGCAUGUAUUUCCUCGAGUUGUUGUGCUAACAAUGUAGAGGAAACCCAGCACUCCAUGGAACAAGAUGUGGUCUUGAAUGGUGCUUCAAGGGAUCCUACAUCAUCAUCUAUUGCUUUUUGCCUUAUGGCCAAGGCUUCAAAAGUAUCUCCCACUUUGAAUCCCAAUAUAUCUUGUGAUGAUAUUGAUGAUGGCAAGAGUGAUGAUGAUGUCGAUUAUGAUGAAGAGAAUGAUGAUGUUGCCUCCUUAAAAAUUAAGGGGAAAUGAUUUUUAAAACUCUUCUUAAGAAUAAAAUUGCUCGUUCCAACUUCAUGGAAAUCAUGUCGAUUGCUAUUGAGAGCAAGAAAUAUAUUAAUGAGUUGGAAUCUCGUCUUGAGGAGCAUGAGGUCACCAUUGAUAAAAUGGAAGGUCAUGAGCGUGAUUACGCUAAUGAUAUUGCGGACCUCUCUCAAGCUCUUGAACUUGAACAAACCACCAAGGAAUCUCUUGAGAAGACUUUUCCUCUAGAAUUAUCUAGAGUGAAGGAAUCUAAUGAUAGAGCUCUUGAGGUGGCCAAUAUUUUUGAAACUAAAAAUGCUAAGAUUGAAGUUGCUCAUGCUAGACUCCUUGAGGAUUUUGAUCACCUCACAAAUGGCUCAAGGGUCAUCAAGGGUGAGCUCAUCAAACUCACCGAGUCUCAUGCUCAACUUGAAGCUUCUUAUUUAAAAGAGCUUUCCAAGUUGCAUUCUCAUCUUGUUGUUAAUGAUUAUGCUUGUUCUAGUAACUCUAUUUCUUGUGAAGCAUCCAUUUUAAAGGAGAAUGUUGAGCUAAGGGCUCAACUUGAGUUGCUAUCUAGAAAGUAUGGGAAAUUGGAAGAAAGUCAUGAAAAGCUUUCUAACUCUCAUGAUGAUCUUCUUGUAUCCCAUAAUGUGCUAAAAAUAGCUCAUGAGGCUAUGAUUGCUAAGGUAACAUAUAGUGAGCCUCAUGUGGAUAUUAGCACUACUUUUAGCCAAAAUGCUAUAUUGCCUUGUGUUAGUCCUCGUAAUUCGUCUAUGCAUAACAUUGGUACAUCUUGUGAUGAAUUGCUUUCCUUGCCUUGUUGCUCUAAUGAUGAAGCUUAUACUUCCUCUAGUACUUGUGCUGAGACUAACCAUGUAGAGGAAACCAAAGAGCUCAAGGCCCAAGUCACUUCUUUGAAGAAAGACUUGGAAAAGAGUCAUGAAGGGAGAUCCACACUCAACAAUAUCUUGAGUGUGCAAAAAUCCCCCAAUGACAAAGGUGGACUUGGAUUCAACUCCAACAAGAAGAAGAAGUCCAAGUUGAACAAGAAGAAGGGCCAAGAACAAGUCAAGAAUUCAGCCAAGAUUAUUUGCUUCAAGUGCAAAAUUGAAGGGCAUCAUGUGAGAUCUUUCCCAUUGAAGAAGAAGGACAUUAGUGACAAGCAACAAGGGAAGCGGCCACAAGUUCAAUAUCAUGCUCAACCACAAGUUGAAGAAAUGCCUCUUCCCAAGAAUACUCAAGAUAAUGCUUCUCAAAUUGAGAAAUCAAGUGAGAAGAAAGUGAAGAGUAGAUGUUGCUACUUAUGUCGUGAGAAAGGUCACGUCGCUUCUUCAUGCACUAGUGGUAACUUAUCCAACCCAAUUAUUAUUGAAAAUAUCUAUUCUCUUUGGAAUGAUAAGAUUGGCAAUGUGUUUUCCAAGUUUGUUGGUACUCAAAGUGGUGUCAAGAAAAGAACCAUUUGGGUUGCCAAGACUAUUAUGACUAACCUCUUAGGACCCAACUUGGUUGGGGACCGACAAGAUCAAACUUGAUCAAUAGGUGUUGUUGGAGGGCAUUGGACACUUGGUUACAUUAUGAAGAAUUAAGGGGACUUCAUCAUUCUUAUUGUCUCAAGCCAAGUCAAUUGGGUUAUCAAGUUUCUAUGUUAUAUCCAAUGUUCCUCCUUGCGGUAACUCGUACUUAAGUUGUUUACAUUGAUAGUUACUUGCCCCUAAGCAUGUUGUGGUUUUGUACCUUGCAUGUUUUUCUAUAUGAUGUGUUUCCAAUGUGCUUAACUUGAGUAAUCAAGUAUGUGUAUGUUGGUUUGCACAUCAUGUACGUGUGUGUCGUGCGUUGAGCCUUUGUGCAUCUUAUUUGUUUCUUAGUUGGCUCUUGUGAGAGAUUAAUGGAAUAUCCCAUUAUGGGGGAGUGAUGUGCUUUGUGCACCUCACAAUCUUAUAGAUGUGUGUACAUGAGGAAUACCAUCUAGUAUUGAUAUUACAAGAGUAUCUAGUCACUAUGUGGUAUGUCUUCUCAUGAGAAAUUCAAAUUCUAAAUAGUCCAUUAAUCAUUUGUUGUUGGAUCCUCUUAUUGCCUCUUGUUAAGUUUUUAUUGGUAUCACAUUAUGGGGGAGUAAUAUGCUAUGUGCAUACUACAAGCCUAGAAAAUGUGUACAUUUGAGAUAUUGUCACCUAGAAUUGAUAUUGUAAAUUAUCUUGUUCCUAGGUGGCAUGUUAGCUCUACAAGUUGCAAUUUGCUUGUGUUUGGUGUGAAGAUGAUGUCGGAUAUCCUUGCUAUCUACCACCGGGAAUUACUUCCAAAUACUUCUUGUCUUUUGACAACUGGUACUCACUUAUGUGUGGUAGAAAUUAUUUUUGACUAUGAAGACAGUAGGAAAGGUUCCUACUGCAUAUAUAUUACCAAAACCUCAGGGGGUAUAAUUACAUGUGUGUGUUACAUACAUGCGUAGUGGUUGCACCACUCAAAAAAAGCACUAGAGAGUACACAGGCACCUAUUGUAUGGAUUCAAGUAUAGCAGUAACAAUAUGCUCUUUGGAGGGUUUCACUCUAUAUCUAAGAUUAGAGAAGUCCAACUUAAACCUCUGUUUCCAGGCUGUGACAGAGGGUUUGAUCUUCCUGAAGUGGUUGUUAUUUCGCUCCUUCCAAAGACUCCAGGACGACGUCAAAAAGAUAUCCAUCCACAUCUUUCUAGGCUACAUGGUUUUUUGAUGUUUGAUCAUAUCAAGUCUGUCAUGAUGUGUGGUCCAUGUGAAGCCAAGAGCUCGCUAGCAUUCCUGACUGAAAGUGCAAAGAAAGAAUAGGUGUUCCACCGUUUCUUCAACGUGAUGGCCACACAAGAGGCAAUCAAUGUUUGUACCAAUGUUGUAGUGCCUCCUCUUGAGCAUGUUUCUGGUGUUGAGACGAUCAACGAGUAGGAACCACCCAAAGGUCUUAAUCUUGGGAGUACUUUUUUGCUUUCCACAGCCAGCCGAAAGCUUCAUGGGCAAUCACAUCUUUGAAAUAAAAUUUGUAGUAUGAGGAUGUUUUGAAGGUUUGGUCGCCCCAUAUACAUUGCCAGGUGUCAUGUUCAUCCGUAAGUGUGAUCUCGGCCACCUCAUAUUGGAUGGAUCGCAGUUCGUCAUGUGCUUGAACAGAGAGGGGGAGCUGAAAGGUUUCAUGCAGGUCGGUGGACGUCAGGAGUUGUUUGACCGAAAUGUCUUCAACAAUAGCAUAAGAAAAAUCCCUGGGGCAACUAUCAGCAUAUAUGGACUGGCUCCAAUUAUCUUUCCAGAACAGAGCAGAAGAUCCAUCCCCAAUUUUUAUGCGUGUCACACCUCGAUACGUGGGCAUUAGCUGAGUUAAAUAUUUCCACCAGAAGGAGCCACACGAGUCAUGAGCAUGUGGGAUGGUGUCACCAUAGUAGGAUUUCUAGAUUAGAUGGACCCAAGGGAUAUCAUGCCUGUUGUAAAACUUGUGGAGAAAUUUGAGUAGCAGGGCAUCAUUCUGAAUUUUGAGGUUGACAACACCCAAUCAACCAUUUUUCUUGGGCGUGCAGACCAUGUUCCAAGCGGCAAGAGAGUUGCUCUUAAUCCCAUCAUCGGACCGCUUUUGCCAUAGGCAAUGCCUUCUGAUCUUGUCAAGUUGGGCAACAAUUUUUGGUGGGAGGCGAAUGGUGCCCAUUGUGAACAUGAUAAGGGAGGUUAUCAUCGAGUUCAUUACAGCAAGUUUCCCCGCGUAUGACAUUAGAGACAUAGAAGUCGUAAUAUUUCUUUCUGCUUUGCAAACUAGAGGAGCCAAGUCAAGGACGGUCGGGCGAGUGGUGCCUAGGGGUAGGCCAAGGUACGUGAACGACAUGGAUCCCACAGUGCAUCCCAACAAAUCAGCUAGUUCUUUGCAUUUCUCAGGAGGUGUGUUAAUUGGCACUAGCAUGGAUUUAUGGAAGUUGAUCUUGAGCCCUACGGACGUGGCAUAAUCCUCUAGGAUUUCCUUAAUCUUGGCAAGUUGGCGGUUGCAGGCUGGCAGGAUGAUGAGCAUGUCAUCCGCGUAUUGAAUAACAGGGUAGUCACCAUUAGUGUUGCGUCGGAUGGGUAAUUCCAGGAGGUUAUUUCUAAGUGCCUCAUUAAUUGCAGACUGGAGUAGGUCCGCAGCUAUGACAAAAAUUAGAGGCGAGAGGGGGUCACCUUUUCGCACACCACAUUUGCAUUGGAAAGAUUUUCCCGAAGUACCAUUGAGCAAGACCGAAGAUUUACCAGAAGUGAAGAUGCAUUGCAUCCAUUGGAGCCACUUGUCAUUGAAACCCACUUUUCUCAUAAUGUGCAGCAUAACAGAGUGUUGGAUAGUGUCAAAGGCUUUGGCGAAAUCUAAUUUCAGCAAGAUUAUCUCUUUUUGCGAGGCUUAACACUGGUGUAUAUAUUCGAAAGCCCACGCCAAACAGUCAUGGAUGGAUCGGCCGCGUAAGAACCCGUACUGAUUACGGUGGACUAUCUGCAAGAUGAUUUUUUGAAGACGAUUGGCCAGCAGCUUUGUGAUAAGUUUGAGAAAACAGUUUAAUAAUGUGAUCGGGCGGAAGUCAUUGACCGUCUCUUGUGAGUUCUUAGGGAUCAAGGUGAUAUAGCCAUAGUUUAGGCAAUCAAGAUUCAAAUCCCCUCUGUGGAAUUCAUUGCACAGAAUGUAGAAGUCAUUUUUAAUGAUAGGCCAGCAUGCUUUCGAGAAGGCGCCAUUGAAACCAUCCGGGCCUGGUGCUUUGUUCGGGGGCAUCUCCUUUAUGACAGCAUCGAUUUCAGCAUGUGUCAAUGGGGUAGUGAGGCUAUCGAAAUCAACUUGCUGUCGGAGCAAAGACGAGAGGUUAAACUUCAUGUUUGGCUUCGAGCAUGAACCCAAUCUUUGUUUGAAGGCUUGGAACAGAAUAGCUUCUUUGCCAGCAUGAUCCUCCACAACAAUCCCAUUUUCAGUUUUUAGUGUAGCAAUGCAGUUUCUUCUGAAUCUUUCUGUAGCAACAGUUUGGAAAAACUUUGAGUUUUCGUCUCCAAACUUGAUCCAUCUGAUGGUGCAUCUUUUCUUCCAGUAUUCCUUUUGGUAACUAAGAAGUCGUAGGAGGUGCUUUUUGAGAAUGUUUCUGAAGUUAUGUUCAGGGAGCGAAAGAGCACGCCGCUCUUCAAUACCAUCUAGCUCAAGAAGUGCUUUAUUGGAAUUUUCGAUGGCAAUUUUUAGGCGGGAAAUCUUUUUGCUCCAGUGAGAAAGGGCAUAACAGAUAGCUUUCAGCUUUUGGCAUAGUAUAGAAGCUGCAUUUUUAUCUUUGCCAAAUUUGAGGGGCUUAUUCCAAGCUUCCUCAAUGACAUGCAGGAAGCCCAGGUGCGCAAUCCAAUAGGUUUCAAAUCUGAAAAUUUUGCUCUUGGGGAUUUUGGAUUGUAUGAUCACAAAGUAGGGUAUAUGGUCAGAGACUGGGCGGCCCAAAGGGUUUACCAUAGUGUUAGGAAAAGAUGUCGUCCAAUUUAGCGAGGUGAAAAACUAGUCAAGUUGUUCGAGCAGAGGAUUGAGCUGCAUAUUAGACUAGGUGAAAGUACGACCUUUAAUGGUAAGUUCAGUUAAAUCUUGCUGUCGGAUGAAGUCAUUGAAAGUAAACAUAUCCUAAGUGUUUCCUCCUAGCAGAUUACGAUUUUCAGGCGAGCGAACGUAGUUGAAGUCCCCUAGCAGAAGCCAAUCUUCAGAAGAUGGGAUUGAAUGGUCAAACAACCAUUAAGUGUAUGUAUUGUGCUGAUCCCCUUGACAUGGGCCAUAGAUAUUAACUAACGUCCAGUUAUGCGCGUUUUGGGUGGAAGUGAAGUUGAUGCCUACUGCAAAUUGUUCCUCAAAAGUGACCGUACCAGUGAAAAGAGCACUAUUCCAGAUCGUGACAAUUCCUCCCGACGCUCCAACGGACGGAACAUACACAUAGCUAUCAAAACGCUUAGGGCAGAGCAACUUGAGAGUGGCAGCAUCAAACGUCUGCAUUUUAGUUUCUUGAAGAUAGAUAAUUGCACACCCACUAGACUGGAUCGCAUUCGAUAGAGCUAAGCGUUUUUUGUCUGAAUUAAGACCGCGAAUAUUCCAACAUAGGACAUUCCACGACUGCAAAAGAACCAUUUAACGAUGAAGUAAAGAGGAAGAUCAAGCUGAGGUUGAUGAAGAAAUCCCCGCCUGGUCUUCAGUGAGAGCAGCAACCGUGAGCUCCUCCUCCGGGAUGGCACAUAAGUUUGUGCCAAUGGCUUGCAUUGUGGAAAUAUCAGUUGGAGGAGGGAUUUCUUCAUUGAGCAUCUAAGUGGAAGUAGUAGUUGCAGAACCAAGGGAGGCAGCCGAACAAACAGUACGUGGCUUCACCUUGGAUUGGAGGCCUUAGCUUUAGAAAGAGAAUUUAUGCGAAAACUAUCAUACUUGUUGGUACGGUUGCUGUGACGAAAAGUGGAAGUGUCGAUGGGAGCUAACACUUUCCCUUUGCGCUUACGAGCUGAGGAACCAACCGCAUUGUUUGCAGUUUCAGAGAUGGCACCUGUUGCAAUCUGAAGCAGACCAGUCUAAGUUUCAGAGUGAUAUGCAGCCAGGUCAGAUAGAUGUGAAUCAGCAUCCGUGUUAGACCUCAAAUGGAGGGAAUCAGCCUCAAUGCUAGUAGAUCCAUCAUCAUCAUCAGAGAGUUCAUCAACAAAAAUUUCCAUGGGACCCUGAAUCUCCUGCCUGAACUGUCCAACAGAGUUUGGCGGGCUAUCAGAAAUGUCCUCAAUGAUCACAGCAGAAGGAGUGACAGCACUGGAGUUAUGCUGUGUGAAUUGGAGGCCUGUAGGACCAGCCGCCACCUGAACCUCAAGAUGCAGAACAUCUUGUCUAAACCCAAAACCAGAAGCCCAUGGAUCCCUUGUAGCAAGCAUAGGGCGGAUAGAAUUGAAAAGUGCAUUGUUGAGUUGCUGACGUGGUAUAGGAUCGGACAGAAGGAUUUCCAAGAGGGAGUCACCUUGAGCAGACAAACCAAAACACAUACCUUGGUCAUGAAUAUCCACGGAGAUGGUAAUCACUUCAGCAGCAGUAGUGUGAGUCACCUGGUCGACAAGGGCAACAACAUUAAACCCUGGAGAGGUCACUGGUAGAAUGAGCAAAUCUGAUUCAGUGGAAGCAAAAUCUUCAGAGGAAGUAUAUUCAGAAGAUGCAGUAACAGCCUCAUGCCAAGCUUGCAUAGGAAUGUUAGCAAUAUUGUUGUCAGGAACCACGCCAUGCAUAACAGUAAAACCCCAAGAAGCCUGCCAAGCCUGAUAAUUCAUUAGAUGAGGUGGCAUAGGAGGAUUUGGAGGUUGAGGCCAAGGAGCCCACCCUUAGUUAGGUGCUUCUUCAUUGUUGUUGUGAACAGGGUGAUUGGGGGCAGCAUUCUGCACCAUCCAAUUGUGAACCUGCUGCUGAUAGAGCUGUUCAACAGUAAGUUGAGGCCCAAACUACGGGUGAGGGUUGCCAUCCGCAGGAGGUGGUUCUUCGUUAGGAGGCAACACUUCAGGUAACAGCCCAUUCCAGUCAUUGCUUCUCAAGAUAGUAACCUGAACUGUCCAGCAGUCUCUUGCACCUCCAAGCUGCCAGACAGCAAAGCUCUUGGGCACAAGAUUCAGACGGAUUACACGAGCCUUGAUCAGCAUAUAUCUCCUAUCUUGGCGGGGAUUGUACCAAUGAACUAGAGAACCAUAGCCCCCUAAUGCCUUAGUGAUAUAGUAAUCCGUUUGGUAGUCAUAUGGAAAGCCGAAAAACAUCAACCAAAUCUCUGGACCAAAGGAGGUGGUGCGUCUGUUGAGUGCUUCGUUGUUAGGCACAAAAGUGCUAAGCAGAUCCUCCUCCUCUAAUUCUAAGGGUGUGUUGACAGCCAUAUCCCUCAAGAAAGAGUUUGCAAAACCAAAGAUCCCAACCCCAAGUGGAUGAUCACUAGCUUCAGUGGUAAAAAGAUGGGCUUCAUGCAGCAAACCUUCGAUAGCAGUUCGAACAGCAGCCCGGCGAUGCAGAGGAACAUAUGCACUUGCUUCCGAAUCGCCAGGUAGUCGUGGUUGAGCGGCGCAAUCGGGCGACCACCAUCCCAGACCUGACCAGGCGGUUCGCCGGACCAGGCUCCACUACAAACCCAGGUGACAAGAAGGGGACGGGGUUGAGCGGAUAGUUGGCCAUGGCGGAGGGCGAGAUGAGUGGAGGCAUCAAUGGUGAGUGAGGUAGAGUGCUGGCAUUGGUGGCAUGGGAGGUGUUUUGCAGGCUGGGGCGAGGCGUUUGGGCAAUCGAGGUGGAAGGCGGAGCAUGAGGGGCAGAAUCGGUAAGUCGAGUGGAUUUAGGAAUCCAUUUCCAUUUUUGCACCUUCCUUCGCUGGAAGCAAUGCCGUUCCAGGUGGCCAUAGAAACCACACGAUUGGCAUCUAAUGGUGCCUUUCUUACGCUGAUUGAUAGGAAGUGGUGGCAGAGCCGCGGGACUAGCGUUGGAGUUGAUUUGCUUCCCUAGGCAGUCGCCAAUCUGGUCAAAAUUAUGCAUCUGUGAAGCAGAUUUGGGGCAAUUGAUUGCCUUGUGGUCAGGCGCCGAGAAAUUAAUACAAAUUAGGCAUGCAAGGCAACUGGUUUUUUUGUGACCCCAUUGCAGACAUUUGGAGCAGAGUGAGGCCCAAUGGGUAUUAAGGUCUGUUAUAUCCUCCAAGGAGUAGUGGGCUUGGGCUAGAUCGGCCUUGUGUUGGUUGCUAAGUGUUGGAGGCCAAAACUCAUGCGGAGGCGCGUAUUUGAACGCAGAUGAAAGAAAACAUUGGGGUAACGAUGGGUAUUGGACAUGAAGUAAGCAUUUAAAGCUGCCCAGGAGAAUAAAAUCCGCUGGCUGAUUGCCCAACAAUUGCUCUUGUCGGAGAUAAUGCUGCAUUAAUUGAAUAUGUGAACCCAUAGCCUGUGAUGUAGGCAAAUUACGCUACUGAAUCAAGGGAUCAUCCAAAUUCAAAUUAUGAAGCAUCUGACCAGAAGAUGAAGCUUCGCAAGAAUUUUUGUUUGAAAAAACCAUCUUGUCAAUUGGAACAAUGUUGAAUUUGCCAAGGAUCUGAGCAGACCGUGAUCCUGGUGAGCCCAUUGGCGUCUUGAAUCUAAGGUUGGACUUGAUCGCAACUGGAGACCGAGAAGGAAUGUCCAAAUUUUCUUGAUCCGCAUGCCAGGAAGAGGCAGAGACAGGAGCUCUAGCAUAUCGGCCAUUAAAAAGAUGGAAGUGACAAACAAAAUCUAGCCAUACUCGAUCUUUCAAACCAUAUAUGAAAUGACCAACUUUGUUGCUUGCAACAGAAAAACGGAAGGUGCGAUCCUUGAUCUUGGUGACAUGGAAUCCAGAGCUUAGACCCCCAAGACAACAUUGCAAAGCAAUACCAAUAGAUUCCACCGAGAGAGGAAAGGAGGCUGAGGAGAAAGUGACCACCAUAAAGAAUUCCCUAGAUCCUUGGGAAGGGGAAAAAUGGACUGUCGUGCCAAACCUGUGCCUCACCUGAUUUGCAAGGGCUAGGCCCGGAGCAAAGUCCCAAUGGAGAAGACCAUCCAUGAUUCCUAGAUCUAUAGGCCACCAUUGUUGGUGGAGGUCAAGGGGAGGGGUGGGAGGUGGGAGGGAGAGGAGAGGGAGAGGAGAGCCAUUUCUUUACUAAGUCUAUCUUGUGGUGGUAGAAAUAAUUGAUCAUCUUCACAUUGGCUUUUGCCUUUUUUUGCCUUAUCUCUUGCCAAGUUUGUGUCAACUCCCAUUGCCUUCUGUGCCACUUGAGGAUCUUGGUGUUUUCUUGAUAUUGUCUAAUGUUUUCUUGAAAUAGUGAAAGUUGUGAUCCUACCUUGUGCAUUUUGUAUUCAAUUGCAAAUUCUCUAUAAUGCACAACUCGUGGGGAGCUAUCCUAUUUUCUAUAAAACACUAAUCUUGUGAUCGAUUUUAAGUGUGUGUUGGUGGACGGAAAGCUGUUUAUUUUUGGUAUGUGUGCCAUCAUGAAACUUUGUAGAGAGCUUGGUUUGUUUGGAACCAUCCUCUCUUUUGGGAGUUUGAUAUAAUUUUGUGUGUUCCAAUGGAUAUCUCAUCCCGUGAUGUAUCUUUGAUAUCUUCCAAGUGAUGAUUUCUCCAUUUGGUAUCCUUUUCACUUGGUAUUUCCUUUUUUUGGUAUCAGUUCUUGAAAGUAUUAAGCAUGCAUAUUAACUUCAUGUAGUUUCUUUGGCAUGCUUUCUUUCUUUGACCCAAUAUAUAGGGGAAUCUCCACCAAGUCUCAAAUCAGAUGAGAUGUGUAUGAAAUUCAUUUUCAUAUCUAUUUGCACAUAUUUAUGUGGAGAUUGUCCUAUGUAUUGAUGUUUCUAACCCUUUUGUCCCAAUGAGUUUGGGUACCAUUUUGUUUGUGUUGUUGUCCUAGGAACAAUUGGAGAUGCAUUGGAUACUCGGCUCAUUCAAAAGGAAGGUGUUGUAACCAUGUGCUUAUUGGAGUCAAGCUGGGAUGAUCAAUGAACUACUUUCUACCUUCAAUUGGUUUCUACUACAUCCUUCCAAUGCUAUCUCGGUAACAAGUAUCAUCAUCUACUACAUCCACACAUUUAUUGCAUCAACCGUGUGUAGGUUGUAUCAUGGCAUGUUAUUCAUUCUAUCUUGUGAUAUUUGUUUCCUUUCUCAAAGCAUCCCAACAAUGAUAUCUUGUUGCUAGUUGUGAUGUCUUUGAUGGUUGUGUGGUAGGAAUUCAUUUAUAUACAAUAAGACCAUAUCUAGCCAUGUGUUAUGCUUCCAAGCAAAUAUUUUAUUGGUAUAUCUAUGACUUCCUUUUGGAUAUCUUGUUCCUUCGUCUUGUAACUAUUCCAGGUGUACGUCCUUCUUUGUAGAUAUAUAUCAUCAUGAUUUCGUCUACCUAGAAUCUUAUACACUUGAGAGAAGUUGCAUAUCUAGAUGAUAUCCUUUCUUUCACGUCCACGUUGUCUUUCUUUUGUUUUUUUGCUUUGGUGGCUCCAUGAAAGGUUUUGCCUUGAGUGUAUGUCUUAUCUCGUUGCGUCUUGAUGCACUCUUGUGUGGUGAAGAUUAUUUUCCUCAUGCUUAUCUCUAUGAGGCUUUUGCCAUCUUGGUAUCCCUCGUCUUGAUGAGGCUUUCAUAUUCUAUCUUCACCAUGGGUUGUCACAAGUGUUGGUUAUUCUUUUUACAUUUUUAGUGUGCUUGUGAACCCUUUUGCUUGGUGUGUGUGGGGAGGACAUGUCAUGCACCGUGUAUCUCAUUUACCCAAGGCUAUGUUGAUGCUUUAUGCUCAUCCUUAUAUUAGUCUUCUCAAGUGCUUUGUCAUGACUCACACACAUUAUUUUGGUUGAGCCUAUUCUUAAGUUGCCUCUUUUACAUGUUGCUCAACCAUGUGCUUGUUGCAAGUGCUAGGCUUUGUUUCCUAUAUGCUCACUUGCACUUGUUGUGAGUUUCUAUUGAUUUUCGGGGAGUGAUGAUCCUAUUUUGUGCACUUGGUAUCCUAAUGCAAAUAUUGUAAGGAGUGCACAAAUCAUGGAGAGCUUCACUAGUGUCUUUAGAACACUCUGUUGCUCUCUUGCACUUGUCGUGAGGUUCUAUUGAUCUUGGGGGAGUGACGAUCCUAUUUUGUGCUCGUUGUAUCCAAUUACAAAACUAAAUUGUGCUCAAAUCACGGGGAUCUUCUCUAGUUUCUCUAGAACACUCCUUUGCUCAUAUCAUAAUUUAUUUCAUUCAUGUGGCACGUAGGAUCAUUGGUCUAGUUGGCUCAAUUGAUAUCCGUUGAUUGCUUGCUUCAAUUGGUAUCUUUUGAUUGCUUAAUUGCUUGUUUCUCUCUUUGUUAUGUCUUUGUGGCAUAUCAUUCUUUUGCAAUCUUUGGGCCUCAAUAUAGUUUUUCUUCCUCCAAGUAUUUACCAUUGGACAUGUGUAUUGCAUUCCACUCUCUUGUUGAGAAAUACACAAUUUAUGGAGGAACACUUUUUAUAUUGGCCUUCUAAGCUUUUUACCCAUUUUGGCAAUCGAUGCCAAUGGGGGAGGAGUUUCAGAGAGUUUUGUUCCUAAGCAUUUGCAUCCCAUUCUCAUGCAUCAUUGGUUGUUGCAUUGCAUGGUGAUGCAUAAUUCCUUAUAUAAACUCUCUUGAAAGUGAUUGUCAGCAAUUACCAAAAUGGGGGAGAUUGAAAGAACAUGUGGUGCCACCAUGUUUGGUAUUGGUUAUUGAUGACAAUCUCUAUGGACUAAUGGUUUCCUUGAGUUAUAUUUGAAGGUUUUGUCCAUAGGCUUUUCUUGGAGUACAUGUGUUGGUUUCAAGGAGAGUUUGUGUCGACCAAGGUGCUAUUCAAGGAAUUACCUAAAAUAUUGGUCUUGUGAGAGGUUGAUCAAGACUAAGUCAAAGAGUGAAUCAAGUUGAUCAACACACAAAGCAUAGAAGAUGUAUCGAGAAGGAUCAAGUGAUCCCAUGGUAUGGUAAGCAUUGUUAAUUACCCUUUGUGUACUAUCCCAUGGUCUUCAUGAGAGUUCUUUGUGGGGUUAGGAUGCGGUGUGCAAUAUCAAGUGAUGCAUCACGAAGAGAUCAAGUGCUUGAAGCUUGCCGUCCAUUGAGGUGACAAUGGACUUGUGAAGAUGAGCCGAAGAUUGGCUCACCCAUAGUGGACUAUGGGGGAGCAAUCAUCUAGUCUUCAUAUAGCCAACGCAAUCAAGAAAGGCGGUCCAACUUGAGGGAGUCAAGAUCAUCAUCAUCUAGCUCAAGUGGACCAUGUGCAAGGCAAAGGUUUGCCCUCGACAGGUUUUCUAUUUUACCAGCCUCAUGGUGGUAGUUGGGAGACCGGGUUAUAGGGUCGUUUGCCAUACUAUCAAGGGGUGCUUUGUCAGGCCCAAUAUGCGACCCUAUCCAAAAGGAACUCGAAGGUCCCACCAAGGAUAGACCCGCAUAUUGGAAUGCUUUUGCAAGGUGGAUAUCAUUACAUCAACAUUACAUAAUAGAUAGGGAUACAUACAAAAGGCAUAACGAGCAGGGAAAACUAGCGAGAGGCGAACGAGCAGGGAAAACACUUGAGCCGACGAAAAGAAUAUAAUCACUACCGAAAAAAUUAGAAUUGAAUCCACCGGAGAAGAAAAAGGGAUGAUGAAUGACGAACGAGACGAGAAUUCACCGGUUGAAAUAAUUGAGGGAAGACUGAAGAGGCUCCGUACGAAUGUAAUUGAUGCUCGAAAGAGACUCAGACUCCGGAAAGAAAAAGCGUGGGACGGCGGGAAAACAAAGGGAACUUGGAAGGGGAAAACCAACGAAUAUCUUGAAGAGAAAACACCGGUUGAAAUCAUUGAGGAAAGAAAGCAAAGACUUUGCACGAGUAGGAUGGAUACUUGAUUACGGACUCCGGUUCCGAGAAGAAGAAGGGUGGGUGGGUGGGAAAAGAAAACAACUGAGGAUUGAACUUGCAAAAACAGAGGGGGUCGAAUCACCUUGACGAGAAAUGCACUGGAUCAAAAGAGCUGAGAACCAACGAACGAAAAACUAACCGCGUGAUCCUAAAGAAAAAUUUGAAGGGAAGAGGAGUAGUUCAAAACACCUACGUCAAGAUUCCUCACCAGAGCAACGAAGGGGCUGAGGAGUAAAAAGAAUUCCUACUCUCCGAUAUAACUAGACUCAGAAAAUAGUUUUUUUCUAGACUCAACAAUGGCCAAACUACACGAUCAAUCAAGGGGGCUCCUAGGGUCGGUCGAGGCUCUGAUACCAACUUGGCACGCCCAAUAUGCGACCCUAUCCAAAAGGAACUCGAAGGUCCCACCAAGGAUAGACCCGCAUAUUGGAAUGCUUUUGCAAGGUGGAUAUCAUUACAUCAACAUUACAUAAUAGAUAGGGAUACGUACAAGAGGCAUACAAUGCCACAUGAAUACAACAUCAAUACAUCAUACAUAAGAUCAACAUCCGAACUAUGGAUGAAACACAAACAGAAACUCAAACGACAUCCACCCUGCUAGCCCAGGCUGCCGACCUGGAACCUAUCCCCUGACCGAAGAACAAGAAGAAGAACUCCAAAACAAGCAACAUCGCUCUCGCGUCAUGAUCAUCGCAAAACCUGUACCUGCAACUGUUGUUGUAGUAAUCUGUGAGCCACGAGGACUCAGCAAUCCCAUUACCAUGGGUAUCAAGACUAGCAAAGCUUAAUGGGUAAGGAAGGGGUAAAGUGGUGAGGUUGCAGCAGCGACUAAGCAUGAUAUGGUGGCUAACAUACGCCAAUAAGAGCGAGAAGAGAGCAAGCAGAACGGUCGUCAACUAGUAAUGAUCAAGAGGUGAUCCUGAACUCCUACUUACGUCAAACAUAACCCAAAGACCGUGUUCACUUCACGGACUCCGCCGAGAAGAGACCAUCACGGCUUCACGGACUCCAUAAUUGCAAACAGGGGCAUGGAUGGAUAGCUCAUAACCAUAUGUACAAAACAUCCUUACUGAAGUAUCUCAAAAUAAGCAUGGAUCUCUCUGUAGCAUCAAGUUUACAUGGCAUAAAAAUAACAACAGAACAGGGACUGAAAUCAGCAACAUCACGAGGCCUAGUUUACAUGCUUGUGCUAGUCACCACAUUGAUCACAAAAAUACAUGUCAUACACCCCUGUAAAGAUGGCAUGGCAUAGUUAAAAACAUAUGUAGGGCUCAAGUUCAUAAGAUGCACACAUCAAUCAUGGCAAAAAUGACAAAUCAUCAAGUUAUAACAGUUUCAGUAGAUUAACAGCAACAUGCACUCUUGAAACGAUGAUUCGGGCAUCAAGAUGAACUCAAAUGAACAUGAUGCAAUGGAAUGAAAGGAAGUACUCAUUGAGGCGAACAAUUUGACAUAUUACACACACGAAACAGAGCAGUAUGCAGCAAGUUAUGAUGCGUUGAACAUGGCACGAAAAUGUAUGGAUUCGGGGACUUAGAGGAAAAAUGGACCUCGAGGGGAAAAAGUCAACUCGCCGGAAUCUUCGCUGGAGAACGGCCGGAGUAGACAGGGAAUACGCCGGAGCUGCGGGGAGAGGUCGGGGAGGACGGAUCCGGGGGCGAGGUCGCCGGAUCUGGCCGGAGCCGCGCCGAGGAGCGGCGGGGCACGUGCCGGCAGAGCUCCACGGCCGGAGGCGGCCUUCCAUGGCGGCGACAGCGGCGGUUGCCGGUAGGGCGCGGGCCCUGGAGGCCACGAGGCGGCGGGGAUGGCGCGGACGGCGGGGUCCGGCCAGCCAAGACAGUCGGUGGCGGGACGGAGGGGCCGAGCCACGCGCANNNNNNNNNNNNNNNNNNNNNNNNNNNNNNNNNNNNNNNNNNNNNNNNNNNNNNNNNNNNNNNNNNNNNNNNNNNNNNNNNNNNNNNNNNNNNNNNNNNNNNNNNNNNNNNNNNNNNNNNNNNNNNNNNNNNNNNNNNNNNNNNNNNNNNNNNNNNNNNNNNNNNNNNNNNNNNNNNNNNNNNNNNNNNNNNNNNNNNNNNNNNNNNNNNNNNNNNNNNNNNNNNNNNNNNNNNNNNNNNNNNNNNNNNNNNNNNNNNNNNNNNNNNNNNNNNNNNNNNNNNNNNNNNNNNNNNNNNNNNNNNNNNNNNNNNNNNNNNNNNNNNNNNNNNNNNNNNNNNNNNNNNNNNNNNNNNNNNNNNNNNNNNNNNNNNNNNNNNNNNNNNNNNNNNNNNNNNNNNNNNNNNNNNNNNNNNNNNUGGAGGCAGGGACCACACAGCGGCGACAUGUGGCAGGCCGGGAUUGGCCGGAGGCGACGGGCGGACACGUCCGACUCGGGACGGACAUGUCCGGCGGCGGAAGGUGGAAGAAGAUUAGGGUUAGGGGUGGAUUUCGGGGGAGAUGCACAUAUAUAUAGGUAGAGGGAGCUAGGAGUGUCCAAAUGAGGAGUGGUUUUUUGCCACGCAAUCGUGAUCGAACGGCCGAGAUCAUGGAGGGGGUUAGGAUGAGUUUUGGGCCAGUUUGGAGGGGUGUUGGGCUGCAAAGAGAAAGGGGCUUUUACGGUUACCCGGUUAACUGUUGGAGUAUCAAACGACCUCCAAAUGGCACGAAACUUGAUAGGCGGUCUACCGGUGCUAUACCAAGGCCACUUGGCAAGACUUGGUCCAUUCCGAGAAUGUUUAACACCCGCUCACAAUAGGAGACAAAAGGGGGACGCCGGAGGCAUAGGAGUGCCGGAUUGCAAAACGGACAACGGGGAAAAUGCUCGGAUGCAUGAGACGAACACGUAUGCAAAAUGAGAUGCACAUGAUGACAUGAUAUGAAAUGCAGAUGAUGACAUGGCGAAAUGCAACACGCAAGCACAUGACAUGGCAAAGAUGGCGAAUAGCUGGCGGACACCUGGCGCAUCGAAUCCGGGGCGUUACAAGCUCUCAAGUUGGUAGCUUGAUUGUAUCGUUAGUAAAGAGAUCAAACCAUUGCAUCCUUGCAUUAUGUUUCUUGAUUCUUGUUUGGUUCUCUUUGUGAGUCUUAGAGCUUAUGGUCCUCUUGAUGACAAGCUUGAGUUCAUCAAAAACGGAGUUCGCAUGCGUCUUCUAUGAUGUUUUCGGUGUUGGAGGUUUUACCGGUCUUAUCCGAGGAAGGGUUCUCACCAUUUUAUUAUGGGAAUUUUCUCAUUUUCUUAUUGUUUAUAUUCUAUCCAGAUUGUGUUAUCCCAUGUCGUUAGCUUUCCAACAAACUUGGUUUCGUUGAAUUCGGAGUCCGUUUGCAAAAGUUGUGGCUGUUUUGGUAAAGGCUGCAGCGGUACUACCGCGACUAGAGCGGAUGUAAAUUUUUACUACCGCUCCAGAGCUAUACUACCGCGGCUCCUGAGCGGUAGUACCGCUUCAGACCAAAAUCUCGUGUUUUGCUCUGCGGAGGUAGGCAUGGAAGUAUUUUUUUAGUACCGCUCGCAAGUAGUAGUACCGCUACCAUUUGCGGUAGUACCGUGAGGUCGAGCGCUAGUACCGUGAGGACGAGCGGUAGUACCGCUUCGGUGGUUCUAUUGACCUUUUGCCUCCUCGUUGUUGUUUUUCAAAGGGGUUCCACCGCCCUAGCGGUAGUACCACUCCUUGGAGCGGUAGUACCGCUCUGUGCGGGCUGUGAGCAUAACGGUUGGAUUUUUCCCCACCUAUAAAAGGGGGUCUUCGUCCCCAUUGAACAUUAUCUCUUAAGCUCGUGUUCUUCCCCCAUUGUUGACCUUCUUCGAGCUUGCUAACUCUCAAUCCCUCCAAUGAUUCUUGCUAGUUCUUGAGGGAAAAGAGAGAGGAGAUCUAGAUCCAUGUUUCCAGCAAUUACUUUCUCCUCUAAGUGAGGGGAACCCCUUGGAUCUAGAUCUUGGAGUUCUUCGUGUUCUUCUUUGGUUCUUCCUCUCAUUUCCCUCCAUAGUAUUAGUUGCUUUGGUUGGAUUUGGGAGAGAAGGACUUGGGCACUCCGUGUGCCCUUGCCAUUGCUUUUGGUGCAUCGGUUUGAGUUCUCCACGUGAUACGUGGAAGUUACAAGUUGAGAAGCUUAUUACUCUUGGGUGUUUGGACACCCUAGAGCUUGUUCCUCUUGGGUGCCUUGGCGCCCUAGAUGGUUGGUGUUGUUCGGAGCUCAAUCAUUGUGGUGUAAAGCUCCGGCAAGCGUCGGGGUCUCCAAUUAGGUUGUGGAGAUCGCCCCAAGCAAUUUGACGGGUACCGGUGACCGCCCCCAAGGGUUGCCAAAGUGUACGGGUUAGGUGACCGCCCCCAAGGGUUGCCAAAGUGUACGGGUUAGGUGACCGCCCCCAAGGGUUGCCAUUUUUACGGGUUCGGUGACCGCCCUCAAGGGUCCCUUAGUGUAAUCAUGACAUCUUGCAUUGUGCGAGGGCAUGAGAAGAUUACGGUGGCCCUAGUGGCUUCUUGGGGAGCAUUGUGCCUCCACACCGCUCCAAAGGAGGUUAGCAUCUGCAAGGGUGUGAACUUCGGGAUACAUCAUCGUCUCUGAGUGCCUCUGUUAUCUCUUACCUGAGCCCUUUACUUAUGCACUUUACUUUGUGAUAGCCAUAUUGUUCUUUGUCAUAUAUGUUGCUAUCACAUAGUUGCUUAUCUUGCUUAGCAUAAGUUGUUGGUGCACAUAGGUAAGCCUAGUUGUUGUAGGUUUUGUGCUUGACAAAUUAACCAUUAGGUUUAUUCCGCAUUUGUUCAAGCCUCUACUGUAAUUAUUUUAAAAUGCCUAUUCACCCCCCUCUAGGCGACAUCCAUGAUCUUUCAACUAGUGGUAGACCUUGGAGUGGUCUCCAGACCCUCACAAACUUUCCGGGGAUAAUCACAAAGAACGAUUCCUCUCCGAAUGACUCCUACCGCCUAGGUGUCUCCAACCUCCAAGAUUAACAAGAACAAUGGGGAAAAAGCUCAAGACUUGCUCAAAUCACGAAUUCCUUUGGUGCAAAGAAGGGGAAUGAGUGGAUUUAUCACUUUAGUGGACAACUUCUCUCAAAUGCUCUCAAAUCCCUUAGGGAUCUAAGAUUUGGUGUUGGAGUGUGAGAGAGAGAGUGAAGAUGUGUUCUUGAGGGUGCUUGAAGUGAACGAUCAACCCUCUCACGGGAUAGGAGAGAGAUAUUUAUAGUAUGCCUCAAUAAGUGGCCAUUGGAGCCCAAAACAGCACAACAGCGUCGGGCGUCCGAUGCACAACGGACGACCGAAGGCUUGACAGACAUCGGACGUCCGGCAGGGACCGAACGUCCAAUGUUUUGGCACGGUAUAGUGGGUAUCGGACGAUCGGAGGAUCCGGACGACCGAUGUUUAGGCUCCGUGGAGAAGGUACCGGAGGAUCGAAGAAUAUCAGAUGACUGAGGGCUCUGCAGACAACAGACGUCCGACAAGGACCGGACGAUCGAUGUUUCGGCUCUGUAUAGGAUUUGCCAAACUUCCUAUGCACAUCGGACGACCGAUGUUUUGGCUCUGUAUAGAAGCGGUUGGACGUCCGGUGAGUACUGGUCGUCCGACAGAGAUGAAGAUCAGACACUAACUUUGAAGUAGAUGUUUGAGCAAGACUUUAGCAAUAACCCAUGUUCCCCUCUUAAUAGUGUGGGAUCCUAUACUCAAGAAUAAACAUAAAGAUAGUGAUUCCGAGGGGACUAAAACCUGAGAUAUACUUGACAAACUUUGUUAGUCCCCUUUGAGUAUCUUGUCAUCAACAUCAAAAAAUAUUUAGGGCAUGAUUGGACUUUCAGCACGGUUCUUGGAACAAGACGUGUGCUGACAUUGCCUAUUGCGGUGCACCAAACACCACGUACGUGGCCGAGAGAAUGCGUGCCCAUGUUACGCCGUCCAAGAAUAGUGUCGCACUUACAAAUUAUAGAACCAUCAAUAAAUUUUGAGCUUGCAUCCCGUCACCUUCCAAACCGCAAAGCUGUUCACACCUAUCAAAACCUAAACGGUUUCCCACUUAGGACGUAUUAGUACUCGGUUAUAAAUACUGUACUAGCCAAGAUGAUUGCACAUUCCUUCCUCAACUCCUCAUCCACAAAAGCAAACAGAUCAUUCAACACCAUUCUCUUGCGUCUGCCAUGGCCAGAUUGAGUUCUUGGUCGAGAGAUUACCACCACAGAGAGGCGAGCAUGGAAAUGGAAGCACGAGAGAUGUCCCGCUUAGCUGCAAAAGCAGCCGACAUGCCCCGCCACGCCGUCGAAGCAGCACAGAGGUCUCGCUGUGCCGCCGAAGCAGCACAGAGGUCGCGCCGCACCGCCAAAGCAGCAUGGAGGUCUCGCUGCACCGCCGUAGCACCACGGAGGUCUCUCCAUGCCGCCAAAGCAGCACAAAGGUCCCACCGCGCCGUCGAUGCAGCAGACUGGUCCGGUCGCGCCACGGAAGCAGUAGAGAUGUCUUACCGCGCCGCGAAUGCAGCAGAGAUGACCUUCCACGCUGCGGCAGCCUGGGAAAAUCUCUCGCGGCUAGGCGAGGACUCUUACAGGCGCAUGCAUGCGAUCGUCAAUAGCCAGAUGGAUCAAAUCUCCGACUGGAUGAAGCCGCAGGACGAUUUGAAUGCCUCGUUUGAACAACUCCAGGCCGACCGCAACCUGCUAAGGGCGAAGAUCACCGGAAGGGCGGAGCAGGAGGAGGAGACGGCAGCCUUGUUGAAGAGGACGGGCAUCAUCGUCAAGAAACUUAUGGACGAGAAUGCCAUGCUCCGCAUCGAGCGUGAAAGGCUGGUGGUGGAAUCCCCGGUUGCUUCCGAGCAGCGUGUUAAGGACAUGAAACGGAUGAAAGAGAUCAUCGCUGCUUGCCACGAGAACUAGUCUCCAUGACCUGAAGCGCAUCAAGAAAGUAGAGAUCAGGGAGCCAGAUUGUUGUAUGUGUCUUCCUUCUUCUUUUGCCCUUAUGUAUUUCGGGCGUAGCCGCAUGUGGCUUUUUUAGUUAUCUUCCUAGAUAUGUAAGACAAUUAUUAUGCACUAUCAUCGUCCUUAUAUUCAUCAUGCUUGCUAUAAGUCACAGUCGAUGCUAUAUAGGUCUGUCGGAUCUUACAUCAAGAUCUAUGCAAAACUUUCUUUUCAGAUUUUCACUUUUCUCUCUUAAAUCUCAGUCCGGUGAGAAAUAUCCAUGCCGUGAAACAGGGGCUCGGGCGCCAUUAAUGGAGAGGUUGGGAGGGAGGUGCGCGGCGGAUAGAGGCCAAAGGGCUCUCCUCCAGAUGAGCAUGCGCAAGGGUCUAAUUGCAUGCCUCCCGUACUCAAAUAGCUACCCCGCACGACACCUCCUAGCCAAUAAAAAGGCAUGUGUGGCGGCACGUAAUUGGUAAGUAGAACACCAAUAGUUUCAAUGAUAGUUAUGUUUUCACUUUGUAACGUGACAACACUUGUUCGAAAAUGACUUUGUUGAUUUUUAAUGUGUCCACCUAUGCAAACCGGACAGAAAAAUUACCAUAGCAUGUUGGUGCCAUGUCAUGACACCAUGCCAAGUUUCAUGAUUUUCAGGCAUGUUUUGGAUUUACAGGAAUUAAAAAACGAAGUUUCUCAAAUUUUCCGGCCCAGCCACGACACCCAGAUGUUUGAAUUUCAUUCUCAUUUCUUGCAUGGGACCUGGAAAUUCACCCCAAGGACACAGAUGUGAUUUUUCAACCAACUUUGGUGCACUGGAGCAUGUGCUUGUAGUUCAAAUUUGAAUUAUGCACAUUAAAAGCCCAGCAAUUCAAUUAAUGUAUAAAAAGGCCAAACGAACCCGAAAUAAUUCCAAAAUUUAGCACGAUACUUCUAUUUGGCCUAAUCUUCCUGUGUAAACAAAUUAAGACAGGAGAAGGCAGUGUACGUAUGUUGUUUUGCACACGGAGGUGACACGUUCCCUCUCGGAACCACGGGCCUUCUUUAGAUAAGCUCCGGUUUACAAUCAGCUUAUACCAAAGCUUGUCCCAAUUCGGCCAAAAACUUUACCGCAGCAUGUUGGUGCCAUGUCAUGACACCAUGCCAAGUUUCAUGAUUUUCAGGCGUGUUUUGGAUUUACAUGAAUUAAAAAACCAAGUUUCUCAAUCUUUCCCGGCCGAGCCACGACGCCCAGAUGUUUGAAUUUCAUUCCCAUCUCUUGCAUGGGACCUAGAGUUUCACCCAAGGGCACACAUGUGAUUUUUCAACCAACUUUGGUGCACUGGAGCAUGUCCUUGUAGUUCAAAUUUGAAUUAUGCACAUUAAAUGCCCAGAAAUUCAAUCAGUGUAUAAAAAAGUCCGGAAUAAUUCCAAAAUUUUGCACGAUACUUCUAGUUUGUCUAAUCUGCCUGUGGAAACAAAUUAAGGCGGGAGAAGGCAGUGUACGUAUGUUGUUUCGCACACGGAGGUGACAAGUUUCCUUCUCGGAACCACGAGCCUUCUUGAGAGAAGCUCCGGUUUACAAUCAGCUUAUACCAAAGCUUGUCCGAAUUCGGCCAAAAAAAUUACUGCAACAUAUUGGUGCCAUGUCAUGACACCAUGCCAAGUUUCAUGAUUUUUAGGUGUGUUUUGGAUUUACAUGAAUUAAAAAACCAAGUUUCUCAAUCUUUCCGGCCAAGCCACGACGACCAAAUGUUUGAAUUUCAUUCCCAUUUCUGGCAUGGGACCUAGAAAUUCACCCAAGGACACACAUGUGAUUUUUCAACCAACUUUGGAGCACUAGAGCAUGUGCUUGUAGUUCAAAUUUGAAUUAUGCACAUUAAAUGACCAGAAAUUCAAUUAAUGUAUAAAAAAGGCCAAACGAACCCGGAAUAAAUAAAAAAAUUAGCACAAUACUUCUAUUUGGUCUAAUCUUCCUGUAUAAAAAAUUAAGGCGGGAGAAGACAGUGUACGUAUGUCGUUUCGCACACAAAGGUGACACGUUCCUCUCGGAACCACGAGCCUUCUUGAGAGAAGCUCCGGUUUGCAAGAAGCUUAUACCAAAGCUUGUCCCAAUUCGGCCAAAAAAAUUACCGCAUCAUGUUGGUGCCAUGUCAUGACACCAUGCCAAGUUUCAUGAUUUCUAGGCGUGUUUUGGAUUUACAUGAAUUAAAAAACCAAGUUUCUCAAUCUUUCCGGCCGAGCCACGAUGCCCAGAUGUUUGAAUUUCAUUCCCAUUUCUUGCAUGGGACCUAAAAAUUCGCCCAAGGACACACGUGAUUUUUCAACCAACUUUGGUGCAUUGGAGCAUGUGCUUGUAGUUCAAAUUUGAAUUAUGCAUAUUAACUGACGAGAAUUCAAUUAAUGUAUAAGAAAUUCCAAACAAACCCGGAAUAAUUCCAAAUUUUAACACGACACUCAUAUAGCUCUAUGUUGCCUCUAUAAAACAAUAAGGGGGGCGAGGCAGCGUAUAUCGCUUCGAACACAAAGGUGACACGUCCCCCCUCGGGAACCAUGAGUCUUCUCGAGAGAAGCUCCGGUUUGCCAGAAGCUUAUAGCAAAAACUUGUCCAAAUGCGGCCAACUUUUUUACCACAACAUGUUGGUGCCAUGACAUGACAUCAUGCCAAGUUUCAUGAUUUUCAGGCGAGAUUUGAAUUUCCAGGAAUUUAAAAACCAAGUUUCUCAAUGUUCUCGACCGAGCCACGACGCCCAGAUGUUUGAAUUUCAUUCCCGUUUCUUGCAUGGGACCUAUAAAUUCACUCAAAGACACACAUGUGAUUUUUCAACAAAAUUUGGGGCACUAGAGCAUGUGCUUGUAGUUCAAAUUUGAAUUAUGCACAUUAAAUGCCGAGAAACUCAAUUAAUCCAUAAAAAUGCCAAACGAACAUGGAAUAAUUCCAAAUUUAAACACGACACUCAUGUAGUUGCAUGUUCACUGUACAUAAAUGUUCUAGAAAUUCAAAAACCGUCCUUUCCCUCCGUAGCACCAUUUUGUCUUUCAAAACAUAAUGAAAAAAUCAGGUAUACCACAAAUAGUUUACUAGAAAGAAUCGUGUGGGAUGCGAUAUAAAAUAUCUUGGUGCACCAUCUUGUCUGGCUUAUGCAUGAAGCUUCGUUGUCUACAGUCCACCACCCCCGCUUGAACCACACUUGCGCCAGUUUCUCGCGGCACCGAGCGAAUUUUUUUUGCCACCGCAAAAAUAUCUAUCUCCCCGCCCCUCCCUCCCACCAAAAGCCACAUUUCCACUGUUCCUCCUUGCUUUACAAGUUCAAACCUUCACUGCUACUUACUGGCAACUCAGCCUCCUCGCCGGCGAUCCUUCUUCUUGCAGCGCCGCCUCCUCGCCGGCUACCCUUCUUCUUGCAGCACCGCCUCCUCGCCGGUGACCCUUCAUCUUGUAGUGCCGCCUCCUCGCCGGCGACCCUUCUUCUUGCUGUGCGGCCUCCUCGCUGCCGACCCUUCUUCUUGCUGUGCGGCCUCGUCGAUAUGGUCAGGUAAUCCACACCCCACCCACACCAUCCUCCUCCUUUCCCAUCCCACAUGCCCUGACCGAUGACGCGACACCUUCUGCCGAAAUCAUUGUCCCCCUCCUCCAAUUAAGUGCCGCCCACAGCUAUUUUGCACACAGUAUAACAUGGAGCUCAAUAGAAUCUGGCAGCGGAGAAGCAAAUCGCGGCCGCACGCGUGCACGAGGUCGCUAUGGCUGCCAUGCGUGCCGACCGCUAGAUCUUGGAGGAGCACCUCAUCUUUGAGGCCAUCGUCAACACCGAUGUCGGUGUCAAAACCGGCGGAUCUCGGGUAGGGGGUCCCGAACUCUACGUCUAAGGCUAUUGGUAACAGGAGGCAGGGGACACAAUGUUUACCCAGGUUCGGGCCCUCUCUAUGGAGGAAAUACCCUACUUCCUGCUUGGUUGGUCUUGAUGAAUAUGAGUAUUACAAGAUUUGAUCUACCACGAGAUCGUAAUAGUUAAACCCUAGAAACCUAGCCUAUGAGGUUAUGAUUGUUUUCUACGGACUAAACCCUCUGGUUUAUAUAGGCACCGGAGGGGGCUAGGGUUACACAAAGUCGGUUAUAGAGAAAGGAAUCUACAUAUCCAAAUCGCCAAGCUUGCCUUCCAUGCCAAGGAGAGUCCUAUCCGGACACGAGAAGAAGUUUUUGUCUUGUAUCUUCAUAUCCUAACAGUCUGUCUCAUAUAUAUAGUCCGGUUGUCCGAGGACCCCUUAAUCCAGGACUCCCUCAAUAGCCCCUGAACCAGGCUUCAAUGAUGAUGAGUCCGGCGCGCAGAUUGUCUUCGGCAUUGCAAGGCGGGUUCCUUCUCUGAAUACUUCAAAGUAGAUUUCAAACACAAGAAUCGUGUCCGGCUCUGAAAAACAAGUUCCACACACAACCGUAGAGAGUAUAAUAUUUCACGAGUCCAAUCUACUGACAACUUUUUGUAGCGUGACAUUACGCCACUGCCCGGUCAUUAUUUGAACCAUUUUUUAGCUUGUCGCUCCGUAUUUCGAGGCGCGGUUCUAUUGGCAUGUCUUCUCAAAGUAGAGAUCAUGUCCCCUUAUCAUGGGAUUCUCAUCAAUACGGGCAUGGGUAACCCAACCAUGUCACCUGCAUGGCGCUUGGGAAAUAGGCGAAUGUUAAGGCGGGUAGGGAGGCGCAUGACUUUGACUUCCUUUAUAAAGGGAUAAGGAUUCACCUUUUUUCACCCACGCCUUCUCCUUCCUCUCCCCAUCCAUUCUCGAGCUCCAGCACCCAAGCUCUCGCCUUCUCCGCCCAAAAAAGCUCUCCAAUCAUGUCUGGAUUCGGAGCAGGAGGCAAGUGGAUGGCCUCCCCCGGUAAGGAGAAGAACAUCAAGAAGCUCUAGGAGGCCGGGUACCUAGCCAAGGAAAUCGCCCAUCGACUUCCGGCCAAGGGACAGAUCGUCCCCUCCCCGGAGCCCCAGGAGAGGGUAGUGUUCCUCACACACUUCAUUCACGGGCUGGGAUUCCCUCUCCACCCGUUUGUCCACGGACUCAUGUUCUACUAUGGGUUGGACUUCCAUGAUCUGGCCUCCAAUUCCAUCCUCAACAUAUCGGCAUUUAUUGUCAUGUGUGAGGCCUUCCUCCACAUCCCACCUCACUUCGGGCUAUGGCUGAAAACCUUCAAUGUGAAGCCGAAGGUGGUGAGCGUCCAACAAGCAGAGUGUCGAGGCGCCAUGGUGGGCAAGAUGCCCAAUGUCCCCUGGCCCGAAGGCUCCUUCGUGGAGACUGUCAAGGGAUGGCAAUCGAGGUGGUUCUACAUCACCGAGUCGCGCAGCACUAACUGGGCGGCGACUCCUGCAUUCCGUUCCGGAGUCCCAAUGCGGCUCACCUCCUGACAAGAGAAGGGCCUGACCUGGUCUUUGUUGGAUGAGCUGACAACGCUCCAAAUGCGUGUUCAGAGCAUGAUAAACAAGAGAGUCAAGGUCGUCAAUGUGAUCUAGGUGAUGCUCAUUCGCCAGAUCCUUCCGUGCCAACGCCGGACUUGCUAUCUGUGGGAGUUCGAUCCGGCCAAGCACCAGACGCUACUGGAGCUCUUCGGCACAACGCACGAAGACAUCUGGAAGGUGCUCUUCAAGGCCAACGAGGCGCCACAGCCCACGGACGAGGAUCGCGAGCAUGACUUGACUCACCCUGCUAAACCGGUAAGUUCUUUCAUGUUUUCAUGGUAUGCUCUUUACUGGCUCACCCGAAGAAGGCAUCUAAGCCUCCCUAUUGAUUUUUUCAGGACUGGACAGAGAUGGCGGAGCGGAUUAACUGUCCGGCUCCACUGCUCGAAGGCCUAGAAAUACCGCUUUUCACGAAGAUGCUGAUUCCGGCACCUUAUCAGAUGCCAGAGAAGAAGGCCAAGGGGACCCGAGGUGGUCUCCGUCGCAAGGACAAUUCGGACGUGACGUCCGAAGACGCCAAGGCUCACUCCUCCGCCGCCAAAGACGACGAGGAAGAGGAGGAGGAAGAAGAAUAAAUCCACUCCCCCUGCAGGGGGGAGAAAGAAGAGGAUGGCCUCCACACAUCCGGAGGCCGAGGCAUCCAAGAAGGGGAAAGCUUCCCUUCCGGACAGCUCCACAGCGACCACCGACAGUAGCUGGGAGUGGGAGCCCAAGGAGAAGCCCCUGGCCAAAUCGUAAGUGUUCGGACACAUGUUUGUAUCCGGAUUCUUUAGUUCAUUGUUUUAAUGUGCUAAAUUAUGCAUUUGCAGUCCGGCUCGGUCCAACCUCAAGUGGUCCUUAUCUUCAGAGGAUUCGCUGGACCCAGCGGCGAUGGACAGCAGGACCCUCCCAUCGGCCACCUCUCCCCGGGACCUGGAUGGCGCUGAGGCAUCAUCCCGAAGGAUCCCGGCCCAGGAGAGAAUCCAGAGGCCGUCAGGGAGGCGCCAGAGGGUGAAGCCUCGGUUACCGGACACAUGGGGGAGCAAACCCCCAUGGAUACCAAUGAUUGGGGCCAUAUCCAAGUCGGCCCCCAACCGAAUAUAGUUUCGGAGACACAUGCGGCUCCGGAACGAGGCCAGCCGCCCGUUUCUAAAGGAGGCGGUGCGCCUAUUCCACCGGUGGCCUCUGUCCAUCUAGAGGCACCAGAUAAUUUGCUGGAAGCGCUGCAAGGUGCUUCCAUUGUGGAAGAACAUCGUACCCUUAUGGGUACGGUGAUUGAGAGGAUCCAGUCCACGAAAAGCGGAUUGACCGAAGCCUGCACUAGCCUUCUAAUAGGCUUUGAGGUAAGUAAUAUAAUUGUAUAAAAAGAAUGUCACAGUAUAGAUAGUAGCCCCUGAUACUCUGUCCGGUGUUCGGAAAGAAAAGCCAAACAGAGGAUCAAAUAAUUUUCAUAGGAGUCUAAUCUAAAAUGUCUAUGUGAAUAAGCAGGCGUCGCUGCUGGCCGUGACCACUCACACCGCAGAAGUCUCUGGACUGAAGCAGAAUCUGGAGCAGGCCGAGGAAGAGCUCGGCCGCGUGAAGAAGCAGCUGGAGGACAGUCAAGGUAUGAAGUAACCAUGUAUAUAUUCAGGAAGGAUGAAUGAUUCAUGCUGACUAAAGUGCCAUGAAAUUUAUUAGGGGCAACGACUGGAGUAGAGGCCCUCAAGAAGGCGCUGGCCAGGGCCGAGGACAAGGCGGCCAUGGGGCGGGCCGCACGCCAAAAUCACGAGGCCCGGGUCAAUGAGGUCCAGCAAGAGCUCCAGGACGCCGUCAAGAAGCGCGACACCUUGGGGCGUGAUCUUAAGGAGCAAGGGUUCGAACUUGCCAAGGCCCGCCAGAGCACACACGAUGCUCGGGCCGAAGCCCAGGGCGCCCUCCAGGAAAUCCGGCAGCAAAGAAGAUCACGAUGGGUAAGGCUUUCAUUAUGCAGAGCAGAUAUGUGAAGGAAAGAUUCCUUUUACUUACCCGGAUUUAGAGCUCUCCAGGGACGUUUGUGGAUCUGUCGCGCAGCAUGUCGGAUGCUGUGGAAUUCUAUCGAGCUGAAGAGGGGAGCUCUACGGAGAAGCUGUUCUGGUCGCAAUACCUUGGACCAGAACAUCCAGUGCCCUUUAGUGAUCAGCUGAAAGAACUGGUCGAGUUGCAUAGGGUGGCUGAACUAGCCAUGAAGGAUUUGAUAAUCCGGCUAUGGCCUGCCGAAGCCAUUCCCAGCUACUACUUUGGGCUCGUGAAGCGGCUUGUCAGCGCCUGCCCUCGGCUUGAAGCCAUCAAGCGGCCGGUCUGUAUGGAAGGCGCGUGAAUAGCCUUUGCCCGUGCUAAGAUGCAUUGGGCGAAGAUGGACGCCACAAAGCUGAUGACCGAGGUGCCGCCCGAGUGCAAGGAGCAUCGCAAACCCCAACUGUAUUUCGAUAGUGUCCUGGAGGGAUCCCGCCUUGUGGCAGAGCAAUUUGCUAAGGAUAUCAUAUUCCCAUGAAUACGUUCAUGUUAUCCUGUUCUUGUAACACCCCAAAAUUUUAACCUUGUUUUGUUAAUUAAAUUUUUGCCAAGAAAUUAAAACUUUUAUUUUCUGGGCUCCCUUUUGAUUUUUGAACCUUUUUCUCCCUUGUUAUGGAGUUUUCCCCCAAAGUGAAAAAAACCCUUUCAAAUAUGUUAUUGGGCUUGUUUAACCUCUCAAGAAAAACUUUUCUUUUAUUAGUAGAACUAAUUACAUAAUUAUUUUGCUUGAUCUCUAUUUUCUUGAAAAAUGGUUUUCCAAGAUUAUAUGGCCAUAUUUGAACUGCAACCAUUUGAUAAAUUCUUUUAAAAACCCCACCAAAAAUUGGAGAUGUCAGGUGAUGUUUUAAAAUCACUUUUAUGCAAAAAUAUCUUUUAUUCAUGAUAUAUUUUGAGCUCUACACCCAAUUUUCUUCUCUGGUCCAGAGGACAAUUUUGCACUACAACCUAUUUAUAUAAUUCUUUAAUACUCCUACCAAAAUUUUGGGAUGUCAACAGGAGUAUAUUAAUCAACUUUUUGCAAAAACCCAGUGAUGUUAUUUGAAAAUUUUGAGUGAAUCAACCUCAUCUUCAUUCUGGUCCAACAUGAUGGUUUGUACAACAUCCAUAUUCUUGCUUGCUCUUUGGCCCUUGAUUCUUUCCCCAACUUGUAGACCACCCUGCAAAACCCCUAAGUCCAGGAGGAUGCAACCAGUGGAAUACUUUUGGUCCAUGAGAUGAUGCCAUUUACCUCCUGUCCAGAUUUGAAGUUCUACAAAACUAGCACUAGCAAGUUUGUGCUUUUCACAAACUAACCUCACCACCCUCUUGUUCAUCUAAAGAGACUAGGAUCUGGAAGUUUUUACCACUCCAAGAAAUGCCUAGGUGCCUGUGGCAUUUUGUCAAACACCUGGAGUGGAUGGACAUAUUUGGCAUGAGUUUUUAUUUGCACUAUGAACUUGGUCUCCUGACCAAACCACCUUGUCCCUUGAUCUUCCCUCUAUCACUAACCUUAUCCUGUUGCUUGCCAACCUCGCUCGAGCGCUCUGGAGUGCCUUGGCAUUUCACCGAGCAGUUGGUGGGCGUGCACUGGGCGCGCCUAGAGCGCGCCAACUGUAGCCACACAUCCGAAACUGCCGCGUCGCGCCCCUGGUUUUGCCACUCACUGCAGAGCCACGCCACACACUCUCCCUCUCUCCAGAACACGCCAACCAGCCCCUCGCCACGCCUCCGACGGGCCAAGAGUUCGCCAUCACGGCCGCCCGACAGUGCACCCUGCCACGGUCGGCACCGCCGAGCCACCAGUGCUCGCCAGCUGCCCCCUGGAGCGGCUCAAGCUCAUCCGCAGCCUCGUCCUCUAGCGCGCGUCGCUGCCACGUCGCCCUAUCUACAGAACGGCAGUCGCCGGCAAGCUUAUCCACGGCCGCCGCGAACCGACUCGGAUGUGCUAUAAAAGAAGGCCCCCGAGCUCCUCCGUGCAUGGAGGUAGCCUCACACCAUCCUUCUCGUGCCCCCUUAGCCGUCAAUCAAAGAGAGAAAGUCGUCUUCUUCCUCUCCGGCAACUCCUGCCGCCACCACUGCCCCGGCCAUUCCAGCGCCACCAGGACCUCCCCCUCUCCACACUCUUCACCAGAAGCUCUCUAUUCCUCCCAUGAACCCUUUCCCCUGCUCGAUUUUGAUCGGGAACCACCACAGCCCCAAAACCACUUUACUCCCGACGCCGCCGGCCACCGCGAAGCUCGUCGCCGACGACUCCCUCCAUCCCCAUCACUCCCUCGACCACCGGAAGAACCGCCCCAGUCUUGCGGAUCCAUCCCCACCCUCGGGGGCCCGUGAGGAGCCGCCUAACGCCGGCGACGAUCGCCGGAGCCCCCGCCUCUGUUCGGCCAGAGGAUGAAGAGGGAAGGGAGAAUAGUCAAACCUGACUAGUGGGCCCCCUGGACCCACUGUUCGUGACUCACGCGCGUCCACGCUGGAGUAAGUGGAGGCGUAUAGUCAGAAUACGUCUUCGACGUGUACGUAUAUUCGAAUCGUUUUCUUUUUAUUCUGUUUUUUUUAAAUAACAGAUUUUUGACCACAGCUUUGACUGCUUAUAACUUUUUAAUGACAACUCCAAAUGAAUUGAUUCUUUUUCUUGCCUCUCUCAAAUUUGACCUAGUUUAUUUUUAGAUUUAUUUGAAAAAAUUUCAAAACAACUUUUUGUGCUGUUUUGAAUUUGUGUGUUGAUUCAAAUUUUAUUUAAAUAGGACUUUGGAGAGAGAGAAGCAAACUUUCAAAAGUUUAGGAGUGCACCCUACCUUUCCACACAUUGAAGGCAAGCAUCAUGAACCCUGGCAUAAUAUUUUGCAUGCACGAUCAUGACACCACCUCAUUACAUAGGACUCGUUAUUUUAUGUGGUGAUAUGGUCAUUUGCAUGAAUGCUUAUUGGAAAUUCCUUGCUGUUGGAAAUGGCCAUGCUUGGGAUGAUGAUCAUCCUCGUAUGCCUUUCGUGCCUACCGAAAGGAAAACGGGAAAGUCUCUGUCUUGGGUAGACCCGAGCUUGUCCCUAGUUCCUCGUCGAGACGAGUGUGUCCGGCAUGGCAUGAGGGGUAUGAUGAGUGGUGACUCUGUCUGUUGGAUGAAAUAUAUUCGUUAUGCUAAUCAUGCAGGGAAUACUUAAACCUCCUGAGUCGACCCUAGAUCGAGUCUUGUUCCAGUAACCCCCAUACUUGUUUCGUACUACCACUCGUCUCUACAACAAGUAGAGUACGGUUCAGUAAGUUGUCAACCUAUUUCUAGUACACACCGUACAGAGAGGCCAUGGUGGAAGAUACCGGUUGUAGCUGGUAGGCGGGCCACCUGGUCCGGGGCAUGGGUGUUACCGGUUGAGACCGAGAGGGGAGGCCACCCCUUAGAGUGCGCAAUAUAAGUUUGAUCCCAUGCUACGCGAGGUUGUAGCCUCCCCACUUAGAGUUUGCUUGACAGGUGUUGUGGGUGAUUCCAGACACAUGUGAGUUAAGCUGGUGUGUGCAAGUUAGGUGUGUUUUCAACAAAAAGGCCGUAGAUGGAAUUAGUCCCGAUGGACUAAAGGAAUCCGUUACUCGUGGGUAAAGAGUACAUCCUCUGCAGAGAUUAAACCUAUUCGAAUAGCCGUGUCCAUGGUUAAGGACUACAGUCUGGGAUGGGUCAAGUGUCGGUCUUAGUGUCGGUCUUCGGAGGUGAAACUGUUAAACCAGAACUGGAAUCGCGACUUGUGACUUGUGAUAAUUAUGAUUAUUAUUUUCGUUGUGAACUAAACCGUGAUAUUUUUGGUAUUGUUGAAUAUCCCUGGGGAUGGUUCUACCUCCGGGAUAUUCACUAUGAUUGUUUCUUUUAAAGCCCUUUAUGUGGUGUCGCUGAGACGCCCGACUGUGGCAUUUCUUUUAUAAGCCCUUUAUGUGGUGUCGCUGAGACGCCCGACUGCGGCAUUUCUUUUAAAGCCCUUUAUGUGGUGUCGCUAAGACGCCCGACUGUGGUAUUUAUUUUAAAGCCCUUUAUGUGGUGUCGCUAAGACGCCCGACUGCGGCAUUUCUUUUAAAGCCCUUUAUGUGGUGUCGCUAAGACGCCCGACUGUGGCAUGCUUGUUAUUUAUUUCAUAAUUUUAAUACUACUAUGUCAUUGCAUUUUCAUAAUUAACCUGCUUACAUGCAUCAGAGAUAUAUUUACCUUUUGUGACUAACGUCAUGAGCAUAAAUAUUUCGAAACAUCGUUGUUAUAUUGUACCCGUGUUCAUAAUGUUUGCGAGUACAUUCAAAGUACUCACUGGCUUGUCCCUGGCUAUUGUCUUGGCCAGAUUUCUUGCACGGAGAGGAGCGACCUUGAUGACAGCCCCGGAACCCACGCAAUGGUGAUAGCAGCCUUGCGAAGAUAGGAGUUAUCCUGGUCAGCUGUUCCUGUGGGAAGUGGAGUCCCAUAGACACUGAUGAUUCACAACCCGCUUCCGCCAUCAACCACUAGAAACCAUUUGUUGUACUCACAGACCAGAAUGGUCUUGUACUACAUAUUUUGUGUUUUGCUUGGAAUUUCUGUAUCAAGUUGGUGCCUCAUCAGCUAAAAGUAAUCCUGGGGCUGAUGAGCACAAGGGCCAUUUUCUGGGAAUUAAUACCCGGAAAACCAGUCGCGACAGUUCUGUACUAUGAAAACAGUUCGAUUAUGCAAUAUAAAGUCUGUUAUUUAAAAAAUUUCCUCCCGUGCGGUCGUUUUGUUAAAUCUGAGAGUUGGCCAGUCGUUGGCUUCUGCCCCCACGUAGGUAGUACGGGGGUGUUCGGGAUAAAUCUAAACACUCUUUAUCCAAGGUUUUGGUCCUUUAAGGAGGUGUUUAGCGCAACAAACCAGGCAAUUGGACUAUGCGGCUUUAUUACUCUCACUUAGCCAUAGGAGUUUGACAAGAAAAAUUUAGGCGCAGCCCCUAGUGUUUGGAAGUCUGAACUUGGGGCGCUACACACGUCAGAUCGGAUAAAAACCGAUUCAUUGCAUAAUGCAGAAAAAAUCGCUAAAGAUUUGCAACCUCUCAAACAACUGACUGGCUCUCACCGCAUCAUGAUAGUCAGUUUUCGGCUUUCUCUACUGAGGUGCUCAUCCGGAAGAACCGGGACACAAUUGCAGUAGUUCUCCCUUUACUACCCUAGCCGAUAUAGCGGAACAUAAGGUAGUAAGCACAGGAGCCGGGUAACCCAACUAUUGACCAAAGACAUGAUUCGGAGCCGAUGCAUAUAAUGCUAUAAGUUCGGGUGCCGAAAUGUACUAUAAAAGUGUUCGAACUUUAUUGCCGUAUUGUGGGGUAUGAUGAAGCCCCUGGCGAAUUAAGGCGUACUAGAGUGUACGGGCGCAAUUGAUAAGAAUAUAAAGAAAAGGAAAAAAAUCAAGUAAUAAGCUGACGCCGCAAAUGUUGACUACGAAUUAUUUUCCAUUGUAAUUUUGUUUAAUACGUCAAGGCAUAUUUAUACAAGUAAUGCAAUAAGCAAAUAGGGCUAUUUGACAUGCCACGACCAAGGGCGAGCUGCGUGCGGGUUUUUAAAACAGGUAUAAUGAUCGUUAGCAGAGACCACCUGGGGGUUCCCUUAUACGUCAAAGAUUCUUGCCUUCUUGGUCUAUCCGUCCCUUGAUAGGUCCGAUGAUCAGGUCGCCAGGAAAGGCAUCGAGAAGGGAAAAAACCUAAAAAGAAAAAGAAAAAGUGAAGGUAUGCUGGUCCAGGAGCGGUUGAGCCGCAUUAUGGAUCACGGUCUAGCUGUGCCUCCGUCCAUGCCCAUGGUAUUUUAAGUGCAUAGGUAUGUAUGCGCGACACAAGUGUCGCCGCUUGAUUGGGACUAGGACGGAGGCCGAAUUGCUAGUCAAGCUCUGGAUGAGCUGGACUGUCCUGCUACAGAGUAGUUCGGACUCGCUUGACGGUGUCCGGGAGCUUUACUACCGAAUUGAGGUUCUGCCUCAAAAGGCUGUUCUGUACUUCUGCUCCAAGGGCAGCGGUGUGCUCCUCAAUACGGAGGGAGCGUUCCGUGUUUCCAUUGACUGUUAUGAUACCGCGUGGUCCGGGCAUUUUGAGCUUGAGGUAGGCGUAGUGCGGCACCGCAUUGAAUCAAGCAAAUGUGGUUCGUCCGAGCAGUGCAUAAUAGCCACUGCGGAAGGGGACAAUAUCGAAGAUCAACUCUUGGCUUCGAAAAUUAUCCGGGGAUCCGAAGACCACUUCCAGUGUGAUUGAGCCUGUACAUCGGGCCUCUACACCUAGUAUGACACCUUUAAAGGUGGUUUUUGUGGGUUUGAUCCUUGAGGGAUCGAUACCCAUUUUGCGCAAUGUAUCCUGAUAGAGCAGGUUCAGGCUGCUGCCACCAUCCAUGAGGACUCGCGUAAGGUGGAAUCCAUCAAUAAUUGGGUCAAGGACCAGUGCGGCUGAACCGCCAUGACGGAUACUGGUCAGAUGGUCCCUGCGAUCGAAGGUGAUCGGACAGGACGACCAUGGGCUGAACUUUGGGGCGACUGGAUCCAUUGCGUAGACGUCCCCGAGUGCACGCUUGCGCUCCCUCUUGGGGAUAUGGGUGGCGUAUAUCAUGUUUAUCAUUUUAACUUGGGGGGGGGGCUUCUUCUGUCCCCCUGUGGUCAGUGGCCGGGGUUCCUCAUCAUCGUCAUCGCUUUGUGACCCUUUCUCCUUGUUCUCGGCAUUUAACUUGCCGGCCUGUUUGAAGACCCAACAUUCUCUGCUGGUAUGAUUGGCUGCUUUAUCAGGAGUGUCGUGGAUUUGGCAUGGAUGAUUGAGUAUGCGGUCCAAACUGGACGGGCCCGGAUUGUUUCUCUUAAAUGUCUUCUUCCACUGACCGGAUUUAGAGCCACUGAAUCCGGCAUUGACCGUCGUGUCUUCGGCGUCAUCGCUAUUGUUUUGAUGCUUGUGUCUGUUGCGUCGGGGCUUGCCAUUGCUGUUUCUGGCUUCAGAAGUGCCAGGUUCACCUGUGUUGUUAUUGCUACGGGCUAGCCAACUGUCUUCUCCCGCACAAAAGUGGGUCAUGAGUGUCGUGAGGGCCACCAUGGACUUCGGCUUUUCUUGGCUGAGGAGUCGGGCGAGCCAUUCGUCACGGAUGCUAUGUUUAAAGGCCGCUAGGACUUCAGCAUCCGGACAGUUGACGAUCUGAUUCUUUUUAGUUAGGAACCUAGUCUAGAAUUUCCUGGCUGACUCUCCGGGCUAUUGAACUAUGUGACUUAAGUCGUCGGCAUCCGGAGGUUGGACAUAUGUGCCUUGAAAGUUGUCGAGGAAGGCAUCCUCCAAAUCCUCCCAGCUGCCAAUGGAGUUUUUGGGCAGACUGUUUAACCAGUACUUGGUUGGUCCCUUGAGUUUGAGCGGGGGGUAUUUGAUGGCGUGAAGACCAUCACCGCGGGCCAUGUGAAUAUGGAGAAGAAAAUCCUCAAUCCAUACCGCAGGGUCUGUUGAGCCAUCAUAUGAUUCGAUGUUCACAGGUUUAAACCCUUCUGGGAAUUCAUGUUCCAUUACUUCGUCAGUGAAGCAAAGGGGGAGUGCGGCGCCUCUAUAUCAGGCCAAGUCAUGACGUAGCUCGGAUGGAAUUCGUCUGCGGUUUUUGGCCCGGACAUGGUUAUGUUUGUCACACUCAGCUGGAUGGCCAUCGUCGUGCAUCGGGGCAUGCCCCCGCGAUCCAUAGAUUGAUCUUGUCUGACCUGCUCUGUUUUCCAAGUCACGCCGUAGGUCAUGUGUGUAUCCCCGAGCUGUUGUAUUUCCGUUUCUACGACGAGGUAGUGCGGGCUGGUGUUUGGCUCGAGGUGCCGCUUUGUCUCGGCCACGUGGUGGCUGGUCAGCUGCAUUAUAUCUUGGUAGGACAGGCUCCAUUGUCUCGUCAUCGAACUGUGGUAACACUUUGUGUUUCGGGUAGCUUUUCGUUGGGCGCUCGAGGCCAUAUUCCUCGGCUGCCAGGACAUUAGUCCAUCUUUCGUUCAGCAGAUCUUGAUCAGCUUGAAGCUACUACUGCUUUCGUUUUAGGCUCCUUGCAGUGGCUAUUAGCCGGCGCUUAAAGCGUUCCUACUCAACGGGCUCCUCAGGCACGAUAAAGUCUUUGUCGCUGAGGCUCACGUCAUCCUUGGAGAGCAGAAGGUAGUUAUUGUCCUCUGCAUCUUCAUUCGUGGCCUGUUCAUUAGGGCUAGCUUGCCCAUCUUCCUGUUUGUCCUGUUCGGAGGUUGGCUCAACGGGGUCUUCAUUGUCUUCGGCAUCGUCCAGAGUAUUGUUUUCUCCUGUGACGGUGUUGCUAUUUUUACUACAGCAUGGCUUAGAGCGGCGCCACUGACGUCGGCGCUUUGGCUGUAUCUCAGGAGGUUUAUCCUCGACUAGAUUUUCAUUGUCGCUGUUGUUCUCUUUGGGAGUAUCCACCAUGUAUAUGUCAUACGAAAAGGUGGUUGUCCAAUGCCCUGUAGGCGGUGGUUCCUGUUCUUCUCCGGCAUCGUCGGCCAUACCGUCGAUGUCAUCGGAGUCAUAAUCAAGCAUGUCGGUUAACUCAUCGACAGUGGCUAUAAAGUGGGUGCUGGGUGGGAAAAGAAGUUCUUCGUCGCCCGCUUCCCAUUCGAGCCGGACAUAGUUCGGCCGAGAGUCCCCCGACAAGGAGAGGGAUAUCAAUGAGUUUAACACAUCACCUAGAGGUGAGUGCUAGAAGAUGUCCGCGGAGCUGAACUCCAAGAUCGGCACCCAAUCAGGUUCCAUGGACGCGGAUGCACGCGAUCCGGAACCUAUGGCCGGAGACGAGUCCGAGGUUCCGGGGAAGCAAGCCCAGCCCGAUGUUGGGCCUGUGUGCGGCUCAAGCACCGUUGAGUCUGCGACUUUCGUGGUGAGGUUAAGCUUCCCGUCUUCGGACGACGCGGUCCGCUUCGGAUCUAGGGCCAGAGCGGUUACAUGCGCUAUCUCCUGAGCGCAGCCAUAUGACAGAUUUAGGUCAUGUUCAUCAUGGUGGCCGGGGACAGCCGUCAUGGGCUCGAAUCCGUCGAAGAUCAAGUCUCCAUGGAUAUCGGCCACAAAAUUCAGGCUUCCAAAUCUGACCUGAUGGCCAGGGGCAUAGCUAUCGAUCUACUCUAGAUGGCCAAGCGAGUUGGCCCGCAGUGCAAAGCCACCGAAUACGAAUAUCUGUUCGGGGAGGAAGAUCUCCCCCUCGACUGCAUUGUUGUAGACGAUUGAUGGAGCCAUCAAGCCUUCUGGUGACGAUGUAGUGGAACUCUCAAUGAAAGCACCAAUGUCGGUGUCAAAACCAGCGGAUCUCGGGUAAAGGGUCCCAAAUUGUGCGUCUAAGGCUAAUGGUAACAGGAGGCGGGGGACACAAUGUUUACCUAGGUCCGGGCCCUCUCUAUGGAGGUAAUACCCUACUUCCUGCUUGAUUGAUCUUGAUGAAUAUUACAAGAGUUGAUCUACCACGAGAUCGUAAUGGCUAAACCCUAGAAGCCUAGCCUAUGAGAUUAUGAUUGUUUACUAUGGACUAAACCCUUCAGUUUAUAUAGGCACCGAAGGGGGCUACGGUUACACAAAGUCAGUUACAGAGAAAGGAAUCUACAUAUCUGAAUCGCCAAGCUUGCCUUCCACGCCAAGGAGAGUCCUAUCCGGACACGGGAAGAGUCUUCGUCUUGUAUCUUCAUAGCCCAAUAGUCCGGCUCAUAUAUAUAGUACGGCUAUCCGAAGACCCCUUAAUCUAGGACUCCCUCAACCGCCACGUGGUUAUCUACCUUAAAAUACAAUUUGUAAUGUUUUCUCGAGGCCACAGCCAAUGUCUUCGAGUUAUUUGUCCUCUGUAAUGUUAAUAUGCAAUCUGAUGUUCAGUUAACAGCUUGGUCCUCUAAAAUGUAAUGUUCAGUUAACAGUUUGGUCCAACAAUUGCUACAUUCGUAGUAGUGUUCUCAAGCAUUCCUUGUUUUGUUAACUGUCUUAUCUUCUAGUACAUGUUUCUAUUCUGCAAUGUCGUGCUUAGUUAACUAUUUUGGUUCAUUUGGUCUUCUUUCCAUUUAACUAUUUGGUUCAGUUCUGCAAUUUGAUUUUCAUUUGCUGUGGGUACAAUUUUGUAUUGUUACGCAUGUGAAAUAAAUCAAAUUUGGCUAUACUCAAUUCAUAUUCUACUGAUAGUAUGACAACUCUCAGUUAACCUGAUCAAUCUUCCUUAUGUGUGUUGCAGGGAAACAAUGGGAGACACUCUGGUUUACAUCGAGGUUUGUUCAAGCAUGAUCCUUUGGCUAAUAGCACAUUAUUGUGCAGUUGCAGGAAUCAUUCUAAUAUUUAGGUUUCUUACAAUUUGGUUUUGCACAUGUAGGUCCUGCUAUCAGAGGCUUAGACCCAUUGUUCGACCCAUUUUGCAUAUGGGGAAAGGAGAUGUCCAGGAAUAUCAGUCAAGUUAAGAAACUCAGAAAGAUUUUUAGGAUGAAGAAUCUUGCGAAGAAUAACAGCAAGAUCUUUGUUUGCACAAUGAAGAAGGCACCAGUCAACUAUAGGAUCGUACUAACUCUUUUACCUUGUUUUUACCCCUUGCGCCAUCAGUCAACUAUAUGAUGGUACUAACUCUUUUACCUUGUUUGCAUAUCUUUAUUUUCAGUACUUUGCAAAGCAGUUCAUCGAUGCUUACCUCUCAAACCACCUGCAUGGUCAAGAGGCGAGGAAGGUAUUCAUUCAACACCCACGGUACAAUAUUGAAGUUUUGCUGAAGAGGACGAAGGUUGGGCGGGCAAUUAUCCAUAGCCACUGGCCUAAAGUUGCAAGGACAUUCAAAAUCACAGAAGGCUCAACAUUUUCCUUCCGCUUCUGUAGUUCCCAAGAUGAGAUUCAUCUAUCCAUUUAUCGUGUAUGAUGCUACUUUCCAAAGGUUUUUGAUGUUGCAUGUGAAACUUGGUCCUGUUGUGUAAUGGCAGAACUGAGUGUCGAAGCUAUCAGAUGUAAUUCGAUUAUGAAAUCCUGGUUGUUGUUAUACGGAUAUGAAAUAUCUGGUGUGUUUAUAUAAGAAAUAUCAAUUUGAUUAGUACAUGGAUUACCAAUAAUAGGCUAAUUACCCUGCUUAUUGGGGUUUUCUAUUGCAGACGGUUACUCAGACAACACCGUGGGCUAUGAACUCAAACACACUCACGGUUUCUAGAAAGUUAGUGUGUUCGAUCAACUAAUAAUCACACACGGCUUAUGGCAGGCCACCUUGCACAAACGUUUCCACACAAAAAACUGUGUGUGAUAUACAUACGAGCGAAAAUGUUUUUCUAGGAUUCACUGUGUGGGAUGUACAUACGAACGGAAACAAUUGGGUUUUGAUGCCUCGCCCGAUCGCACAUAGCCAGCUUGUGUGCCCGGAGGGCCUAUCCUUGACGAUUUCUGGGUCAUGUGGGAAGGACCCCCAUAUCGCCCACACUCACUUGGCAACGGUUCCAAAUGUCGUCGCGGAAAGGGGUUAAAAACCGUUUGUAUAGCACGUCGUUGUACCAGUGAUACCACCAGAUGAGAGGAAGGCAUUGCGAGUUCAAACAAACGCAGACCUUGCAACUAAACAGAAAAACCCGUGCGCUAAAUGCACCGCAAUGCCUUGCCCAGAUGCAUAUCUCUAAUGAAUCACUGUGCUUUGUUACUGAAGUUUUCAUGUGUCGAGUCUAUAUUUGUCAGUUACUUGUUAAUCAUGUUUUGCAGAAUUUAGUUGUAGAUUGCUAUUCUAUCAGCCCUCUAUGGAGGUGAAUAUUAAAUGAAAGUUAUACGUAUGUACUUGCAGAUAUAGUGAUAUGAACAUCGAACCAUGAAUUAAUUCCUAGGCAUAUUCAUUUUUGAAUUCAGUUUGAUUUCUGACUCAUUAGCCACAAGAUAUAUUUAUGUAGUGAUUUUAAAACUAGCACUCUAGAGAAUUUUUUAUACUUCCACUAUAGGAAUUAGCUUCUUUGUCGUCUGCCAUGGCAGACGACAAAGGUACCAAAAGCGGACGGCAAACCUCUUUGUUGUCUGCCACCAAUGGCAAAGCUGCGCGGCAAAGAACCUAACGGUAAACAAGUUCUUUGUUGUCUACUUCCUUAAAGAGGACGUCAAAGAACAUUUGUCGUCGGUGGCAGACGGCAAUGUGGACGGUAACUAACAGGCGUUAGCCACGUUAGGUGGCUAACGACAGCCUUUGUCGUCCGCCGGCGAACGGCAAACAUGCCCUCCCCUUUGUCGUCUGCCACAGACGGCAAAGUAACCAAAUGGGUGAGCUCCCAGGUUGCACAGGCUGUUGCCAUGUGGCCACUUUGCCGUCCGUGGCAGACGGCAAAGAGCCCUUUGUCGUCUGCCACAGAAGGCAAAGAGCCUGUAUUGUUACUGCUAUUUCUAUUUUCUGUUAUAUCCCUGCAUUCUGUAAAGACAUAAAUGAUAUAUAUAUUUCCAAUCUCAAACAUAGCCCAUGUAUCAGCCAUCUAGCAGUCCAUCAACGCAACAUAACUUAUAGGGUCUUAAAACGUCCAAUGCAUACAUAGUUUCACGGAGUUCAUCAACAUACAUAGUUUCACGGAGUUAUUCAACAUACAUUGUUCAUCAACACAAACUCAAAACAGAAACUAAAACUAGCAGUCCAUCAAAUGCCAGCUUCCAUGAAGUGAAUCAAAUCUGCAAAAAUAGGAGUAAGCAAGUUAGAAGAAGAAGAAGGUUUUUACCCUUUUCCUUCUCAUUCUUCUUCUUUUAUUCUUUCUUUUUCUUCGCUUUCUUCUUCUAUUCUUUUUUUCUCCUAUUCCUUGUUUUCUUCUUCUUAUUCCUUAUUUGUGUCAUUUUAGAGCUUACAUAGGUAAUUAUGCCAUUUUUGAGCUAACUAAGCUUAUUAUGUCAAUUUGGAGGAAAAUAAGGUAAGUAUAGGUCAUUUUUGUGCUAACAUAAGUAAUUAUGCCAUUUUUUAGCUAACGUAGGUAAAAUGCAUCAUUUUGGAGCUAACCUAGCUAAAAUGGAUCAUAUUGGAGCUAACCUAGGUAAACUUGGUCAUUUUGGAGCUAACUUAGGUAAAAUAGAUCAUAUUGGAGCUAACUUAGGUAAAAUGGGUCAUUUUGGAGCUAACCUAGCUAAUUAUGCCAUUUUCGGGUUAACUAAGCAUAUUAUGCCAUUUUUUACACAAGUAAGCUAAGUAUAGGUCUUUAUUGAGCUAACCUAGGUAAGUAAGCAUAUUAGAGCUAAUUUAGCAUUUUAGAGAUAACUUAGGUCAUUUUGGAGCUAACUUAGGUAAAAUUGAUCAUUUUGGAGCUAAUUAAGCUUAUUAUGUCAUUUUCGAGGAAAAUAAGCUGAGUAUAUGACAUAUAUGAGGUUACCAAGGUUGUUAUGCCAUUUCAAACCUAAGUAAGCUAAUUAUGCCAUUUUUAAUAUAAAGAAGCUAAGUGUAUGUCAUUAUUGAGCGAACCUAGGUAACUAAGCAUAUUAGAGAUAACUUAGCAUAUAGAGCUAACUUAGGUCAUUUUAGAGGAAACAAAGCUAAGUAUAGAUCAUUUUGGAGCUAAGUAAGCUAAUUAUCUCAUUUUGGAGGAAGAUAAGUUAAGUCUAGGUCAUUAUGGUAAGCAUUUUGGAGGAAAUAAAGCUAAGUCUAGGUCUUUAUGCAUUUCUUAAGCAAAACACUAGAGAAAACUUACCGUCAUCACGGAGGUGAAGCACCGGCGUGGCUCGCGCCGGUACCACCACCUGGAGAAGGAUCGUGUGAUGCUUGUCUGGAGGUACGUUGCACCAAAGAUCAUUUGCAAUGUCUCGUUAGCAUGACGACACUCAAAUGUUAAUACUAGUAACUAAUGACCAUUCAAAUUAAACUCACCGUGGUCCCCGGAGCAAUCUCUAGCAUUGGUGGAGGGGUCUGACCGGCCUUUUGGCACACAGAUUGCACAUUUGGUUUUCACGGUCAAUCAUACUAGUUAGUAAUGAAAAGAACAUUACGUGAAUGAUUUGGCUAAUAUGCAGAAGAAACUUACCACGAGGAGCUCGUACAUGGCCCGGUUCUGCAUGUCAUUCUGGGCCCUCUCCUCCUCCAUCAACCUUGUCGUCUUCUCCUCCAACUCCUGUUGCUUCUCCUCCGCCUGUUGGUCCCUCUCUGCCGGAAGCGCAUGGGUUCUAUCUCUCUCACUCUGAAGAGCAGCCUGCAACACCACUCCUCAUUAGCAUUGUAAUCAUCGAUGGCUGCACACACAAUGUAAUGCUUGAAAGAAAUCUGAGUCUGUAUAGCUAACCUGGAAGGUGAGCUCGAUUGGCUGCGGACGAGGCCUUAUCUCAGGAUAUGAGCAUGUUUGGCGCGCCCUGAUCUCUGGGAGAGUGCGAGGACAACGAAUAAGUCCAUCUCCAAUGGCUAUCGAGCCACGGGACCUCCCACCACUAUAUAUGUCAUCACCAGCUCCGGAUCAAACGGCCCGCUCGGGUUAAGGUCCUUCCCUUUCCUCGCCUUCCCCUCAUCUCUGUACUUGACGAGCUUGUUGUGGGAGGAGAUGUUGGUGAAGUUCUCUGGAUGAUCGAGGUCAGACGCAGAGAAUGCCUUGGCCUUCUUGUACGGGGCAGUAUGGGCCAUGGCAUAGAGGUCGAACACCUCUGGCACCGGUGCCAUAUUGUAUCCCGCCUAAAAGAGAGGAACAUAGUAUUAGUAGUUAAAGGGCUCAAGCUAGCAUGACAGAAUGAAUUGCAUCAAUCAUGAAUCUAACCACACACCCAGUUCCUCCUAUAUUGAUAUAAGUUGGCGCUGCCUUGAUGGUGUGGCACACCUCUCAUUUUGGCGUGAUUGUCCUUGGCAUUUUUGUGGACGGCAAGCCAUGCUUCUGAGCACCACUUAUCUGCCAACGCCUCCCAACAAUCCAUCUUAUCCGCACACCAUCUCAGGGGCACCUAAGUCAGUAAAGAGAAACUUGAGCGCUAUGCCUACGUAUCAAAUCAACGAAACUAAGAACAAGUCCUUAAGAAUAUAGACAAUUACCGUCAUGUACUCCUUCUUCAGAAACUUUCCGCGGCACUUCUUCUCGGGCUUCCAAAAACCACGCGAGGCGAACCUAAGCGAAUGGAUAAGGGAAAGCCCACUAUAUUAUAUAUAGUAAUUGUUGGGGAACGUAGUAAUUUCGAAAAAAUUCCUACGCACACGCAAGAUCAUGGUGACGUAUAGCAACGAGAGGGGAGAGUGUUGUCUACAUACCAUUGUAGACCGUAAGCGGAAGCGUUAGCACAACGCGGUUGGUGUAGUCGUACGUCUUCACGGCCCGACCGAUCAAGCAACGAAACUACGGCACCUCCGAGUUCUAGCACACGUUCAGCUCGAUGAUAUCCCUCGAACUCCGAUCCAGCCGAGUGUCGAGGGAGAGUUCUGUCAGCACGACGAUGUGGUGACGAUCUUGAUGUUCUACCAUCACAGGGCUUCGCCUAAUCACCGCUACGAUAUUAUCGAGGUGGACUACGGUGGAGGGGGGCACCGCACACGGCUAAGAGAUCCAAGGGACCAAUUGUUGUGUCUUUGGUGCUAGCCCUGCCCCUCUAUUUAUAUGUUGAGCCCCGGGGUCGAAACUUGGAGCAAAAGCCUCCUCAAAGUCGGUUUUGCCGGAAAGGCAAGAGUCCCACUCGGACUCCAGGACCAAACGCCACAAUCCUUGGCGUCUGGCCCAGACGCCAUAGGCCUCGGCGUCUGGCCCAGGGCCAGACGCCAGGGUCUCCGGCGUUUGGCCCCCUGGCCUUUGCAAAACUCCUUUUACACCGACCUAAAGCCUCAUGGGCUUGACCCCUUGGCCUAACCAUAUCAUCCAAUAUAUGAAUCUUUACGUCUCGACUAUUUCGAGACUCCUCGUCAUGUCCCCGAUCUCAUCCGGGACUCCGAACUCCUUCGGUACAUCAAAACAUGUAAACUCAUAAUAUAACUGUCAUCGAAACCUUAAGCGUGCGGACCCUACGGGUUCGAAAACAAUGUAGACAUGACCUAGAACUAUUCUCGGUCAAUAACCAAUAGCGAAACCUGGAUGCUCAUAUUGGCUCCUACAUAUUCUACGAAGAUCUUUAUCGGUCAAACCGCAUAACAACAUACGUUGUUCCCUUUGUCAUCGGUAUGUUACUUUCCCGAGAUUCGAUCGUCGGUAUCCAAUACCUAGUUCAAUCUCGUUACUGGCAAGUCUCUUUACUCGUUACUUAAUGCAUCAUUCCGUAACUAACUCAUUAGCUACAUUGCUUGAAAGGCUUAUAGUGAUGUGCAUUACCGAGAGGGCCCAGAGAUACCUCUCCGACAAUCGGAGUGACAAAACCUAAUCUUGAAAUACGCCAACCCAACAUGUACCUUUGGAGACACCUGUAGUACUCCUUUAUAAUCACCCAGUUACGUUGUGACGUUUGGUAGCACCCAAAGUGUUCCUCCGAUAAACGGGAGUUGCAUAAUCUCAUAGUUAUAAGAACAUGUAUAAGUCAUGAAGAAAGCAAUAGCAGAAUACUAAACGAUCGUGUGCUAAGCUAAUGGAAUGGGUCAUGUCAAUCACAUCAUUCUCCUAAUGAUGUGAUCCCGUUAAUCAAAUGACAACUCAUGUCUAUGGUUAGGAAACAUAACCAUCUUCGAUUAACGAGCUAGUCAAGUAGAGGCAUACUAGUGACACUCUGUUUAUCUAUGUAUUCACACAUGUAUUAUGUUUCCGGUUAAUACAAUUCUAGCAUGGAUAAUAAACAUUUACCAUGAUAUAAGGAAAUAAAUAAUAACUUUAUUAUUGCCUCUAGGGCAUAUUUCCUCCAGUAAUCACCUGCCAAAAGGAAAGCCUGACCGAUAAUAAUAAUAGUAGUCUCGAAUAGCCUGCACCUGUCGGUGAGAAAUGAUACGGAAUCCCUACUACGGUUGCGGGGCGCAGGAUCGUGAGAAGAGCGGGACUAGUAGACAGCACAAAGGGGAUUUACCCAGGUUCAGGCUGCAAAGGUGCGUAAAACCCAACGAUCCUGCUUUGGUGGAUGUAUUUAGUGUUCUUGAGCUCUUGAACUAGCUUUGGGUGUUGCCAGGUUCGAAAGAACCGAAUCCUUCUCCCAUGCGCCAUGGGUGUCGGUGUCAAAACCGGCGGAUCUCGGGUAGGGGGUCCCGAUCUGCGCGUCUAAGGCCAAUGGUAACAGGAGGCAAGGGACACGAUGUUUUACCCAGGUUCAGGCCCUCUCGAUGGAGGGAAAACCUUACUUCCUGCUUGAUUGAUCUUGAUGAUAUGAGUAUUACAAGAGUUGAUCUACCACGAGAUCAUACAGGCUAAACCCUAGAAGCUAGCCUAUGAUGAUUAUGAUUGUCCCCUAUGGACUAAACCCUCCGGUUUAUAUAGACACCGGAGGGGGCUAGGGUUUACACAGAGUCGGUUACAAAGAAGGAGAUCUAACAUCCAGAUCGCCAAACUUGUCUUCCACGCAAAGGAGAGUCCCAUCCGGACACGGGGCGAAGUCUUGAGUCUUGUGUCUUCACGGUCCAACAGUGCGGCCAAAGUAUAUAGUCCGACUGUCCGGAUACCCCCUUAUCUAGGACACCCUCAGUAGCCCCUGAACUAGGCUUCAAUGACGAUGAGUCCGACGUGCAGAUUGUCUUUGGCAUUGCAAGGCGGGUUCCAUCUCCAAAUACUCCAAAGUACCUAUUGUAACGAAUAGUGUCCGGCUUCCCAUCAAUGUUGUACUCCUCGGCUUCUGUGCUUCAAUAAUGGCCAUCUCCACAUGUCGAGCGAAUACGAGGAGCCGGAGCACUUUUACAUUUGCCACCCUGGCCCUGCAGGCAAACCGUCUAUUUGAAGAGACAGGGAUCCUCAGACCCAAAUCUCACUUUCUUCCCUUGAGCUAGCAUCCAACAGAGCGCAUCCGGAAAAAACCAUUCCAACAUGGCCGGUCGCCGCAGCUCCUCUUCUCGCUCCCUUAGCUCCAAGCCAGGUGAUUGCGAAGAGUGUUCUGUUCCCCAUAGCCGUUUAUUAGACUUGCAAACCCAAGGGUUUCUUCCACCAGCGUUCAUGGUCCCCGUCUGAGCCGGACUUUCCACCUAUAAUGGCGGGGAGCAAGCGGAGAGAUCUCCUAACCCAUCUCAGGGGGAGUGAGUAUGCCUCAUCCCAUAUUUGCUAAGAGGCGUCGGGUUUCCAAUCCACCCAUUCCUUCAUGAGCUCUUGGAGUUCUAUGGCCUCCAGUUGCACAACUUCACCCCAGCCCCCGUGCUGCACAUCGCAGGAUAUGUCGCCCUUUGUGAAUUAUUUCUGGGCUGCGAGGCUCACUUCAAGUUAUGGAAGAAGUUAUUCUGCCUCGUCCCUCGCAAUCAGGGGAAUCCAUAUGUCAAGUGGGCGGAGCCGAAGUAUGGCGCGUCGCCGAGACCGGAUACCUGUCCGGUACUCCCAACAAGGCGUUUGAAAACUGGCCCUCGGAGUGGUUUUAUGUUGAUGACGUUCCCCUUCCGGAUCCAAUCCGGACGGGCCUCCCUGUGGUUAAUAACGCUCCGCUGAAGAAACUCCGAAGUUGGCGUCCUCGGAGCACCCAGGAGGAAGAUACCAGAGAAGUCCACUUCUUGAUGAGCAGGAUAAAGACACUGGCCAAAUCAGGACUGACAAUAGUCGAGGUUAUAUCAAUAUGCAUAAUGCGGGGGGUGUAGCCACUUCAAUAUCGGGGGAAGCCCAUGUGGCACUUCAACGGGGAAGACGACGCCACCCGCUGUGGUCGUAAAGGUUCGGACUCCGCCACUGCUCUGGCGAGAAUACUGUCCGAUUUGUAUAAAGGAGAAGAAGAAUAAUUCCUUCGUAUUAAACCGCGGGAUGGAUUUUCCAUGUACAACCCCCCAAGAUGGGUAAGUCGUAACUCUUUACCCCACUCUAUCCAUUCUGGCGCCCUUCAUCACAAUCAUUUACCAUGAUAUUUCUGAGCAGGAACUGAGGAGGGCCGUGGAAGGAUUCAACAGCCCCUCCCCGCAGCCAGAGGACCCCGGGAGGGCCUUCGAUCCAGGACUUAAAGAAGAUCCGGAUAUAUCUAUGGAGCUUGUCGACGGGACAUUUUAUCAGGCCAGCUGCGAUGGCGCCCCGGUGGCUAUUAUCGUCAACUAUCCCGGACUGCUACCUACGUCGUGUGUAAGUAAAACCGAAGCCUUAUCCUCUAAAGAGGACUCCUUUCUUAUACCAUGCCUUAUGCCUAAAAUAUCGUAUUUUUAUAGAGACGACCAUCGGAAUGCGGCGCCGAGCCCCUGGGGGCUCGUCGGCAAAGGGCGUCCGGGCCAGGCAGGCUUAAGAGGAAGGCGGUUAGGGCCGAAAUGCUGUUACAGAGGUAUAGUUAAAAUCUGCUAUGUGGUUAUCGUAUUUGACAUGUAACAGCUUCCCUUGUGUCCUCGCAGAAAGAGGAAUCACCGGACUAUAUCCGGAGGUCCUUCCGGUCACGCCUUUACCAGCCGGAUUCUAGAUCCGACUUCGAGAGAGGAGGCCGAUGCGGGGCUGAUGCCGGUUUGUCCUCUGACAGAGGAUGCGGAUAUGCUCUCUGCCACUAAUUCCGAAGUAGAGAGUGCCAUGAAUGAUCGGCGCCGAUGGGCCGUACUUCACAAUGGCAUCUUUUCUAAAGAGGCAUUCAAUGCUUUCAAUUCGGGAGACACAUACAUCUGAGCUGCUCAAGGUGGGCUUGCCCGAGAGACGGACCAGUAUGCGAAAGAUAUAUGGGUAAGAAAAUUUGAUAAGUAUGUAUAGCAGUAGCCCCUAAGACUUGAAACGGUUGGAACAACCGAUUUAAGGAUCAUUUUAUGGACAGUUUCUUGUAGAGAAGAAUACCCAUUUGUCUCAAGAGCUGGAGGAGUGCAAGUCCCAGCUGAGGGCCGCGGUUGCCAAACUAGAGGAAUCCCAGAAGCCCUCAUCUGGUAACAUUUGUCUCAAUAGAGAAAUUUUAAGGGAAUAUACCAGUUAGUAAUUGGCUUGUUUUAUGAGUCUAACAGAAAAUUCUGCAGACAAUCCCGGGAAGAAUCCGGAGAUCGUAAGAGAUAGCGAGUUUGUGCUUACGUAGGUUAGGCAGGAGAAAAACAAUCUCCAAGAUGCCAAUGUCCGGCUGGGCGUCGAAUUAGCAGAUGUUCGAGCUCAGCUGGUGGACUCCGUGAAGGAGAACAGGAGGCUUCAUCGCGGCAUUUAUGGUAAGUGCCUAAACGAACUGCAGUACAGUUCGGCGAGGAGGCAUUUUUUAAAAGAGAUUAUAUCUGUAGGUAUGCUGACGGGCCGUCCUGAAGAGGAGAUGCCCGGGUCCGCGGGUGAUUUACUACAAGAUCUCUCACAACUGCACGAACGAGUUCGAUAGGUGAUGCAGGGUAUUGCCCAGGCCUUGUGGCCAUCCACUUCCCUGCCAAAAGGCAUGGGAGAGCUCGUGGAUAUGCUCCAAGGAGCACGGUGGUGCUUCCAGUUGUGGAAGGUAUCAGCCUGUCAACAAGGUGCAAGGGAAUCCUGGGCCAUGGUGAAGACGCGCUACACCAAGCUUGACCCGAACCAUAUGGCCGAAGUCGGACCGGCAGGGCCAGAUGGGCAAGAGAUUCCUGUGAGUCUGGUGUAUGACCAGGUAGCGCUAGCCACAAAGUAUUCCCAACAGGAUUGCAAGCUAGAUAGCCUGUUGGAUGGUAUGGAGGAAGAAUAUAGCCAGUCCAAGUGACUAUGUAAUUCAAUGGACAUAUGUAGUCCCUAGCCGGAUUAAAAAUCUUUUGUCAUGGUGGACCUUUUCGCUUCAGCCCCCGGAUCCGACAGUCCGGGGUGUAUCCGAAUACCCGCUCAGUUAUGCAAAACCGGGGUAUGCGUGGAAACCAGGCGUAGGGGUAAUAAGUGCUUGAACAGACAAAUACCCAACUAGUUAUGGUAUAUUACAUGGGUAGUAAGAAACAUCUUCUAGGGAGAAUAGUUCCGUUAGGGUUUCCUUUCCCUGGGUACACAUGCAUCGAUGUACAUGUCUGAACUGCGAACAAAACACAGGAUACAAAACAUCUGGGGAUUCACAUUGUAAUAAACGAAAGAAACAUCUUCUGUUCACCGACUGUCGGCGUUCUGGGAACGGGGGUCCCCAUACUUGCCUGCCUGCAGCCUACGGCGUGGCUCAAGUGGGGGCCCAGCGCGGCCCAGCUUCAUCAGCUCAAGCUCAAGACCCUCGCGAGGGGCCAAGCCUCGCGGGGCGGACGACGGGAAGCUUCCUCAGGAGCAGCCACCUCAGGCAGGCUUGCGAGGAGGAGGAGAGAUCAAGGCACGGUUGCUCAUGAGGGUGCCCCAUGACGCAAGCCAUGACGAUCGAGACCAGGCGGGCGCCAGGCGGGCGCCGGCCUACGCACUGUCCUUGUUUCCCCUUCGGUGAAAAGGGGGCAAGCACAGGCCAAGGCAUCAGGGAAAGGUUACCGUUUCAGUGCAACAAGACCAAGACCAGCAGAACGACAGGAUGCAGGUCAUCGUGGAGCCCACGACGGCGUCAUCGGCAGAGCCUUUGGCAGCCGAAGACCAACUUUAGUCAGGAUAAGUGUACUGGAUGUUCCCCUUCAAAAUGGCCAACUAUUGGCGCCCUUCCUGCUCAUUAUUUAGGAAGAGGCCCAGGGCCUCCUCCUAUAAAUAGGACUAGCCACCACAGAGUAGAGGCAUCUGGAAGAUCGAUGAAUCAACCAGAGAGAGAGAGAGAGAAGUGACUGAACUCAUCCAAGUAGUUCAUCGCAGCAGCUCAAGAACAGCCCCUCGCGAGGCUGUUCUCACUUUGUACUGUUCAUCAUCAGCCCCAGAGGCAAUCCACCAUGCCACAAACUAGAGUAGGGUAUUACACCACAAUGGUGGCCCGAACUAGUAUAAACCUCGUGUCCCUCGUGUGUUCUUCCUUCUAGCCUAGAUUCCUUGCAAGCCUUCGACGCGUGCGCUGGUAGGGGAAAGAUCUUCGUGCGCACCCCAGUGUUUGAACCUCAAGGGUUUGCCGGAACCCGAAAUCUGACAUUUGGCGCGCCAGGUAGGGGUGCGUCGGAGUCUUUCUUCCGUUGGCCGUGUGAUCUUCCGUCGUGUCCAUGUCUGACGCUCGCCGAGCCAGCGCCGAGCGCCGGGCUGCUCUCGCCGCUCGAGUCGCCCAGACGGCUCCCGUCGGUGGACGCCCCCAUUGUUCCCCAUCGCCUGCUGCCAACGCCGCCACUGGCCUAGCGGGGAACGAGUAGUAGGCCUCGUUCCUGCAUCCCUCAGUGCGGCGAGAAGGCUGCACCGCCACCCCGCCCCUGACUCCAGCCGGCUCGCCGUCCCACGCCCGUCGCGCCCCCACGGACACACACGCCGCGCUGCUCCGGGCGCGUGAGUUCCUGCACUAGCGUCCCGUCGACGACCUCUACAAGGACUGGCUCGCCCGCAUCACCGAGCUCGUCAGCACCGCAUGGGGCUCUCCCAUGUCGUCCCUCUCGCUGCCUCCCCCUCCAUCCUGCGCAGGAGGCGUGGACCAAGAGGUGCCUCCACCACCUCCUCCCCAAGAAGGCGCACUGGCUCCAAGGCACGUGGCCCCAGGACGAGACCCUCCGCGUUCCGCGCCUGCGCGACAAGAAAGGAGCUGCCAAGAGAUCCCUCGUCCCCAAGAAGGUGCUCGCGUGCUCCCGGCACCGGAGCACCAUGGCCGUGCCCCUGUGCCACCACGUCAAGACCCCGCGCUGCUCUAGGCGCCGGUGCAUGGGGAUCCUCAGGAGUAAGCCCCGCAUCAACAGAGAGCUCCGGUGGCCACCACAGGCUGCCACGCCUUCACCGCCGAGCUGCGUAGCGUCGCAUGGCCCGGCAAGUUCAAGCCGGACCUGCCUCCUCGCUAUGACGGCACUGCAGACCCUGCGGAGUUCCUCCAGCUCUACGAGCUGGGCAUCAAAGCCGCCAACGGGAACGAAAAGGUCGUGGCAAACUGGUUUCCCAUGGCGCUCAAGGACAGAGCCCGCACCUGGCUCUUGAACCUGGCUCCUGGCACGAUCUCCUCCUAGGACGAGAUGCGCGCUCGCUUCAUCGCCAACUUCCAAGGCACUCGCGACCAGCCCCCGGCCAUGAGCGACCUGCGCCGCAUCAAGCAGCAGCCAGAAGAGACCCUGCAGAAGUACAUCCAGUGCUUCAACAACGCCCUCCUCAAGAUCCCCAGGGUGACUGAGGAGGCCAUCAUCUCAGCCUUCUCCGAUGGCGUGUACGACAUCAAGAUGAAAGAGGAGUUAGCCAUCCAUGAGGACAUGUGCACAUCCUUGGAGCUGUUCAACUUGGCGACCAAGUGCGCCAGGGCUAAGGAAGGGCGCCUUUCCCUCCUCGAGCUUCCGGCCGCCGAUCCAGAAGAGAAUAAGCCCAAGGUCAAGGACGUGAAGCGCAAGGGGGAUGUUGUGCUCGCAGCAGAGCUAGACACCAAGCAAGGCAGGGAUCAGCCUGAGUCAUCCAAAGGCAGCCGGUACUGCGUGUACCACGACCUCCACACCCACAACACCAAUGAAUGUCAAGAGCUCAGGGCCGUGCGAGAUGGGCAUAUCGGCCAACGUCCCGACCGCAACGACCGGGGCUAUGGCCGAGGAGGAGGAAGAGGUGGAGGAUGAUGGGAAGAUCGUGGCCUGCGCCAAGGGUGGCGUGAUUGACCUCGCGAGGACUGCUGGCAGGACCAGCCUCAAGAGGGAGGUUGGAGGGAUCAGCCUCGUGAAGACCGCCCUCAAGGCAAUGCAGGCCUCCCUCCUCUGCCACCACCCCCAAGGAGGAAUGAAGACCACCACCAGGACGAGGUGGCUGGGGGCUUCUAGGAGCCACGCAUAAUCGCUUGCAUCUUGGGCGGCGCUCAGGCCCCAGCCUCUCAGUGGAUCUUCAAGCAGUUUCCUCGUGAGGUGAAUGCAGUCCUUCCCAAGCUUGAAUCCACGUGCCCUCUCAGGUGGUUAGCAUGCGCUAUCACAUUCAACUCAGCGGAUCAUCUCAAGUGCGUAGCAACGGCCGGAGUCCUCCCGAUGCUUUGUUCCCGAGUCAUCAGCAAUGUGCAAGUCACCAGGACCCUCAUCGAUGGCGGAGCAGGACUCAGUGUCCUGUCCGUCGAAACGUUCAACAAUCUCCAAGUGCCAUACGAUCAGCUUCAGCCGACCAAGCCUUUCUCAGGAGUCACUGAUGGUUCCACUGUUCUGAUAGGGCAAGUUUGCCUUCCUAUCACCUUUGGGCAGCGCAACAACUACCACACCGAGCUCAUUGACUUCGACGUCGCCCACAUUCGCCUGCCAUACAAUGCCAUCCUCGGGUACCCAGCUCUAGCCAAGUUCAUGGCAGUGACUCACCAUGGCUACAAUGUUCUCAGGAUGCCAGGAAGCGGUGGAAUCAUCAUAGUGCCUUGAGAGGAGAGGGACGCAGUGUGUUCUCUUGAGCGUGCCUUCCAGGCUGCGGCAAUCGAAGACCCAGAUCACAGGAGCGGGAGCCUCCCCGAGGCGGUCCCUAAAAAGAAGAAGGCUUCACCUGGCCGAAACCCUCAUGAGGUAGGCAUCUCCGGAGGCGUUGCGUCAGGGUCCGCGCCAGUUCAAGGGGCGCCACCCUCUGUCGCAUAGGAAGGCGUGCUUGGCGCCCUCCUCGGGCAGGGCUCGGGGGCUCUGUCUUGGAGAGCCACUGACUUUGCCAAGGUCACGAGGGAGGCGCUCGGGCACCACUUGGAGGCGUGCUUCAAGGCACGUUUCCCUCAGGAAGGCAUGAGGCAAGGAGGGCCAAACCCUCAGGAGUUCAUCGCGAGGAACAUUCAGGAGCUACAGGAGUCAAGAGUCAUGCGCGACAGUCGCUGCCUGCCCGCAGUAGCCCCACAUCCCGGCGAGGAUGGUGGGAUGCGCGUCUGCAUCGAUGUACCAGGGCUCAACCGAGCCGCAUCUCAGGAGCGCCUCUGGCCUUCACGUGUGGGGCAUUGUGAGGGGCCACCUCACAGCUACGUUCGCAUGCCCCUCGGCCUGCCGAACGCGGCCGCCGCUCAUCAGCACCUGCUGAGGAGCAUUCUGGAGGCUCAGGAGGUUAGGCAUCACGCGGUCCUGGCGGAGAUGGAGAUGGUCCUCGGAGAUCCACCCGAGCCCUCAGAGCCUCCCGAGGCUCUAGGACCCGGGAGCUCGUGAGGAUCGACCUCCUCACCACACGUUGUCUGCUACUUCAGCAUAGCUUCAUCCCAACGGUAUCAGGUGACACCUCUCGAAGUUCCAUUUUUAGCUGGGAGCGCCCGCAGGGCUGCAUCAUUCCCAAGUCGCGUGGGUCUGCCCCUGCGGCAUGUAUCCAUUUUGCUUAUGUUCCUUACCUGCCUUGUUGAGGGCGCCCCUCGGGCUGCAUUGUCCUCAAGCUGCUCGGGCCAGACCCAAUGGCGUUUACUUUUUCCGCAUCUAUCUAAAUAGAUUUGCUCCUUCGUGCUUAACAUGCUUGACCUAACCGCCUGCUUGAUUGACACCUACCUUUGGAGUCGCACGCUCUGGCACGGCACUUGCGCACGGGUCCAUCCCUGCAACGCCGAUAAAUCUGAGUGGCUGAGCUCUGGCCGCGGCAGCCCCGCAAGGCGCCACCUCACCAGGCCCUCAGUGCCCCAAUCACUCCCUCGGAGCGACCAAUGGUUGGCUGGCAACCGUAACAACAAACCUUGUUUCCCCUCGUGACUGAUACGCAGGACCCGCUCUAGGAGUAACGCUGGUGGUGUCGCGAGCCUUCUCUCCUUCUCUCCGGCACGAUCCGCUUGCACGUUAAAAGGGGGGCGCCAGAGCAUCGUGACUCAUGGGCUCCUACUGGCUCUCCAGCCCUCACCCCCCGGCCUUGACCCACGGCAUCACGACCUGUCAUUCCAGCGGCAGCUGAGCUCACUCGAGGGCCGGGACCUGAGGACGUAGAGCAUUAAGGAAAGUGCAGGGGAGAGGGAAGAAGCUCAUGAGGACCCAACCCAGCAACACCUCAGCUGCCGCCACGCAGGCGCGACACCUCGUGAAACACUACUCCAAACCUACAAGAUAAGUCACGAAAAACUGAUUCGACUCAGCGCUAAACCCUCGGCUACUGGAGCUCUGUCACGGCAAUGUUUCUUGCCUUUCUUGCCCAGCGGAGGCUGCUUGAACGCUAAAGGGGACAUCCUGAGCAUCGCGACUCAGGGGCUCUUACUGGACCUCGGGCCGCUCACCUCCUGGCCUUGACCACGGCAUCACGACCUGGCAUACCAGUGACGGCUGAAGCCUGCGUGGGGAUCGGGACCUGUCAGCGUAGAGCACCAAGCCCUCGUGAUGAAAGAAAGGGGGAGCUGAGCCGGGAAAGGACAAGCAUCACGCCUCGAUUCAUAAUAAGGAUGUCAUAUUCGCAAAAGUCAUGGCCAGCGCCUUACGUACCCCCGUGGGGCAGUGCUUCGAUUUCUCACAGGGAACAAAAGGUGCUAAUCCUAAGGAACGCUAACUAAACGCGCCUCCGCAGGAGACGCCAUCAUCAACAGUGGGCCGCCAGGCACCGGCGCCAACCCCAUCCAGAUCAGCAGCGCCGGCGUCCUGAAGCAACCACCCUGCUCCGGGUGCGGCGCGAACUCAGGGGCUCGUAGCUGUCGUCGCUCAUCUCCGGAGUCGCGAGAAGCUCAGCAGAGUCGCUGGACCCUCCGCCACCUCCGCUGCCGCCUGAGGAGCUGCUAGGGAAGCGGUUGGUGGGCCAGGUCCUCGCCGCGAUGAUGCCCCGACCACCUUUCUCGGGGCAGCACUCCAGCUGGCGUCCCUCCGCAUCGAAGACCUUGAAGAGCAUCAAGGAGGCGCCAUCAUAUUCUAGGUGUAUUACGAGGGUACCCCCUGUCCGGCAGAUCCAGGCGAUCUCGCCCCAGCCUCGGGUCAUGUAAACCUUGCCGGGAGCGACAACCUCAACCUCUGCUCCGGUCGCGGGGGUGCUACAGUCAGCGUGCUGCAGCCAGAGCUCCAAAGGCCCCCUCUGCGAGAUCUCAAAGGCGAAGGAGGGAGGAAGGUAAAUCCAAGAUCAAGGAGGCAUGGCUGCGUGGAGCACAAGCUCACGAGAGGAGCCCUCGGCGUGGACUCCACGAGGAACGACGCACACCACCGUGACCCGCCGGCAUCGACGGUGGCACCGUUGGUGUUGCUUGGCGCCUUCUUCUCGAGAGCCCUCGAUGCGGGCAUACAAAGGCAGCGAGAACCCUGGCGGCGGCCGCUCGUAACAGGGUCUCGAUGCCUCCUACCGAGAGCCCUCAUCUCGGCGGCAGAGGGCUAGCCGUUUCUUCGGCGGAAGCGGAUCGGGACCCUCUCGAGGGGCCUUUCCCUUCUCUUCUAUAGAGAACUGGCGGAUUGGUUCCAUUGGCGCAAGGUGGAGCGAGGGUGAUGAAGAAGAAGAAGAGGAGUAGCAGGAAGGGAUGGACUAGAAGGGCUCGCGCCAUUCCGUACUUAUAGCUGGUGGAGGCCAACCGUCGGCCUCCACGAUCGAAGGUAAUCGUGACCCGUUUUUAUAUGCAGGGACUUGUCAAGUCAUGCGGUUGCGGAGGCAUCAUGGGGAAGCGGAGACACCCACGUCCAAUCAAUCGCCACGUGGCGCCCAAGGCUGCAGGUUGUUAGGGCCCGUGGCGCUUCGCACUUGCUCCUUCGUUUCUUUGCAAAGCCAAGUCCGGGCGCGCCUUGGGCCCGGGGGCUACUGUCGGCAUUCUGGGAAUGGGGGUCCCCAGACUUGCCUACCUACGGCCUGCAGCGUGGCUCAAGUGGGGGCCCAGCGCAGCCCAGCUUCCUCAGCUCAAGCUCAAGACCCUCGCGAGGGGCCAAGCCUCGCAGGGCGGACGACAGGAAGCUUCCUCAGGAGCAGUCUCCUCAGGCAGGCUCGCGAGGAGGCAGAGAGAUCAAGGUAGGGUACCUCACGAGGGUGCCCCAUGAUGCAAGCCAUGACGAUCGAGACCAGGCAGGCGCCAGGCGGGCGCCGGCCUGCGCAGUGUCCUUGUUUCCCUUUGGUGCAAAGGGGGCAAGCACAGGCCAAGGCAUCAGGCAAAGGUUACCGUUUCGGUGCAACAAGACCAAGACUAGCAGAACGGCAGGAUGGAGGUCAUCAUGGAGCCCAGGACGGCGUCAUUGUUAGAGCCUUUGGUAGCCGAAGACCAACUUUAGUCAGGAUAAGUGUACUGGAUGUUCCCCUUCAAAAUGGCCAAUUGUUGGCGCCCUUCCCGCUCAUUAUUUGGGAAGAGGCCCAGGGCCGCCUCCUAUGAAUAGGACUAGCCACCAUAGAGUAGAGGCAUCUGGAAGAUCGACGAAUCAACCAGAGAGAGAGAGAGAGAGAGAGAGAGAGAGAGAGAGAGAAACGACUGAACUCAUUCAAGCAGUUCAUCGCACCAGCUCAAGAACAGCCCCUCGCGAGGCUGUUCUCCCUUUAUACUGUUCAUCAUCAGCCCCGGAGGCAAUCCACCACACCACAAACUAGAGUAGGGUAUUACACCACAAUGGUGGCCCGAACUAGUAUAAACCUCGUGUCCCUCGUGUGUUGUUCCUUCUAGCCUAGAUUCCUUGCGAGCCUUCGACGCAUGAGCUGGUAGGGGAAAGAUCUUCGUGCGCACCCCAGUGUUCGAACCUCAAGGGUCUGCCGGAACUCGAAAUCCAACACCGACCGAAUAUUCCCUUAAGAACGCUAGCUUUCAGCUUCACCCUGUCUGAGGUACACAUCCGGCUGAACUGGAAGUAACAAUCACAGAGGUGCUCCCCUUAUGCCCUAGCCGAAUUAACAGGAACGUAGGGCAUAAACACAAGAGCCAGGCUACCCAGCAUGGCCACAUCUUAAGUCAUAUCUAUGCAUAUAAUGGUGAAGAAAAGGCACAUAUGGAAAAAUAAUGCAUAUCUGAUAUGCAGGAAGCCAUAAAAGUAAUUAUAUUUAGCUUCCGUAUGGGAAGCCCCCAGGUAUGGUGAACACACAUAGUGCGGCCGGAGUGAUCCGAGCAUCCACACUGUAUUGAAUACUUUGUGUGCAGAAGGGAAAAAGGCGAGAAGGAAAAAGAGGGGGGAACAUAAUUAAAAGAGCGGGGGUAAGGAGACGAAUACUGAGUUCGGCACUAGGCGUAGAAUCUCCGGAGUCUGGCCUCGUUCCAUGGGUUUGGCUCGAGUCUGUUAUCGGAUGCAUUACGCAGGCGGUACGCUCCUCCGGUGAGAACUUUAUCAAUAAUGAAGGACCCUCCCAUUUAGGUUUGAGCUUGUUCUUCUUCUUCUCCGGUAGGCGUAGAACGAGUUCGCCAACAUUAUAAGUUUUGGCCAGCACUUCUCUGCUUUGAUACCUUUGACCCUGCUGCUGAUAGAAUGCGGAACGGGCUUUUGCGACAUUGCGCUCCUCCUCCAGGGCAUCUAAGUUGUCCUGCUGAUCUAAAUCGGCUUCCUUCUCUUCGUACAUGCGCACGCGAGGUGAGUCAUGGAUUAUGUCGCAGGGUAGUACUGCCUCUGCGUCGUACACCAUAAAAAAUGGUGUGUAUUCGGUGGUGCGAUUCAGCGUGGUCCGCAGCCCCCAGAGUACGGAGUUGAGCUCCUCGACCCAGUGCAUGUCCGAUUCUGUCAAGGAUCGCACUAGUCUGGGUUUGAUGCUGCUCAUGAUGAGACCAUUUGCACGUUCGACAUGUCCGUUUGUUUGGGGAUGGUAGACGGAGGCAUAAUCGAGCUUAAUGCCCAUGUUGCCGCACCAAGUUUUCACUUCAUCGGCUGUGAAGUUUGAGCCAUUGUCAGUGAUGAUGCUGUGGGGGACGCCGUAACAGUGUACAACCCCUAAUAUGAAGUCUAUCACUGGUCCGGAUUCGGCCAUUUUAACUGGUUCGGCUUCUAUCCAUUUGGUGAACUUGUCCACCAUGACCAAUAAGUAUUUUUCUUAUGGCUUCCCCCUUUAAGAGGUCUGACCAUAUCCAUCCCCCAGACCGCAAAGGGCCAGGUUAUGGGAAUUGUUUGGAGAGUGGUAGGGGGCAUAUGGCUCUGAUUGGCAAAGAGCUGGCAACCGACGCAGUGUUGGACAAGGUCCUGUGCAUCUGCCCGGGCUGUCGGCCAAUAAAAACCUGUACGGAAGGCUUUGCUGACAAGUGCCCGAGCCGUAGCGUGGUGCCCGCCGAGUCCGACAUGGAUUUCAGCCAAUAGCUGCCGCCCUUCCUCUUCGGAGAUGCAUCUUUGGAGCACUCCGGUGGCACUUUUCUUAUAGAGUUCUCCCUUAUGGACUUUGUAGGCCUUGGAAUGCUGCACAAUACAACGUGCUUCAUUUUGGUCCUCGGUGAGCUCCUGCCUAUUUAGGUAGGCCAAGAAUAUGUUAGGUGGGACAGGGUCACGUUUAGCGCCGACGCGGGCGAGGAUAUCCUCCGCUUGAUUGUUUUCUCGAGCCACAUGGUGGAAUUUGAGCCCCUUGAACCGAGAUGACAUUUUGAGGACGGCAUUGCGGUAUACCGCCAUUUUUGGAUCCUUGGCAUCAAAAUCUCCAUUUAUUUGUGAUAUUGCGAGGUUUGAGUCCCCGCGCACUUCCAGACGUUGAAUGCCCAUAGAGAUUGCCAUCCGAAGACCAUGCAACAGGGCCUCGUAUUCGGCUACGUUGUUGGAGUCUGUGUAUAAUAUUUGGAGUACGUAUUGGACCACGUAUCCGGUGGGGGAUGUCAGGACUACACCCGCUCCCAAUCUGGCCAUCAUUUUAGAACCGUCGAAGUGCAUGAUCCAAUUGGAGUACGCGCCGUACUCUUUAGGGAGUUCGGCUUCUGUCCAUUCGGCAACGAAGUCAGCCAAUACUUGUGACUUAAUGGCCCGCCGUGGUUUGUAUGUUAUGUCGAACGGAAGGAGCUCGAUGGCCCAUUUAGCAAUCUGUCCUGUGGCGUCGCGGUUGUUUAUUAUGUUGUUGAGUGGUACUUCGGAGGCCACCGCAAUCGAACACUCUUGAAAGUAGUGUCAUAGCUUCCGGGAUGACAUGAAGACCGCGUAUGCUAUCUUUUGAUAGUGUGGGUAUCAGGAUUUGCAUGGGGUGAGGACAGUUUACACGUAAUAUACCGGCUUUUGGAGCGGGAACUUGUAUCCAUCUACUUCUCGUUCGACGACGAGCACUGCGCUUACAACUUGAUGUGUUGCAGCUAUGUACAAUAGCAAAGGUUCGCCAAUAUUGGUGCUGUCAGGACUGGAUUACUGGCUAAUAGGGUCUUUAUUUCAUCCAGUCCGUCCGCAGUUGCAUCCGUCCACACGAAGUGUUUGGUGCGUCGAAGAAGGCAGUAAAGAGGUAGUGCCUUUUCUCCUAAUCGGGAGAUAAAGCGGCUUAAGGCAGCCACGCAUCCAGCUAGUUUCUGGAUAUGCUUGAGGUCUGUUGGGAUAGCCAACUGCGACAGAGCUCAGAUUUUUGCCAGGUUUCCUUCGAUUCCUCUAUUGGAAACGAUGAAGCCGAGCAACUUCCCGGAGGGUACGCCAAAAACACAUUUUUCCGGGUUGAGCUUGAUGUUGUAUGUUCGGAGGUUGUCGAUUGUAAGUCUCAAGUCAUCUAUUAAGGUUUCGACGUGUCUUGUUUUUAUGACUAUGUCAUCCCCAUAUGCCUCCACUGUUUUGCCGAUUUGCUUCUCCAGGCAUGUUUGAAUCAUGCGUUGAUAGGUUGCGCUGGCAUUUUUAAGCUCGAAAGGCAUAGUGUUGAAGCAGAAGGGACCAUAUGGCGUUAUGAAGGCCGUUGCAUCUUGGUCGGACUUGCCAUCUUUAUUUGAUGGUAUCUGGAGUAUGCGUCGAGGAAACAUAGUGAGUCGUGUCCAGCGGUAGCGUCGAUGAUUUGGUCGAUGCGAGGGAGGGGGAAGGGAUCCUUGGGGCAGGCCUUGUUGAGGUCUUUGAAAUUGAUGCAUGGGCGCCAGGAUUUGUCCUUCUUUGGUACCAUUACCAGAUUUGCCAGCCAAUCCGGAUGCUUUAUAUCUCUGAUGAAUCCGGCCUCAAGUAUCUUGGCUAGCUCUUCUCCCAUGGCUUGCCAUUUAGGUUGUGAGGAUCCCCUAAGAGUCUGUUUGACUGGCUUGUAUCCUUUCAGUAUAUUGAGGCUGUGUUCGGCCAGCCUACGUGGGAUGCCCGACAUGUCUGAAGUAUGCCAGGCGAAAAUGUCCCAAUUCUUGCGUAGGAAGUCUCGUAGUGCGGCGUUCAUUGUGGGGCUCAACUGUGUCUCGAUGGAAGCUGUCUUUGUGGGGUCCGUUGGAUGGACCUGGAAUUUGACUAUCUCGUCUGGGGGCUUGAAUGAGGUGGACUUGGGUCGUUUGUCGAGUAUCACGUCGUCCCUGUCCACUGUGGCGCGCAACAUUGUUAGUUCUUCGGCCGCUAGGGCUUCGGAUAAUGCUUCCAGGGCUAGUGUUGCAGUUUUAUUUUCGGCGCGGUUCGGAUCACUAGCUAGAGUGAUGAUUCCAUUGGGUCCGGGCAUUUUAAGCUUCAUGUACCCAUAAUGGGGUAUAGCUUGAAAGCUCAUGAAUGUGUCCCGCCCAAACAGGGCGUGGUAUCCGCUGCUGAAAGGAGCCACUUGGAAUGUGAUUUCUUCGGACCUAUAAUUCUCCAGGGUGCCGAAUACCACAUCGAGUGUGAUUUUUCCCGCACACAGUGCCUCCCGACUAGGGAUGAUUCCCCUGAAGGUCGUGCCGCUUUGCUCAAUGCAACUUUUAUCAAUUUCCAUCUUGUUGAGUGUUUCUUCAUAGAUCAAGUUUAAUCCGCUUCUCCCGUCCAUGAGUACUUUGGUGAGCCGAAAGCCGUCCACGAUUGGACUAAGGACCAAAGCGGCUGGUGCCCGGACUGUCUGGAAUUGAGGUUCGUCACUGGCACUGAAGGUUAUAGCAGUGUCGUUCCACGGAUUUAUUUUUGCCAUGUGGCAGAUUUCAGCGAAAUUUCAAUGAGCUCACUUGCGCCUAUUAUUUGAGGUGAAAGUCUCAAAGACUGUCAGUACCGCAUUGUUGUCUUCGGCGGGAUGUUGCUCUGCUUUAUGGUUUACAAGAAGAUCCUCGCCGUUUUUUGCUACCUGCCAGAGUUUGCAACAUGCUCUAAGGCUAUGCGUUGGCGUAGUAUCCGGCGUGCUGUGAAUUUUGCAUGGCCCAUUGAGCCAUUCUUCCAAUACAGUUCCAUGCCCUGGAAUGGGCUUUGGUUUUUUGGGAAUUGGAUCGGAUAACUUACGAGAGUUUACCCUUUUAGCUUGGACGAAGGGUUUAGUGAGAGCCGGAUUAUCCCAAAAGUCUGUUUGGAUUUUCCAGGUGCUUUCCAUUGCACAGUACUUCUGUACUAUGGCUGCUAAGUCGGCAAACUGUACUAUGUCACAGUGACUUAUAACAUUAAGGAUCCCUUUGUUCGUGCAACUUUUACAGAAAAGUGAGAUUGCGUCUUCCUCACGACAGUCCUUGACCUUGUUUAUCACAAGGAGGAAUCUGGCCCAGUAAUGACGUACUGUCUCUUGGGGCUCUUGUCUGAUAUGGGAGAGAUGGCUUAAGUCUGGGCGGGUGGGCGUAGUUAAAUCUGGAUUUUGAUCCGAUCUAACACCCAGGGGCAGAGGAGCUUCUGGGCUUGGCAGCUCGAGCUCCGGGAUGUUGCCCGAUUUUUCUGGCCCGUUGCCCGAUUCUGAGUCCGGGGUCUGGGUCAUGUCCUCCCGAGAACGAGUAUCCGACUCAGAGAGCUCGAUAAUCUGGACAUAGUUCAUCCUCAAAGAAGAGGGAUAAUCCAUGUGUGGCUCUUCCACUACCGCUAUCUCGUGGGUGACCGGUGGGGACUCCCAAAGCGGCGAUGCGAUCCAAGAGCUCAUUAAGGGAGAGAGCUCCAUUGGAUCCAUCUGUUCGGCGAGUUCUGAAUUGACGUGGAGGUUGUUUUUGAUGACCCGAGAGGUCAUUGUCGGUGCGGCAGCCGAUUGGGCGGCCAUGACGAAGCCGCCUAGUCAGAGAGUUUGGCCUACCGCUAGUGCUCCCCCAGAGGUGAUGUUGUCCUUGACAACGAGACGAGCCAUCGGGCCUUGCAGCAACGACAGAGAGGAACUCUCAAUGAAAGCACCAAUGUCGGUGUCAAAACCGGCGGAUCUCGGGUAGGGGGUCCCGAUCUGCGCGUCUAAGGCCAAUGGUAACAGGAGGCAAGGGACACGAUGUUUUACCCAGGUUCGGGCCCUCUCGAUGGAGGAAAAACCCUACUUCCUGCUUGAUUGAUCUUGACGAUAUGAGUAUUACAAGAGUUGAUCUACCACGAGAUCGUAGAGGCUAAACCCUAGAAGCUAGCCUAUGAUGAUUAUGAUUGUCCCCCUAUGGACUAAACCCUCUGGUUUAUAUAGACACCGGAGUGGGCUAGGGUUUACACAGAGUCGGUUACAAAGAAGGAGAUCUAACAUCCGGGUCGCCAAGCUUGUCUUCCACGCAAAGGAGAGUCCCAUCCAGACACAGGACGAAAUCUUGAGUCUUGUGUCUUCACGGUCCAACAGUCCGUCCAAAGUAUAUAGUCUGGCUGUCCGGAUACCCCCUUAUCCAGGACUCCCUCAAUGGGCCUCCUUUUAUAGGCGAAAGGGGCUGCCACAGUGGAACACAGGAGGUGGAAAGUGUUACAGUGCUGCGAGCUUAUCGCUGGUAUUACAGGACAAAGUGCAUUUAAUGCAAGGCUUAGGUCUCCCUUCACUUUAUCGGGGACGGGAGCGAGGCAUGUCCCGUCCGCCGCCGCUCCUCCUUGCUUUGACAUGCGCCCUGGCCAGCGAUGCAUGCGGUGCCAUGUAGGCAGACAGGCAGCUGAGGUGGCACGAUGGUGGAGCCUUCACGAAGGGCCGCAUGUUGCCAUGCAGGUGCCUGCCCAGCUGGUUGGGUCGGCAGCUGCAUGCGAACGGCGGCGGAGACUUGGCUGGCGUGGGCCUGGCGGUGGCCCUGCUGGCGCGCUUGGCGAGGGCCUUGCCAGGUGGCCCGGCAAGGGUCUUGCUGCGGCACGCCGUCAUCCCCGGCAAGAACCUUGCCAGGGGUCUCGUGGGCUUCCUCGGUAAGAACCCUGCCGAGGAUUGUUGCCUCCCUAUCCUCAUUUGAUCUUGACUGUUCUUUAUCUUCACAAAGAUCUGCAUGCCACCACGAAGGUGCCUCCCGAGCCCUGUCCCAAUGCGUUUGUUUAGUGUUGGUGGGCUCAAAGGUGGCUCGCUCAGCUGGUGUGGGCAAGCUGCCCCGGCAAGGGUCUUGCCGAGGCCGCCGAGGCUGCCCCGGCAAAGGUCCUUGCUGGGGAAACUUGCUUCGUCCAUCCGAUCCUUGUGGCCUUGGUCCCUGUCGUUGCUUUGUUUGUCUUGUGCCUUCGGCUUCUCUCCGGCUUCCCUUUCCUGCCCUGUUAUGCGUGGCCGUGGCGGGUGGCUCUGACUGCCCGUGCACAAGUAAAGGGGUCAAAAGCAGAGCCCCUACUUUUGUACACCGACAGCACCAAGCCUUGUAACGUAAGUUUUGUAGUAGGCGCCUGCACUCGGCAUCGAUAACUUGUGCUCAAGCCUCCUCGUAUCCCUCCUCACACCUGUAGAAGGUCUGCAAUCAAACGAGACAACAUUGAUUAGUACAAUAACUAAGCUUCUUCGAAGAUUUUUAAGUGUGUAAAGGAGAAAUUAUCCAAAAUGUUCUGAUCCCCAAGUCGGCCCUCGUGUGGCACAAGAUACCGUCGAUCAUCUCCUCCCGUGCGGCCGGGGCAGCCAAGUAGUGCUCCCAGGUCAAUCCUAGCUCUGGAAUCUAUCCCUCAUUGGGCAACAUGAGAAACCCCGGGAAGUUUUGCUGGCAAAUCACACCAAGGACUUGGUUGGGCCUGUGGACAUCCUAAGGGUGGUCCCAACCCCUGCAGUAUGACAAGGCCAACGCAUUAGGUAUUUGAAGAAACAUGAUGGCAAAAGGUAUGAAAAUAGUAAAUGCACUUACCUCGUCCCAUUAGGCCAAAUCAACCACCUCUGCUCACGGGUCGCCGGCAUGGACAGGAGCUCCCCUCAACCACCUCGUCCACGUUGCUGCUAUUAGAAAUCUGAUGCCUGCCACCAUCAGCAUGGCCACUCGACCCCUCAAGCGGAUCCUGCUAGGUACCCCAUCCGGACGUCUCCUGGGACGUAGCCUAGGUUGGAGUCACGUGGGCCCAAGUGUCCUGGCCCGAACUUUCAUGGGCCUAAGGCCCAUCGACCCGAGGCUAGUGGACCGGAGUCCAUGUAGCCUCCUCCUCAUACGUGCCCCCUAGCAGUCGUGUGCUUGGGUGACUCAGCUGGGGGUGGCGGCGAGGAAGGCGUAGGAGCCAGCCUACCUCUCCCAUGACCACUUCCUGAUCUACCUCCUCUCUUCUUCCCUCCCUGACCUCCUCUCCCGGUGGGCACUGAUGUCGACAAAGAAGGGCCCGUCCGUGUCCCCAAACUAUCUAACAACGCUCUCCAGAGAGGUGCGGGUGGAAUGGAAGAACCUCUCCCACCACGCUCUGGACCCGAGCCCACGAUCUUUCAACACAUGUCAUGAUAGAAGAGUAAAAGGAAUUAGUACAACAUAAAAAAAUUGAAUACCGACAUGAAUAAUAAAAUGUAUAUUAACUCAUCAGAUAAUAGGUAAAGGUAGGUCCAUCAGCAUGUAUAUUCAUCAGUUAAUCUAGUUUGUCAAUUUUGAAACUUCAAACAACCAAACUGACUCAUGACAAAAGAUCCUUGACCAUCGACCCCUCGACCCCUCGGCGAUGGGGACUAAAAGCCAAGAUUUGAAACUUCAAACAACCAAACUGAGAAAAAAAUCAGGGCGUAGAAAGAGAAACGAAAGACGAAAUAGUACAUAGUGAGAGGUUGUGCAACUAGGAUGAUUUUAUUGUACCAGCUUUUUUAAUGAAUUGGAGACGAUGAUGGUGAAGAAGUCAAAAGACACCAAUGGAUUUCGAGUUCUUCACUAUCAUACUUACAAAUUCAUUAAAAAAGCUAUUAUAGAAUAUCAUCCUAGUUGCACAACCUCUCACUACGUAUUGUUUCGUAUUUGGUUUCUCUUUCUAUGCUUUGAUUUUCUGUCAUGAGUCGGUUUGGGUGUUUCAACUUUCAACACUUGGCUUUUAAUCCUCGGCAAUCAUCGACCCCUCGACCCUAGACCCCUCGGCAACCCUCGACCCCUGACCCCUCGACAAUCCUCAAACACCUUCACUAGGAGCAUGGUGCGGUUGUUGUCGUAGCUUAAGAUGCGGACGUGCCCGAGCUGAAUGUCAUCAGCGCGGGCGAACUGCUUCAAUCCGUUCAUCACAGACGAAUGGAAGCAGUUCACCCACGCUCAUGACAUUCAGCUCGGGUGUGUGCUCGCCUUAAGCUACAACACCAGUCGGUCAGCACUGAGACCAGAAGAUCCUCGCCCCUCGACCCCUUGACCCUCGACCACUCAACCCCUCGGCGACCCUCGACCCCCUACCCCUCGGCAAUCCUCGACCCUCGACCCCUUGGAGGUCCUGUCGAACACCUUCACCCUGAGCAUCGUGCAACUAUUGGUGUAGCUUAAGAUGCAGACGUGCCCGAGCUAAAGGUCAUCAGCACGGGUGAACUGCUUCCGUCCGUUCUUCGCGCACGGAUGGAAGCAGUUCGCCCACUCUCAUGACCUUUAGCUCAGGGACGUCCUCAUCUUAAGCUACGACACCAGUCGGUCAACACUUGGACCGGAAGAUCCUCGAUCGUCGACCCCUAAACCCUCGACCCCUCGCCCCUCGAUCCUCGACCCUCUGCCCUGACCCUCGGCCCCUUGGCGACCGGCGAUCCUUGACCCGGUUCCGUCAGUGCCGACGCACCCCUAACCUCGACCCGAUUCCUUCGGUGCUGACCCACCCAUAACCUCCUCUUCUUCUUCUCCCGUUGUCGGUGUCAAAACCGGCGGAUCUCGGGUAGGGGGUCCCGAACUGUGCAUCUAGGCGGAUGGUAACAGGAGACAGGGGACACGAUGUUUUACCCAGGUUCGGGCCCUCUUGAUGGAGGUAAAACCCUACGUCCUGCUUGAUUGAUAUUGAUAUUGUGGAUGUUUACAAGAGUGGAUCUACCACGAGAUCAAGGAGGCUAAACCCUAGAAGCUAGACUAUGGUAUGAUUGUAAGGGUUGUUGUUGUUGUUGUCCUACGGACUAGAGCCAUCCGGUUUAUAUAGACACCGGAGAGGGCUAGGGUUACAUAGAGUCGGUUACAAUGGUAGGAGAUCUACAUAUCCGUAUCGCCAAGCUUGCCUUCCACGCCAAGGAAAGUCCCAUACGGACACGGGACGUAGUCUUCAAUCUUGUAUCUUCAUAGUCUUGGAGUCCGGUCGAUGAUGAUAGUCCGGCCGAUGAUAGUUCGGCUGAUGAUGGUAGUCCGGCUAUCCGGACACCCCCUAAUCCAGGACUCCCUCAGUAGCCCCUGAACCAGGCUUCAAUGACGAUAAGUCCGACGCGUAUAUUGCUUGGCAUUGCAAGGCGGGUUCCUCCUCCGAAUGAUAGAAGAUUGUGAACACCAGGAUAGUGUCCGGCUCUGCAAAAUAAAUUCCACAUUCUACCGUAGAGAGAAUAAUAUAUGCACAAGUUCAAUCUGCUGACGUUUUUUGCGGCAUGACGUCACGCCACUACCAAGCCAUUACUUGAAUCGUUUUUUACUCUACCACCUCAGCGCAUUCAGCGAAGCGGUUUCCUUGGCACGUCUUGUCGAAGCAGAGAUCGUGUUCCCCCUUAAUCUGGGAUUCUCAUCAAUACGGACAUGGGUAACCCAACCGCGCCAUUGAUGGUGACGCUUGGGGGAUAAGAGAGUUUUACCAGGCCGGUGGGGGACGCGUAGACUUCGCCCGCCCAUAUAAGGGAUAAGGAUUCACCUUUUCACCUACGCCUUCUUCCUCCUUUGCUUAUCCAUCUCCGCGCACUCAAGCUCCAGCGCCCAAGUCCGCACAUCUCGUCUCAACCUUCCCCAGUUAUGUCCGGAGCGGGAGGCAAGUGGAUGACCUCCUCCGUUACGGAGGAGCACAUCGAAAGACUACGCAGCGCCGGCUACCUGUCCGGCGACAUCGCGCACCGGCUGCCCGACGAGGAGCAGCUCAUCCCCAACCCCAGGCCCCAUGAGAGGGUCAUUUUUCUUCCCCAAUUCCUCCGCGGACUGGGUUUUCCACUUCACCCCUUUGUCCGGGGGCUCAUGUUCUACUACGGCCUGGAUUUCCAUGAUCUGGCGCCGAACUUCAUCCUCGACAUCUCGGCGUUUAUCAUCGUGUGCGAGGCCUUCCUCUGCAUCCAGCCCCACUUCGGCUUGUGGCUCAAGACCUUCAAUGUCAAGCCGAAGGUAGUGAAGGGCACUCAAGCGGAGUGCGGAGGCUCCAUGUUGAGCAAGAUGCCCAAUGUCCUUUGGUUCGAAGGGGCCUUCAUGGAAUCCGUCAAGGGUUGGCAAUCGGGGUGGUUCUAUAUCACCGAGUCGCGCGACCCUAAGUGGGCGGCGGCCACCGAGUUCAGAUUUGGUAUCCCCAUGCAGCUCACCUCCUGGAAAGAGAAGAGCUUGCUGUGGGGUAGUUCGGAGGAGCUGACGGGACUCCAAGCCUGUAUCCAGAAGCUGGUGAAGAAGCUCAGGCUGGUUAACGUGGUCCAAGUCAUGCUCGUCCGCCGGAUUCUCCCAUGCCAAGAGCGGGCAUUCAAUCUGUGGGAGUUCAAUCCGGAACAGCACCAGGCGAUGAGCGGGCUCUUCGAAACGACAUACGAAGGCGCCUGGAGGGUGCUGUUUAAGGGCGCUGAAGCCCCCGCAUCCGCGACUGAAGAUCGCGGAUUUCGCUCACAGCGCCAAGCCGACGAGGUAAGUGAUUCUACCCCUUUACGGGACACUUGCUUUUCAUAGUUUGACUUUAUGCGGGUUUUAAUUUCCCCUUUUCCUUUGACAGGACUGGAUGAGGAAGGCGGAGCAGAUUAUCUGCCCGGCUCCCAUGCCAGAAAACCCAGUAGACGCCCAUCUAGCGAGGCUGCUGGUUCCGGCACCGCACGUGGUGCCGGAGAAGAAGGCCAAGAAGGAGGCCACGGGUGCUCGAAAGAGUUCCCGUUUUCAGGUGUCCGAUGACUCCAGGGUGGACUCCUCCCCCGAAAACGAGGAGGAGAAAGAGGACUCUCUCCCAGAGGAGGGAGAGAGGAAGAGGAAGGCUUCCCCAACAGGGGAGGCCGAAGGGUCCAAGAGAGGAAGGACUAUUCCCUCGGACAGCUCCGCCAACAUCAAUGUUGGCGAGGAAGAAUGGCCUUCAAGGGCCAGGCCUCCAGCGAGAUCGUAAGUAUCUGGAUUCCUGAGUGAUUUAUAAUUUCUUUUUCUGUGUCACAUAGUGUCAUUCUGAUGCCGCAUGCUGCCUGUAGUCUGGCCAAUGAUGAUCUCCCCGCCUCAUCGGGCGGGUCGUUGGCUCCGUCGGAUGUAGACUCCAUCCCGACCGCCUCCACCCCUCGCGACACCGAGGACACCGAGGUGGGAUCCCAAGAAGGGACCCAUCAGGGGGAGGCUCCGGAGGCGUCACAAGGCGUCCUCCUGGACUUUACGCCGGACUCCAUAUCAGAACCCGCAAUGGUUCCGGAGUCCGGCCGGCGGCCCCUUCGCACGAAGGGCAAGACCGUGACGCCGGCGGCUUCCGUCCAACCGGAGGCACCAGACAAUUUGUUGGAGGCGCUCCAGAGCGCUUCCAUCAAGGAAGAACACCGCACUAUUAUGAGUGCGGUGAUUGAGAAGGUACAGCUGGCCAAGGGCGGGCUGACCGAAGCCUGCAGUAGCCUUCUAUCAGGCUUUGAGGUAAGAAGUUAAAAAUAUGCAAUGUAAUACCGCAUAGACAGUAGCCCCUGAUGCUCGGUUCGGUGUUCGGAAAGAAAAGCCGGACUGGGGAUCUGAAAAAAAAAAGAUAUACGCAGGGUUGCUAAAAAAUAUGUCAAUAUGGGUUGCAGGCUGCACUGCUGACCUCUGCCGCACUGACUGCAGAGGUCGGUGCUUUUAAGCAGGAGCUCGAGCGGUCCGAGCAAGAGCUCGGCCGCACCAAGAAGCAGCUCUAGGACAAAGAAGGUGAGUAACACUACUUUGAACUUGUACCUUACAGAAAAGGAUUUAGGUUGCAACAAAAAAUAACAAGGAUAACAUGGGUACUGCAGGGGCCACGAACGAGGUGGUGACCCUAAAGGAGGCUGUGUCUGCGGCCGAACGCAAUGCGGCCGCGGAACGGGCAGAGCGAGAAAAGCAGGAGGCGCGGGUGGCAGUGGUUCAGCAAGAGCUCCAGGCUCUCAUGGAAAAGCAUGAGAGUUUGGAGCGUGACUCAAAGACUUGAGAGUCCAAGCUUGCCUCGGCUCUCGAAAGUGCCAAGACUGCCAAGGCCGAUGCCCAUAAGUCCCUUCAGGAGAUUGAGUUGUUGAGGAAGAUAGCGGCGGGUAAGCCAUUUUUCAUGCAAAGCAAGCAUGUGAAUGUAAAUUACGUGUUACUUACCCGAAUUUGGAGCUCUCCAGGGGCGUUUGCAGAUCUGCCUCGCAAUGUGUCUGAUGCCGCCGCAUUCUACCGAGUCGAGGAGGGGAGCUCAACGGAGAAGGUCUUCUGGUCUCAGUAUGCUGAGGUCGGCCAUCCGGUGCCCCCUAGCGACCAGCUGAAGCAGCUGGUCGAGCUCCACAAGGUGGCCGAGCAGGCCAUGAAGGGCCUCAUAGUUCGGCUGUGGCCUGGAGAGGCCAUGCCUGGGAGCUACUUCGGUCUCGUGCGAUGGUUGGUGGAUGCGUGCCCCUGGGUGGAGGUUAUCAAGCACUCCGCUUGUAUUGAAGGUGCUCGUCGGGCCCUUGCCCGCGCAAAGGUGCAUUGGGGCAAGCUGGAUGCGGAGAAGCUAAUCACUGACGCACCACCAGCGGGCAAGGAAUAUCGUACGCCCGAGAUGUACUAUAAGACUGUCCUGAAGGGUGCCCGCAAGAUUGCGGAUGAGUGCCCCAGGGAUGAAAUUAUUGAGUAAAUUCACAAUGUGUUAUCCUAUGCGCUGAAAACUUUGUUCAUAUGCGCUAAGCAACGCUUGUUAAUUUAAAAUAUUACCUUCUGUGCGGCCGUUUAUUAAAUCUGAGAGAUGGCAAGUUGUCGGCUUCAGCCCCCAUGCCACGAGUGCUGGGGUGUUCGGGAUAAACUUGAGAACUCUUGUUCCCAUUUUUGGGUCCAUCUAGGGAGGCGCUCAACACAACGAACAAGGCAACUGGACUUAUAGUGCUUGAACACUCUCACUUAGCCAUAGAAUUCUAUAAUUUUAAAUUUUGGCGAAGCCCCUAGUAUUCGGAAGACCGAAUUAGGGGCGCUAUCCACGCCUUCGUCAGACAUUAUCCGGAACUUCGCUCGAAGCGGCGUAGGUCUUUAAGGACCUGAAAGGACCUCUCGAACAGUGACCAGUCUCUCGCCUUAUCAUGACAUUCAGUUUUAGCUUUCUCCACUGAGGCGUUAACUCGGCUCAACCGGGGCACAAUCGCAGUGGUUCUCCCAGUGCUACCUUAGCCGAUAAAACGGAAUGUAAGGUGCCAAACAUGGGAGCCGGGCAAACCCAACUAUUGACCCAAGACAUGAUUCGGAGCCGAUUCAUAUAAUGCUAUAAGUUCGGGGUGCCGCACUUGUGAAAGUGUUCGGACUUUAUCACACCAUAGUGCGGGGAGCAUAAGCCCCUGGUGUAUUUGGCCGUACCAAAAUGUACGGAUGCGACAUGUCGUAAAUGAACACAUAUAUAUAUAAGGUAAUGUAAUUAUGGGCAAAAAGUGCUGCAUUUUAUUCAAGAAGAUCUGCUAUGAGUGCGGAAUGAUACAAAUAGUGCGGAAAGCAAGGGAUUCGACGAAUUAAAGGCGUCUCCCUCCAGGGGUAGGCCGCGGAAUGGUGUAUUUAACAAAUUAAAUGCUCGUAGUGGAGACCACCUGAGUGUUCGUCGCGGCCUUUGUCCCUCCCUGGCUGUUGCAUCAUGAGUUCGGCAGGUUCGCCGCCGGACAGAGUUCUGUAUAAAAAAGAGAGAAAUAAAAGAUAAAAAGAGUGACACACUUGGGAGCCCCUGGUGUGGUCGAACCGCACUCUGGGUCUGUUGUGGUUGUGCCUCUCCCCCUAUGCCCAUGGUAUCUCCAGGGCAUAAUUAUGUAUGCGGAGAGUUUGUCUUACAAUUGUGCAAGGGCUGGGGUUGAGGCCGCAUUGCUACGCGUGCUCGGAACGUGCCAGGUGGUCUUGGUUGAUGUUGCUCCGGGCGCGUUUGGCCGUGUCCGGUCGUUUAACGGCCGGACUCGAAAAUUGACUUAAAAGGCUACUCUGUACUUCUGCCGCGAGAGCCGCUGUAUGUUCCUCCGUUCGGAGGGAGCGUUCCGUGUUUCCAUUGACCGUGAUGACUCCACGAGGACCUAGCAUCUUGAGCUUAAGGUAUGCAUAAUGUGGCACCGCGUUGAAUUUUUCGAACACGGUUCGUCCGAGCAGAACGUGAUAGCCACUGGGGAACGGGACUAUGUCGGAGAUUAACUCCUCAUUUCGGAAAUUAUCCGGGGAUCCGAAGACCACUUCCAGUGUGACUGAGCCUGUACAACUGGCCUCGACACCUGGUAUGACGCCUUUGAAGGUUGUCUUUGUAGGUUUAAUCCUUGAAGGGUCUAUGCCCAUCUUGCGCAUUGUAUCCUGAUAAAGCAGGUUCAGGCUACUGCCGCCGUCCAUCAGGACUCUCGUCAGGUGAAAUCCAUCGACGAUUGGGUCUAAAACCAAUGCGGCGAAUCCUCCAUGGCGGAUACUGGUCGGAUGGUCUCUUCGAUCGAAAGUGAUCGGGCAAGAGGACCAUGGGUUGAAUUUUGGGGCGACUGGCUCCAUCGCGUAUACGUCCCUUAGUGCACGCUUCCGCUCCCUCUUGGGAAUAUGCGUUGCGUAUAUCAUGUUUACCGUUCGAACUUGAGGAGGGAAUCCCUUUUGUCCUCUGUUGUUCGGCGGCCGGGUCUCUUCCUCGUCAUCGCUGUGUAGCCCCUUGUCAUUGUUUUCGGCGAUUAAUUUGCCUGCUGCCUGAAUACCCAACAAUCUCUGUUGGUGUGGUUAGCUGGCUUUUCGGGGGUUCCAUGUAUUUGACAGGAGCGGUCGAGUAUUCGGUCCAAAUUGGACAGGGCCGGAGUGGUUCUUUUGAAUGGCUUCUUUCGUUGACCGGGCUUGGAGCCUCGGAAUCCGGCGUUGACUGCCGUAUCCUCAUUGCUGUCGUCGUUAAUGCGGCGUUUGUUUUUGUUUUGACGCAACCUGCCAUUGCGGUCCUUGGUAUCCGGACUGCCAGUGUUUUUGCUGAGGUUGUUGUUACGAGCGAGCCAGCUAUCCUCUCCCGCACAAAAGCGGGUCAUGAGUGAUGUGAGGGCUGCCAUGGAUUUCGGCUUUUCCUGUCCUAGGUGUCGGGCCAGCCACUCGUCGCGGAUGUUAUGUUUGAAGGCAGCGAGGGCCUCUGCAUCCGGACAGUCGAUGAUUUGAUUUUUCUUUGUUAAGAACCGUGUCCAGAAUUGCCUGGCCGAUUCGUCUGGCUGCUGGAUUAUGUGGCUUAGGUCAUCUGCGUCUGGUGGUCGCACAUACGUGCCCUGGAAGUUGUCGAGGAAUGCGGCUUCCAGGUCUUCCCAGCAUCCAAUUGACUCUGCGGGCAGGCUGUUGAGCCAAUGCCGAGCUGGUCCUUUAAGCUUGAGCGGGAGAUAUUUGAUGGCGUGAAGAUCGUCGCCGCGGGCCAUGUGUAUAUGGAGGAGAUAAUCCUCAAUCCAAACCGCGGGGUCUGUUGUGCCAUCGUAGGAUUCGAUAUUAACAGGUUUAAACCAUUCAGGGAUUUGAUGAUCCAUUACUUCGUCAGUGAAGCAUAGAGGGUGUGCGGCGCCUCUGUAUUAAGCAAUAUCGCGACGUAGCUCGAUAGAGCAUUGUCUGCUGUGUUCGGCCCGGCCGGAGUAGUUGUAUCCGGCGCGACAGUAUUCAUCGUGGGUCUUGGGGCACCCACGUGAUCCAUAGAUAGAUCUGGAUUGUCUUGCCUUGUCCUCCAAUAUAUCCCGCAAGUCCGGCCCGUUCCCCCGUGGCUUCAUGCUUUUUGAGCGAUGCCGGGGUACGGUGUUGGUGGAGGGCUUGCAUGCCUCUCUGUCGCGGCCACGAGGUGGUCGGUCUGCCGUAUUGUGCGCUGGUGAUGCAGGUUUGUACGCUUCCUCCUCUAGUCGGGGGAGCAACUUGCGUUUUGGGUAACUUUUGGAGGGGCGUUCGAGUUCAUACUCUUCGGCCGCGAGGACCUCAGUCCAUCUGUCGGCCAGUAGGUCUUGAUCAGCUUGAAGCUGUUGCUGCUUUUUCUUUAGGCUGUUUGCCGUGGCCAUUAGCCUGCGUCUGAAACGCUCUUGUUCGACGGGAUCCUCAGGCACGACGAAUUCGUCGUUGUCGAGGCUUGCCUCGUCUCCGAAGGGAGGUAAGUAAUUAUCUCCUCGACCUCUUCAUCUGCCGCCCUCUCGUGAGGGCUUGCUUCUGCCUCCUCCUGCGCUGGAUCGUGCUAGAGGGGUUUGUCUUUGGCACUUUCUGGGGUGUUAUUAUCUCCUGUGCCGGAAUCUCCAUUCUUGCUGUGGCGGGAUUUAGAGCGGCGCCGCUGGCGUCGAUGCUUGGGCUGUUUCUUUAAGGAAUCGGCCUCCGUUGCUUCUUUGCCGUCCCCAUCUUUUGGGGUGUCCACCAUGUAUAUGUCGUAUGACGAGGUGGUCUUCCAGUGUCUUGUAGGCACUGGUUCUUGAUAGUCUUCGGCAUCGUCGUCCAUACCGUCGAUGUCCUCGGAGUCGUAGUCAAGUACGUCGGUUAGAUCGUCGACGGUGGCUACGAAGUGGGUGGUGGGUGGGCCCUGAAUUUCUUUGUCGUCCGCGUCCCAACCAUCCUGGCCGUAGUUCGGCCAGGGCUCUCCGGAUAGCGAGAGAUGCUUCAGCGAAUUUAAGAUAUCGCCGAAGGGUGAGUGCUGAAAGAUGUCCGCAGCGGUGAAUUCCAUGAUCGGCGCCCAGUCGGAUUCGACUGGCAGGGGCGCAGGAGGUUCGGAGUCCGGCAGGGAGUCCGGCGCCUCGGAGUCAUGAGCUUUAUGUGGGACAAGGUAAGUGUUCGGCUCCAUCGCCGUAGAAGUUGCAGCUCCCGAGGCGGUGUCCAGCCAUCCGUCCUCGAUCUGAGCGAUCGACUCCGGACUAUGGGUCGGAGCGGAUUCGUGUGCGGCCUCAAGGUGCUGUCCGGCGGCAGAGUUAGGUCGUGCCCAUCGUGACAGCGCGGCACGCUCGCCUGUGGCUCGGAUCCAUCGAAGAUCAAGUCCCCGCGGAUAUCGGCCGUGAAGUUUAGGCUUCCAAACCUGACCUGACGGCUAGGGGCGUAGAUUUCGAUCUGCUCCAGAUGGCCAAGUGAGUUGGCCCGCAGUGCGAAGCCGCCGAAUACGAAGAUCUGUCCGGGGAGAAAAGUCUCACCCAGGACUGCGUCGUUGUCGAUUGAAGAGGCCAUCAAGCCUAUCGGUGACGACACAGAGGAACUCUCAAUGAAAGCACCAAUGUCGGUGUCAAAACCGGCGGAUCUCGGGUAGGGGGUCCCGAACUGUGCGUCUAGGCCAAUGGUAACAGGAGACAGGGGACACGAUGUUUUACCCAGGUUCGGGCCUUCUUGAUGGAGGUAAAACCCUACGUCCUGCUUGAUUGAUAUUGAUAUUGUGGAUGUUUACAAGAGUGGAUCUACCACGAGAUCAAGGAGGCUAAACCCUAGAAGCUAGCCUAUGGUAUGAUUGUAAGGGUUGUUGUUGUUGUUGUCCUACGGACUAGAGCCAUCCGGUUUAUAUAGACACCGGAGAGGGCUAGGGUUACAUAGAGUCGGUUACAAUGGUAGGAGAUCUACAUAUCUGUAUCGCCAAGCUUGCCUUCCACACCAAGGAAAGUCCCAUCUGGACACGGGACGAAGUCUUCAAUCUUGUAUCUUCAUAGUCUUGGAGUCCGGUUGAUGAUGAUAGUCCGGCCGAUGAUAGUUCGGCUGAUGAUGGUAGUCCGGCUAUCCGGACACCCCCUAAUCUAGGACUCCCUCACCCGCCUCUUCCUCCUCCUCCUCCUCUUCUUCUUCUUCUUCUUCUUCUUCUUCUUCUUCUUCUUCUUCUUCUUCUUCUUCUUCUUCUUCUUCUUCUUCUUCUUCUUCUUCCUCUUCUUCUUCUUAUUUUUCUUCUUCUUCUUCUUAUUUUCAUCUUUCUUCUUUCUUAUUAACUAAACCUAAACUAAACUAAAUAUAAACCUAAAACUAAAAAACAGAAGAAAAAAAACCUAAACUAAACCUAAACUACACUAACUACACUAACUAAACCUAAAAAACAGAAGAAAAAAAACCUAAACNNNNNNNNNNNNNNNNNNNNNNNNNNNNNNNNNNNNNNNNNNNNNNNNNNNNNNNNNNNNNNNNNNNNNNNNNNNNNNNNNNNNNNNNNNNNNNNNNNNNNNNNNNNNNNNNNNNNNNNNNNNNNNNNNNNNNNNNNNNNNNNNNNNNNNNNNNNNNNNNNNNNNNNNNNNNNNNNNNNNNNNNNNNNNNNNNNNNNNNNNNNNNNNNNNNNNNNNNNNNNNNNNNNNNNNNNNNNNNNNNNNNNNNNNNNNNNNNNNNNNNNNNNNNNNNNNNNNNNNNNNNNNNNNNNNNNNNNNNNNNNNNNNNNNNNNNNNNNNNNNNNNNNNNNNNNNNNNNNNNNNNNNNNNNNNNNNNNNNNNNNNNNNNNNNNNNNNNNNNNNNNNNNNNNNNNNNNNNNNNNNNNNNNNNNNNNNNNNNNNNNNNNNNNNNNNNNNNNNNNNNNNNNNNNNNNNNNNNNNNNNNNNNNNNNNNNNNNNNNNNNNNNNNNNNNNNNNNNNNNNNNNNNNNNNNNNNNNNNNNNNNNNNNNNNNNNNNNNNNNNNNNNNNNCGCGGGGGGGAGGGGGCCAGGACGGCAAGGGCGACGGGGUCGCGGGGGUGCCGGGGCGGUGAGCCGGUGGGCGGCAGGGUGGUGUUGUGACGGGGCAGCGACGGGUGGUGGGGGCGGUGGCGUGCGUGUCAGGGAGGAGAGGGAGAGAAACAUAGAGAGAGAGGGGCGGGGUAGGGUGGGGCGCGACCAUUAGUUAAGUCAAAUGUUUGUCGUCUGCCACGCCUUUGCCGUGUGCCUUUUUGCUCUUUGUCGUAUGCUAGCAGAUGGCAAAGAGGGGGUUGUUAGGUUUUUUGUAACCAGCUUGUUAGUGAGGCCCACCUCCUUCUUUGCCGUCAGCUAGCUGUCGCCAAACCUCCUUUGUCGUCUGCUAGCAAACAGCAAAGAAGUGGCUGAUGGAAAAUAUUAUCUUUGUCGUGGCCAAUUCUGUGUUGUUCAUUUUUUGGAAGCAGACGACAAAGAGCUCCUUUGCCGUUCCCUAGAAGACAACAAAGAAGUGGUUGAUGGCAAAUCCUCUGAUUCCAGUAGUGUUCCAAGUUACAAUUAAACCCUUUGGUUGCCAGUAUGUCUAGCAGUCUAAACUAAUCCUCCUAUACCUAAAUCAUUGGCCUAUAGUUCUGAACUAAUCCUCCUAUACCUAAAUCAACGGCCCAUAAUUCUGAGCUAAUUGUUCUGCACCGAUUCUUGUACAACUCAGCUCUGCAACAACUGGUCAUUGGGAGCACUAACACUACUAUGAUGACCGAGAAAAUCAAGUCUUCUUCCAUGAACCGAAGCCAACACAUGCUUGCGGCAGAUUGAGCGACAAAAGGACCUGUCGCCAUAGUACAAGAUUCCUCACAUUCGCUAGUUAAGAUACUCGAUUUGUUAUAUAAAAGUUCUAUCUACUGUACUGAGGCCAGCUUAAUCAAUUCCUAGUUGACACUAAUUUUUCUUGUUAUUGUCCAUGGAUUGAAUCGGACAUCGAUAAAAUUAUCCCUAUGCACUUAUGUCAAUUUAAACAAUUUAAUAGUUGGGAGACACUAAUUUUGAAUCUCUACGCCCACAAGCAUAGUUCAUGCUCCUAGGAAACAAGCACGAAAUCCAAGCUCAUGAGAGCAACAAAGCAAGAAGAUAAUUUACUUGUGUGGUUCUAUCGUGUCUCAUGUGGUGGUCCAUCUGAAUCUCCUUGCAAACAAAAAAAGGCACCACGGGAGCACUCCAUCGUGAGCCUACAGAGUCCAGGUCUGCCGCCUCUAGCUAUGUGCAUCAGGACCAUACACUAUAAAAUGCUUGUGUCUAAUUAGACAAUAAAUAAUCCAGCAAUAAUCAUUAUUGGCACACUUCAAGCUAGGAAGGAACAUGAUAGAGAAGCAAAAGUAACUUGUCAAAAGAACAAAGGGAUAUUGUCAGGAUAAACUGAUUUCACACUGAAAGCCACAUGAAGAAGACCUACCUUAUGCGGAUUUCACAUAUGUGCAUUUUAAUAAUAUAACAACACAAAAUCACAUAUGUGUGUUUCACACUGAAAGGCCCAUCUGUCUUACGAUGAUGAAUUUUGAAAAUUGCAUAGGUUGGCCUGGAGAGAGAAUGGUGAGGAAAACAUGAAGUAACUAGCCAGGUGUCAAACUCCUUGGGUGCCUGGCCACGAGCAUGGGGAGCACAGCGGUGGGCGUGUCCAGGAGCGCGGUGACCUUGUCCUGGGGCGUGGUGAGGACCGUGGGGGGCUCGUCCAGCGGCGCGGUGGCUGCCAGGGACGCCACGUCCAGCGGUGAUACGUCUCCAAUGUAUCUAUAAUUAUUUAUUGUUCCAUGCUAUUAUAUUAUCUGUUUUGGAUAUUUUAUAUGCAUUAUUAUGCUAUUUUAUAUUAUUUUUGGGACUAACUUAUUAAUCGAGAGCCCGGUGCCAGUUUCUUUUUUCCUUGUUUUUAAGUUUCACAGAAAAGGAAUAUCAAACGAAGUCCAAACGGAGUAAUACCUUACGAUGAUUUUUCUUGGACCAGAAGACACCCAUAGGACUUGGAGUCCAAUCCAGAAUACCUACGAGGCAGCGACAAGGAUGGAGGGUGCACCCUAGGGGGGCGCCCCCUGCCUUGUGGCCCCCUCGGGAGUCCCCUGACCUACCUGUUCGUCCUAUAUAUUCAAAUAUAAUCCAGAACCCUCAGAGAGAGCCAUGAAAAUGCUUUUCCACCGCCGUAGGUCUCUGACCUCGUCAGAUCCCAUCUGGAGGCCUUUUCUGGCACUUUGCUGAAGGGGGAUUUGAUCACGGAGGGCAUCCACAUCAACCCUAUUGCCCUUCUGAUGAAGCAUGAGUAGUUUACCUCAGACCUAUGGGUCCAUAACUAGUAGCUAGAUGGCUUCUUCUCUCUCUUUGAUUCUCAAUACCAUGUUCUUCUCGAUGUUCUUGGAGCUAUCCGAUGAUAUCUUCUUUUGUGGUGUGUUUGUCGAGAUUCGAUGAAUUGUGGAUUUAUGAUCAGCUUAUCUAUGAAUAUUAUUUGAAUCUUCUUUAAAUUCUUAUAUGCAUGAUUUGAUAUAUUUGUAUUUCUCUUUGAAUUAUCGGUUUGGUUUGGCCAACUAGAUUGGUUUUUCUUGCAAUGGGAGAGGUGCUUAGCUUUGGGUUCAAUCUUGCAUGAUGGCGAGAACAAAAUGGAGUUGUUGAGAGGAAGAACCGGACACUCAUUGAGAUGGCGAGAAUGAUGCUUGAUGAAUACAAGACGCCAAGACACUUUUGGGCGGAAGCGGUUGAAACAGCUUGUCAUGCAACAAAUCGACUAUAUCGUCACAAGCUUCUCGGCAAGACGGCAUACGAGCUUCUCACUGGUAACAAACCACAACUUGGAUACUUUCGAGUAUUUGGCUCAAAGUGUUGCAUUCUUGAUAAGCAUCGUCGCUCGAAAUUUGGCCCUAAAUCUCAUGAAGGUUUCCUACUCGGUUAUUGCUCAAAUUCUCGCACUUACCGUGUCUACAACAAUUUCACCCGAAAGGUUGAAGAGACGGUAGAUGUGAAGUUUGAUGAAUCUAACGACUCACAAGAAGAGCAAUUGCCAAUUGAUGUAGGAGAUAAAGAUCCCUCGGAAGCAAUUCAAGACUUGUCUAUUGGAAAGAUUCGCCCAAUAGAGGUGAAGGAGAGUACCUCGUCCGUUCAAGUGGAAGCCUCAACUUCACACCAAGGUGAACCACAAGUUGACUUGGAGGCAUCCACAAGUGGAACAUGUCAAGAUGAAGGAAACGAGGAAGUACAACAAGGUGAACCCCAUCGAUCUCCUUCUCCACCUUGUCGGUGUCAAAACCGGCGGAUCUCGGGUAGGGGGUCCCGAACUGUGCGUCUAGGUGGAUGGUAACAGGAGACAAGGGACACGAUGUUUUUACCCAGAUCCGGGCCCUCUCAAUGGAGGUAUAACCCUACUCCUGCUUGAUUAAUAUUGAUGAUAUGGGUAGUACAAGAGUAGAUCUACCACGAGAUCAAAGAGGCUAAACCCUAGAAGCUAGCCUAUGGUAUGAUUGUUGUUCGUCCUAUGGACUAAAACCCUCCGGUUUAUAUAAACACCGGAAAGGGAUAGGGUUACACAGAGUCGGUUACAAUGGGAGGAGAUCUACAUAUCCGUAUCGCCAAGCUUGCCUUCCACGCCAAGGAAUGUCCCAUCCGGACACGGGACGAAGUCUUCAAUCUUGUAUCUUCAUAGUCCAGGAGUCCAGCCAAAGGUCAUAGUCCGGUCAUCCGGGCACCCCCUAAUCUGGGACUCCCUCAGUAGCCCUGAACCAGGCUUCAAUGACGACGAGUCCGGCGCGCCAAUUGUCUUCGGCAUUGCAAGGCGGGUUCCUCCUCCGAGUACUUCAUAGAAGAUGUUGAACACAAGGAUAGUGUCCGGCUCUGCAAAAUAAGUUCCACAUACCACCGUAGAGAGAAUAACUUUUGAACAAAUAUAAUUUGCUGACGUAUUCCGCAGCGUGACAUCACGCCACGGCCAAGCCUUUAUUCGAAUCGUUUUAUUAUCCCACCUCAGUGUGUUUAGCGAGGCGGUUUCCUUGGUACGUCUUGUCAAAGCAGGGAUCGUGUCCCCGUAUUCCAGGAUUCUCAACAAUACGGGCGUGGGUAACCCAACUGUGCCAUUAAUCACGGCGCUUGGGAGAUAAGCGAGUUUUACUAGGCUGGUGGGGGUACAUAUCUUCGUCCGCCCAUAUAAGGGGAUAAGGAUCCACUCUUUCCAUUUACGCCUUCUUCUUCCUUUGCUUAUCCAUCUCCACGCACUCGAGCUCCAACGCCCAAGCCCGCACUUCCCACCUCAACCUUCUCCAGUCAUGUCCGGAGCGGGAGGCAGGUGGAUGGCCUCAUCCGUCACGGAGGGGCACAUCAAAAUGCUGAGGAAGGCCGGAUACUUGUCCAACGACAUCGCGCACCGGCUCCCAGACGAGGGGCAGCUCAUCCCCACCCCUAGGCCCCAUGAGAGGGUUGUGUUCCUCCCCCAUUUCCUCCGCAGACUGGGCUUCCCACUCCACCCAUUCGUCCGGGGGCUCAUGUUCUACUACGGCUUGGACUUCCAUGAUCUGGCCCGAACUUCAUCCUCAACAUCUCGGCGUUUAUCGUCUUGUGCGAGGCCUUCCUCCGCAUUAAGCCCCACUUCGGCUUAUGGCUAAAGACCUUCAAUGUCAAGCCAAAGGUAGUGGGCGGCCGGCAAGUGGAGUGCGGAGGCGCCAUGGUGGGCAAAAUGCCCAAUGUCACAUGGCUCGAGGGCUCCUUUGUGGAUACCAUCAAGGGGUGGCAAUCGGGGUGGUUCUACAUCACCGAUCCGCGCGACCCUGAAUGGGCGGCGGCCCCCGAAUUCCGAUCUGGCAUCCCCACACGGCUCACCUCUUGGAAAGAGACGGGCCUGUCGUGGGGUAAUUGGGAAGAGGUGACCGGACUCCAAACCUGCGUCCAAAACCUGAUGGACAAGAAGGUUAAACUCGUCACCGUAGUCCAGGUCAUGCUCUUCCGCCGCAUCCUCCCGUGUCAACGAUGGGCUUUUAACCUGUGGGAAUUCGACCCCGGCCCAGCACCAAACUUUGUCCAGGCUUUUUGACACAACGCACGAAGAUGCCUAGAAGGUGCUAUUCAAGGGCUCCAAGGUUCAUCCUCCCACUACCGAGGAUCGCGGAUUCAGCGCGAAGCGCCCAGCUAGCACGGUGAGUUUAUUUUGCCCAUCAUAGGAUAUUUGUCUUUUUUAUAGUUUGACUCUAUGCGGGAUCUAAGCUCUUGUUCCUUUGACAGGACUGGCAGAAGAAGUCCGGACAAAUCAACUGUCCAGCUCCUUCGCCCGAAGGUCUGGCAGAUGCCCGGUUGGCAAAGCUGCUGGUCCCGCCACCUCACUUGGUGCCGGAGAAGAAGGCCCAAAAGAAGGCCACGGGAACUCGAAACAGCUCCCGGCGCCUGGUAGUGUCGGAUUCCUCGUCCGAGGAUUCCGAAGCGCGCUCCUCCCAUGAAGGCGAGGAGGAGGAAGAGGCCUCUCCCCCUCCAACGGGGGGAGGAAAGAAAAGGAAGGCCACCCUGACUAGGGGGGGGCGGAGGGUCCAAGAAGGGAAAAACCCUUCUCCUGGACAUCUCCACCAACGCCGACGACGGCGAAGAGGAGUGGCCAUCCAGGGCCAAGCCCCUAGCGAAACCGUAAGUAUCCGGAUAUCAGAAUAACUCACGGUGUUCCUUUAUGGCACAGUAUCUUCUAACGCUGAACAUAAUCAUGCAGUCUGCCCAAGGCCCAGCUCGACGCUUCAUCGAGCAGAUCCCUGGAUUCGUCGGACGUGAGCAGUCUUUUACUUCCAACCGCUACCUCCCCUCUGUUGGGGAACGUAGUAAUUUCAAAAAAAUUCCUAUGCACACGCAAGAUCAUGGUGAUGCAUAGCAACGAGAGGGGAGAGUGUUGUCCACGUACCCUCGUAGACUGUAAGCGGAAGCGUUAUGACAACGCGGUUGAUGUAGUCGUACAUCUUCACGAUCCGACCGAUCCAAGCACCGAACGUAUGUCACCUCCGAGUUCAGCACACGUUCAGCUCGAUGACAAUCCCCGGACUCCGAUCGAGCAGGGUGUCGGGGAUGAGUUCCGUCAGCAUGACGGUGUGGUGAUGAUGAUGAUGUUCUACCGAUGCAGGGCUUCGCCUAAGCACCGCAACGAUAUGAUCGAGGUGGAAUAUGGUGGAGGGGGGCACCGCACACGGCUAAGGAGCGGUCAUGAUGAUCAACUUGUGUGUCUUUGGGGUGCCCCCUGCCCCCGUAUAUAAAGGAGCAAGGGGAGGAGGGCCGGCCAAGGAGGAGGAGGCGCGCCCAAGGGGGGAGUCCUACUCCCAUUAGGAGUAGGACUCCUCCUUUCCUAGUAGGAGUAGGAGAGAAGGAAGGGGAAGAGAGAAGGGAAGGAAGGAGGGGGUGCGGCCCCUCCCUUAGUCCAAUUCGGACUAGGCCUUGGGGGGCGCGGUCUGCCCUAGGCAGCCCCUCCCACUUUCCCGUAUGGCCCAAUAAGGCCCAAUACUUCUCCCCAGCGAAUUCCCGUAACUCUCCGGUACUCCGAAAAAUACCCGAAUCACUCGGAACCUUUCCGAACUCUGAAUAUAGUCGUCCAAUAUAUCGAUCUAUACAUAUCGAUCAUUUCGAGACUCCUCGUCAUGUCCCCGGUCUCAUCCGGGACUCCGAACUCCUUCGGUACAUCAAAACUCAUAAACUCAUAAUAUAACUGUCAUCGAUACCUUAAGCGUGCGGACCCUAUGGGUUCGAGAACUAUGUAGACAUGACCGAGACACGUCUCCGGUCAAUAACCAAUAGCCGAACCUGGAUGCUCAUAUUGGUUCCCACAUAUUCUAUGAAGAUCUUUAUUGGUCAGACCGCAUAACAACAUACGUUGUUCCCUUUGUCAUCGGUAUGUUACUUGCCCGAGAUUGGUAUCUCAAUACCUAGUUCAAUCUCGUUACCGGCAAGUCUCUUUACUCAUUCCGUAAUACAUCAUCUCACAACUAACUCAUUAGUUGCAAUGCUUGCAAGGCUUAAGUGAUGUGCAUUACCGAGAGGGCCCAGAGAUACCUCUCCGACAAUCGGAGUGACAAAUCCUAAUCUCGAAAUAUGCCAACCCAACAAGUACCUUCGGAGACACCUGUAGAGCACCUUUAUAAUCACUCAGUUAAGUUGUGACGUUUGGUAGCACACAAAGUGUUCCUCCGGUAAAUGGGAGUUGCAUAAUCUCAUAGUCAUAGGAACAUGCAUAAGUCAUGAAGAAAGCAAUAGCAACAUACUAAACGAUCAAGUGCUAAGCUAACGGAAUGGGUCAAGUCAAUCACAUCAUUCUCCUAAUGAUGUGAUCUCGUUAAUCAAAUGACAACUCUUUUGUCCAUGGCUAGGAAACUUAACCAUCUUUGAUUCACGAGCUAGUCAAGUAGAGGCAUACUAGUGACACUAUGUUUGUCUACGUAUUCACACAUGUAUUAUGUUUCCGGUUAAUACAAUUCUACCAUGAAUAAUAAACAUUUAUCAUGAAAUAAGGAAAUAAAUAAUAACUUUAUUAUUGCCUCUAGGGCAUAAUUCCUUCACCCUCGCCCUACGGACGACACCGAGGUGGAGUCCCAAAAGGGGAUGAGCCAGGAGGAGGUAGCCCCGGAGGCGCCGCAAGGCGACCUUCCGGAUUCCAUGCGCCAAGGGGAUAGAACCCCAAAGGGCUCUAAGUCCGGCCCUGGACCGGACGCCGCACCGGAACCUUCAGUGGUUCCGGAGUCCGGCAGGCGGCCCCCUCAUAAGAAGGGCAAGCCUACGACGCCGGCGACCCCCGUCCAACCGGAGGCACCGGAACAUUUGCUGGAGGUGCUUAAAGGCGCCUCCAUCAACGAGGAGCACCGCACUAUUAUGAGUGCGGUGGUCAAGAAGGUUCAGUCCGCCAAGAGCAGGCUGACAGAAGCCUGUGCCAUCCUUCUAACAGGCUUCGAGGUAUGUAUUAAGACAUGUAAAAAUAUUACCACAUAGACAGUAGCCCCUGAUGCUCAGUUUGGUGUUCGAGAAGAAAAGCCGGACUGAGGAUCUAAAAAGAUAUACGCAGGAGUCUAACAUAAAUAUGUCAAUAUGGGAAUGCAGGCUGCGCUGCUGACCUCUGCCCCACUGACUGGGGAGGUCGAUGCAUUGAAGCAGAGCCUCGAGCGGUCCGAGAAUGAGCUCGGCCUUGCCAAGAAGCAUCUCGAGGAUAAGGAAGGUAAAUAGUACCUGAUGUUAGUAUAUAUAAAAUACCUAGUUGCAAAAAAAAUGACAGGACCAACGUGAGUGUUACAGGGGCCACAACCGAGGUGGCGACCCUGAAGGAAGCACUGUCCAAGGCCGAAGACAAUGCGGCCGUGGAGCGCACCGAGCGAGAAAAGCAGGAGGCGCGGGUGGCGAGGUGCGGCAAGAGCUCCAUACUCUUGUGAAGAAACACGAGAGAUUGGAGCUUGACUCAAAGGCUCGAGAGUCCGAGCUUGCCUCGGCUCUUGAGAGCGCCAAAUCCGCCAAGGCCAAAGCCCAAAAAGCCCUCCAGGAAAUUGAGGCGAUGAAAAAGAUAGCGGCAGGUAAGGCAUUCUUUAUGCAAAGCAAGCACGUGAAAGUAAGUUACUUGUUACUUACCCAAAUCCGGAGCUCUCUAGGAGCAUUCGCAGAUCUGCCCCGCAGUGUGUCCAAUGCUGCCGCAUUCUACCGAGCCGAGGAAGGGAGCUCGAUGGAGAAGGUGUUCUGGUCCCAGUAUGCUGAGGCCAGAUACCCGGUGCCCUUGAGCGACCAACUGAAGCAGCUGGUCGAGCUCCGUAAGGUAGCCGAACAGCCCAUGAAGGGCCUUAUAGUCCGGCUAUGGCCUGGCGAGGUCAUGGCCGGGAGCUACUUUGGGCUGGUGAGGCGGCUGGUGGAUGCCUGUCCAUGGAUUGAAGUCAUCAAGCGCUCCGUAUGCAUCGAAGGCGCCCAUAGGGCCCUUGCUCGUGCUAAGGUACACUGGGGCAAGAUGGAUGCUGAGAAGCUGGUGACAGAUGGGCCACCAGAGGGCAAGGAGCAUCGCAAGCCCGAGAUGUAUUAUGAGCGUGUCCUGAAGGGUGACCCCCUUGUGGCAAAUGAAUGUUCCAGGGAUUUAAUUUUUGAGUAAACUCGCUCGUGUUUAUCCUGUGCGCUGAAAACUUGUUCAUAUGCGCUAAGCAACGCUUUUUGAGUUUUAAAUAUUACCUUCUGUGCGGUCGUUUAGUAAAUCUGAGAGAUGCGAGUCGUCGGCUUCUGCCCCCAUGCCGCGAGUGCUGGGGUGUUCGGGAUAAACCUGAGCGCUCUUGUUCCCAUUCUUGGGUCCUUCGAGGGAGGCGCUCAGCACAACGAACAAGGCAAUCAGACUAUAAUGAUUUAUCACUCUCACUUAGCCAUAGAAUUCUAUAAUUUUAAAUUUUGGUGAAGCCCUUAGUAUUCGGAAGACCGAGUUCGAGGCGCUAUCCAUGCCUAGGCCGGACAAAGCCAGCUCCUCGCUCUAAGCGGCAUAAGUCUUUAGGGACUCGAAAACCUCUCGAACAGCGACCGGCUCUUGCCCUAUCAUGAUGGUCAGUUUUAGCUUUCUCUACUUAGGUGCUUAACCCAUCUCAAUUGGGGCACAAUCGCAGUAGUUCUCCCAGCGCUACCUUAGCCGAUAUAACGGAACGUAAGGUACCAAAACAUGGGAGCCGGGAAAACCCAACUAUUGACCCAAGACAUGAUUCGGAGCCGAUGCAUAUAAUGCUAUAAGUUCGGGGUGUCGCACUCGUGAGAGUGUUCGGACUUUUCAGACCAUAUUCUGGGGUACUUAAGCCCCUGGUGUACUAGCCGUACCAGAGUGUGCGGUUGCGUAAUGUCAUAACUGAACAUAUUUAAAGAAAAAAAGGAAUGCAAUAAUAGACAAGAGCUAUGUAUUGUUUAUUAAAAGGCUGUUGUAAAAGCAAAACGAUACAAAUAGUGCGAUAAGCAAGAGGUGGGAUUGUUUGACAUGUCCCCCUCCAGGGGCAAGCUGCGAAACUUUAUGUAAGACAUGUAUUUAGCUCGCUAUAGAGACCACCUGAACGUUCGAUGUAGCUUGCUGCUUCCCUGGCUGUUGCAUCGUGUGUUCGGCGAUUAUACUGCCAGACAGGCCUUUCGGAUAGUGGAGUCCUGAAAGUAAGAAAAAGGAAAUGACAAAGCUUGGAGCCCUUGGUGCAGUUGAGCCGCGUGUUGGGCGUGUCGUGGUUGUGUCCCUCCCCGUAUGCCCAUGGUACUUCCAGAGCGUAAUUAUGUAUGCGUAACACUGGUUUCGCAAUUUCCUGAGGGCUGGGGUUGGGGCCGCACUGCUACGGUUGCUCGGAACGUGCCAGGUGGUCUAUUUGUAGGCUACUCCGGGCGUGCUUGACGGUGUCCGGACGUUUAAUAGCCGGACUGGAGAAUUGCCUUGAGAGGCUACUUUGUACUUCUGCUGCUAGGGCCGCCGUAUGCUCCUCCAUUCGGAGAGAGCGUUCGGUGUUUCCAUUGACCGUAAUGACUCCUCGAGGGCCUGGCAUCUUGAGCUUGAGGUAUGUGUAGUGCGGCACCGCAUUGAACUUUGCAAAUGCGGUUCGUCCGAGCAGGGCGUGAUAGCCACUGCGGAACGGGACUAUGUCAAAGAUUAACUCCUUGCUUUGGACAUUAUCCGGGGAUCCGAAGACCACUUCCAGUGUAACUGAGCCAGUACAGUUGGCCUCCACACCUGGUAUGACGCCUUUAAAGGUCGUCUUUGUGGGUUUAAUCCUUGAGGGAUCUAUGCCCAUUUUUCACAUUGUAUCCUGAUAAAGAAGGUUCAGGCUGCUGCCGCCGUCCAUAAGGACUCUGGUGAGGUGGAAUCCGUCAAUGAUUGGGUCUUGAACCGAUGCUGCGAAUCCGCCGUGGCGGAUGCUAGUGGGGUGGUCCCUUCGAUCGAAGGUCAUCGGGCAGGAGGACCAUCGGUUGAACUUUGGGGUGACUGGCUCCAAUGCAUAUACAUCCCUGAGUGCACGCUUCUGUUCCCUUUUAGGGAUGUGGGUUGCGUAUAUCAUGUUCACCGUCCGCACUUGUGGGGGAAAGCCCUUCUGUCCCCUAUUGUUCGGCGGCCGGGGCUCCUCCUCGUCCUCACUAUACAGCCCCUUGUCUCUGUUCUUGGCGCUUAGCUUGCCUGCCUGCUUGAACACCCAACAAUCCCUGUUGGUGUGACUGGCUGGUUUUUCGGGGGUGUCGUGUAUCUGGCACAAGCGAUCGAGUAUUCGGUCCAAAUUGGACCGGCCCGGAGUAGUUCUUUUGAAUGGCUUUUCCCACUGACCGAGUUUAGGGCCUCGGAAUCCGGCAUUAACUGUCGUAUCCUCUGUGUUGUCGCCGUUAAUGCGGUGCUUGUGUUUGUUGCGACGCGACCUGCCAUUGUUGUCCUUGGUAUCCGAAUUACCAGGGCUCUUAAUCAUGUUAUUGCUACGAGCUAGCCAGUUGUCUUCUCCCGCGCAAAAGCGGGUCAUGAGUGUUGUGAGGGCUGCCAUGGAUUUCGGCUUUUCCUGUCCUAAGUGCCGGGCAAGCCAUUCGUCACGGAUGUUAUGUUUGAAGGCUGUGAGGGCCUCCGCGUCCGGACAGUCAACUAGUUGAUUUUUCUUGGUUAGGAACCGUGUCCAGAAUUGUCUGGCCGAUUCAUCUGGCUGCUGGAUGAUGUGGCUUAGGCCAUCGGCGUCUGGUGGUCGCACAUAGGUGCCCUGGAAAUUGUCGAGGAAUGCGGCUUCCAGGUCCUCCCAGCAACCAAUUGACUCUGCUGGCAAGCUGUUAAGCCAAUGUCGAGCUGGUCCUUUAAGCUUGAGUGGGAGGUAUUUGAUAGCGUGUAGAUCAUCACCGUGGGCCAUGUGGAUAUGAAGAAGAUAGUCCUCGACCCAUACCGCUGGAUCUGUUGUGCCAUCGUAUGAUUCGAUGUUUACGGGUUUAAAACCCUUGGGGAUUUGAUGAUCCAUUACUUCAUCUGUGAAGCAUAGUGGGUGUGUAGCGCCUCUGUACUGGGCUAUAUCACGACGUAGCUCAAAUGAGCUUUGUCUGCUGUGUUCGGCCUGGCCGUAUUUGCCAUAUCCGGCAUGACAGUUAUCAUUACGUGCUGUGGGGCGCCCACGCGAUUUGUAGAUCAAUCUUGUUUGCCUUGCCUUGUCCUCCAAUAUGUCUCGUAGGUCCAGCGCAUUUCCCCGUGCCUUGGUAUAGCGGCGCUGGGGUUCGCCUUGAAUUGAUGGCCGAGAGGCCUAUCUGCCAUGGCCACGAGGUGGCCGGUCGGCUGCGUCAUGCACUGGUGAUGCGGUUUGGGUGCUUCCUCCUCUAAUCGGGGUAGCAGCUUGCGGUUUGGGUAGCUCUUGGAGGGGCGUUCGAGUUCGUAUUCCUCGGCCACUAGGAUUUUGGUCCAUCUGUCGGCUAGCAAAUCUUGGUCAGCUCUAAGCUGCUGCUGUUUUUUCUUGAGGCUGCUUGUCAUGGCCAUAAGCCUGUGUUUGAAACGCUCUUGAUCGACGGGAUCCUCGGGCACGACAUAUUCGUAGUCGUCGAGGCUUGCCUCAUCUUUGAAGGGAGGCAUGUAAGUAUCGUCCUCUACCUCUCUGUCUGCCGCUUUCUCAUGAGGGAUGGUCUCUCCAUCCUCCUGUGUUGAAUCUAGCUGGAGGGGGUUGUCUUCGUCACUGUCCGGGGUGUUAUUAUUUCCCGUGCCGGAAUCGCCGUUUUUGCUUUGGCGGGAUUUAGAGCGGUGUCGCUGACGCCGGUGCUUAGGCUUCUUCUUGGAGGGGUCAUCCUCCGUUGUUCCAUCGCCAUCCCCUUCUUUUGGGGUGUCCACCAUAUAUAUGUCGUAUGACGAGGUGGCCUUCCAGUCCCCUAGAGGCGCUGGGUCUUGGUCGUCUCCUGCAUCGGUGUCCAUGCCGUCGAUGUCUUCGGAGUCGAAGUCGAGCAUGUCGGUUAAAUCAUCGACAGUGGCUAUGAAGUGGGUGGUGGGUGGGUUUUGAAUUUCUUCGUCGUCCGCAUCCCAACCUUGCUGCCCAUAGUCCGGCCAGGGCUCUCCUGAUAAAGAGAGAGAGACUUUAGUGAAUUUAUAAUGUCGCUAAAGGGCGAGUGCUGAAAGAUGUCCGGGGCGGCGAACUCCAUGAUCGGCGCCCCAUCGGGUUCGAUUGGCAGGGGCGCGGAAGGUUCGGAGUCCGAAAAGGAGUCCAGCAUCUUUGAGUCACGAGCUUUGCAAAGGACAAGGCUGGUGUUCGGCUUGAUCGCCGUGGAGAUUGCAGCCCCCAAGGCGGUGUCUAGCCACCCGUCCUCGAUUGGUGCAGUCGGCUCCGAACUAAGGGUCAGAGCGGGCACUGGAGCGGCCUCCAGGGCACUGUUCGGCGGCAGAGCUAGAUCAUGCCCAUCGUGACAGUGCGGCGCGCUUGGCCGUGGCUCGAAUCCUUCGAAGAUCAAGUCUCCGCAGAUGUCUGCCGUGUAGUUCAAACUUCCAAAUCUGACCUGAUGGCCAGGUGCGUACCUUUCGAUCUGCUCCAGAUGGCCAAGCGAAUUGGCCCGCAGUGCAAAGCCGCCGAAUGCGAAGAUUUGUCCGGGAGAAAAGUCUCACCCUGGACCGCGUCGUUGUUGAUGAUCGGGGGAGCCAUCGGGCCUAAAGAUGAUGACACAAAGGAACUCUCAAUGAGAGCACCAAUGUCGGUGUCAAAACUAGCGGAUCUCGGGUAGGGGGUCCCGAACUGUGCGUCUAGGCGGAUGGUAACAGGAGCCAAGGGACACGAUGUUUUUACCCAGGUUCGGGCCCUCUCGAUGGAGGUAAAACCCUACUUCUGCUUGAUUAAUAUUGAUGAUAUGGGUAGUACAAGAGUAGAUCUACCACGAGAUCAAAGAGGCUAAACCCUAGAAGCUAGCCUAUGGUAUGAUUAUUGUUCGUCCUGUGGACUAAAACCCUCCGAUUUAUAUAGACACCGGAAAGGGCUAGGGUUACACAGAGUCGGUUACAAUGGGAGGAGGUCUACAUAUCCGUAUCGCCAAGCUUGCCUUCCAUGCCAAGGAAUGUCCCAUCCGGACACGGGACGAAGUCUUCAAUCUUGUAUCUUCAUAGUCCAGGAGUCCGGCCAAAGGUCAUAGUCCGGUCAUCCGGACACCCCCUAAUCCAGGACUCCCUCACACCUCCACAAGAAAACAACAACGCUAACAACAAUGAAGAAGGACAAGAGGCAGAACAAGACAAUGAAGAGGAUGUUCCACACCGACCCAAACAAAAGCUUUCAUGAGUCCGAGCAAGAGUCUCAAGAGAUCAUCUCGUCGAACAAAUAUUUGAUGAUAUUCAAACCAGGAGAAUUACUUGCUCUAAAACUCGUUUGGCUAACUUUUGUGAACAUUACUCAUUGAUUUCUAGUAUUGAACCUAUGAAGGUUGAAGAAGCUCUUGAUGAUCCGGAUUGGGUGAACGCUAUGCAUGAAGAGCUACACAAUUUCGAGAGGAAUCAAGUAUGUACGUUGGUUGAAAAGCCCGAUGAGAAGCACAAUGUCAUUGGAACCAUAUUGGUGUUUCGGAAUAAUCAAGAUGAAGAUGGACAAGUUGUACACAACAGGGCCCGUCUCGUCGCCCAAGGCUACACUCAAGUCGAAGGUAUGGACUAUGGUGAUACAUAUGCCCCCGUUGCUAGACUUGAGUCCAUACGCAUCUUACUUGCUUAUGCCAAUCAUCAUGAUAUCAUUUUGUACCAAAUGGACAUAAAAAGUGUUUUUCUAAAUGGUGAAAUUGAGGAGGAAGUUUAUGUUAAACAGCCUCCCGGCUUUGUUAAUCCCAAGAAACCCGAUCAUGUUUACAAACUUCACAAAGCUCUUUAUGGUCUUAAACAAGCUCCUAGAGCUUGGUAUAAAUGCUUGACAGAGUUUCUAUUGAAAAAGGCUUUGAAAUUAGGAAGGUUGAUUCUACACAUUUUACUAAAAGGUUUAAUGGUGAAUUAUUUGUGUGCCAAAUUUAUGUGGAUGAUAUCAUAUUUGGUUCAACUAACCCUCAUUUUGUGAAAAGUUUGGAAGGCUAAUGCCGAAGAAGUUUGAGAUGUCUAUGAUAGUGAACUCAAAUUCUUUCUUGGUUUGAAAAUCAAGCAAACUAAGGAGGGUACCUUUGUUUCCCAAACAAAGUAUACCAAGGAUUAUUCAAGAAGUUCAACAUGCAAGAAAGCAAAGGUACGAAAACACCCAUGCCUAGUAGUGGACAUCUUGACUUGACUAAGGAUGGCAAACCUGUUGACCAAAAGGUUUACCGCUCUAUGAUUGGUUCAUUGUUAUAUCUAUGUGCCUCCCGUCCCGAUAUUAUGCUAAGUGUGUGCAUGUGUGCACGAUAUCAAGCGGCCCCUAAAGAAUAUCAUCUUAAGGUUGUGAAAAGGAUAGUGAGAUACUUAAUUCAUACACCAAAUUUUGGCAUUUGGUAUCCUAAGAGGUCUUCUUUUGAUCUUGUUGGCUACUCCGAUUCAGACUAUGCUGAUGACAAGGUUAAUCGAAAGUCCACUUCGGGUACUUGUCAAUUUCUUGGUAGAUCUCUUGUGUCUUGGUCCUCCAAGAAACAAAACUCGGUAUCCUUAUCCACUGCCGAAGCGGAAUAUAUUGCCACCAGAUCAUGUUGUGCUCAAUUACUUUGGAUGACCCAAACCCUUAAGUACUAUGGGAUAUAUGUGAAACAUGUUCCAUUUCUUUGUGAUAAUGAAAGUGCUAAUAAGAUUGCUCACAAUCCCGUGCAACAUUCUCGGACUAAGCAUAUUGAAGUUCGUCAUCACUUCAUUCGGGAUCAUGUUGCUAAAGGAGACAUCAAUCUUAAGCAUGUUCAUACCGGUAAGCAAUUGGCGGAUAUAUUCACCAAACCACUUGAUGAGAAAGUGUUUUGCCAUUGGGAGGUGAAUUAAACAUCAUUGAUGCCUCAAACCUGGAGUAGAAACUCCAUCUAGAUGCAUGCAAGGCAUGAGCCUUUUUAUGACUAAUUCUUGAUAAUUCUCUUAUGUUGAUCAUAUGUCUUGGAUCUAUACUUGUAUCCUUGCAUGUUAUCUAAUCCUUGUAGGUACUUUUGGAUGACCCCAAAUCUAUGAGAUUGCAAGUCACUCACAUCUUAAGCAAUCUCUAGAUCACCAAGUUUCUACUAUAUGGUUGUGGAAUACAAGGAAGGAUGAGCUCACUCAACAUAUGCUUUGACAAUUUCUAUAUAUUAAAUUUCAUUUGGUAUCAAGUUUCAUGAUUGUCAUUUUGGAUACACAAGUGCUUUUCCUUGCAAAAACUAACCCAUGUAGGAAGAUGAACUCAAACUACAAGUGGUGCUCUCAACACUUGAUGGACUACAUCAACCUUGAGCAUCCAACGCAAGUUCAACUACAUGACAAAGAUCGACACAACCCAAGGUAUGUUAUUCCAUCUUAGAGAAGCUCUGACCCAAGUCAUGAGGCAAAGCAACUCAACGAGAUGUGAAUACAUCAAAAUGCUUAAACAAAAUAUGGUAACCCCAUUUUGAGCUUAAACGAUGAGUAUGACCUACAAUCAAGUGUUAUCACUUGACUCCUCAGUCAAUAUACUCUAACAUAGGUGACUUUGUCGCCACCCCCCCCCCUCUAGAUGAAGUUCCCUAGUGUUUCUUUGUUCACUUCAUCUAGAUCUUUUGUCUACAUUUCUUUCUAUGUUUAAUUCAUUGCAAAUCCUUGUGAGAUUUAAUUUGUCUAGUGAGCUGAGUUGACAAAUCUUAUACUUUGCAUUGAACUUAGACUCACCAAUUCAUGCCUAUCGGAUAGACCGAACUACAUGAAUUACUUGUAGAUAAUUCAUUGGUACAACUGGUACGUCCAUUUUGCAUCAUGUUUUCCUACUGUUAUUUAUGUUUUGUUAUUGAAUAAUAAAGCUUUUUGGAGUUAUUCUAAUGCAUUUUCUCUCAUAAUAUGCAAGGUAUACACAAAGGCGGAGAAUUCUGGCAGCUGGAAAUCUGGACCUGGAAAAGCUACAUCAAGCUACCUAUUCUGCACAACUCCAAAUGAGUUGAAACUUCACCAGCAUUUUAUAUGGACUAUUUAAUAAAUAUUGGAGCAAAUAAGUACUAGAUGGGGGCACCAGGUGGGCACAACCCACCUGGGCGCGCCAGGAGGCCCAGGUGCGCCCUGGUGGGUGCUGCCCUCCUCGGCUCACCUCCGGUGCCCGACUUCUGGUAUAUAAGUCAUUUUGACCUAAAAUAAUUGAGGAGAGGACUUUCGGGACGAAGCGCCUCCGUCUCGAGGCAGAACUUGGGAAGGAGCACUAUUUCCCUCCAGCGGAGCGAUUUCGCCGGGGGAACUUCCCUCCCAGAGGGGGAAAUCAUCGUCAUCAUCAUCACCAACAACUCUCCCAUCUUGGGGAGGGCUAUCUUCAUCAACAUCUUCAACAGCACCAACUCCUCUCAAACCCUAGUUCAUCUCUUGUGUUCAAUCUUUGUACCGGAACUAUAGAUUGGUGCUUGUGGGCGACUAGUAGUGUUGAUUACAUCUUGUAGUUGAUUACUAUAUGGUUUAUUUGGUGGAAGAUUAUAUGUUCAGAUCCAUUAUUCUAUUUAAUACCCCUCUGAUCUUGAGCAUGAUUAUCAUUUUUGAGUAGUUACUUUUGUUCUUGAGGUGUCGGGAGAAAUCAUGUUGCAAGUAAUAAUGUGAACUUGAUAUGUGUUGGAUAUUUUGAUGAUAUGUAUGUUGUGAUUCCCUUAGUGGUGUCAUGUGAACGUCGACUGCAUGACACUUCACCAAUUUGGGCCUAAGGGAAUGCAUUGUGUAGUAGUUAUUAGAUGAUGGGUUGCGAGAGUGACAGAAGCUUAAACCCUAGUUUAUGCGCUAUUCCGUAAGGGACUGAUUGGAUCCAAAAGUUUAAUGCUAUGGUUAGAAUUUAUUCUUAAUACAUUUCUCAUAGUUGCGGAUGCUUGCGAGAGGGUUAAUCAUAAGUAGGAGGUUUGUUCAAGUAAGAACAGCACCUAAGCACCGGUCCACCCACAUAUCAAAUUAUCAAAGUAGUGAACACAAAUUAAGACAACAUGAUGAAAGUGACUAGAUGAAAUUCCCGUGUACCCUCAAGAACACUUUGCUUAUCAUAAGAGACCGCUUUGGCCUGUCCUUUGCCUCAAAAGGAUUGGGCUACCUUGCUGCACUUUUUUUACUACUAUCGUUACUUGCUCGUUACAAAUUAUCUUGCUAUCAAACUACUCUGCGACUUACAAUUUUAGCACUUGCAGACAUUACCUUGAUGUAAACCACUUCUCAUUUCCUUCUGCUCCUCGUUGUGUUCGACACUCUUACUUAUGAAAAGGAUACAAUUGACCCCAUAUACUUGUGGGUCAUCAAGGCUAUUUUCUGGCGCCAUUGCCGGGGAGUGAAGCGCUCUUGGUAAGUGGAAAUUGGUAAGGAAACAUUAUUACUAUGUGCUGAAAUUUAUUGUCACUUGCUACUAUGGAAAACAAUCCUUUGAGGGGUUUGUUUGGGGUAUCUUCACCAAGACCGGAACCACAAUUACUCGCCCCUCAACCUACUGCACCUACUCAAAAUAUUGAAUAUGAAAUUCCUUCGGGUAUGGUAGAACAACUGCUAGCUAAUCCUUAUGCAGGAGAUGGAACCGAACAUCCUGAUAUGCACUUGAUAUAUGUGGAUGAAAUUUGUGGAUUAUUUAAGCUUGCAGGUUUUCCCAGAGAUGAAGCUAAGAAGAAGGUUUUCCCUUUAUCUUUGAAGGGAAAAGCAUUGACCUGAUAUAGGCUAUGCGAUGAUCUUGGAACUGGAAUCGGUUGAAAUUGGAAUUUCAUCAAAAAAAUUAUCCUAUGCAUCUAGUUCAUCGUGAUCGGAACUAUAUAUAUAUAUAUUUUUUUUGGCCUCGUGAAGGAGAAAGUGUCACUCUAGCUUGGGGGAGGCUUAAGUCAAUGUUAUAUUCAUGCCCCAAUCAUGAGCUUUCAAGAGAAAUUAUUAUUCGGAAUUUUUAUGCUUGGCUUUCUCGUAGUGAUCAAUCCAUGCUCGAUACUUCUUGUACCCGUUCUUUUAUGAAGAAGACUAUUGAAUCCCGGUGCGAUCUUUUAGAAAGAAUUAAACGCAAUUCUGAAGAUUGGGAACUCUACGAAGGUAAAGAGUCAGGUAUUGAACCUAAGUUUGAUUGUGUUAAAUCUUUUAUGAAUACCGAUGCUUUUCAAAAGUUUAGCACUAAUUAUGGACUUGACUCUGAGAUAGGAGCUUCCUUUUGUGAAUCUUUUGCUACUCAUGUUGAUCUUCCUUAGGAGAAGUGGUUUAAAUAUCACCCACUAUUAAAGAAGAAGUUAAAGAACCAGUAAAAGCUAAAGAAGAAACUAUCAUUUACAAUGUUGAUCCAGUUGUUCCCAUUUCUUAUAUUGAAAAAACACCUUUCCCUGUUAGGAUGAAGGAACAUGCUAAAGCUUCAACUGUGGUUAACAAAAGUUAUGUUAGAACACCCAAACCAGCUAAGCAAAUCGGAGUUGAACAUAGUGUUGCUAUGAUUAAAGAUCUCUUAGUCGAUAAUAUUGAUGGGCAUGUUAUUUACUUCUAUGAUGAAGCUUCUAGAAUUGCCAAACCUGAUAAAAAGGAUAAACAUAGACCAGUUGUUGGCAUUCCUGUUGUCUCAGUUAAGAUAGGAGAUCAUUGUUAUCAUGGGCUAUGUGACCUAGGUGCUAGUGUGAGUGCUAUUCCUUUUUCCUUAUUUGAAGAAAUUAAGAAUGAAAUAGCACCUGCUGAAAUAGAAGACAUAGAUGUCACUAGUAAACUUGCCAAUAGAGAUACAAUAUCACCAAUUGGAAUUCUUAGAGAUGUUGAAGCCUUGUGUGGGAAAAUAAAAUACCCUACUAAUUUUAUUGUUCUUGGCUCCCAACAAGAUGAGUUUUGUCCCAUUAUCUUUGGUAGACCUUUCUUGAACACCGUCAAUGCUAGAAUAGACGGUAAGAAACAAACUGUCGGUGUUAGCUUUGGUGAUGAAUCUCAUGAAUUUAAUUUUUCCAAGUUUAGUAGACAACCUCAUAAGAAAGAUUUGCCUAGUAAGGAUGAAAUUAUUGGUCUUGCUUCUAUUGUUGUACCUCCUACUGAUCCUUUGGAACAAUAUUUGCUAGACCAUGAAAAUGAUUUGCAUAUGCGUGAAAGAAAUGAAAUAGAUAGAAUAUUUUUUUGAACAACACCUCUGCUUAAACACAAUUUGCAUAUUGAAACUCUAGGAGGUCGUCCUCCACCUAAAGGUGAUCCUGUGUUUGAAUUAAAACAAUUGCCAGACACUUUGAAAUAUGCUUAUCUUGAUGAGAAAAAGAUAUAUCAUGUUAUUAGUGCUAACCUUUCAAAAAAUGAAGAAGAAAGAUUAUUGAAAGUUCUAAGGAAGCACAGAGCUACUAUUGGAUAUACUCUUGAUAAUCUUAAGGGCAUUAGUCCCACUAUAUGUCAGCAGAAGAUUAAUAUAGAACCUGAUGCUAAACCCGUGGUUGAUCACCAACAUUGGUUAAAUUCAAAAAUGAAAGAAGUGGUAAGAACAGAAAUAUUGAAACUUCUGGAAGCAGGUAUAAUCUAUCCUAUAGAUGAUAGUAGAUGGGUAAGUCUUGUUAAUUGUGUCCCUAAGAAGGGAGGUAUUACUGUUGUUCCUAAUGAUAAGAAUGACCUUAUUCCACAUAGAAUUGUCACAGGUUAUAGGAUGGUAAUUGAUUAUACCAAAUUAAACAAAGCAACUAGAAAAGAUCAUUACCCUUUGUCUUUUAUUGAUCAAAUGUUAGAAACAUUAUCUAAGCACAUACAUUUUUGCUUCCUUGAUGGAUAUUCUGGUUUUUCACAAAUACCUAUUUCACAACGUGAUCAAGAAAAUACCACUUUUACUUGUCCUUUUGGAAUUUAUGCUUAUAAACGUAUGCCUUUUGGUUUCUGUAAUGCACCUGCUACCUUUCAAAGAUGUAUGACUGCUAUAUUCUCUGAUUUUUGUGAAAAGAUUGUUGAGGUUUUCAUGGAUGAAUUUUCUGUUUAUGGGAAGUCUUUUGAUGAUUGUUUAAGCAAUCUUGAUCGAGUUUUGCAGAGAUGUGAACAAACAAAUCUUGUCUUGAACUGGGAGAAGUGGCACUUUAUGGUUAACGAAGGUAUUGUUUUGGGCCAUAAAAUUUCUGAAAGAGGCACUGAAGUGGACCAGGCCAAGGUUGAUGCAAUUGAUAAAAUGCCAUGUCCUAAAGAUAUUAAAGGUAUUCGUAGUUUCCUUGGUCAUGUUGGUUUCUAUAGGAGGUUUAUCAAAGACUUUUCUAAAAUUUGUAGGCCUCUUACGAAUCUUUUGCAAAAGGAUAUUCCCUUUGUGUUCGAUGAUGAUUGCUUGGAAGCCUUUGAAACACUAAAGAAAGCCUUAAUUACAGCACCUUUGUUCAGCCACCUGAUUGGAACUUGCCUUUUGAGAUUAUGUGUGAUGCUAGUGAUUAUGUUGUUGGUGUUGUUCUAGGACAAAGAGUUGAUAAGAAACUGAAUGUUAUUCAUUAUGCCAGUAAAACUCUAGAAAGUGCUCAAUGAAACUAUGCUACUACUGAAAAAGAAUUCUUAGCAGUGGUGUUUGCUUGUGAUAAAUUUAGAUCUUACAUUGUUGAUUCUAAAGUGAUUGUUCACACCGAUCAUGCUGCUAUAAAAUAUCUUACGGAAAAGAAAGAUGCUAAACCUAGACUCAUUAGAUGGGUUCUGCUGCUACAAGAAUUUGAUUUGCAUAUUACUUAUAGGAAAGGAGCAGAGAAUCCCGUAGAUGAUAACUUGUUUAGGCUUGAAAAUAUUCUUGAUGACCCACAACCUAUUAAUGAUAGCUUUCCUGAUGAACAACUAGCUGCAAUAAAUGUUUCUAAUAGUACACCUUGGUAUGUUGACUAUGCUAAUUAUAUUGUUGCUAAAUACAUACCACCUAGUUUCACAUACCAACAAAAGAAAAUUUUCUUCUAUGAUUUAAUACAUUACUUUUGGGAUGACCCACAUAUUUAUAAAGAAGGAGUAGAUGGUAUUAUUAGACGUUGUGUACCUGAGGAUGAAUAGGAACAAAUCCUACAGAAAUGUCACUCGGAAGCUUAUGGAGGACAUCAUGCGGGAGAUAGAACCACUCAUAAGGUAUUGCAAUCUGGUUUUUAUUGGCUUAGUCUCUUCAAGGAUGCCCGUAAGUUUGUCUCAUCUUGUGAUGAAUGCCAAAUAAUAGGUAAUAUCAGUAAGCGUCAAGAAAUGCCUAUGAAUUAUUCACUUGUUGUUGAAGCAUUUGAUGUUUGGGGAUUUGAUUUCAUGGGACCUUUUCCUUCCUCUAAUGGGUAUACACAUAUUUUGGUUGCUAUUGAUUAUGUUACUAAGUGGGUAGAAGUUAUACCAACCAGUAUUGCUGAUCACAACACCUCUUUUAAAAUGCUUAAGGAAGUUAUUUUCCCAAGGUUUGGAGUCCCUAGAUAUUUAAUGACUGAUGGUGGUUCACACUUUAUUCAUGGUGCUUUCCGUAAAAUGCUUGCUAAGUAUGAUAUUAACCAUAGAAUUGCAUCACCUUAUCAUCCUCAGUCUAGUGGUCAAGUUGAACUUUGCAAUAGAGAAAUAAAACUAAUCUUACAAAAGACUGUUAAUAGGUCCCAGAAGAAUUGGUCUAAGAAAUUAGAUGAUGCACUUUGGGCUUAUAGAACAGGUUAUAAAAAUCCUAUGGGUAUGUCUCCAUAUAAAAUGGUUUAUGGAAAAGCUUGUCAUUUGCCUCUUGAGUUAGAACACAAAGCAUAUUGGGCAAUUAAAGAACUCAAUUAUGAUUUCAAACUUGCUGGUGAAAAGUGGCUAUUUGAUAUUAGCUCAUUAGAUGAAUGGAGAACUCAGGCUUAUGAAAAUGCAGCGUUAUUCAAAAAAAAUGUUGAAAGAUGGCAUGACAAAAGAAUCCAAAAGUGCGAGUUCAAAGUUGGAGAAUAUGUUCUUUUGUACAACUCUCGUUUCAGAUUCUUUGCAGGAAAACUCCUCUCCAAAUGGGAAGGACCCUAUGUCAUCGAGGAGGUCUAUCGAUCUGGAGCUAUAAAAAUAAAUAAUGCCAAAGGUACUAACCCGAAGGUUGUCAAUGGGCAACGAAUAAAACACUAUAUCUCAGUUACGCCCAUUAAUGUUGAAAGCAAUAUCAUCCAAACUUUGACACCGGAAGAACACAUAAACGAAACCUUCCAGAACACCCCAGAAUCACGAAAAAAUGGAGGUACGUGAUACGGUAAGUAAACAGACUCCGAAAAAUCCACAAAAAUAUUUUUUUUCAGUUUUGGAAUAUUUAAAAAAUUAGGAAAAUAAGAAACUUCCAGGAAAGUGACCCUGGUGGGCACUAUACACCAGGGCGCGCCUAGCAUGCCAGGCGUGCCCCGGUGGGUUGUGCCCACCUCGAGUACUUUCCGGACUCCGUUUUUCUUCCAUUGUGCUUGUUCCCCAAGAUAAAAAAUCUUUAUAUACCUCCCAAACCUGUUGAGCUCCGUAUCAUGGAGAAAUCGCAUGUUCUCUUUUCUUGUUGUUUUCUGUCAUAUCCAAUCCAUCAUGGCCGCUUCAAGCUCCUCCAAGGACAAGUUCUUCGACAACGUCAUCAACCCAUAUCUGCGGGAGGUGAUGCAGCACCCUCAAGCUAUCUAGAUGCGCGAUGGGGUGAUGCACAUCCGCGAUGUGCAAGGACCCAAGGGGACUGGAUCCGUGGAGGCCAGGCUUGAAGCUAUGGAGCAGGACAUCUUCAGGUGCAAGGGGAUGGUGGAACAUGGACUCAAUGCCAAUCAUCUCAUGAUCGCGGACUACACCCGUCAUCUCAAGGUGGAUGGAAAGUCCAUAAAGGACAGUGUCUUCUCCCUCAACGAGCAAAUCAACUUUCUCCAUAGCCAGAUUCAUGACCUUCAAAGCAAGUCUUUAAAUAUGAGGCAAGGUUUAAAGGUAUGAGUUUGGCUGCCAGUUGCAGGAUCUGAGAGACUCACUCUUCCUCUUUAUGAUGGUGAACCUCUCCCAUGGAAACCCGAGGACAAGAAACCUUCUAAUUCAUCAUCACCACCUCCUUCUUCACCACCAGAAGAAAAUUGAGUAUCGGGUACAGUCCCCUUGGCUUUUGCCAAUCUUGGGGGAGGUGCCUCGGUAUCGUAUCAUCUCCACUAUCUUUUGCCUAUACUUUCUUAAUUCGAUCCAUUGUUAUCUUUUGCUUUUAGAUGAAUAAAAGUUUAGUUCGAUCCUUUCUUUUUGAGAGUUUGCUUAGUGAUCAAUCAUUGUAAUCGUGUGCGAGAUAUAUAAUAAAGUUUAGUUUGAGUUUUGCCUUCUUUACUCUCUUGUUUCAAUAAAAAGAAAGGAAAUAAUGAAAAAGAUCAUAUGCUAACCUUAUGGUAGGUGAUGACAUUACACAAGGAAAAGUAUAAGUAGAAAAUUUUAUUGUAGAUUGACAAACAUAGCAUUGGUCAAUGACACAACUCAUGAAAUAAUUAAUAAGGGAAGAGAAGAUUCACAUAUAAAUAGACUAUCCUGGAAUCUUUUGUGAUUGUGAGCACCCAUCAAAAUAUUAUAUGCCAAAAUUGUUGACGUUGGACAAGGAAGACAACAUAAUGAUUUAUGUUUGUUCAUAUUCACGUAGAAGUUAUAUUGUCAUAGAUCCUUCAACAUGUGGUGCUUGCCCCAAUCUUUGCUAGCCAAAAACUCCGCACUAAGUAGAGAUACUAGUUGUGCAUCCAAAACCCUUAAACCUAAAUCUUGUUUGAGAGUCCACCAUACCUACCUAUGGAUUGAGUAAGAUCCAUCAAGUAAGUUGUCAUCAGUGCAAAAAUGGCAAUAAAAAUUGCUUCUAAAAGUGUGAUAUCAUUUAGUGUAAGGGAAAAUUGAGCGUUAUACAAACUUCUGAUGGCGAAGAAUAAAAGCAGCAAACUUCAUAAUAAAGGUUUCCAUCACAAGGGGCAAUAUAAUGUGAUGUUCUCUUGCACUAAGGGGUUGAGCAUACAAAAAAAUGCAUGGCAACCUUUGCUUCCCUCUGCAAAGGGCCUAUCUUUUACUUUCACGUAUUACUUUCAUGCAAGAGUCAAAGUUUUCUCUCUAUUCCUUUUAUUUUUCUCCUUUGGCAAGCAUCAUGUGGUGAGGAAAGAUCUAGGCACAUAUAUCCACUUGAAUAUGAGUAGCAUGAGUUAUUAUUGUUGACAUCACCAUUGAGGUGAAUGCGUUGGGAGGUGAAACUAUAAGCCCCUACCUUCCUAUGUGUCUGGUUGAAACAUUUUGCUCAUGUGUACGCGGUGAGUGUUAGCAAUCAUAGAAGACUAAAUGAUGGUUGAGUGUGGACUUGCCUAAAGGCUCCGAUACGUGACCCUUCCUGAAAAGAUGAUGAAUUGUAAUUGCAAAAUUGACUGAGAACAUAGUUUGUUGACUUCCAAUAAAGUUUAUGCUUUAUACUUCGAUGUUGUGAUGAAUUGUCACUUGUUCAUGAGAAGUCUAUGAUAAAAGUUAUAUGAUAAAAGUUAUAUGUUAAAGUUUAUUGUUGUUAUAAUAAGUUACAUGAUGCUGCUAUGUCCGUAUUUUUGUUUUUAUCGACACCUCUCCCUCUAAGAUUGUGGACAUGUUUUUGAUUUCGGUUUUCGCUUGAGGACAAGCGAGGUCUAAGCUUGGGGGAGUUGAUACGUCCAUUUUGCAUCAAGUUUUCCUACUGUUAUUUAUGUUGUUUUAUUGUAUAAUAAUGCUUUUUGUAGUAAUUCUAAUGCCUUUUCUCUCAUAAUAUGCAAGGUAUACAGAAAGGGGGAGAAUUUUGGCAGGUGGACCUGAAAAGGCUAUGUCAAGCUACCUAUUUUUCACAACUCCAAAUGAGCUGAAACUUCACGAGGACUUUUAUAAAUAUUUAAUAAAUAUUGGAGCAAAUAAGUACCAGAGGGGGGCCACCAGGUGGGCACAACCCACCUGGGUGCGCCAGGAGGCCUAGGCGUGCCUUGGUGGGUGCUGCCCUCCUCGGCACACCUUCGGUGCCCGUCUUCUAGUAUAUAAGUCAUUUUGACCUAAAAUAAUUGAGGAGAGGACUUUCGGGAUGAAGCGCCUCCAUCUCGAGGCGGAACUUGGGCAGGAGCACUUUUGCCCUCCGGCAAAGCGAUUCCGCCGGGGGAACUUCCCUCCUGGAGGGGGAAAUCAUCGUCAUCAUCAUCACCAACAACUCUCCCAUCUUGGGGUGGGCUAUCUUCAUCAACAUCUUCAACAGCACCAACUCCUCUCAAUCCCUAGUUCAUCUCUUGUGUUCAAUCUAUACCAGAACUGUAGAUUGGUGCUUGUGGGUGACUAGUAGUGUUGAUUACAUCUUGUAGUUGAUUACUAUAUGGUUUAUUUGGUGGAAGAUUAUAUGUCUAGAUCCAUUACGCUAUUUAAUACCCCUCUGAUCUUGAGCAUGAUUAUCAUUUGUGAGUAGUUACUUUUGUUCUUGAGGUCAUGGGAAAAAUCAUGUUGCAAGUAAUCAUGUGAACUUGAUAUGUGUUUGAUAUUUUGAUGAUAUGUAUGUUGUGAUUCCCUUAGUGGUGUCAUGUGAACGUCGACUACAUGACACUUCACCAUAUUUGGGCCUUAGGGAAUGCAUUGUGGAGUAGUUAUUAGAUGAUGGGUUGUGAGAGUGACAGAAGCUUAAACCCCAAUUUAUGCGCUAUUCCGUAAGGGACCAAUUGGAUCCAAAACUUUAAUGCUAUGGUUAGAAUUUAUUCUUAAUACUUUUCCCGUAGUUGCGGAUGCUUGCAAGAGGGUUAAUCAUAAGUAGGAGGUUUGUUCAAGUAAGAACAACACCUAAGCACCGGUCCACCCACAUAUCAAAUUAUCAAAGUAGUGAACACGAAUUAAGCCAACAUGAUGAAAGUGACUAGAUGAAAUUCCCGUGUACCCUCAAGAACACUUUGCUUAUCAUAAGAGACCGUUUUGGCAUGUACUUUGCCUGGAAAGGAUUGGGAUACCUUGCUACAUUUUUUACUAAUAUCGUCACUUGCUCGUUACAAAUUAUCUUGCUAUCAAACUACUCCGCUACUUACAAUUUUAGCACUUGCAGACAUUACCUUGCUGAAAACCACUUGUCAUUUCCUUCUGGUCCUCGGUUGGUUCGACACUCUUACUUAUAGAAAAGUCUAUAAUUGACCUCAUAUACUUGUGGGUCAUCAACAACUGACGCGGACUAUCCCGGUCUGACCGAUAUGCAUCAUUUUUUACACUGCCAACUCGGUGUCACCGAUGAAAACAGGUUGGCAUUACCGAUUUCACAGCUGAGAAAACUUUUUGUCAUUGCAUAUUUGUUUUCUUCUGCAGCUCCACUCAAUGAUUCUUAUCCUCUACCCGCAUCAUAAACUACAUGUUGCUUUGUAAUGUGUCUCAAGGACCAAACCUAUUUGACUCAUACUCCAGAAGUUCCCUUCUUGGAAAUUGAUGUCAAAGGGGGAGAGAGAGCAUAUCAAAGCUUAUCACAUGGGAGAGAAAGCACAUCUUAGCUUCUCCAGAUGCCUGUUAACAAUAGAGGAGAGAAGUCACAUAUUUUUAAGAGGGGAAAGACAUGUUAAUAUAUACUUGAUUGUACCAUUUCCUGCUCUAAUUUUCUCUUACCCUACCUUCUCCCAUUAUCCAAUAUCAGAUUCAGGGGGAGAAAGAGUUCAUAUCUAGGGGAAGAAAAUCUUUGGAAUUCAUUGCAUAUGUUUAACCUUUGGGGAGAUGUCUAUAUCCAAAUGGAGUACUAAGUACUCACUCAUUACAUUCAUCAUCCCAGUCUUGGUACUCUUGUGGUUUCCCUAAAUUGCUUUAAUUAGAGUGUUCUUGCGUUAUCUAACCCUAUUUUCUCAAGUUCACCUCUUCCAAAGCCAUCUCAAGACCACAAGGUAAGUAUAUGCAUCACACUCAUGUGCAUGAUGAUUUCUUGUUGAUGUACAUAUUAUUUGCAAGAAGGACUCAUGAACAUGAAUAUACACUUAUCUUAUCUACAUCAUUUUCUCUUAUGCAUAUAGCCAAGAUACAUAUAACUCAUUGCUUGCUCUGACAUGCUUAUGAAUUCACAUGUUCUCAUAUUCCAUCUUUACAUGAUUGCAUACAUGUAGGGGGAGCCUAUGCAUGUUACAUGUCUUUCCAAAGCUUUACGUGUUACUCUUCAUAUCAUUUUAUCCAAAGCUUUGAUGUAUGUUGUCAUCAAUUAUCAAAAAGGGGGAGAUUGAAAGCACAAGUGCUCCCUAGGUGGUUUUGGUAAUUAAUGACAACAUAUCUCUUGUUGGACUAAUACCUUUGAAGGAAAUAUUGUUGGAAAUAUGCCCUAGAGGCAAUAAUAAAAGUAUUAUUAUAUUUCAUUGUUCAUGAUAAUUGUCUUUUAUUCAUGCUAUAACUGUAUUAUCCGGAAAUCGUAAUACACGUGUGAAUACUUAGACCACACUAUGUCCCUGGUAAGCCUCUAGUUGACCAGCUCGUUGUGAUCAACAGAUAGACAUGGUUUCCUGACUAUGGACAUUGGAUGUCGUUGAUAACGGGAUCACAUCAUUAGGAGAAUGAUGUGAUGGACAAGACCCAAUCCUAAGCAUAGCAUAAAAGAUCGUGUAGUUCGUUUUGCUAGAGCUUUGCAAGUGUCAAGUAUCUCUUCCUUCAACCAUGAGAUCGUGUAACUCCCGGAUACCGUAAGAGUGCCUUGGGUGUAUCAAACGUCACAACGUAACUGGGUGACUAUAAAGGUGCAUUACAGGUAUCUCCGAAAGUAGCUGUUGGGUUGACACGGAUCGAGACUGGGAUUUGUCACUCCGUAUGACGGACAGGUAUCUCUGGGCCCACUCGGUAAUGCAUCAUCAUAAUGAGCUCAACGUGACCAAGGUGUUGGACACGGGAUCAUGCAUUACGGUACGAGUAAAGUGACUUGCCCGUAACGAGACUGAACAAGGUAUUGGGAUACCGACGAUCGAGUCUCGGGCAAGUAACGUACCGAUUGACAAAGGGAAUUGCAUACAGGGUUUGAUCGAAUCCUCGACAUAGUGGUUCAUCCGAUGACAACAUCGAGGAGCAUGUGGGAGCCAUCAUGGGUAUCCAGAUCCCGCUGAUGGUUAUUGACUGAGAGCGUCUCGGUCAUGUCUGCAUGUCUCCCGAACCCGUAGGGUCUACACACUUAAGGUUCGGUGACGCUAGGGUUAUGAAGAUAUGGAUAUGCAGAAACCCGAAUGUUGUUCGGAUUCCCGGAUGAGAUCCCGGACGUCACGAGGAGUUCCGGAAUGGUCCGGAGGUAAAGAAUUAUAUAUAGGAAGUGCUAUUUCGGGCAUCGGGACAAGUUUCGGGGUUAUCGGUAUUGUACCGGGACCACCGGAAGGGUCCCGGGGGUCCACCGGGUGGGGCCACCUGUCCCGGGGGGCUACAUGGGCUGUAGGGGGUGCGCCUUGGCCAUCAUGGGCCAAGGGCACCAGCCCCUAUAGGCCCAUGCGCCUAGGGUUUCCCCCUAGGAGGAGUCCUAGUGGUGGAAGGCACCCCUAGGUGCCUUGGGGGGAGGGAAACCUCCCCUAGGCCGCCGCCCCCCUAGUAGAUCUCAUCUACUAGGGCCGGCGCCCCCCCUGGCACCCCUAUAUAUAGUGGGGGAGAGGAGGGACUUCAUACACCAGCCCCUGGCGCCUCCACCUCCCCCCGUUACGUCUCUCCCUCGUAGUCUCGGCGAAGCCCUGCUGCUGUGACGCCCUGCAUCCACCACCACGCCGUCGUGCUGCUGGAUCUUCAUCAACCUCUCCUUCCCCCUUGCUGGAUCAAGAAGGAGGAGACGUCUCCCGUCCCGUACAUGUGUUGAACGCGGAGGUGCCGUCCGUUCGGCGCUGGUCAUCAGUGAUUUGGAUCACGUCGAGUACGACUACAUCAUCACCUUGCAAGCUUCCGCACGCGAUCUACAAGUGGUAUGUAGAUGCAAACUCUCUCCCUAGACUCGUUGCUUAGAUGAACUCAUAGAUGGAUCUUGGUGAAACCGUAGGAAAAAUUUUAAUUUUCUGCAACGUUCCCCGACAGUGGCAUCAUGAGCUAGGUCUAUGCGUAGUUCCCUUUGCACGGGUAGAACACAACUUUGUUGUGGGCGUGGAUUUUGUCAUCUUACUUGCCUCUACUAGUCUUUUCUUGCUCAACGGUAUUGUGGGAUGAAGCGGCCCGGACCAACCUUACACGUACACUUACGUGAGACCGGUUCCACCGACUGACAUGCACAAGUUGCAUAAGGUGGCUGGCGGGUGUCUGUCUCUCCCACCUUAGUUGGAGCGGAAUCGAUGAACAGGGCCCUUAUGAAGGGUAAAUAGAAGUUGACAAAAUCACGUUGUGGUGAUUCGUAGGUAAGAAAACGUUCUUGCUAGAACCCAAUUGCAGCCACGUAAAAGAUGCAACAACAAUUAGAGGACGUCUAACUUGUUUUUGCAGCGAUUGAUCAUGUGAUGUGAUAUGGCCAGAAGUUGUGAUGAAUGAUGAAUUGUGAUGUAUGAGAUCAUGUUCUUUGUAAUAGGAUUCACGACUUGCAUGUCGAUGAGUAUGACAACCGGCAGGAGCCAUAGGAGUUUUCAUUAUUUUUUGUAUGACCUGCGUGUCAUUGAAUAACUUCAUGUAAACUACUUUACUUUAUUGCUAAACGUUAGUCAUAUAAGUAGAAGUAGUCGUUGGCGUGACAACUUCAUGAAGACACGAUGAUGGAGAUCAUGAUGAUGGAGAUCAUGGUGUCAAGCCGGUGACAAGAUGAUCAUGGAGCCCCGAAGAUGAAGAUCAAUGGAGCUAUAUGAUAUUGGCCAUAUCAUGUCACAACUAUAUAAUUGCAUGUGAUGUUUAUUAUGUAUUAUGCAUCUUGUUUACUUAGGACGACGGUAGUAAAUAAGAUGAUCCCUUAUAAAAUUUCAAGAAAUGUUCUCCCCUAACUGUGCACCGUUGCUAUAGUUCGUCGUUUCUAAGCACCACGUGAUGAUCGGGUGUGAUGGAUUCUUACGUUCACAUACAACGGGUGUAAGACAGUUUUACACAGCGAAAACACUUAGGGUUAACUUGACGAGCCUAGCAUGUGCAGACAUGGCCUCGGAACACGGAGACCGAAAGGUCGAACACGAGUCGUAUGGAAGAUACGAUCAACAUGAGAAUGUUCACUGACGAUGACUAGUCCGUCUCACGUGAUGAUCGGACACGGGCUAGUCGACUCGGAUCGUGUAACACUUAGAUGACUAAAGGGAUGUCUAAUCUAAGUGGGAGUUCAUAAUUUGAUUAGAACUUUAUUAUCAUGAACUUAGUCUAAAACCUUUGCAAAUAUGUCUUGUAGAUCAAUGGCCAACGCUAAUGUCAACAUGAACUUCAACGCGUUCCUGGAGAAAACCAAGCUGAAAGAUGAUGGCAGCAACUAUACGGACUGGGUCCGGAACCUGAGGAUCAUCCUCAUAGCUGCCAGGAAACAAUAUGUCCUAGAAGGACCGCUAGGUGACGCUCCCGUCCCAGAGAACCAAGACAUUAUGAAUGCUUGGCAGUCUCGCGCUGAUGAUUACUCCCUCGUUCAGUGCGGCAUGCUUUACAGCUUAGAACCGGGGCUCCAAAAGCGUUUUGAGCAUCACGGAGCAUAUGAGAUGUUCGAAGAGCUGAAACUAGUUUUUCAAGCUCAUGCCCGGGUCGAGAGAUAUGAUGUCUCCGACAAGUUCUACAGUUGUAAGAUGGAGGAGAACAGUUCUGUCAGUGAGCACAUCCUGAAGAUGUCUGGGUUGCACAACCGUAUGACCCAGCUGAACAUUAACCUCCCAGAUGAGGCGGUCAUUGACAGAAUCCUCCAUUCGCUCCCACCAAGCUACAAGAGCUUUGUGAUGAACUACAACAUGCAAGGAAUGGAAAAGACCAUUCCUGAAUUGUUCUCGAUGCUGAAGUCAGCAGAGGCUGAAAUCAAGAAAGAACAUCAAGUGUUGAUGGUCAAUAAGACCACUAAGUUCAAGAAGGGCAAGGGUAAGAAGAACUUCAAGAAGGACGGCAAAGAUGUUGCCGCGCCUGGUAAGCCAGUUACCGGGAAGAAGUCAAAGAAUGGACCCAAGCCUGAGACUGAGUGCUUUUAUUGCAAGGGGAAGGGUCACUGGAAGCGGAACUGCCCCAAAUACUUAGCGGAUAAGAAGGCCGGCAACACCAAAGGUAUAUUUGAUAUACAUGUGAUUGAUGUGUACCUUACCAGUAAUCGUAGUAACUCCUGGGUAUUUGAUACCGGUGCCGUUGCUCAUAUUUGUAACUCACAACAGGAGCUGCGGAAUAAACGGAGACUGGCAAAGGACGAGGUGACGAUGCGCGUCGGGAAUGGUUCCAGAGUCGAUGUGAUCGCCGUCGGCACGCUGCCUCUACAUUUACCUACGGGAUUAGUUUUGAACCUUAAUAAUUGUUAUUUAGUGCCAAGUUUGAGCAUGAACAUUGUAUCAGGAUCUCGUUUAAUACGAGAUGGCUACUCAUUUAAGUCUGAGAAUAAUGGUUGUUCGAUUUAUAUGAGAGAUAUGUUUUAUGGUCAUGCUCCGAUGGUCAAUGGUUUAUUCUUAAUGAAUCUCGAGCGUAAUAUUACACAUGUUCAUAGUGUAGAUGCCAAAAGAUUUAAAGUUGAUAACGAUAGUCCCACAUACUUGUGGCACUGCCGCCUUGGUCACAUUGGUGUCAAGCGCAUGAAGAAGCUCCAUGCCGAUGGACUUUUAGAGUCUCUUGAUUAUGAAUCGUUUGACACGUGUGAACCAUGCCUCUUGGGCAAAAUGACCAAGACUCCGUUCUCCGGAACAAUGGAGCGAGCAACCAACUUGUUGGAAAUCAUACAUACCGAUGUGUGCGGUCCAAUGAGCGUUGAGGCUCGCGGAGGAUAUCGUUAUGUUCUCACUCUCACAGAUGACUUGAGUAGAUAUGGGUAUGUCUACUUAAUGAAACACAAGUCUGAGACCUUUGAAAAGUUCAAGGAAUUUCAGAAUGAGGUGGAGAAUCAACGUGAACGAAAGAUAAAAUUCUUGCGAUCAGAUCGUGGAGGAGAAUACUUAAGUCACGAAUUUGGUACACACUUAAAGAAAUGUGGAAUCGUUUCACAGCUCACGCCGCCUGGAACACCUCAGCGAAACGGUGUGUCCGAACGUCGUAAUCGCACUCUAUUGGAUAUGGUGCGGUCUAUGAUGUCUCUUACCGAUUUACCGCUAUCAUUUUGGGGAUACGCUCUAGAGACAGCUACAUUCACUUUAAAUAGGGCACCGUCUAAAUCCAUUGAGACGACACCGUAUGAAUUAUGGUUUGGAAAGAAACCUAAGCAGUCGUUUCUAAAAGUUUGGGGAUGCGAAGCUUAUGUCAAGAAACUUCAACCUGAAAAGCUCGAACCCAAGUCGGAAAAAUGCGUAUUCAUAGGAUACCCUAAGGAAACUGUAGGGUACACCUUCUACUUAAGAUCCGAAGGCAAGAUCUUUGUUGCCAAGAACGGAUGCUUUCUGGAAAAAGAGUUUCACUCGAAAGAAGUAAGUGGGAGGAAAGUAGAACUCGAUGAAGUACUACCUCUUGAGCGGGAUAGUGACGCAGCACAGGAAACCGUUCCUGUGAUGCCCACACCAACUGAAGAGGAAAACCAUGAUAAUGAUCAAGGUACUUCGGAUCAAGUUACUGCUGAACUUCGUAGGUCCACAAGGACACGUUCCGCACCAGAGUGGUACGGCAACCCUGUCCUGGAAAUCAUGUUGUUAGACAACAAUGAACCUUCGAACUAUGAAGAAGCAAUGGCGGGCCCGGAUUCCAACAAAUGGCUUGAAGCCAUGAAAUCCGAGAUAGAAUCCAUGUAUGAAAACAAAGUAUGGACUUUGACAGACUUGCCCGAUGAUCGGCGAGCGAUAGAAAACAAAUGGAUCUUUAAGAAGAAGACGGACGCGGAUGGUAAUGUUACCAUCUAUAAAGCUCGACUUGUCGCUAAGGGUUAUCGACAGGUUCAAGGGAUUGACUACGACGAGACAUUCUCUCCCGUAGCGAAGCUAAAGUCCGACCGAAUCAUGUUAGCAAUUGCCGCAUACUAUGAUUAUGAGAUAUGGCAGAUGGACGUCAAAACAGCAUUCCUUAACGGGCAUCUUAAGGAAGAACUGUAUAUGAUGCAGCCGGAAGGUUUUGUCGAUCCUCGGAACGCUAACAAAGUAUGCAAGCUCCAGCGAUCCAUUUAUGGACUGGUGCAAGCAUCUCGGAGUUGGAACAUUCGCUUUGAUGAGAUGAUCAAAGCAUUUGGGUUUAUGCAGACUUAUGGAGAAGCCUGCGUUUACAAGAAAGUGAGUGGGAGCUCUGUAGCAUUUCUCAUAUUAUAUGUAGAUGACAUACUCCUGAUGGGAAAUAAUAUAGAAUUUCUGGACAGCAUUAAGGCCUACUUGAAUAAGUGUUUUUCAAUGAAGGACCUUGGAGAAGCUGCUUAUAUAUUAGGCAUCAAGAUCUAUAGAGAUAGAUCGAGACGCCUCAUAGGUCUUUCACAAAGCACAUACCUUGAUAAGAUUUUGAAGAAAUUCAGAAUGGAUCAGUCCAAGAAGGGGUUCUUGCCUAUGUUACAAGGUAUGAGACUGAGCUCAGCUCAGUCAUCGACCACGGCAAAAGAUAAAGAAGAGAUGAGUGUCAUCCCCUAUGCUUCAGCCAUAGGAUCUAUUAUGUAUGCCAUGCUGUGUACCAAACCCGAUGUAAACCUUGCCGUAAGUUUGGUAGCAAGAUACCAAAGUAAUCCCGGCAAGGAACACUGGACAGCGGUCAAGAAUAUCCUGAAGUACCUGAAAAGGACAAAGGACAUGUUUCUCGUUUAUGGAGGAGACGAAGAGCUCAUCGUAAAAGGUUACGUCGAUGCUAGCUUCGACUCAGAUCUGGAUGACUCUAAGUCACAAACCGGAUACGUGUAUAUGUUGAAUGGUGGAGCAGUAAGCUGGCGCAGCUGCAAGCAGAGCGUCGUGGCGGGGUCUACAUGUGAAGCGGAGUACAUGGCAGCCUCGGAGGCAGCACAUGAAGUGAUUUGGGUGAAGGAGUUCAUCACCGACCUAGGAGUCAUACCCAAUGCGUCGGGGCCGAUCAAACUCUUCUGUGACAACACUGGAGCUAUUGCCCUCGCAAAGGAGCCCAGGUUUCACAAGAAGACCAGGCACAUCAAGCGUCGUUUCAACUCCAUCCGUGAAAAUGUUCAAGAUGGAGACAUAGAGAUUUGCAAAGUGCACACGGAUCUGAAUGUCGCAGAUCCGCUGACUAAACCUCUCUCGCGUGCAAAACAUGAUCAACACCAGAACUCUAUGGGUGUUCGAUUCAUCACAAUGUAACUAGAUUAGUGACUCUAGUGCAAGUGGGAGACUGUUGGAAAUAUGCCCUAGAGGCAAUAAUAAAAGUAUUAUUAUAUUUCAUUGUUCAUGAUAAUUGUCUUUUAUUCAUGCUAUAACUAUAUUAUCCGGAAAUCGUAAUACACGUGUGAAUACUUAGACCACACUAUGUCCCUGGUAAGCCUCUAGUUGACCAGCUCGUUGUGAUCAACAGAUAGUCAUGGUUUCCUGACUAUGGACAUUGGAUGUCGUUGAUAACGGGAUCACAUCAUUAGGAGAAUGAUGUGAUGGACAAGACCCAAUCCUAAGCAUAGCAUAAAAGAUCGUGUAGUUCGUUUUGCUAGAGCUUUGCAAGUGUCAAGUAUCUCUUCCUUCAACCAUGAGAUCGUGUAACUCCCGGAUACCGUAAGAGUGCCUUGGGUGUAUCAAACGUCACAACGUAACUGGGUGACUAUAAAGGUGCAUUACAGGUAUCUCCGAAAGUAGCUGUUGGGUUGACACGGAUCGAGACUGGGAUUUGUCACUCCGUAUGACGGACAGGUAUCUCUGGGCCCACUCGGUAAUGCAUCAUCAUAAUGAGCUCAAUGUGACCAAGGUGUUGGACACGGGAUCAUGCAUUACGGUACGAGUAAAGUGACUUGCCGGUAACGAGACUGAACAAGGUAUUGGGAUACCGACGAUCGAGUCUCGGGCAAGUAACGUACCGAUUGACAAAGGGAAUUGCAUACAGGGUUUGAUCGAAUCCUCGACAUAGUGGUUCAUCCGAUGACAACAUCGAGGAGCAUGUGGGAGCCAUCAUGGGUAUCCAGAUCCCGCUGAUGGUUAUUGACUGAGAGCGUCUCGGUCAUGUCUGCAUGUCUCCCGAACCCGUAGGGUCUACACACUUAAGGUUCGGUGACGCUAGGAUUAUGAAGAUAUGGAUAUGCAGAAACCCGAAUGUUGUUCGGAGUCCCGGAUGAGAUCCCGGACGUCACGAGGAGUUCCGGAAUGGUCCGGAGGUAAAGAAUUAUAUAUAGGAAGUGCUAUUUCGGGCAUCGGGACAAGUUUCGGGGUUAUCGGUAUUGUACCGGGACCACCGGAAGGGUCCCGGGGGUCCACCGGGUGGGGCCACCUGUCCCGGGGGGCUACAUGGGCUGUAGGGGGUGCGCCUUGGCCAUCAUGGGCCAAGGGCACUAGCCCCUAUAGGCCCAUGCGCCUAGGGUUUCCCCCUUGGAGGAGUCCUAGUGGUGGAAGGCACCCCUAGGUGCCUUGGGGGGGAGGGAAACCUCCCCUAGGCCGCCGCCCCCCUAGUAGAUCUCAUCUACUAGGGCCGGCGCCCCCCUGGCACCCCUAUAUAUAGUGGGGGAGAGGAGGGACUUCAUACACCAGCCCCUGGCGCCUCCACCUCCCCCCGUUACGUCUCUCCCUCGUAGUCUCGGCGAAGCCCUGCUGCUGUGACGCCCUGCAUCCACCACCACGCCGUCGUGCUGCUGGAUCUUCAUCAACCUCUCCUUCCCCCUUGCUAGAUCAAGAAGGAGGAGACGUCUCCCGUCCCGUACGUGUGUUGAACGCGGAGGUGCCGUCCGUUCGGCGCUGGUCAUCGGUGAUUUGGAUCACGUCGAGUACGACUACAUCAUCACCUUGCAAGCUUCCGCACGCGAUCUACAAGUGUUAUGUAGAUGCAAACUCUCUCCCUAGACUCGUUGCUUAGAUGAACUCAUAGAUGGAUCUUGGUGAAACCGUAGGAAAAAUUUUAAUUUUCUGCAACGUUCCCCAACAAAUAUGCCCUAGAGGCAAUAAUAAAGUUGUUAUUUUAUAUUUCCUUAUUUCAUGAUAAAUUUUUAUUAUUCAUGCUAGAAUUGUAUUAACCGGAAACUUGAUACAUGUGUGGAUACAUAGACAAAACACUGUGUCCCUAGUAUGCCUCUACUUGACUAGCUCGUUAAUCAAAGAUGGUUAAGUUUCCUAGCCAUAGACAUGUGUUGUCAUUUGAUGAACGGGUUCACAUCAUUAGGAGAAUGAUGUGAUGGACAAGACUCAUCCUUUAGCUUAGCAUAAUGAUCAUUCAGUUUUAUUGCUACUGUUUUCUUCAUGUCAAAUACAUAUUCCUCCGACUAUGAGAUUAUGCAACUCCCGGACACCGGAGGAAUGCCUUGUGUGCUAUCAAACGUCACAACAUAACUGGGUGAUUAUAAAGAUGCUCUACAGGUAUCUCAGAAGGUGUUUGUUGGGUUGGCAUAGAUCGAGAUUAGGAUUUGUCACUCUGAGUAUCGGAGAGGCAUCUCUGGCCCUCUCGGUAAUGCACAUCAUAUGAACGCUUGCAAGCAAUGUGAUUAAUGAGUUAGUUAUGGGAUGAUGCAUUGCGGAACAAGUAAAGAGACUUGUCGGUAACGAGAUUGAACUAGGUAUGAAGAUACCGAGGAUCGAAUCUCGGGCAAGUAACAUACCAAUGACAAAGGGAAUAAUGUAUGUUGUCAUAACAGUUUGACCGAUAAAGAUCUUCGUAGACUAUGUGGGAGCUAAUAUGAGCAUCCAGGUUCCACUAUUGGUUAUUGACCGGAGAGGUGUCUCGGUCAUGUCUACAUAGUUCUUGAACCCAUAGGGUCCGCACGCUUAACGUUCGAUGACGAUUUGUAUUAUGAGAGUUAUGUGAUUUGGUGACCGAAUGUUGUUCGGAGUCCCAGAUGAUCUCACGGACAUGACGAGGAGUCUCGAAAUGGUCAAGAGGUAAAGAUUCAUAUGUAGGACGAUAGUAUUCGGACAACGGAAGUGUUCCGGGGUACCGGGUACGUAUCGGGUCAGCGGAAGGGGUUCGGGCAUCCCCUGAUAAACUACAUGGGCCUAAUGGGCCAAGAAGGGAACAGACCAGCCCCUAAGGGGAUGGUGCGCUGAUAUGUCUCCAAUGUAUCUAUAAUUUUUAUUGUUCCAUGCUAUUAUAUUACCCGUUUUGGAUGUUUAUUGGCUUUACUUUACACUUCUAUAUCAUUUUUGGGACUAACCUACUAACCGGAGGCCCAGCCCGUAUUGCUGUUUUUUUGCCUAUUUCAAUGUUUCGAAGAAAAGGAAUAUCAAACAGAGUCCAAACGGAAUGAAACCUUCGGGAGCGUGAUUUUUGGAACGAACGUGAUCCAGAGGACUUGGAGUGGAAGUCAAGCAACAACCGAGGUGGCCACAAGGGUGGAGGGCGCCCCCCCCCCUACUGGGCGCGCCCCUGUCUCGUGGGCCCUCGGGCGUCCACCGACCUACUUCUUCCUCCUGUAUAUACCCAUGUACCCUGAAAACAUCAGAGGAUCCAAUGAAAACCUAAUUCCACCGCUGUAACCUUCUGUGUCCGCGAGAUCCCAUCUUGGAGCCUUCGCCAGUGCUUCGCCGGAGGGGGAAUCGACCACGGAGGGCCUCUACAUCAUCUUCAAGGCCUCUCCGAUGAGUUGUGAGUAGUUUACCACAGACCUUCGGGUCCAUAGUUAUUAGCUAGAUUGCUUCUUCUCUCUCUUUGAAUCUCAAUACCAUGUUCUCCUUGAUCUUCUUGGAGAUCUAUUCGAUGUAACUCUUUUUGCGGUGUGUUUGUCGAGAUCCGAUGAAUUGUGGGUUUAUGAUCAAGUUUAUCUAUGAGAAAUAUUUGAAUCUCCUCUGAGUUCUUUUAUGUGUGAUUAAGUUAUCUUUGCAAGUCUCUUCGAAUUAUUAGUUUGGUUUGGCCUACUAGAUUGAUCUUUCUUGCAAUGGGAGAAGUGCUUAGCUUUGGGUUCAAUCUUGCGGUGUCCUUUCCCAGUGAUAGUAGGGGCAGCAAGGCACGUAUUGUAUUGUUGCCAUCGAGGAUAAAAAUAUGGAGUUUAUAUCAUAUUCCAUGAGUUUAUCCCUCUACAUCAUGUCAUCUUUCUUAAUGCGUUACUCUGUUCUUUAUGAACUUAAUACUCUAGAUGCAUGCUGGAUAGCGGUUGAUGUGUGGAGUAAUAGUAGUAGAUGCACACAGGAGUCGGUCUACUUGUCAUGGACGUGAUGCCUAUAUACAUGAUCAUGCCUAGAUAAUCUCAUAAUUUUUUUGCUUUUCUAUCAAUUGCUUGACAGUAAUUUGUUCACCCACCGUAAUACUUAUGCUAUCUUGAGAGAAGCCACUAGUGAAACCUAUGGCCCCCGGGUCUAUCUUUUAUCAUAUAAGCUUUCAAUCAACUUUUAUUUGCAUCUUUACUUUUCCAAUCCAUAUUAUAAAAUACCAAAAAUAUAUUUAUCUUAUCAUAUUAUCUCUAUCAGAUCUCACUUUCGCAAGUGGCCUUGAAGGGAUUGACAACCCCUUUAUUGCGUUGGUUGCGAGUUCUUGUUUGUUUGUGUAGGUGCGUGGGACUUUUAAGGACCCUCCUACUGGAUUGAUACCUUGUUUCUCAAAAACUAAGGGAAAUACUUACGCUACUAUUGCUGCAUCAUCCUUUUCUCUUCAAGGAAAACCAACGCAAGCUCAAGAUGUAGCAAGAAUGAUUUCUUGCACCGUUGCGGGGGAGGUCUUCGCUCAAGUCAAAACAUACCAAGUACCCAUCACAAACUCAUCUCCCUCGCACUUACAUUAUUUGUCAUUUGCCUCUCGUUUUCCUCUCCCCCACUUCACCCUUGCCGUUUUAUUCGCCCUCUCUUUCCCAAUCUCCUCUCUCUUUCGCUUGCCUUUUUGUUUGCUUGUGUGUUGGAUUACUUGUUGCGAUCGUGCAAAAUAAUACCAAAUUGUGUGAUUUCUCCAAUACCAGUAAUAAUGAUUUCCUUAGGACUCCGAUUGCUCCUCUUAAUGAUGUUGAGUCUUGUGAAAUCAAUGCUGCUUUGCUAAAUCUUGUUAUGAAAGAUCAAUUUUCUGGCCUUCCUAAUGAAGAUGCCGCUACCCAUGUAAACAGUAUUGUUGAUUUGUGUGAGAUGGAAAAUAAGAAAGAUACGGAUAAUGAUAUUGUUAAAUUGAAGUUAUUUCCGUUUUCACUUAGAGAUUGUGCUAAAGUUUGAUUUUCGUCUUUGCUUAAGAAUAGUAUUGAUUCGUGGAAUAAGUGCAAAGAUGCUUUUAUCUCUAAGUAUUUUCCUCCCGCUAUGAUCAUCUCUCUUAGGAACGCUAUUAUGAAUUUUAAACAACUUGAUCAUGAGCAUGUUGCCCAAUCUUGGGAAAGAAUGAAAUUGAUGAUUCACAAUUGCCCUUCUCAUGGUUUGAAUUUAUGGAUGAUCAUACAAAAAAUUUAUGCCGGCUUGAAUUUUGCUUCUAGAAAUCUUUUAGAUUCGGCCGUGGGAGGCACAUUUAUGGAAAUCACCUUAGGAGAAGCUACCAAACUUCUUGAUAAUAUUAUGGCUAAUUAUUCUCAAUGGCACACCGAAAGAUCUACUAGUAAAAAGGUGCAUGCUAUAGAAGAAAUUAAUGUUUUGAGUGGAAAGAUGGAUGAACUUAUGAAAUUGUUUGAUACUAAGAGUUCUUAUAUUGAUCCCAAUGAUAUGCCUUUUUCUACUUUGAUUGAGAAUAAUAAUGAAUCUAUGGAUGUGAAUUUUGUUGGUAGGAAUAAUUUUGGUAACAAUGCUUACAGAGGAAACUUUAAUCCUAGACCAUUCCCUAGCAAUUCCUCUAAUAAUUAUGGAAAUUCCUACAAUAAUUCUUAUGGUAAUUAUAAUAAGAUGCCCUCUGAUUUGAGAAUAGUGUGAAAGAAUUUAUGAUCUCUCAAAAGAAUUUUAAUGCCAUGCUUGAAGAAAAAUUGCUUAAAGUUGCUGAUUUGGGUAGGAACGUUGAUAGACUUUUGCUUGAUGUUGAUUCUUUGAAACUUAGAUCUACUCCUCCUAAGCAUGAUAUCAAUGAGUGUCUCAAAGCUAUGAGAAUUUCCUUUGAUGAGUGCAAAGAAAGAACCGCUAGAUUGCGUGCUAAGAAAGAUUGCUUUGUAAAAGUGUGUUCUUCUGGUUUCCAUGAAAAUAAUGAUGAAGAUAUAAAAGUUAUUGAUGUGUCCCCUAUUAAAUCUUUGUUUUGCAAUAUGAAUCUUAAUAAUGAUGGGACUGGAGAUGAGUCAACUUUAGUUAAAAGGCGUCCCUAUGAUUCAGAGUUUUUAGAUCUUGAUGCUAAAAUUGGUAAAAGUGGGAUUGGAGAGGUCAAGACUUUAAAUAGCAUUGAGCCCACUAUAUUGGAUUUCAAGGAAUUUAAUUAUGAUAAUUGUUAUUUAGAAGAUUGUAUUUCCUUGUUGCAAUCCGUUGUGAAUUCUCCUCAUGCUUAUAGUCAAAAUAAAGCAUUUACCAAACCUAUUGUUUAUGCCUUUAUGCAAUCUUUUGAUGAAAAACUUAAUUUGGAAGUUUCUAUACCUAGAAAACUUAACGAUGAGUGGGAACCUACUAUAAAGAUUAAAAUUAAAGAUCAUGAUUGUUAUGCUUUGUGUGAUUUGGGUGCUAGUGUUUCCACGAUUUUGAAAACUUUAUGUGAUAUUCUAGGUUUCCAUGAUCUUGAUGAUUGCUCUUUAAAUAUGCACCUUGCGGAUUCCACCAUUAAAAAGCCAAUGGGAAGGAUCAAUGAUGUUCUCAUUGUUGCAAAUAGGAAUUUGGUGCCCGUAUAUUUUACCGUUCUUGAUAUAGAUUGCAAUCUUUCUUGUCCUAUUAUUCUUGGUAGACCUUUCCUUAGAACGAUUGGUGUGAUUAUUGAUACGAAGGAACGGAAUAUUAGGUUCCAAUUUCCAUUAAGGAAAGGCAUUGAGCACUUUCCAAGAAAGAAAGUCAAAUUACCUUAUGAAUCUAUCAUGCGAGCUACUUAUGAAUUGAGUGCCAAAGAUGGCACUACUUAGAUCUAUCCCCGCUUUUAUGCCUAGCUAGGGGCGUUAAACGAUAGCGCUAGUUAGGAGGCAACCCAAUUUUAUUUGUGUUUUUUGUUUUUGCUUCUGUUUAGUAAUAAAAUUUUCAUCUACCUUAUGUUUAGAUGUGUUUUUAUGUUUUAAUUAGUGUUUGUGCCAAGUAGAACCUAUAGGAUAACCUAUGGUGAUAGUUAAUUUGAUUCUGCUGAAAAACAGAAACUUUGCACAGACGAAAAUAAUUUUAGUAAUUCACAGAAAUGUGAUUUUGCGUUGAUUCUUUUUGCUGUAGAUCAAUAGACAAAUUUUCCAGGACUUCCUAUUUUGGUAGGAUUUUUAGAGUUCCAGAAGUAUUCGAGAGUUACAGAUUUCUACAGACUGUUCUGUUUUUGACAGAUUCUGUUUUUCGUGUGUUGUUUGCUUAUUUUGAUGCAUCUAUGGCUAGUAUGUAUGGGUAUGAACCAUAGAGAAGUUGAAAUACAGUAGGUUUAAAACCAAUAUAAAUAAAUAAUGAGUUCAUUACAGUACCUUAUGUGGUGAUUUUCCUUUCUUGCACUAACGGAGCUUAUGAGAUUUCCUGUUGAGUUUUGUGUUGUGAAGUUUCCAAGUUUUGGGUAAAGAUUUGAUGGAUUAUGGAAUAAGGAGUGGCAAGAGCCUAAGCUUGGGGAUUCCCAUGGCACCCCAAGAUAUUCAAUAAUAUCCAAAAGCCUAAGCUUGGGGAUGCCCCGGAAGGCAUCCCCUUUUUCGUCUUCGUCUAUCGGUAACUUUACUUGGAGCUAUAUUUUUAUUCGCCACAUGAUAUGUGUUUUGCUUGGAGCGUCUUGUAUGAUAUUAGUCUUUGCUUUUUAGUUUACCACAAUAAUCCUUGAUGUACACACCUUUUGGGAGAAACCCACUUGAUUGGAAUUUAUUAGAAUACUCUAUGUGCUUCACUUAUAUCUUUUGAGCUUCAUAGUUUUUGCUGUAGUGCUUCACUUAUAUCUUUUAGAGCACAGCGGUGGCUAAAUUUUGUAGAAAUUGUUGAUCUCUCAUGCUUGACUUAUAUUAUUUUGAAAGUAUCUUAGAACAGCAUGGUAUUUGCUUUGGUUAUAAAAUUGGUCCUAGAAUGAUGAGCAUCCAAGUUGGGUAUAAUAAAAACUAUCAUAGAAAGUGAAUUGGAUGCUAUGAUCAAUUUGAUACUUGAUAAUUGUUUUGAGAUAUAGAGGUGGUAAUAUUAAAGUCAUGCUAGUUGCGUACUUAUGAAUUUAAAGAAUACUUGUGUUGAAGUUUGUGAUUCCCGUAGCAUGCACGUAUGGUGAACCGCUUUGUGAUGAAGUUGGAGCACAAUUUUAUUUAUUGAUUGUCUUCCUUAUGAGUGGCGGUCGGGGACGAGCGAUGGUCUUUUCCUACCAAUCUAUUCCCCUAGGAGCAUGCGCAUAGUGUUGGAAAUAUGCCCUAGAGGCAAUAAUAAAAGGAUUAUUAUUAUAUUUCCUUGUUCAUGAUAAUUGUCUUUAUUCAUGCUAUAAUUGUAUUAUCCGGAAAUCGUAAUACACGUUUGAAUACAUAGACCAUAAUAUGUCCCUAGUAAGCCUCUAGUUGACUAGCUCGUUGAUCAACAGAUAGUCAUGGUUUCCUGACUAUGGACAUUAGAUGUCGUUGAUAACGGGAUCACAUCAUUGGGAGAAUGAUGUGAUGGACAAGACCCAAUCCUAAGCAUAGCACAAGAUCAUGUAGUUCGUUUUGCUAGAGCUUUUCCAAUGUCAAGUAUCUUUUCCUUAGACCAUGAGAUCGUGUAGCUCCCGGAUACCGUAGGAGUGCUUUGGGUGUACCAAACGUCACAACGUAACUGGGUGACUAUAAAGGUGCACUACAGGUAUCUCCGAAAGUGUCUGUUGGGUUGACACGGAUCGAGACUGGGAUUUGUCACUCCGUAUGACGGAGAGGUAUCUCUGGGCCCACUCGGUAAUGCAUCAUCAUAAUGAGCUCAAAGUGACCAAGUGUUUGGUCACGGGAUCAUGCAUUACGGUACGAGUAAAGUGACUUGUCGGUAACGAGACUGAACGAGGUACUGGGAUACCGACGAUCGAGUCUCAGGCAAGUAACGUACCGUUUGACAAAGGGAAUUAUAUACGGGGUUGAUUGAAUCCUCGACAUCGUAGUUCAUCCGAUGACAUCAUCGAGGAGCAUGCGGGAGCCAACAUGGGUAUCCAGAUCCCGCUGUUGGUUAUUGACCGGAGAGCCGUCUCGGUCAUGUCUGCGUGUCUCCUGAACCCGUAGGGUCUACACACUUAAGGUUCGGUGACGCUAGGGUUAUUAGGAAGACUUGUAUGUGAUUACCGAAUGUUGUUCGGAGUCCCGGAUGAGAUCCCGGACGUCACGAGGAGUUCCCGAAUGGUCCGGAGGUGAAGAUUUAUAUAUGGGAAGUUGUCAUACGGUCACUGGAAGGUUUCGGGGGCAUAUCGGUAUUGUACCAGGGCCACCGGAGGGGUUCCGAGGGUCCACCGGGAGGGGCCACCUCUCUCGGUGGGCUUCAUGGGCCGUAGUGGGCAGGGGAAACAGCCCAGGAGGGCUGGGCGCCCCCCCCCCUUGGGCCCUUGCGCCUAGGGUCGGGGGGGAACCCUAAAGGGGGCGCCCCCCUCCCCCCCUUUGCUUGGGGGGCAAGCCCCCUCCCUGGCCGCUGCCCCCCCUCUAGAUCUCAUCUAGAGAGGGCCGGCCCCCUUUCCCCUUCCCCUAUAAAUAGAGGGGAGAGGGGAGGGCUGCACACCUGAUCCAAGGCGCAGCCCCUCCCCUCCCUAACACCUCUCCUCCUCCGUUAAGUGCUUGGCGAAGCCCUGUCGGAGUACUGCCUCUCCACCACCACCAUGCCGUCGUGCUGCUGCUGGAGUCUUCUUCCUCAACCCCUCCUUCCCCCUUGCUGGAUCAAGAAGGAGGAGACGUCAUCCGCUCCGUACAUGUGUUGAACGCGGAGGUGUUGUCCGUUCAGCACUUGGUCAUCGGUGAUUUGGUUCACGGCGAGUACGACUCCAUCAUCCCCUUUCUCUUGAAAGCUUCCGCUCACGAUCUACAAAGGUAUGUAGAUGCACUCCUAUCACUCGUUGCUUAGAUGAACUCAUAGAUGGAUCUUGGUGAAACCGUAGGAAAAAAUUUUAUUUUCUGCAACGUUCCCCAACAGUGGCAUCAUGAGCUAGGUCUAUGCGUAGUUCUCUAUUGCACGAGUAGAACACAAAUUUGUUGUGGGCGUAGAUCUUGUCAACUUGCUUGCCGCUACUAGUCUUUUCUUGCUUCAGCGGUAUUGUGGGAUGAAGCGGCCCGGACCGACCUUACACGUACGCUUACGUGAGACAGGUUCCACCGACUGACAUGCACUAGUUGCAUAAGGUGGCUAGCGGGUGUCUGUCUCUCCUACUUUAGUUGGAGCGGAUUCGACGAAAAGGGUCCUUAUGAAGGGUAAAUAGAAGUUGACAAAAUCAGGUUGUGGUUAUUCGUAGGUAAGAAAACGUUCUUGCUAGAACCCAAUUGCAGCCACGUAAAAGAUGCAACAACAAUUAGAGGACGUCUAACUUGUUUUUGCAGCAAUUGUCAUGUGAUGUGAUAUGGCCAGAAGUUGUGAUGAAUGAUGAAUGAUAUAUUGUGAUGUAUGAGAUCAUGUUCUUGUAAUAGGAAUCACGACUUGCAUGUCGAUGAGUAUGACAACUGGCAGGAGCCAUAGGAGUUGUCUUUAUUUUUUGUAUGACCUGCGUGUCAUUGAAGAACGCCAUGUAAAUUACUUUACUUUAUUGCUAAACGCGUUAUCCAUAGAAGUAGAAGUAGUCGUUGGUGUGACAACUUCAUGAAGACACAAUGAUGGAGAUCAUGAUGAUGGAGAUCAUGGUGUCAUGCCGGUGACAAAGAUGAUCAUGGAGCCCCGAAGAUGGAGAUCGAAGGAGCUAUAUGAUAUUGGCCAUAUCAUGUCACUACUUUAUUGCAUGUGAUGUUUAUUAUGUUUUAUGCAUCUUGUUUACUUAGAACGGCAGUAGUAAAUAAGAUGAUCCCUUAUAAUACUUUCCAGAAAGUGUUCCCCCUAACUGUGCACCGUUGCUAAAGUUCGUCGUUUCGAAGCACCACGUGAUGAUCGGGUGUGAUAGAUCCUUAUGUUCACAUACAACGGGUGUAAGAUAGUUUUACACAUGCAAAACACUUAGGGUUAACUUGACGAGCCUAGCAUGUACAGACAUGGCCUCGGAACACAAGAGACCGAAAGGUCGAACAUGAGUGUAUGGAAGAUACGAUCAACAUGGAGAUGUUCACCGAUGAUGACUAGUCCGUCUCACGUGAUGAUCGGACACGGCCUAGUCGACUCGGAUCGUGUAACACUUAGAUGACUAGAGGGAUGUCUAAUCUAAGUGGGAGUUCAUUAAAUAAUUUGAUUAGAUGAACUUAAUUAUCAUGAACUUAGUCUAAAACUUUUGCAAAAUAUGUCUUGUAGAUCAAAUGGCCAACGCUCAUGUCAACAUGAACUUCAACGUGUUCCUAGAGAAAACCAAGCUGAAAGAUGAUGGCAGCAACUAUUUGGACUGGGUCCGGAACCUGAGGAUCAUCCUCAUAGAAGCCAAGAAAGCAUAUGUCCUAGAUGAACCGCUAGGUGAAGCACCCAUCCCAGAGAUCCAAGACGUUAUGAACGCUUGGCAGUCACGUGCUGAUGAUUACUCCCUCGUUCAGUGCGGCAUGCUUUACAGCUUAGAACCGGGGCUCCAAAAGCUUUUGAGAAACACGGAGCAUAUGAGAUGUUCGAGGAGCUAAAAAUGGUUUUCCAAGCUCAUGCCCGGGUCGAGAGAUAUGAAGUCUCUGACAAGUUCUAUAGUUGUAAGAUGGAGGAAAACAGUUCUGUCAGUGAGCACAUACUCAAAAUGUCUGGGUUGCACAACCGGCUGUCCCAGCUGGAGAUCAACCUCCCGAACGAGGCGCUCAUUGACAGAAUCCUUCAGUCGCUCCCACCGAGCUACAAGAGCUUUGUGUUGAACUACAAUAUGCAGGGGAUGGUGAAGACCAUUCCUGAAGUAUUUUCAAUGCUGAAGUCAGCAGAGGUUGAAAUCAAGAAAGAACAUCAAGUGUUGAUGGUCAAUAAGACCACUACGUUCAAGAAGGGCAAGGGUAAGAACUUCAAGAAGGGCCCGGUAAGCCAGUUGCCGGGAAGAAGUCAAAGAAUGGACCCAAGCCUGAGACUGAGUGCUUUUAUUGCAAGGGGAAGAGUCACUGGAAGCGGAACUGCCCCAAAUACUUAGCGGACAAGAAGGCCGGCAACACUAAAGGUAUAUUUGAUAUACAUGUAACUGAUGUGUACCUUACCAGUACUCGUAGUAACUCCUGGGUAUUUGAUACCGGUGCCGUUGCUCAUAUUUGUAACUCACAGCAGGAACUACGGAAUAAAUGGAGACUGGCGAAGGACGAGGUGACGAUGCGCGUCGGGAAUGGUUCCAAGGUCGAUGUGAUCGCCGUCGGCACGCUACCUCUACAUUUACCCACGGGAUUAGUUAUGAACCUCAAUAAUUGUUAUUUAGUGCCAAGUUUGAGCAUGAACAUUGUAUCUGGAUCUUGUUUAAUAGAGAUGGCUACUCAUUUAAAUCUGAGAAUAAUGGUUGUUCUAUUUAUAUGAGAGAUAUGUUUUAUGGUCAUGCCCCGAUGGUCAAUGGUUUAUUCUUAAUGAAUCUCGAACGUAAUGUUACACAUAUUCAUAGCAUGAAUACCAAAAGAUGUAAAGUUGAUAACGAUAGUCCCACAUACUUGUGGCACUACCGCCUUGGUCACAUUGGUGUCAAGCGCAUGAAGAAGCUCCAUGCUGAUGGACUUUUAGAGUCUCUAGAUUAUGAAUCAUUUGACACAUGUGAACCAUGCCUCAUGGGCAAAAUGACCAAGACUCCGUUCUCCAGAACAAUGGAGCGACCAACCAACUUGUUGGAAAUCAUACAUACCGAUGUGUGCGGUCCAAUGAGCGUUGAGGCUCGUGGAGGAUAUUGUUAUGUUCUCACUCUUGCUGAUGACUUGAGUAGAUAUGGGUAUGUCUACUUGAUGAAACACAAGUCUGAGACCUUUGAAAAGUUCAAGGAAUUUCAGAAUGAGGUAGAGAAUCAACGUGGCCGAAAGAUAAAGUUCCUAUGAUCAGAUCGUGGAGGAUAAUACUUAAGUCACGAAUUUGGUACGCACUUAAAGAAAUGUGGAAUCGUUUUACAACUCACGCCGCCUAGAACACCUCAGCGUAACGGUGUGUCCGAACGUCGUAAUCACACUCUAUUGGAUAUGGUGCGAUCUAUGAUGUCUCUUACCGAUUUACUGCUAUCGUUUUGGGGAUACGCUCUAGAGACAGCUACAUUCACUUUAAAUAGGGCACCGUCUAAAUCCGUUAAGACGACACCAUAUGAAUUAUGGUUUGGGAAGAAACCUAAGUUGUCGUUUCUAAAAGUUUGGGGAUGCGAUGCUUAUGUCAAGAAACUGCAACCUGAAAAGCUCGAACCCAAGUCAGAAAAAUGCGUCUUCAUAGGAUACCCUAAGGAAACCAUUGGGUAUACCUUCUACUUAAGAUCCGAGGGCAAGACCUUUGUUGCCAAGAACGGAUCCUUUCUGGAAAAAGAGUUUCUCUCGAAAGAAGUAAGUGGGAGGAAAGUAGAACUCGAUGAAGUACUACCUCUUGAACCAGAAAGUAGUGCAUCUUAGGAAAAUGUUCCUGUGGUGCCUACACCAACUGGAGAGGAAAUUAAUGAUUAUGAUCAAGGUACUUCGGAUCAAGUUGCUACUGAACCUCGUAGGUCCACAAGGACACGUUCCACACCAGAGUGGUAUGGCAACCCUAUCCUGGAAAUCAUGUUGUUAGACAACGGUGAACCUUCAAACUAUGAAGAAGCGAUGGCGGGCCCAGAUACCAACAAAUGGCUUGAAGCCAUGCAAUCCGAGAUAGAAUCCAUGUAUGAAAACAAAGUAUGGACUUUGACAGACUUGCCCGAUGAUCGGCGAGUGAUAGAAAACAAAUGGAUCUUUAAGAAGAAGACAGACGCGGAUGGUAAUAUUACCAUCUAUAAAGCUCGACUUGUCGCUAAGGGUUAUCGACAAGUUCAAGGGGUUGACUACGAUGAGACAUUCUCUCCCGUAGCAAAGCUGAAGUCCGUCCGAAUCAUGUUAGCAAUUGCCGCAUACUAUGAUUAUGAGAUAUGGCAGAUGGACGUCAAAACGGCAUUCCUUAACGGGAAUCUUAAGGAAGAAUUGUAUAUGAUGCAGCCGGAGGGUUUUGUCGAUCCUAAGAAUGCUAACAAAGUAUGCAAGCUCUAGCGAUCCAUUUAUGGGCUGGUCCAAGCAUCUCGGAGUUGGAACAUUCGCUUUGAUGAGAUGAUCAAAGCGUUUGGGUUUAUGUAGACUUAUGGAGAAGCCUGCGUUUACAAGAAAGUGAGUGGGAGCUCUGUAGCAUUUCUCAUAUUAUAUGUAGAUGACAUACUUUUGAUGGGAAAUGAUAUAAAACUUUUGGACAGCAUUAAGACCUACUUGAAUAAGUGUUUUUCAAUGAAGGACCUUGGAGAAGCUGCUUACAUAUUAGGCAUCAAGAUCUAUAGGGAUAGAUCGAGACCCUCAUAGGUCUUUCACAAAGCACAUACCUUGAUAAGAUUUUGAAGAAGUUCAAAAUGGAUCAGUCCAAGAAAGGGUUCUUGCCUGUAUUACAAGGUGUGAGAUUGAGCUCAGCUCAAUGCCCGACCAUGGAAAAAGAUAAAGAAGAGAUGAGUGUCAUCCCGUAUGCUUCAGCCAUAGGAUCUAUUAUGUAUGCCAUGUUGUGUACCAGACCUGAUGUAAACCUUGCUGUAAGUUUGGUAGGAAGGUACCAAAGUAAUCCCAGCAAGGAACACUGGACAGCGGUCAAGAAUAUCCUAAAGUACCUGAAAAGGACAAAGGACAUGUUUCUCGUUUAUGGAGGUGACGAAGAGCUCGCCGUAAAGGGUUACGUCGAUGCUAGCUUCGACACAGAUCUGGAUGACUCUAAGUCACAAACCGGAUACGUGUAUAUGUUGAAUGGUGGAGCAGUAAGCUGGUGUAGCUGCAAGCAGAGUGUCAUGGCGGGAUCUACAUGUGAAGCGGAGUACAUGGUAGCCUCGGAGGCAGCGCAUGAAGCAAUAUGGGUGAAGGAGUUCAUCACCGACCUAGGAGUCAUACCCAAUGCGUCGGGGCCGAUCAAACUCUUCUGUGACAACACUGGAGCUAUUGCCCUUGCCAAGGAGCCCAGGUUUCACAAGAAGACCAGGCACAUCAAGCGUCGUUUCAACUCCAUCCGUGAAAAUGUUCAAGAUGGAGACAUAGAUAUUUGCAAAGUACAUACGGAUCUGAAUGUCACAGAUCCGUUGACUAAACCUCUCUCGCGAGCAAAACAUGAUCAACACCAGAACUCUAUGGGUGUUCGAUUCAUCACAAUGUAACUAGAUUAUUGACUCUAGUGCAAGUGGGAGACUGUUGGAAAUAUGCCCUAGAGGCAAUAAUAAAAGGAUUAUUAUUAUAUUUCCUUGUUCAUGAUAAUUGUCUUUAUUCAUGCUAUAAUUGUAUUAUCCAGAAAUUUUAAUACACGUGUGAAUACAUAGACCAUAAUAUGUCCCUAGUAAGCCUCUAGUUGACUAGCUCGUUGAUCAACAGAUAGUCAUGGUUUCCUGACUAUGGACAUUAGAUGUCGUUGAUAACGGGAUCACAUCAUUGGGAGAAUGAUGUGAUGGACAAGACCCAAUCCUAAGCAUAGCACAAGAUCGUGUAGUUCAUUUUGCCAGAGCUUUUCCAAUGUCAAGUAUCUUUUCCUUAGACCAUGAGAUCGUGUAGCUCCCGGAUACCGUAGGAGUGCUUUGGGUGUACCAAACGUCACAACAUAACUUGGUGACUAUAAAGGUGCACUACAGGUAUCCCCGAAAGUGUCUGUUGGGUUGACACGGAUCGAGACUGGGAUUUGUCACUCCGUAUGACGGAGAGGUAUCUCUGGGCCCACUUGGUAAUGCAUCAUCAUAAUGAGCUCAAAGUGACCAAGUGUUUGGUCACGGGAUCAUGCAUUACGGUAUGAGUAAAGUGACUUGUCGGUAACGAGACUGAAUGAGGUAUUGGGAUACCGACGAUCGAGUCUCGGGCAAGUAACGUACCAUUUGACAAAGGGAAUUGUAUACGGGGUUGAUUGAAUCCUCGACAUCGUGGUUCAUCCGAUGACAUCAUCGAGGAGCAUGUGGGAGCCAACAUGGGUAUCCAGAUCCCGCUGUUGGUUAUUGACCGGAGAGCUGUCUCGGUCAUGUCUGCGUGUCUCCUGAACCCGUAGGGUCUACACACUUAAGGUUCGGUGACGCUAGGGUUAUUAGGAAGACUUGUAUGUGAUUACCGAAUGUUGUUCGGAGUCCCGGAUGAGAUCCCAGACGUCACGAGGAGUUCCGGAAUGGUCCGGAGGUGAAGAUUUAUAUAUGGGAAGUUGUCAUACGGUCACUGGAAGGUUUCGGGGGCAUAUCGGUAUUGUAUCAGGGCCACCGGAGGGGUUCCGAGGGUCCACCGGGAGGGGCCACCUCUCUCGGUGGGCUUCAUGGGCCGUAGUGGGCAGGGGAACCAGCCCAGGAGGGCUGGGCGCCCCCCCCCCCUUGGGCCCUUGCGCCUAGGGUGGGGGGGAACCCUAAAGGGGGCGCCCCCCUCCCCCCCUUUGCUUGGGGGGCAAGCCCCCUCCCUGGCCGCUGCCCCCCCCCUCUAGAUCUCAUCUAGAGGGGGCCGGCCCCCUUUCCCCUUCCCCUAUAAAUAGAGGGAAGAGGGGAGGGCUGCACACCUGAUCCAAGGCGCAUCCCCUCCCCUCCCUAACACCUCUCCUCCUCCAUUAAGUGCUUGGCGAAGCCCUGUCGGAGUACUGCCUUUCCACCACCACCACGCCGUCGUGCUGCUGCUGGAGUCUUCUUCGUGAACCUCUCCUUCCCCCUUGCUGGAUCAAGAAGGAGGAGACGUCAUCCGCUCCGUACGUGUGUUGCACGCGGAGGUGCUGUCCGUUCAGCACUUGGUCAUCGGUGAUUUGGAUCACGGCGAGUACGACUCCAUCAUCCCCUUUCUCUUGAAAGCUUCCGCUCACGAUCUACAAAGGUAUGUAGAUGCACUCCUAUCACUCGUUGCUUAGAUGAACUCAUAGAUGGAUCUUGGUGAAACCGUAGGAAAAAAAUUUAUUUUCUGCAACGUUCCCCAACACGUAGUACUUUGUUUUCAAUGACUUGUAGAUUUGUGCAAUAAGUACAUGAGUUCUUUAUGACUAAUGUUGAGUCCAUGGAUUAUAUGCACUCUCACCCUUCCACCAUUGCUAGCCUCUCUUGUGCCACGCAACUUUCGCCGGUACCAUACACCUACCAUAUACCUUCCUCAAAACAGCCACCAUACCUACCUAUUAUGGCAUUUCCAUAGCCAUUCCGAGAUAUAUUGCCAUGCAACUUUCCACCGUUUCGUUUAUAUGACACACAUCAUCAUUGACAUAUUGCUCUUUGCAUGAUCAUGUAGUUGACAUCAUAUUUGUGGCAGGGCCACCUCCAUAAUUUUUUCAUACAUGUCAUUCUUGAUUCAUUGCAUAUCCCGGUACACCGCCGGAGGCAUUCAUAUAGAUCCAUAUCUUGUUCUAAGUAUUUAGUUGUAAUCUUGAGUUGUAAGUAAAUAAAAGUGUGAUGAUAUUCAUUAUUAGAGCAUUGUCCCAGCGAGGAAAGGAUGAUGGAGACUAUGAUUCCCCCACAAGUCAGGAUGAGACUUCGUACUUUACAAAAAAAAAGAGAGAAAGGCCAAAUAAAAAGAGAAAGGCCAAACAAAAAAUGAGAGAAAAAGAGAGAAGGGACAAGGCUACUAUCCUUUUUACCACACUUGUGCUUCAAAGUAGCACCAUGAUCUUCAUGAUAGAGAGUCUCCUAUGUCAUCACUUUCAUAUACUAGUGGGAAUUUUCAUUAUAGAACUUGGCUUGUAUAUUUCAAUGAUGGGCUUCCUCAAAAUGCCCUAGGUCUUCGUGAGCAAGCGAGUUGGAUGCACACCCACUUAGUUUCUUUUGUUGAGCUUUCAUACAUUUAUAGCUCUAGUGCAUCCGUUGCAUGGCAAUCCCUACUCACUCACAUUGAUAUCUAUUAAUGGGCGUCUCCAUAGCCCGUUAAUACGCCCAGUUGAUGUGAGACUAUAUUCUCCUUUUUUGUCUUCUCCACAACCACCAUUCUAUUCCACAUAUAGUGCUAUGUCCAUGGCUCACAUUCAUGUAUUGCAUGAAAGUUGAAAUAGUUUGAGAUUACUAAACUACGAAACAAUUGCUUGGCUUGUCAUCAGGGUUGUGCAUGAUUAAAUACUUUGUGUGAUGAAGAUAGAGCAACAGCCAUACUAUAUGAUUUUGUAGGGAUAACUUUCUUUAGCCAUGUUAUUUUGAGAAGACAUGAUUGCUUGAUUAGUAUGCUUCAAGUAUUAUUAUUUCUUAUGUCUAUAUGAACUUUUAUUUUGAAUCAUUUGGAUCUGAACAUUCAUGCCACAAUAAAGAAAAUUACACUGAGAAUUAUGCUAGGUAGCAUUCCACAUCAAAAAUUCUGUUUUUAUAAUUUACCUACUCGAGGACGAGCAGGAAUUAAGCUUGGGGAUGCUUGAUACAUCUCCAACAUAUCUAUAAUUUUUUAUUGUUCCAUGCUAUUAUAUUACCCGUUUUGGAUGUUUAUGGGCUUUACUUUACACUUUUAUAUCAUUUUUGGGACUAACCUACUAACCGGAGGCCCAACCCAUAUUGCUGGUUUUUUGCCUAUUUCAGUGUUUCGAAGAAAAGGAAUAUCAAACGGAGUCCAAACGGAAUGAAACCUUCGGGAGCGUGAUUUUUGGAACGAACAUGAUCCAGAGGACUUGGAGUGGAAGUCAAGCAACAACCGAGGCAGCCGCGAGGGUGGAGGGCACCCCCGCCCCCCUACUGUGUGUGCCCCCUGUCUCAUGGGCCCCUAAGGCGUCCACCGACCUACCUUCUUCCUCCUAUAUAUACCCAUGUACCCCAAAAACAUCAAAGGAGCUGACGAAAACCUAAUUCCACCGCCGUAACCUUCUAUAUCCGUGAGAUCCCAUCUUGGAGCCUUCACCGGCGCUUCGCCAGAGGGGGAAUCGACCACGGAGGGCCUCUACAUCAUCUUCAAGGCCUCUCUGAUGAGUUGUGAGUAGUUUACCAUAGACCUUUGGGUCCAUAGUUAUUAGCUAGGUGGCUUCUUCUCUCUCUUUGAAUAUCAAUACCAUGUUGUCCUUGAUCUUCUUGGAGAUCUAUUCGAUGUAACUCUUUUUGUGGUGUGUUUGUCAAGAUCCGAUGAAUUGUGGGUUUAUGAUCAAGUUUAUCUAUGAACAAAGUAUUUGAAUCUCCUCUGAAUUCUUUUAUGUGUGAUUAAGUUAUCUUUGCAAGUCUCUCCAAAUUAUCAGUUUGGUUUGGCCUACUAGAUUGAUCUUUCUUGCAAUGGGAGAAGUGCUUAGCUUUGGGUUCAAUCUUGCGGUGUCCUUUCCCAGUGACAGCAGGGGCAGCAAGGCACGUAUUGUAUUGUUGCCAUCGAGGAUAAAAAGAUGGGGUUUAUAUCAUAUUGCAUGAGUUUAUCCCUCUACAUCAUGUUAUCUUUCUUAAUGCGUUACUCUGUUCUUUAUGAACUUAAUACUCUAGAUGCAUGCUGGAUAGCGGUCGAUGUGUGGAGUAAUAGUAGUAGAUGCAGGCAGGAGUCGGUCUACUUGUCAUGGAUGUGAUGCCUAUAUACAUGAUCAUGCCUAGAUAAUCUCAUAAUUAUUCGCUUUUCUAUCAAUUGCUCGACAGUAAUUUGUUCACCCACCAUAAUACUUAUGCUAUCUUGAGAGAAGCCACUAGUGAAACCUGUGGCCCCGAGGUCUAUCUUUUAUCAUAUAAGCUUUCAAUCUACUUUUAUUUGCAUCUUUACUUUUCCAAUCUAUAUUAUAAAAUACCAAAAAUAUAUUUAUCUUAUCAUAUUAUCUCUAUCAGAUCUCACUUUCGCAAGUGGCCUUGAAGGGAUUGACAACCCCUUUAUUGCGUUGGUUGCGAGUUCUUGUUUGUUUGUGUAGGUGCAUGGGACUUUUGAGGAGCCUCCUACUGGAUUGAUACCUUGGUUCUCAAAAACUGAGGGAAAUACUUACACUACUAUUGCUGCAUCACCCUUUCCUCUUCAAGGAAAACCAACGCAAGCUCAAGACGUAGCAUGCGCCCCAUGUAGGCCGAAUUAGGAGAGGGGAAGGAAAGAGGGGAAUAGAGAAGGAAGGGGAGGGAUUCGGCCUCCCCCUUCCUUCCCUCCUCACCUCAGGAAGAUAUGGAAAGGGGGGUGAGGGAGUCCUGGAUUAAGGGGUCCUCGGAUAGCUGGACUAUAUACUUUGGUCAGACUGUUGAGCUAUGAAGAUACAAGAUAGAAGACUUCGUCCCGUGUCCGGAUGGGACUCUCCUUGGCGUGGAAGGCAAGCUUGGCGAUUCGGAUAUGUAGAUUCCUUUCUCUGUAACCGACUUUGUACAACCUUAGCCCCCUCCGGUGUCUACAUAAACCGGAGGGUUUAGGCUUCUAGGGUUUAGCCACAACAAUCAUAACCUCAUAGUCUAGACUUCUAGGGUUUAGCCAUUAUGAUCUCGUGGUAGAUCAACUCUUGUAAUACUCAUAUUCGUGAAGAAUAAUCAAGCGGGAAGUAGGGUAUUACCUCCAUAGAGAGGGCCUGGACCUGGGUAAACAUUGUGUCCCCCACCUCCUGUUACCAUUAGCCUUAGAUGCACAGUUUGGGACCCCCUACCCAAGAUCCCGGUUUUGACACCGACAUUGGUGCAUUCAUUGAGCGUUCCGCUGCAUCGUCUUCAAAAGGCUUGAUGGCUCCAUCAAUCAUCUACAACAAUGCAGUCCAGGGGGAGAUUUUCCUCCCCGGACAGAUAUUCGUAUUCGGCGGCUUCACACUGCGGGCCAACUCGCUUGGCCAUCUGGAGCAGAUCGACAGCUACGCCCCUGGCCAUCAGGUCAGAUUCGGGAGCCUAAAUUUUGUGACCGAUAUUCGCGAAGACUUGAUCUUCCAUGGAUUCGAGCCCAUGACGGUUGUCCCCUGCCACAUGAUGAACAUGACCUAGAUCUGUCAUCUGGCCUUGCUCAGGAGAUAGCACCUGUGACCGCUCUGGCCCUAGAUCUGGAGCAGACUGUGUCGUCCGAAGACGGGAGGGUGAACCCCGCCGUGGAAGCCGCAGACUCAGUGGCGCUCGAGCCGCACACAGACCCAACAUCGAGCUGGGCUUGUGUCACUAGAAUCUCGGACUCGUUUCCGGCCAUUGGUUCCACACCGCGUGCAUCCGCGUCCAUCGAACCUGAUUGGGCGCUGAUCUUGGAGUUCAGCUCCGCGGACAUCUUCCAGCACUCGCCUUUUGGCGACGUGUUAAACUCAUUAAAAUCCCUCUCCUUGUCGGGGGACUCUCGACCGAACUAUGUCUGGCUCGAAUGGCAAGUGGAUGACGAAGAACUUCGUUUCCCACCCACCACCCACUUUAUAGCCACUGUCGACCACUUACAUGCUUGAUUAUGACUCCGAAGACAUCAACGGUAUGGACGACGAUGUCGGAGAGGAGCAGGAACCACUGCAUACAAGGCAUUGGACAGCCACCUCCUCGUAUGACAUAUACAUGGUGGAUACACCUAAACAAAACAAUGGCGACAAUGAAAAUCUAGUCGAGGAUAAACCUCCUAAGAUACAGCCAAAGCGCCGGCAUCAGCGGCGCUGCUCUAAGCCACGCCAUAGUAAAAACAGCAACACCGUCACAGGAGAAAACAAUACCCCGGACGACGCCGAAGACAAUGAAGACCCUGUUGAGCCAACCUCCGAACAAGACGAAUGUGAAGAUGGGCAAGCUAGCCCUGAUGAACCGGCCACGAAUGAAGACGUGGAGGACAAUAAUUACCUUCCGCUCUUCGAGGACGAGGUGAGCCUUGGCGACGAAGACUUUAUCGUGCCUGAGGAUCCCGUUGAGCAGGAGCGCUUUAAGCGCCGGCUAAUAGCCACUGCAAGGAGCCUGAAAAGGAAGUAGCAGUAGCUUCAAGCUGAUCAAGAUCUUCUGAAUGAAAGAUGGACUGAUGUCCUGGCAGCCGAGGAAUAUGGCCUCGAGCGCCCAACCAAAAGCUACCCGAAGUGCAAACUGUUACCAUAGUUCGAUGACAAGGCACUGGAGCCCGUCCUACCAAGGUACAAUGUGGCUAACCGACCACCACGUGGCCGGGACAAAGCGGCACCUCGAGCCGAACACCAGCCCGCAUUACCUCGUCGAGCAAACAGAAAUACAACAACUCGUGGAUAUACACAUGACCUAGGGAAUGACUUGGAAAACAGAGCAGGUCAGACAAGAUCAAUCUAUGGAUCACGGGGGCGUGCCCCGAUGCGCGACGAUGGCCAUCCGGCUGAACGUGACAAACAUAACCACGUCCGGGCCAAACACCACAGACGAACUCCAUCCGAGCUACGUCACAACUUGGCCCGAUAUGGAGGAGCCCCACCCCCCCCCCCUUUGCUUCACUGACGAAGUAAUGGGACACGAUUUCCUAGAAGGGUUUAAACCUGUGAACAUCGAAUCAUAUGAUGGCACAACAGACCCCGCGGUAUGGAUUGAGGACAUUCUUCUCCACAUUCAUAUGGCCCGUGGUGAUGAUCUUCACGCCAUCAAAUACCUCCCGCUCAAACUCAAGGGACCAGCUAGGUACUGGUUGAAUAGUCUGCCUGAAAACUCCAUUGGCAGCUGGGAGGACUUGGAGGACGCCUUCCUCGACAACUUCCAAGGCACAUAUGUCCGGCCUCCGGAUGCCGAUGACCUAAGUCACGUAACCAACAGCCCGGAGAGUCAGCUAGGAAAUUCUGGACUAAGUUCUUAACUAAAAAGAACCAGAUCAUCGAUUGUCCGGACGCCAAAGCCCUAGCUGCCUUUAAGCACAGCAUCCGCGAUGAAUGGCUGGCCAGACACCUCGGCCAAGACAAACAGAAGUCCAUGUCAGCCCUUACAACACUCAUGACCCGCUUCUGUGCGGGCGAAGAAAGCUGGCUAGCCCGUAGCAAUAACAAUACAAGCGAACCUGGCACUUCUGAAGCCAGAACAGCAAUGGCAAGCCCCGACGCAAUAGACAUAAGAGUCGAAACAAUGGUGACAACACCGAAGACACGGCGGUCAACGCCAGAUUCAGUGGCUCUAAGUCCGGUCAGCGGAAGAAGCCAUUUAAGAGAAAUAAUCCGGGCCCGUUCAGUUUGGACCGCAUACUAGAUCGACCAUGCCAAAUCCAUGGCACUCCUGAUAAACCAGCCAAUCAUACCAACAAGGAAUGUUGGGUCUUCAAACAGGCCGGCAAGUUAAACACCGUGAAUAAGGAGAAAGGGUUGCAAAUCAAUGACGAUGAUGAGGAACCCCGACCACCGAACACAUGGGGACAGAAGAAAUCCCCCCCAAGUCAAAACGGUGAACAUGAUUGUCACAUCCCUGGUCCUGUUAUGCAUUAGGCUAGGCCUCAUGUGAGCAUCAUGUUUUAAUUCAAAUGAAAUUUGAAUUGAGGGAUUUUCAAAGCCUCAGAAACCUUCUAAAAAUGAUCAACAUUAAAAUCUUCUCAAAGAAGUCCAAGAAAAUGUUCCUCUUAGUCUCUGAAAAUAUUGCAAAGAGGUAAAACUCAAAACAAUAUUUUUGGUAUCUCAGAGUUAAUUAUUUUGGGCCUUUGAAUUAAAUAAAUAACUAUUUGCAUUGGAUAUAUAUUUCUUAAUUAAUUAAUAUAUGUCCAAUAAUUCUGAUCUUUGAUGAAGGGCUUUGGAAUAAUCCUACUAGUCCCUACCAUAAUUAUCAGAAGCAAUAAAAAUGAUUUAGUGUCUAAAACUAAAUCAAAACAAACUACAGAAAAUAGAAAACAGAUUUAAAUAGAAUAAAAGCAGAGAGGAGAGAAAACUUACCUGGCGCUCACCUCUCAGCCCACCUGGCCCAGCUCCUCCAGCGGCCCAGCCCACCGCCGUCUCUCCCCCUGUCGUCUUCCUCCCCCUCGCCCCGAAGCUGCUCGGUGGCGCGCGCGGCCACGCGCCCCGGCCACCUCCUCCCUUCCAGCCUGCCUGGCUCCUCCUCGACGCCCCGGUGACGCCACGCGGCCCCCUCGACCCUCUCCAACUCUCCCCAUGCCCCUCUCCUCUCUCUCCCCGGAACGCUCUCCCCCUCCUCUGUUCUCCUCACCGAACGCGCCCGCCGCCGCCGACGAGAACCACCGUGGCCACCGGCCACCCCACACCUCACCGACGCCCCAGGAAGCUCCGCCCCGACCCCCCUCUUCCUCCCCACCGAUCCACGGCCCUCCGUAAGCCCUGCAGCGUCGCCCUCAAGCUCGCCCCCAACCUUCGGCCGCCGGCGAACUUUCGAGGAUUCGCGAGCUCCAGCCCCUUCCCGGCCUCACCGUUGCCUCCACCAGAUCCGCUGUGAGCUACUCUUCCAUUCCCCCUCCUCCUCGCGCUCGUUCCUGUACUCUAGCCGCCCUUUUCACCGGAGCCGAUUGCUCCUCGCCGCCGGCCAUGGCAUGGCCGUGGCCACAGCCACCGCAGCUCGCUCCCGAGCCCACCGGCGUGCUCACCGCAACCUUAGGAACCCAAAGCACCUAACCACUCGUCCUCCCGUGCACCGCAGCGCCGGUCCCGCGAACCCCCGAGCUCCGGCCGCCGCCUCGGGCUCCACUCCGGCGAACCCCGGCCACCCCCUCACCUCCCGUUGGUUCCCCUAGAUGCGCACGGGCACGGGCUACCUCCUGGUGCCCUUGGUGCGUCGAUCCGUCGUCUCUGGCGCAACUCCGGCGAGCCACCGCCGCUCUGGGUCGUCGCCGUCGUCCAACCGCCGGCGAAUCCGACGUGGCCGGUCAUUAGGGCCUAACCACCCCCGCUAACCCAGGCCUAGGGCCACUGACCGGUGGGCCCUACCGUUUAAUUAACCCGGCUAACAAUUUAGUUAAGUUAAUAAAACUCUGUUAAAUCACUGUGCAGCUGACAUGUGGGUCCCGAGCGUCAGGUUUGACCCGGACCAGCCCUUGUUGACCUGUGACGUCAUGCCAACGUCAUGCUGAUGCAAUAAUUCCUUUUUGGAAUUUAAAUAAAUCUUAAAUGAUUUAAUAUUUUCAGAAAAUGCCCUAAACUUCAAUAAAUCAUAGAAAUUCAACCGUAACUCCAAAUUAAAUAAAUUAUAUAUGAAAAAUUAUUAGAAAAAUUCAAGGAAUCCAUCUGUACCAUUUUCAUGCAUGUUAGAACAACUUAUAGCUGCUGUUUAGCACAAAUCAAUUAAAUGGCAUUUGAAUAAUCACAUAUGGAGUUUGAAUUUGAAUCUUGUAUUCAAACCAACUUCAUUUAACCUGUUGCUAGUUGCAUUAGCUCAAAACACAUUCAUAUUGCCAUGUCAUGAGCAUGCAUCAUAUUGUGCAUUGCAUUGAUUGUAUUUCUUCUUUGUUGCCGGUAUCUGUUCCCUCCCGGUAGACGAUGUUCCGACGUUGUGAUCGUUGACACUGAUGAAGACUCAAUGUUAUCUUCAGAAGUGCCAGGCAAGCAAAACCCCCUUGUUCAUUCCGAUACAAUCCUACUCUCUCGCUUCUGCUCUCUUUUACUGCAUUAGGACAACAACGAUUCAUCUGUUACUUGCUGCGGUAGCUGAACCCCUUUAUCCUUUGCAUGACCUGUCAUUGCCAUAGUAAAUAGAUGAAACCCACUAGCAUGAGUAGGAGUUGUUUGAGCCCUGUUGUGCCUACUCAUUCAUGCUUGUUUGUCAUGCCUGCUACUGCUUAGAGUUGAGUUAGGUCUGAUUCAUCGGGGAUGAAUCAGAGGCGUGUGAACAUGUCCUACUGUGUGUGAGCUAAGUGUGUGAACAUGAUUUGGUAAAGGUAGCGGUGAGAGCCAUGUAGGAGUACAUGGUGGGUUGUCUCAUUGAAGCCGUCCUCAGGAACUGAGUUCUGUGUUUGUGAUCCAUGAUUCAGCUACUACCAUACAUUGGGCCCUGAAAUAUGACCCCGCUCGACUUCUUAUUCACCCAAGUCCUCUGUCCAGGAGUUGCAAGUAGUUUCUGGUGUUUGUAGUAUGCUGGAGGCCGUGCACAGCGCUGACCGGAGGGGUGGGCUGUGAUGCGGUAGGCACGUGGCCGGGUAUACCGGGCGCCCGUUUGGUGUCAUGGAACCCUGUUCACAUCGUUUGGGGCUGUGAGCGAAACUCCGGCCGGAUCUCCUCAUGGAUGGAACCCGAAUAGGCGAUAAACCUGGACUAGAGACUUGAGUGUUUAGGUAGGUCGUGGUCUACACCCACGUCGGCUUUCGCUUGAAGUCUGUCGAGCACAUGUCGUGUGCAGACGCUAAGUGGUGGAAACAUGUAUGAAGAAGUACACCCCUGCAGGGUUAACAUCAUCUAUUCGAAUAGCCGUGUCCGCGGAAAAGGACUUCUGGGUUGCUUAUAUCAGUUCAUAGACAAGUGAAAGUGGAUACCCUAAAAUACGCAAGAUAAGCGUGAGUGCUAUGGAUGGCGUUCUUGUAGGGAGACGGGAGCGGAUCCAUAGUGGUGUAUUGAUAUGGUGAAUGUGUGGACUCAUGUGCGCCACCUCAAAAGAGUUACUUGCAGUCGUAGUUCAGGAUAGCCACCGAGUCAAAGAUGGCUUGCUGCAGUUAAAACCCACCAUCCCCUUGUUGGAAAUGAUGCAUAUGUAGUUAGUUCUGAUGUAAGUCUUGCUGGGUACAUUUGUACUCACGUUUGCCUAUUUUAUGUUUUUGCAGAGAGACCUCAGUCUCGCUAGUAGUUCCGUAUGGUCUUCGACGUUUAGCUUGUUACCUCAGCUAUGAUCUUGUGCCCUCGGUAGGAUUUGAUAGAUAGUCAGGCUUCUCAGCCUUUUUCAUUUAUAGAUGUCUGUACUCAGACAUGAUAGCUUCCGCUUGUGCUUUGACUUGUAUGCUCUGAUUGUUGGGUCAUGAGACCCAUGUUUGUAAUAUCUCGCUCCUCGGAGCCUAUUGAAUAAAAUACUUGAGUUGUAGAGUCAUGUUGUGAUGCCAUGUUGUAUUUUCACAUAUCGAGCAUAUUGUGUGUAUGUUAUUGAAAUGCUUGGUAUGUGUGGGAUCUGACAACCUAGUUGUUUAUCCUUGGUAGCCUCUCUUACCGGGAAAUGUCUCCUAGUGUUUCCACCGAGCCAUGGUAGCUUGCUACUGCUCCAGAACACUUUGGCUGGCCGGCAUGUGUCCUUCUUCGUUCCUGUGUCUGUCCCUUCGGGGAAAUGUCACGCGAUGAAUACCGGAGUCCUGCUAGCCCAGUGCUACGGCCUGGAUUCACUCGCUGAUGACCGACACGUUCGAUGUUGGGUCAUGGAUGCCUGUCCCUGUAAGUUUGUGCCACUUUGGGUUUACGACUAGCCAUGUCAGCCCGGGCUCCUUAUCAUAUGGAUGCUAGCGACACUAUCAUAUACGUGUGCCAAAAGGCGCAAACGGUCCCGGGCAAAGGUAAGGCGACACCCGUGGGAAUACCGUGCGUGAGGCCGCAAAGUGAUAUGAGGUGUUACAUGCUAGAUCGAUGUGGCAUUGAGUCGGGGUCCUGACAGCGUUGGUAUCAGAGCUUGACUGCCUGUAGGAUUACCAAGCCAAACUGGUCGAAGUUGAGUUUAGAAAUUCUUUAGUUAUAUAAGGGAAUUGAUUGUGGGAUGGAACGUAAGGCUCUUUUUACUCCUUAUACCUUAUGUCUUCUGAUCUGAGUCAUCUUAUCUUUCCUGCGGGGAUUAAGAACUAGGCUAUCUCUUCUUUCUAUCAGGAUCAUGUUACUAAUCCGUAGACUUAUAGAUUGUUGGAUUUAAGCUUGAGUUCAGUUCCUAUGACUUCUGUAUGUUAACUGAUGAUCUUGAAAUCUUGAUAUUGUGCUUCUGAGUGGUUAUGCCACCAUUUUUGUGAUUGUCUCAAAUCUUUUUUGAGCAUUUAUAGCCGUUAUGCUGUCCGAGUCAUCCCAGGUUUCUAAAUAGUCUGAUGCAUUUGCAAAUCCCUUCUUCCCGUUUCCGAUGUCCUUUUGGUCAGAUUAAUCACACAAAUCAAUGAGUUGAGGUACUUUAUAGCCUUGACAUAUAUGUUGGAGCUAUUAUUAUGACCCUAGGUGUUUUAGGGAGUCACCUAGUAAUCUAGCAACGUUUUGUGUUCCCAGUGUGAAGAUUCUGGCCAUCAUUCUCGAAAGCAUCUCGUGGUGCUACUUAGUAGUAGGUAUUCUAUUCCUGGGUCUUGAACCCGAGAUUCACUCUACUUAAUUCAUGUUGAUAGUGUUUGCUAGUUCCUUUAGGAUAUUAGUAACUUGCGAUAGUCCUCGAGGUCCGUGGUAUUUUCUUCUUCCAAAUACUAUGAACCGCUUAUGGCAGAUGUUUAUUGGAUCAAAAGAUCACAAUCAUAGUACUCUUGGGAAGUUCUCCAUUCAUAAAUCAUGACUCUGCCAGUCCUACUUCCUUGCAUGGGUUAUCUGGAAGAAACUUGUUGAACUUGGUUCGACAUAUUAAUCUAUGCAUCCACAACUCGAAAGGAUAUAUGUCCCCUUGAGUUGUCCCUCUUCAUUCGUAUUCCGACCUUCGUCUAUCAAUUGAUAGUCAGGAGUAAUUUUGCAUUUGUGUUAUCGAUGCUUAUUAUUCUUGUGGUCCGUCAAGCCAUUCUAUCGCGGAAUGACUAGGAGAAACAAACUCCAGUACCUCAUCCAUACCUAGGAUUGGGUCAAAGCAGUUGUAUUCCGCAGAUCAAAUGCCAAUCCAGCUUUUGGUUCUGUUCUACCUUGGAGUAUUACCCCCUUUAUGUCAGAAUUGUCAUGAGAACUGCACCAACUCUCAUGAAUUUUGACGUAGUGAUACUUCUCACCAUCAUUAGUCAUUCCUCGGUCUUCGUGUUGUUAUAACCGGAAUGUCGACAAGUGAAUCGUGAUGUGUGAAAUCAAUACUCCUAGCAACCUUGUUGCUUGGUAGUUAAAUGGACAAUAACCUCAUUCUUAACGUGUUGGUUCUUGAAUCAUCAUUCUAAGAUUGAUCGUGCUACCUUGUCCAUCUUCCUGGUGCACAUUUCGAUUGAUGAGUUAGGAUUUUGUCAAGUCCUCGCUCAUUUGAUCAUAUUGUCUUGCCCUGAAAAGCAAGAUUGUUCUCGAGCUUAGUAACAUAUCGGUGGCUUGUGAUUUUUUGAAUAUCUUCUCGAAGGUAUCAUCAGGUUGUCACCUGACUGUUAUGUUGAGCUCGUGAUCAAGUUGGUUUAUCCUGUAAACCACCCUUUCUCCAAGAAUCCGUGUUGGAUACCCCUGAGCUAGUUGGUUAAGCUAGACAACAACUUGGAGAGUUGGAAGAUAAAAGCUUGCCUGACUUAGUUCGUUCCAAAGGGAUAUUCUUGUGUAGUGGGUGUUGAAGAAAGAUGAUAUCUUCAUCGAUUGGUUCCUGUGAUCAGUUGCUGGACCUAUUGUCUUAUCAAUCCUUUGAUUUGAGUGUGGGCUAUCGUCAAAUCAAAUCAGUACCAACGAUAUUCAUAAUGUUGUCUUACUCGUGGUUGAUCCCUCGAGCAUACAUCAUUAUAUCUUUUGGGUCUGACCAAUGCUAUCACUUGUUCACUUAGCUAUGGAAUUCCUUUUAAAAGGGAACCCAGAUGAAUUGUUGUUGAGCCCAUUGACAACAUCCUUAUCUCCUCCAUGAUCUUGUUGGAUAACAAGUUAGUGUUGGAAACUUUUGAAAGCAUUUUCUUCAUGCUAGCUCAUGAAGUAUUUGUUUGAUGAAAGGAGUGACUUCCACUUAUACACGUGCAUUUGGUGAAAGUUGCCGCCGUGAAUUUGAGAAAGUUAGUUUUGCUUCCCCUGGAAUCAUCCCAAGUCAGUCAUGCAUAUGUGCGAAGUAUUCUAUGGUUUGGAGACUUGCAACCUUCAUUCCAUAUGUGUUCCGAGCACACCAAGCCACUGAUUGAUUUGUUCAAGGAGAAGAAGUUCCUUCCUAAGAGCAUGCCUUAUGGAAGGAUUUUGAUAUCCUCGUUGAUGGUUCCCCCUCCUGAACUCGGUAGUGUUUUAUUAUAGGACUACUUUGUGGUCAUGCUUGUCUGGGACAACGUGUUCACAUGUUUGUAGCAGAACCAGCUCAUGUUUUGGAGCUUACUAUCGUAGUUCAUUUCCCGAGAAUCUCGCAACGUUAUCUCGUCGAUUUGUGUUGCAAACUUUCAUUUUUCUUCCUAGACUCGAUGAGUCUGGAAUAUCCUGACACCAACCGGAUCUGAAUCUCAGGCAGUUAUGAUGGUUGGAAUGUUUCCCAAGAACUAUAAUACUGGUCCCUCGAUAACCGGUAAAGUGGAUGUCAUGGCCAACACACCCAGCCGGAAGACCUAUUAUUGUAGUAUCUUGAUUGAAGCAGUUGGCCACCUCCCCAUAAGGAUCUCGUAGAACUUAUUCUAGUAGUUGUUCCUUAUGGAUUUUUGUGUUUCCGAAGUCCGACCUUUACUUGAUGUUCUAGAUGCCAGACCAUUUCAAGGAAUGGGAUACGCUAGUACAUCAAGGAGAACAUUAGAAGCGGAGUGCUAAAUGUCUCUCGGUCGAUCGUCCAGGUUUUGUUUCCUUAGCCUCGCUAAGGAAAAUUCUGAGAAAGUGUUAUCUUCCUUUGCAUCUGCAUCAUCCAUCAUCAUUCAUCAUGGUAGCAAGUUGUGUUGCCAGGAUCCUUGACACGGAUAUUGGUAAAAUCUUGAUGAUUAUGGAAAGGCUCAAGUUCUUGAGAGCACGCACAAGCGCUAGGUGUUAUCAUCGACACUAAUUGGGAUGCUCUCAGUUUCCUCGGCAAUGCUAUGACCUUUUCAAACAGUGAAUUCACUCUCUAUUGUUGGGUUCUUCCCCAGUUACCAGAAUCAUACCUAGCAUUUGCAUUUUGUUCCCAGCUUGCACCGCUAAUGUGCCAUUCUACCAUGGGUCUCAUCCAUUUCCGAUGAUAAACAAAAUCAUCUAUGACGUUGUCUUCAACAAGGUAAUCCACAUCAUCCAAGUCCGAGUAUGCCAUUCUACCAAACCCCUCUAAAUGAUCGAUUAUGAUUUGCCUUAAGCUGGUAUAAAGAGUUUCAAUGAUCUUUGAAUCAAAGGUAAUUCUUUUUGCCACUUAAGGGGAUAUUUCUACGAGUCACGGUUCCUAAGGUGUCUCGUUAUGGUAUCAUGGCAACUCAACUCCUCGCUAUUUGACAACUUUUCACCACCCUCUUAGGUGUGGAAUUGUUGUCUACCUAGUGAACCCUCGUCAUUUGUUCCACUCCAUCCCUCUAGAUGUGUGUUUUGUGUCUCAGCUCGAGUGAUGUUGUUACGUCUCAUUCCGAGAGUUAAUCCUGAGUUGUUCGACCUUCGAGAAGGUUGAUCCUUCUAGAGUCUCCUUCUCCUCUCGUUGUCAUGUUGGCUGGAGUUCUCAGAGCAAGACGACAAGACAAAGAUGGUGAUCGAUUCAACAUGCUGAUGAAGUGCACCCUGGAUCGUGAAGGUUAUACUAGUUGCGUUCCCCCUUCAUCUUACCCUACGCUUGAAUCUCGGGACGAGAUUUUUGUUUAGUGGGGGUGAGUUGUCACAUCCCUGGUCCUGUUAUGCAUUAGGCUAGGCCUCAUGUGAGCAUCAUGUUUUAAUUCAAAUGAAAUUUGAAUUGAGGGAUUUUCAAAGCCUCAGAAACCUUCUAAAAAUGAUCAACAUUAAAAUCUUCUCAAAGAAGUCCAAGAAAAUGUUCCUCUUAGUCUCUGAAAAUAUUGCAAAGAGGUAAAACUCAAAACAAUAUUUUUGGUAUCUCAGAGUUAAUUAUUUUGGGCCUUUGAAUUAAAUAAAUAACUAUUUGCAUUGGAUAUAUAUUUCUUAAUUAAUUAAUAUAUGUCCAAUAAUUCUGAUCUUUGAUGAAGGGCUUUGGAAUAAUCCUACUAGUCCCUACCAUAAUUAUCAGAAGCAAUAAAAAUGAUUUAGUGUCUAAAACUAAAUCAAAACAAACUACAGAAAAUAGAAAACAGAUUUAAAUAGAAUAAAAGCAGAGAGGAGAGAAAACUUACCUAGCGCUCACCUCUCAGCCCACCUGGCCCAGCUCCUCCAGCGGCCCAGCCCACCGCCGUCUCUCCCCCUGUCGUCUUCCUCCCCCUCGCCCCGAAGCUGCUCGGUGGCGCGCGCGGCCACGCGCCCCGGCCACCUCCUCCCUUCCAGCCUGCCUGGCUCCUCCUCGACGCCCCGGUGACGCCACGCGGCCCCCUCGACCCUCUCCUACUCUCCUCGUGCCCCUCUCCUCUCUCUCCCCGGAACGCUCUCCCCCUCCUCUGUUCUCCUCACCGAACGCGCCCGCCGCCGCCGACGAGAACCAUCGUGGCCACCGGCCACCCCACACCUCACCGACGCCCCAGGAAGCUCCGCCCCGACCCCCCCUAUUCCUCCCCACCGAUCCACGGCCCUUCGGAAGCCCUGCAGCGUCGCCCUCNNNNNNNNNNNNNNNNNNNNNNNNNNNNNNNNNNNNNNNNNNNNNNNNNNNNNNNNNNNNNNNNNNNNNNNNNNNNNNNNNNNNNNNNNNNNNNNNNNNNNNNNNNNNNNNNNNNNNNNNNNNNNNNNNNNNNNNNNNNNNNNNNNNNNNNNNNNNNNNNNNNNNNNNNNNNNNNNNNNNNNNNNNNNNNNNNNNNNNNNNNNNNNNNNNNNNNNNNNNNNNCUCAAGCUCGCCCCCAACCUUCGGCCGCCGGCGAACUUUCGAGGAUUCGCGAGCUCCAGCCCCUCCCCGGCCUCACCGUUGCCUCCACCAGAUCCGCUGUGAGCUACUCUUCCAUUCCCCCUCCUCCUCGCGCUCGUUCCCGUACUCUAGCCGCCCUUUUCACCGGAGCCGAUUGCUCCUCGCCGCCGGCCAUGGCGUGGCCGUGGCCACAGCCACCGCAGAUCGCUCCCGAGCCCACCGGCGUGCUCACUGCAACCUUAGGAACCCAAAGCACCUAACCACUCGUCCUCCCGUGCACCGCAGCGCCGGUCCCGCGAACCCCCGAGCUCCGGCCACCGCCUCGGGCUCCACUCCGGCGAACCCCGGCCACCCCCGCACCUCCCGUUGGUUCCCCUAGAUGCGCACGGGCACGGGCUACCUCCUGGUGCCCUUGGCGCGUCGAUCUGUCGUCUCUGGCGCAACUCCGGCGAGCCACCGCCGCUCUGGGUCGUCGCCGUCGUCCAACCGCCGGCGAAUCCGAUGUGGCCGGUCAUUAGGGCCUAACCACCCCCGCUAACCCAGGCCUAGGGCCACUGACCGGUGGGCCCUACCGUUUAAUUAACCCGGCUAACAAUUUAGUUAAGUUAAUAAAACUCUGUUAAAUCACUGUGCAGCUGACAUGUGGGUCCCGAACGUCAGGUUUGACCCGGACCAGCCCCUGUUGACCUGUGACAUCAUGCCAACGUCAUGCUGACGCAAUAAUUCCUUUCUGGAAUUUAAAUAAAUCUUAAAUGAUUUAAUAUUUUCAGAAAAUGCCCUAAACUUCAAUAAAUCAUAGAAAUUCAACCGUAACUCCAAAUUAAAUAAAUUAUAUAUGAAAAAUUAUUAGAAAAAUUCAAGGAAUCCAUCUGUACCAUUUUCAUGCAUGUUAGAACAACUUAUAGCUGCUGUUUAGCACAAAUCAAUUAAAUGGCAUUUGAAUAAUCACAUAUGGAGUUUGAAUUUGAAUCUUGUAUUCAAACCAACUUCAUUUAACCUGUUGCUAGUUGCAUUGGCUCAAAACACAUUCAUAUUGCCAUGUCAUGAGCAUGCAUCAUAUUGUGCAUUGCAUUGAUUGUAUUUCUUCUUUGUUGCCGGUAUCUGUUCCCUCCCGGUAGACGAUGUUCCGACGUUGUGAUCGUUGACACUGAUGAAGACUCAAUGUUAUCUUCAGAAGUGCCAGGCAAGCAAAACCCCCUUGUUCAUUCCGAUACAAUCCUACUCUCUCGCUCCUGCUCUCUUUUACUGCAUUAGGACAACAACGAUUCAUCUGUUACUUGCUGCGGUAGCUGAACCCCUUUAUCCUUUGCAUGACCUGUCAUUGCCACAGUAAAUAGAUGAAACGCACUAGCAUGAGUAGGAGUUGUUUGAGCCCUAUUGUGCCUACUCAUUCAUGCUUGUUUGUCAUGCCUGCUACUGCUUAGAGUUGAGUCAGGUCUGAUUCAUCGGGGAUGAAUCAGAGGUGUGUGAACAUGUCCUACUGUGUGUGAGCUAAGUGUGUGAACACGAUUUGGUAAAGGUAGCAGUGAGAGGCCAUGUAGGAGUACAUGGUGGGUUGUAUCAUUGAAGACGUCCUCAGGAACUGAGUUCUGUGUUUGUGAUCCAUGAUUCAGCUACUACCAUACAUUGGGCCCUGAAAUAUGACCCCGCUCGACUUCUUAUUCACCCAAGUCCUCUGUCCAGGAGUUGCAAGUAGUUUCUGGUGUUUGUAGUAUGCUGGAGGCCGUGCACAGCGCUGACCGGAGGGGUGGGCUGUGAUGCGGUAGGCACGUGGCCGGGUAUACCGGGCGCCCGUUUGGUGUCACGGAACCCUAUUCACAUCAUUUGGGGCUGUGAGCGAAACUCCGGCCGGAUCUCCUGAUGGAUGGAACCCGAAAAGGCGAUAAACCUGGACUAGAGACUUGAGUGUUUAGGUAGGUCGUGGUCUACACCCACGUCGGCUUUCGCUUGAAGUCUGUCGAGCACAUGUCGUGUGCAGACGCUAAGUGGUGGAAACAUGUAUGAAGAAGUACACCCCUGCAGGGUUAACAUCAUCUAUUCGAAUAGCCGUGUCCGCGGAAAAGGACUUCUGGGUUGCUUAUAUCAGUUGAUAGACAAGUGAAAGUGGAUACCCUAAAAUACGCAAGAUAAGCGUGAGUGCUAUGGAUGGCGUUCUCGUAGGGAGACGGGAGCGGAUCCAUAGUGGUGUAUUGAUAUGGUGAAUAUGUGGACUCGUGUGCGCCACCUCAAAAGAGUUACUUGCAGUCGUAGUUCAGGAUAGCCACCGAGUCAAAGCUGGCUUGCUGCAGUUAAACCCCACCAUCCCCUUGUUGGAAAUGAUGCAUAUGUAGUUAGUUCUGAUGUAAGUCUUGCUGGGUACAUUUGUACUCACGUUUGCCUAUUUUAUGUUUUUGCAGAGAGACCUCAGUCUCGCUAGUAGUUCUGUAUGGUCUUCGACGUUUAGCUUGUUACCUCAGCUACGAUCUUGUGCCCUCGGCAGGAUUUGGUAGAUAGUCAGGCUUCUCAGCCUUUUUCAUUUAUAGAUGUCUGUACUCAGACAUGAUAGCUUCCGCUUGUGCUUUGACUUGUAUGCUCUGAUUGUUGGGUCAUGAGACCCAUGUUUGUAAUAUCUCGCUCCUCGGAGCCUAUUGAAUAAAAUACUUGAGUUGUAGAGUCAUGUUGUGAUGCCAUGUUGUAUUUGCACAUAUCGAGCAUAUUGUGUGUAUGUUAUUGAAAUGCUUGGUAUGUGUGGGAUCUGACAACCUAGUUGUUUAUCCUUGGUAGCCUCUCUUACCGGGAAAUGUCUCCUAGUGUUUCCACUGAGCCAUGGUAGCUUGCUACUGCUCCGGAACACUUAGGCUGGCCGGCAUGUGUCCUUCUUUGUUCCUGUGUCUGUCCCUUCAGGGAAAUGUCAUGCGAUGAAUACCGGAGUCCUGCUAGCCCAGUGCUACAGCCUGGAUUCACUCGCUGAUGACCGACACGUUCGAUGUUGGGUCAUGGAUGCCUGUCCCUGUAAGUUUGUGCCACUUUGGGUUUACGACUAGCCAUGUCAGCCCGGGCUCCUUAUCAUAUGGAUGCUAGCGACACUAUCAUAUACGUGUGCCAAAAGGCGCAAACGGUCCCGGGCAAAGGUAAGGCGACACCCGUGGGAAUACCGUGCGUGAGGCCACAAAGUGAUAUGAGGUGUUACAUGCUAGAUCGAUGUGGCAUUGAGUCGGGGUCCUGACAAUGAUAUACCCAUAUCCCCAAGAGGGAGCGCAAGCGUGGACUCAGGGACGUUACAAGAUGGAGCCAAUCGCCCCAAAGUUCAACCCAUGGUCGUCCUGUCCGAUCACCUUCGGUCGUAGGGACCAUCCGACCAGUAUCCGUCAUGGCGGUUCAGCCGCACUGGUCCUUGACCCAAUCAUAGAUGGAUUCCACCUUACGCGAGUCCUCAUGGACGGCGGCAGCAGCCUGAACCUAAUCUAUCAGGAUACAGUGCGCAAAAUGGGUAUCAAUCCCUCAAGGAUCAAGCCCACAAAAACCACCUUUAAAGGUGUCAUACUAGAUGUAGAGGCCUCCUAUACGGGCUCAAUCACACUGGAAGUGGUCUUCGAAUCCCCGGAUAAUUUCUGAAGCGAAGAAUUGAACUUUGAUAUCGUCCCCUUCCGUAGUGGCUAUCACGCACUGCUCGGACGAACCGCAUUCGCUCGAUUCAAUGCGAUGCCGCACUAUGCCUACCUCAAGCUCAAGAUGCCCGGACCAUGCGGUGUUAUAAUAGUGAAUGGAAACACGGAACGCUCUCUUCAUACCAAGGAGCACACCACGGCCCUUGCAGCAAAAGUAUAGAGCGGCCUUUUCAGGAAUAACCGUAAUUCAACAGCCAAGCUCCCAGACACCGUCAAGCGAGUCCGGACUACUCUGCAUCAGGAUAGUCCAGCUCGUCCAGAGCUUGACUAGCAAUUUGGCCUCCGUCCCAGUCCCAACAAGGCGGCGAUGCUUGUGCCGCGUGUACAUAACUACGCACUCAAAAUACCAUGGACAUGGAUGGAGGCAUAGCUAGAACGUCGUCCAUAAUGUGGCUCAACCGCCCCUGAAUCUGCAUACUUUCACUUUUUCUUUUUCAUUUCAGGUUUUUCUCUUCUCGAGGCUUUUCUGAUAACCUGAUCACCGGACCUAUCACGGGACGGAUACACCAAGAAGGCAAGGAGCUUUGACGUACAAGGGAACCCCGAGCUGGUCUCUACUAACGAUCGUUAUACCUAUUUUAAAUACCCGCACGCAGCUCGCCCUUGGUCAUGGCAUGUCAAAUAGCCUUAUUCGCUUACCGCAUUACUUGUACAAGUACACCUGGACGUAUCAAUCAAAUUACAAUGGAAAAUAAUUUGCGGCUCAAUAUUUGCGACGUCAGCCUAUUACUUGAUUUUUCCUUUGUCUUUAUAUUUUUUAUCAAUUGCUCCUGUACACUCUGGUACGCCUUAAUUCGCCAGGGGCUUCAUCAUACCCCACAAUACAGCAAUAAAGUCCGAACACUUUUACAGUACAGUUUGGCACCUUGAACUUAUAGCAUUAUAUGCAUCGGCUUCGAAUCAUGUCUUUGGUCAAUAGUUGGGUUGCCCGGCUCUUGUGCUUACUACCUUACGUUCCGCUAUAUUGUCUAGGGUAGUAAAGGGAGAACUAUUGUGAUUGUGUCCCGGUUCUUCCGGAUGAGCACCUCAGUAGAGAAAGCCGAAGACUGGCUGUCAUGAUGCAGCGAGAGCUGGUCAGCUAUUCGAGAGGUUGCAAAUCUUUAGUGAUUUUUUCUGCAUUAUGCAAGGAAUCAGUUUUUAUCCAAUUAGGUGUGUAUAGCGCCUCAAGUCUGGACUUCCGAACACUAGGGAUUGCACCAAAAUUUUUCUUGUCAAACUCCUACGGUUAAGUGAGGGUGAUAAAGCCGUAUAGUCUGAUUGCCUUGUUCGUCGUGCUAAACACCUCCUUUAAGGACCAAACUCUAGAGUAAAGAGUGUUUAGAUUUAUCCCGAACACCCCCGUACUACCUAUGUGGGGGGCAGAAGCCGACGACUGGCCAACUCUCAGAUUUAACAAAACGGCCGCAUAGGAGGUAGAACUUUAAAUAACAGACAUUAUAUUACAUAAUAGAUCGGUUUUCAUGGUAUAGGAUAGGAUAACAUGAGUGUAUUCAUGGUAAUAUGAUAUCCUUAGCACAUUGCUCCACUACAAGGCGGGAUCCCUCCAGGACACUGUCAAAAUACAGUUGGGGUCUGCGGUGCUCCUUGCCCUCGGGCGGUCCCUCGGUCAUCAGCUUCGGGGCAUCCAUCUUCGCCCAAUGCAUCUUGGCGCGGGCAAAGGCCAUUCGCGCACCUUCAAUACAGACCGGCCGCUUGAUAGCUUCAAGCCGAGGGCAGGCGCUGACAAGCCGCUUCAUGAGUCCGAAGUAGCUGCUAGGAAGGGCUUCGACAGGCCAUAGCCGGAUUAUCAAAUCCUUCAUGGCUAGUUUGGCUGCCCUAUGUAGCUCGACCAGCUGUUUCAGCUGAUCACUAAAGGGCACUGGACGUUCUGGUCCAAGGUAUUGCAACCAGAACAGCUUCUUCGUAGAGCUCCCCUCUUCGGCUCAAUAGAAUUUCGCAGCGUCUCACACGCUGCGCGGCAGAUCCACAAACGCCCCUGGAGAGCUCCAAAUUCAGGUAAGUAAAAGGAACCUUUCCUUCACAUAUCUGCUCUGCAUAAUGAAAGCCUUACCCGCCGUGAUCUUGGCCGCCUGGAUUUCCUGGAGGGCACCCUGGCCUUCGGACCAGGCAACUUGUGGGCUUUGGCGGGCCUUGGCAAGUUUGGACUCUUGCUCCUUAAAGUCGAGCUCCAAGGACUCGCACUUCUUGACGGCGUCCUGGAGCUCUUGCUGGACCUCGUUAACCCGGGCCUCCUGCUUUUCGCGUGCGGCCCGAUCCUUGGACGCCUUGUCCUUGGCCGCGGCCAGCACCUUCUUGAGGGCCUCUACUUUGGUCGUUGCCCCUAAUAAAUUUCAUGGCACUUUGGUCAUCAUGAAUCACUCAUCCUUCCUGAAUAUGUAUAAGAUUACUGCGUACCUUGACUGUCCUCUAGCUGCUUCUUCACGUGGCCAAUCUCUUCCUCGGGCCGCUCUAGAUUCUGCUUCAGUUCGGAGACUUCCGCAGUAUGAGAGGACGCAGCUAGCAGCGAUGUCUGCUUGUUCACAUAGACAUUUUAGAUUAGACUCCUAUGAAAAUUAUUUGAUCCUCUAUUUGAUUUUUCUUUCUAAACACCGGACAAAGUAUCAGGGGCUACUGUCUAUACUGUGACAUUCUUUUUAUAAUUGCGUUGCUUACCUCAAAGCCUGUUAGAAGGAUCGUGCACGCUUCAGUCAAUCCGCUUUUCAUAGACUGAAUCUUCUCAAUCACCGGUGGAAGUGCUUCCAGUAAUCUAUCUGGUGCCUCUGUAUGGACAGACGUCACCGGUGGAGUGGGCUCACCACCCUCUUUCAAAAAAGGCGGCAUGCCUGAGUCUGGAUCCACAUGGGCCUCCGGAGCUGUAUUCAGCUGGCGGCCGAAUUGGAUACGACCCCCAUCAUUAGUGUCCAUAGGGGUUUGCUCCCCCAUGUGUUCGGCAACCGGGGUUUCACCCUCCGGCACCACCAGGAUGGCAUCCUGAGCCUCUCCCUGGUCUGGGAUCGUUCGAUACAACACCUCGGUGUUGUCCACGACCUUGGGGGAGGAGGUCGUCCGAAGGGACCCACUGUCCAUCGCCGACGGCUCCAGCGAUCCCUCCGAAGAGGAGGAUAGCUCGAUGUUGGACCGAGCCGGACUGCAAGUGCAUGAUCCAGCACAUUAAAAACAAUAAAGUAAAAAGGCCGGAUAUAUUACCGUGUCCGGACACUUACGAUUUGGCCAGGGGCUUGUCCCUGGGCUCCCACUCCCAGCUGCUGUUGGUGGCCGCUGCGGAGUUGUCCAGAAGGGAAGCUUUCCCCUUCUUGGACGCCUCGGCCUCUAGAUGUGUGGAGGUCGUCCUCUUCUUUCUCCCCCCAGUAGGGGAGAAUGGAUUUCUUCUUCCUCCUCCUCUUCCUCGUCGUCUUCGGCGAUGAAGGAGUGAUCCUCGGCGUCUUCGGACAUUGCGUCUGAUGCGCCCUUGCGACGGAGACCAUCUCUGGUCCCCUUGGCCUUCUUCUUGGCCUUCUUCUCCGGCACCUGAUAAGGUGCCGGAACCAGCAUCUUCGUUAGAAGUGGGAUUUCUGGGCCUUCGGGCAGCGGGGCUGGACAGUUAAUCCGCUCCGCCAUCUCUAUCCAGGCCUAAAAAAUGCAUAGGGAAGCUUAGAUUCCUUCCUCGAGUAGGCCAGUAAAGGGUAUACCUUGGAAACAUGAAAGAACUUACCGGAUUAGCCUGGCGAGUUAAGCUAUGCCCACGAUCCUCGGUCGUGGGUGGUGGUGUCUCGCCGGCCUUGAAGAACACCUUCCAGAUAUCUUUGCGCAUCGUGUCGAAGAGCUCUAGUAGCGUCUGGUGCUUGGCCGGGUCGAAUUCCCACAAAUAGCAAGUCCGUUGUUGGCACGGAAGGAUCCGGCGAACGAUCAUAACCUGGAUUACGUUGACGAGCUUGAUUCUCUUGUUUAUCAUGUUCUGGACGCAUGUCUAGAGCCCUGUCAGCUCGUCCGAAGAGCCCCAGGCCAGGCCCUUCUCUUGCCAGGAGGUGAGCCGCAUCGGGACUCCGGAUCGGAAUGUGGGAGCCACGGCCCAAUUGGUGUCGCGUGGCUCGGUGAUGUAGAACCACCCCGACUGCCACCCUUUUACAGGCUCCAUAAAGGAGCCUUUGGGCCAGGUGACAUUGGGCAUCUUGCCCACCAUGGCACCUCCGCACUCUGCUUGUUGGCUGCUCACCACCUUCGGCUUCACAUUGAAGGUCUUCAGCCAUAGGCCAAAGUGAGGUGGGAUGCGGAGAAAGGCCUCGCUCACAACAAUAAAUGUUGAGAUGUUGAGGAUAGAUUUGGGGGCCAAAUCAUGGAAGUCUAGCCCGUAGUAAAACAUCAGUCCACGGACAAACGGGUGGAGGGGGAAUCCCAGCCCGCGGAUGAAGUGUGUGAGGAAUACCACCCUCUCCUGGGGCUUCGGGGUGGGGACAAUCUGUCCCUUGGCCGGAAGUCGGUGAACGAUUUCCUUGGCUAGGUACCCGGCCUCCCGGAGCUUCUUGAUGUGCUUCUCCUUGGCGGAGGAGGCCAUCCACUUGCCUCCUACUCCGGAUCCGGACAUGAUUGGAGUGCUUUUUUGGGCGGAGAAGGCGAGAGCUUGGGCGCUGGAGCUCGAGGAUGGAUGGGCAGAGGAAGGAGAAGGCGUGGGUAAAAAAGGAUGAAUCCUUAUCCCUUUAUAAAGGCAAUAAAAGUCAUGUGCCUCCCCACUUGCCUUAAAAUUCGCCUAUUCCCCAAGCAUCGUGCAGAUGACACGGUUGGGUUACCCAUGCUCGUAUUGAUGAGAAUCCCGUGAUAAGGGGACACGAUCUCUGCUUUGACAAGACGUGCCAAUGAAACUGCACCUCGAAAUACGGAGAGGCAGGCUAAAAAGGGUUGGAAUAAUGACCGGGCAGUGGCGUGGUGUCACGCUACAAAAAGUUGUCAGCGGAUUGGACUCGUGAAAUAUUAUACUCUCUAUGGUUGUGUGUGGUACUUGUUUUGCAGAGUUGGACACGUUUUCUAUGUUCGGAAGGCUAUGUUGGAGUAUUUGGAGAAGGAACCCGCCUUGCAAUGUCGAAGACAAUCUGCGCGCCGGACUCAUCGUCAUUGAAGCCUGGUUCAGGGGCUACUGAGGGAGUCUUGGAUUAAGGGGUCCUAGGACAGUCGGAUUAUAUACUUUGGCUGGACUGUUGGGCUAUGAAGAUACAAAAUAGAAGACUUCGUCCCGUGUCCGGAUGGGACUCUCCUUGGCGUGGAAGGCAAGCUUGGCGAUUCGGAUAUGUAGAUUCCUUUCCCUAUAACCAACUUGGUACAACCCUAGCCCCCUCCGAUGUCUAUAUAAACCGGAGGGUUUAGGCUUCUAGGGUUUAGCCACAACAAUCAUAACCUCAUAGGCUAGACUUCUAGGGUUUAGCCAUUACGAUCUCGUGGUAGAUCAACUCUUGUAAUACUCAUAUUCAUCAAGAUCAAUCAAGAAGGAAGUAUGGUAUUACCUCCAUAGAGAGGGCCCGAACCUGGGUAAACAUUGUGUCCCCCGCCUCCUAUUACCAUUAGCCUUAGAUGCAUAGUUUGGGACCCCCUACCUGAGAUCCGCCGGUUUUGACACCGACAGGGGGAGCUGAAUAGGAUUAGGGCCCCAAGUAGGAUUCCUCCUACUUGGGCGCCUGUCGGUGUCAAAACCGGCGGAUCUCGGGUAGGGGGUCCUGAACUGUGCGUCUAGGCGGAUGGUAACAGGAGACAAGGGACACGAUGUUUUUACCCAGGUUCGGGCCCUCCCGGUGGAGGUAAAACCCUACUCCUGCUUGAUUGAUGGUAUGGGUAUUACAAGAGUUGAUCUACCACGAGAUCAGAGAGGCCAAACCCUAGAAGCUAGCCUAUGGUAUGAUUGUUGUUCAUCCUACGGACUAAAUUCUCCGGUUUAUAUAGACACCGGAGAGGGCUAGGGUUACACAGAGUCGGUUACAAUCGGAGGAGAUCUUCAUAUCGUAUCGCCAAGCUUGCCUUCUACGCCAAGGAAAGUCCCUAUCCGAACACAGAACGAAGUCUUCAAUCUUGUAUCUUCAUAGUCUGGGAGUCCGGCCAAAGGUCAUAGUCCGGUCAUCCAGACACCCCCUAAUCCAGGACUCCCUCAGUAGCCGUUGAACCAGGCUUCAACGACGACGAGUCUGGCGCGCAAGUUGUCUUCGGCAUUGCAAGGCGGGUUCCUCCUCCGAAUACUUCAUAGAAGAUGUUGAACACCAGGAUAGUGUUCAGCUCUGCAAAAUAAUUUCCAUAUGCCACCAUAGAGAGAAUAACAUUUGCACCGAUCUAAUCUGCUGACGUAUUCCGUAGCGUGACCUCACGCCACGGCCAGGCUUUUAUUCAUUUUACUGUUCCACCUCAACGCGUUUAGCGAGGCGGUUUCCUUGGCACAUCUUGUCAAAGUAGAGAUCGUGUCCCCUUAUUCCGGGAUUCUCAUCAAUACGGGCGUGGGUAACCCAACUGCGCCAUUAAAUCGCAGCGCUUGGAAGAUAAGCGAGUUUUAAUAGGCUGGUGGGGGCUCGUAGUUUUGGCCGCCCAUAUAAGGGGAUAAGGAUCUACCCUUUCCAUUUACGCCCUCUUCCUCCUUUGCUUAUCCCUCCCUGCGUACUCGAGCUCCAGCGCCCAAGCCCGCACAUCUCGCCUCGACCUACUCCAACCAUGUCCGGAGCGGGAGGCAACUGGAUGGCCUCCUCCGUCACGGAGGGGCACAUCAAAAGGUUGCGGAAAGCCGGAUACCUGCACAACGACAUUGCGCACCGGCUUCCACACGAGGGGCAGCUCAUCCCCACCCCUAGGCCCCAUGAGAGGGUUGUAUUUCUUCCCCAUUUCCUUCGCGGACUGGGCUUUCCUCUUCACCCGUUCGUCCGGGGGCUCACGUUCUAUUACGUCCUGGACUUCCAUGAUCUGGCCCCAAACUUCAUCCUCAACAUCUCGGUGUUUAUCGUCGUGUGCGAGGCCUUCCUCCGCAUCGAGCUCCAUUUUGGCCUAUGGCUGAAGAUUUUCAGCGUCAAGCCGAAGGUCGUGGGCGGACGCCAAGCAGAGUGCGGAGGCGCCAUGGUGGGAAAGAUAGCCAAUGUUACAUGGCUCGAGGGCGCCUUCGUAGAGACCAUCAAAGGGUGGCAAUUGGGGUGGUUCUAUAUAACCGAACCGCGUGACCCUGAAUGGGCAGCGGCCCCCGAAUUCCGAUCUGGCAUCCCCACGCGGCUCACAUCUUGGAAAGAGAUGGGCCUGUCGUGGGGAAAUCCGGUAAAGGUGACCGGACUUCAAACCUGCAUCAAGGACCUGAUCGGCAGGAAGGUUAAACUCGUCACCGUGGUCCAGGUCAUGCUCUUCUGCCGGAUUCUCCCGUGUCAACGACGGGCUUCCAAUUUGUGGGAGUUCGACCCGGCCCAGCACCAGACUCUGUCCCGACUUUUCGACACAAAGCAUGAAGAUGCCUGGAGGGUGCUAUUCAAGAGCUCCGAGGUCCCCCCUCCCGUCAUCGAGGAUCCUGGAUUUUGCACCAAGCGCCAAGCCAGCGUGGUGAGCUUACUUUUCCCAUUUUGGGAUAUUUUGUUUUCCAUAGUUUAACUCUAUGCGGGAUGUAAACUCCCUUACCUUUGACAGGACUGGCUGAAGAAGUCCGAGCAGGUCAACUGUCCGGCUCCUUUGCCCGAAGACCCAGCGGAUGAUCGUCUAACCAAGCUGCUGGUUCCAGCACCCCACGUGGUGCCGGAGAAGAAGGCCAAGAAGAAAACACGGGGACUCGAAAGAGCUCCCGGUGCCUGGUGGUGUCGGAUUCUUCGCCUGACAGCCCCGAAGCCCCCUCCGCCUCUGAAGACGAGGAGGAGGAAGAGGAAGAAGAAGCCCCUCCCCCUCCAAUGGGGGAAGGAAAGAAAAGGAAGGCCGCCCCAACUACGGAGGCCGGAGGGUCCAUGAAGGGGAAAAUCCUUCUACUGGACUACGCCUCCGAUGCCGAAGACGGCGGGGAGGAAUGGCCAUCCAGGGUCAAGCCCCUGGCAAAAUCAUAAGUGUCCGGCUACCUGAAUGACUCAUGGCGCCUCUCUACUAUUCGAUAGCUUCUGAUGCCGAAUUUUAAUUAUGCAGUCCACCCAGAGCUCAGCUCGGCAAUUUGUCGAGCGGCUCCCUGAAUUCGUCGGAUGUGAAUAGCGCUUCACUUCCGACGGCUUCCUCCCCACUCCCUACGGACGACGCCGAGGCGGAGUCCCAAAAGGGACCGAACCAGGAGGAGGUGGUCCUGGAGGCGCCCCAAGGUGACCUCCCGGACUCCAAGCCCAAAGGGGGCAAAGCCCCGGAGAGAUCUAAGUCCGGCCCCGGGCCGGACACUGCUCCGGAACCACCAACGGUUCCAGAGUCCGAUAGGUGGCGCCUUUAUAAGAAGGGCAAGCCUACGCCGCCGGCGACCUCUGUCCAUCCGGAGGCGCCGGACAAUUUGCUGGAGGCGCUUAAGGGUGCCUCCAUCGACGAGGAACACCGCACUGUUAUGAGUGCGGUGAUUCAAAAGGUUCAGUCCGCCAAAAGCGGGCUGACAGGAGCCUGUACAAGUCUGUUAACAGGCUUUGAGGUAUGUGUUCAAAACAUAUAAAAAUGUAACCGCGUAGACAGUAGCCCCUGAUGCUCGGUUCGGUGUUCAGAAAAGAAAAGCCGAGCUGAGGAUCUAAAAAGAUAUACGCAGGAGUCUAUUAAAAAUAUGUCGAUAUGGGAAUGCAGGCUGCGCUGCUGACCUCUGUCGCACUGACUGUGGAGGUCAAUGCAUUGAAGGGAAGCCUCGAGCGGUCCGAGAGCGAGCUCGGCCGUGGCAAGAAGCAGCUCGAGGACAAGGAGGGUAUGUAAUACUGUAUGUAAAUGUAUAUAGAGAUACUUGGUUGCAAAUAAUGACAGGACCAACUUAAAUGUUUCAGGGGCCACAGCCGAGGUGGCGACCCUGAAGGAGGCGGUCACGAAGGCUGAAAACAGUGCGGCACUAGAGCGCGCCGAGCGAGAGAAGCAGGAGGCGCGGGUGGCGGAGGUGCGGCAAGAGCUCCAGGCUCUCGUGGAAAAACACGAGAGUUUGGAGCAUGACUCGAAGACUCGAGAGUCCGAGCUCGCAUUGGCGCUUGAGAGUGCCAAAAACGCUAAGGCCGAAGCCCAGAAGGCCCUCCAGGAGAUCGAGGCGAUGAAGAAAAUAGCGGCGGGUAAGGCAUUUUUUAUGCAAAGCAAGAAUAUAAAAACUAAUUAUCUGCUACUUACCCGAAUCCGGAGCUCUCCAGGAGUGUUCGCCGAUCUGCCCCGUAGUGUGUCUGAUGCCGCCACAUACUACCGAGCCGAAGAGGGGAGCUCGACGGAAAAAGUUUUCUGGUCUCAGUAUGCUGAGGCCGAACAUCCGGUGCCCCUGAGCGACCAGCUGAAGCAGCUGGUCGAGCUCCACAAGGUGGCCGAAUAGGCCAUGAAGGGCCUCAUAGCUCGGCUGUGGCCUGGAGAAGCUAUGCCUGGGAGCUACUUCGGUCUGGUGCGGCGGCUGGUUGACGCGUGUCCGUGGAUUGAGGUCGUCAAGCGCUCCGUCUGUAUUAAAGGUGCCCGCCGGGCCCUUGCCCGUGCUAAAGUGCACUGGGGCAAGCUGGACGCUGAGAAGCUUUUGUCGGACGCGCCCCCGCCGGGCAAGGAGUAUCGCACGCCCGAGAUAUAUUAUAAGGGCGUCCUGAAGGGUGCUCGCCGUAUAGCGGACGAAUGCACUAAAGAUGUAAUUUUUGAGUAGGCUCGCAUCUGUUAUCCUGUACGCUGAAAACUUUGUUCAUAUGCGCUAAGCAACGCUUGUUAAUUUAAAAUAUUACCUUCUGUGCGGCCGUUUAUCAAAUCUGAGAGAUGCAAGUCGUCGGCUUCGACCCCCAUGCCACGAGUGCUGGGGUGUUCGGGAUAAACCUGAGCGCUCUUGUUCCCAUUUUUGGGUCCAUCUAGGGAGGCGCUCAGCACAACGAACCAGGCCGUCGGACUUAUAAUGUUUUAUCACUCUCACUUAGCCAUAGAAUCCUAUAAUUUUAAAUUUCGGGGAAGCCCCUAGUAUUCGGAAGAUCGAGUUCGGGGCGCUAUCCACGCCUAGGCCGGAUAAGUCUGGUUCCUCGCUCUAAGCGGCAUAAGUCUUUAAGGACUCGAAAAACCUCGCGAACAGUGACCGGUCUCUCGCACUAUCAUGACGGUCAGUUUUAGCUUUCUCUACUGAGGUGUUAACCCAGAUCAAUUGGGGCACAAUCGCAGUAGUUCUCCAAGUGCUACCUUAGCCAACAUUGCGGAACAUAAGGUACCAAAACAUGGGAGCCGGGCAAACCCAACUAUUGACCAAAGACAUGAUUCGGAGCCGAUGCAUAUAGUGCUAUAAGUUCGGGGUGCGGCACUCCUAAGAGUGUUCGGUCUUGUCACACCAUGUUAUGGGGUGCUUUAGCCCCUGGUGUAUUGUCCGUACCAAAGUGUACGGUUGCAUAAUGUCAUGACUGAACAUAUAUAUAAAAAGGAAUACAAUAAUAGAUAGAAGCUAUGUAUUGUUUAUUAUUAAAAAAUUGCUGCUAUGAAAGCAGAACAAUACAAAUAGUGCGAUAAGCAAGGGAUGGGAUUAUUUGACAUGUCCCCCUCCAGGGGCAAGCUGCGGGAUUUUAAGUAAAAUAGGUAGUAAGCUCGUUAUAGAGACCACCUGGACAUUUGAUGCGGCUUGUCCUCACCCUGGCUAUUGCAUCGUGUGUUCUGCAAGUGUAUUGCCGGACAGGCCUUCUGAGUAGUUGGGUCCUGAAAGUAUAUAAAAAAGGAAAACGACCGAAUAGGGAGCCCCUUAGUGCGGUUGAGCCGCAUUCUGGGCGUGCCGUAGUUGCGCCCCUUCCCUUAUGCCCAUGGUAUUUUCAAAGCAUAAUUAUGUACGCGUGAUACCGAUAGCACUAUCUGACGAGGGCUGGGGUUGGGGCCGCACUGCUAUGCUUGCUCGGCUCUGUUGUAGGUUGCUUCGGGCGCGCUUGACGUUGUCCGGACGUUUAAUACCCGGAUUGGAGAGCUGCCUUGAGAGGCUGCUUUGUACUUCCGCCGCGAGGGCCGCUGUGUGCUCCUCCGUUCGGAGAGAGCGUUCGGUGUUUCCAUUUACCAUGAUGACUCCGCGAGGGCCUGGCAUCUUGAGCUUGAGAUAUGUGUAGUGCGGCACCGCAUUGAACUUUGCAAAUGCGGUUCGUCCGAGCAAGGCGUGAUAGCCGCUGCAGAAUGGGACUAUGUCGAAGAUUAACUCUUCGCUUCGAAAAUUAACCGGGGAUCCGAAGACCACUUCGAGUGUAACUGAGCCUGUACAGCUGGCUUCUACACCCGGUAUGACACCUUUAAAGGUUGUCUUUGUGGGUUUGAUCCCUGAGGGAUCUAUACCCAUUUUUCGCACUGUAUCCUGAUAAAGCAGGUUCAAGCUAUUGCCGCUGUCCAUGAGGACUCUGGUGAGGUGAAAUCCGUCAAUGAUUGGGUCUAGGACCAAUGCGGCGAAUCCGCCGUGACGGAUGCUGGUGGGGUGGUCCCUUCGAUCAAAUGUGAUCGGGCAGGAGGACCAUGGGUUGAACUUUGGGGCGACUGGCUCCAACGCAUAGACGUCCUUGAGAGCACGCUUCCGCUUUCUCUUGGGGAUAUGGGUUGCGUAUAUCAUGUUCACCGUCCGCACUUGCGGGGGGAAUCCCUUCUGUCCUCUGUUGUUUGGCGGCCGGGGCUCCUCCUCGUUAUCGCUACGCAGCCUCUUGUCUCUGGUUUCGGCACUUACCUUGCCUGCCUGCUUGAACACCCAACAAUCCCUGUUGGUGUGGUUGGCUGGUUGUUCGGGGGUGCCGUGUAUCUGGCACGAGUGGCCGAGUAUCCGGUCUAAGUUGGAUGGGCCUAGAGGGUUUCUUUUGAAUGGCUUCUUCCGCUGACCGGGUUUAGAGCCUCUAAAUCCGGCAUUGACUGCCGUAUCCUCAGUAUUGUCGCUGUUAAUGCAGUGCUUGUGCUUGUUGCGACGUGACCUGCCAUUGUUGUCCUUGGUAUCCGAAUUACCAAGGCUCUUGGUUAUGUUAUUGCUACGAGCUAGCCAGCUGUCUUCGCCCGUGCAGAAGCGGGUCAUGAGUGUCAUGAGGGCUGCCAUAGAUUUCGGCUUUUCCUGUCCUAGGUGCCGGGCAAGCCAUUCAUCUCGGAUGUUGUGCCUGAAGGCAGCAAGGGCCUCGGCAUCCGGACAGUCGACUAUUUGAUUUUUCUUGGUUAGGAACCGUGUCCAGAAUUGUCUGGUCGAUUCCUCUGGCUGCUGGAUUAUGUGGCUUAGGUCAUCGGCGUCUGGUAGUCGCACGUAAGUGCCCUGGAAGUUGUCAAGGAAUGCGGAUUCCAGGUCCUCCCAGCAACUAAUUGACUCUGCUGGCAGGCUGUUAAGCCAAUGUCGAGCUGGUCCUUUAAGCUUGAGCCGGAGGUAUUUGAUGGCGUGUAGAUCAUCCCCACGGGCCAUGUGGAUAUGAAGGAGGUAAUCCUCGAUCCGUACCGCGGGAUCAGUUGUGCUGUCAUAUGAUUCAAUGUUUAUGGGCUUGAAACCCUCGGGGAUUUGAUGAUCCAUUACUUCGUCUGUGAAGCAUAGUGGGUGUGCGGCGCCCCUGUACUGGGCUAUAUCGCGGCGCAACUCGGAUGAGCUUGGUCUGUUGUAUUCGGCCUGGCCGUAUUUAUCAUAUUCAGUGUGACGGUUAUCAUCACGUGAUGUGGGGCGCCCAUGCGAUCCGUAGAUCGAUCUUGUUUGCCUUGCCUUGUCCUCUAGUAUGUCUUGCAGGUCUGUUGCGUCUCCCCAUACUUUGUUAUGUUUUGAGUGGUGCCGGGUGCGGCUUGGGUCGAGGGCCUGAAGGUCUCUCUGUUGUGGCCAUGGGGUGGCCGAUUGGGAGCAUCAUACGCUGGUAAUGUAGGUCUAGUUGCUUCCUCCUCAAGUCAGGGUAGCAGCCUGCACUUUGGGUAGCUCUUGGAAGGGCGCUCGAGUUUAUGCUCUUCGACUGCCAGGAUUUCGGUCCAUCUGUCGGCUAGCAAGUCUUGGUAAGCUCUAAGCUGCUGCUGUUUUUUCUUGAGGCUGAGUGUCGUGGCCAUAAGCCUGCGUUUGAAACGCUCUUGUUCGACUGGAUCCUCUGGCACGACGAAUUCGUCGUCGUCGAGGCUUGCCUCGUCUUCGGAGGGAGGCAUAUAGUUGUCGUCCUCAACCUCUCUGUCGGCCGCUCUCUCAUGAGGGCUGGCUCCUUCGUCCUCCUGCACUGAAUCCUGCUGCAGGGGCUUAUCUUCGGCACUGUCCGGCGUGUUGUUAUCUCCGGUGCCGGAUUCGCAGUUCUUGCUUUGGCGGGAUUUAGAGCGGCGCCGCUGACGUCGGCGCUUGGGUUGCUUCUUGGAGGGGUCAUCCUCCGUUUUUUCCUCGCCAUCCCCUGCUUUGGGGGUGUCCACCAUGUAUAUGUCAUAUGACGAGGUGGCUUUCCAGUUCCCUGUAGGCGCUGGUUCUUGGUCGUCUCCUUCAUCGGCGUCCAUACCGUCAAUGUCUUCGGAGUCAAAGUCGAGCAUGUCCGUUAGAUCGUCGACAGUGGCUAUAAAGUGGGUGGUGGGUGGGUUUCGAAUUUCUUCGGCGUCCGUACCCCAACCAUGCUGACCAUAAUCCGGCCAGGGCUCUCCUGACAAAGAGAGAGACUUUAGGGAGUUCAGGAUAUCACCAAAGGGCGAGUGCUGAAAGACGUCCGCGGCGGUGAACUCCAUGAUCGGAGCCCAAUCGGGUUCGAUUGGAAGGGGUGCGGAAGAUUCGGAGUCCGGAAUGGAGUCCGGCACCUUGGAGUCACGGGCCUUGCAAAGGACUAGGCUGGUAUUCGGCUCUAUCGCCGUAGAGAUUGUGGCUCCUGGGGCAGCGUCCAACCGUCCGUCCCUGGUUGGCGCAGUCGGCUCCGAACUAAUGGUCGGAGCGGACUCCUAAGCGGCACUCUGGGCGCUGUCUGGCGGCAGAGCUAGGUCAUGCCCAUCGAGACAGUGCGGUGCGCUCGGCCGUGGCUCGAAUCCGUCGAAGUUCAAGUCCCCGCGAAUGUCGGCCGUGUAGUUUAAGCUUCCAAACCUGACCUGAUGGCCAGGGGCGUAGCUUUCGAUCUGCUCCAGAUGGCCAAACGAGUUGGCCCGCAGUGCAAAGCCGCCGAAUACGAAGAUCUGUCCGAGGAGAAAAGUCUCACCCCGGACUGCGUCGUGGUUGAUGAUCGAAGAAGCCAUCGUGCCUAAAGGCAACGACAUAGAGGAACUCUCAAUGAAAGCACCAAUGUCGGUGUCAAAACCGGCGGAUCUCGUGUAGGGGGUCCCGAACUGUGCGUCUAGGCGGAUGGUAACAGGAGACAAGGGACACGAUGUUUUUACCCAGGUUCGGGCCCUCUCGGUGGAGGUAAAACCCUACUCCUGCUUGAUUAAUAUUGAUGGUAUGGGUAUUACAAGAGUUGAUCUACCACGAGAUCAGAGAGGCCAAACCCUAGAAGCUAGCUUAUGGUAUGAUUGUUGUUCGUCCUACGGACUAAAACUCUCCGGUUUAUAUAGACGCCGGAGAGGGCUAGGGUUACACAGAGUCGGUUACAAUGGGAGGAGAUCUUCAUAUCGUAUCGCCAAGCUUGCCUUCUACGCCAAGGGAAGUCCCUAUCCGGACACGGAACGAAGUCUUCAAUCUUGUAUCUUCAUAGUCCGGGAGUCCGGCCAAAGGUCAUAGUCCGGUCAUCCGGACAUCCCCUAAUCCAGGACUCCCUCAGCGCCCCCUUGGCUGCUCCCUCUCCCUCCAACCAAUAUAUAUGAGGGUAGGGCACCGCUAGAACACACAAUAUUGAUUCCUAGCCAUGUGCGGCGCCCCCUCCAUAGUUUACGCCUCCGGUUAUAUUCAUGUAGUGCUUAGGUGAAGCCCUGCGCGGAUCACUUCACCAUCAUUGUCACCACGCCAUCGUGCUGAUGCAACUCUCCCUCGACACUUUGCUAGAUCGAGAGUUCGAGGGACGUCAUCGAGAUGAACGUGUGUAGAACUCGGAGGUGUCGUACGUUUCAUGCUCGAUCGGUCGGAACGAGAAGAAGUUCGACUACAUCAACCGCGUGGUCAAACGCUUCCGCUUUUGGUCUACGAGGGUACAUGGACACACUCUCCCCCUCUCGUUGCUAUGCAUCUCCUAGAUAGAUCUUGCGUGAGCAUAGGAAUUUUUCAAAUUGCAUGCUAUGUUUCCCAAUAGUGGCAUCACAGCCAGGUCUAUGCGUAGAUGAUAUGCACGAGUAGAACACAAAGAGUUGUGGGUGGUGAUUGUCAUACUACUUACCACCAAUGUAUUAUUUUGAUUCGGCGGUAUUAUUGGAUGAAGCGGCCCGAACCAACCUUACAUGACCACGUUCAUGAGAUCGGUUCCACCGAUAGACAUGCGACUAGUUUUGCAUAAAGGUGGCUUGCGGGUGUCUGUUUCUCCAACUUUAGUUGAAUUGAAUUUGACUGCGGCCGGUCCUUGUGAAGGUUAAAACAACAAACUUGAUAAAUCACGGUUGUGGUUUUGUGCCGUAGGUAAGAACGGUUCUUUCUAGAAGCCUGUAGCAGCCACGUAAAACUUGCAACAACAAAGUGGAGGACAUCUAACUUGUUUUUGCAGGGCAUGUUGUGAUGUGAUAUGGUCAAGACAUGAUGUGAUAUAUGUUGUUGUAUGAGAUGAUCAUGUUUUGUAUAAGUUAUCGGCAACUGGCAGGAGCCUUAUGGUUGUCGCUUUAUUCUAUGAAAUAUAAAUGCCAUGAAAUUUCUUUACUUUAUCACUAAGCGAUAGUGAUAGCUGUAGAAGCAAUAGUUGGCGAGACGACCACGACGCUACGAUGGAGAUCAAGGUGUCAAGCCGGUGAUGAUGGAGAUCAUGACGUUGCUUUGGUGAUGGAGAUCAAAAGCACAAGAUGAUGAUGGCCAUAUCAUGUCGCAUAUUUUGAUUGCAUGUGAUGUUUAUCUUUAUGCAUCUUAUUUUUCUUAGUAUGGAGGUAGCAUUAUAAGAUGAUCCCUUAACUAAAUUUCAAGGUAUAAGUGUUCUCCCCGAGUAUGCACCGUUGCGAAAGUUCUUUGUGCUGAGACACCACGUGAUGGUCGGGUGUGAUAAGCUCUAUGUUCAAAUACAACAGGUGCAAGCCAGUUUUGCACAUGCAGAAUACUCGGGUUAAACUUGACGAGCCUAGCAUGUACAGACAUGGCCUCGGAACACUGGAGAAUGAAAGGUCGAACGUUAAUCAUAUAGUGGAUAUGAUCAACAUAGAGACGUUCACCAUUGAUGACUACUCCAUCUCACGUGAUGAUUGGACAUGGUUUAGUUGAUUUGGAUCAUGUAUCAUUUAAUGACUUGAGGGAUGUCUAUCUAAGUGGGAGUUCUUAAGUAAUAUGAUUAAUUGAACUUAAUUUAUCAUGAACUUAGUCCUGAUAGUAUUUGCAAAUUAUGUUGUAGAUCAAUAGCUCGCGUUGUAGCUCCCCUAUGUUUUUUAUAUGUUCCUAGAGAAAGCUAAGUUGAAAGAUUAUAGUAGGAAUGAUGUGGUCUGGGUCCGUGAUCUAAGGAUUAUCCUCAUUGCUGCAUAGAAGAAUUGUGUCCAUAAUGCACCGCUAGGUGACAGACCUAUUGCAGGAGCAGAUGCAGAUGUUAUGAACGUUUAGCAAGCUCGAUAUGAUGACUACUUGAUAGUUUAGUGCACCAUGCUUUAUGGCUUAGAACCAGGACUUCAAAAACAUUUUGAACACCAUAGAGCAUAUGAGAUGUUCCAAGAGUUGAAAUUGGUAUUUCAGACUCAUGCCCGUGUCGAGAGGUAUGAGAGCUCUAACAAGUACUUUGCCUAAAAGAUGGACGAGAAUAGCUCAGCUAGUGAGCAUGCGCUCAGAAUGUCUGGGUAGUGCAAUCGCUUGAAUCAAGUGGGGGUUAAUCUUCCAGAUAAGAUAGUGAUUGAUAGAGUUCUCUAGACAACAUCACCAAGCUACUAGAACUUUGUGAUGAACUAUAAUAUGCAAGGGAUGACGAAAGCGAUUCCUGAGCUCUUCGUGAUGCUGAAAUCGAUGAAGGUAGAAAUCAAGAAAAAGCAUCAAGUGUUGAUGAUUAAACAAGACCACUAGUUUCAAGAAAAGGGCAAAGGAAAAUAAAGGGAACUUCAAGAAGAAUGGUAACCAAGUUUUCGCUCCCAUGAAAAAGCCCAAAGCUAGACUUAAGCCUAAAACUGAGUGCUUCUACUGCAAAGGAAAUGGUCACUGGAAGCGGAACUACCACAAAUAUUUGGAGGAUAAGAAGGAUGGCAAAGUGAACAAAGGUAUAUUUGAUAUACAUGUUGUUGAUGUGUACCUUACUAGUGCUCGUAGUAGCCCCUGGGUAUUUGAUGCAUGUUCGGUUGCUAAGAUUAGUAAGUCGAAACAGGGGUUGCAAAAUAAAUAGAGACUAGUUGAGGGUGAAGUGACGAUGUGUGUUGGAAGUGGUUCCAAGAUUGAUAUGAUCAUCAUCGCACACUCCCUAUACUUUCGUCAUUAGCGUUGAACCUAAAUAAGUGUUAUUUGGUGUUUGCAUUGAGCAUGAAUAUGAUUAGAUCAUGUUUAUUGCAAUACAGUUAUUCAUUUAAGACAGAGAAUAUUUGUUGUUCUAUUUACAUGAAUAAAACCUUCUAUGGUCAUACACCCAAUGUUAAUGUUUUAUUGAAUCUCGGUCGUAGUGAUACACAUAUUCAGAAUAUUGAUGCCAAAAGAUGCAAAGUUGAUAAUUAUAGUGCAACAUACUUGUGCCACUGCCGUUUAGGUCAUAUUGGUGUAAAGCGCAUGAAGAAACUCCAUGCUUAUGGGAUUUUGGAAUCACUUGAUUAUGAAUUAUUUGAUACUUGCGAACCAUGCCUCAUUGGCAAGAUGACUAAAACUCCAUUCUCCGGAACAAUGGAGAGAGCCAAUGACUUAUUGAAAAUAAUACAUACCGAUGUAUGCGGUCCCAUGAGUGUUGAGGCACGCGGUGGGUAUCGUUAUUUUCUAACAUUCACAGAUAAUUUGAGCAGAUAUGGGUAUAUCUACUUAAUGAAACACAAGUCUGAAACAUUUGAAAAGUUCAAAGAAUUUCAGGGUGAAGUGUAGAAUCAUCGUAAGAAGUAAAUAAAGUUUCUACGAUCUAAUCGUGGAGGGGAAUAUUUGAGUUAUGAGUUUGUCCUUCAUUUAAAACAAUGUGGAAUAGUUUCACAGCUCACGCCACCUGGAACACCAUAGCGUAAUGGUGUGUCCAAACAUCGUAAAUGCACUUUAUUAGAUAUGGUGCGAUCUAUGAUGUCUCUUACCAAUUUACCACUAUCGCUUUGGGGUUAUGCAUUAGAGACAGAUGCAUUCACAUUAAACAGGGCACCAUCAAAAUCCGUUGAGACGACACCGUAUGAACUAUGGUUUGGCAACAAACCUAAGCUGUCGUUUCUUAAAGUUUAGGGAUGCGAUGCUUAUGUCAAAAGGCUUUAGUCUGAUAUCAAACCCAAAUUGGAGAAGUGCGUCUUCAUAGGAUACCAUAAGGAAACAAUUGGGUACACCUUCUACCAUAGAUCCGAAGGCAAGAUAUUUGUUGCUAAGAAUGGAACCUUUCUAGAGAAGGAGUUUCUCUCGAAAGAAGUGAGUGGGAGGAAAGUAGAACUUGAUGAGGUAAUUGUACCUUCUCUUAAUUUGGAAAGUAGUUCAUCCGACAAAUCCGUUCCCGUGAUGCCUACGCCAAAUAGAGAGGAAGCUAACGAUAAUGAUCAUGAAACUUCAGAUCAAGUUGCUACAGAACCUCGUAGGUCAACCAGAGCAUGAUCCGCACCAGAGUGGUACGGUAAUCCUGUUUUGGAAGUCAUGUUACUAGACCAUGAUGAACCUACGAACUAAGAAGAAGCUAUGAUGAGCCCAGAUUCCGAUAAAUGGCUUGAGGCCAUGAAAUCUGAGAUAGAAUCCAUGUAUGAGAAUAAAGUGUGGACUUUGGUUGACUUGCUCGAUGAUCAGCGAGCCAUAGAAAAUAAAUGGAUAUUCAAGAGGAAGACAGACAGUGAUGGUAGUGUUACUAUCUACAAAGCUCGAAUUGUCGUAAAAGGUUUUUGACAAGUUCAAGGUGUUGACUACGAUGAGAUUUUCUCACUCGUAUCAAUGCUUAAGUCUAUCUGAAUCAUGUUAGCAAUUGCUGCAUUUUAUGAAAUCUGGAAAAUGGAUAUCAAAACUGCAUUCCUUAAUGGAUUCAUUAAAAAAAGUUGUACUAGAAGGUUUUUGUCAGUCCUAAAGGUGCUAACAAAAUGUGCAAGCUCCAGCGAUCCCAUCUAUGGACUGGUGCAAGCAUCUCAAAGUUGGAAUAUACGCUUUGAUGAGUUGAUCAAAGCAUAUAGUUUUAUACAGACUUGAGGUGAAGCCUGUAUUUACAAGUAGUGGGAGCACUACAACCUUUCUGAUAAGUAUAUUUGAAUGACAUUGUUGAUCAGAAAUGAUGUUGAAUUUUCUGGAAAGCAUAAAGGAGAGUUUGAAAGGAGUUUUUCAAAGAAAGACCUCGGUGAAGCUGCUUACAUAUUGGGUAUCAAGAUCUAUAGAGAUAGAUCAAGAUGCUUGAUAAGAUUUUUCAAUGAGUACAUACCUUGACAAGAUUUUGAAGUAGUUCAAAAUGGAACAGUCAAAGAAGGAGUUCUUUCCUGUAUUGCAAGGUGUAAAGUUGAGUAAGACUCAGAACCCGACCACAGCAGAAAAUAGAAAGAGAAUGAAAGUCAUUCCCUAUGCCUCUGUCAUAGGUUCUAUAAAGUAUGCUAUGAUGUGUACCAGACCUAUUGUGUACCUUAUCAUGAGUUUGGCAAGGGGGUACGAUAGUGAUCCAGGACUGGAUCACUGGAUAGCGGUCAAAGUUAUCCUUAGUUACCUAAGAGGACUAAGGAAAUAUUUCUCGGUUAUGGAGGUGAUAAAGAGUUCUCUGUAAAGAGUUACGUCGAUGCAAGAUUUUACACCGAUCCGGAUGACUAUGAGUCUCUAUCUGGAUACAUAUUAAAAGUGGGAGCAAUUAGCUAGAGUAGCUCCAUGCAGAGAAUUGUAGACAUAGAAAAUUUGCAAAAUACAUAUGGCUCUGAAAUAUGGCAGACCCGUUGACUAAACCUCUCUCACAAGCAAAACAUGAUCACACCUAAAUACUCUUUGGGUGUUAAUCACAUAGUGAUGUGAACUAGAUUAUUGACUCUAGUAAAACCUUUUUGGUGUUGGUCACAUGGUGAUGUGAACUAUGGGUGUUAAUCACAUAAAGAUGUGAACUAUUGGUAUUAAAUCACAUGGCGAUGUGAACUAGAUUAUUGACUCUAGUGGAAGUGGGAGACUGAAGGAAAUAUGCCCUAGAGGCAGUAAUAAAGUUGUUGUUUUAUAUUUCCUUAUUUCAUGACAAAUGUUUAUUAUUCAUGCUAGAAUUGUAUUAACCAGAAACUUGAUACAUGUGUGGAUACAUAGACAAAACAUCGUGUCCCUAGUAUGCCUCUACUUGACUAGCUCGUUAAUCAAAGAUGGUUAAGUUUCCUAGCCAUAGACUUGUGUUGUCAUUUGAUGAAAGGGAUCACAUCAUUAGGAGAAUGAUGUGAUGGAUAAGACCCAUCUGUUAGCUUAGCAUAAUGAUUGUUCAGUUUUAUUGCUACUUCUUUCUUCAUGUCAAAUAUAUACUCCUCCGACUAUGAGAUUAUGCAACUCCCGGAUGCCGAAGGAAUGCCUUGUGUGGUAUCAAACAUCACAGCGUAACUGGGUGAUUAUAAAGAUUCUCUACAGGUAUCUUCGAAGGUGUUUGUUGGGUUGGCAUAGAUCGAGAUUAGGAUUUGUCACUCCGAGUAUCGGAGAGGUGUCUCUGGGCCCUCUCGGUAAUGCACAUCAUAUGAAGCCUUGCAAGCAAUGUGACUAAUGAGUUAGUUACAGGACGAUGCAUUACAGAACGAGUAAAGAGACUUGCUAGUAAUGAGAUUGAACUAGGUAUGAAAGAUACCGACGAUCGAAUCUCGAGCAAGUAACAUACCGAUGACAAAGGGAAUAACGUAUGUUGUCAUAAUGGUUCGACGGAUAAAGAUAUUCGUAGAAUAUGUGGGAGACAAUAUGAGCAUCCAGGUUCCGCUAUUGGUUAUUGACCGGAGAGGUGUCUCAGUCAUGUCUACAUAGUUCUCAAACCCAUAGGGUCCACACGCUUAACAUUUGAUGACAAUUUGUAUUAUAUGAGUUAUGUGAUUUGAUGACCGAAUGUUGUUCGAAGUCCUGGAUGAGUUCACGGACAUGACGAGGAGUCUCGAAAUGUUCGAGAGGUAAAUAUUAUAUAUAAGACAAUAGUAUUUGGACACCAGAAGUGUUCCGGGGGUACCGGGUAUGUAUCGGGUCACCGGAACGGGUUCCGGGCAACCCCCGGCAAACUACAUGGGCCUAAUGGGCCAAGAAGGGGACAGACCAGCCCCUAAGGGGCUGGUGCACCCUGUGUAGGCUGAAUUAGGAGAGGGGAAGGAAAGAGGGGAAUAGAGGAGGAACGGGAGGGAUUCGGCCUCCCCCUUCCUUCCCUCCUCCCUCCUCCUUCCUUCCCCCUCCGGAAGAUAUGGAAAGGGGGGAGCCGAAUAGGAUUAGGGCCCCAAGUAGGAUUCCUCCCACUUGGGCGCCCCUUGGCUGCUCCCUCUCCCUCCCACCUAUAUAUAUGAGGGUAGGGCACCACUAGAACACACAAUAUUGAUUGUGGUGCCCUCUCCAUAGUUUACACCUCUAGUCAUAUUCACAUAGUGCUUAGGCGAAGCCCUACACGGAUCACUUCACCAUCACCGUCACCUCGCUAUUGUGCUGAAGCAACUCUCCCUCAACACUUUGCUGGAUCAAGAGUUCGAGGGACGUCAUUGAGCUGAACGUGUGUAGAACUCGGAGGUGUCGUACAUUUGGUGCUUGAUCGGUCGGAACAAGAAGAAGUUCGACUACAUCAACUGCGUUGUCAAACACUUCCGCUUUCGGUCUAUGAGGGUACGUGGACACACUCUCCCCCUCUUGUUGCAGUCAAAGUUAUCCUUAGUUACCUAAGAGGACUAAGGAAAUAUUUCUCGGUUAUAGAGGUGAUAAAGAGUUCAUCGUAAAGAGAUACGUCGAUGCAAGCUUUUACACCAAUCCACAUGACUCUGAGUCUCAAUCUGGAUACAUAUUGAAAGUGAGAGCAAUUACCUAUAGUAGAUCCAAGCAGAGAAUUGUAGACAUAGGAAAUUUGCAAAGCACAUACGGCUCUGAAUAUGGCAGACCCGUUGACUAAACUUCUCUCACAAGCAAAACAUGAUCACACCUUAGUACUCUUUGGGUGUUAAUCACAUAGCGAUGUGAAAUAGAUUAUUGACUCUAGUAAACCCUUUGGGUGUUGGUCACAUGGCGAUGUGAACUAUGGGUGUUAAUCACAUACAGAUGCAAACUAUUGGUGUUAAAUCACAUGGGGAUGUGAACUAGAUUAUUGACUCUAGUGGAAGUGGGAGACUAAAGGAAAUAUGCCCUAGAGGCAAUAAUAAAGUCAUUAUUUAUAUUUCCUUAUAUCAUGAUAAAUGUUUAUUAUUCAUGCUAGAAUUGUAUCAACCGGAAACUUAGUACAUGUGUGGAUACAUAGACAAAACAAAGUGUCCCUAGUAUGCCUCUACUUGACUAGCUCAUUAAUCAAAGAUGGUUAUGUUUCCUGACCAUAGACAUGUGUUGUCAUUUGAUAAAUGGGAUCACAUCAUUAGAGAAUGAUGUGAUGGGCAAGACCCAUCUGUUAGCUUAGCAUAAUGAUUGUUAAGUUUUUAUUGCUAUUGCUUUCUUCAUGACUUAUACAUGUCCCUCUGACUAUGGGAUUAUGCAACUCCCGAAUACUGGAGGAACACCUUGUGUGCUAUCAAACAUCACAAUGUAACUGGGUGAUUAUAAAGAUGCUCUACAUGUAUCUCCGAAGGUGUUUGUUGAGUUGGCAUAGAUCGAGAUUAGGAUUUUCCACUCUGUGUAUCGGAGAGGUAUCUCUGGACCCUCUCGGUAAUGCUCAUCACUAUAAGCCUUGCAAGCAAUGUGUAACAUCCCAAAUUUUCAAUUUGGAAUGUUAUACAUUAGAUCAUUAUUGCAUAUCAUAUUCUAAUGCAUUUUGGGUUGAUCCUAGAAAUUCUACGCAACUCAAGGACCCACGGAGAGAGUUGGGGAUUUCGUUAUUUUCAUUUUUGAGUUUACUCAAAUUUUUGAAAAGAGGAUCGUUUGAUUUUAAUUAUUUUUCUUUUGAAUAUUUCUUAUAUAAAAAUAAAAGAGAGGGGAUAAAAUGACUUCCCCAAAAUAAAGAAAUAUUGGAGGUUAAAUAUUAAAAUCAAAUAAGAAUUUUAUUCAGAGUUUUAUCGCUAUUUUAUUUGAAUUAGGAAAAAAAUGCAUUUUCCAAAAUUGCAAUAGAGGCCCAAAUAAAUGUUCACUUUUUCCGCUAAAUUUUUAGAGGACGGGGAAAAUUUAUGUCAGGAUUUUUGGAGUCCUUUUAGUAUUUCUUUUCUUCGUUUUUCUGCGCGGAAUUAUUUAAAAAAAAAGUCAACCGACCUAGCCGGGCCGUGCCCGACUACGACUCCAGCCCGGCCGGCCUUCAAGAGGCGAGGCCCGAGCCACCCCAAACCCUAGCCCCGCCCCCAGCUGAUACGCCGCCGCCGCCAGACUCUGCCGACCUCGCCGCCCCGUCGGAGUUCCCGCCGCCGCCACCGCCCAUCCGAGGUAGCCGCCGGUUUUCGUUAGAAAACCAUAGGUUUUUUUUAGAAACCCUGGUUAUAUUUUUUUCGAUCGGUUUUUUUCCUGGUUUAGUUAUUUAGCGAACGCCCGUUCGUACGUUCGGUUUUACAAACGGUUUUCACCCGUUAGCCGCAGACAGUGAACGUUCGUUCGUUAGCCUUUUCGUCGGUUUCUCUUUUUCCAGGGUUUUUCGCGAUUAUUUUCGAUCGCGAUUUCUGCCCUGAUUUUUGUUUUAGUUUAUCUUUUCGCUCGUUUAUCGGAAUCAGGCGAUUCAAGAGCCCAGAUCUUUGUCUUGAAGCCCUCUUUCUAUUUAAAAAAACAUAAACAAGAUUUUGUUACUGUAAAAUUUGACUUAAGUCUAGAUUAGUAAACGGAUCUUGUUUCUUUCGUAGUUUGAGUUUCGUUGCUUCGUUUGAUUUGAUUCUUUUUGCAAACCGGAGUUCUUAAGUUAAACUUUCUAGUUAGAUCUCUUAUUUGAGUUUUACCCGUGCUUCUAGUUGAGUGCUUAUUGUAUGCUUGUUUGUUUGCGAUAGAGUACCCGGAGUGCGAAGCGUGCUACUACGAGUCUCUAGGUUUCACGGAUCCUCGGCAAGGCAAGUAACACUUUGAUCAUACCUCUUUACUACCCAGUUUUAUUGCAUUAGAUCAAUCCUCAAACAAUUGCAUGGUUAGGAUCUGAUUAAUAUGUGGGUUUUGGGAAGUAGAUGAUGAGGUAGAACCUAUUGCCCUGUUUAUUAUCAAACCUAUGGGAGUUACUUCUACGUUGCUUAUAUUGCUAUGCUAUGCUUGUACAUGUGGUUUGGUUCAAGUGAUUCAUGACAGAUGUGAGUAUUGUUAAUUAAUGGUUUACUUAAGGUGGUUACUUAAAUACACAUAUUGGUGGAUUGCUUGAAGGCACCCUGGAGUACCCAGUGGUUGCCAGGGCACCUGGAGAAUCUAGUGUUGUCCUAGGAUAUCCCGUAGUACCCAUGUGAUCAUCCUACGGUCCGCCAUCCAGGCUCAAAGGGAUCAUAAGAUUAUUCAUGCUAGAAACUUUCAUGUGCAGCCACAAGCCAAUAUGGGCUCUCGCAUAGUUGAGUAAGUUGCGUGAAGCUCUUGAAGAGGUAGACUAGCAGAUGUAGUGGGUUGUGGGUGGUACUGUCUAUCCAGAGUAGAGAGUUAAUGCUUCAGAAAGACUGUGUCUCGAAUCUCCGACCAUGGAUGUAUUCGAGUCUUGUGGGGAAAACUGCGCAAACCUCUGAAGAGUUUACAAACUAAUCAUGGUUAGUCGUGUCCCAGGUUAUGGACGUUUUGAGUAUCUAGUUAUUGGAUUAUCAUGUUGAUCUCAUCACUAUAAAUAUAAUUUUAUUGGGUUUAAUGAUGAUGUUUAAUUGGGAUUGAGUUGGAGGAACCUUCUCAAUGUUUAACAACCACCAUGAUAGUUAAAUAAAAUUUAUUCCUUUGUUGUAGGGAAAAAUUGGCUUUAUGCAAAACUGUAACCAUAGAGCUUUCCACCAGCCAUAUAUGCAUGUAGUGAUAGCAUUUAUUCUGUUCUUUUCUCUAUGUGUUACAUUGCCAGCAUAUUCCAUGUGCUGACCCGUUUCGGGCUGCAAUGUUCAUGUUGCAGACUUUUCAGACGACGAGUAAGGUGCCAUAGGUCAUUGUCUUUCACUCAGUGAUGCGGUUGGAGUUGAUGGACUCACUUUAUCUUCCAAGCCUUUCGCUGUUAUCGUUUUUAGAUGGCCCUACUCCAUAUUUAUAGUAAUAAGUUCUCUUUUGAGACAUUCGAUGUAAUAAGUGUGCGAUUGCUACUCUGUUAUAAAUCCUCAAGUACUGUGCAUGUCAGCAUUACCGAUCCAGGGAUGACACUAACGCACAUAGAUCAGACUGUUUGAGGUCUGGUCGCUACAAGAUGGUAUCAGAGCACACGCUGACUGUAGGACACGACCACUAAGCUAAAGCCCUAGAUCACUACUCUCUUCUCAUUUCUGACUCCUCUCCCUUUUCUACUCUUUAGGAUGGCGGAUGCAAGGAACAAGUUCACUCAACCGGAUGAAGAUACACCUUUUGGACGACACUUGAAGGAAGUCACUAGAUACCUGAACAUCGGAAGAUAUCAUGGAGUCUUCCACCGAUCAAUUUUUCUAGUCGACCACCAUAUCAGUAGUAGUAUCACCGCCCAUGUGUAUAGUAUAGUCCGAGCCCUUUUGUAAUGAUAGUUAGACCGCUUGUAUGCUCUUGUUUGAAUUGAUUGGAGUGAUGUGUUUGUGUUUGUCUCAUGUGCAUAUGGGUAGUGUUUUCCCUCUACAUCUCAUUCAAUUCUAUUUUCUCAUCUUUUCUAAACCCAUCAGAUGCCUCCGAGAUGCGACAAUGGAUUUGCUUUCCCACCGGAGCUCACUUAGUUGAUCCAGCAGCAGAAUGCCUUCAUGCAGAUACUAGUCCAGAAUCAGAACCAGGGGAACAACAACAACAACCAACCAACCAACCACCACCACCACUUGUUGAUCACUUAGCCCGUUUUCUAAGGUUGAAUCCAUCAGUGUUCUCUAGUAGCAGCGAGCCGAUAGUUGCAGAUGAUUGGCUCUGCAAGAUUGGAAGGGAGUUGACCACUGCAGGAUGCACAUAUGCGGAGAGAGUGUGUUUUGUCGCACAUCAGCUUGAUGGACCCGCAGCAUCAUGGUGGGAGAAUUUCACAGCCACUUACCCCAUCGACACUGUCACAUGGGACCAGUUUCAGAAGGCUUUUCGCACUACCCAUGUUUCAGCAGGAGCUAUGGCCAUGAAGAAGCGCGAGUUUCGCAACUUGUGCUAAGGAGGACGCACAGUGGGCAAGUAUGUGGAUGAUUUUAGUAAGUUAGCAUGUUAUGCCCCAGAUGACGUUGCUACGGAUGCAGCUAAGAAGGAGAAGUUUCUGGAAGGACUGAAUGAUGAGCUGAGCAUGCAGUUGAUGGUGGCAACCUUCAACAACUACCAGGAGUUGAUAGAUAGAGCUCUCAUGAUUGAAGGGAAGCAGCAGCAGAUUGACAAUCACAAGAGGAAGUAUGGACAAGGGAAGUACAAUUCUGGAGCUCAGCAGAGACCCCGUUUUACCCCGAACUCGAGAGGACCCCUUCACCAUAACCAUGGAGGUCACAAUCACAAUGGAGGGAGUUCGCAUAACCAUAGUGGCCCCAAGAAUGGGAAUGUUAAUGGAGGAAGCAACGGACAGAACCGUUCCAACCCCGCAACGCCCGCCAAGAAGGAUAUAAGUCACAUUACUUGUUUCAAGUGCAGGAAGAAUGGACAUUAUGCCACGGAGUGUUCUGAAGCAAAGAAUGGAAAUGGCAAUGGAAGCUCUAGGAAGAAGCCCAACCCUUUCAAUAGGGGACAAGUGAACCACGUUACCGUGGACGAGGUUGAAGCGCAGCCCGAUGCAGUAAUAGGUAAGUUUUUGGUUAAGUCAUUUACUACAAUCAUUCUUUUUGAUACUGGUGCAUCGCAUUCAUACAUAUCAAGGGGAUUUGUGGAUAAGUUUAACCUGCCAACCCAAGCCCUUAGGUCACCCAUGUUAGUAACCUUGCCAGGAGCAGAGUAUAUGGCUAGUCUAUGGUGCGACCGGUUACCAUUAAGGAUUGGUAACUACGUGUUUCCCUCAGACCUAAUAGUAUUGGAGUCACAAGGACUGGAUGUAAUAUUAGGCAUGGAUUGGUUGUCGAAGUAUGGAGGGAACAUUGAUUGCGCCAGUAAGUCGAUUUUUCCCACCACCCCAGAAGGAAGAAGGAUCAAGUAUGUAUCCCGACAUGUGCCGAAGAGGACUCAAGUGAAUUCCUUAUCAGGAGUUGUACAGGAGGAAGUACCAGUGGUGAAGGAUUUCCCUGAUGUAUUUCCAGAAGAGUUGCCAGGCAUGCCACCGGAUAGAGACAUUGAGUUUUUGAUUGAGCUUUUGCCAGGCACAGGGCCAAUAUCUAAGAGACCGUACAGGAUGCCCGCAAAGGAUUGGAGGAAAUUAAGAAGCAGAUUAAGGAGUUAUUGGAUAAAGGCUAUAUUCGCCCAAGUUCAUCACCUUGGGGAUCACCAGUGCUUCUAGUGGAGAAUAAGGAUGGAUCGUUGAGAAUGGUUGUCGAUUAUAGUGGAUUGAAUGAAGUGACGAUCAAGAACAAGUACCCACUGUCGAUGAUCAAUGAUUUGUUUGAUCAGUUGCAAGGAGCUAAAGUAUUUUCCAAGAUCGAUCUGUGAUCAGGUUACCACCAGCUGAAGAUUCGAGAGCAGGAUAUACCUAAGACAACUUUUACCACAAGGUACGGGCUAUAUGAGUAUACAGUUAUGUCAUUUGGUCUAACUAACGCACCUGCCUAUUUCAUGAACAUGAUCAACAAAGUGUUUAUGGAGUUCUUGGAUAAGUUCAUUGUGGUGUUCAUUGAUGAUAUUCUGGUUUACUGAAGAAUGAAGAGGGGCAUAGGGAGAAUUUGCGUUUGGUACUUGGGAAGCUCAGAGAACAUCAACUAUAUGCCAAGUUCAGCAAGUGUGAGUUUUGGUUGAAGGAAGUUCGAUUCCUCGGACAUGUUAUAUCCGGAGAAGGAAUUGCAGUAGACCCCACCAAGGUUGUCAUUGUGACAAAUUGGGAAGCGCCCACGUUAGUUGGAGAGAUCCAGAGUUUUCUUGGACUCGCAGGAUACUACAGGAGGUUCAUUGAGAAUUUCUCCAAGAUUGCAAAGCCCAUGACGGAGUUGUUGAAGAAGGACACCAAGUUCAAUUGGACUGAGGAAUGAGAGGCCAGUUUCCAAGAGUUGAAGAAAUGUUUGGUUACAGCUCCAGUGUUAAUUCUUACAGAUCAACGCAAGGAUUAUCAAGUGUAUUGCGACGCUUCUCGUCGAGGACUUGGAGCAGUGCUUAUGCAGGAGGGAAGAGUUGUCUCCUAUGCCUCACGACAGCUUAAACCCCAUGAGUUGAAUUAUGCUAUGCAUGAUUUGGAGUUAGCAGCCGUAGUGCAUGCGUUGAAGACAUGGAGACAUUUUCUCAUCGGAAACCAUUGUGAGGUGUACACGGAUCACAAGAGUUUGAAGUAUAUCUUCACACAGAAGGAGUUGAGUCUCAGGUAGAGGAGAUGGUUGGAGCUCAUCAAGGAUUAUGAUAUGAGGUUGCAUUAUCAUCCCGGGAAGGCUAACGUAGUAGCUGAUGUGUUGAGUCGCAAGAGCCAUGUCAAUACGCUCAUGACCAGGGAGUUACCCAAGGAGUUAGCAGAGGAUCUUCGUGAGCUAUGUUUGGAGAUAGUUCCGAGAGGUUAUGUAGCAACAUUGGAGAUUCAGUCAACUUUGAUGGAUAAAAUCAGAGAAGCUCAGAAGACGGACAAGGAGAUUGCCGAGAUAAAGGAAAAAAUGAGCAAAGGAAAAGCUAAGGGAUUUCGUGAGGAUGAGCAUGAUACCUUAUGGUUUGAGGACCGCAUAUAUGUGCCUAAUGACCCGGAGAUCAGGAAGUUGAUUCUGCAGGAGGCCCAUGAUUCGCCGUAUUCGAUUCACCCAGGAAAUACCAAGAUGUAUCUGGAUUUGAAGGACAGUUUCUGGUGUACCGGAAUGAAGAAGGAUAUUGCGGAGUAUGUAGCUGUUUGUGAUGUAUGUCAGAGAGUGAAGGCAGAGCAUCAGAAGCCAGCAGGAUUGCUACAGCCAUUGCCGGUACCCGAAUGGAAGUGGGAUAAGUUAGGCAUGGAUUUUAUCAUGGGAUUGCCCAGGACUCGUUUAGGCUAUGACUCGAUAUGGGUUGUAGUCGAUCGUUUGACGAAGGUAGCUCAUUUCAUCCCAGUGAAGACCACUUAAGCCAGUGCUAAGUUGGCAAAGAUAUACAUGACCAGGAUCGUAUGUCUGCAUGGAGUUCCGAGGACCAUUGUAUCAGAUAGAGGAACCCAGUUUACCUCAAAGUUUUGGAAUCAGUUGCAUGAAACUUUGGGUACGAGGCUAGAGUUCAAUACAGCCUUCCAUCCAUAGACAGAUGGAUAGACUGAGAGAGUCAAUCAUAUUCUGGAGGACAUGUUGAGAGCUUGUGUGCUAGAUUAUGGAUCUAGUUGGGACGACAAUUUGCCGUAUGCGGAGUUCUCUUACAAUAAUAGUUAUCAAGCCAGUUUUAAGAUGGCCCCUUUCGAAGCUUUGUACGGAAGGAGGUGUAGGACACCGUUGCUGUGGGAUGAAGUUGGAGACUGACAGUUGUUUGGUCCAGAUUUGAUUAAAGAGUCUGAAGAGAAGGCUAAGCUGAUUCGCGAUAGACUCAAGGUAGCCCAGUCCAGGCAGAAGAGCUAUGUGGAUUCAAAACGCAAGGAGACAGUUUACGAAGUCGGAGACAGAGUUUAUCUUCAUGUGUCCCCACUUCAAGGAGUUAAGCGAUUUGGAGUUAAGGGAAAGUUAGCACCACGUUUUGUGGGACCAUACAAAGUUUUGGGACGUAUGGGAGAAGUUGCUUACAAGUUGGAAUUGCCCGAAGGAUUGUCAGGAGUUCACAAUGUGUUCCACGUUUCCCAGUUGAAGAAGUGCCACGCAAAGAUGGCUGACAUUCCACUAAGAGAUACAGUACCAUUGGAUGCGAUUCAGUUAGAUAGCGAUUUGACCUAUGAGGAGAAACCAGUCAAGAUUCUUGAGUUUGCCAGCCGAGUCACACGUAGUAAGGUUAUCAAAUUCUGCAAAGUUCAGUGGAGCCACCAUACCGAGGAUGAAGCCACCUGGGAACGAGAGGAAGACCUACGGAAGGACCACCCUCGCCUAUUUUCUAGCCAACCCAAAUCUCGAGGGCGAGAUUCAUCUUAAGGGGGGUAGGUUUGUAACAUCCCAAAUUUUCAAUUUGGAAUGUUAUAUGAUACGUCUCCAACAUAUCUAUAAAUUUUGAUUGUUCCAUGCUAUUAUAUUACCCCUUUUGGAUGUUUAUGGGCUCUAUUUUACACAUUUAUAUCAUUUUUGGGACUAACCUACUAACCGGAGGCCCAGCCCAUAUUGCUAUUUUUUUGCCUAUUUCAGUAUUUCAAAGAAAAGGAAUAUCAAACGGAGUCCAAACGGAAUGAAACCUUUGGGAGCCUGAUUUUUGGAACGAACGUGAUCCAGAGGACUUGGAGUGCAAGUCAAGAAGCAGCCGAGGCUCCCACGAGAUAGAAGGCCCCUCCCCCCUAUAGGGAGCGCCCCCCUGUCUCAUGGGCCCCUCGGGCGUCCACCGACGUACUUCUUCCUCCUAUAUAAGCCUACGUACCCCAAAAACAUCCAGGGAGCAGGCGAAACACAAUUUCCACCACCGUAACCUUCUGUAUCCGCGAGAUCUCAUCUUCGAGCCUUCGCCGGCACUCUGCCGGAGGGGGAAUCAACCACGGAGGGCUUCUACAUCAACAUCCUUGCCCCUCCGAUGAGUUGUGAGUAGUUUACCAUAGACCUACGGGUCCAUAGUUAUUAGCUAGAUGGCUUCUUCUCUCUUUUUGGAUCUCAAUACAAUGUUCUCCCCCUCUCUUGUGGAGAUCUAUUCGAUGUAAACUCUUUUUGCGGUGUGUUCGUCGAGAUUCGAUGAAUUGUGGGUUUAUGAUCAAGUUUAUCUAUGAAUAAUAUUUGAAUCUUCUCUGAAUUCUUUUAUGUAUGAUUGAGCUAUCUUUGCAAGUCUCUUUGAAUUAUCAGUUUGGUUUGGCCUACUAGAUUGAUCUUUCUUGCCAUGGGAGAAGUGCUUAGCUUUGGGUUCAAUCUUGCGGUGUCCUUACCCAUUGACAGCAGGGGCAGCAAGGCACGUAUUGUAUUGUUGCCAUUGAGGAUAAAAAGAUGGGGUUUAUAUCAUAUUGCAUGAGUCUAUCCCUCUACAUCAUGUCAUCUUUCUUAAUGCAUUACUAUAUUCUUAUGAACUUAAUACUCUAGAUGCAUGUUGGAUAGCGGUUGAUAUGUGGAGUAAUAUUAGUAGAUGCAGGCAGGAGUCGGUCUACUUGUCACGGACGUGAUGCCUAUAUACAUGAUCAUGCCUAGAUAAUCUCAUAAUUAUUCGCUUUUCUAUCAAUUGCUCGAUAGUAAUUUGUUCACCCACCGUAAUACUUAUGCUAUCUUGAGAGAAGCCACUAGUGAAACCUAUGGCCGCCGGGUCUAUCUCUUAUCAUAUUUCCUUCCUAUCUACUUUUGGCAUCUUUACUUUUUGCAUCUAUAUUAUGAAAUACCAAAAAUAUAUUUAUCUUAUCUUACUAUCUUUAUUAGAUCUCACUUUCGCAAGUGGCCGUGAAGGGAUUGACAACCCCUUUAUUAUGUUGGUUGCAAGUUCUUAGUUUGUUUGUGUAGGUGCGUGGGACUUUUGAGGAGCCUCCUACUGGAUUGAUACCUUGGUUCUCAAAAACUGAGGGAAAUACUUACGCUACUAUUGCUGCAUCACCCUCUCCUCUUCGAGGAAAACCAACGAAAGCUCAAGAUGUAGCAUUAUACAUUAGAUCAUUAUUGCAUAUCAUAUUUUAAUGCAUUUUGGGUUGAUCCUAGAAAUUCUACGCAACUCAAGGACCCACUGAGAGAGUUGGGGAUUUCGUUAUUUUCAUUUUUGAGUUUACUCAAAUUUUUGAAAAUAGGAUUGUUUGAUUUUAAUUAUUUUUCUUUUCAAAUAUUUCUUUAAUAAAAAUAAAAGAGAGGGGGUAAAAUGAAUUCCCCAAAAUAAAGAAAUAUUGGAGGUUAAAUUUUAAAAUCAAAUAAGAAUUUUAUUCGGAGUUUUAUCGCUAUUUUAUUUGAAUUAGGAAAAAAUGCGUUUUCCAAAAUUGCAUUAGAGGCCCAAAUAAAUGUUCGCUUUGUCCGCUAUAUUUUUAGAGGACAGGGAAAAUGUAUUUCAGGAUUUUUGGAGUCCGUUUAGUAUUUCUUUUAUUUGUUUUUCUGCGCGGAAAUAUAUAAAAAAAGUCAACCGACCUAGCCGGGCCGUGCCUGACUAGGACUCCAGCCCGGCCGGCCUUUAAGAGGCGAGGCCUGAGGCGCCCCAAACCCUAGCCCCGCCCCCGCCCGAUACGCCACCGCCACUGGACGCCUCGCCGCCGACCUCGCCGCCCCGCCGGAGUUCCCGCCGCCGCCGCCGCCCGUCCCAAGGUAGCCGCGGGUUUUCGUUAGAAAAUCAUAGGUUUUUUUUAGAAACUCUCGGUUAUAUUUUUUUAGAUCGGGUUUUAUUUUUUUCCCGGUUUAGUUAUUUAGCGAACGCCCGUUCGUAUGUUCGUUUUAACGAACGGUUUUCACCCAUUAGCCGCACACAGCGAAUGUUCGUUCGUUAGCCUGUUCGUCGGUUUUUCUUUUUCCAGGGUUUUCCGCGAUUAUUUUCGAUCGCGAUUUCUGCCCUGAUUUUCAUUUUAGUUUAUCUUUUCGCUCGUUUAUCAAAAUCUGGCGAUUCAAGAGCCCAGAUCUUUGUCUCGAAGCCCUCUUUCUAUUUAAACAACUUAAACAAGAUUUUGUUACUGUAAAAUUUUACUUAAGUCCAGAUUAGUAAACGGAUCUUGUUUCUUUUGCAGUUUGAGUUUCCUUGCUUUGUUUGUUUUGACUUUUUGCAAAUCGGAGUUCUUAAGUUGAACUUUCUGGUUAGAUCUCUUAUUUGAGUUUUACAUGUGCUUCUAGUUGAGUGCUUAUUGUAUGCUUGUUUGUUUGCGAUCGAGUACCCGGAGUGCGAAGCGUGCUACUACGAGUCUCUAGGUUUCACGGAUCCUCAGCAAGGCAAGUAACACUUUUAUCAUACCUCUUUACUACCCAGUUUUAUUGCAUUAGAUCAAUCCUCAAACAAUUGCAUGGUUAGGAUCUGAUUAAUAUGUGGGUUUUGGGAAGUAGAUGAUGAGGUAGAACCUAUUGCCCUGUUUAUUAUCAAACCUAGGGGAGUUACUUCUACGUUGCUUAUAUUGCUAUGCUAUGCUUGUAGACGUGGUUUGGUUCAAGUGAUUCAUGACAUAUGUGAGUAUUGUUAAUUAAUGGUUUACUUAAGGUGGCUACUUAAAUACACAUCUGGGUGGAUUGCUUGAAGGCACCCUGGAGUAACCAGUGGUUGCCAAGACACCUGGAGAAUCUAGUGUUGUCCUAGGAUAUCCCGGAGUUCCCGUGUCAUCAUCCUACAGUCCGCCACCCAGGCUCAAAGGGAUCAUAAGAUUAUUCAUGCUAGAAACUUCCGUGUGCAGCCACAAGCCAAUAUGGGCUCUGGCAUAGUUGAGUAAGUUGCGUGAAGCUCUUGAAGAGGUAGACUAGCAAAUGUAGUGGGUUGUGGGUGGUACUAUCUAUCCAGAGUAGAGAGUUAAUGCUUCAUAAAGACUGUGUCUCGAAUCUCCGACCAUGGAUGUAUUCGAGUCUUGUGGGGAAAAGUGAGCAAACCUCUGCAGAGUGUACAAACUAAUCAUGGUUAGCCGUGUCCCUGGUUAUGGACGUUUUGAGUAUCUAGUUCUUGGAUUAUCAUGUUGAUCUCAUCACUCUAAAUAUAAUUUGAUUGGGUUUAAUGAUGAUGUUUAAUUGGGAUUGAGUUGGAGGAACCUUCUCAAUGUUUAACAACCACCAUGAUAGUUAAAUAAAAUUUAUUCCUUUGUUGUAGGGAAAAAAUUGGCUUUAUGCAAAACUAUAACCAUAGAGCUUUCCACCAGCCAUAUAUGCAUGUAGUGAUAGCAUUUGUUAUGUUCAUUACUCUAUGUGUUACAUUGCCAGCAUAUUCCAUGUGCUGACCCAUUUCGGGCUGUAACGUUCAUGUUGCAGACUUUUUAGACGACGAGUAAGGUGCCAUAGGUCGUUGUCUUUCACUCAGUGAUGUCGUUGGAGUUGAUGGACUCACUUUAUCUUCCAAGCCUUCCGUUGUUAUCGUUUUUAGAUGUCCCUACGCCAUAUUUAUAGUAAUAAGUUCUAUUCUGAGACAUUCGAUGUAAUAAGUGUGUGAUUGCUACUCUAUUAUAAAUCCUCAAGUACUGUCGUGUCAGCAUUCCCAAUCCAGGGAUGACACUGAUGCACAGGGAUCAGACUGUUUGAGGUCUGGACGCUACACAAUGUGACUAAUGAGUUAGUUGAGGGAUGAAGCAUUACAGAAUGAGUAAAGAGACUUGCCGGUAACGAGAUUGAACUAGGUAUGAUGAUACAAAUGAUCGAAUCUCGAGCAAGUAACAUACCGAUGACAAAGGGAACAACAUAUGUGGUUAUGCGGAUUGGCCGAUAAAGAUCUCAUAGAAUAUGGAGGAACCAAUAUGGGCAUCCAGGUUCCGCUAUUGGUUAUUGAUCUACAUAGUUCUCAAACCGGUAGGGUCCGCACGCUUAACGUUCGAUGACAAUUUAUAUUAUGAGUUAUGUGUUUUGGUGACCGAAGGUUGUUCGGAGUCCCGGAUGAGAUCACGGACAUGACGAGGAGUCUCUAAAUGGUCGAGAGGNNNNNNNNNNNNNNNNNNNNNNNNNNNNNNNNNNNNNNNNNNNNNNNNNNNNNNNNNNNNNNNNNNNNNNNNNNNNNNNNNNNNNNNNNNNNNNNNNNNNNNNNNNNNNNNNNNNNNNNNNNNNNNNNNNNNNNNNNNNNNNNNNNNNNNNNNNNNNNNNNNNNNNNNNNNNNNNNNNNNNNNNNNNNNNNNNNNNNNNNNNNNNNNNNNNNNNNNNNNNNNNNNNNNNNNNNNNNNNNNNNNNNNNNNNNNNNNNNNNNNNNNNNNNNNNNNNNNNNNNNNNNNNNNNNNNNNNNNNNNNNNNNNNNNNNNNNNNNNNNNNNNNNNNNNNNNNNNNNNNNNNNNNNNNNNNNNNNNNNNNNNNNNNNNNNNNNNNNNNNNNNNNNNNNNNNNNNNNNNNNNNNNNNNNNNNNNNNNNNNNNNNNNNNNNNNNNNNNNNNNNNNNNNNNNNNNNNNNNNNNNNNNNNNNNNNNNNNNNNNNNNNNGUGUCAAAACCGGCGGAUCUCGGGUAGGGGGUCCCGAACUGUGCGUCUAGGCGGAUGGUAACAGGAGACAAGGGACACGAUGUUUUACCCAGGUUCGGGCCCUCUUGAUGGAGGUAAAAACCUACGUCCUGCUUGAUUGAUAUUGAUAUUGUGGAUGUUUACAAGAGUGGAUCUACCACGAGAUCAAGGAGGCUAAACCCUAGAAGCUAGCCUAUGGUAUGAUUGUAAUGGUUGUUGUUGUGUCCUAUGGACUAGAGCCAUCCGGUUUAUAUAGACACCGGAGAGGGCUAGGGUUACAUAGAGUCGGUUACAUUGGUAGGAGAUCUACAUAUCCGUAUCGCCAAGCUUGCCUUCCACGCCAAGGAAAGUCCCAUCCGGACACGGGACGAAGUCUUCAAUCUUGUAUCUUCAUAGUCUUGGAGUCCGGUCGAUGAUGAUAGUCCGGCCGAUGAUAGUUCGGCUGAUGAUGGUAGUCCGGCUAUCCGGACACCCCCUAAUCCAGGACUCCCUCAGUAGCCCCUGAACCAGGCUUCAAUGACGAUAAGUCCGGCGCGUAUAUUGCUUGGCAUUGCAAGGCGGGUUCCUCCUCCGAAUGAUAGAAGAUUGUGAACACCAGGAUAGUGUCCGGCUCUGCAAAAUAAAUUCCACAUUCCACUGUAGAGAGAAUAAUAUAUACACAAGUUCAAUCUGCUGACGUUUUUUUGCGGCAUGACGUCAUGCCACUACCAAGCCAUUACUUGAAUCAUUUUUUACUCUACCACCUCAGCGCAUUUAGCGAAGCGGUUUCCUUGGCACGUCAUGUCGAAGCAGAGAUCGUGUUCCCCCUUAAUCCGGGAUUCUCAUCAAUACGGACGUGGGUAACCCAACCGCGCCAUUGAUGGUGACGCUUGGGGGAUAAGCGAGUUUUACCAGGCCAGUGGGGGACGCGUAGACUUCGCCCGCCCAUAUAAAGGAUAAGGAUUCACCUUUUCACCUACGCCUUCUUCCUCCUUUGCUUAUCCAUCUCCGUGCACUCGAGCUCCAGCGCCCAAGCCCGCACAUCUCGUCUCAACCUUCCCCAGUUAUGUCCGGAGCGGGAGGCAAGUGGAUGACCUCCUCCGUUAUGGAGGAGCACAUCGAAAGACUGAGCAGCGCCGGCUACCUGUCCGGCGACAUCGCGCACCGGCUGCCCGACGAGGGGCAGCUCAUCCCCACCCCCAGGCCCCAUGAGAGGGUCGUUUUUCUUCCCCACUUCCUCCGCGGACUGGGUUUUCCACUUCACCCCUUUGUCCGGGGGCUCAUGUUCUACUACGGCCUGGAUUUCCAUGAUCUGGCGCCGAACUUCAUCCUCAACAUCUCGGCAUUUAUCGUCGUGUGCGAGGCCUUCCUCUGCAUCCAGCCCCACUUCGGCUUGUGGCUCAAGACCUUCAAUGUCAAGCCGAAGGUAGUGAAGGGCACUCAAGCGGAGUGCGGAGGUGCCAUGUUGGGCAAGAUGCCCAAUGUCCUUUGGUUCGAAGGGGCCUUCGUGGAAUCCGUCAAGGGGUGGCAAUCGGGGUGGUUCUAUAUCACCGAGCCGCGCGAUCCUAAGUGGGUGGCGGCCCCCGAGUUCAGAUCUGGUAUCCCCACGCAGCUCACCUCCUGGAAAGAGAAGGGCUUGCUGUGGGGUAGUUCGGAGGAGCUAACGGGACUCCAAGACUGUAUCCAGAAGCUGGUGAAGAAGCUCAGGCUGGUUAACGUGGUCCAAGUCAUGCUCGUCCGCCGGAUUCUCCCAUGCCAAGAGCGGGCAUUCAAUCUGUGGGAGUUCAAUCCGGAACAACACCAGGCGCUGAGCGGGCUCUUCGACACGACGUACGAAGGCGCCUGGAGGGUGCUGUUUAAGGGCGCCGAAACCCCCGCAUCCGCGACUGAAGAUCGCGGAUUUCGCUCGCAGCGCCAAGCCGACGAGGUAAGUGAUUCUACCCCUUUAUGGGACACUUGCUUUUCAUAGUUUGACUUUAUGCGGGUUUUAAUUUCCCCUUUUCCUUUGACAGGACUGGAUGAGGAAGGCGGAGCAGAUUAUCUGCCCGGCUCCCAUGCCAGAAAACCCAGUAGACGCCCAUCUAGCGAGGCUACUGGUUCCGGCACCGCACGUGGUGCCGGAGAAGAAGGCCAAGAAGGAGGCCACGAGUGCUCGAAAGAGUUCCCGUUUUCAGGUGUCCGAUGACUCCGGGGCGGACUCCUCCCCGAAAACGAGGAGGAGAAAGAGGACUCUCUCCCAGAGGAGGGAGAGAGGAAGAGGAAGGCUUCCCCAACAGGGGAGGCCGAAGGGUCCAAGAGGGGAAGGACUAUUCCCCCGAACAGCUCCGCCAACAUCAACGUUGGCGAGGAAGAAUGGCCUUCAAGGGCCAGGCCUCCAGCGAGAUCGUAAGUAUCCGGAUUCCUGAGUGAUUUAUAAUUUCUUUUUCUGUGUCACAUAGUGUCAUUCUGAUGCCGCAUGCUGCCUGUAGUCCGGCCAAUGAUGAUCUCCCCGCUUCAUCGAGCGGGUCGUUGGCUCCGUCGGAUGUAGACUCCAUCCCGACCGCCUCCACCCCUCGCGACACCGAGGACGCCGAGGUGGGAUCCCAAGAAGGGACCCAUCAGGGGGAGGCUCCGAAGGCGCCACAAGGCGUCCUCCCGGACUUUGCGCCGGAUUCCAUAUCAGAACCCGCAAUGGUUCCGGAGUCCGACCGGCGGCCCCUUCGCACGAAGGGCAAGACCGUGACACCGGCGGCUUCCGUCCAACCGGAGGCGUCGGACAAUUUGUUGGAGGCGCUGCAGAGCGCUUCCAUCGAGGAAGAACACCGCACUAUUAUGAGUGCGGUGAUUUAGAAGGUACAGCUCGCCAAGAGCGGGCUGACCGAAGCCUGCAGUAGCCUUCUAUCAGGCUUUGAGGUAAGAAGUUAAAAAUAUGUAAUGUAAUACCGCAUAGACAGUAGCCCCUGAUGCUCGGUUCGGUGUUCGUAAAGAAAAGCCGGACUGAGGAUCUGAAAAAAAAAGAAGAUAUACGCAGGGUUGCUAAAAAAUUAUGUCAAUAUGGGUUGCAGGCUGCGCUGCUGACCUCUGCCGCACUGACUGCGGAGGUCGGUGCUUUGAAGCAGGAGCUCGAGCGGUCCGAGCAAGAGCUCGGCCGCGCCAAGAAGCAGCUCCAGGACAAAGAAGGUGAGUAACACCACUUUGAACUUGUACCUUACAGAAAAGGAUUUAGGUUGCAACAAAAAAUAACAAGGAUAACAUGGGUACUGCAGGGGCCACGAACGAGGUGGCGACCCAGAAGGAGGCCGUGUCUGCGGCCGAACGCAAUGCGGCCGCGGAACGGGUAGAGCGAGAAAAGCAGGAGGCGUGGGUGGCGGUGGUUCGGCAAGAGCUCCAGGCUCUCAUGGAAAAGCAUGAGAGUUUGGAGCGUGACUCAAAGACUCGAGAGUCUGAGCUUGCCUCGGCUCUCAAAAGUGCCAAGACUACCAAGGACGAUGCCCAUAAGUCCCUUCAGGAGAUUGAGUUGGUGAGGAAGAUAGCGGCGGGUAAGGCAUUUUUCAUGCAAAGCAAGCAUGCGAAUGUAAAUUACCUGUUACUUACCCGAAUUCGGAGCUCUCCAGGGGCGUUUGUAGAUCUGCCUCGCAGCGUGUCUGAUGCCGCCGCAUUCUACCGAGCCGAGGAGGGGAGCUCAACGGAGAAGGUCUUCUGGUCUCAGUAUGCUGAGGCCGGCCAUCCGGUGCCCCCUAGCGACCAGCUGAAGCAGCUGGUCGAGCUCCACAAGGUGGCCGAGCAGGCCAUGAAGGGCCUCAUAGUCCGGCUGUGGCCUGGAGAGGCCAUGCCUGGGAGCUACUUCGGCCUCGUGCGACGGUUGGUGGAUGCGUGCCCCUGGGUGGAGGUUAUCAAGCGCUCCGCCUGUAUUGAAGGUGCUCGUCAGGCCCUUGCCCGCGCAAAGGUGCAUUGGGGCAAGAUGGAUGCGGAAAAGCUAAUCACUGACGCGCCACUAGCGGGCAAGGAAUAUCGUACGCCUGAAAUGUACUAUAAGACUGUCCUGAAGGGUGCCCGCAAGAUUGCGGAUGAGUGUCCCAAGGAUGUAAUUAUUGAGUAAAUUCGCAAUGUGUUAUCCUGUGCGCUGAAAACUUUGUUCAUAUGCGCUAAGCAACGCUUGUUAAUUUAAAAUAUUACCUUCUGUGUGGCCGUUUAUUAAAUCUGAGAGAUGGCAAGUCGUCGGCUUCAGCCCCCAUGCCACGAGUGCUGGGGUGUUCGGGAUAAACUUGAGCACUCUUGUUCCCAUUUUUGGGUCCAUCUAGGGAGGCGCUCAACACAACGAACAAGGCAACCGGACUUAUAGUGCUUGAACACUCUCACUUAGCCAUAGAAUUCUAUAAUUUUAAAUUUCGGCGAAGCCCCUAGUAUUCGGAAGACCGAAUUAGGGGCGCUAUCCACGCCUUCAUCGGACAUUAUCCGGAACUUCGCUCGAAGCGGCGUAGGUCUUUAAGGACCCGAAAGGACCUCUCGAACAGCGACAAGUCUCUCGCCUUAUCAUGACAGUCAGUUUUAGCUUUCUCCACUGAGGUGUUAACCCGGCUCAACCGGGGUGCAAUCGCAGUGGUUCUCCCAGUGCUACCUUAGCCGAUAGAACGGAACGUAAGGUGCCAAACAUGGGAGCCGGGCAAACCCAACUAUUGACCCAAGACAUGAUUCGGAGCCGAUUCAUAUAAUGCUAUAAGUUCGGGGUGCCGCACUUGUGAAAGUGUUCGGACUUUAUCACACCAUAAUGCGGGGAACAUAAGCCCCUGGUGUAUUUGGCCGUACCAAAAUGUACGGAUGCAACAUGUCGUAAAUGAACAUAUAUAUAUAUAAGGUAAUGCAAUUAUGGGCAAAAAGUGCUGCAUUUUAUUCGAGAAGAUCUGCUAUGAAUGCGGAAUGAUACAAAUAGUGCGGAAAGCAAGGGAUUGGACAAAUUAAAGGCGUCUCCCUCCAGGGGUAGGCCGCGGAAUGGUGUAUUUAACAAAUUUAAUGCUCGUAAUGGAGACCACCUGAGUGUUCGUCGCGGCCUUUGUCCCUCCCUGGUUGUUGCAUCAUGAGUUCGGCAGGUUCGCCACCGGACAGAGUUCUGUAUAAAAAAGAGAGAAAUAAAAGAUAAAAAGAGCGACACACUUGGGAGCCCCUGGUGUGGUCGAACCGCACUCUGGGUCUGUUGUGGUUGUGCCUCUCCCCCUAUGCCCAUGGUAUCUCCAGGGUGUAAUUAUGUACGCAGAGAGUUUGUCUUACAAUUGUGCGAGGGCUGGGGUUGAGGCCGCAUUGCUACGCGUGCUCGGAACAUGCCAGGUGGUCUUGGUUGAUGUUGCUCCGGGCGCGUUUGGCCGUGUCCGGUCGUUUAACGGCCGGACUCGAAAAUUGCCUUAAAAGGCUGCUCUGUACUUCUGCCGUGAGAGCCGCUGUAUGUUCCUCCGUUUGGAGGGAGCGUUCCGUUUUUCCAUUGACCGUGAUGACUCCACGAGGGCCUGGCAUCUUGAGCUUAAGGUAUGCAUAAUGCAGCACCGUGUUGAAUUUUGCGAACGCGGUUCGUCCGAGCAGAGCGUGAUAGCUACUGCAGAACGGGACUAUGUCAAAGAUUAACUCCUCGCUUUGGAAAUUAUCCGGGGAUCCGAAGACCACUUCCAGUGUAACUGAGCCUGUACAACUGGCCUCGACACCUGGUAUGACGCCUUUGAAGGUUGUCUUUGUAGGUUUAAUCCUUGAAGGGUCUAUGCCCAUCUUGCGCACUAUAUCCUGAUAAAGCAGGUUCAGGCUACUGCCGCCGUCCAUCAGGACUCUCGUGAGGUGAAAUCCAUCAACGAUUGGGUCUAAAACCAAUGCGGCGAAUCCGCCAUGGCGGAUACUGGUCGGAUGGUUUCUUCGAUCGAAAGUGAUCGGGCAAGAGGACCAUGGGUUGAAUUUUGGGGCGACUGGCUCCAUCGCGUAUACGUCCCUUAGUGCACGCUUCCGCUCCCUCUUGGGUAUAUGCAUUGCGUAUAUCAUGUUUACCGUCCGAACUUGAGGGGGGAAUCCCUUUUGUCCUCUGUUGUUCGGCGGCCGGGUCUCUUCCUCGUCAUCGCUGUGUAGCCCCUUGUCAUUGUUUUCGGCGAUUAAUUUGCAUGCCUGCUUGAAUACCCAACAAUCUCUGUUGGUGUGGUUAGCUGGCUUUUCGGGGGUUCCAUGUAUUUGACAGGAGCGGUCGAGUAUUCGGUCCAAAUUGGACGUGCCCGGAGUGGUUCUUUUGAAUGGCUUCUUCCGUUGACCGGGCUUGGAGCCUCAGAAUCCGGCGUUGACUGUCGUAUCCUCAUUGCUGUCGCCGUUAAUGCGGUGUUUGUUUUUGUUUUGAUGCGACCUGCCAUUGCGGUCCUUGGUAUCCGGACUGCCAGCGUUUUUGCUGAGGUUGUUGCUGCGAGCUAGCCAGCUAUCCUCUCCCGCACAGAAGCGGGUCAUGAGUGAUGUGAGGGCUGCCAUGGAUUUCGGCUUUUCCUGUCCUAGGUGCCGGGCUAGCCACUCGUCGCGGAUGUUAUGUUUGAAGGCAGCGAGGGCCUCUGCAUCCGGACAGUCGACGAUUUGAUUUUUCUUUGUUAAGAAUCAUGUCCAGAAUUGCCUAGCCGAUUCGUCUGGCUGCUGGAUUAUGUGGCUUAGGUCAUCUACAUCCGGUGGUCGCACAUACGUGCCCUGGAAGUUGUCGAGGAAUGCGGCUUCCAGGUCUUCCCAGCAUCCAAUUAACUCUGCGGGCAGGCUGUUAAGCCAAUGUCGAGCUGGUCCUUUAAGCUUGAGCGGGAGAUAUUUGAUGGCGUGAAGAUCGUCACCGCGGGCCAUGUGUAUAUGGAGGAGAUAAUCCUCAAUCCAAACCGCGGGGUCUGUUGUGCCAUCGUAGGAUUCGAUAUUAACGGGUUUAAACCCUUCGGGGAUUUGAUGAUCCAUUACUUCGUCAAUGAAGCAUAGUGGGUGUGCGGCGCCUCUGUAUUGAGCAAUAUCGCGAUGUAGCUCGAUAGAGCGUUGUCUGCUGUGUUCGGCCCGGCCGGAGUAGUUGUAUCCGGCGCGACGGUAUUCGUCAUGGGUCUUGGGGCGCCCACGUGAUCCAUAGAUAGAUCUGGAUUGUCUUGCCUUGUCCUCCAAUAUAUCCCGCAAGUCCGGCGCGUUCCCCCGUGGCUUUAUGCUGUUUGAGCGAUGCCGGGGUACGGUUUUGGUGGAGGGCUUGCACGCCUCUCUGUCGCGGCCACGAGGUGGUCGGUCUGCCGUAUUGUGCGCUAGUGAUGCAGGUUUGUACGCUUCCUCCUCUAGUCGGGGGAGCAACUUGCGUUUUGGGUAACUUUUGGAGGGGCGUUCGAGUUCAUACUCUUCGGCCGCGAGGACCUGGUCCAUCUGUCAGCCAGUAGGUCUUGAUCAGCUUGAAGCUAUUGCUGCUUUUUCUUUAGGCUGUUUGCCGUGGCCAUUAUCCUGCGUCUGAAACGCUCUUGCUCGACGGGAUCCUCAGGCACGACGAAUUCGUUGUCGUCGAGGCUUGCCUCAUCUCCGGAGGGAGGUAAGUAAUUAUCAUCCUCGACCUCUUCGUCUGCCGCCCUCUCGUGAGGGCUUGCUUCUGCCUCCUCCUGCGCUGGAUCGUGCUGGAGGGGGUUGUCUUCGGCACUUUCUGGGGUGUUAUUAUCUCCUGUGACGGAAUCUCCAUUCUUGCUGUGGCGGGAUUUAGAGCGGCGCCGCUGACGUUGGCGCUUGGGCUGUUUCUCUAAGGAAUCGGCCUCCGUUGCUUCUUCGCCGUCCCCAUCUUUUGGGGUGUCCACCAUGUAUAUGUCGUAUGACGAGGUGGUCUUCCAGUGUCUUGUAGGCACUGGUUCUUGAUAGUCUCCGGCAUCGUCGUCCAUACCGUCGAUGUCUUUGGAGUCGUAGUCGAGUACGUCGGUUAGAUCGUCGACGGUGGCUACGAAGUGGGUGGUGGGUGGGCUCUGAAUUUCUUCAUCGUCCGCGUCCCAACCAUCCUGGCCGUAGUUCGGCUAGGGCUCUCCAGAUAGCGAGAGAUGCUUCAGCGAAUUUAAGAUAUCGCCGAAGGGUGAGUGCUGAAAGAUGUCCGCAGCGGUGAAUUCCAUGAUCGGCGCCCAGUCGGAUUCGACUGGCAGGGGCGCAGGAGGUUUGGAGUCCGGCAGAGAGUCCGGCACCUCGGAGUCAUGAGAUUUAUGCGGGACAAGAUAAGUGUUCGGCUCCAUCACCGUAGAAGUUGCAGCUCCCGAGGCGGUGUCCAGCCAUCCGUCCUCGAUCUGAGCGAUCGGCUCCGGACUAUGGGUCGGAGCGGAUUCGUGUGCGGCCUCCAAGGUGCUGUCUGGCGGCAGAGUUAGGUCGUGCCCAUUGUGACAGCGCGGCACGCUUGGCUGUGGCUCAGAUCCAUCGAAGAUCAAGUCCCCGCAGAUAUCGGCCGUGAAGUUUAGGCUUCCCAACCUGACCUGACGGCCAGGGGCGUAGCUUUCGAUCUGCUCCAGAUGGCCAAGUGAGUUGGCCCGCAGUGCGAAGCCGCCGAAUAUGAAGAUCUGUCUGGGGAGAAAAGUCUCACCCAGGACUGCAUCAUUGUCGAUUGAAGAGGCCAUCAAGCCUAUCGGUGACGACACAGAGGAACUCUCAAUGAAAGCACCAAUGUCGGUGUCAAAACCGGCGGAUCUCGGGUAGGGGGUCCCGAACUGUGCGUCUAGGCGGAUGGUAACAGGAGACAAGGGACACGAUGUUUUACCCAGGUUCGGGCCCUCUUGAUGGAGGUAAAACCCUACGUCCUGCUUGAUUGAUAUUGAUAUUGUGGAUGUUUACAAGAGUGGAUCUACCACGAGAUCAAGGAGGCUAAACCCUAGAAGCUAGCCUAUGGUAUGAUUGUAAUGGUUCUUGUUGUGUCCUACGGACUAGAGCCAUCCGGUUUAUAUAGACACCGGAGAGGGCUAGGGUUACAUAGAGUCGGUUACAAUGGUAGGAGAUCUACAUAUCCGUAUCGCCAAGCUUGCCUUCCACGCCAAGGAAAGUCCCAUCCGGACACGGGACGAAGUCUUCAAUCUUGUAUCUUCAUAGUCUUGGAGUCCGGUCGAUGAUGAUAGUCCGGCCGAUGAUAGUUCGGCUGAUGAUGGUAGUCCGGCUAUCCGGACACCCCCUAAUCCGGGACUCCCUCACUCUCCUUCCCCCUUUCCACCUCCAUAAGAAGGAAAAAAGAGGGGGGCGAAUCCUACUAGGAGUGGAGUACUAGUAGGACUCCCCACUCCCUUGGCGCACCCCUGGUGGUCGGCCUCCUCCUCCCUCCUUUAUAUACAGGGAUAGGAGGGCACCCCAAAGGCACAACAUUGUCUUAGCCGUGUGCGGUGCCCCCCUCCACCGUUUAAUCCUCUAAUAGUAUCAUUGUAGUGCUUAGGCAAAGCCCUGCAUGGAUCACAUCAUCAACAGUGUCAUCACGCUGUCAUGCUGACAAAACUCUCCCUCGACCCUCUAGUGGAUCAAGAGUUUGAGGGACGUCAUCGAGAUGAAUGUGUGCUGAACUCAGAAGUGUCAUACGUUUGGUGCUAGAUCGGUUGGAUCGUGAAGAUGUUCGACUUCAUCAACCAUGUUAACAUAACGCUUCCGCUUUCGGUCUAUAAGGGCACGUGGACACACUCUCCCCCUCUUGUUUCUAUGCAUCUCCUAGAUAGAUCUGGCGUGAUCAUAGGAAUUUUUUUGAAAUUGCAUGCUACGUUCCCCAACAGGAACUGCCAUCCAGCUCCGCUUUAGAUUCACCUUUUGUUAUAAGUAAACUUGCAAAACCACCACAUGCUAUUAAUUCUGAUAUGUCGCAAGUUGUUGAUGAUGCUACUUCUGCUAUGAAUGCUACUCAUGAUGAUGCUAGUACCUUGCUUGAUGAUGAUGUGCCACUAGGUGAAUUUCUUGAUGAACAAAUUGCUAGAGUAAGACAACAAGAUAUUGUUGAAACUGAUGAUGAGCUUGAAACUGAAAAUCUUGAAACACCUAUUAGAACUAGCCCUCCUAGAUAUGAAUUGCCAAAGGUACCAGAAGGUUAUGCUAUGAGUGAGGAGGCAACUAGAGAUAUUCUUGCUUGUAAGGAUAGAGAUGAUCUAGAAAAAAUAGUAUGCAAGUACAAAGAAAGAUCUUUGAAUGCUAAGACGAAAUGUGAUCCUAAGUUUGCUACUUCACCUAUCUUUAUUGAUGAUAAGGAUUAUGAAUUCUCUGUCGACCCAGAGUUAAUUACUUUGGUUGAGUCUAACCCUUUCCAUGGUUAUGAAACUGAAACUAUUUUGGCACAUCUUACUAAACUGAAUGAUAUAGCCACCCUUUUUGCUCAUGAUGAGAAGAUUCUCUAUUACUAUAUUCUCAAGUUAUUUCCAUUCUCAUUAAAGGGUGAUGCUAAAGCUUGGUACAAUACUCUUGCUCCUGGUUGUGUGCGUAGUCCCCAGGAUAUGAUUUAUUACUUCUCUGAAAAAUAUUUCCCUGCUCAUAAGAAACAAGCUGCCUUGCAGGAAAUAUUUAACUUUGUGCAAAUUGAAGAAGAGAGUCUCCCACAAUCUUGGGGGAGGCUUCUCAAAUUGCUUAAUGCUUUGCCUGAUCAUCCUCUUAAGAAAAAUGAAAUACUUGAUAUCUUCUAUAAUGGACUAACCGAUGCUUCUAGGGAUUUCCUAGAUAGUUGUGCUGGUUGUGUUUUCAAGGAACGAACUAUUGGGCAAGCUAAAGAAUUAUUGAAUAACAUAUUGAAAAAUUAUGAUGAUUGGACUCCUCCUGAAACACCGCUUAAACCCACUCCAAAGAAGAGGGGUAUAUCAUAUCUCAGUCCUGAAGAUAUGCAAGAGGCAAAGAAAUCUAUGAAGGAAAAAUGUAUUAAAGCAAAGGAUGUCAAAAAUUUACCUCCUAUUGAAGAAAUACAUGGGCUUGGUACACCAUCACCACCUAAGGUGGUAGAGGUAAAAUCUUUAAUGAAAUUCAAUGAUAGUGAUGAUCCUCGUAAUAAACAUCCUAGUCAAUGCCUUUAUGAGUUUGACAAUUACAUUAGAAAGCAAGAUCACUUCAAUGCAAAUGUUAUGAAACAAUUGAAAUACAACUCUAUAUGAUUGCUCGCUUAAGUGACUUGUUAUUUAGAAUCUCAAAUGAUGUUAGAGGUGUAGGAAAGAAUGCCUCUAUGGUUCAAACUUAAUUAGAACAAGUUGCUAAAUCUCAAAGAGAGUUGCUUGAUGAAAUGAACAAUAAUAUAAGUGACUUUGUUGUUAGAGUAUCAACUAGAGGAGGUAAAAUGACUCAGGAAUCACUUUACCUUGAGGGACACCCAAAGAGAAUUGAACAAGACUCUCAAAGAAUUAACACUGAUGCACCUGGUCCUUCUAAAAAGAAAAAUAAGAAGAAAAAUAAUAGGACUUUGCAUGCCUCUAGUGAACCUGAAAUAGAAAAACCUCCUGAUAAUGAUAAUGAAGUUUCUAUCUCUGAUGCUGAAGCUCAACCUGGUAGUGAACACUCACCUUCUGAUAAUGAAAAAGAUAGUGAUGAGGUUCAUGAAGAAACUCAGCCUAAUAAUAAAGAACUAGACAAUGAUGUUGAGAUAGAACCAGCUAUUGAUCUUGAUAACCCACAACCCAAGAAUAAAAGAUAUGAUAAAAGAGACUUUGUUGCUAGAAAACAUGGAAAGAAAAGAGAGCCAUGGGUUCAAAUACCUAUGCCCUUUCCACCUAAGUCAACUAAAAAGAAAUAUGAUGAAAAAUUUGAAUGCUUUGGUGAAAUGAUUAGGCCAGUCUUUUUGCGCACUCGCUUGACUGAUAUCUUAAAAAUGCCUCCUUAUGCAAAGUACAUGAAAGACAUCAUCACGAAUAAUAGAAAAAUACCGAAAGCUGAAAUCUCCACUAUGCUUGCUAAUUAUACUUUUAAAGAUGGAGUGCCUAAAAAACUUGGAAAUCCGGGAAUACCAACUAUACCUUGCUCCAUUAAAAGAAACUAUGUGAAAACCGCUUUAUGUGAUUUGGGAGCUGGUGCUAGAGCCAUCUGGACAAAUCUCCUCUAAAUCUCUCUACCAUGCCAUAGCCCCCUCCUCGGGCCCUGAGGCUCUCACCACCAUCUGGGCGAUUCUUCUCCCCUUGAAGAUUAGGAUUUUCUUAUGGCAAUGGAUUCGCGGCCGCCUUUCGUCCCGCGUUGAGGUCCUGAAGCGCAACGACCCUAGUGAUGGGCAGUGCCCGCUCUACGGGCCUGAAGAGGAUAUGAACCAUAUCUUCUUCACUUGUACGUCUGCGCAGUUCCUCUGGAGCUAUUUCCGUGAGGUGGUGGGUGGUAGAUGGGAUCACACCAACUUCCCCGCCCUCUUCGCCAAACUUCGGGCAUUACCACCCGUGUUACGCCACAUUAGGUGGCUAACCAUCGGGGUGCUAGCCUGGACGUUGUGGACUAUUAGGAAUAAACUUGUGAUUCAGCAUGUCCCUCUUUGUCGUGCUACUGAUGCUUUGUUCAAAUGGUCUGGUUACUUGCAGCUUUGGCGGCCGCUUAGCCGCCACAGGAAGAGAGACGCCAUCACCUCCAUCAUCACCCAGCUUCACGCGAUGGCUCUCCGAUUGGCUCCACCACUCCCCCCACCACCACCAGAGCCGGAUUAGAUCCUCUACCUCGCCGCCGCCACCGCCAUUUUUGUGUUGUGCAUGCUCUUUUUUUUGUUGGGCUUGUUGUGUUGUGCCCACAGCUGAACCUUGGGUAGUGUUCGUGUGCGUGUUUGUUGGACCUUGCCUGCGGUGGCGUUGUGUUUGUGUGUAACUUGUUGACAUUGUGCUUGGUGGUUUGCUUUAUUUAUAAAGCAGGGCGAAAGCCUUUUUAGUAAAAGACUUGAUUUGAAUAAACUCACACCUACUAAAAUAUCCUUGCAAAUGGCUGACAAAUCAACUGCCAUACCUAUCGGUAUUUGUGAGGAUGUGCCCGUUGUUGUCUGACUGACUUUGUUAUACUUGAGAUGCCUGAGGACGACAACAUGUCGAUUAUCCUUGGUAGAUCCUUCUUGAAUGCUGCAGGGGCUAUUAUUGAUUGCAAUAAAAGCAAGGUCACUUUUCAUAUCAAUGGUAAUGAGCUUACGGUGCACUUUCCGAACAAACAAUUCCAAGUGAAUGGUAUUACGCUGCGUUUGGAUGUCUGGAUUGGAGGACUCCGUAUUGAAUUGGUUUCAAUACCAAUUCAGUGGGGAAACUGUAAUGGACAUGAAUACGAUUUCACUUGUUUGGAUGCUCAUGGUAUUGGCCCAUGGAAUCCCAGUGAGGUUUCAAUACAAAAUCUUGUUUGGAUGACAAACUAUGGAAUUGCAUAGUGCCUUGUUCUAUAUGCAUCAAAUCAAUUUUUUACAAUAUGUGACUAUAAUCAACGUCCUUGUUGCUCUCGCUGUCUACUAAGACGGGUAGUCGAUGAUCAUCUUAUCUCACUAGCUCUUGCUGACAGCAUGCUCCUAAUGGCCUCCCUCUCUUCUUCUGAAAAUCAAUCAGCCAAAGCAGAGACAUGAAUUCCACACUGCACACAUAAUUAAGAAUCAAUCCACCCAUCAAAAAUUAACAUUCAAUCCUCUUUUUACUAAUCUCAUUUAGCAAUAUGCGAAGGGAAACUAAAUUUCGUCUGACUGGAUGGUUAUAUGAAGUAGACAAAUUUCCUGCAGUGUCAUAAGAGAGCAAGCACCAUGAAAUAUGUUCAUGCAGUUCACAGAAUAUGGUUGAGUAGUGUGCAUUCGACUACCAACUGAUGAACUAGCGAACUAGUGAUGACUAAAGAGAUUGCCGGAUUGAAAGGAGGUGAGCAGUAUUGCAAUCUUUUGGCAACUCAUAACCAGUAGCAAAGAAGAAACAAUCAAGGAUGGAAUAGCGAGAGAUCGGAAGGUUACCAGUGCGAGAAGGUGGAGAUGGAGUGGCGAUGGCGGGAUCGGCAGCGCCGCCGCCGCCGCCUGGCCAUGGCUUGCGAGGCCUGAUGGAUGGCCACUUCAACUCCAUGCCUAGAUCUGAGUCAAAGUGGGAGAUGAGGCAUCCAUUAGAGGAGGGGGAGCUGAGGUCACGGGGAUUCAGGUGCCGGAGGGCCACACGAGGACUGGGGGCCACCGUCGGGGGGCUUCCCUGGGCGCCGCCGUCGGGGGUCCUUCCCUGGGCGCCGCUCGUCUCAGGUUGCACGGGGGGCAGCUGUGUCCUUGGUCGAGCAGGGAAAAAAGAAAUAUUGGAUCAUUAUGUUUUGUGGGAUGGAUGUUUCCAGCCAAAUCGGAGGGGCAGAGCUCGGAAACUUGGGAGGGCUCAGCGCGUGUAAACGAUUUCAGCGUUGUAUUCGUUUUAUUUCAGACCGCUAUUUCCGUGUGCAUGCCAAACGGCUGAAUUGGCAAUUUGGGAAUACCAAAUCCAAUUCGGGGCCUCAUUACAGACAUCCAAACGCAGUGUUAAUGUUAUUGAAAAAUCUUCGACAAUCACUAUUGGAAGUUUUCAACUACCUCUACCUACUGUUAAAAAUAAAUAUGAAAUGCUUAUUGUUGGGGACAUUCAUAUCCCUAUUGAGGUAACUUAGUGAUUUACGAAAGUUCUUCGGUUUCAUGCUAAUUGAGAGUGGUUGUUAAUAAGACUUGAUCAACCUUAUUAAUGGAUCAUUUUUGAGAGGUAUGAAGUUGAUGAAUUUAGUGAGCACUACCUUCUAUCCCUACCUUUUUUCUGUUUUUACUAGUUAAAUAAAAUAAAAUGCCAUGUUUUGUCUGUUUUCUGAGUUUUCCGUGCAAUAAAAAAAUGACCCAAAAAUAAAAUUUCUCAGGAUGCUCUAAAAAUUUAAUACGUUUUUUUCCUAAUUAUUUAAGAAUUUUUGGUGCAAAUAAUAUCAGAGGGAGGUGCACCAAGUGGGCACAACCCACCUGGCGUGCUAGGACCCCCAGGCGCCCCUGGUGGGUUGUGGUCCCCACGUGGGCCCCCUCACUUACUUCUUCUUCGCACAUCACCACAUCCCUCCAGAAAAAAAUCACCAUUGCUCUCUCUCUCUCUCUCUCUCUCUCUCUCUCUCUCUUGUGUUCUUGCUCCGGAAACCGCGGAUUUCGAUCCCUUUGCUCGAAGCUCCGUUUUCGAAACUGUUUCGGGCCCUUGUUGCUUGUUAUGUGACUCCUCCAUGUGUCCAAUUAGUUUUUGUUUUAGUGGUUUAUAUUUUGAAUAAUUAGCUACUUUUGGUGCUGCUGUAGAUGAUCUUGCAUGUUGAAUUCUUAGAGUUCUAAGUAGUUUGAAUGCUUGCUAUGGCCUCUAUACAUCCUUGUGAGUGUUUGUUACCAAUCUUGUAAAGUUUUGUUAACAAAUUUUUGUAACCCAAAAUUUUCAGAAAAUUGUACACGAACAUUAUGAACUUCUUUGGAAGGAGUUCUUUGAGGAGGAGAUCCUCGAAGGCAUCCUCUAGUAGCAGCUCCAUUCGUCGGUCUUAUGUUGAACCGAGUGAAAAGUCCAUUCGAGAUGCCGCCACUAAAACAUGCUUAUGGCCAUGCAACGAUUAUAUGAUGAGUGUUGGCAUUAAGGAGGAAUUUGAGCAAUAUGUUCACAAUGCUGAUAUUGGUCCCUACAAUUUAGAUAAGUGUGACCAACACCUCACUCUCAUUGAAUCAUUUGCCGAAGGGUUCAAAUUCCAUCCCCGUGAGUCUAGGGUGUCAUUUAAUUUGUAUGAAAACCCAUUUACCAUAUCCUUAGGGAAAUUCGCUCACCACUACAAAAUUCCAUUCUAGGGUUCGCUCGAUGAACCGCCAAGGUCUGAGUUUGAGAUAUUCUUGACUAGUCUUUAUUAUGGUGAGACUAGGGGAGUGAUGCAAGUUAGAAUAAAGAGCAUUUAUUUUCACGCAAUUCAAUACUUUGCAUUAUUUAAUGAAAAAUGUAUUGUAGUCAAGCAAGAUUGUAGUACACUUUGUGCUCCAGAUUUGAGCCUCAUACACACCACUCUCAAAGGUGACAGAAGUUAUAAUCUUGGAGCGAUUGUUGCACGUAGGUUGCAACACAACGCUGGUAGUGGAUAUUUUUAUGGUGGAAUUUAUGCCACAUGAUUAGUGAGGGAGCUGGGUGUUUCACCUUUGCCCUAUGAUCCUAUUUUACCCACACAGUAUCUAGACUUUGAUGCUAUGAAACGUCAUAAGAUCCUUAAAGGAGAUCCCCAUAAUUUCACUUAUAAAUUGAUGUUUAAAAAGGACUCCGUGGUGGAAACAUAUUUGCCUGCGCCUCCUCUCUUUAAUGUUCACAACAGGGGAAGAUAUUAUGUUCUUGAGAGCGAGACCCGAGCUCACAACACAACGGUUGUAGAUGCACGGAGGGUUGAGGCAUCCGCACCAAGAGCCUCCGUGAGCUAGCACUCUGACCAUUACGCAGGCUGCUGACUGAUUACCAAGUUAGGCCAAAAGCCUAAGCUUGGGGGAGUAUGUAUUUCCACCGACAUUGCAUUCAUGUUCACACAUUUCAUUCCAGUUGUCGGUGUUCACACUUUCUCAUUGUAUUAUCCAUGUUAAAUUUAUUUUCUCGCUUUCUUCUUGUGAGUUUGAAAAACAUUGAGAAAAUCCAAAAAUAUGCUUCUUGCUUCUUUUUUAUUUUUCUUCCUAGUUUAAAUUGUUGUGGCACUAAAAAUAAAAAACCAAAAAGAUUUCCUUGUUCUUCUUUUGCUUGUUGGGAGCUUUCCCGUGUAAAUAGUUUUUCUCGUUUUUGCUUUUCUCUUUUUAUUUGCUUGUUUACGAAAAACCAAAAACUCCAAAAAUAUUUUGGUGUGUUUCUCUGAAUUUCUUUUCCUUUUAUUGAGUCAUACCGAGGAGAAGACCACGAUGAAAAUGUUGACUGGCUCUCAUUUGCAUUAUUGUUGAUCUAAUGAAGAACCCAUAUUACCUUGUCUUCUCCUUUUGAAUAAAAUGUUUGCAGAUUCCAGCUUAGUCCAUGGCACUCUUGCACUAUUAUUAUUUUCAAAUCAUUCAGUCGUGCAAGUGAAAGGCAAUAAUGACGAUAUUCGAUGAACUGGCCGUGGCAGAGAGAAACAGGUAUGAACUCGACUUGUUCUAUUUUUGUAAAUAUGUUUAACCUAGUAUCAAUGAUUUAGCCUAUUAUGAUCAAACAUGUUUGCAAUGACAUUUAGAGAUUAUAGUUUCUCAUGCCAUGCAUAAGUAGCUAGGAGGAUAAUGAUUUAUCUUGGAUGUCAACAUUGCGUUAAAAUGAUUGUGAUAUAGUAUGAUGAUAUGGUAUCCUCCUCUGAAUGUUCGAGUGGCUUGACUUGGCACAUGUUCAUGCAUGUAGUUGAAUGCAUGUUGUUCAUGGUGUUCAUAUCCUACUCAUGCUAGUAUCCAAUGUUACUUAUGCAUAAUGCGUGUUCACGAUCGUUGUUGCUCUCUAGUUGGCCGCUUCUCAACCUAUUUUCUAGCCUUCGCCUGUGCUAAGUGGGAACUCUACUUGUAGAUCAAAAACUUGAAACCCAAGUUAUUCCAGAUGAGUCCACCAUACCUACCUAUAUACCCUUCCGUCCUAAGUAAAUUUGCAUGUGCCACCUCUAAAAGCUUCAAAUAAAUAUCAUUUUUGUGUGCCGCGGUUAUUCAUAGAGCAACAGGAGGUAGUUGGUAUCUUCCCUGCUAAACGGGUUAUUCUCAGGUUGGGUGUUUAUUCACUCACCAUUGCACGAGAAAAGAGCGGUAAUAGGGAUUCCCAGUCCCAAAUUGCAAAAGGAACUUAUCAAUAAUCAAACAAAAACUCCUAUGGAGCAAAAACCUUUACUUUACCACUUGGGAACUACUACUAAUUUGUUUAGCAUGCAAGAUAUUGAUAAUUGAUGGUCGCAAAGUAAACAAGGGUGCAUGUCUUAAAAUUUCAUUUACCUCUGUUUUUAAAAACUUGAGCUUGGCACCUCUGUAAACCAUUGCUUCCCUCUGCGAAGGGACUAUCUAUUUACUUUUAUGUUGUGUCAUCACCUUCUCAAAUAAGCGUCAGAACCUGAGAGCACUGCUGUCAUGCUGAUGCAUUGUGUGUAGCUAAUGUUGGGUGCAUCAUGACUGGAUCUUUUCUACCAUGAAUUACAAUGUUUAGUUGAUGCUUGAACUUUGGAGGUGCUCUGCAUUUAUGUUUUGCGGUCUCGGAAAGGGCUAGCGAGAUACCACUAUUGUCAUAUUGCAUCAUGGUUGUUUUGACACCGUGUUGCUAUUUGAGAUGUCUUAUUAUUGCUCGCUAGUUGAUUAUGUCAUUGAUAUGAGUUAAUAUAAUUUUUAAGAAUUAUUGUCGACAUGGUUAGUUAUAAUCUUUUGCUGAAAACCUGGGUGUUGUUUAAGCUUAUUUAUGGAAACAAGAGCAAAAGAGUUCGUAAAAAAUUUUCUUUUUCACUUUCAAUUUAUCAACUAAAUUGCUUGAGGACAAGCAAAGGGUUAAGCUUGGGGGAGUUGAUACGUCUCUAUCGUAUCUACUUCUCCUAACGCUUUCCCUCUUGUUUUGGAUUCUAAUUUGCAUGAUUUGAAUGAAACUAACCCGGACUGACGUUGUUUUCAGCAGAACUACCAUGGUGUUGUUUUUGUGCAGAAAUAAAAGUUCUCGGAAUGGAACGAAACUUUGUGAGGAUUUUUUAUACAAUAAAAGAGAAUAUCUGGAGCCAAGAACCACCGGAGAGGGCACCUGGGUGGGCACAACCCACCAGGGCGCGCCACCCCCUCCAGGCGCGCCCAGGUGGGUUGUCCCCAUGUGGAGGCCCCGCAGACCCUGAAACCGAUGCUAUAAAAUCCUAUAUUUCCAGAAAAAAUGAGGGAAAAUAAUUAUCGGGUUUCAUGAACGGAGCCAUCGCCGUCUCUUAUUCUUCAUCGGGAGGCCAGAUCUGGAGUCCGUUCAGGGCUCUGGAGAUCUUCGAUUUUCGUCAUCACCAACCCUUCUCCAUCUCCAAUUCCAUGAUGCUCCCCACCGAGGGUGAGUAAUUCAUUCGUAGGCUCGCUGGUCGGUGAGAAGUUGGAUGAGGUUCAUCAUGUAAUUGAAUUAGUUCUGUUAGGGCCUGAUCUCUAGUAUCCAUUAUGUUCUAAGGUUGAUGUUGCUAUGACUUUGCCAAGCUUAAUGCUUGUCACUUUGGGCCCAAGUGCCAUGAUUUCAGAUCUGAACCGUUUAUGUUAUCGCCAUUAUAUUCAUGUUCUAGAUCCGAUCUUGCAAGUUAUAGUCACCUACUACGUGUUAUGAUCCGGCAACCCCGGAGUGACAAUAGUCGGGACCACUCCUAGUGAUGACCGUAGUUUGAGGAGUUCAUGUAUCCAUCGUGUGUUAAUGCUUUGUUUCGGUUCUCUAUUAAAAGGAGGCUUUAAUAUCCUUACUUUCCAAUAGGACCCCGCCGCCAUGGGAGGGUAGGACAAAAUAUGUCAUGCAAGUUCUUUCCAUAAGCAUGUAUGACUUUUUACAGAAUACAUGCCUACAUUAUAUUUAUGAACUGGAGCUAGUGCCGUAUCGCCCUAGGUUAUGACUGUCUCAUGAUGAAUAUCAUCCAACGAAUCACCAAUCCAAUGCCUACGAUUUUCCUACAUAUUGUUUUUGCUAAGUUACUACUGCUAUUGUUACUACUACACUUGCUACAAAACACUGCUGUCAUUGUAACCGUUACCAUUGUUGCUGCUAAUAUCAUCAAAACUAUCAUACUACUUUGCUACUAAUCACUUUGCUGCAUAUAAUGAAUCUCCAUGUGUGGUUGAAUUGACAACUCAGCUGUUAAUACUUGCAAAUAUUCUUUGGCUCCCCUUGUGUCGAAUCUAUAAAUUUGGGUUGAAUACUCUACCCUCGAAAACUAUUGCGCUCCCAUAUACUUGUGGGUUAUCACCCCUCUAGACACCUCUUCUUGAUCCUACACCCCUUUAUCGCGUUGGGUGCAGGUAUUUGAUUGUUUGUGUAGGUGCAUAGAUUGGGACUUGCUUGUACCUCCUACUGAAUUGAUACCUUGGUUCUCUAACUGAGGGAAAUACUUAUCUCUACUUUGCUGCAUCACCAUUUCCUCUUCAAGGGAAAAACCAACGCAAGCUCAAGAAGUAGCAGGAAGAAUUUCUGGUGAUGUUGCCGGGGAGGUCUACAUCAAGCCUACCAAGUACCCACCAUAAACUCUCAUCUCUUACAUUACAUUAUUUUCCAUUUGCCUCUCGUUUUCCUCUCCCCCACUUCCAAAAUGAUUUUCAAAAAGAUUGCCUUUUUUAUUUGCCUUUCUUCCGUUCGUCUUUUCGUUUGCUUUUUGCUUGCUCGUGCAUUCAAUCACUUGUUUUGCUUUCAUGGCUAGUCCUUCCACAUUUCUAGCACUCCCGAGAAUGAGAUCCUUAAUUUUAAGCAAAGGGAGGGAGAAAAUUUAAAGGACGCUUGAUAUAGAAUUUGUAAUGCUCAGAAUAGAUCUACUCGAAAGCAAUCUACUAAUGUUCUCCUUCGCAACUUUUAUGUGGGCGUUACUCCCUGGAAUAGAUAUGUUCUAGAUGCCAUUACCGGGGGAAAUUUCUUGGGAAGCCAUACUUUUGGUGCUUAUAAUGCUAUGAUAGAUUCGGUAGGACCACCACCUCUUAUGGUUAAUGAAACUAUUUUAACCUUGGAACAUGUGAUGCAAAGGCUUGAUUUUAUUGAAAGUAAAAUUGCUACCAUAGAGCUGAUUGAAAACUUGGAUAAAAAGAUUCAUAAUCAUAUUACUCAAUAUGGAUCUAAGGUACGAGUUACUUUAAAUAAUCUAAGGGAAAAGGAACCCAUAGUUAGUGAAAAGAUAGAUCAAGAUUCUACUAGAAUUGGUAAACUAGAAGAUAUUAUUACCAACUUGGGUUUUGCUUUUUCCUCCGUUAAAACUACUCAAAAUUUUCCUCCUACUAAAGCUACAAAGUUUAUUUAUGUUCCUAAAUAAUAAGGGUGAAUCUUCUAGUAAAGGAAACGAAGAUCUCAAAAUGAUAAAUAUUCACCCUAACCUUUUUGAUAUUAUGAAGGAACCAAUUGCCACGAGUGAAUUUCUUGAUUUCUUGCCUAGGAGUUUGAUCAUUGAUAAAACUAGAGAACCUCCUAAGUAUUAUAAGUUUGAAAUUGAAGAAUUGCAUACCAAAGAUGACAAUACCUAGAUCUAUUGCAAUAUGCCUAGCUAGGGGCAUUAAACAAUAGCGCUUGUUGGGAGGCAACCCAAUUUUAUUUUCGUUCUUGAUUUUUGUUUCUGUUUUUUUUAAUAAAUUUAUCAUCUUGCCUCUGGUUAGAUGUGUUUUGGUAUUUUAAUUAGUGUUUGUACCAAGUAAGACCUUUGGGGUGGCUUACGGUGAUAGUUGAUUUGAUCUUGCUGAAAAACAUAAACUUUUGCGCCCAGUAAAAUAAUUUUCAUAAUUCACAGAAGCGCGAUUUUGAUCUGAAUUUUUACACACCAUUGAUAUACAAAUUUCCCAUGUUUUUCUUUUUUUAGAAUUUUGGAGUUACAGAAGUAUUCGAAGUUUACAUAUUGCUACAAAUUGUUCUGUUUUUGACAUAUUGUGUUUUCUUGUGUUGUUUACUUAUUUUGACGAGUCUAUGGGUAGUAUCGAGGGGUAUGAACCAUGGAGAAGUUGGAAUACAAUAGAUAUUACACCAAUAUAUAUAAAUAAUGAGUUCACAACAGUACCAAAAAGUGGUGAUUUAUUUUCUUAUACUAACGGAUCUCAUGAGUUUUCUGUUGAGUUUUGUGUUGUAAAGUUUUCAAGUUUUGGGUAAAGAUUUGAUGCACUAUGGAAUAAGGGGUGGCAAGAGCCUAAGCUUUGGGAUGCCCAAGGCACCCCAAGGUAAUAUUCAAGGACAACCAAGAGCCUAAGCUUGUGGAUGCCCCGGAUGGCAUCCCCUCUUUCGUCUUCGUCUAUCGGUAAAUUUACUUGAGAGGCUAUAUUUUUAUUCACCACAUGAUAUGUGUUUUGCUUGGAGCGUCUUGUAUGAUAUGAGUCUUUUAUUUUUAGUUUGCCACAAUCAUCCCUGCUGUACACACCUUUUGAGAGGGACACGCAUGAAUCAUGAUUUAUUAAAAUACUCUAUGUGCUUCACUUAUAUCUUUUGAGCUAGGCAAUUUUGCUCUAGUGCUUCACUUAUAUCUUUUUAGAGCACAGUAGUGGCUUUAUUUUAUAGAAAUUAUUGAACUCACUUGCUUCACUUAUAUUAUUUUGGGAGUCUUUCUAAACAUCAUGGUAACUUGCUUGGGUCAUGAUUUUAGUCCUAAUAUGAUAGGCAGCCAAAGGAGAUAUAAUAAAAACUUUCAUAUAGAGCAUUGGAUACAUGAGAAGUUUGAUUCCUUGCAUUUGUUUUGAGAUAUGAAGAUGGUGAUAUUAGUAGAAAAUUGUUUAAUCAAAGAAAUAAUUGUGUUAAAUUUUGUGAUUCCCGUAGCAUGCACGUAUGGUCUUCUAGUUAUGUGAUGAAGUUGGGGCACAAUUUAUUCUUGACUGUUUUCCUAAGAGCAUGUGUAGUAGUACUUUGCUUCGAGGGCUAAUAGAUUUUUUGCAAUAAGUAUGUGAGUUCUUUAUGAAUAAUGUUGAGUCCAUGGAUUAUACGCACUCUCACCCUUCCACCUUUGCUAGCCACUCUAGUACCGCACAACUUUUGCCGGUGCAUUAAACCCACUUCUUACCCUUCCUCAAAAUAGCCACCAUACCUACCUAUUAUGGCAUUUUCAUAGCCAUUCCGAGAUAUAUUCCCAUGUAACUCCACCAUUUCGUUUAUUAUGACACAUACCAUCAUUGUCAUAUUGCUUUGCAUGAUCAUGUAGUUGGCAUAGUAUUUGUGGCUUGGCCACCGUUCAUAUUUUUUAUACAUGUCACUCUUGAUCAUAGCACAUCAUGGUACACCGUCGAAGGCAUUCAUAUAGAGUCAUACCUUUGUUCUAGUAUCGAGUUGUAAUUUUGAGUUGUAAGUAAAUAAAAGUGUGAUGAUCAUCAUUAUUAGAACAUUGUCCCCUGUGAGGUUAUCAAAAUAAAAGAGGCCAAAGAAGCCCAAAUAAAAAAAGAGGCCGAAGAAGCCCACCAAAAAAAGAGGAGAGAGAAGGGACAAUGUUACUAUCAUUUUCCACACUUGUGCUUCAAAGUAGCAUCAUGUUCUUCACGAUAGAGAGUCUCCUAUUUUGUCACUUUCAUAUAUUACUAGUGGGAAUUUUUCGUUAUAGAACUUGGCUUGUAUAUUCCAACGAUGGGCUUCCUCAAAAGCCCUAGGUCUUCAUGAGCAAGCAAGUUGAUGCACACCCACUAGUUUUCUUUUGAGCUUUCAUACACUUAUAGCUUUAGUGCAUCCGUUACAUGGAAAUCUCUACUCACUCACAUUGAUAUAAAUUGAUGAACAUCCUCAUAGUCCAUUGAUUUGCCUAGUUGAUGUGAGACUUUCUGUAACGCCCCGGAUUCGAUGCGCCAGGUGUCUGCCAGUUAUUUGCCGCCGUUGUCAUGUCAUUUGCUUGCGUGUUGCAUUUUUCCAUGUCAUCAUGUGCAUCUCAUUUUGCAUAUGUGUUUGUCUCAUGCAUCCGAGCUUUUUCCCCGUUGUCCGUUUUGCAAUCCGGCACUCCUAUGUCCUCCGACGUCCCCCUUUUGUCUCUUGUUGUGAGCGGGUGUUAAACUUUCUCGGAGUGGACCGAGGUUUGCCAAGCGGCCUUGGUAUAGCACCGGUAGACCGCCUGUCAAGUUUCGUGCCAUUUGGAGGUCGUUUGAUACUCCAACGGUUAACCCGGUAACCGUAAAAGCCCCUUUUGUCUUGCAGCCCAACACCCCUUCAAAGUGGCCCAAAACCCAUCCAAACGCCCUCCAUGCUCUCGGUCGUUCGAUCACGAUCGCGUGGCUGAAAACCGCUCCUCAUUUGGACUCUCCUAGCUCCCUCUAGCUAUAAAUAUGUGAUCCCCUCCGAAAAUCCCGCAGUCCAACCCUAGCCUCCCCUUCCUCUGCAAUGCCGGACACAUCUCCCCAGCUGCCCGGACAUGUCCGCCGCCGCCCUGCCCAAUCCGGAGCCGCCACCUGUCCGCCGUCGUCNNNNNNNNNNNNNNNNNNNNNNNNNNNNNNNNNNNNNNNNNNNNNNNNNNNNNNNNNNNNNNNNNNNNNNNNNNNNNNNNNNNNNNNNNNNNNNNNNNNNNNNNNNNNNNNNNNNNNNNNNNNNNNNNNNNNNNNNNNNNNNNNNNNNNNNNNNNNNNNNNNNNNNNNNNNNNNNNNNNNNNNNNNNNNNNNNNNNNNNNNNNNNNNNNNNNNNNNNNNNNNNNNNNNNNNNNNNNNNNNNNNNNNNNNNNNNNNNNNNNNNNNNNNNNNNNNNNNNNNNNNNNNNNNNNNNNNNNNNNNNNNNNNNNNNNNNNNNNNNNNNNNNNNNNNNNNNAUGCUGCCCCGCCGUCUGACGCCCCUCCGCCGCGCGUCCCGAGCCCCUCCACCGCCGUCCCCGCGCCGCCCCGCGCCGGAUCCGGCGAGAUCCGGUCGGAGGAGGUCGCCCCGGGCCCUUCCUCUCCAUCUCCGGCGAAGCUCCGUCCAGAUCCGCCACUGCCUCGAUAUCCGUGCAAGCUAGAGGUUGAGCCCGAAAUUCCUAAGUCCCCGGAUCUGCAUAUUUUCAUGCCAUAUUCAACGCAUCAUAACUUGCUGCAUACUGCUCUGUUUCGUGCGUGUAAUAUGUCAAAUUGUUCGUCUCAACGAGUACUUCAUUUCUUUCCAGUGCAUCAUGUUCAUUUGGGCUCAUCUUGAUGCCUGAAUCAUCGUUGCAAGAGUGCAUGUUGUUGUUAAUCUGCUGAAACUGUUAUAACUUGCUCAUUUGUCAUUUUUGCCAUGAUUGAUGUGUGCAUCUUAUGAACUUGAGACCUACAUAUGUUUUAAUCUAUGCCAUGCAUCUUUACAGGGGUGUAUGCCAUGUCUUUUUGUGAUCAAUUUGGUGACUAGCACAAGCAUGUAAACUAGGCCUUGUGAUGUUGUUGAUUUCAGUCCCUGUUCUGCUGUUAUUUUUAUGCCAUGUAAACUUGAUGCUACAGAGAGAUCCAUGCUUAUUUUGAGAUACUUAAGUAAGGAUGUUUUGUACAUAUGGUUAUGAGCUAUCCAUCCAUGCCCCUGGUUGCAUUUAUGGCUUGCUGUAGAUUGUUCAUAUCUUGCUCCAAAGUUGCUAAAUGAUGUUGCUGUCAGCCUGUUAACUUGAAAUUCAAUGUUUCCAUGAUUGUUGUUAGUUAUCCAUGCACCAUACGAACUUGCUCUUGCCAUGCUUAGCUUCAUAAACAUGUCUUCUUGCUGCUGGUUGCCUUGCCAUGCCAUGUAUUGCUCUGUAGUGAGUGGUUCAAGCUCACCAACAUGCCUACUUAUUGUUGUUCCUGCCAUGUUUGAAUCUGUCAUAUAAUUUGCCAUGUUUACAUGGGUGCCAUCAUAUUUUAUGUGCCCUUUUGGCUCAUGGUCAGUAAAGGACUUUUGUUCUAUGCAAUUAGUAGAUUCAUGCCAUGCCUUUGUUUGCCAUGAUAAGUUCCUGUAACAUGUUGUUUGAUAGCUCUAAACAUUGCAACCUGAUGUUAUUUCCUAAUAAGUCUGAAACUGUUAUUAUUUGCAAUCUUGUCAUGUGUGUUUGAGCAUGUUCUACUGAUUUCUGGAGAUAGCUCAGUGUUCAUGUUUUGUUAUGCUUUACCUGUACAUCAUGACCAUGCCUUUUGAUUUCAUAUUGAGGUGCUGUAGCAUAUUGUUUUGAUGCUUGCAAUAUGCCUAGUUGCUGUUAUGGACAGAUUGUUGUCAUAUCUUGUAUAGAGUGUAUGUGUUGAACCGUUGCUCCGUUUUGAGUGUGCUCUAUAUGAAACUUGCUUGUUUUUGCAUGUAGCUUCAUAUUAUCAUGUUGCAUCCUUGUUUUGGUGUGUUUGCUUGAUGUUUGGAUGCAUUUUGCAUCAAUGCCAUGGUUAACUUGUUUUGCUCAUAUCUUCUAGGUCGUAGCUCCGAAUCUAAUGAACUUUAUAUGUAACUUGACUAGAAUCCCGUGUAGAUCAUCUUAGUGCAUCUUAACUUGUUGUUUAACAACUUGAACAUAAGGUUUAUUCAGAUCUGGACCAACUUCGAAAUUUGCAUAUGAGGACUUACAGGAAUUGUUAUAUGUUGUUCCCGGCCUCAUUUAAACUUGCUUUGAUGAGUUGCUCUUGUUUGCAUCAUCUCUUGCCAUGAGUAGCUUCAUGUAGCUUUGUCAUGCAUCAUGCUUGUUGAGCAUCAUGCCUUGUUCAUGUGUGGUGUGUUUACUAUGUUGUGUGCUUCUUCUCGAUAGUUCCUGUUUCGUUGCGAUCGUGAGGAUUCGUUCGUCUACGCUUGGUUCGUCUUUGUGGCUUCAUCUUCUUCAUGGACUCGUUCUUCUUCCUUGCGGGAUUUCAGGCAAGAUGACCGCUACCCUAGAUCUCACUACUAUCAUUGCUAUGCUAGUUGCUUCGUUCUAUCGCUAUGCUGCAUCACCUAUCUUUUGCUCAUCAAGCCUCCCAGAUUGCCAUGAACCUCUAACCUUUGACUUCCCUCCUAGCAAACCAUCGAUUGGCUAUGUUACUGCUUUGCUCAGCCCCUCUUAUAGCGUUGUUAGUUGGAGGUGAAGUUGAAGACUGCUCCAUGGUGGACAGGAUUAUGUUGGGAUAUCACAAUAUCUCUUAUUUAAUUAACGCAUCUAUAUAUUUGGUAAAGGGUGGAAGACUCGGCCUUAUGCCUGGUGUUUUGUUCCACUCUUGCCGCCCUAGUUUCUGUCAUACCGGUGUUAUGUUUCCGGAUUUUGCAUUCCUUACGCGGUCGGGUGAUUUAUGGGAACCCCUUGACAGUUCGCUUUGAAUAAAACUCCUCCAGCAAGGCCCAACCUUGGUUUUACCAUUUGCCUCACCACCACCUACAUUUCCCUUGGGAGUAAUUAACCCAAGGGUCAUCUUUAUUAUAGCCCCCCGGGCCAAUGCUUGUCUAAGUGUUGGUCCAAACUAGAGCACCAUGCGGGACCAUCCCUUGGCAACUUGGGUUACGUCGAUACCUGUACGCUUAGCUUAUCCGGUGUUGCCCUGAGAACGAGAUAUCUGCAGCUCCUAUCGGGAUUGUCGGCGCAUCGGGCCGUCUUGCUGGUCUUGUUUUACCAUUGUCGAAAUGUCUUGUAAACCGGGAUUCCGAGACUGAUCGGGUCUUCCUGGGAGAAGGUAUAUCCUUCGUUGAUCGCGAGAGCUUAUCAUGGGCUAAGUUGGGACAACCCUGCAGGGUAUAAACUUUCGAAAGCCGUGCCCGCGGUUAUGGGCAGAUGGGAAUUUGUUAAUGUCCGGUUGUAGAUAACUUGACACCAGAUCCGUUUUAAAAUGCAUCAACCGUGUGUGUAGCCGUGAUGGUCUCUUUUCGGCGGAGUCCGAGAAGUGAACACGGUUUUUGGGUUAUGUUUGACGUAAGUAGGUGUUCAGGAUCACCUCUUGAUCAUUGCUAGCUUCACGACCGUUCCUUUGUUUCUCUUCUCGCUCUUAUUUGCGUAUGCUAGCCACCAUACUAUGCUUAGUCGUUGCUGCAACCUCACCACUUUACCCCCUUCCUUACCUAUCAAGCUUUGCUAGUAUUGAUACCCAUGGUAAUGGGAUUGCUGAGUCCUCGUGGCUCACAGAUUACUACAACAACAGUUGCAGGUACAGGUUUUGCGAUGAUCAUGACGCGAGAGCGAUGUUUGCUUGUUUUGGAGUUCUUCUUCUGCUUCUUCUUCGAUCAGGGGAUAGGUUCCAGGUCAGCAGCCUGGGCUAGCAGGAUGGAUGUCGUUUGAGUUUUUGUUUGUGUUUCAUCCGUAGUCGGAUGGUGCUCUGAUGUAUUGUGAUGUUGUAUUCGUGUGGCAUUGUAUGCCCCUUGUAUGUAUCCCCAUCUAUUAUGUAAUGUUGAUGUAAUGAUAUCCACCUUGCAAAAGCGUUUCAAUAUGCGGGUCUAUCCUUGGUGGGACCUUCGAGUUCCUUUUGGAUAGGGUCGCAUAUUGGGCGUGACAAGUUGGUAUCAGAGCCUUUACCGACCUUAGGAGCCCCCUUGAUUGAUCGUGCAGUUUGGCCGUUGUCGAGUCUAGAAGAAAACUGUUUUUCGGAAUCUAGUUAUAUCAGAGUGUAGGAAUUCUUUUUACUCCUCUGCCUCUUCGUCGCUCUGGUAAGGAAUCUUGACGUAGGUGUUUUGAAUUACUCCUCUUCCCCUUCAAAUUUUUCUUCAGGUUCACGCAGUUGGUUUUCCGGUCGUUGGUUCUCUUCUCUUUUCAUCUGGUGCAUUUCUCGUCAAGUUGACUCGAGCCUCUUCAUUGUUGCCAAGUUCAAUCCUCAGUUCUUUUCUUUUCCCACCCGCCCACCCUUCUUCCUCUCGAAACCGGAGUCCAUAAUUGAGUAUCCAUCCUACUCGUGGGAAGUCUUUGCUUUCUUUCCUCAAUGAUUUUAACCGGUGUUUUCUCUUCAAGAUAUUAGUUGGUUCUCCCAUCCAGUUUCCUUUGUUUUCCCGCCCUCCCACCCUCUUCUUACCGGAGCCUGAGUCUGUUUUCGAGCAUCAAUUCCAUUCGUGUGGAGCCUCUUCAGUCUUCCCUCAAUCAUUUCAAUCGGUGAAUUCUCGCCUCGUUCGUCAUUCUUCAUCUCUUUUUCUUUUCCGGUGGACGCAAUUCAUGUUUUUUUGGUAGUGAUUAUAUUCUUCCCUCGGCUCAAAUGUUUUCCCCUUGCUCGUUCGCCUCUCGCCAGUUUAUCAUUCCGGAGUUCGGAAGACAUCUCAGGAGAUUCGUCUGUGUUCGAAUUAAUUCGAGGUUGUCACCUCAUUCAAAUAUUUCAAUCAUUUUGGUGCAUCAUCUAUCUCUUCAACAAUCCUUGCCAACGGUGUUUUCUCUUCAGUGGGCCCUAACCCACAGGUCUUUUCCCAGGAUCUUACCUGACUCUUAUGAUUCCCCCGGAGUUAUUCUCAAUUCUUUUCAAGUGUGACGUAAGAAUGGAUUCCAUCAGUCACAUGCCUUCUCCAAGAUCGCUUUCAAAUUCUUUCAUUGUUGGCUCGACCUCUCUGCUUUUCAUUCUCCCGGAGUAUAUCAGUAAUUUUGGUGGUGUUUUCCAUCAUCAUUUCAAGACCGAAGAACAGUUUUUCCUCUAAUUUUUGUGUGUUAUCUCGAAGAUUCGUGGUUCUACCUUCAUAUUAUCCUCUCGAUUUAUUCCAUUUGUCUGAUGUUCUUUACUUACCCAUCCGGAUUAUGUCAGUAGUUGUUUUCCUGUUUCUUUCACCGGAGGCCAUCAUUCCAGUUAUCGUUCUCUAUUUACCCCGGUGCUUCGUUCAAGUGUUCUUUAAUCAGCUCAUGAUCUCUUUGUUCUUUUGCAUCUAUAUCCCCUCUAGCAUAUUGGUUCUUCUAAUUCUUCCCGGUGACUCAUUCUCUUUCAUCAGUCAUUUCCAAAUUCUUACGGUGGUUUGUUCAAGAUUCUUUUCCUUGUUUAUCAUAUUAAUCCAUUCGUUCUUUCAAUCAUACCGGUGGUUCAUGAAGACUUUCUCAAGUUUUGUGCUAUAUUCCCCUUAAUCCUUUUCAAGAAGAAUAAGUAGUAUGCAAAAUCCAUUGCUUGUCUUCAAUUUAAUUUGAUGAAGGAUAAGCAUACAAUAAAUCUUAUUCUUAUUUCAUCCAAGUGAGUAAUCCUUUUCUUCGGAGUUUGUUCUUAAUGAAUAAAUUCUAGUUCCAAGUGUUCUCAUUUUUUCUUUUCCGGAGUUCAAAUUACUCGGUCAUUUCGUCGGAACCUCCAUCUAAAUCACCGCAAGGCUUUAAUCUACUUCUUUCAUCCUUCAAUUUUAUCUCGUCAUUCUUUUGUUACCGGAGUUCUUCAUGGUGGUUCUUCAUGAUUUAAUUCAUUCUGCAAGAGUUCAUCAAGUAUCAUUCCAUCCUCUCAAGUUCAUGUUCUUUUCCUUCCAUCUUCAGCCGGAGCGCUGUCUAAAUCCUUUCAGUCUUAUUCUUUUCAUAUCUCGUUCUAACCGGAGUGGUUUCAUAGUCUAUCUGAUUCCGUGAGCUUUCGAUUCACAUCAUUCUCGGUGUUCCUCUCUUCUUCUUGAGUGCUCUCGAUUCUUUGCUUCUUCUCUUGAGUUCUUGUUUCACCUCAUCCAUUUUCCCUUCCGUCUCGGUCCUAAGAUCUCGGAACGAGAUCUCUUGUUAGUGGAGGAGUGUCGUAACGCCCCGGAUUCGAUGCGCUAGGUGUCUGCCAGUUAUUCGCCGCCGUUGCCAUGUCAUUUGCUUGCGUGUUGCAUUUUGCCAUGUCAUCAUGUGCAUCUCAUUUUGCAUACGUGUUCGUCUCAUGCAUCCGAGCUUUUUCCCCGUUGUCCGUUUUGCAAUCCGGCACUCCUAUGUCCUCCGGCAUCCCCCUUUUGUCUCUUGUUGUGAGCGGGUGUUAAACUUUCUCGAAGUGGACCGAGGUUUGCCAAGCGGCCUUGGUAUAGCACCGGUAGACCGCCUGUCAAGUUUCGUGCCAUUUGGAGGUCGUUUGAUACUCCGUAGGUUAACCGGGUAACCGUAAAAGCCCCUUUUGUCUUGCAGGCCAACACCCCUUCAAAGUGGCCCAAAACCCAUCCAAACCCCCUCCAUGCUCUUGGUCGUUCGAUCACGAUCGCGUGGACGAAAACCGCUCCUCGUUUGGACUCUCCUAGCUCCCUCUAGCUAUAAAUAUGUGAUCCCCUCCGAAAAUCCCGCAGUCCAACCCUAGCCAUGCUCUUGGUCAUUCCAAAACCCAUCCAAACCCCAUCCAAACCCCCUCCAUGCUCUUGGUCGUUCGAUCACGAUCGCGUGGACGAAAACCGCUCCUCAUUUGGACUCUCCNNNNNNNNNNNNNNNNNNNNNNNNNNNNNNNNNNNNNNNNNNNNNNNNNNNNNNNNNNNNNNNNNNNNNNNNNNNNNNNNNNNNNNNNNNNNNNNNNNNNNNNNNNNNNNNNNNNNNNNNNNNNNNNNNNNNNNNNNNNNNNNNNNNNNNNNNNNNNNNNNNNNNNNNNNNNNNNNNNNNNNNNNNNNNNNNNNNNNNNNNNNNNNNNNNNNNNNNNNNNNNNNNNNNNNNNNNNNNNNNNNNNNNNNNNNNNNNNNNNNNNNNNNNNNNNNNNNNNNNNNNNNNNNNNNNNNNNNNNNNNNNNNNNNNNNNNNNNNNNNNNNNNNNNNNNNNNNNNNNNNNNNNNNNNNNNNNNNNNNNNNNNNNNNNNNNNNNNNNNNNNNNNNNNNNNNNNNNNNNNNNNNNNNNNNNNNNNNNNNNNNNNNNNNNNNNNNNNNNNNNNNNNNNNNNNNNNNNNNNNNNNNNNNNNNNNNNNNNNNNNNNNNNNNNNNNNNNNNNNNNNNNNNNNNNNNNNNNNNNNNNNNNNNNNNNNNNNNNNNNNNNNNNNNNNNNNNNNNNNNNNNNNNNNNNNNNNNNNNNNNNNNNNNNNNNNNNNNNNNNNNNNNNNNNNNNNNNNNNNNNNNNNNNNNNNNNNNNNNNNNNNNNNNNNNNNNNNNNNNNNNNNNNNNNNNCCGGCGCCCCUCCGCCGCGCCUCCCGAGCCUCUCCACCGCCGUUCCCGCGCCGCCCCGCGCUGGAUCCGGCGAGAUCCGGCCGGAGGAGGUCGCCCCGGGCCCUUCCUCUCCAUCUCCGGCGAAGCUCCGGCCAGAUCUGCCACCGCCUUGAUAUCCGUGCAAGCUAGAGGUUGACCCCGAAAUUCCUGUCCCCGGAUCUGCAUAUUUUCAUGCCAUAUUCAACGCAUCAUGACUUGCUGCAUACUGCUCCGUUUCGUGCGUGUAAUAUGUCAAAUUGUUCAUCUCAACGAGUACUUCAUUUCAUUCCAUUGCAUCAUGUUCAUUUGAGCUCAUCUUGAUGCCUGAAUCAUCAUUGCAAGAGUGCAUGUUGCUGUUAAUCUGCUGAAACUAUUAUAACUUGCUCAUUUCUCAUUUUUGCCAUGGUUGAUGUGUGCAUCUUAUGAACUUGAGCCCUACAUAUGUUUUGAUCUAUGCCAUGCCAUCUUUACAGGGGUGUAUGCCAUGUAUUUUUGUGAUCAAUUUGGUGACUAGCACAAGCAUGUAAACUAGGCCUCGUGAUGUUGCUGAUUUCAGUCCCUGUUCUGCUGUUAUUUUUAUGCCAUGUAAACUUGAUGCUACAGAGAGAUCCAUGCUUAUUUUGAGAUACUUAAAUAAGGAUGUUUUGUACAUAUGGUUAUGAGCUAUCCAUCCAUGCCCCUGGUUGCAUUUAUGGCUUGCUGUAGAUUGUUCAUAUCUUGCUCCAAAGUUGCUAAAUGAUGUUGCUGUCAGCCUGUUAACUUGAAGUUCAAUGUUUCCAUGAUUGUUGUUAGUUAUCCAUGCACCCUACGAACUUGCUCUUGCCAUGCUUAGCUUCAUAAACAUGUCUUCUUGCUGCUGGUUGCCUUGCCAUGCCAUGUAUUGCUCUGUAGUGAGUGGUUCAAACUCACCAACAUGCCUACUUAUUGUUGUUCCUGCCAUGUUUGAAUCUGUCAUAUAAUUUGCCAUGUUUACAUGGGUGCCAUCAUAUUUUCUGUGCCCUUUUGGCUCAUGGUCAGUAAAGGACUUUUGUUCUAUGCAAUUAGUAGAUUCAUGCCAUUCCUUUGUUUGCCAUGAUAAGUUCCUGUAACAUGUUGUUUGAUAGCUCUAAACAUUGCAACCUGAUGUUAUUUCCUAAUAAGUCUGAAACUGUUAUUAUUUGCAAUCUUGUCAUGUGUGUUUGAGCAUGUUCUACUGAUUUCUGGAGAUAGCUCAGUGUUCAUGUUUUGUUAUGCUUUACCUGUACAUCAUGAUCAUGCCUUUUGUUUUCAUAUUGAGGUGUUGUAGCAUAUUGUUUUGAUGCUUGCAAUAUGCCUAGUUGCUGUUAUGGACAGAUUGUUGUCAUAUCUUGUAUAGAGUGUAUGUGUUGAACCGUUGCUCCGUUUUGAGUGUGCUCUAUAUGAAACUUGCUUGUUUUUGCAUGUAGCUUCAUAUUAUCAUGUUGCAUCCUUGUUUUGGUGUGUUUGCUUGAUGUUUGGAUGCAUUUUGCAUCAAUGCCAUGGUUAACUUGUUUUGCUCAUAUCUUCUAGGCCGUAGCUCCGAAUCUAAUGAACUUUAUAUGUAACUUGACUAGAAUCCCAUGUAGAUCAUCUUGGUGCAUCUUAACUUGUUGUUUAACAACUUGAACAUAAGGUUUAUUCAGAUCUGGACCAACUUCGAAAUUUGCAUAUGAGGACUUACCGGAAUUGUUAUAUGUUGUUCCCGGCCUCAUCUAAACUUGCUUUGAUGAGUUGCUCUUGUUUGCAUCAUCUCUUGCCAUGAGUAGCUUCAUAUAGCUUUGUCAUGCAUCAUGCUUGUUGAGCAUCAUGCCUUGUUCAUGUGUGGUGUGUUUACUAUGUUGUGUGCUUCUUCUCGAUAGUUCCUGUUUCGUUGCGAUCGUGGGGAUUCGUUCGUCUACGCUUGGUUUGUCUUCGUGGCUUCAUCUUCUUCAUGGACUCGUUCUUCUUCCUUGCGGGAUUUCAGGCAAGAUGACCGCUACCCUGGAUCUCACUACUAUCAUUGCUAUGCUAGUUGCUUCGUUCUAUCGCUAUGCUGUGUCACCUAUCUUUUGCUCAUCAAGCCUCCCAAAUUGCCAUGAACCUCUAACCUUUGACACCCCUCCUAGCAAACCAUUAAUUGGCUAUGUUACCGCUUUGCUCAGCCCCUCUUAUAGCAUUGUUAGUUGCAGGUGAAGUUGAAGAUUGCUCCAUGGUGGACAGGAUUAUGUUGGGAUAUCACAAUAUCUCUUAUUUAAUUAAUGCAUCUAUAUAUUUGGUAAAGGGUGGAAGACUCGGCCUUAUGCCUGGUGUUUUGUUCCACUCUUGCCGCCCUAGUUUCCGUCAUACCGGUGUUAUGUUCCCGGAUUUUGCGUUCCUUACGCGGUCGGGUGAUUUAUGGGACCCCCUUGACAGUUCGCUUUGAAUAAAACUCCUCCAGCAAGGCCCAACCUUGGUUUUACCAUUUGCCUCACCACCACCUACAUUUCCCUUGGGAGUAAUUAACCCAAGGGUCAUAUUUAUUAUAGCCCCGGGGCCAAUGCUUGUCUAAGUGUUGGUCCAAACUAGAGCACCGUGCGGGACCAUCCUUUGGCAACUUGGGUUACGUCGAUACCUGUACGCUUAGCUUAUCUGGUGUUGCCCUGAGAACGAUAUAUGUGCAGCUCCUAUCGGGAUUGUCAGCGCAUCGGGCGGUCUUGCUGGUCUUGUUUUACCAUUGUCGAAAUGUCUUGUAAACCGGGAUUCCGAGACUGAUCGGGUCUUCCUGGGAGAAGGUAUAUCCUUCAUUGAUCGCGAGAGCUUAUCAUGGGCUAAGUUGGGACACCCCUGCAGGGUAUAAACUUUCGAAAGUCGUGCCCGCAGUUAUGGGCAGAUGGGAAUUUGUUAAUGUCCGGUUGUAGAUAACUUGACACCAGAUCCGUUUUAAAACGCAUCAACCGUGUGUGUAGCCGUGAUGGUCUCUUUUCGGCGGAGUCCGGGAAGUGAACACGGUUUCUGGGUUAUGUUUGACAUAAGUAGGUGUUCAGGAUCACCUCUUGAUCAUUGCUAGCUUCACGACCGUUCAUUUGUUUCUCUUCUCGCUCUUAUUUGCGUAUGCUAGCCACCAUACUAUGCUUAGUCGCUGCUGCAACCUCACCACUUUACCCCCUUCCUUACCUAUUAAGCUUUGCUAGUCUUGAUACCCAUGGUAAUGGGAUUGCUGAGUCCUCGUGGCUCACAGAUUACUACAACAACAGUUGCAGGUACAGGUUUUGCGAUGAUCAUGACGCGAGAGCGAUGUUUGCUUGUUUUGGAGUUCUGCUUCUGCUUCUUCUUCGAUCAGGGGAUAGGUUCCAGGUCAGCAGCCUGGGCUAGCAGGGUGGAUGUCGUUUGAGUUUUUGUUUGUGUUUCAUCCGUAGUCGGAUGGUGCUCUGAUGUAUUGUGAUGUUGUAUUCGUGUGGCAUUGUAUGCCCCUUGUAUGUAUCCCCAUCUAUUAUGUAAUGUUGAUGUAAUGAUAUCCACCUUGCAAAAGUGUUUCAAUAUGCGGGUCUAUCCUUGGUGGGACCUUCGAGUUCCUUUUGGAUAGGGUCGCAUAUUGGGCGUGACACUUUCUCCCUUAUUUUGUCUACUACUACCUUCUAUUCCACCCAUAAUGCUAUGUCCAUGGAUCACGCUCAUGUAUUGCGUGAAGAGUUGAAAAGGCUAAAGCGCGUUAAAAAGUAUGAAAUAAUUGCUUGGCUGACACCGGGGUGGUCAUGAUUUAUACUUUGUGCUGAGAAGAGGGAGCAUAACAAGACUAUAUGAUUUUGUAAGGAUAACUUUCUUUAGCCAUGUUAUUUUUGAAGCUUAAUGAUUUGCUUUCUAGUAUGCUUGAAGUAUUGUUGUUUUUGUGUCAAUGAACUGUUGUUUUGAAUCAUACGGAUCUGAAUAUUCAUGCCAAAUAAAAGAGAUUGCAUUGAUAAAUAUGUUAGGUAGCAUUCCACAUCAAAAAAAUUGUUUUUAUCAUUUACCUACUCGAGGACGAGCGGGAAUUAAGCUUGGGGAUCCUUGAUACAUCUCCAAUGUAUCUAUAAAUUUUGAUUGUUCCAUGCUAUUACAUUAUCUGUUUUGGAUGUUUUAUAUGCAUUAUUAUGCUAUUUAUAUUAUUUUUGGGACUAACUUAUUAACCGAGAGCCUAAUGCCAGUUUCUAUUUUUUUUCAUUUUUUUGAGUUUCGCAGAAAAGAAAUAUCAAACGGAGUCCAAAUGGAAUAAAACUUUACGAUGAUUUUUCUUGGACCAGAAGACACCCAGAGGACUUGGAGUCCAAGCCAGAAGACAUACGAGGCGGAGGCAAGGGUGGAGGGCGCGCCCUAGUGGGGGGCGCUCCCCUGCCUUGUGGCCCCCUCGGGAGUCCCCUAACCUACCUCUUCAUCCUAUAUAUUCACAUAUAUUCCAAAACCCUCAAAGAGAGCCAUGAAAAUACUUUUCCACUGCCGCAGGUCUUUGAACUCAUUAGAUUCCAUCUGGAGGCCUUUUCCGAUACUUUGCCGGAGGGGGGUUCGAUUACGGAGGGCAUCUACAUCAACCCUAUUGCCCUUCCGAUGAAGCAUGAGUAGUUUACCUCAGAACCACGGGUCUAUAGCUAGUAGCUAGAUGGCUUCUUCUCUCUCUUUGAUUCUCAAUACCAUGUCCUCCUCGAUGUUCUUGGAGAUCUAUUCGAUGUAAUCUUCUUUUGCGGUGUGUUUGUCGAGAUCCGAUGAAUUGUGGAUUUAUGAUUAACUUAUCUAUGAAUAUUAUUUGAAUCUUCUUUGAAUUCUUAUAUGCAUGGUUUGGUUUGGCCAACUAGAUUGGUUUUUCUUGUAAUGGGAGAGGUGCUUAGCUUUGGGUUCAAUCUUGCGUGAUUUCACCCAGUGACAAAGUAGGGGUAACGAGACACGUAUUGAAUUGUUGCCAUCGAGGAUAAAAAUAUGGGGUUUUCAUCAUAUUGCUUGAGUUAAUUCCUCUACAUCAUCUCAUCUUACUUAAGGCGUUACUCCGUUCUUUAUGAACUUAAUACUCUAGAUGCAUUGCUGGAUUGCGGUCGAUGUGUGGAGUAAUAGUAGUAUAUGUAGGCAGGAGUCGGUCUACUUGACACAGACGUGACGCCUAUAUACAUAAUCAUUGCCUUGGAUGUCGUUAUAACUUUGCGAUUUUUUAUCAAUUGCUCGACAGUAAUUUGUUCACCCACCGUAUUAUUUGCCUUCAUGAGAGAAGUCUCUAGUGAAACCUAUGCCCCCCAGGUCUAUUUUCCAUCAUAUUUGUUUCCGAUCUACUAUUUUGCAAUCUUUUAUUUCUAGAUCUAUAAACCAAAAAACACAAAAAUAUUUGGUUACCUUUUAGUUCCAUCUAUCUCUAUCAGAUCUCACCUUUGCAAUUGACCGUGAGGGGGUUGACAACCUCUUUAUCGCAUUGGGUGCAAGUGUUUGAUUGUUUGUGCAUGUGCAUAGACUGAGGAUUUGCUUGUACCUACUACUAGAUUGAUACGUUGGUUCUUUAACUGAGGGAAAUACUUAUCUCUACUUUGUUGCAUCAUACUUUUCUCUUCAUGAAAAAAGACAACGCAAGCUUAAGAAGUAGCAAGCGGCGCUGUGGCCGAACCGACAGAUGGCUUGCAUCCGACGAUGAAAAUGGCAGAGGCCACCAACUCCAUGGUGGCGAAGGGCAACGAGGCGGUAGCGGCGAUCGUCCUCGCAGAUCAGGCGGAGGAAGGAGACGAGACCAGGCAUCUCACCGGCGGCGAGUGCUCCCUCCCUUCUCUCUUUCUCUGUUGUUUUUCUUGCUCUCGCUGGCUGUUCUAGCGUGUGUGAUAACGGAUUUUGAAGCGAAUGGGAAAACUUGUAUUGAUCGGGAGUUGCAGAUUACAAUUUAUACUAUCCGGAGAGUCGCGAUGGGAAAGAAUGCGUCGGUUCCGGAGAGAGACGCGAGAGGCGUCUGUUGCGUAUGCAAGAAAGUGGAGAUUUUUUCCCUAAUUACAUUUGCUAAUUAAUCACAACAUAAAGCUUGUUGCUUUGCCCACGGGGCAUGUCGACGGCCUUCUUUUCCGUGUCUCCCCUCACUCAGCUAGUGCUCUGCUUUCUGUACGAGCUGGCCAUUCCCAAGAAUAAUAUGUUCCUUCUUCCAGUGAACAACUCUGUUGCGUUAAGAGACUUGUGCGUGUGUCGUUUUUCUUUUGAUUUCCCACCGUGGUUGGUAAAAAUUGCAAUAUUAUACUAUUUUUAAGGUAAUAAAGGUUAAAAGUUCGGGCCUACAAACGUUGGCAUCAGUAUCCAUUUUAAAACAUCACAAAUAACUAUAUUGUCAUUCUAAAACAUCACAAGUUUGCAUUAGAUUUUCCUGUCUAGUGAUUUAAGACCGCACCAUCAGUAAAAUCUAUUCCUACAUUGGUUACAAAUUCGAUGAAAUGACGAGUUUUAGGCCAUGACCCAAGGCCAACCAGCACGACACAGCCACAAAAACAACACAAGGGUGCCAGACGAACGGAUCAAGAUCAAUAUCCAAAUGCCAGCACGGCACAUAAUCCAGAUAACACAAUCUAUAACUCCAGCAAGAUAAUAACCAAAACUCAAAGGAACAGGUCCGUUGUGCAGGGUGCCAGACACUAACAAAAGCGCAUUUCACUCGUCGUCGUCCUCGUCAUCAUCGGCGGCACCGGCAGAGUUGUUGAGGGCGUUGAGCCUUUCGACGAGGCUGGCCUUCCUCUGCUCAUAAGUCAGCUUCUUGGGGUUGUACCUGCAUGCAAAGACAAAGUUCACAACGCAGCUCACAACAAGGUGGAAAAGAAACAGCAGUCAAGAGUAAAUGAACUCAAGACAGUAUGAUGAAGAGCUUGCCGACUAUACCUCUUGUGAGUCUUGGGAGGCGCCUUGGUUGAUUUGGCCAUGGUGGGAUCAGCACGGAUGGCAGCAUGAACCUUCUUGUAAACUGCUUCCAUGUCAUCAGCUGAGAUUCCCCUCUUGAUGUACUCACUGAAGUGAGUUUGGAACUUCUCUGGUUCCUCAUCUGCUAGUGACUGGAAUAAGAGAAAGGCAAAAGUUCAGUAAGAAAUGAAAGAGGAACUAGGGUCAUUUCAUUGCCCUAGGUACAAGAGCAUGAACAAGAGUAAUACAAAAUCAAGAGAGCAAUGGCUUCCAACUCACCCUCAUGUAGUCAGCAACAUGCCCUCCAAAGAUGUACUUGCGGUGAAUCUCAGCAUCCAGCGACUUCUCGUCCUUCUUAAAACCAGCAAAUCUCUUGUCACUGUGGGGAAUGUCAAGACCACCAUCCAAAGCUCCCUGCAGGACCAAAAAUAAUUACACCAGCGGCAAAAAAGCUCUAAGGGAUAAAACCGAUGCAUUCAAAAACAAGUAAGUUCUGAAGUUCAGCCAAAUAGGGAGCAACUAUCACUUGAUGCAAAUAAAAAAUGAAAACAAAAAGCAAUAACAAUGCCUUUUCACUAGGCCAAAUAGCAUAAAUAGUUGCUUUAGAAACUUGACAAAAUAAAGCAGAGCAGCUAUAAACAAGUUACAGGGCAAUCAUGCAAUUAAACUCCCAAGUCUAUCUAAAGAGGAACAACCAAUCAUGAUUUGCCGAUAGUUUCAUGCCAAAGGCUUGUGACAUUGAGUGUCCAUCUGCACUUAAAAAACUGUACGCUAAUAUCAUCGCAUACCUUAAGGGCACCAAACACGCGGUUCCCAGUGGUGGUCCUAAUAAGACCAACAUCCAAGAGCGCACGGAAAGGCCUCCUCUCAUCAGAAGGCUCAACAGAGAAGUCCUCACCUGUGGCCUGAGCACAGACAUAUAUUAGUUGUGUCCAUCAGAAGCAGCAAAUCAGGAUAUUAGACUAAAAAUAAUAUCAAAGCCAAAUUAUACCUCAACAUUGCCUUCAUACUCCUCAUCAAGAUCACGGUUCUUGAGCACACGACGAGCCAAAAGCAGACCAGUGCAGUAGGCUACAUCAUGCAUUCAGAAAAUUAGAUUUGAAAAGAGGCAUGCAUAAGAUCACAGCAUGCAUCUGCACAUUCAUUCAGUAGCUAAAAUCAACCUGCAGCAUAGUUGGUGAGGCCAACUUCAAGACCGUAGCGAGGCAACUCAUGGGAGUAGGCAGCGGCCAUCACGAUAUCACCAGCAAUGGUAGCAUAGACAAUUUGUGCAGUGACAUCCUUGUUGGUCUAAAGUAGUAUUGUUAAGAGAUACAACAUGCCUCCAUGGUAACAAUAAGCAGAAUAUAGAAGAUUGACAAGUGCACAAAUCAUAACGAAGAAACUUUGAAGGAUACAAAUCGCACAACAAAACGGUACUUGGGGGUAUUGUAUUUGUUCUUGUCCUGGUUCGUGAGCCUCAGCCUGGCCCUGUAGUCGGUCUUCCCCUCUGAGGAAACAAGGGAGAAGGGAAAAUCAGGCAAUCAGAAUCACUGUGAAAUUACAGAAGUAGCAGAUUCAUGGAGAGGCAGGUGUUAGACAUACGGCGCCUUCUCUUGAACUUGACUUGGAAACGCUUGGAGUACGCCCUUGUCUUCUGGUUCUUGAUGUACACCUACAAGACAUAUCAAAGAGAAGCAUAUGAGUGCUACCCAGGAAACACUAGUAAUCAAUCAGGCGGCACAAACAAAACAUUUGUAAGAUAAGAUACCAAAGUGGUUCAUAGUUGUAUUUGAUGAGGAGAAACAUUGAAUCUGCCAACUUGGAGUAAUCACAAGUAUUUCCUAAAUACAACCGAGUAUACUCUCGCGCGCAGAAACGAAACCCGCACUCUACGAAAUGGGAACUUGUUUUCACAGCAGUUGUAAGGCAAUUAGAGCAGGCAAUAAUACUACUGAAGCAUGAUUCGCGAGCAACAGAAUCUCAUGAAGCGGCAGAAAUCCAGAUCUGACACGGAGCAAGCACACCGCAGAUCUGACUAGGAAGUGCUAAACCCUUAAGCCCCGAGUCACACAAGCUAUGAAGGCAAAUCGAAAACCUAGGCGGCGACCACUGCGGCGGAGGCGCACGGAAGCCAGACGCCACGGGCAGCAACGCGCGCGCGGACCGAAGCAGCAGCCAUGGAGGAAGAGGGGGCGGGGAGAUCGGACGUACCAUCGCGCCCGCGGGGAGGGAGCUCCUGCGGAAGGAGGCGGCGGCGGCGCGGGCAGGCGGGCGGAAGGGCAAGGGAUGAUGGGGAGGCAGCGUGGUGGCGCUUGUAUAUACGAGGGGGCGGGCCUGGCUGCUUGCUGGGCCGCGGCGUGAGGCGCCCCCGCAAGGGUGGGCCUCUUUCGGUCCGCUUCUAAGGCCCAUGAAUUGCGUUUCGUUAUGUUUUUUUCCCCUCGGCUCGCUGGAGGGCGAGAGCAUAACGCCCGCUGUUGCAGUUGCAGAGGGGAGAGAGCGGUUGCUCGUUCCUUCACGACUCGUCUCCCGUUCCGUGUCCCUCCGGCGGAUCACCGUUGGCGAUGGCGAUGGCGGUGGCGAUCCGGUCCCUGGUCGCGGCGCUGCUGGCCGGCUGCGUCCUCCUCGCGGUGCCGGCGCCGCGGUGCGCGGUGACGGCGACGGACCACGUCGUCGGGGGCUCGCUCUGGACCAUCCCCACGAGCAGCGACCACUACAGCAACUGGGCGGGCAACAGGACCAUCUUCGCCGGCGACAACCUCGGUGAGCCCGCCGCCGCCACCGUCCCUCUCGAGUGCGAGUGCUGUUCGUGUUUGAUCUCUCACGACGAGAAUGCGUGCGUGCGUGCGUGCGGUGUUCAGGUUCGACGCGGGGAUGUACGACGUGGUGCAGGUGGGGCAGUGGGAGUACAAUCGCUGCUCGUGGGAGGACCCCUACUCAGACACCCUCAAGAGCAGCCCCGCCGUGUUCCACCUCCUCUUCGCCGACGCCAAUUACUACGUCUGCACCAUCGCCAACUACUGCUCCCUCGGCGUCAAGCUCUACGUCCAGGUCCAGCAGGCCUAACCACACACCUUCUCGCCCUGCAACCUCUGCAGUAAUAAACUCCUCCUUUCAACUGCUACUAUUUUCUUCUAGUAUGUUACUCCAGUAAUGGAAUUGUACUUAGAUCGACAAUAAUGCAAGUGCAUAAUAAUGUGCAUGAUGAUGAUAAUGAUUACGAUGCCAGCCAGAAAACCUGAUUAAAAGCCACAAACAUGCUCUGCAAAACUGUCCACGGUCCUGCUUAGACAACGUAUUCAGAGAGACAGACAAAGAGCGUGCGUUAGUUUUCACGGACAGAUUUUGCUUUUAUACGAGUGUCACACUACAUCAGAAGUAGCCACGUAGCAAUUUUCAAAAGACAUGGAUGGAUACAGUCCCGGCGCCAUACGGGCAAAAAUCAGCUUCAUCGAUAACACCACCAAAGCACCAGAAGAGAGCGGGCAGGCAUCUUGUUCUUGGGUCCCAAAAAUGCUUGCUGCCCAACCUAGCUUACUGUUGUGCGCACUGCACUCUUUGGGCACCGCCUCCGGGCAUCUCGUCGUCCUCAUCGUACGCCUCCUGAGCAGCAGCAUGGGCUUUCCGACGCAUCUCCUCCUCCAUGUUGACAUCAUGCAUCGUCGUCUCCUCGCAUUCGUCGAGCUCCAUGUCGGUCAGCUUGGAUGCAGGCUUUGGUGGAAGCACAGCCUCGAGAGCCUUGCACUGAUCCGGUGCCAGCGAGUCGGGGAACUCCACCGUGAAAUGAAUGUAGAGCUUGCCCUUCAUGAACGGCCUCUGGUACAUCGGCAUCCCCUCGUCGCUGAUUGCCUUGAAUGAAUCUGAUCAGAAUUUGAAACCAAAGUUAUCAACAAGUACAAUUUUGCACAUAAGUACACAGAUUAGUCGCUGUGAUCUACGAGGCCUUACCAGGCUUGACAAUUUCACCAGGGUUUGAUUUAAUGAGCAGCUGCCUGUUGUCCAGAUGGGUCAGGACGAGUUGGAACCCACAAAGAGCUUCAGUGAGAGAUAUGGUAUGCUCAUAGAAGAGAUCAUCGCCCUUUCGCUUGAACUUUGGGUGUUCCUUCUGCUGGACGACAAAUACAAUGUCUCCAGUAACAGUGUCAGGCUGAAAACAAAACACACUGUUAGUUUGUAGACAUCGAAGCAAAGCUAUAAUAAUAAAGAGUAAAGAAUAUCAUAGACUGAACAAGCAUACCGCCUCAUCAGCUUCACCAGGGAAGGUGAUCUUCUGGUUGUGUUGCAUCCCCUUCUCAACAUGAACCUCCAGAACUUUCUUCUCCUGAAGAACCUUCUCACCCUUGCAGCCUGGGCAGCGGUCCUUGUCGUUAAUACUCUCCCCGGUGCCCUUGCAAUCAUUGCAGGCCUGCUGCAUCUGCUGUAUCAUGGAAGGCCCCAGCUGACGAAUAGUCACUUUCAUGCCUGACCCCUGGCAACCUGGGCACCUCAUGGAAGCACCAGACUUGGAGCCCUUGCUGAAAUAAACAAGGAACUAUGUUCAAGAGCAGCACUGCAGAAAACACAUGGUCAACUGGGUUAACUGGGAAGGAACAAACCAGACUUACCCCUUGCACUUGGAGCAGAGGACGCUGCGGGAAAGAGAGAGCUUCUUCGAGGUACCAUUGUAAAGAUCUUCUAGAGAAGCUUUUAGUGGAUGGACAACAUCCUCUCCCCUCCUUUGCCUUCUGCCCCUGCUGCUGCCACCACCACCACCUGUGCACAAAAUAUACAUAUGCAAUUUAUUACAUCAAGACAUACACUAUAUAACAGAGUUUGACGGUCAAACAGGAAAAUAGGUUGCCUUCAAACAAUACCUCCAAAAGAGGGCCCGAAAAAUGAUGAAAAUAUGUCAAAUGGAUCAACUCCACCACCACCUCCUCCACCCAUUCCUUCCUUGAGAGCAUCUUCGCCAUACUGAUCAUAUAUCUCACGCUUCUCAGGGUCACUCAAAACCUCAUAGGCUUGUGCCAGCUCCUUGAACUGAAAUAAAAUUUAAACAACAGAUACACCUGAAAUAAGCCUUUCAUUCUGCAGAUCAUGGUAAAUCAGCAGAUGAAUUUAGCAUGAGAACUAAAAUAGUACAGAAAAACAACAAUGAUAUAUUUGCGCUCACUAGAUACAUUUCAAUGAGUUCUUGAACAGUUGAAAUAGUAAAAUUUGUUAAAUUUACAGCAAAGCAAGAAAUAUCUAUUACACAACAUAGGCAACACAAAAAAGAAUUGUAUCACUCCACUUCAGCAGAGUAUAGCAGAAUAAAGAGAUUAGAGUUGUCAAGCAGAUCGAUUACCCAAUAUAUCACAGAUAAGCAAGAAGCAUAUAAUAAAUAAACCGGCGAACAUUCAUAUAAUAAAUAAACCGGCGAACAUUGUCCAAACAAACUGCCCACAUUUAGUAAGGGAAUUUGCAUCAGAGGUGAAAUGGGGGUGCUGUAGGAAAUCAAAAGUUCGACAUAGAUGUCAUAUGAUAAGCAUAAUAAAAGUCCAAAAACAGAAAAGGUGAAUGAUCCUUGGUAUGAAAUACAGACUAGACGCAUAUUAUUUUCCGCCAUCAGCAUUGGAUUUGACACUCCCAUACACAAUUAUCAGCAGGGACAACGUGGAUGACCAAUGGAAUGUAUAACCACCCCAUGCGAUAAGCUAGCUGAAAGAUGGGCUUCCAUGAUAUGGAAAUGUUGCAUGUCCCACACUGCUGCCCAAUUGAUGCACUCCUAACAAAUAACAACGGGCAGAGUCACUGUCGAGGGGUGGUGGAAUUGUGGUGUGUGAGGUGACAUUCUCAUGUAUGACUCAGCAUCAGAUGUCUUCCCAUGACACUAACAAAACGGUUGUCCACCUUAUAACUAGACUGGAAAAGACGUCUAGAAAUAUGCAUUAUCCCCAGAUGAAUCACCAAGUGAGUACCAUCCAACCAGGAGCAUUUUUUAAACUACUAAAUCUUACUUGACAAUGCAGAUGCAAAAUAACUGGCCCUGCAAAAACAUGCAAACAACUGUACUUCUGUUCCCCGAAUCUAGCCAAAAUCACGCCCAGGGAAACUUUCCUAUACGCAUCAGUAGCCAGCACUCCGCAGAAAGCAAUACCCGCCACCCAAAGAUCGCGAUCAUGACCACUUCACAUCAAACCACAACAAGCAGGGCAAGCACUCCCUGACAAGCCACAGCAAUCCUCUUCUUUUCUUUCUGCGAAUCGCCACAGCAAAUCCUCCAAGACGCAACGGGAGCUACAAACCCCAGCAGAAGCAGAUCAUCACGAAUCCACGCAAAACUCGCAGCUCGGCCACAUCACAGAUGCCCCUACGCGAAUUGACUCCCAGCACCGCACGGACUUCCCGCGCCCGAUCUAUCUAGUUCUACCUUGCCAUAGCAGAUCGGAUCACACCAGAUCGCGCCCGAACGGACCCGAAAAGUAGCAGCUAAGAUGCGCGAUGAUCGCAGGGGAGGAAGGGGGGAUCGGACCUUCUCGGGGUCUCCGCCCUUGUCGGGGUGGUUCUUGAUGGCGGCCUUGCGGUAGGCCUUCUUGAGGUCGUCCUGGGCGGCGUUCUUGGGCACCCCGAGCACCUCGUAGUACUUGGUGUUGUCGCUCUUCUUGGGGGCGCGGCCGAACAUCUUCGCCGGCGGGGUGGUGGGAUGGGUAGGCCCUCCUCGCGCGCCGCCGGUCGCCUCUCUCCCGCGGGCGUGGGAGCGGAGACGAGGAGGCGGUCAAAGUCGGGCGGCCGGGCGGAGCGAGUGAGAGAGAGAGAGGGUUUGGCCCCGCUGGAUACGCCAGGGCUAAUGUAGAGACCGGAGUGCGUGAGCUGGCUGCGGAGGCGUAUUAUGUGUCGCGGGCCGCGACGCGGACCCGAAUUGUUUACUGCUCUCGAGGGGAACCCGGCCCCCUGGAUUGUUGGACCUGAUUCGGUCGCUGGAUAGAGAUUCCAGCCCAAAUGAGCCAUCGUAUGGGCCAGAACUCCUCUUUGAUCGGUCAGUGUCGUACGUCCAGAGCCGUGACGAUUUAGCACCCGGGCCCACCCGCGUGGUGGCUGCUCUGCAUCUGUGUCUCCGCGGGCUGAUUCUGGCAGGAGGCCAGCUGGACAGGAACAGUUCCAAAAGACAAAAGCCAACGACCCCUCUGCAUCAGAAAGGCUUUUUUCUAGAAGAAAGAAACGGUUUUUCUUUACGCAGCGCAGAUGUAAACGUUCAUACAUACGCAUAUACAUUUACUCUUAUGAAUGUAUACGUGUCUAUCCUCUCUACAUGAGCAUCUCUGAGAAAUUGAGGCGGCAUAUCAUUUUGAGAUUGACGAAGUCACCAAAGACGAAUUUGUAGUCUAUAGGGACGUCUCCUCUCACUAAAUGCACAUCACCAAAAGGUCUGAAAUAAAUAAAGAAAAUGCGAGCACCGGUAUCAAGUCUAAGACUUAAACUCUCAUGGGCUGGGGAUACCCUUGUCCUCCUAACCAUCUAACCACAUGUUGAUUUGCUGAAAGGCUCAUUUUUAUACACGUGCUUCCAUGUUGUUAAACUCAAUUCAGAGAAAUGUCCCUUAGCUAGAGAAAAUACAGUACAAGGUAGUUAACUAUUUUGUGUGUUUGGUAAAAAAUCAUUUUCAUGGACUAGACUAAUAUGAUCCCAGUAUGUGCGUGAAUGCGUGCAAACAGUGUUUGCUAACAUGCCCAUGAAACCUUUUUUGUGUGUGCACCACCUGACGGUGUCCUGGUCAAGGGAUCUCUCACCACGUCGAUUCCUGGCCUGGAGGGCCAGGCUGAGGACCACUGGGUCAUUUCCAUCGUGGACCACAUUGGGCAUUCGAUGGUGGAUUUACAUGAAGACAUCCGAAGACUUCGCUUACAAGGCAAGAAGACGAAGUCGUUGAGGACUCUACCCCCACCUACGUAGUCGGUUAGGAUAUGUAACCUUAGGAUCCCGAGUAUGUUAUAUAAGUCGGGGGUCGGGCUCGUAGUUAGACACAAUAUAAACUCACAGUACUCAUAUAUACUUUGUACACACCCCAACGCAGUACACAUGAGCAGAACGUAAGGUAUUAUCUCCUCCAUGAGAGCUCGAACCUAGGUAAGACCUUGCUUCUUGUUACCAUCCAGCCCAAUCGCCUAUCCGGGAUACCAUACCGAAGGACCUGUCGGAUUGAGCUCCGACCGUGGUGGUCUCUGCUACUUGUGAUAUGCGUUGGGUUUUUCCUCAAAGAGGAAGAGGAAUGCAGUAUAGUAGAGAUAAGUAUUUCUCUAAGUGAGAACCAAGGUGCAUCGAAACAGUAGGAGAAUCACGCAAAGCCUCGUGAACAGCACAUGCACACACAAAAACAAAUACUUGCACCCAACGCGAGCAAGAGGGUUUUCAAUCCCCUUGAACUCGUCACUUGCAAGAUCAAAUCAUGUAGUGGUAGAUAGAUAAAUUACAAAAUAAACUAAAAUAAAAAAAUUACAGCAAAAGAAUUUAGGUUUUUAUAAUACGAUUAAAGUAGAGCCGGGGGCCAUAGUUUUCACUAGAGGCUUUUCUCUCGAACACAUAGCAUACAGUGGGUGAACAAAUUGUUGUUGGGCAAUUGAUAGAAAAGCGCAUAGUUAUGACGAUAUUCAAGGGAAUGAUCAUGUAUAUAAGCAUCACGUCCAAGACAAGUUGACCGACUCUUGCCUACAUCUAUUACUAUUACUCCACCAGUCGAUCGCUAUCCAACAUGCAUCUAUGGCAUUAAGUUCAUAAAAACAGGUUAACGCCUUAAAGAUGACAUGAUAUAGACAAAGUAAACCCAAAUGAAUAAAUCAUGUUGUUUUACCCUUAAUGGCAACAAUACAAAUACGUGUUUUGUCCCCUUCUGUCACUGGGAUAUAGAGCACCACAAGAUUGAACCCAUUACAAGACACCUCUCCCACUGAAGAUAAAUCAAUCUAGUUGGGCAAACUAAACGGAUAGAUCAGAGAGAAAUACAAAGUUAUAACAAUCAUGCAUAAUAAAGUUCAGAAAAGACUCGGUUGCUUCUCAUGAAUAUUCAGAUCAUAAACCACAAUUCAUCAAAUCCCAACAAACACACCGCAAAAGAAGAUUGCAUCGGAUAGAACUCCAAGAACACCAAGGAGAACAUUGUAUUAAAGAUCAAAGAGAUAGAAGAAACCAUCUAGCUACUAGAUAUGGACCCGUAUGUCCGUGAUAAACUACUCACGCAUCAUCAAAAGGCAAAAAGGAUGAUGUAGAAGCCCUCCACGGUCAAUUCUCCCUCCGGCAAAGUACCGGAAAGGCCUCCGGAUGGGAUCACGGAAGAACAGAAGCUUGAGGUGGCGAAAAAACUGUUUCAAGUGGCUCUCUAUUGGUUUGGGAAUAUUUCUAAAUUUAUAUAGGUGGAAUUAGGUCAAGGGGUGCUACGAGGGGCCCACAAGCUCAGGGGGCGCCCUGUGAGCUUGUGGCUCACACGUCAUGGAUCUCUGAGGUAAACCCGUCGGGUGUGAGGCAUCCGUGGAGAUCAAACAGAUGGGAGAGUGCCAUGGAGCCAUCUGCAAGAGCCUCGCGCUCGCGCAAAACGAAUGGUUGAGGCCACUCUCGCACACAAAGGCUCCAAGGAGGCCAAUACUCCAACAUCCUUUAUAGGAGUAAUAACCUCAAUCAAAAUCCGUUAUAGUUCUUUACAAUCUAAAUCGUUGCAUUCACUUGCUUACAACCAUCAAUUCCUAGCAGAUUAUUCGUUAAUCCUUGUAACUAGCAAGGCGAGUGAGACUGACAAUCUCCAUUACCAUUUAAGUUGGGGACCAAACCUAUCUAAUUGUUGGAAAUAUGCCCUAGAGGCAAUAAUAAAAGUAUUAUUAUUAUAUUUCCUUGUUCAUGAUAAUUGUCUUUUAUUCAUGCUAUAACUGUAUUAUCCGGAAAUCGUAAUACACGUGUGAAUACAUAGACCACAAUAUGUCCCUAGUGAGCCUCUAGUUGACUAGCUCGUUGUGAUCAACAGAUAGUCAUGGUUUCCUGGCUAUGGACAUUGGAUGUCGUUGAUAACGGGAUCACAUCAUUAGGAGAAUGAUGUGAUGGACAAGACCCAAUCCUAAGCAUAGCACAAAGAUCGUGUAGUUCGUUUGCUAGAGCUUUGCCAAUGUCAAGUAUCUCUUCCUUUGACCAUGAGAUCGUGUAAUUCCUGGAUACCGUAGGAGUGCUUUGGGUGUAUCAAACGUCACAAUGUAACUGGGUGACUAUAAAGGUGCACUACAGGUAUCUCCGAAAGUAUCUAUUGUUUUAUGCGGAUCGAGACUGGGAUUUGUCACUCCGUGUAAACGGAGAGGUAUCUCUGGGCCCACUCGGUAGGACAUCAUCAUAUGUGCAAUGUGACCAAGGAGUUGAUCACGGGAUGAUGUGUUACGAAACGAGUAAAGUGACUUGCCGGUAACGAGAUUGAACAAGGUAUUGGAUACCGACUAUCGAAUCUCGGGCAAGUAACAUACCGAUAGACAAAGGGAAUUGUAUACGGGAUCGAUUGAGUCCUUGACAUCGUGGUUCAUCCGAUGAGAUCAUCGUGGAACAUGUGGGAGCCAACAUGGGUAUCCAGAUCCCGCUGUUGGUUAUUGACCGGAGAACGUCUCGGUCAUGUCUGCAUGUCUCCCGAACCCGUAGGGUCUACACACUUAAGGUUCGAUGACGCUAGGGUUAUAAAGGAAGCUUGUAUGUGAUUACCGAAUGUUGUUCGGAGUCCCGGAUGAGAUCCCGGACAUCACGAGGAGUUCCGAAAUGGUCCGGAGGUAAAGAUUUAUAUAUAGGAAGUCCUGUUUCGGCCAUCGGGACAAGUUUCGGGGUCAUCGGUAUUGUACCGGGACCACCGGAAGGGUCCCGGGGGCCCACCGGGUGGGGCCACCUGCCCCGGGGGGCCACAUGGGCUGUAGGGGGUGCGCCUUGGCCUACAUGGGCCAAGGGCACCAGCCCCAAGAGGCCCAUGCGCCUGGGGAAACCCUAAAGGAAGAGUCCCAGCAGGGGAAGGCACCUCCUAGGUGCCUUGGGGGGGAGGACUCCUCCCCUGGCCGCCGCCCCCUUGGAGAUUGGAUCUCCUAGGGGCUGGCGCACCCCCCCCCCCUUGGGAUCCCUAUAUAUAGUGGGGUAGGAGGGCCUCCCAAACACACCUUAUGCCUUUGGUGCAGCCCCUCCCUCUCUCCCAAGUUCUUCUCCUCUCUCGUGGUGCUUGGCGAAGCCCUGCGGGAUUGCCACGCUCCUCCACCACCACCACGCCGUUGUGCUGCUGUUGGAUGGAGUCUUCCUCAACCUCUCCCUCUCUCCUUGCUGGAUCAAGGCGUGGGAGACGUCACCGGGCUGUACGUGUGUUGAACGCGGAGGUGCCGUGCGUUCGGCACUUGAUCAUCGGUGAUUUGAAUCACGACGAGUACGACUCCAUCAACCCCGUUCACUUGAACGCUUCCGCUUAGCGAUCUACAAGGGUAUGUAGAUGCACUCUCCUUCUACUCGUAGCUGGUUUCUCCAUAGAUAGAUCUUGGUGACACGUAGGAAAAUUUUGAAUUUCUGCUACGUUCCCCAACAGUGGCAUCAUGAGCUAGGUCUAUUGCGUAGAUUCUUUGCACGAGUAGAACACAAAGUAGUUGUGGGCGUUGAUGUUGUUCAAUAUGCUUACCGUUACUAGUCCAAUCUUGUUUCGACGGUAUUGUGGGAUGAAGCGGCCCGGACCGACCUUACACGUACUCUUACGUGAGACAGGUUCCACCGAUUGACAUGCACUUGGUGCAUAAGGUGGCUAGCGGGUGCCAGUCUCUCCCACUUUAGUCGGAACGGAUUCGAUGAAAAGGGUCCUUAUGAAGGGUAAAUAGCAAUUGGCAUAUCACGUUGUGGUUUUGCGUAGGUAAGAAACGUUCUUGGUAGAAACCCAUAGCAGCCACAUAAAACAUGCAACAACAAUUAGAGGACGUCUAACUUGUUUUUGCAGGGUAUGCUAUGUGAUGUGAUAUGGCCAAGAAGAAUGUGAUGAAUGAUAUGUGAUGUAUGAGAUUGAUCAUGUUCUUGUAAUAGGAUUCACGACUUGCAUGUCGAUGAGUAUGACAACCGGCAGGAGCCAUAGGAGUUGUCUUUAUUUUUUGUAUGACCUGUGCGUCAUUGAAGAACGCCAUGUAACUUACUUUACUUUAUUGCUAAACGCGUUAGUCAUAGAAGUAGAAGUAGUCGUUGGCGUGACAACUUCAUGAAGACACGAUGAUGGAGAUCAUGGUGUCAUGCCGGUGACGAUGAUGAUCAUGGAGCCCCGAAGAUGAAGAUCAAAAGGAGCAAAAUGAUAUUGGUCAUAUCAUGUCACUAUUUGAUUGCAUGUGAUGUUUAUCAUGUUUAUGCAUCUUGUUUACUUAGGACGACGGUAGUAAAUAAGAUGAUCCCUUACAAAAUUUCAAGAAGUGUUCUCCCCUAACUGUGCACCGUUGCUACAGUUCGUCGCUUCUAAGCACCACGUGAUGAUCGGGUGUGAUGGAUUCUUACGUUCACAUACAACGGGUGUAAGACAGUUUUACACAGCGAAAACACUUAGGGUUAACUUGACGAGCCUAGCAUGUGCAGACAUGGCCUCGGAACACGGAGACCGAAAGGUCGAGCAUGAGUCGUAUGGUAGAUACGAUCAACAUGAAGAUGUUCACCGAAGAUGACUAGUCCGUCUCACGAGAUGAUCGGACACGGGCUAGUUGACUCGGAUCAUGUAAUCACUUAGAUGACUAGAGGGAUGUCUAUCUGAGUGGGAGUUCAUAAGAUGAGCUUAAUUAUCCUGAACAUAGUCAAAAGACCUUUUGCAAAUUAUGUCGUAGCUCGUGCUAUAGUUCUACUGUUUAGAUAUGUUCCUAGAGAAAAUUAUAGUUGAAAGUUGAUAGUAGCGAUUAUGCGAUCAGUAGAAAGCUUAUGUCCUUAAUGCACCGCUCAGUGUGCUGAACCCCAAACGUCGUUUGUGGAUGUUGUGAACAUCGGACAUACACGUCUUGAUAACUAUGUGAUAGUUCAGUUAAACGGUUUAGAGUUGAGGCACGAAAGACGUUUUCGAAACAUCGCGAAACAUAUGAGAUGCUUCGAGGGCUGAAAUUGGGAUUUCAGGCUCGUGCCCAUGUCAAGAGGUAUGAGACCUCCGACAAUUUUCUUAGCCUACAAACUAAGGGAGAAAAGCUCAAUCGUUGAGCUUGUGCUCAGAUUGUCUGAGUGCAACAAUCACUUGAAUCGAGUGGGAGUUGUUCUUCCAAAUGAGAUAGUGAUGUUUCCCCAAAGUCAUUGCCACGAAGCUGCUAGAGCUUCGUGAUGAACUAUAACAUAUCAGGGAUAGAUAUGAUGAUCCUUGAGGUAUUCGCGAUGUUUGACACCGCGAAAGUAGAAAUCAAGAAGGAGCAUCAAUUGUUGAUGGUUGGUGAAACCACUAGUUUCAAGAAGGGCAAGGGAACAAAGGGAUACUUCAUGAAAUGGCAAUUCAGCUGCUGCUCUAGUGAAGAAACCCGAGGUUGAACCCAAACCCGAGACUAAGUGCUUCUGUAAUAAGGGGAACAACCACUGGAGCAGGAUUACCCUAGAUACUUGGUAGAUGAGAAGGCUGGCAAGGUCGAUAGAAGUAUAUUGGAUAUACAUUAUGUUAAUGUGUACUUUACUAGUACUCCUAGUAGCACAAGGGUAUUAGAUACCGGUUCGGUUGCUAAAGUGUUAGUAACUCGAAAUAAAAGCUACGAAAUAAAAGGAGACUAGCUAAAGGUGAGCUGACGAUAUGUGUUGGAAGUGUUUCCAAGGUUGAUGUGAUCAAGCAUCGCACGCUCCCUCUACCACCGAGAUUGGUGUUUGCGUUGAGCUUAGACAUGAUUGGAUUAUGUCUAUCGCAAUACGGUUAUUCAUUUAAGGAGAAUAAUGGUUACUCUGUUUAUUUGAAUAAUACCUUCAAUGGUCUUACACCUAAAAUAAAUGGUUUAUUGAAUCUCGAUCAUAGUGAUACACAUGUUCAUGCCAAAAGAUAUAAGAUAGUAAUGAUAGUACCACUUACUUGUGGCACUGCCAUGUAAGUCAUAAUGGUAUAAAACGCAUGAAGAAGCUCCAUGUUGAUGGAUCUUUGGACUCACUCGUUUUAGAAAAGUUUGAGACAUGCGAACCAUGUCUAUUGGUGUAUAUGCAUGAAGAAACUCCAUGCAAAUGGAUCGUUCGGACUCACUUGAUUUUGAAUCACUUGAGAUAUGCAAAUCAUACCACAUGGGCAAGAUGACUGAAAAGCCUCAUUUUCAGUAAGAUGGAACAAGAUAGCAACUUGUUGGAAGUAACACAUUUUGAUGUGUGCAGUCGAAUGAGUGCUGAGGCAUGCAGUGAAUAUCAUUAUGUUCUUACUUCACAGAUGAUUCGAGUAAAUGUUGAGUAUAUUUACUUGAUGAAACACAAGUCUGAAUUAUUGAAUGGUUCAAGUAAUUUCAGAGUGAAGUAGCAGAUCAUUGUGACAAGAGGAUAAAAUGUCUAUGAUAUGAUCAUAGAGAUGAAUAUCUGAGUUACGAGUUUUGGCACACAAUUAAGACAUUGUGGAAAUUGCUUCGCAAUUAAUACCGCCCGGAACACCAUAAUGUGAUGGUGUGUCCAAACAUCAUAGUUGCACCCUAUUGGAUAUGGUGCGUACCAUGAUGUCUCUUAUCGAAUUACCACUAUCGUUCAUGGGUUAGGCAUUAGAGACAACCACAUUCACUUUAAAUAGGGCACCACGUAAUUCCGAUGAGAUGACACCGUAUGAAUUAUGGUUUAGAGAAACCUAAGUUGUCGUUUCUUAAAGGUUUGGGGCUGCGACGCUUAUGUGAAAAAGUUUCAGGAUUAAUCUCGAACCCAAAGCGGAUGAAAUGCAUCUUCAUAGGACACCCAAAACAGUUGGGUAUACCUCCUAAUUCAGAUCCGAAAGCAAUAUGGAUUGUUUCUUGAAUCGGGUCCUUUCUCGAGGAAAGGUUUCUCUCGAAAGAGUUGAGUGGGAGGAUGGUUGAGACUUGAUGAGGUUAUUGAACCGUCUCUUCAACUAGUGUGUGGCAGGGCACAGGAAGUUGUUCCUGUGGCACCUACACCAAUUGAAGUGGAAGCUUAUGAUAUUGAUCGUGAAACUUCGGAUCAAGUCACUACCAAACCUCGUAGGACGACAAGGACACGCACUACUUCGGAGUGGUAAGGUGAUCCUGUCUUGAAAGUCAUGUUGCUAGACAACAAUGAACCUACGAGCUAUGGAGAAGCGAUGGUGGGCCCGAAUUCCGACAAAUGGUUAGAAGCCAUGAAAUCCGAGAUAGUAUCCAUAUAUCAGAACAAAGCAUGGACUUUGAUGGACUUGCCCGAUGAUCGGCAAUCCAUUGAGAUAAAUGGAUCUUUUAAGAAGAAGACGGACGUGGAUGGUAAUGUCACCAUCUAUGAAGCUCGACUUGUGGCGAAGUGUUUUCCGACAAGUUCAAGGAGUUGACUACGAUGAGAUUUUCUCAUUCGUAGCGAUGCUUAAAGUCCGUCGGAAUCAUGUUAGCAUUAGCUGCAUUUAUGAAAUCUGGUAGAUGGAUGUCAAGACAAGUUUCCUUACUAGUUUUCGUAAGGAAAGGUUGUAUGCAAUACAAUCAGAAAAGUUUUGUCGAUCCUAAGGAUGCUAAAAGGUAUGCUAGCUCCAGCGAUCCUUUUAAGGACUGGAGUAAGCAUCUCGGAGUUGGAAUGUACGCUUUGAUGAGAUGAUCAAAGAUUUGGAUUUAUACAAAGUUUAUGAGAAACUUGUAUUUCCAAAGAAGUGAGUGGGAGCACUAUAGAAUUUCUGAUGAGUAUAUAUUGUUGACAUAUUGUUGAUCAGAAAUGACGUAGAAUUUCUGGAAAGCAUAUAGGGUUAUUUUGAAAGUGUUUUUCAAUGGAAAGCCUGGAUUAAGCUACUUGAACAUUGAGCAUCAAGAUCUAUAAGGAUAGAUCAAAAUGCUUAAUAAUACUUUCAAAUGAGCACAUACCUUGACAUGAUCUUGAAGGUGUUCAAGAUGGACCAGUCAAAGAAGGAGUUCUUGCCUGAGUUGUAAGGUACGAAGUUAAGACUUAAAGCUCGACCACGGCAGAAUAGAGAGAAAGGACGAAUGUCGUCCCCUAUGCUUAAUACGUAGGCUCUUCAGUAUGCUAUGCUGUGUACCGCACCUGAAGUGUGCCUUGCCAUGAGUCAAUCAAGGGGUACAAGAGUGAUCCAAGAAUGGCUCACAGAACAGCGGUCAAAGUUAUCCUUAGUAACUAGUGGACUAAGGAAUUUUCUCGAUUAUGGAGGUGGUAAAAGAGUUCGUAGUAAAAGUUACGACGAUGCAAGCUUGACACCUAUCCGGAUAGCUCUGAGUAGAGAGACCAGAUACACAUAAUGGAGCAAUAAUUUAGAAUAGCUCCAAGUAGAACAGUUGUUUGGAAUAGCUCCAAAUAGAGCGUGGUAGAUGCAUCUAGGAGAUGACAUAGAGAUUUGUAAAGCACACACGGAUCUGAAAGGUUCAGACCCGUUGACUAAAACCUCUCUCACAAGCAACAUGAUCAAACAUAAAACUCAUUGAGUGUUAAUCACAUAGUGAUGUGAACUAGACUACUGACUCUAGUAAACUCUUGGGUAUUAGUCACAUGGCAAUGUGACCUGUGAGUGUUAAUCACAUGGCGAUGUGAACUAGAUUAUUGACUCUAGUGCAAGUGGGAGACUGUUGGAAAUAUGCCCUAGAGGCAAUAAUAAAAGUAUUAUUAUUAUAUUUCCUUGUUCAUGAUAAUUGUCUUUUAUUCAUGCUAUAACUGUAUUAUCCGGAAAUCGUAAUACACGUGUGAAUACAUAGACCACAAUAUGUCCCUAGUGAGCCUCUAGUUGACUAGCUCGUUGUGAUCAACAGAUAGUCAUGGUUUCCUGGCUAUGGACAUUGGAUGUCGUUGAUAACGGGAUCACAUCAUUAGGAGAAUGAUGUGAUGGACAAGACCCAAUCCUAAGCAUAGCACAAAGAUCGUGUAGUUCGUUUGCUAGAGCUUUGCCAAUGUCAAGUAUCUCUUCCUUUGACCAUGAGAUCGUGUAAUUCCUGGAUACCGUAGGAGUGCUUUGGGUGUAUCAAACGUCACAACGUAACUGGGUGACUAUAAAGGUGCACUACAGGUAUCUCCGAAAGUAUCUAUUGUUUUAUGCGGAUCGAGACUGGGAUUUGUCACUCCGUGUAAACAGAGAGGUAUCUCUGGGCCCACUCGGUAGGACAUCAUCAUAUGCGCAAUGUGACCAAGGAGUUGAUCACGGGAUGAUGUGUUACGGAACGAGUAAAGUGACUUGCCGGUAACGAGAUUGAACAAGGUAUUGGAUACCGACGAUCGAAUCUCGGGCAAGUAACAUACCGAUAGACAAAGGGAAUUGUAUACGGGAUCGAUUGAGUCCUUGACAUCGUGGUUCAUCCGAUGAGAUCAUCGUGGAACAUGUGGGAGCCAACAUGGGUAUCCAGAUCCCGCUGUUGGUUAUUGACCGGAGAACGUCUCAGUCAUGUCUGCAUGUCUCCCGAACCCGUAGGGUCUACACACUUAAGGUUCGAUGACGCUAGGGUUAUAAAGGAAGCUUGUAUGUGGUUACCAAAUGUUGUUCGGAGUCCCGGAUGAGAUCCCGGACGUCACGAGGAGUUCCGGAAUGGUCCGGAGGUAAAGAUUUAUAUAUAGGAAGUCUUGUUUCGGCCAUCGGGACAAGUUUCGGGGUCAUCGGUAUUGUACCGGGACCACCGGAAGGGUCCCGGGGGCCCACCGGGUGGGGCCACCUGCCCCGGGGGGCCACAUGGGCUGUAGGGGGUGCGCCUUGGCCUACAUGGGCCAAGGGCACCAGCCCCAAGAGGCCCAUGCGCCUGGGGAAACCCUAAAGGAAGAGUCCCAGCAGGGGAAGGCACCUCCUAGGUGCCUUGGGGGGGGAGGACUCCUCCCCUGGCCGCCGCCCCCUUGGAGAUUGGAUCUCCUAGGGGCUGGCGCACCCCCCCCUUGGGAUCCCUAUAUAUAGUGGGGUAGGAGGGCCUCCCAAACACACCUUAUGCCUUUGGUGCAGCCCCUCCCUCUCUCCCAAGUUCUUCUCCUCUCUCGUGGUGCUUGGCGAAGCCCUGCGGGAUUGCCACGCUCCUCCACCACCACCACGCCGUUGUGCUGCUGUUGGAUGGAGUCUUCCUCAACCUCUCCCUCUCUCCUUGCUGGAUCAAGGCGUGGGAGACGUCACCGGGUUGUACGUGUGUUGAACGCGGAGGUGCCGUGCGUUCGGCACUUGAUCAUCGGUGAUUUGAAUCACGACGAGUACGACUCCAUCAACCCCGUUCACUUGAACGCUUCCGCUUAGCGAUCUACAAGGGUAUGUAGAUGCACUCUCCUUCUACUCGUAGCUUGUUUCUCCAUAGAUAGAUCUUGGUGACACGUAGGAAAAUUUUGAAUUUCUGCUACGUUCCCCAACACUAAUUGUGUUUAGGUGUUGAUUAUUGACUGAAGUCAGGUUCUCCAUCGGAUUGAUAACCCUUGUUCUUCUCGGAGAGAAAUUUUUGCUGCUCACCGCAAACUCUUACUCUUGAGGGUCCAACAACUAUAUCAACAAGGCAUACAUAUUAGCUGGGAAUAUCAGUAGAUGUAAUCUAUUGUUAAGAGGGUCCAGAGAAUUAUGAAGUUAUACAUGUAUAAUUGCACACUAUAUUUCGAUACUCUUAUUACAGGGGUGUGUCAAGUAUAGUCCGUGUUUAGAUCUGCGCUCAAGGAACAUGGUUAUAUUCCAUCGACCUUGAUCAUCGGGGAACAUUGAGGAAGAAACCAGCACCAUUUAGAUCACACUAUCUAAGAGUGGGGCGACGGAGAGAACUGUCGCGAACAACCAACAAAUUGAAGCCUUGUGACAAUCCCCAAGUGCAUGGAGUUAUUGUAGCACUAUCCAUUUUGGACGUGGAAGUAUAUGGAGUGCCAAACGAAAGGGAGCUAAACGUAGGUUUCCCGAUCACUCAACCUAUGCCACUUACGCAACUACCUAUGCGCUUGACGUCUACUAUGCUGACGGUGUAAUACACCGGAGGUGGCUUCCUAGAGGGAGCCCGGCAGCAGGCUUGCCUCAGGGCCCACGAGGCUCAGUGAAGGUCCAACCAUGGGAGGAAAGACCAGAGACCCAUACACGCAGCUAAGUGACAGUGGAGUACACCGAGGGUGGCUUCUCAAAGGGAAGCCCAUCAGCAAACCUUAUGCCCACAAGGUUCCGACGACAGGAGGGAGCCCGAAGCUUCAGAUAUAUCUCCAUGGAUCGUCUUGGUCCUCAAGUCAAGACGACAACAGAUGGAUUGAAUCUACCCCCUACAAAACCCUAGCCCCACCAUCUAUAUAAGGUGGAGGCUAGGGGCUCUCGUUACCAUCUACAUCCGUAGAACCAUACUCUCGGUAGUCUCAUACCUCAUCCCCAUUGUAAGCCUCGCAUGAGAUACUAUACCAUGAAUAGAAACACAAAGCAGGACUGUUACCCCUUCCCGGAGGCCCGAAUCUGGUAACUUCCUCACAUGUGAUCUAUGAUCUGGUACCUCUAGCCAUGUUCGCCACCCUACUGAGGGCACCGACGGGUUUAUGCACCGUCAUUGGCGCGUUAAGCAUGGGCUAGGUCGGCCAAAGACCAAACCUACAUCGGAUCUCCUCUCGAUGUCGGCGGCAUCCCACCAAGAGAAAGCCUCACCUUUGGCUCCUUCACCUUCAUGACGGACGGGAUGGGUUGGAUCUACAUUAGCCCAUCGGCCUUCCUCGCCCGCACCGUCUUCUUUGGUGCACUGGCGACCACUACAACGACCUUCAUGUAUGCGUCCCACCACUCCAGCAAAUCGUACAUGCGGCCUCACCAGCUCCACAACGCCUUCCACCACUGACUCUCGGUUUAGGAGGUGUCUUUGAGCUAUAGAAUGCUACGGUAGCGUACCAACGUAUGAUGCAGGCACGCCUAUGCCACCAGGUGGGCGUCAACAUCGGAGCCCUGCUGGCCUCUCCGAACUUCCCAACAUCUUGGUUACCACUUCCGGCUUGAAAGGCGACGACCCUGCAACAACAAAUGCCGAUCGAAGUUCGAGCCUUAGCCUCGAGAUGGGUCGUUGUGUGAUACGUCUCCAACGUAUCUAUAAUUUUUUACUGUUACAUGCUAUUAUAUUACCUGUUUUGGAUGUUUAUGGGAUUUACUAAGCACUUUUAUAUUAUUUUUGGGACUAACCUAUUAACCGGAGGCCCAACCCAAAUUGCUAAUUUUUUUUGCCUAUUUCAGUGUUUCGAAAAAAGGAAUAUCAAACAGAGUCCAAACGGAAUGAAACCUUCGGGAGAGUUAUUUUUGGAACAAACGCAAUCCAGGAGACCUGGAUUGGACGUCAAGAAAUAAACGAGGCGACCACAAGGCAGGGAGGCACGCCCCAGGGGGGUAGGCGUGCCCCCCACUCUCGUGGGCCCCUCGUGGCUCCCCUGACCGACUUCCUUCGCCUAUAUAUACUCAUAUACCCUGAAAACAUCCAGGAGCACCACGAAACCCUAUUUCCACAUCCUCAACCUUCUGUACCCAUGAGAUCCCAUCUUGGGGCCUUUUCCGGUGCUCCGCUGGAGGGGGAAUCGAUCACAGAGGGCUUCUACAUCAACACCAUAGCCUCUCCGAUGAAGUGUGAGUAGUUUACCACAGACCUUCGGGUCCAUAGUUAUUAGCUAGAUGGCUUCUUCUCUCUCUUUGAUUCUCAAUACAAAGUUCUCCUUGAUCUUCUUGGAGAUCUAUUCGAUGUAAUUCUUUUUGCGGUGUGUUUGUCGAGAUCCGAUGAAUUGUGGGUUUAUGAUCAAGAUUAUCUAUGAACAAUAUUUGAAUCUCCUCUGAAUUCUUUUAUGUAUGAUUGGUUAUCUUUGCAAGUCUCUUCGAAUUAUCAGUUUGGUUUGGCCUACUAGAUUGAUCUUUCUUGCAAUGGGGGAAGUGCUUAGCUUUGGGUUCAAUCUUGCGGUGUCCUUUCCCAGUGACGGCAGGGGCAGCAAGGCACAUAUUGUAUUGUUGCCAUCGAGGAUAAAAAUAUGUGGUUUAUAUCAUAUUGCUUGAGUUUAUCCCUCUACAUCAUGUCAUCUUGCCUAAUGCGUUACUCUGUUCUAUGAACUUAAUACUCUAGAUGCAUGCUGGAUAGCGGUUGAUGUGUGGAGUAAUAGUAGUAGAUGCAGAAUCGUUUCGAUCUACUUGUCGCGGAUGUGAUGCCUAUAUACAUGAUCGUGCCUAGAUAUUCUCAUAACUAUGCACUUUUUUAUCAAUUGCUCGAUAGUAAUUUGUUCACCCAUCGUAAUACUUAUGCUAUCUUGAGAGAAGCCACUAGUGAAACCUAUGGCCCCCGGGUCUAUUUCCAUCAUAUAAGUUUCCAAUCUACUUUAUUUUGCAAUCUUUACUUUCCAAUCUAUAUCAUAAAAAUACCAAAAAUAUUUAUCUUAUUAUUAUCUCUAUCAGAUUUCACUUUUGCAAGUGGCCGUGAAGGGAUUGACAACCCCUUUAUUGCAUUGGUUGCAAGGUUCUUAUUUGUUUGUGUAGGUACGAGGGAUUUGUGUGUAGCCUCCUACUGGAUUGAUACCUUGGUUCUCAAAAACUGAGGGAAAUACUUACGCUACUUUGCUGCAUCACCCUUUCCUCUUCAAGGGAAAACCAACGCAUGCUCAACAGGUAGCAAGAAGGAUUUCUGGCGCCGUUGUCGGGGAGUCUACGCACAAGUCAAGACAUACCAAGUACCCAUCACAAACUCUUAUCCCUCACAUUACAUUAUUUGUCAUUUGCCUCUCGUUUUCCUCUCCCCCACUUCACCUUUGCAUUUGCCUUUUCUUCGUCUUCUUCCUAUAUGUCUUUUUGUUUGUGUUUCCAUGUGCCUUCUAUUUGCUUGCAUCUUUGCUUGCUAAAAAUCUAUUGAUAUGGAUCCACUUAAAGUGUUCUACUUGGAUCAUCUUCGAUCCUUAUGCGCUCGUGUUGAAACCCCAACUAGCCUAGUUGAUGGGAAAUCUUUAGAUGAGCAUGCUAAUUUUGUGCGUCGCUGUUUGUCUGAAAAAGGGAGACUCUUAUGGGAUCAAAUAAACAGAUUGAUGUGUUAUGCUUGGAAUGUUUGUGAAAUUUAUGAUUUUACUUGUUGCUCUAAGAACCCUAAAAAACACCUUCCCUACCUAUGUGAGUUUAAUGAAAAUGAAAUAUUAUCUUCUUAUGCAAGGGGUGUUUAUAGUUACUAUGAUAUCAAACAAAUUAAAGAAUUUGUUGCUUUUAAGGGUGCUUAUGAAGUUGCUUCUUUGAUUGAAAAGUAUGAUAUUACUCUCUACGAAUCUGAAAAUUUUGACAUACUUAAAUAUUGCUAUGAAAACUAUGCUCAUAAUGUCUAUGUCAGAGAAUUUAUUGAGAGAAUGACUGUUGCUUUGGAAGAAAAUAAUGAUAUGCAUGAAUCUAUAGAUAAUGAUUCUGAUGAUUUGAUUGAAAUAUCCCUUGAUGAACAUGAUGCUUGCUAUUCUUGUGGCCAUGAUGCCAAUAUUUAUGAAGAUGAAUUUGCUAUAGUUCCUUAUGUUAAAUAUGAUAUCGUUGCUAUUGCACCCAUACUUGGUAGUUCCUACAAUAAAAAGCAUGAUUGCAAUGAUGUUACUAUAAAUUCUCUUGAUGUCAAUUGUGCUAAUAAUAUGCAAAACCCUAAGCUUGGGGAUGCUAGUUUUGCUAUGUCUACUACUUGUUGCAAUGAUCAUGAUUGGGGUGAUUCUUCUUUUGAUCUUGAAAAUUUAUUUAACCCCCAUGAUGAAUAUGAGAUUGAUAAUAGUGUUUGCAAUAUUAUUGAAAGUGGGUUGGAAGAGUGUCAAAUUUAGAUCCCACAUAUUUGGAUUUUGAUCAAUCUUAUGAAAUUUUUGAUAAAACUGGGCUUGGAGAGGUCAUGACUUUAGUUAAUGUUAAUCCUUCUAUUUUGGAAGAGUGUCAACUUCGCAUGCAUGUGGAUCGUGUUGAAAAUAUUUUAUGUGAUAGCUAUUUUAUUGAAUUUUCUUAUGAUCCUACAUGUAAUUAUUAUGAGAGAGGAAAAUAUGGCUGUAGAUUUUCAUGUUACUAAAUUACCUCUUUUCAUGUUGAGAUUGCUAUCAUCUCUUUGUUCUUCCUUGCAUAUGCUAGCUUUUCCGUGCCUUGAUAAUUUGUUUGCUUACAAGAUUCCUAUGCAUAGGAAGUAUGUUAGACUAGGAUGUGUUUUUCACAUGCUACAUGAUGCUCUCUUCGUGUUUCAAUUGCUAUCUUUCAUAUGAGCAUCAUCGAAAUUAUCAAUGCCUAGCUAGGGGCGUUAAACGAUAGCGCUUGUUGGGAGGCAACCCAAUUUUAUUUUUGUUCUUUACUUUUUGUUCCUGUUUAGUAAUAAAUAAUUCAUCUAGCCUUUAGUUAGAUGUGGUUUUAUGUUUUAAUUAGUGUUUGUGCCAAGCAGAACCUUUGGGAAGACUUGGGUGAAGUCUUUAUGAUCUUGCUGUAAAAAAUAGAAACUUUAGCGCUCACGAGAUUAGCUGCCAUUUUUUACUGGAGAGUGAUUUUAGGUUGAUUCUUUUUUCAGAUGAUUAAUAGACAAAUUCCUCAUGUCCACCAAUUUAUUUCAGACUUUUUGGAGUUACAGAAGUAUUCGGAAGUUACAGAUUACUACAGACUAUUCUGUUUUUGACAGAUUCUUUGCGUGUGUUGUUUGCUUAUUUUGAUGAAUCUAUGGCUAGUAUCGGGGGGUAUGAACCAUAGAUAAGUUAGAAUACAGUAGGUUUAACACCAAUAUAAAUAAAGAAUGAGUUCAUUACAGUACCUUAAAGUGGUGGUUUGCUUUCUUGCACUAAUGGAGCUCAUGAGAUUUUCUGUUGAGUUUUGUGUUGUGAAGUUUUCAAGUUUUGGGUAAAUAUUUGAUGGAUUAUGGAAUAAGGAGUGGCAAGAGCCUAAGUGAAAGGAUCGAUAAAGUUGACUAGAGGGGGGGGGUGAAUAGGCAACUAACAAUUUCAGCUUUUUUUUACCAAAUUAAACAUUGCAUCAAAGUAGGUUGUCUAGAUAUGCAACUAGGUGAGCAACCUAUAUGAUGCAACAACAACAAGCACAGAAGCAAGCAAGGGAUACAACAUAAAUAAGCUUGCACAAGUAAAGGCAUGAGAUAACCAAGAGUGGAGCCGGUGAAGAUGAGGAUGUGUUACUGAAGUUCCUUCCUUUUGAAGGGAAGUACGUCUCUGUUGGAGCGGUGUGGAGACACAAUGCUCCCCAAGAAGCCACUAGGGCCACCGUAUUCUCCUCAUGCCCUCACACAAUGCGAGAUGUCGUGAUUCCACUAUUGGUGCCCUUGAAGGCGGUGACCAAACCUUUACAAACAAGGUUGGGGCAAUCUCCACAACUUAAUUGGAGGCUCCCAACGACACCAUGAAGCUUCACCACAAUGGACUAUGGCUCCGAGGUGACCUCAACCGUCUAGGGUGCUCAAAUACCCAAGAGUAACAAGAUCCGCUAGGGAUUAGUGGGGGGAAUCAAAUUUCUCUUGGUGGAAGUGUAGAUCGGGGCCUUCUUAACCAAUCCCAAGCAAAUCAACUAGUUUUAUUGGCUAGGGAGAGAGAUCGGGCGAAAAUGGAGCUUGGAGCAACAAUGGAGCUUGGGGGUGGAAGAGGUGGUCAACUAGAGGAAGAAGACACCCCUUAUAUAGUGGAGAGACAAAUCCAAUCGUUAUCCACUUAACCGGUCCGCGACCUGCGGUACUACCGCCCCAGACAAGCGGUACUACCGCAAGUGCUCACGGUACUACCGCGGCGGACCGCGGUACUACCGCUACCACGGCAGGAGCAAGUCUAGGCCUGAACCUCAAAGGCUGAGGGUGGUACUGCCGCUGACGUGGUACUACCUCUCCCCCUUGCGGUACUACCACAAGGCCAGAUUGGACUAGGCUGGGAAGGGCGCGGAUGAAUAAAAAUACAUCCGUGCCUACUUCCGCUGAAAAUCAAAUAGUGCAAAUAUCCGACAUGGUACUACCGUGCAUGGCAUGCGGUACUACCGCGCAGAGAGCACAUGUAAAAAAUUACAUCCGCCCCUACUUCCGCUCAUGUUGCUAUGCCAGACCAGGACUCAUGGUACUACCGCGCGCAUGGGGCGGUACUACCGCAUAGGGCGCGGAUGUAAAAAAUUACAUCCGCCCCUACAGCCGCAUGAGCGGCUGAGUCUGGUCUGAGGCCACGGUACUACAGCUCCUUAGGAGCGGUACUACCGUGUGCACCUACGGUACUACCGCAAGGGCGUGCGGUACUACCAUGGGUGCCUGCGGUACUAUCGCUCCUAAGAGCAGUACUACCACAUGCCUCAGAACAGCAACACUAGGAAUCCUUCUCUUUGCAUAUAUAUGAAGAAAACGGAGGAUGCUCCAAAGAGCAAAGGGAAACGUGGUGCAGAGGGAGUAAACGUUUACGUGAUGAUUCCACCCGAACCUUUCCAACGCGGACCCCCUCUUAAUAGUACGGCUUUCCUAUGACUCAAAUCCACCGAAAAGAAACGUAGAAAAAUGUCGUCUUCAAUAGUCUUCGAGGGGCACCAAACCGUCUUGUGCCUAGUGACGAAACGUCUGAAAUACUCAAGGCACAUGAUUAGUCCGCAAAAGCAUUGUCAUCAAUCACCAAAACACCUUAGGGAUAAAUAUGCCCUUACAAUCUCCCCCUUUUUGGUGGGAUGACAAUACGGGAUUGCACAAGGGGAAAUAAUAUAGAACAUAGGCAAACCCCACAUCUCUAAAAUAUAGACGAGCUCCCCCCUAGAUGCGUGCUAUCUAGAUAAGUGCUUUGGACUGCACAACACGUAUACUAGAAUCAACACUCCCCCUAUAUUUUAUAGACAAUGCAUAUCUUGCAAAAAUAAGGCUAACAUUAAACAAGAUAGUAAAUAUGAGCAUAACAUAAAUAGCACAAUAUAACAUAAGCUCAAUAAGGUACGAUAGAGUCCAUAUGUCUUACACCAUAUGAUAGAGCAAGUCUCAUGAGCAAACUAAACCAAAGCAAGCAAGGUUCAACGGAACAAACGCGAGAAAAGCAAACACAAGCACGACACAAGAAGCAUGACACAAGACUCGCAAAUCCCUACACUCUCUCCCCCUUUGGCAUCAAGAUGCCAAAAAGGCAGAGAGGACACCUACAACACAAGUGGUGGCUCAAGUGGAGUAAUCAGUCACACGCUCCUCGUCAGACUCGGUAGCGGGAAUGGUCUCCUUGUUGUCCUCCUUAGAAUCAGUCCACUUGAAACCUUGUUUUGCCAUCCACUCAGCCUCUAGAGUGAUGCACUCCUCAGAACCGCCAGAAACUGUUGGGGAACAUAGUAAUUUCAAAAAAAUUCCUACGUACAUGCAAGAUCAUGGUGAUGGCAUAGCAACGAGAGGAGAGAGUGUUGUCCACGUACCCUCGUAGACCGUAAGCGGAAGCGUUAUGACAAUGUGGUUGAUGUAGUCGUACGUCUUCACGAUCCGACUGAUCCAAGUACCGAACGUACGACACCUCCGAGUUCAGCACACGUUCAGCUCGAUGACGAUCCCCGGGCUUCGAUCCAGCAAAGCUUCGGGGAUGAGUUCCGUCAGCACGACGGCGUGAUGACGAUGAUGAUGCUCUACCGGCGCAGGGCUUCGCCUAAACUCCGCGACGAUAUGACCGAGGUGGAAUAUGGUGGAGGGGGCACCGCACACGGCUAAGGAACGAUCCGUAGAUCAACUUGUGUGUUCAUGAGGUGCCCCCCGCCCCCGUAUAUAAAGGAGCCAGGGGGGAGGAGGCGGCCGGCCAAGGAGGGCGCGCCAAGGGGGGAGUCCUACUCCCACCAGGAGUAGGACUCCCUUCUUUCCUAGUUGGAAUAGGAGAAGGGGGGAAAGAGGAGGAAGAGGGGAAGGAAAGGGGGGGCGCCGCCCCCCUUCCCUUGUCCUAUUCGGACUAGGAAGGGGAGGGGCGCGCAGCCCCCUCCUGCCUCCUUCCCUCUUCUCCCUCGAGGCCCAUGUAGGCCCAAUAACCCCCCGGGGGGUUCCGGUAACCUCUCGGUGCUCCGGUAAAAUGCCGAUUUCACCCGGAAUGAUUCCGAUGUCCAAAUAUAGGCUUCCAAUAUAUCGAUCUUUAUGUCUCGACCAUUUCGAGACUCCUCGUUACGUCCGUGAUCACAUCCGGGACUCCGAACAAACUUCGGUACAUCAAAACUUAUAAACUCAUAAUAAAACUGUCAUCGCAACGUUAAGCGUGCGAACCCUAUGGGUUCGAGAACUAUGUAGACAUGACCUAGAACUAUUCUCGGUCAAUAACCAAUAGCGGAACCUGGAUGCCCAUAUUGGUUCCUACAUAUUCUACGAAGAUCUUUAUCGGUCAAACCGCAUAACAACAUACGUUGUUCCCUUUGUCAUCGGUAUGUUACUUGCCCGAGAUUUGAUCGUCGGUAUCCAAUACCUAGUUCAAUCUCAUUACCGGCAAGUCUCUUUACUCGUGCCAUAAUGCAUCAUUCCGUAACCAACUCAUUUGGUCACAUUGCUUGCAAGGCUUAUAAAGAUGUGCAUUACCGAGAGGGCCCAGAGAUACCUCUCUGACAAUCGGAGUGACAAAACCUAAUCUCGAAAUACGCCAACUCAACAUGUACCUUCGGAGACACCUGUAGUACUCCUUUAUAAUCACCCAGUUACGUUGUGACGUUUGGUAGUACUCAAAGUGUUCCUCCGAUAAACAGGAGUUGCAUAUUUCUCAUAGUUACAAGAACAUGUAUAAGUCAUGAAGAAAGCAAUAGCAAUAUACUAAACGAUCAAGUGCUAGGCUAACGGAAUGGGUCAUGUCAAUCACAUCAUUCUUCUAAUGAUGUGAUCCCAUUAAUCAAAUGACAACACAUGUCUAUGGUUAGGAAACAUAACCAUCUUUGAUUAAUGAGCUAGUCAAGUAGAGGCAUACCAGUGACUAUAUGUUUGUCUAUGUAUUCACACAUGUAUCAUGUUUCCGGUUAAUACAAUUCUAGCAUGAAUAAUAAACAUUUAUCAUGAAAUAAGGAAACAAAUAACAACUUUAUUAUUGCCUCUAGGGCAUAUUUCCUUCAGUCUCCCACUUGCACUAGAGUCAAUAAUCUAGUUCACAUCGCUAUGUGAUUUAACACCAAUAUUCACAUCUGCAUGUGAUUAAUACCCAUAGUUCACAUCAUCAUGUGAUCAACACCCAAAGGGUUAACUAGAGUCAAUAAUAUAGUUCACAUCGCUAUGUGAUUAACACCCAAAAGAGUACUAAGGUAUGAUCAUGUUUUGCUCAUGAGAGAAGCUUAGUCAACGGGUCGGUCAUAUUCAGAGCCAUAUGUAUUUCGCAAAUAUUCUAUGUCCACAAUGCUCUGCACGGAGCUACUCUAGCUAAUUGCUCCCACUUUCAAUAUGUAUCCAGAUUGAGACUUAGAGUCAUCUGGAUUGGUGUAAAAGCUUGCAUCGUUGUAACUUUUAUGACGGGCUCUUUUAUCACCUCCAUAAUCGAGAAACAUCUCCUUAGUCCUCACUAAGGAUAUUCUUGACCCAUGUCCAGUGAUCUACUUAUUAGAUCAAAAUUGUAUUCCUUUGCCAAACACAGAGCAAGGUAUACAAUAGGUCUGGUUCACAGCAUAGCAUACUUUAUAGAACCUAUGACUGAGGCAUAGGGAAUUACUUUUCAUUCUCUUUCUAUUUUCUGCAAUGGUCGUGUCUUGAGUCUUACUCAACUUCACACCUUGUAACACAGGCAAGAACUCCUUCUUUGACUGUUCCAUUUUGAACUAUUUCAAAAAUUUAUCAAGGUAUGUACUCAUUGAAAAAUCUUAUCAAGCGUCUUGAUCUAUCUAUAUAGAUCUUGAUGCUCAAUGUGUAAGCAGCUUCACCGAGGUCUUGCUUUGAAAAACUCUUAUUCAAAUAUCCUUUCAUGCUAUCCAGAAUUUCCAUAUCAUUUCCAAUUAACAAUAUGUCAUCCACAUAUAAUAUUAGAAAUGCUACAGAGCUCCCACUCACUUUCUUGUAAAUACAGGUGUCGGUGUCAAAACCGGCGGAUCUCGGGUAGGGGGUCCCGAACUGUGCGUCUAGGCGGAUGGUAACAGGAGACAAGGGACACGAUGUUUUACCCAGGUUCGGGCCCUCUUGAUGGAGGUAAAACCCUAUGUCCUGCUUGAUUGAUAUUGAUAUUGUCGAUGUUUACAAGAGUGGAUCUACCACGAGAUCAAGGAGGCUAAACCCUAAAAGCUAGCCUAUGGUAUGAUUGUAAUUGUUGUUGUUGUGUCCUACGGACUAGAGCCAUCCGGUUUAUAUAGACACCGGAGAGGGCUAGGGUUACAUAGAGUCGGUUACAAUGGUAGGAGAUCUACGUAUCCGUAUCGCCAAGCUUGCCUUCCACGCCAAGGAAAGUCCCAUCCGGACACGGGACAAAGUCUUCAAUCUUGUAUCUUCAUAGUCUUGGAGUCCGGUCGAUGAUGAUAGUCCGGCCGAUGAUAGUUCGGCCAAUGAUGGUAGUUCGGCUAUCCGGACACCCCCUAAUCCGGGACUCCCUCAGUAGCCCCCGAGCCAGGCUUCAAUGACGAUAAGUCCAGCAUGUGUGUAGUCUUCGGCGUUGCAAGGCGGGUUCUCCUUCAAGUUCUACGUACCUGCCGAACAGUGUUCGGCUUCCUCAUCAAUGUCGCGCGUCUUGGCUUCCACGCCCAAUAAUGGCCUUCUUCCACGCGUCGUGCGAAUGUGAAAAGCCAGGGUGUCUUUUAUGUUUUACCCCCUAGUUGUGCGAAUAAUCUGCCUAUAAGGGAGGCAAGAAUCCAGAUCCAAAUCACCAUCUUCCUCCCGCAAAUACUCAUCGGAGCGCUUUCGACCAAGAAUCCAUUCCAUCAUGGACCGUCAACGCGGCUCCUCUUCUCGCGGUCCCAGCCCUUUGCCAGGAGAUUGGAGGAGAUGCUCUGUUCCGCACAAUGACCUGGUGAAGCUCCAAGCGGGGGGAUAUCUCCCUCCGGCCUUCAUGGUUCCGGUUCGAGCCGGGCUGGCCACCUACAAAGGUGGGAAGCAGGCGGAGGUUACCCCAAGUCCCAACAAAGGGGAGCGGGUAUGCUUCGUCCCCUAUCUGAUAAGGGGGCUCGGAUUUCCUGUACAUCCAUUCCUCCGCGGGCUCCUGGAGUUCUACGGACUCCAGCUUCAUCACCUCACGCCCACCUCAAUCCUGCAUAUUGCGAGUUACGUAGCUCUUUGCGAGCUAUUCCUGGGCGUCGAGCCCCAUUUCACGCUGUGGAAGAGGUUGUUCUGCCUUGUACCCCGCUCUCACGAGGGGUCCAUAUAUCAAGUGGGCGGCGCCGAAAUAUGGCGCAUUGCCGGGACCGGAUAUCCAUCCGGAACCCCUAAGAAGGCGUCCGAAGACUGGCCUUCAGAAUGGUUUUAUAUAGAAGACGCUCCGCUGCCGGACCCUGUUCGGAUCGGCCUCCUAGAGUUCAGCAAUGCUCCUCUGAAGAAACGCCUUAGUUAGCGUCCACAGAGCCCCCAACUGGAGGAAGACAAGAGCGUCCAUUAUUUGAUGGGCCGAAUAAGGUUACUGGCCCAUGCUGGGUUAACCAUGAUUGGAGUCAUGGCAACAUGCAUUAUGCGGGGGGUGCAGCCACUACAAUACAGCGGCCACCCCAUGUGGGAUUUCAACGGGGAGGACGAUGCCACCCGUCAUGGCCGCAAAGGGCCGGAUUCGGUCGAAGAUCUGGUGACGAUCCUGUCCGGCCUGUAUAAGGGGGAGAAGGAGGAUUUCCUUCGGACGAACCCGUUAAAUGGGUUCUCCAUGAAUAAUCCCCGGCCUUGGGUAAGCGGACACUCUGCGUGCCCGACCCAUGCUUUUCGAAACUUAAGUUUCUUAUAUUGUGUUCUUCUUUCGACGCAGGAGCUGCGCCGGAUCGUGGAGGACAUGCUAAGUCCAGCUCCGCAACCCGAGGAUCCAGAGAGAUCCCGGGAUCCGGCCUCCGAAGAGGAUCCGGACAUAAUGGUGGAGCUAAUUGACGGGGUGUUCCACCAGCUCAGCAUGGACAAUGCUUUAGUUGCCAUCACGGCCGACUAUUCCGGACUAUAUCCGGCUUCCCAGGUGAUUGCGACCGAAGUCCCGACACCGUCAUUCCUUCCUUGCUUAUUUCUAACCACCGUAUACGAUGGCGCUGUGCAGGAGGCGCCCCUAGGGCGAGAAGCCAAGCCCGCGGUGGCUGGUCAACAAAGGCCAGUCCAGACCAGUAGGCGGAAGAGGAGCGCGGCGCGGACUGAAACGUCGCCGCAAAGGUGUAUCUCACAAUUCAUUAUUUAGAGCAACGUUCCUAGGGAGCGUUUGAGUGCUCAUGACUUUUGUAGGGAAAAAAGCAUCCGCCGGACUGCGGGCGUGGAGGUUGCCAAUCCAACCUCUACCAGCCAGGCUCCAACACCUGGUCUGGAGGGGGAGGCGAGCGCAAGGCGCGACCCGGACGUUCCUCCGACGGAGGAUGCCGACAGACUGUCCGCCACCAAGUCUGAGGUGGAGAGUGCCCUGAAUCACAGGCGCCGCCGGACAGUAUUUCGUGACGCGUGCUUCUCCCCCGAGGCGUUGAAUGCCUUUAAUGCGGCGGACGCGCACCUUCGUGCUGCUCAAGAUGGUUUUACCAGAGCCACGGAGCAGUAUGUAAAAGACAUACGGGUAAGAGAAUUUAAUAGUUGUAUAUGCCAGUAGCCCCCGAGACUUAAAGUAGUUAUAUUAACUGAUUUAAGGAUCAUAUGAAACGUAGGAUCUUAUCGAGAAGAAUACCCAACUAUCUCAGGAGCUGCAAGAGUGCAAGGCCCAACUUGAGGCCGCACUCUCUGGCACAGGAGGAAACACAGGGACCUCUCCUAGUAACGCAUUAUUUUAGAAAGAUAAGUAGCGUUUGGCCUGUGCGCAAGUCUAAAAAAUGACAUUGCAGGUGCUGCCGGACAAGAUCCGGACAGGCAAGAACUUCUGCGCCAACUAAAGGCCGGCGAGAGGGUGCUGCAUAAGGUGCAUCAUGAAAGGAACAAGCUAUAGGAUUCCCAUGCCCAGCUUGGAGAAGAGCUGAAAGGCGUUCGGGCCGAGCUAUCGGGCUCUGUUAAGGAGAAUCAGCGGCUUCGUCGCGACAUCUAUAGUAAGUGCUUGAGCGAACUCCUUUGAAAAGAAGAGUUCGGCGAGGUAGUCAAGUUAACAGAAUAUGUCUGCAGGUAUGCUCACAGGUCGCCCUGCGGAGGAGAUGCCCAUAUCAACGGUUGACCAACUUCCCGAAUUGUUGCAACUGAUCGAACGAGUUCGGCAGGUAAUGAGCGGCGUCAUCCAGGCUUUAUGGCCAGCCUUCUCCUUACCCGAGGGUCUUGGGGAGCUUGCGGAGAAGCUUCAGGGAGUGCGGCAGCGCUUCCAUUUAUGGAAGAUUUCGGCCUGCCGCCAAGGUGCCAGGGAGGCCUGGGCCAUGGUAAAGACACGGUACAAGAAGGCGGAUCCCAACCACAUGGCCGAAGUCGGACCUGUGGGGCCCGAUGGGAAGGAGAUCCCUGUGAGUUUAGUAUACGGCCAAGUAGAGUUGGCCGCUAAAUUUUCCCAACAGGACUGUAAAUUAGACAGCCUGUUAGACGGGAUUGAAGAAGAAUAUAAUCAGUCGAUUUGACAAUGUAUUAUAAAAUGACAUGUAAAAUGCCUUCUAGCCGGAUUGUAGAUCGUUUGUCUUUGCCGACUUUUCGCUUCGACCUCGGGACCCUAGAGUCCGGAGUGUGUCCGAAUACCUUCUCGGUUAUGAAACAACCAGGGUAUGCAUGGAGACCAGGCGUAGGGGUCAUUAGUGCUUUAUCAGACAAGUGCCCAACUAGUUAUGUUAUAUUACAUGGGUAGUAAGAAACAUCUUCCAGGGAGAAUAGUUCCGUUAAGGGUUCCUUUCCUCUGGGGGUGGCAUGCCCUAAAGUGCAUGUCCGGACUGCGAAAAAAGCAGAAAAACAUCUGGGGGCAGAUAAAUAAGUAGAUAAAAAAUAAUCUUUUAAGUCACCGACCGAAUAUUCCCUUAAGAACGCUAGCUUUCGGCUUCACCCAGUCUGAGGUACACAUCCGGCUGACCCGGCAGUAACAAUCGCAGAGGUGCUCCCCUUUACCUCCUAGCUGAACAAUCAGGAACGUAGGGGUAAGCACAGGAGCCAGGCAACCCAGCUUGGCCAAAACUUAAGUCAUAUCAAUGCAUAUAAUGGUGAAUAAAAGGUACAUGUGGAGGCUUGACACAUGUGCUGGGCAUGAAGCCCUUAUACUUAAGCUUCUGGUAAAGAAGCCCCCAGGUAUAAUGAGUGCGGAUAGCACAUCAAUUACGCGCGAACGUUGCGCAAGUAGGCCCUUUAAGGCUUGGAUGAAUAGGGUUGAGAAGAAAAAGAUAAACAAAAGGCAGCUGAAGUAAAAAAAUUUUGGACGGGGGGAAAGGGACGAACACUUAGUCCGGCGCUAGGCAUAGAAUCUUUGGAGGCGGGCUGAGUUCCAUGGGUUCGGCUCGAGUCGGUUAUCCGAUGCAUUUCGUAGACGGUACGCUCCGCCGGUCAGGACUUGAUCGAUGAUGAAGGGGCCUUCCCAUUUGGGCUUGAGUUUGUCCUUUUUCUUGUCCGGCAGGCAUAGAACCAGUUCGCCGACGUUGUAAGUCUUGGCCCGUACUUAUCUGCUUUGGUAUCUUCGAGCCUGCUGCUGAUAGAAUGCAGAACGAGCCUUGGCGACGUCGCGUUCUUCCUCCAAUGCGUCCAAGCUGUCCUACCGAUCCAACUCGUCUUCUCUUUCUUCGUACAUGCGCACUCUAGGUGAGUCAUGAAUUAUGUCGUAGGGCAAAACUGCUUCUGCGCCGUAUACCAUAAAAAAUGGUGUGAAUCCGGUAGUACGGUUAGGCGUUGUCCGCAGCCCCCAGAGUACGGAGUCGAGCUCCUCUACCUAGUGCGUGUUAGAUUUCGUAAGGGACGGCACUAGUCUAGGUUUGACGCCGCUCAUUAUUAGACCAUUUGCUCGUUCCACUUGACCGUUGGUUUGAGGAUGAUAGACUGAAGCGUAAUCGAGCUUGAUGCCCAUAUUUUUGCACCAUGAUUUAACCUCAUCGGCCGUGAAGUUCGUGCCGUUAUCGGUGAUGAUGCUGUGGGGGACACCAUAACGGUGUACUACCCCGGAUAUAAAGUCUAUCACUGGUCCGGACUCUGCCGUUUUAACUGGCUUGGCCUCUAUCCAUUUGGUGGAUUUAUCCACCAUGACCAAUAGGUACCUUUGCUUGUGGGUUCCCCCUUUAAGUGGUCCAACCAUGUCAAGCCCCCGGACCGCGAACGGCCAGGUAAUGGGUAUAGUUUUGAGGGCGGUGGGUGGCAUAUGGCUCUGAUUAGCAAAGAGCUGACAACCGACGCAUCUUUGGACUAAGUCCUGAGCAUCUGCUCGGGCCGUCGACCAAUAAAAUCCUGUACGGAAUGCCUUUCCUACAAGGGCCCGAGCUGCGGCGUGGUGUCCACCUAGUCCGGCAUGAAUUUCAGCCAGGAGGUUUCGCCCUUCCUCUUCGGAGAUACACCUUGGAAGGACUCCGGUUGUGCUUUUCUUAUAAAGUUCUCCCUCAUAGACCUUGUAGGCUUUAGAUCACCGGACAAUGCAGCGGGCCUUAUUUUGGUCUUCGGGAAGCUCCUGCCUUAGCAAGUAGGCGAGGAAUGGUUCUGUCCACGGGGCAAUUACUGCCAUUAUGUCGUGGGCUGAAGGUGUUAUGUCAUCGGCUGAAUCGCCGGUUGGUGCGGCUUGUUCCGGUUUGUUAUUUCCGGACUCCUCUUCCCAUAGUACGGAUGGCUUGAAGAGCUGUUCCAGGAAGAUGUUAGGAGGGACAGUGUCGCGUUCUGCGCCGAUGCGUGCCAGUACGUCGGCUGCUUGGUUAUUAUCCCGGGCUAUGUGAUGGAAUUCAAGUCCUUCAAACCAGGCUGACAUUUUUAGGACAGCGUUGCGAUAUGCUGCCAUUUUUGGAUCUUUGGCGUCAAAGUCUCCGUUUAUUUGGGAUAUUGCGAGGUUUGAAUCCCCGCGCACCUCUAGGCGUUGAAUGCCCAUGGAGAUUGCCAUCCGGAGACCAUGUAAAAGGGCCUCGUAUUUGGCUGCGUUGUUGGAGUCCGUGUACAUUAUCUGAAGUACGUAUUGGACUGUGUCCCCGGUCGGGGACGUCAAUACGACGCUAGCCCCCAAUCCGGCUAACAUUUUAGAGCCAUCGAAGUGCAUAAUCCAAUUGGAGUAUGCGCCGUACUCUUUAGGGAGUUCGGCUUCGGUCCAUUCAGCGACAAAGUCAGCCAAAACUUGUGACUUUAUAGCUCGCCGAGGUUUGUAAGUUAUAUCAAAUGGUAAGAGCUCAAUGGCCCAUUUUGCAAUCCUGCCCGUCGCGUUGCGGUUGUUUAUAAUGUCGUUAAGUGGUACUUCAGAGGCCACUGUUAUCGAACACUCUUGAAAGUAGUGUCGGAGCUUCCGGGAUGCCAUGAACACCGCGUAUGCUAUCUUCUGAUAGUGCGGGUAACGGGAUUUGCAGGGGUUAACACAGUGGAUACGUAGUAUACUAGUUUUUGAAGAGGGAAUUUAUGCCCUUCUGUCUCUCGUUCGACGACGAGUACCGCGCUUGCAACCUGAUGGGUUGCUGCGAUGUAUAACAACAUUGGUUUGCCCAGGUUGGGCGCAGCCAGGACCGAAUUUGUUGCCAAUAUGGCCUUUAUUUCUUCGAGUCCGGCGGUGGCAGCAUCCGUCCACUCGAAGUGUUCGGUGCGCCUAAGGAGGCGAUAGAGGGGCAAUGCCUUUUCUCCUAGACGGGAGAUAAAGCGGCUUAGAGCCGCCACGCAUCCAGUCAAUUUUUGUAUUUGCUUGAGGUCUUUUGGGAUAUCUAGCUGUGAUAGAGCUUGGAUCUUGGCUGGGUUUGCUUCAAUUCCUCUACCGGAUACGAUGAAGCCCAGCAGCUUUCCAGCUGGUAUGCCGAAAACGCAUUUUUCCGGAUUCAGCUUGAUGUCAUAUGCUCUGAGGUUGUCGAAUGUGAGCCUCAAGUCGUCUACUAGAGUUUCGACGUGUUUAGUUUUGACGACUACGUCGUCUACGUAUGCCUCUACUGUUUUGCCGAUCUGGGUAGCCAGACAUGUCUGAAUCAUGCGCUAAUAUGUUGCGCCGGCGUUUUUAAGUCCGAAGGGCAUCGUGUUGAAGCAGAAUGGUCCAUAUGGAGUAAUGAAUGCCGUUGCGGCUUGAUCUGCUUCUGCCAUCUUGAUUUGAUGAUAGCCGGAGUAUGCGUCCAGGAAGCACAAUGAAUCGUGCCCUGCAGUGGCAUCGAUGAUUUGGUCGAUGCGGGGGAGGGGGAAGGGAUCCUUUGGGCAGGCUUUAUUUAGGUCUUUGAAAUCGACACAUAGGCGCCAGGAUUUGUCCUUCUUUGGUACCAUUACCAGGUUUGUUAGCCAAUCCGGAUGUUUGAUGUCUCUGAUGAAUCCGGCUUCCAAUAGUUUGGCUAGCUCUUCUCCCAUUGCCUGUCUUUUGGGUUCGGAAAAUCGUCGAAGAGCCUGUUUGACUGGCUUGAAUCCUUUUAGGAUGUUUAGGCUGUGUUUUGCCAAUCUGCGUGGGAUUCCGGGCAUAUCCAAGGGGUGCCAGGCAAAAAUGUCCCAAUUUUCCCGAAGGAAUUCUCGCAGUGCGGCGUCUACAUCAGGGUUCAAUUGUGCCCCGAUGGAGGCCGUCUUUGUCGGGUCCGUUGGGUGGACCUGGAAUUUUACUAUUUCAUCUGCUGGUUUAAAGGAGGUGGACUUGGAUCUCUUAUCGAGUAUCACAUCGUCCCUAUUCACCGUAGAGCGCAGCGCGGUGAGUUCCUCUGCCGCUAGGGCUUCGGAUAGUGCCUCUAAGGCUAAUGCGGCUGUCUUGUUUUCGGCACGGAGUGCUAUGUCCGGAUCACUAACGAGAGUGAUUAUUCCGCCGGGCCCAGGCAUUUUGAGCUUCAUGUACCCGUAAUGGGGUACGGCUUGAAAAAUUGUGAAUGCCUCUCGUCCUAAUAUAGCGUGAUAUCCGCUGUUGAACGGGGCCACUUGGAACGUGACUUCUUCGGAUCUGUAAUUGUCCGGUGAGCCAAAUACCACAUCGAGUGUGAUUUUUCCUGUGCAGCGCGCCUCCCGGCUAGGGAUUAUUCCUCUAAAGGUUGUGCUGCUUCGCUCAAUGCGGCUCCAGUCUAUUUCCAUUUUUUGAAGGGUUUCCUCGUAGAUGAGGUUUAAUCCGCUGCCGCCAUCCAUGAGGACUUUUGUAAGUCGAAAGUCGUCCACUAUUGGACUAAGUACCAGUGCUGCUGGAGCUCGGGCUGUUCGGAAUUUAGGUUCGUCGCUGGCGUUGAAGGUGAUGGCCGUGUCACUCCAUGGAUUGGUUGUUGCUACUUGGUAGACUUCAGCGAGGCUGCGGAUUGUUCGUUUCCGCAUAUUAUGUGAUGCGAAAGUCUCGAAGACUGUUGAUACCGUACCGAUGUUGUUGGAGUGGUUUUCCGGGGCUAGAAGCUCCUCUCCACUUUUGGCCACCUGCCGUAAUAUCCAACAUGCUCGAAGGCUAUGUGUUGGGACGGCGCCUUCUGUACUGUGAAUUUUACAGGGUCCGCUAAGCCAUCCCUCCAGUACGGUUCCGUGCCCUUUGUGGGGUUUUUGCUUUUUGGUUUUUGUAUCUGGUGCCUGAGUGUAAUGCACCCUUUUGUUGCGGACUAGGGUUGUAUUCGGGGCCGGAUUGUCCCAAAACUUAUUUUCGGUUGUCCGGAAACUCUCCAUCGCACAGUACUUUCGUACUAUGGACGCCAGGUCGGCGAAGCGUGUAAUUUCACGACGGCUGACGGUGUUCAAGAUUCCCUCGUCCGUGUAAUUAUUGCAAAAAAUUGAGAUUGCGUUUUCCUCUCGGCAGUCCUUUAUCAUGUCCAUAACCAGGAGGAAUCUGGCCCAGUAGUGAUGUACUGUCUCAGCAGGCUCUUGCCGGAUUAGAGAUAGAUCGCAUAUGUCUGGGCGGGUGGGUGGAAUUAAGUCCGGAACCCUACCCAUCUCAAGGCUCGAAGGCCGAGAAGUUUCCAAAUUUGGAAGCUUGGAUUGCUGGACGUUGUCCAACGAGUCUGGUCCGAUGCCUGACUUUAAGUUCAGUGCUUGAUCGAAGUCCGUCCCUCCGCGGGAAUCCGGCAUGGGGGGUUCGGGAGCCCGGACAUGACUAGUUUUCAAUACAGGAGAAGAGUCGCCGCAUUGUUCCUCUACCACUGCAACGUGGUGGGUGACCUGGGGAGAGUUAAUCUCUCUCAGAUCGGUUUUAAGCCCAAUCUGAUUGUAGUCUGUAGCGACUCCCAGGGCAGCGAUGCGAUCCAAGAGCUCGUUUACGGACGAGAGCUCUAUUGGAUCUAGCCACUCGGCGAAUUCCGAGCUGACGUGAAGAUUGCUUUUGACGACUUGAGAGGUCAUUGUCGAAGCGGUGGCCGGACAGACGGUCAUAAGAAAACCACCUAGCCAGAUAGUUUGGUCGGUGGCCAAGGCUCCUUUGGCGAAAAUACCGUCCUUGAAGACGGGAGGAGGCAUCCUUCCUAUCGGUGACGGCACAGAGGAACUCUCAAUGAAAGCACCAAUGUCGGUGUCAAAACCGGCGGAUCAUGGGUAGGGGGUCCCGAACUGUGCGUCUAGGCGGAUGGUAACAGGAGACAAGGGACACGAUGUUUUACCCAGGUUCGGGCCCUCUUGAUGGAGGUAAAACCCUACGUCCUGCUUGAUUGAUAUUGAUAUUGUUGAUGUUUACAAGAGUGGAUCUACCACGAGAUCAAGGAGGCUAAACCCUAAAAGCUAGCCUAUGGUAUGAUUGUAAUGGUUGUUCUUGUGUCCUACGGACUAGAGCCAUCCGGUUUAUAUAGACACCGGAGAGAGCUAGGGUUACAUAGAGUCGGUUACAAUGGUAGGAGAUCUAUCCGUAUCGCCAAGCUUGCCUUCCACGCCAAGGAAAGUCCCAUCCGGACACGGGACGAAGUCUUCAACCUUGUAUCUUCAUAGUCUUGGAGUCCGGUCGAUGAUGAUAGUCUGGCCGAUGAUAGUUCGGCCGAUGAUGGUAGUCCGGCUAUCCGGACACCCCCUAAUCCAGGACUCCCUCAAUAGGCUUCUUCAAAAGUCUGUAUAAAACCAUAUGCUUUGAUCAACUCAUCAAAGCGUAUAUUCCAACUCCGAGAUGCUUGCACCAGUCCAUUGAUGGAUUGCUAGAGCAUGCACACUUUGUUAGCAUCUUUAGGAUUGACAAAAACUUUCUGGUUGCAUCAUAUACAACUCUUCUUUAAUAAAUCCAUUAAAGAAUGCAGUUUUGACAUCCAUUUGCCAGAUUUCAUAAAAUGUGGCAAUUGCUAACAUGAUUUAGACAGACUUAAGCUUCGAUACGAGUGAGAAAAUCUCAUCGUAUUCAACACCUUGAACUUAUUGAAAACAUUUCGCAACAAGUCGAGCUUAGUAGAUAGUAACACUACUAUCAAUGUCCGUCUUCCUCUUGAAGAUCCAUUUAUUUAACAUGGCUUGCUGAUCAUCGAGCAAGUCAAUCAAAGUCCAUACUUUGUUCUCAUACAUGGAUCAUAUCUCAGAUUUUAUGGCCUCAAGCCAUUUCGUGGAAUCUGGGCUCAUCAUCGCUUCCUCAUAGUUCGUAGGUUCAUCAUGGUCUAGUAACAUGACUUCCAGAACAGGAUUACCGUACCACUCUGGUGCGGAUCUUACUCUGGAAGACCUACGAGGUUCUGUAGUAACUUAAUCUGAAGUUUCAUGAUCAUCAUCUUUAACUUCCUCACUAAUUGGUGUAGUAGUCACAGGAACAGAUUUCUGUGAUGAACUACUUUCCAAUAAGGGAGCAGGUACAGUUACCUCAUCAAGUUCUACUUUCCUCCCACUCACUUCUUUCGAGAGAAACUCCUUAUCUAGAAAGGAUCCAUUUUUAGCAAUGAAUAACUUGCCUUCCGAUCUGUGAUAGAAGGUGUACCCAAUAGUUAACUUUGGGUAUUCUAUGAAGACGCACUUCUCCGAUUUGGGUUUGAGCUUAUCAGGUUGAAACUUUUUUCAUAUAAGCAUUGCAACUCCAAACUUUAAGAAACGACAGCUUAGGUUUACUGCUAAACCAUAGUUCAUACGGUGUCGUCUCAACGGAUUUAGAUGGUGCCCUUUUAAAUGUGAAUGCAGCUGUUCUCUAAUGCACAACCCCAAAACGAUAGUGGUAAAACCGAUAAGAGACAUCAUAGAUCGCACCAUAUCUAGUAAAGUACGAUUACGACAUUCGGACACACCAUUUCGUUGUGGUGUUCCGGGUGGCGUGAGUUGCGAAACUAUUCCGCAUUGUUUUAACUGAAGACCAAAACUCGUAACUCAAAUAUUCGUCUCCGCGAUCAGAUCGGAGAAACUUUAUUUUCUUGUUACAAUGAUUUUUCCACUUCACUCUGAAAUUCUUUGAACCUUUCAAUUAUUUCAGACUUAUGUUUCAUCAAGAAGAUAUACUUAUAUCUGCUCAAAUCAUCUCGUGAAGGUCAGAAAAUAACGAUACCCGCCACGAGCAUCAACACUCAUUGGACCGCAUACAUUGGUAUGUAUUAUUUCCAAUAAGUCACUAGCUCGUUCCAUUGUUCCAGAGAACGGAGUUUUAGUCAUCUUGCCCAAAAGGCACGGUUCGCAAGCAUCAAAUGAUUCAUAACCAAGUGAUUCCGAAAAUCCAUCUUUAUAGAGUUUCUUCAUGCGCUUUACACCGAUAUGACCCAAACGGCAGUGCCACAAAUAAGUUGCACUAUCAUUAUUAACUUUUCAUCUUUUGGCAUCAAUAUUAUGAAUAUGUGUAUCACUACGAUCGAGAUCCAACAAACUAUUUUCAUUGGGUGUAUGACCAUUGAAGGUUUUAUUCAUGUAAACAGAACAACAAUUAUUCUCUGACUUUAAAUGAAUAACCGUAUUGCAAUAAACAUGAUCAAAUCAUAUUCAUGCUCAACGCAAACGCCAAAUAACAUUUAUUUAGGUUUAACACUAAUCCCGAAAGUAUACGGAGUGUGCGAUGAUGAUCAUAUCAAUCUUGGAACCACUUCCAACACACAUCGUCACUUCACCCUCAACUAGUUUCUGUUUAUUCUGUAACUCCUGUUUCGAGUUACUAAUAUUUAGCAACCGAACAAGUAUCAAAUACUCAGGGGCUACUAUAAACACUAGUAAAGUAUACAUCAAUAACAUGUAUAUCAAAUAUACCCUUGUUCACUUUGCCAUCCUUUUUAUCCACCAAAUAUUCAGGGUAUUUCCGCUUCUAGUGACCAUUUCCUUUGCAGUAUAAUCACUCAGUUUCAGGCUUUGGUCCAGCUUUGGGCUUCUUCGCGGGACUGACAACUUGCUUGUCAUUCUACUUGAAGUUCCCUUUCUUUCCCUUUGCCCUUUUCUUGAAAAUAGUGAUCUUGUCAACCAUCAACACUUGAUGCUCUUUCUUGAUUUCUACCUUCGUCGAUUUCAACAUCACGAAGAUCUCGGGAAUCAUUUUCGUCAUCCCUUGCAUACUAUAGUUCAUCACGAAGUUCUAGUAACUUAGUGAUGGUGAAUAGAGAAUUCUGUCAAUCACUAUCUUAUCUGGAAGAUUAACUCCCACUUGAUUCAAGUGAUUGAAGUACCCAGACAAUCUGAGCACAUGCUCACUAGUUGAGCGAUUCUCCUCCAUCUUUUAGCUAUAGAACUUGUUGGAGACUUCAUAUCUCUCAACUCGGGUAUUUGCUGGAAAUAUUAACUUCAACUCGUGGAACAUCUCAUAUGGUCCAUGAUGUUCAAAACGUCUUUGAAGUCCCGAUUCUAAGCCGUAAAGCAUGGUGCACAAAACUAUCAAGUAGUCAUCAUAUUGAGCUAGCCAAACGUUCAUAACGUCUGCAUCUGCUCCUGCAAUAGGUCUGUCACCUAGCGGUGCAUUAAGGACAUAAUUCUUCUAUGCAGCAAUGAGGAUAAACCUCAGAUCACGGAUCUAAUCCGCAUCAUUGCUACUAACAUCUUUCAACACAAUUUUCUCUAGGAACAUAUCAAAACAUAUGAAAGCAACAACGCAAGCUAUUGAUCUACAACAUAAUUUGCAAAAUACUACCAGGACUAAGUUCAUGAUAAAUUAAAGUUCAAUUAAUCAUAUUACAUAAGAACUCCCACUUAGAAAGACAUCUCUCUAAUCCUUUAAGUGAUUACGUGAUCCAUAUCAACUACACCAUGUCCGAUCUUCACGUGAGAUGGAGUAGUUUCAACGGUGAACAUCAAUAUGUUGAUCAUAUCUACUAUAUGAUUCACGCUCGACCUUUCGGUCUCCGUGUUCCGAGGCCAUAUCUGUAUAUGCUAGGCUUGUCAAGUUUAACUCAAGUAUUCCGCGUGUGCAACUGUUUUGCACCCGUUGUAUUUGAACGUAGAGCCUAUCACACUCGAUCAUCACGUGGUGUCUCAGCACGAAGAACUUUCGCAACACUGCAUACUCAGGGAGAACACUUCUUGAUUAUUAGUGAGAGAUCAUCUUAAAAUGCUACCGUCAAUCAAAGCAAGAUAAGAUGCAUAAAGGAUAAACAUCACAUGCAAUCAAUAUAAGUGAUAUGAUAUGGCCAUCAUCAUCUUGUGCUUGUGAUCUCCAUCUUCGAAGCACCGUCGUGAUCACCAUCGUCACCGGCGCGACACCUUGAUCUCCAUCGUAGCAUCAUUAUCGUUACGCCAUCUAUUGCUUAUACGACUAUCGCUACCGCUUAGAGAUAAAGUAAAGCAAUUACAGGGCGUUUGCAUUUCAUACAAUAAAGCGACAACCAUAUGGCUCCUGCCAGUUGCCGAUAACUUCGGUUACAAAACAUGAUCAUCUCAUAAAAUAAAAUAUAGCAUCACGUCUUGACCAUAUCACAUCACAACAUGCCCUGCAAAAACAAGUUAGACGUCCUCUACUUUGUUGUUGCAAAUUUUACGUGGCUGCUACGGGCUUUAGCAAGAACCAUUCUUACCUACGCAUAAAAACCACAACGAUAGUUCGUCAAGUUGGUGCUGUUUUAACCUUCGCAAGGACCGGGCGUAGCCACACUCGAUUCAGCUAAAGUGAGAGAGACAGACACCCGCCAGCCACCUUUAAGCACGAGUGCUCGCAACAGUGAAACCAGUCUCGCGUAAGCGUACGCGUAAUGUCGGUCCGGGCCGCUUCAUCUCACAAUACCGCCGAACCAAAGUAUGACAUGCUGGUAAGAAGUAUGACUUGUAUCGCCCACAACUCACUUGUGUUCUACUCGUGCAUAUAACAUCAAGGCAUAAAACCUAGGCUCUGAUGCCACUGUUGGGGAACGUAGUAAUUUCAAAAAAAUUCCUACGUACAUGCAAGAUCAUGGUGAUGGCAUAGCAACGAGAGGAGAGAGUGUUGUCCACGUACCCUCGUAGACCGUAAGCGGAAGCGUUAUGACAACGCGGUUGAUGUAGUUGUACGUCUUCAUGAUCCGACCGAUCCAAGUACCGAACGUACGGCACCUCCGAGUUCAGCACACGUUCAGCUCGAUGACGAUCCCCGGGCUCCGAUCCAGCAAAGCUUCGGGGAUGAGUUCCGUCAGCACGACGGUGUGGUGACGAUGAUGAUGCUCUACCGGCGCAGGGCUUCGCCUAAACUCCGCGACGAUAUGACCGAGGUGGAAUAUGGUGGAGGGGGGGCACCGCACACGGCUAAGGAACGAUCCGUAGAUCAACUUGUGUGUUCAUGGGGUGCCCCCCGCCCCCGUAUAUAAAGGAGCCAGGGGGGAGGAGGCGGCCGGCCAAGGAGGGCGCGCCAAGGGGGGAGUCCUACUCCCACCGGGAGUAGGACUCCCUUCUUUCCUAGUUGGAAUAGGAGAAGGGGGGAAAGAGGAGGAAGAGGGGAAGGAAAGGGGGGGCGCCGCCCCCCUUCCCUUGUCCUAUUCGGACCAAGAAGGGGAGGGGUGCGCGGCCCCCUCCUGCCUCCUUCCCUCUUCUCCCUCGAGGCCCAUGUAGGCCCAAUAACCCCCUGGGGGGUUCCGGUAACCUCCCGGUGCUCCGGUAAAAAUGCCGAUUUCACCCGGAAUGAUUCCGAUGUCCAAAUAUAGGCUUCCAAUAUACCGAUCUUUAUGUCUCGACCAUUUUGAGACUCCUCGUUACGUCCGUGAUCACAUCCGGGACUCCGAACAAACUUCGGUACAUCAAAACUUAUAAACUCAUAAUAAAACUAUCAUCGCAACGUUAAGUGUGCGGACCCUACGGGUUCGAGAACUAUGUAGACAUGACCUAGAACUAUUCUCGGUCAAUAACCAAUAGCGGAACCUGGAUGCCCAUAUUGGUUCCUACAUAUUCUACGAAGAUCUUUAUCGGUGAAACCGCAUAACAACAUACGUUGUUCCCUUUGUCAUCGGUAUGUUACUUGCCCGAGAUUUGAUCGUCGGUAUCCAAUACCUAGUUCAAUCUCGUUACCGGCAAGUCUCUUUACUCGUUCCGUAAUGCAUCAUUCCGUAACCAACUUAUUUGGUCACAUUGCUUGCAAGGCUUAUAAAGAUGUGCAUUGCCGAGAGGGCCCAGAGAUACCUCUCCGACAAUCGGAGUGACAAAACCUAAUCUCGUAAUACGCCAACUCAACAUGUACCUUCGGAGACACCUGUAGUACUCCUUUAUAAUCACCCAGUUAUGUUGUGACGUUUGGUAGUACUCAAAGUGUUCCUCCGGUAAACGGGAGUUGCAUAUUUCUCAUAGUUACAGGAAUAUGUAUAAGUCAUGAAUAAAGCAAUAGCAAUAUACUAAACGAUCAAGUGCUAGGCUAACGGAAUGGGUCAUGUCAAUCACAUCAUUCUUCUAAUGAUGUGAUCCCAUUAAUCAAAUGACAACACAUGUCUAUGGUUAGGAAACAUAACCAUCUUUGAUUAAUGAGCUAGUCAAGUACAGGCAUACUAGUGACUAUAUGUUUGUCUAUGUAUUCAGACAUGUAUCAUGUUUUCGGUUAAUACAAUUCUAGCAUGAAUAAUAAACAUUUAUCAUGAAAUAAGGAAAUAAAUAAUAAUUUUAUUAUUGCCUCUAGGGCAUAUUUCCUUCAGAAACAUCCUCUCCAAAAAGCCUCAUAAUCUUCUUGUCACGGCGGCGACUCUCCUUGGAGACAACGUGAGUCCUAUACUGCCUCUUUUCCUGCAUACAAAACAAUGCCUUCAUCUUGUUCUUCAGCCUCUUAGCCCAGGAUGGCUCAGAGGUGGGAGGGAUGUAACCCUCAGAGUUGUCCUCGUCCGCUGCCUCCUCCUCCUCGUCACCCGCAUCCACAUCCAUGGCAGCCGCGGCCUCAGCAUGAGAAGUGGUGUUAGCCCACUGAGUCUUGACACGGAGCCUGAUGGACUCAUGUCGAAUCCAACCAGAGGCCUCAAACUCAUCCUGAGGGUAGAGCUUAUCCCAAGUAGCCGAGAUCAAAUGAAACAGAUAAGGUCCAUAGAUGGGGACCUUGAGGUUGUAGACCGCAAACCGAAGCUCACACCACAUGAUAUGUGAGACAUCAAGUGGUAGCGUCUUAGAGUUGCGCGCUUCCUCACACAGGAGCAGCAUGUCCACAAGAUAAGCAUGCACCUUGUCCUUGUCACCAAUGCGUGGAAAGAGAGUGUUGCGGAAGAUCCGGUACAUGAUGUCAAGGAAGGAGUUGAGCACCCAAGAUGACUUGCUACUAGAGAGCUUCUUCUCAACAUAGAAGGGCUAAAUCUUGUUCUUGUUGGCUGACUCGGGAUUGGCAUGAGGACGAACACACUGGGGUGUGGCGAGCCCCUCAUCCUGAACACCAAGCAAAGUCAUGAACUCCUUCCACGUAGCAGUCAGCUGCUGACCAUUGGUCAUCCAAGUCAUAGUCCGUUCCUCAUUAGGAUGAAAGUGCACCGAGGCAAAGAACUGAGCCACAAUCUCAGGAUCAAAGUCUUUGUGAAAAGAGAUGAUGUGCUCAAUGCCAAAUUGCUCCACUAGAUCCAAAGCCUCACCAAAGUAGUCCCGGUGCUUCUCUUCCCUCAUAUGAUGCAUGUCGAUCCAGUGCACAUCCACAUAGAUGUUUCGCUUGGCCUUGAUCACAUCCAGAUAAAAUGAGAUUCUGCUGCUUGGUCCAGAACAGGUCAUUCCCUUGAAAGUUGGCACGAGGAUGCACAUAGGGAUUGAUCUUCCUUCGAGAAAUGAACUCAACAAGUGGCAUCUCAUCCAUGCCCAUGGCGGGUUCCUUGUCCUUGGUGGCGGUGGUCUUGGUCCUGUGUUGGGGGGUAUGUAACGCCCCGGAUCCGAUGCGCCAGGUGUCUGCCAGUUAUUCGCCAUAGUUGCCAUGUCAUUUUGCUUGCGUGUUGCAUUUUAUCAUGUCAUCAUGUGCAUUUCAUUUUGCAUACGUGUUCGUCUCAUGCAUCUGAGCAUUUUCCCCGUUGUCCAUUUUGCAAUCCGGCACUCCUAUGCCCUCCGGCGUCCCCCUCUUCUCUCUUUUCAUGUGCGGGUGUUAAACUUUCUCGGAAUGGCCCGAGGCUUUCCAAGUGGCGUUGGUAUAGCACCGGUAGACCGCCUGUCAAGUUUCGUGCCAUUUGGAGUUCGUUUGGUACUCCAACGGUUAACCGGGUAACCGUAAAACCCCCCUUCUCUUUGCAGCCCAACACCCCUUCCAAACUGGCCCAAAACCCAUCUAACUUCCCUCCACGCUCUCGGUCGUUCGAUCACGAUCGUGUGGGCAAAAACCGCUCCUCAUUUGGACUCUCCUAGCUCCCUCUACCUAUAAAUAUGUGCCUCCCCCGUCCAAAUCGCAGAUGAAACCCUAAUUUUCCCCUCUGCGCCGCGCCGUACAUGUCCGGAUCGGACUGGACACGUCCGCGCCGCCGCCCGCAGCCAAUCCCACCUCGCCACCUGUCCGCCCGCGCCGUCNNNNNNNNNNNNNNNNNNNNNNNNNNNNNNNNNNNNNNNNNNNNNNNNNNNNNNNNNNNNNNNNNNNNNNNNNNNNNNNNNNNNNNNNNNNNNNNNNNNNNNNNNNNNNNNNNNNNNNNNNNNNNNNNNNNNNNNNNNNNNNNNNNNNNNNNNNNNNNNNNNNNNNNNNNNNNNNNNNNNNNNNNNNNNNNNNNNNNNNNNNNNNNNNNNNNNNNNNNNNNNNNNNNNNNNNNNNNNNNNNNNNNNNNNNNNNNNNNNNNNNNNNNNNNNNNNNNNNNNNNNNNNNNNNNNNNNNNNNNNNNNNNNNNNNNNNNNNNNNNNNNNNNNNNNNNNNNNNNNNNNNNNNNNNNNNNNNNNNNNNNNNNNNNNNNNNNNNNNNNNNNNNNNNNNNNNNNNNNNNNNNNNNNNNNNNNNNNNNNNNNNNNNNNNNNNNNNNNNNNNNNNNNNNNNNNNNNNNNUCCGCCGCCCGUGCUCCGCCCGAUCUAGGCCGCGCCCCUCCCCCGCACCUCGCCUGAGCUCACCAACGUCGCCGUCGGGCAUCCCGCGUCGCCGCCGACGUUCGCCGGAACCAGGUGCCGCCUUCCCCGCGCCCCUGCUCCUCCCGGCGGCGACCGGAGCCUUCUCGUCCCCGCCUCCAUCCUCGCCGGGCUGCCCGAGCCCCGCCGUGCCCCGAUCCGGUGUCCAGCCACCAGAUCCGGCAGGCCUGGGCCCGGAUCCGCCUCCUCUGCCCAGCCUGCGCUGCCGCCGCCGACGUUCGCCGGCGAGCUCGAGCUGCCGGUUGCCGCGCUACCCGCUCGCGUUGACCCAGCGAGGGCCCCGUGGAGGCCCAGCCCGCCAAGCCUUCCCUGGCCUGCUUCCUCUUCAUGGGCCGAGCCCAGGGUGAGCAGUCCUCUAAACCCCGCUCUGGGCGCCUCGUAGUUAUUCGUCGCUCACCCAUUUUUUUUCUGUAAAUCGUCUGCCCCUAAGUUUUUGUCAUUUUCAUGCCAUGUUCAACCUGCUGUAUCUCUGUGCAUGCAGCUCCGUUUCGUGCGUGUAAUAUGUCAAAUUGUUCGUCUCAACGAGUACAUCAUUUCAUUCCAUUGCAUCAUAUUCAUUUGAGGUCAUCUUGAUGCCUGAAUAAUCGUUGUAAGAGUGCUUCAUGAUGUUUUCUACUGUCUGUUAACAGAACGAGCUCUUUUGUCUUUUUUGCCAUGAUUGAUGUGUGCAUCCUAUGAGGUUGAUGUCUACAUGUGUUUUGAUCUAUGCUAUGUCUUCUUUACAGAGGUGCUUACCAUGUAUUUUUGUGAUCAAUGUGGUGACUAGCACAAGCAUGCAAACUAGGCAUCGUGAUGUUGCAGAUUUUAGUCCAUGUUCUGCUGUUAUUUUGAUGCCAUGUAAGCUUGAUGUUACAGAGAGGUCCAUGCAUAUUUUGAGAUACUUCAGUAAGGAUGUUUUGAACAUGUGGUUAUUUUCUAUCCAUUCAUGCCCUUGUUUGCAUUUAUGGAGUAGUCUAGCAUGUCAUUUGAGUGCUCUACUUUUGCUUCAAAAUGUUUCCUGGCAGAUUGUUUACAUGUUAUUCAAUUUGGCCAAGCUUGUUGUAGUUGAUCCGUGCAUGCUAUGGACUUGUUCUUGACUUGGUUUGUUUCACAAACAUGCCUUCUUGAUGAUGCUAUGCUUAUCUUGUCAUGCAAUGACUUGUGGUGAGUGAAUAGAGCUUGUUAAGUAGGGUACAUGAUGUUGCUGUUUUGCUAGGCUGAAUCUGUUAUUUCGUGAUGCUAUAUAAACAUGUUGCUACUAAUCAUUCUAUGCAUAAUCUGGAGAUGUUCUAUAAAUAUGUUUUGAUCUACAUGUCAUCCUCUAUCCAUCCAUGCCCCUGGUUGCAUUUAUAGGUUGCUGUAUCUUGUUGUAAUCUUGCUCUAAAGUUGCUUCAUAAUGUUGUUGUCAGCCUGUUAACAUUAAGUUCAGUUGUUUCCAUGUGUUUUGCUAGUGUUCCAUGCACCCUAGGAACUUGCUAUUGCCAUGCUUAUCUUCACAAACAUGUCUUCUUACUGUUGGUUGCCUUGCCAUGCUAUUUAUUGCUCUGUGGUGAGUGGUACAAGCUCAUCUACAUGCCUUCAUAAUUCUGUUUCUGCCAUGUUUGAAUCUGUAUUAUAACUUGCUAUGUUUACGUGGGUGCCAUCAUAUUUUCUGAUCCUUUUUGGCUUAUGGUCAGUAAGGGACUUUUGAUCUAUGCAAUUAGUAGAUUCAUGUCAUGCCUUUGUUUGCCAUUAUAAGUUCCUUUAACAUGUUGUUUGAUAGAUCUAAACAUUGCAUCGUGAUGUUAUUUUUUGCAAAGUCUGAAUUGUUAUUAUUUGCAAUCUUACCAUGUGUGUUUGAGUAUGUUCUAGUGAUUUCUGGAGAUAGCUCGGUGUUCAUGUUUUGUAAUGCCUUACCUGUACAUCAUGCCCAUGCCUUUUGUUUUCUUGUUGAGGCCCUGUAGCAUAUUGUUUUGGUGCUUGCAAUAUGCCUAGUUGCUGUUUUGGACAGCUUGUCCUUUAGACUUGUUUCAUGUGUGUGUGUUGAACCGUUGCUCCGUUUUGAGUGUGCUCUAUAUGAAACUUGCUUAGAAUUGCAUGUAGCUUCAUAUUAUCAUGUUGCAUCCUUGUUUUGAGGUGUUAUCUUGAUGUUUGGGUGCAUUUUGCAUCAAUGCCAUGUUUAACUUGUUUUGCUCAUAUCUUCUAGGACGUAGCUCCGAACUAAAUGAACUUUAUAUGUAACUUGACUAGAAUCUCGUGUAGAUCAUCUUGUUGCAUCUUAACUUGAUGUUUAACAACUUGAACAUAAUGUUUAUUCAGAUCUGGACCAAUUUCGAAAUAUGCAUAUGAGGACUUACCGGAAUUGUUAUAUGUUGAUCCCGGCCUCAUUUAAACUUGCCUUAGUGUGUUGCUCUUGUUUGCAUCAUCUCUUGCCAUGAGUAGCUUCAUGUAGCCUUGUCAUGCAUCAGGCUUGAUUGUGCAUCAUGCCUUGUUCAUGUGUGGUGUGUUUACUAUAUUGUGUGCUUCUUUUCGAUAGUUCCUGUUUCGUUGCGAUCGUGAGGAUUCGUUCGUCUACGCUUGGUUCGUCUUCGUGGCUUCAUCCGUUCAUCUUCUUCAUGGACUCGUUCUUCUUCCUUGCGGGAUUUCAGGCAAGAUGACCGCUACCCUGGAUCUCACUACUAUCAUUGCUAUGCUAGUUGCUUCGUUCUAUCGCUAUGGUGCGCUACCUAUUACCUGUUUAUCAAGCAAUCCCAAAUUGCCAUGAACCUCUAACCUUUGACACCUUUCCUAUGCAAACCGUUGUUUGGCUAUGUUACCGCUUUUGCUCAGCCCCUCCUAUAGCGUUGCUAGUUGCAGGUGAAGUUGAAGAUUUCUCCAUGGUGGACAGGAUUUUGGUUGGGAUAUCACAAUAUCUCUUAUAUUAUUAAUGCAUCUAUAUAUUUGGUAAAGGGUGGAAGGCUCGGCCUUUUGCCUGGUGUUUUGUUCCACUCUUGCCGCCCUAGUUUCCGUCAUACCGGUGUUAUGUUCCCGGAUUUUGCGUUCCUUACGCGGUCGGAUGAUUUAUGGGACCCCCUUAACAGUUCGCUUUGAAUAAAACUCCUCCAGCAAGGCCCAACCUUGGUUUUACAUUUGCCUCACCUAGCCCUUUUUCCCUUGGGAGUCACGCUCUUGAGGGUCAUCUUUAUUACAGCCCCCCCGGGGCCAAUGCUUGUCUAAGUGUUGGUCCAAACUAGAGCACCGUGCGGGACCAUCCCUUGGCAACUUGGGUUACGUUGGUACCUGUACGCUUAGCUUAUUCGGUGUUGCCCUGAGAACGAGAUAUGUGCAGCUCCUAUCGGGAUUGUCGGCGCAUCGGGCGGUCUUGCUGGUCUUGUUUUACCAUUGCCGAAAUGUCUUAUAAACCGGGAUUCCGAGUCUGAUCGGGUCUUCCUGGGAGAAGGUCUAUUCCUUCGUUGAUCCCGAGAGCUUGUCAGGGGCUAAGUUGGGACACCCCUGCAGGAUAUAAUCUUUCGAAAGCCGUGCCUGCGGUUAUUGGUAGAUGGGAAUUUGUUAAUGUUCGGUUGUAGAUAACUUGACACCAGAUCCGAAUUAAAACGCAUCAACCACGUGUGUAGCCGUGAUGGUCUCUUCUCGGUGGAGUUCGGGAAGUGAAUACGGUUUCUGGGUUAUGUUUGACGUAAGUAGGAGUUCAGGAUCACUUCUUGGUCAUUACUAGUUGACGACUGUUCCGCUUGCUCUCUUCUCGCUCUUAUUUGCGUAUGUUAGCCACCAUAUAUGCUUAGUCGCUGCUGCAGCCUCACCACUUUACCCCUUCCUUUCCCUUUAAGCUUUCCUAGUCUUGAUACCCAUGGUAAUGGGAUUGCUGAGUCGUCGUGGCUCACAGAUUACUACAACAACAGUUGCAGGUACAGGUUAUUCGAUGAUCAUGACGCGAGAGCGAUGCUUGCUUGCGUUGAGUUCUUCUUCUGCUUCUUCUUCGAUCAGGGGAUAGGUUCCAGGUCGGCAGCCUGGGCCAGCAGGGUGGAUGUCGUUUGAGUUUCUGUUUGUGUUUCAUCCGUAGUCGGAUGAUGAUCUUAUGUAUGAUGAUGUUGUAUUCAUGUGGCAUUGUAUGCCUUAUGUAUGUAUCCCAAUCUAUUAUGUAAUGAUAUCCACCUUGCAAAAGCAUUUCAAUAUGCGGGUCUAUCCUUUGGUGGGACCUUCGAGUUCCUUUUGGAUAGGGUCGCAUAUUGGGCGUGACAAGUUGGUAUCAGAGCCUCGACCGACCUUAGGAGCCCCCUUGAUUGAUCGUGUAGUUUGGCCGUUGUCGAGUCUAGAAGAAAACUAUUUUCAGAGUCUAGUUAUAUCGGAGAGUAGGAAUUCUUUUUACUCCUCAGCCCCUUCGUCGCUCUGGUGAGGAAUCUUGACGUAGGUGUUUUGAAUUACUCCUCUUCCCUUUCAAACUUUCUUUAGGAUCAACUUGUUGGUUUUCCGGUAGUUGUUCCUCAACUCUUUUGAUCCGGUGCAUUUCUCGUCAAGUCGACUCGAGCCUCUUCAUCUUUGAGUUCAAUCCUCAGUUGUUUUCUUUCCCACCCGCCCACCCUUCUUCUUCUCGGAACCGGAGUCCGUAAUCGAGUAUCCAUCCUACUCGUGCGAAGUUUUGCUCUCUCUCCUCAAUGAUUUCAACCGGUGUUUUCUCUUCAAGAUAUUCGUCGGUUCCCCUUUCAAGUUGUCNNNNNNNNNNNNNNNNNNNNNNNNNNNNNNNNNNNNNNNNNNNNNNNNNNNNNNNNNNNNNNNNNNNNNNNNNNNNNNNNNNNNNNNNNNNNNNNNNNNNNNNNNNNNNNNNNNNNNNNNNNNNNNNNNNNNNNNNNNNNNNNNNNNNNNNNNNNNNNNNNNNNNNNNNNNNNNNNNNNNNNNNNNNNNNNNNNNNNNNNNNNNNNNNNNNNNNNNNNNNNNNNNNNNNNNNNNNNNNNNNNNNNNNNNNNNNCCAUCUAUCUCAUUCGUGCGGAGCCUUUUCAGUCUUUCAUAAUUAUUUCAACCGGUGAAUUCUUGUCUCAUUUGUCAUUCUUCAUCCCUUUUCUUUUUUCCGGUGGAUUCAAUUCUAAUUUUCGGUAGUGAGCAUAUUCUUUCCCUCAACUCAAGUGCCUUCCCUGCUCGUUCGCCUCUCGCCAAUUUAUCCUUCCGGAGUGUUCAAGACAUCUCAAGAGAUUCGUCUGUGUUCCAAUUAAUUCGAGGUUGUCACCUCAUUCAAAUAUUUCAAUUGUUCCGGUGCAUCAUCUAUCUUUUCAACAAUCCUUUCCAACGGUGUUAUCUCUUCAGUGGGACCUAACCCACAGGUCUUUUUCCAGGAUCUUACCUGACUCUUCUAAUUCCCCCGGAGUAUUCUCAAUUCUUUUCAAGUGUGACAUAAGAAUGGAUUCCAUCAGUCACAUGCCUUGUCAAGAUCAUUUUCAAAUUCUUUUCAUUGUUGGCUCAACCUCUUCGCUUUUCGUUCUCCCGGAGUAUCUCAGUAAUUUUGGUGGUGUUUCUCGUCAUCUUUUGAAGACCGAAGAAGAGUUUGCCUUUAAAAUCCUGCCAGUUCUCUCGAAGUUUCGCGGUUGUAGCCUCAUGUUAUCCUCUCGAAUUAUUCCAUUUGUCAGAUAUCCUUUUCUUAUCCAUCCGGAGUAUGUCAGAAGUUAUUUUCCCAAUUCUUUUACCGGAGGCCAUCAUUCCAGUUAUCGUUCUCUAUUUAUCCCGGUGCCUGGUUCAAGUGUUCUUUAAUCAGCUCAUGAUCUCCUUGUUCUUUUCAACUAAAUCCCCUCUAGUUUAUUUGUUCUUCUAAUUCUUCCGGUGAUUAUUUCUCUUUUCGUCAGUCAUUUCCGAAUUUUUCAUGGUGGUUCUUUCAGAUUCUAUUUCCUUGAUUAUCAUUCAAUCCUUUUCUUCGGAGUUUGUUCUUGAUGAAUAAAUUCUAGUUCCAAGUGUUUCAUUUUUUCUUUCCGGAGUUCAUUUUUCCUCGGCCAUUUUGUCGGAACCCCCAUCUAAAUCAUCUCAAGGCUCAUCUUAUUCUUUCAUCCUUCAUUUUAUCUCGUCAUCCUUUUGUUACCGGAGUUCUUCACGGUGGCUCGUCAUGAUUCAAUUCAUUACUCAAGUGUUCAUCAAGAUUCUUAUCAAAGGAGCUCAAGUAUCUUUCCUUCAUGCCUUUCGAAGUGCAAUUAAUUCUUCAUUUUCUUCUGAAGUGGAGUUUUGCAUUUCUUCGUUCUUCUCAGAUAUUCAAAUCUGUUCAACCUUUCCUUCUAAGUUCUUUUCAUCCCAUUCUUUCAAUUCUUCCGGAGGCAUUGCAUAUUCAUCUCGUCAAGUGCCAUCCCAUCUAGCGAAGUUCAUGUUCUAUUCUUUCCAUGUUCAACCGGAGUGCUGCCUAAAUCCUUUCAGUCUUACUUGUUUCUCAUCUCGUUUUAACCGGAGUGGUUUCAUAGUCUAUCUGAUUCCGUGAGCUUUCGAUUCUCGUAAUUCUCGUCGUUCCCCUCUUCUUCUCGAGUGCUCUCGAUUCUUUGUUUCUUAUCUUGAGUUCUUGUUUCACCUCUUCCUCUUUCUCUUCCGUCUCGGUCCUAAGAUCUCGGGACGAGAUCUCUUGUUAGUAGAGGAGUGUUGUAACGCCCCGGAUCCGAUGCACCAGGUGUCUGCUAGUUAUUCGCCGCAGUUGCCAUGUCAUUUUGCUUGCGUGUUGCAUUUUAUCAUGUCAUCAUGUGCAUUUCAUUUUGCAUACGUGUUUGUCUCAUCCAUCUGAGCAUUUUCCCCAUUGUCCGUUUUGCAAUCCGGCACUCCUAUGCCCUCCGACGUCCCCCUCUUCUCUCUUUUCAUGUGCGGGUGUUAAACUUUCUCGGAAUGGCCCGAGGCUUGCCAAGUGGCCUUGGUAUAGCACCGGUAGACCGCCUGUCAAGUUUCGUGCCAUUUGGAGUUCAUUUGGUACUCCAAUGGUUAACUGGGUAACCGUAAAACCCCCCUUCUCUUUGCAGCCCAACACCCCUUCCAAACUAGCCCAAAACCCAUCUAACUCCCCUCCAUGCUCACGGUCAUUCGAUCACGAUCGUGUGGGCGAAAACCGCUCCUCAUUUGGACUCUCCUAGCUCCCUCUACCUAUAAAUAUGUGCCUCCCCCGUCCAAAUCGCAGAUGAAACCCUAAUUUUCCCCUCUGCGCCGCACCGUACAUGUCCGGACCGGACCGGACACGUCCGCGCCGCCGCCCGCAGCCAAUCCCACCUCGCCACCUGUCCGCCCGCGCCGUCCCCGCCGCCANNNNNNNNNNNNNNNNNNNNNNNNNNNNNNNNNNNNNNNNNNNNNNNNNNNNNNNNNNNNNNNNNNNNNNNNNNNNNNNNNNNNNNNNNNNNNNNNNNNNNNNNNNNNNNNNNNNNNNNNNNNNNNNNNNNNNNNNNNNNNNNNNNNNNNNNNNNNNNNNNNNNNNNNNNNNNNNNNNNNNNNNNNNNNNNNNNNNNNNNNNNNNNNNNNNNNNNNNNNNNNNNNNNNNNNNNNNNNNNNNNNNNNNNNNNNNNNNNNNNNNNNNNNNNNNNNNNNNNNNNNNNNNNNNNNNNNNNNNNNNNNNNNNNNNNNNNNNNNNNNNNNNNNNNNNNNNNNNNNNNNNNNNNNNNNNNNNNNNNNNNNNNNNNNNNNNNNNNNNNNNNNNNNNNNNNNNNNNNNNNNNNNNNNNNNNNNNNNNNNNNNNNNNNNNNNNNNNNNNNNNNNNNNNNNNNNNNNNNNNNNNNNNNNNNNNNNNNNNNNNNNNNNNNNNNNNNNNNNNNNNNNNNNNNNNNNNNNNNNNNNNNNNNNNNNNNNNNNNNNNNNNNNNNNNNNNNNNNNNNNNNNNNNNNNNNNNNNNNNNNNNNNNNNNNNNNNNNNNNNNNNNNNNNNNNNNNNNNNNNNNNNNNNNNNNNNNNNNNNNNNNNNNNNNNNNNNNNNNNNNNNNNNNNNNNNNNNNNNNNNNNNNNNNNNNNNNNNNNNNNNNNNNNNNNNNNNNNNNNNNNNNNNNNNNNNNNNNNNNNNNNNNNNNNNNNNNNNNNNNNNNNNNNNNNNCGCCGCCGACGUUCGCCGGCGAGCUCGAGCUGCCGGUUGCCGCGCCGCCCGCUCGCGUUGACCCAGCGAGGGCCCCGUGGAGGCCCAGCCCGCCAAGCCUUCCCUGGCCUGCUUCCUCUUCAUGGGCCGAGCGCAGGGUGAGCAGUCCUCUAAACCCCGCUCUGGGCGCCUCGUAGUUAUUCGUCGCUCACCCAUUUUUUUCUGUAAAUCGUGUCCCUAAGUUUUUGUCAUUUUCAUGCCAUGUUCAACCUGCUGUAUCUCUGUGCAUGUAGCUCCGUUUCGUGCGUGUAAUAUGUCAAAUUGUUCGUCUCAACGAGUACAUCAUUUCAUUCCAUUGCAUCAUAUUCACUUGAGGUCAUCUUGAUGCCUGAAUCAUCGUUGUAAGAGUGCUUCAUGAUGUUUUCUGCUGUCUGUUAACAGAACGAGCUCUUUUGUCUUUUUUGCCAUGAUUGAUGUGUGCAUCCUAUGAGGUUGAUGUCUACAUGUGUUUUGAUCUAUGCUAUGUCUUCUUUACAGAGGUGCUUACCAUGUAUUUUUGUGAUCAAUGUGGUGACUAGCACAAGCAUGCAAACUAGGCAUCGUGAUGUUGCUGAUUUUAGUCCCUGUUCUGCUGUUAUUUUGAUGCCAUGUAAGCUUGAUGUUAUAGAGAGGUCCAUGCAUAUUUUGAGAUACUUCAGUAAGGGUGUUUAUAACAUGUGGUUAUUUUCUAUCCAUUCAUGCCCUUGUUUGCAUUUAUGGAGUAGUCUAGCAUGUCAUUUGAGUGCUCUACUUUUGCUUCAAAAUGUUUCCUGGCAGAUUGUUUACAUGUUAUUCAAUUUGGCCAAGCUUGUUGUAGUUGAUCCGUGCAUGCUAUGGACUUGUUCUUGACUUGGUUUGUUUCACAAACAUGCCUUCUUGAUGAUGCUAUGCUUAUCUUGUCAUGCAAUGACUUGUGGUGAGUGAAUCGAGCUUGUUAAGUAGGGUACAUGAUGUUGCUGUUUUGCUAGGCUGAAUCUGUUAUUUCGUGAUGCUAUAUAAACAUGUUGCUACUAAUCAUUCUAUGCAUAAUCUGGAGAUGUUCUAUAAAUAUGUUUUGAUCUACAUGUCAUCCUCUAUCCAUCCAUGCCCCUGGUUGCAUUUAUAGGUUGCUGUAUCUUGUUGUAAUCUUGCUCUAAAGUUGCUUCAUAAUGUUGUUGUCAGCAUGUUAACAUUAAGUUCAGUUUUUUCCAUGUGUUUUGCUAGUGUUCCAUGCACCCUAGGAACUUUCUCUUGCCAUGCUUAUCUUCACAAACAUGUCUUCUUACUGUUGGUUGCCUUGCCAUGCUAUUUAUUUCUCUGUGGUGAGUGAUACAAGCUCAUCUACAUGCCUUCAUAAUUCUGUUUCUGCCAUGUUUGAAUCUGUAUUAUAACUUGCUAUGUUUACGUGGGUGCCAUCAUAUUUUCUGAUCCUUUUUGGCUUAUGGUCAGUAAGGGACUUUUGAUCUAUGCAAUUAGUAGAUUCAUGUCAUGCCUUUGUUUGCCAUUAUAAGUUCCUGUAACAUGUUGUUUGAUAGAUCUAAACAUUGCAUCGUGAUGUUAUUUUUUGCAAAGUCUGAAUUGUUAUUAUUUGCAAUCUUACCAUGUGUGUUUGAGUAUGUUCUAGUGAUUUCUGGAGAUAGCUCGGUGUUCAUGUUUUGUAAUGCCUUACCUGUACAUCAUGCCCAUGCCUUUUGUUUUCUUGUUGAGGCCCUGUAGCAUAUUGUUUUGGUGCUUGCAAUAUGCCUAGUUGCUGUUUUGGACAGCUUGUCCUUUAGACUUGUUUCAUGUGUGUGUGUUGAACCGUUGCUCCGUUUUGAGUGUGCUCUAUAUGAAACUUGCUUAGAAUUGCAUGUAGCUUCAUAUUAUCAUGUUGCAUCCUUGUUUUGAGGUGUUCUCUUAAUGUUUGGGUGCAUUUUGCAUCAAUGCCAUGUUUAACUUGUUUUGCUCAUAUCUUCUAGGACGUAGCUCCGAACUAAAUGAACUUUAUAUGUAACUUGACUAGAAUCUCGUGUAGAUCAUCUUGUUGCAUCUUAACUUGAUGUUUAACAACUUGAACAUAAUGUUUAUUCAGAUCUGGACCAAUUUCGAAAUAUGCAUAUGAGGACUUACCGGAAUUGUUAUAUGUUGAUCCCGGCCUCAUUUAAACUUGCCUUAGUGUGUUGCUCUUGUUUGCAUCAUAUCUUGCCAUGAGUAGCUUCAUGUAGCCUUGUCAUGCAUCAGGCUUGGUUGUGCAUCAUGCCUUGUUCAUGUGUGGUGUGUUUACUAUAUUGUGUGCUUCUUUUUGAUAGUUCCUGUUUCGUUGCGAUCGUGAGGAUUCGUUCGUCUACGCUUGGUUCGUCUUCGUGGCUUCAUCUAUUCAUCUUCUUCAUGGACUCGUUCUUCUUCCUUGCGGGAUUUCAGGCAAGAUGACCGCUACCCUGGAUCUCACUACUAUCAUUGCUAUGCUAGUUGCUUCGUUCUAUCUCUAUGCUGCGCUACCUAUUACCUGUUUAUCAAGCCAUCCCAAAUUGCCAUGAACCUCUAACCUUUGACACCUUUCCUAGGCAAACCGUUGUUUGGCUAUGUUACCGCUUUUGCUCAGCCCCUCUUAUAGCGUUGCUAGUUGCAGGUGAAGUUGAAAAUUUCUCCAUGGUGGAUAGGAUUUUGGUUGGGAUAUCACAAUAUCUCUUAUAUUAUUAAUGCAUCUAUAUAUUUGGUAAAGGGUGGAAGGCUCGGCCUUUUGCCUGGUGUUUUGUUCCACUCUUGCCGCCCUAGUUUCCGUCAUACCGGUGUUAUGUUCCCGGAUUUUGCGUGCCUUACGCGGUCGGGUGAUUUAUGGGACCCCCUUGACAGUUCGCUUUGAAUAAAACUCCUCCAGCAAGGCCCAACCUUGGUUUUACAUUUGCCUCACCUAGCCCUUUUUCCCUUGGGAGUCGCGCUCUUGAGGGUCAUCUUUAUUACAGACCCCCCAGGCCAAUACUUGUCUAAGUGUUGGUCCAAACUAGAGCACCGUGCGGGACCAUCCCUUGGCAACUUGGGUUACGUUGGUACCUGUACGCUUAGCUUAUCCGGUGUUGCCCUGAGAACGAGAUAUGUGCAGCUCCUAUCGGGAUUGUCAGCGCAUCGGGCGGUCUUGCUGGUCUUGUUUUACCAUUGCCGAAAUGUCUUGUAAACUGGGAUUCCGAGUCUGAUCAGGUCUUCCUGGGAGAAGGUCUAUUCCUUCGUUGAUCGUGAGAGCUUGUCAUGGGCUAAGUUGGGACACCCCUGCAGGGUAUAAUCUUUCGAAAGCCGUGCCUGCGGUUAUUGGCAGAUGGGAAUUUGUUAAUGUCCGGUUGUAGAUAACUUGACACCAGAUCCAAAUUAAAAUGCAUCAACCGCGUGUGUAGCCGUGAUGGUCUCUUCUCAGCGGAGUCCGGGAAGUGAACACGGUUUCUGGGUUAUGUUUGGCGUAAGUAGGAGUUCAGGAUCACUUCUUGGUCAUUACUAGUUGACGACCGUUCUGCUUGCUCUCUUCUCGCUCUUAUUUGCGUAUGUUGGCCACCAUAUAUGCUUAGUCGCUGCUGCAGCCUCACCACUUUACCCCUUCCUUUCCCUUUAAGCUUUGCUAGUCUUGAUACCCAUGGUAAUGGGAUUGCUGAGUCCUCGUGGCUCACAGAUUACUACAACAACAGUUGCAGGUACAGGUUAUUCGAUGAUCAUGACGCGAGAGCGAUGCUUGCUUGCGUUGAGUUCUUCUUCUGCUUCUUCUUCGAUCAGGGGAUAGGUUCCAGGUCGGCAGCCUGGGCUAGCAGGGUGGAUGUCGUUUGAGUUUCUGUUUGUGUUUCAUCCGUAGUCGGAUGAUGAUCUUAUGUAUGAUGAUGUUGUAUUCAUGUGGCAUUGUAUGCCUUAUGUAUGUAUCCCCAUCUAUUAUGUAAUGUUGAUGUAAUGUUAUCCACCUUGCAAAAGCGUUUCAAUAUGUGGGUCUAUCCUUUGGUGGGACCUUCGAGUUCCUUUUGGAUAGGGUCGCAUAUUGGGCAUGACAGGGUAGUGGAGCCCUAUGGAGCUUCAUCUUGAUUUCGCAGACGCUUGGAGCCUGUGUCACGGCUUGGAUUGGAACGGCGUGCAGGAGCACCUGAGCCACCACCUAAACACACACCACAAAACAAACACGCAAGAGAUGCGAGAAGGAUUAAUGCAAAGACCACAACAAAACGGUGAAACAAGUAGAACUCGCACUUGAUAAUUGCCACAUGAGAGGUUUGACAACAACGGUAGUACUGCUUGGCCGCGCGGUACUAAAAUUUUUGUGCCGUUCCUAGUCACGGUAGUACCGUGCGGGCGGUAGUGCCGCGCUGGAGGUGCGGUAGUACCACACAGUUUCAGAUCCGAAACUGCAAGUGGAUCUGAGUACAACCGUGACAACAAAGCGGUACUAAGGUCGAUCAAAUCUACCACGGGGCAACAUAUCAAGUACUAUCUCUACCCAUUACUACUCUCCUACAUCCUACUCUUGCAAAGAUUUAGCCUAAAAUCUCAAGAACCACAUGCAUCUCCCCAAAAACCUAGAAGCAAAAGAACGAACCGAAAAGAGAGGGAUUUGGGGAAAAACCUUGGUCCAUGGCAAGAGGAAGUGGUGGGGAACGAUCCCACGGUCGAAAUCCGAGGAGAGCGGCCGGAGACGGAGAUCCGACGAGGGCCUCCGGCGCCGGUCUUGGGCAGGAGAGAGAGAGGCGGCGUGGGGAGAAAGAGUGAAUGGGUAUGGGGGAGUUGGAACUCCCCCUGCCCACUCUUAAUCCCCACGCGCUCGCUACUCCAUAGUAGUAGCGCGCGUCCUUGCGGUAGUACCGCCCGGGCGGAAGUACCGCGCCGUGGGCGGUCUUACUGCUCCACCAGCGGCAGUAAAAAAUUACUGUCGUGCUGGUUGCGGUAGUACCGUGUCCUUGCGGUAGUACCGUGAACCCAAGAAAAUGCAGUUUCAAACAAAAGGAAGAAACAUCUUUGCACGGAACCUUCAAGCGAACAAACACACCAACGAGCUAACAAACAAGACACCACAAGCACAAGCUUGGCACGAAGAAAGAAAAGCAAGAGACAACAAGGACCAAAAACGAGACACAACCUCUCCAAGGAGAGGGCGAUGGCCGGAGCCACCUAUGUUUGAGUCGAUUGGUAUGGCACCACAAAGAAUUAUCCUUGGGACCAUGACCAAAACUCGUCUUUGAAGCACAAGUACCAUCAAAAAUGGCUAAUGUGAAAGAGUUGAUCAAUUUAUGCAUAAUGGGGGAGGGAGAGUUCAUUGAGAGAACAACACUCCCCCUAUGUCCAUGCCUACACCUAAACUAGACAACAAGUUGAGUGUGGUGGGGUGUGCAAGGAUUCAAGUCAUAUUGCUCGAAUCAAUGAUAUUUAGCUCAUGCCUUAACUCACGAAAUCUCGCUUCAUCCAAGGGAUUCGUGAAAAUAUCUGCAAGGUUAUCAUGAGUGUUGACAUACUUGAGCUUGAUCUCCCUUCGCCUAAUGUGAUCCCGAAUGAAGUGAUACCGAAUCUCAAUAUGCUUCGUCUUGAAGUGUUGCACUGGGUUGAGAGAGAUCUUGAUAGCACUUUCAUUGUCACGCCAAAGAGGCACUUUGUCACAAGUGACACCGUAAUCCUUUAAAGUUUGCCUCAUCCAUAGGAGUUGAGCACAACAACUACCGGCAGCCACAUACUCUGCUUCGGUGGACGAGAGAGAUACACAACUUUGCUUCUUAGAAGACCAACUCACUAAAGAGCAACCAAGUAAUUGGCACCCUCGAGAGGUGGACUUCCUGUCCGCUCUGUCUCCCGCCCAAUCUGAAUCUGUGUAGCCCAAAAGAUCAAAGUCGGAUCCUCUUGGGUACCAUAAGCCAAAGUUUGGGGUAUGAGCCAAAUAUCGAAAGAUUCGCUUGACCGCCACAAAGUGGCUUUCCUUAGGUGCGGCUUGAAACCGUGCACAAAUUCCCACUCAACAUGAUAUCCGGUCUAGAUGCACAAAGGUAAAGCAAGGAUCCAAUCAUGGAGCAAUAUACCUUUUAAUCCACCGCUUUACCAUUGGCAUCAAUGUAAAGUUGGCAUUUGACGGGCAUUGGAGUGGAGGCUAUCUUGACAUCACUUAGCUUGAAUCUCUUGAGCAUGUCUUGAGUGUAUUUGGCUUGGUUGAUGAAGGUUCCUUCUCUUCUUUGCUUGAUUUCGAACCCGAGAAAGAACUUCAACUCUUCCAUCAUAGACAUCUUGAACUUUGAGAUCAUGAGAGCGGCAAAUUCUUCAUUGAAAGCUUUGUUAGGGGAACCGACAAUAAUAUCAUCAACAUAUAGUUGGUACACAAACAACUCCCCUUUGACCUUCUUAGUAAAAAGAGCGGGGUCGAUUUUCCCGAUUUCGAACCCACGAUCUUGUAACAACUCUGUAAGAUGCUCAUACCAUGCAUGUGGGGCUUGUUUAAGGCCAUAGAGCGCCUUAUGGAGUUGGUACACGUGAUCGGGGAAAUAGGGAUCUUCGAACCCGGGUUUUUUUGACAUACACCAACUCAUUAAUGGGACCAUUAAGAAAAGCACUCUUCACAUCCAUUUGUUGCAACGUGAAAUUAUGAUGAGAAGCAUAAGCAAUCAACAAACGAACAGAUUCUAGGCGAGCAAUGGGAGCAAAGGUUUCACCGUAGUCGAUACCCUCGACUUGGGAGUAGCCUUGUGCCACCAAACGAGCCUUGUUGCGAACAAUAAUCCCAUGAGCAUCUUGCUUGUUCUUGAAUAUCCACUUGGUCCCAAUGACAUUAUGAUUCCCGGUUGGCCUUGGCACUAAUUUCCACACUUUGUUAUGCUCGAAGUUGUUGAGUUCUUCAUGCAUGGCAUUGAGCCAAUCCGGGUCCUCGAGCGCCUCGUAAACCUUUUGGGGUUCGACACAAGAAACAAACGCAUGAUGUUCGCAAUAGUUUGCUAAUUGUCUACAAGUGCUUACCCCCUUUCUUAGGCUUCCAACCACAUUCUCCAUGAGAUGACCUUUGGUAGUGAGCUUGGAAGCAACCUUCGCGGCACGACGCUCUAAUUCCUCCCCGGUUGUGAAAAGAGGAGGGGUAACUUGAUCAUCUUGAGCGCCGUCUUGAGCUUGUUCUUGAUCUUGAGCUUGUUCUUGAUCUUGAACUUGCUCAAAGGGGAGAACUUGACCUUGGGCAUCAUUUGGUGGUUCACCACCAUCUUGAGGUUGAUCUUGCCCUUGAUCUUGUUCAUGAGGUUGAGGGCCUUCGCUUUGUUCUUCGGAAGCAUGUGGGUCUUGGGUUGGUGAUGGAUCCACUUGAGUGGAGCAUUGUCCUUCUCCUUCGGCCACAAGGGGUUCCUCAAUGGGUAGGAUAUGACCCACGCCCAUUCUUUUUAUGGCUUGGGGAGGAAUUUCAUCACCUACAUCACAAGUACCACUUUGCUCCACUUGGGAGCCGUUAUUCUCGUCAAACUCUACGUUACACGUCUCCUCAAUUAGUCUAGUGGACUUGUUGAGUACACGGUAAGCAUGAGAGUUUGUAGCAUAACCAACAAAUAUGCGCUCAUAAGCUCUAGCCUCAAAUUUAGACAAACGAACAUGUUUCUUGAGAAUGAAACACUUACGCCCGAACACCCAGAAGUACUUGAGGUUGGGCUUGUUACCGGUAAGUAUUUAAUAAGGAGUCUUGUUCAAGCCUUUGCGGAGAUAGAGCCGAUUGGAUGCAUGACAUGUUGUGUUGACGGCUUCGACCCAAAAGUUGUAUGGAGACUUGAACUCUGCCAUCAUGGUCCUUGCCGCAUCCAUCAAUGUCCGGUUCUUCCUCUCCGCGACACCAUUUUGUUGAGGGGUAUAUGGUGCAGAAUAUUGAUGCUUGAUCCCCUCAUCACUAAGAAAUCCAUCCAAGGCGUAGUUCUUGAACUCGGUGCCGUUGUCACUUCUUAUUGUCAAGAUCUUUGCAGCAUGUUGACGUUGAGCUUCAUUUGCAAAGUCGAUGACGGUUUGUUGAGUCUCACUCUUCCUCUUGAAGAAAUAUACCCAAGUGUAUCUUGAAUAAUCAUCCACAAUCACCAAGCAAUACUUUCUACCUCCAAGACUAUCAAAGGAUGGAGGACCAAAGAGAUCCAUGUGAAGGAGUUCCAAGGGUCUCUUCGAGUAGAUGAUAGUCGUGGGAGGGUGAGCCUUCUCAUGAAGCUUUCCUUUGAUACAAGCACUGCAAGCACGAUCUUUGGCAAAACUAACAUUUGUUAGUCCAUGGACAUGGUCCCCCUUGAGAAGACUUUGCAAAGAUCUCAUAUUGACAUGGGCUAAACGGCGAUGCCAAAGCCAUCCCACAUCAACUUUAGCCAUUAGGCAUGUCGCGGUCUUAGUGGGUCGCUCCGAAAAGUUAAUCACAUAAAGACUGUUCUCGACAUGCCCAACAAACGCUACUUUAAGAGUCUUGCUCCACAAGAGGACCACGGUAUCAAUAUCAAAGAAAGUGGCAAAGCCCAUGAGUGCGAGUUGACGAAUGGAAAGUAGAUUGUAAGCAAGGGACUCAACAAGCAUGACUUUCUAGAUCGUUAGAUCAUGAGAAAUGACAACCUUGCCAAGACCCUAUACCUUAGAAGACUAGUCAUCACCCCACUCGACGUUGGUGGGCAUAGAAGGGAUCUUGUGCACGUCCACCACCAAGUCCUUGCUUCCGGUCAUAUGAUUUGUUGCUCCACUAUCGAGCAACCAUGAUCCCCCACCGAAGUAAACACCUACAAGAGAUCAAUGCUUGGUUUUAGGUACCCAUUUUGUAAUGGGUCCUUGGAUGUUAGUAACAAGGGUCUUAGGAACCCAAAUAGACCAUUCAAUAUACUCAUAAGGAGAACCAACAAAUUUAGCAUAAACAUGCCCAUCACUAGCACGACACAACACAUAAGAAGGGUUAAAGUCGUCGGCUUUGUUGGAAGGGGUGGCAUUGCCCUUUUUGACAUCACCACCCUUCACAUUGUUCUUCUUCUCCUUAGGAGCACCCUCUCCCUCCUUCACAAAAGUUUGCUUGAGAGGAGGAGGUCGUUUGGCCUUGUCAUUCUUCUUCUUGUUCUUGGACUUGGGUGUGAACCCAACUCCCUCCUUGGCCACAACUUCCUUUUGAUUGCUCAAAAGGUCAUUGAGGUUCUUCUCACCUUGUAUGCACGUAACAAGGCCUUUCUUAAGUUGCUCCUUCAACUUGGCAUUCUCCUCCACAAGAUGCACAUGCUCACAACAUGGGUUAGUGGCAUUUGCAUUAUCAAUUAAUACCAUAUGUGGAAAGGUGGCUUUUUCUUUGGUUAGCUUCACUUGGAGUUGAUCAUGAGACUCCUUGAGGCUAGCAUGAGCACCCUUCAAGACCUUGUGGGCCUUGUCGAGUAUAUCAAACUCCUCCUUUAGUCUAGCAUGGUCAACGCCAAGUUUAGCCUUCUUGGAAGUUAGCACACGAGAUACAACAGGAGCAUGAUCAAGAUCUUUCUUUAACUUAGCAUGGUCAUUGUUGUGUGACUCCUCAAGAUCCAAAGGAUGCCCACGCUCUUCCUCAAGAGCAUUAGAGAGAUCCGAUAUCUCAUCAGCAUAGUCACGACUAUGACCUUCUGAUGUCUACUACACAACCUUCUUCUUUUAGACGUUGUUGGGCCUGCAAGUGCACAGGUUUGUAGGACAAUAGCAAAUUUCCCUCAAGUGGAUGACCUAAGGUUUAUCAAUCUGUAGGAGGCGUAGGAUGAAGAUGGUCUCUCUCAAACAACCAUGCAACCAAAUAACAAAGAGUCUCUUGUGUCCCCAACACACCCAAUACAAUGGUAAAUUGUAUAGGUGCACUAGUUCAGCGAAGAGAUGAAGAUACAAGUGCAAAAUAGAUACUAGAUAUAGGUUUUUGUAAUCUGAAAUAAUAAAAACAGAAAGGUAGCAAGCGGUAAAAGUGAGCGUAAACGGUAUUGCAAUGGUAGGAAACAAGGCCUAGGGUUUAUACUUUCACUAGUGUAAAUUCUCUCAACAAUAAUAACAUAGAUAGAACAUAUGACAAGCCCUCAACAUGCGACAAAGAGUCACUCCAAAGACACUAAUAGCAGAGAACAAACAUAGAGAUUAUGGUCGGGUACGAAACCACCACAAAACUAUUCUUUCGGAUCGAUCUAUAAAAGAGUUCGUACUAGAAUAACACAUUAAGAUACAAAUCAACCAAAACCCUAAUGUCACCUAGAUACUCCAUUGUCACCUCAAGUAUCCGUGGGCAUGAUUAUACGAUAUGCAUCACACAAUCUCAGAUUCAUCCAACCAACAUAAAAGUACUUCAAAGAGUGCCCCAAAGCUACUACCGGAGAGUCAAGAACGUGUGCCAACCCCUAUGCAUAGGUUCCCAAGUGUCACAAAACCCGCAAGUUGAUCACCAAAACAUACAUCAAGUGGAUCAAUAGAAUAACCCAUUGUCACCACGGUUAUCCCACGCAAGACAUACAUCAAGUGUUCAUAAAAGACUCAAUCCGAUAAAAUAACUUCAAAGGGGAAACUCAAUUCAUCACAAGAGAGUAGAGGGGGAGAAACAUCAUAAGAUCCAACUACAAUAGCAAAGCUCGGGAUAUAUCAAGAUCGUGCCAUAGAGGAACACGAGAGAGAACACGAGAGAGAGAGAUCAAACACAUAGCUACUGGUACAUACCCUCAGCCCCGAGGGUGAACUACUCCCUCCUCAUCAUGGAUAGCGCCGGGAUGAUGAAGAUGGCCUCCGGUGAUGGGAUCCCCCUCCGGCAGGGUGCCAGAACAGGGUCCCGAUUGGUUUUUGGUGGCUACAGAGGCUUGCGGCGGUGAAACUCCCGAUCUAUUUUCUGUUCUGGAAGUUUUAGGGUAUGUAGGUAUAUAUGGGUGCAGGGAGAACGUCGGUGGAGCUACGGGGGCCCCACGAGGCAGGGGGGCGCCCCCCACCCUCUUGAGCACCUCCCAUAUCUUCUGACAUGGGGUCCAAGUCCAUCAGGUGGGUUUCCUUCCAAAAAUAACUUCUCCGGUUGAUUUCGUUUCGUUUUGACUCCGUCUGAUAUUCCUUUUCCUCGAAACACUGAAAUAGCCAUAAAACAACAAAUCUGGGCUCGGCCUCCGAUUAAUAGGUUAGUCCCAAAAAUAAUAUAAAAGUGGAUAAUAAAGCCCAAUAUUGCCUAAAACAGUAGAUAAAAUUAGCAUGGAGCAAUCAAAAACUAUAGAUACGUUGGAGACGUAUCAAGCAUCCCCAAACUUAAUUCCUGCUCGUCCUCGGGUAGGUAAAUGAUAAAAAAGAAUUUUUGAUGCAGAGUGAUACUUUGGCAUAAUUUCAAUGUAAAUCUUCUUAAUUGUGAUAUGAAUAUUCAUAUCCGCAAGAUUCAAGACAAAAGUUCAUAUUGACACAAAAAUAAUAAUACUUCAAGCAUACUAAUCAAAGCAAUCAUGUCUUCUCAAAAUAGCAUGGCUAAAGAAAGUUAUCCCUACAAAAUCAUAUAGUCUGGCUGUUGCUCUAUCUUCAUCACACAAAGUAUUUAAUCAUGCAUAACCCCGAUGACAAGCCAAGCAAUUGUUUCAUACUUUAGUAAUCUCAAACUCUUUCAACUUUCAUGCAAUACAUGAGUGUGAGCCAUGGACAUAGCACUAUAGGUGGAAUAGAAUGGUGGUUGUGGAGAAGACAAAAAGGAGAAGAUAGUCUCACAUCAACUAGGCGUAUCAACGGGCCAUGAAGAUGCCCAUCAAUAGAUAUCAAUGUGAGUGAGUAGGGAUUGCCAUGCAACAGAUGCACUAGAGCUAUAAGUAUAUGAAAGCUCAACGAAAGAAACUAAGUGGGUGUGCAUCCAAAUCGCUUGCUCAGGAAGACCUAGGGCAUUUUGAGGAAGCCCAUCAUUGGAAUAUACAAGCCAAGUUCUAUAAUGAAAAAUUCCCACUAGUAUAUGAAAGUGACGAAAUGAGAGACUCUCUAUCAUGAAGAUCAUGGUGCUACUUUGAAGCACAAGUGUGGUAAAAGGAUAGUAGCAUUGUCCCUUCUCUCUUUUUCUCUCAUUUUUUUAUUUGUGCCUUUUCUCCUUUUUUAUGGCCUUUUUUUUCGUCCGGAGUCUCAUCCCAACUUGUGGGGGAAUCAUAGAGUCCAUCAUCCUUUCCUCACUUGGGACAAUGCUCUAAUAAUGAUGAUCGUCACACUUUUAUUUUUCUUACAACUCAACAAUUACAACUCGAUACUUAGAACAAAAUAUGACUCUAUAUGAAUGCCUCCGGCGAUGUACCGGGAUAUGCAAUGAAACAUGAGUGACAUGUAUGAAAGAAUUAUGAACGGUGGCUUUGCCACAAAUACGAUGUCCACUACAUGAUCAUGCUAGCAAUAUGACAAUGAUGGAGCGUGUCAUAAUAAAUGGAACGGUGGAAAGUUGCAUGGCAAUAUAUCUCGGAAUGGCUAUGGAAAUGCCAUGAUAGGGUAUGGUGGCUAUUUUGAGGAAGGUAUAUGGUGGGUGUAUGGUACCGGUGAAAGUUGCAUGGCACAAGAGAGGCUAGCAAUAAUGGAAGGGUGAAAGGGUGCGUAUAAUCCAUGGACUCAACAUUAAUCAAAAGAACUCAUGAACUUGUUGCAAAAAUUUAGAAGUCAUCAAAAAUCAAAGCACCAUGCGCAUGCUCCUAGGGGGAUAGAUUGGUAGGAAAAGACCAUCGCUCAUCCCCGACCGCCACUCAUAAGGAAGACAAUCAAUAAAUAAAAUUGUGCUCCAACUUCAUCACAAAGCGGUUCACCAUACGUGCAUGCUAUGGGAAUCACAAACUUCAACACAAGCAUUCUUUAAAUUCAUAAUCACCCAACUAGCAUCACUUUGAUAUUAUCACCUCCAUAUCUCAAAACAAUUAUCAAGCAUCAAACUUAUCUUAGUAUUCAAUUCACUCAAAAGAAAGGUUCACAUAUCUUGAAUACCAAGUAUAUUAACAUUAAGCAAACUACCAUGCUAUUAAUGACUCUCAAAAUAAUAUAAGUGAAGCAUGAGAGUUCAUCUAUUUCUUCAAAAUAAAACUACCGCCAUGCUCUAAAAGAUAUAAGUGAAGCACUAGAGCAAAAAUUAUCACGCUCAAAAGAUAUAAGUGAAGCACAUAGAGUAUUCUAGCAAAUUCUAAUUUGUGUAAGGCUCUCUCUCAUUAAGAUCUUGAAACUUCAUUCAAACAGCAAGCAAAUCUAAAGGAAACUACAAUGCAAGGAUAGCACAACUCAUGUGAAAAAGCAAAAACUUAGGCUCAACCGAUACUAACCGAUAGUUGUUGAAGAAGAAAGGUGGGAUGCCUACCGGGACAUCCUCAAGCUUAGAUGCUUGAGACUUCUUGAAAUAAUAUCUUGGGGUGCCUUGGGCAUCCCCAAGCUUGAACUUUUGUGUCUCCUUAAUUCCUCUCAUAUCAUGGUUUCUCUUUUUAUCAAAAGCUUCAUUCACAACAAACUCAACAAGAACUAGUGAGAUAGGUUAGUAUAAACCAAUGCAAAACCUUAUCAUCUUCUACUAUAACAAAUCACUAAAAUCAUUAUUCAACAUUGCAUACUAAAUGUAUCUGUAUAUUUAAUACUCCCUAUCCUCAAAUAUAAUCAUUAAACAAGCAAACAUUUGCAAACAAUGCAACCAUAACAGCAAUCUGCCAAAACAGUACGGUCUGUAAAGAAUGCAAGAGUAUCAAUACUUCCCCGACUCCAAAAAUUAUGAACUAAAAUUCCAACUGUAAUAAAUUUAUCAGAUCUCAAUAUGCAAAAAGAUUCAACUUUAGACCAUGCUCUAACUCUAGGUAAUUUCUGCAACAGCGGUAAACUUUCUGUUUUCAAACAGUAACAUGCAUACUAGCAAAACAAGCAUGACAAAGGCUAUCCUUGACUUUUUUAUUGAAACUAAAGAUGCAAAACAUUAUUCUAACUAACAGCAAGCAAAAACUAACACAAUAAAAUGACGCUCCAAGCAAAACACAUAUCAUGUGGCGAAUAAAAAUAUAGCUCCAAGUAUAGUUACCGAUGAACGAAGACGAAAGAGGGGAUGCCUUCCGGGGCAUCCCCAAGCUUAGGCUCUUGGUUGUCCUUGAAUAUUACCUUGGGGUGCCUUGGGCAUCCCCAAGCUUAGGAUCUUGCCACUCCUUAUUCCAUAGUCCAUCAAAUCCUUACCCAAAACUUGAAAACUUCAACCACACAAAACUCAAAACAAAACUCGCAAGCUCCGUUAGUAUAAGAAAAUAAAACCACCACUUAGGUACUGUAAUGAACUCAUUCUAAAUUCAUAUUGGUGUUAUAUCUACUGUAUUCUAACAUCUCUAUGGUUCAUACCACUUAAUACUAGCCAUAGAUUCAUCAAAAUAAGCAAACAACACAAAGAAAACAGAACCUGUCAAAAACAGAACAGUCUGUAGUAAUCUGUAUAAAACGUAUACUUCUGGAACCCAAAAAAUUAUGAAAUAAAUUUCCGGACCUGAGCAAUUUGUCUAUUAAUCAUAUUAAAAAAUAAUAAACCUAAAAGCACUCUCCAGUAAAAAAUGGCAGCUAAUCUCGUGAGCGCUAAAGUUUCUGUUUUUCACAGCAAGAUCACAAAAACUUCACCCAAGUCUUCCCAAAGGUUCUACUUGGCACUUUAUUGAAACAAAAGCUAUAAAAUAUGAUUACUAUAGUAGCAUAAUAAUGUGGACACACAAAAAAAGUAAGGAUAAAUAUUGGGUUGUCUCCCAACAAGCGCUUUUCUUUAAUGCCUUUUAGCUAGGCAUGAUGAUGGCAAUGAUGCCCACAUAAAAGAUAAGAAUUGAAACAUAACGGGAGCAUCAUGAAGCAUAUGACUAGCACAUUUAAGUCUAACCCACUUCCUAUGCAUAGGGAUUUUGUGAGCAAACAACUUAUGGGAACAAUAAUCAACUAGCAUAGGAUGGCACAACAAGCAUAGCUUCAAGAAUUUAAGCAUAUAGAGAGGAAACUUGACAUUAUUGCAAUUCCUACAAGCAUAUGUUCCUCCCUCAUAAUAAUUUUCAGUAGUAUCAUGAAUGAAUUCAACAAUAUAACCAGCACCUAAAGCAUUCUUUUCAUGAUCUACAAGCAUAGAAAAUUUUCUACUCUCCACAUAAGCAAACUUUUUCUUUAUAGCAUACGUAUCAUCACAAUAAUCAUCAUAGAUAGGAGGCAUGAUUUCAUCAUAGUAAAUUUGCUCAUCAAAGCUUGGGGGACAAAAUAUAUCAUAUUCAUCAAAGAUAGCUUCCCCCAGCUUGUGGCUUUGCAUAUCAUUAGCCUCAUGGAUUUUCAAGGAAUUCAUGCUAACAACAUUGCAAUCAUGCUCAUCAUAUAAAAACAUUCUAUAGAUUUCUUCUUCUAGUACUUGAGCACAAUUAUCCUUUCCAUCAUACUCACGAAAGAUAUUAAAAAGGUGAAGCGUAUGAGACAAACUCAACUCCAUUUUUUUGUAGUUUUCUUUUAUAAACUAGACUAGUGCUAAAACAAGAAACAAAAAGAUUCGAUUGCAAGAUCUAAAGAUAUACCUUCAAGCGCUAACCUCCUCGGCAACGGCGCCAGAAAAGAGCUUGAUGUCUACUACACAACCUUCUUCUUGUAGACGUUGUUGGGCCUGCAAGUGCACAGGUUUGUAGGACAGUAGCAAAUUUCCCUCAAGUGGAUGACCUAAGGUUUAUCAAUCCGUAGGAGGCGUAGGAUGAAGAUGGUCUCUCUCAAACAACCCUGCAACCAAAUAACAAAGAGUCUCUUGUGUCCCCAACACACCCAAUACAAUGGUAAAUUGUAUAGGUGCACUAGUUCGGCGAAGAGAUGAAGAUACAAGUGCAAAAUAGAUAGUAGAUAUAGGUUUUUGUAAUCUGAAAUAAUAAAAACAGCAAGGUAGUGAGCGGUAAAAGUGAGCAUAAAUGGUAUUGCAAUGGUAGGAAACAAGGCCUAGGGUUCAUACUUUCACUAGUGUAAGUUCUCUCAACAAUAAUAACAUAGAUAGAACAUAUGACAAGCCCUCAACAUGCGACAAAGAGUCACUCCAAAGACACUAAUAGCAGAGAACAAACGUAGAGAUUAUGGUCAGGUACGAAACCACCACAAAGCUAUUCUUUCGGAUCGAUCUAUAAAAGAGUUCGUACUAGAAUAACACCAUAAGAUACAAAGCAACCAAAACACUAAUGUCACCUAGAUACUCCAUUGUCACCUCAAGUAUCCGUGGGCAUGAUUAUACGAUAUGCAUCACACAAUCUCAGAUUCAUCCAACCAACAUAAAAGUACUUCAAAGAGUGCCCCAAAGCUACUACCGGAGAGUCAAGGACGUGUGCCAACCCCUAUGCAUAGGUUCCCAAGUGUCACAAAACCCACAAGUUGAUCACCAAAAAAUACAUCAAGUGGAUCAAUAGAAUAACCCAUUGUCACCACGGUUAUCCCAUGCAAGACAUACAUCAAGUGUUCAUAAAAGACUCAAUCCGAUAAAAUAACUUCAAAGGGGAAACUCAAUUCAUCACAAGAGAGUAGAGGGGGAGAAACAUCAUAAGAUCCAACUACAAUAGCAAAGCUCGGGAUACAUCAAGAUCAUGCCAUAGAGGAACACGAGAGAGAACACGAGAGAGAGAGAUCAAACACAUAGCUACUGGUACAUACCCUCAGCCCCGAGGGUGAACUACUCCCUCCUCGUCAUGGAUUGCGCCGGGAUGAUGGAGAUGGCCUCCGGUAAUGGGAUCCCCCUCCGGUAGGGUGCCGGAACAGGGCCCCGAUAGGUUUUUCGUGGCUACAGAGGCUUGCAGCGGCGAAACUCCCGAUCUAUUUUCUGUUCUGGAAGUUUUAGGGUACGUAGGUAUAUAUGGGUGCAGGGAGAACGUCGGUGGAGCUACGGGGGCCCCGCGAGGCAGGGGGCGCGCCCAGGGGGGAGGGUGCGCCCCCACCCUCGUGAGCACCUCCCGUAUCUUCUGACGUGGGGUCCAAGUCCAUCAGGUGGGUUUCCUUCCAAAAAUAACUUCUCCAGUUGAUUUCGUUCUGUUUUGACUCCGUCUGAUAUUCCUUUUCCUUGAAACACUGAAAUAGGCAUAAAACAGCAAAUCUGGUCUGGGCCUCCGGUUAAUAGGUUAGUCCCAAAAAUAAUAUAAAAGUGGAUAAUAAAGCCCAAUAUUGCCUAAAACAGUAGAUAAAAGUAGCAUGGAGCAAUAAAAAAUUAUAGAUACGUUGGAGACGUAACACCUUCCAUCCUAGAGAUGGUUUCUUCAUGAGCCUCGAUCAUGUCAUUGGCUUCACCAAGUUGUUCCAAGAGAGCAAUGAAGUGCUUCUUGGAUUUGCCCUUGAGCUUACUCAUAAAAGACUCAAAUUCAUUUACUUCCUCAUUAUACCCCUCACUUUCAUCAAUGCCAUCCGUCAAGGAGGGAUUAGUAAUGAUGGUGGUUUUGAUGUUGGGGGUUACCUUGUUGGUGGCUUUAGCCAUGAGACACUUGGCAGCGAUGUUCUCAUUGGGCGACUCGAAGAGGGACACCCAUGGAGUUGUGGCAAUGGCAACGGAGUCCAUGGCCAUGGCUUCACUAUCUUCAUCAUCAUCGUCAUCCUCAUGGUAUUCUUCUUGAACCACCAACCCUCGAGUAGGAGUCUUUUUGGUGAAGUUGUUCUUGUUUGGGAAGGACUUGGCUUUGUCUUUUCAGAUGAGCUUGCCACCAUUGUCUUCCCGCUUCUCGUAAGGGAAAUCCACAACAAAGUGGCUCACAUUGCCACAAUUGUAACAUGUUCUCACACGUUGCUUGCCCUUGAACCCACUUGAGUUGUUCUUGUUGAAGUUGGGCCUUGUGUUCUUCUUUCUACAAAAUUGCCUUGAAGCAAGAGCCAUGUGCUCAUGAUAAUCAUAUUUUGUAUCUUCGGGGUUGCUCUCCUCAUCUUCCUAUUCUUCCUCUUCUUCCACAAUAACCUUGUCCUUCAAGGCAAGGUUGGGCUUCUUUGCUCUUUGAGAACGCAACACCGCAUUGUCGGCGGUCUUGUCCAAGAUCCUUAUUGCCACAAACUCAUCCAAUACUUCAUUUGAGGUCAAGGAGUGGAAGUCCGGUCUGUUACGGAUGACGGAGGACAUGGCCUUGUGGUAAGGCAUCAUUGCUUUUAGGAACUUGCGCUUGAUCCAAUUGUCAUCCGUGUCUUGCUCCCAUGAUCUCGGAGUGAGACCACGAGUUUGGUUACUCUCCGAAAGAGCUCACGAGGUUCUUCAUCUUCUUUCAUUGCAAACUCAUUGGCUUCAUCUUGCACCACUUCAUAGUUGGAGCGUUGGAUGCUCGCGCUUCCCUUAUAGAGGGAAACAACACAAUGCCAUGCAUCUUUGGCCAUGGCGAAGGGUCGAAGACGAGGGAGAUCUUCGAGUGGAACCGCAUCUUGAAUGAUGAAGAUAGCAUUCUCAUUGAAUUGAUUAUCCAUGGCUUCUCUAGGGGUGAAGUUGCUUCGGUCAUGUGGAUGGAAACCUUCUUCAAUGAUUCUCCAAAGAUUAGUAUUCACAUGAUUUAAAUGACGCUUGAAGCGAUAAACCCAAGAAUCAAAGUCCUCAUUUUUCACAAUCUUAGGAGGAGGGCCCGCAUGAUUUAAAUGGGUAGAGGGAAUCGGUCCUCCAUAAAUUGGAGGUUCCACAUUGGCAAAGAUGCCGGUGCCAUUUCUACCACUAGUAGAAGGACCCUUUUCACUAGUAGCUCCCCCCUUGUCGGAGUUAGCAUCCGUCACCUUGUUAGUGGGAUCACCCACUUUCAUCGGCGAGGUAGAUAGUUUAAGUCCUUCUAAGAAUUUAUUAAACAUGCUUUCAACCUUGGUUGUCAUGGAGGUUUUCAAUGUGUCCAAAGCCACAUUGAAUUCCUCACGAGAAACCGCGGUUCCCCCAUCGGCCGUAGACGAGCUCGGAUUCACACCAGAGUGCUCCUCCCCACCGUCUACGAUGUCAGCCAUACUCUUCGGACUACAAAGUCCUUAAUAAAGAGACAAGGCUCUAAUACCAAUUGAAAGGAUCGAUAUAGUUGACUAGAGGGGGGUGAAUAGGCAACUAACAAUUUUCAGCUUUUCUUUACCAAAUUAAACUUUGCAUCAAAGUAGGUUGUAUAGAUAUGCAACUAGGUGAGCCACCUAUAUGAUGUAACAACAACAAGCACACAAGCAAGCAAGGGAUACAACACAAAUAAGCUUGCACAAGUAAAUGCACGAGAUAACCAAGAGUGGAGCCGGUGAAGAUGAGGAUGUGUUACCGACGUUCCUUCCUUUUGAAGGGAAGUACAUCUCCGUUGGAGCGGUGUGGAGGCACAAUGCUCCCUAAGAAGCCACUAGGGCCACCGUAUUCUCCUCACGCCCUCACACAAUGCGAGAUGCCGUGAUUCCACUAUUGGUGCCCAAGGCGGCGACCAAACCUUUACAAACAAGGUUGGGGCAAUCUCCACAACUUAAUUGGAGGCUCCCAAUGACACCAUGAAGCUUCACCACAAUGGACUAUGGCUCCGAGGUGACCUCAACUGUCUAGAGUGCUCAAACACCCAAGAGUAACAAGAUCCGCUAGGGAUUAGUGCGGGGAAUCAAAUUUCUCUUGGUGGAAGUGUAGAUCGGGGCCUUCUCAACCAAUCCCGAGCAAAUCAACAAGUUUGAUUGGCUAGGGAGAGAGAUCGGGCGAAAAUGGAGCUUGGAGCAACAAUGGAGCUUGGGGGUGGAAGACGUGGUCAACUAGAGGAAGAAGACACCCCUUAUAUAGUGGAGAGACAAAUCCAACCGUUAUCCACUUAACCAGCCCGCGACCUGUGGUACUACCGCCACAGACAAGCGGUACUACCACAAGUGCUCACGGUACUACCACGACGGACCACGGUACUACCGCUGCUAUGGCAGGAGCUUGUCCAGGCCUGAACCUCAAAGGCUGAGGGUGGUAUUGCCGCUGAGGCGGUACUACCGCUCCCCCUUGCGGUACUACCGCAAGGCCGGAUUGGACUAGCCUGGGAAGGGCGCGGAUGAAUAAAAAUACAUCCGUGCCUAGUUCCGCUGAAAAUCAAACAGUGCAAAUACCCAACACGGUACUACCGCGCAUGGCAUGCGGUACUACCACGCAGAGAGCGGAUGUAAAAAAUUACAUCCGCCCCUACUUCCGCUCAUGUUGCUAUGCUGGACCAGGACUCACGGUACUACCGCAUGCAUGGGGCGGUACUACCGCGUAGGGCGCGGAUGUAAAAAAUUACAUCCGCCCCUACAGCCGCACGAGCGGCUGAGUCUGGUCUGAGGCCAUGGUACUACAGCUCCUUAGGAGCGGUACUACCGUGUGCACCUACGGUACUACCGCAAGGGUGUGCGGUACUACCGCGGGUGCCUGCGGUACUACUGCUCCUGAGAGCAGUACUACCGCAUGCCUCAGAACAGCAACACUAGGAAUCCUUCUCUUUGCAUAUAUAUGAAGAAAAUGGAGGAUGCUCCAAAGCGCAAAGGGAAAGGCGGUGCAGAGGGAGUAAACAUGUAUGUGAUGAUUCCAACUGAACCUUUCCAACGCGGACCCCCUCUGAAUAGUUCGGCUUUCCUACGACUCAAAUCCACCAAAAAGAAACGUAGAAAAAUGCCGUCUUCAAUAAUCUUUGAGGGGCACCAAACCGUCUUGUGCCUAGUGACUAAAUGUGUGAAAUACUCAAGGCACAUGAUUAGUCCGCAAAAGCAUUGUCAUCAAUCACCAAAACACCUCAGGGAUAAAUAUGCCCUUACACUAAGCUUGGGGAUGCCCAAGGCACCCCAAGGUAAAAUUCAAGGACAACCAAAAUCCUAAGCUUGGGGAUGCCCUGGAAGGCAUCCCUCUUUCGUCUUCGUCCAUCGGUAACUUUACUUGAUCCUAUAUUUUUAUUUACCACAUGAUAUGUGUUUUGCUUGGAGCGUCUUGUAUGAUUUGAGUCUUUGCCUUUUAGUUUACCACAAUCAUCCUUGUUGUACACACCUUAUGGGAGAGACACACAUGAAUCGGAAUUUAUUAGAAUACUCUAUGUGCUUCACUUAUAUCUUUUGAGCUAGAUAAUUUUGCUCUAGUGCUUCACUUAUACCUUUUUAGAGCACGGCGGUGGUUUUAUUUUGUAGAAAUUAUUGAUCUCUCAUGCUUCACUUAUAUUAUUUUGAGAGUCUUUUAGAACAACAUGGUAUUUUGUUUGGUUAUAAAAUUAGUCCUAAUAUGAUGGGCAUCCAAGUUGGGUGUAAUAAAAACUAUCAUAUAAAGUGCAUUGAACACUAUAAUCAAUUUGAUACUAGAUAAUUGUUUUGAGAUAUAAAGGUGGUAGUGUUAGAGUCAUGCUAGUUGGGUAAUUAUGAAAUUGAGAAAUACUUGUGUUAAAGUUGGCAAGUUCUGUAGCAUGCACGUAUGGUGAACGUUGUGUGACAAAUUUGAAGCAUGGGGUGUUCUUUGAUUGCCUUCCUUAUGAGUGGAGGUCGGGAUCGCGCGAUGGUUAACCCCUACCAACCCUUCCCCUAGGAGCAUGCGUAGUAGUACUUUGCUUCAAGGUCUAAUAAACUUUUGCAAUAAGUAUAUGAGUUCUUUAUGACUAAUGUGAGUCCAUUGAUUAUAUGCACUCUUACCCUUCCACAAUUUGCUAGCCUCUACGGCACCGUGCAUUGCACUACAAAAAAAAGACACAUCCGUGACAUUUUGGGCCGAACGAAUUUUUUUCCUGUCAUACAUAUGACACUUCUAUGACGAUAAUUGUGACAAAACCCGGUAUCAUCAUAGAUCUGGUGGGCUCCUACUUCUAUGACAAAAAAUCAUGACAGAAAAUGGGCUUUUCGUCCUGGGCGGGCCGGAGAGGCAGCUGCAUGACAUUCUUUGGGCUGUCCAUGACGGAAAAACCCGUGGUAGAAGCGAGGGCGAGGAAAAUUUCAGGGAGUUCCCAGUUACGGUGGGAGGUCGGGGGCCGAGCGAUGCGUGUUUCUCUCGUACAUGUAUGCGCGUGUGUGCGAGGCGUUGGCUCUAACUAAACCCAAGCGAGGCAUUGGGCUCUAACUGAACCCGAGCGAUUGCACUGCAGGCUACGCGUUACUGAACCCGAGCGAUCGAUCGAUGGCUGUUAACUGAACCCGAUCGAGCGAUUCCUUCGCUACUGCUGCUAACUGANNNNNNNNNNNNNNNNNNNNNNNNNNNNNNNNNNNNNNNNNNNNNNNNNNNNNNNNNNNNNNNNNNNNNNNNNNNNNNNNNNNNNNNNNNNNNNNNNNNNNNNNNNNNNNNNNNNNNNNNNNNNNNNNNNNNNNNNNNNNNNNNNNNNNNNNNNNNNNNNNNNNNNNNNNNNNNNNNNNNNNNNNNNNNNNNNNNNNNNNNNNNNNNNNNNNNNNNNNNNNNNNNNNNNNNNNNNNNNNNNNNNNNNNNNNNNNNNNNNNNNNNNNNNNNNNNNNNNNNNNNNNNNNNNNNNNNNNNNNNNNNNNNNNNNNNNNNNNNNNNNNNNNNNNNNNNNNNNNNNNNNNNNNNNNNNNNNNNNNNNNNNNNNNNNNNNNNNNNNNNNNNNNNNNNNNNNNNNNNNNNNNNNNNNNNNNNNNNNNNCGGUACGCCACACCCCUCCCGAUCAACAGGACCCCCAUUUCGACCGUAGCGCUCCAACACAAGUCCGUUUUGUCCGUUUUGCGGUACCCACACCCCUCCCGAUCAACAAGACCCCCGUUUCGACUGUAGGAGGUCCGUUUUGUCUGUUUUGUGGUACGCCACACCCCUCCCGAUCAACAGGACCCCCAUUUCGACCAUAAAGGUCCAUUUCCUCCGUUUUGCGGUACGCCAGACCCCUCCCGAUCAACAGGACCCCGUUCCGAACGUGGCCGGUCGAACACAAGGCCGUUUCCUCCGUUCUGUGGUACGCCAGGCCUCGUUUCCAUCGCCUGUUCCGUCCAAGCCCUCCCGAUGAAGACGACCAUGCAUUCCGUUCCGACCCAGCCGGUUGGCUCCCCAUGAACACGACGACGAUGUUGUUUCUCCGUUCCGACCCAGCCAUGUACACGAGCCCUGGCCGUACGUAUGCGCGAGUAGGUGUUUGAGACCCCGCCCGUAUGUACACAUAUGUGGCCAUAUUUUUUUCUUGCACACUAGCGUUGUACGCACGUGUACAUGCUACGUGCGCGCCUCUACUACGACACAUACGCGCCUCUACAUCGACCAGUAUAUAUGUACGUACACGUUCGCGACCAGAAUGACAACGCUAUGUACGCUUCGACCAGGUGGGUCCCGACUAUCAGGCACUUCCUUGCCUGCGAAGAUGUAGCUGGUGGGUCCCAGCAGUCAGGGGGCGAAUCGUUUUUUUUUUGCCCGGACGCACUUCCUUGUGCGCGAAGAUGUAGCUGGUGGGUCCUAGCAGUCAGGGGGGCGAAUCGUUUUUUUUGCCCGGAUGCACUUCCUUGUGUGCGAAGAUGUAGCUGGUGGGUCCCAGCAGUCAGGGGGGUGAAUUGUUUUUUUGCCCGGAUGCACUUCCUUGCGUGCGAAGAUGUAGCUGGUGGGUCCCAACAGUCAGGGGGAAACAUUUUUUUCACGAAAUACGGUGGCCCGUCCGGUGGGUCCCCGCUGUCAGGUGGAGGAAUAAUUAUUUUGCGCGUAAUAAGGAGGCACUUCCUUGCUGCGGCCGUGGACCCAGCUGUCAGCCUCUCCAUGUAUAGUCCACGUCCGAUGGAAGUCGUUCCUUGACCACGUUGACCACACCGCACCGAGAGCACCACAGCGGUGGACGAUGGCGAGGCCUAGGAAGGGGACGACUCGAAGCCGGGGAAGACGCAGCAGUGGAUGCCCACGCGAAGAGGAGUACGAGGGUUCACUGGUUCGGCUGCGGUGUGAGGUUGCCGUCGCCGCAGAAUAACAGGGGGUGUGGGUGAGUAGAGGGAUGCACUGGCCAGCGUGGGAGUAGUAGGGGGCGGUGAGGCCUCCAUGGCAUGACAACCGGCCAUGGGAGGCAGGAGCACGCGGCACGACCGGCGCUGGUUUGGGCGGCUGGAGCAAGAAGACCAGAGGUUGAAGAAGCACUACGGCCGUUGGAUGAACAUCGUACGGUAACAGGAGCUAGAAUCGUUCAUAUUGACUAAGUUAACAAAGCCCUCCGUCCUCGUCAACUUGGUAGGCCCACAAGUCAGCCACCCACUAUGCUGGGUUCCAGCUAGCAGGGGGAGUAUUCAUUUUUUUUCUGCAUAAUAAGGAGGCACUUUCGGUGGGUCCGAGCUGACAGCGGGGGGUGGGGGGGUGGGGGGGACGUUUUUCGCGAAAUACGGUGGCCCGUUCGGUGGGUCCCAGCAGUCAUGGGGAAACGUUUUUUUUGCGAAUUACCGUGGCCCGUUCGGUGGGUCCCUGCUGUCAGGUGGAGGAAUAAUUAUUUCCGCGUAAUAAGGAGGCACUUCCUUGCGGCUGCCGUGGACCCAGCUGUCAGCCUCCCCACGUAGAGUACUCUUUCGAUGGAAGUUGGUCAUUGACCACAUUGACCACGCCACGCCGAGAGCACCACGGCGGUGGACGACGGUGAGGCAUAGCAAGGGGACGACACAGAGCCGGGGAAGACGCGGCAGUGGAAGCCCGCACGGAGAGGAGUACGAGGGAGUACGAGGGUUCACCGGUUUGGCUGCGGUGUGAGGCUGCCAUCGCCGCAGAAUAACAGGGGGUGUGGGUGAGUAGAGGGAUGCCCUGGCCAGCGGUGGGAGUAGUAGGGGGCGCUGAGGCCUGCGCGGCAACACAGCCGGCCACGGGAGGCAGGAGCAGGCGGUCCCGCCGGUGCUGCUUUGGCGGCUGGAGCAAGAAGAUCAGAUAUUGAAGAAACACGACGGCCGUCAGAUUGACAUCCAAUGGUUACGUCUGCUAGAAUCGUUUGUUGACAUAUAUAAUAACUAAAAAAUCUUGCAUAUGCGUCAACUAAACAGGCCCACAAGUCAGACCACUCCCUCUUUUUUUAAUAAUUUAUAUAUAGCUCAUGGCAACUUCUUAUGCAAUUUAUUGCAGUCAUUUUUUUUGGUUGGCCAGGGCCAAUUUCGCAUAUUUCUGUGGGUUCCAAGCUAUUUUUAAUACCGAAAUGUCGAGCCAGAUUUAAAUUACUUUGAAGAUAUAUUUAAAUUAGGUUAAUGCCUAGUGAAAUAGGAAUCUGAAAAUGUGGAAAAAUUCAGAAAUUAUAAAGUAAUUGCCAAUUUAUCAUUUGUUUUUAUAUUUACAACCCAUUUCAUAUUACUUUCAAGAUUUGCAGGCGUCUUGAAAGAGUUGCUGCCCAUCAGGGCGUAGAAAAAUAAGUAGGCCUGGAUUGGGUACUCUUCAGAAAAAAUAAACUGGGCUCAUUUUCACAAAGAAAAAAUAGCUGGGCUGGUCACAUGGUGAACACAAAAUAUAAGCCUGGGCUAGACGGGCCACAGCCCAGUUCAAACCCUGCUCCGUCUCAACAAUAACAAAAAAAUACUGCUCGAGUAGCUACAUCCCAGGUGUCAGCCGAUCUUGUGCUGUUCUCUUGUCUAUUGACUAUAUACGCUCACAAUGUCGUGGGUCCCAGAUGUCAGGAAAACACUAGGAGAAAGCAUUUUAUUUUUCCAUACGCUGACGUGGUGGGCCCCUACUGUCAUCCUCUCCACGUACUUCUACCGAUUCCUGUUGUUUGUUGACCAUGUUGACAACGCGAGAGGGCGGCACCGCGGCGAGCGCACCAAAGCGUGCAGAGGACGUCGGCGUUAACGAUUUAGGAGACGGUGGGGCGGCGAUGCGUGCGUUGAGGCGCAACCAGCCAUGGGAGGCGGAAACAGGCGGCCCCGCCGGCAUUAGUUUGGUUUUGGCGGCUGGAGGAAGACAGGACUGAAGAAACACGACAGACUAUAAAAGCAGCAGGAGUACUUAACAACCUUAACUGAAACCAGCAUGGGCACUUAACAACCAAAGCUGAAAGCAGUAUGAGUACUUAUACAGGUUCAACCGUACAAAGCACGCCUCAAACAGUGCUACUUUGCCUACAGUUAACUGAUAUGUCCAUUUUGCAUCAUGCUUUUAUAUCAAUAUUUAUUGCAUUAUGGGCUGUUAUUGCACUUUAUAUCUCAAUACUUAUGGCCAUUCUCUCUUAUUUUACAAGGUUUACCAUGAAAAGGGAGAAUACUGGCAGCUGGAAUUCUGGCUGGAAAAGGAGCAAACAUUGGAAACCUAUUCUGCACAGCUCCAAAAGUCCUGAAACUCCACGAAACAACUUUUUAGAUUUAAUAAGAAUUUUUGAGCGAAAGAAAUACGCCAGGGGGCCCACACCCUGUUCAGGAGACAGGAGGGCGCCCCCCUAUAGGGCGCGCCCCUAUCUCCUGGGCCCCCUAGUGGGCCUCCGGUGUCCAUCUUCUGCUAUAUAAUCGCUUUUACCCUGGAAAAAAUCGUGGGCAAGCUUACGGGACGAAACUCCGCCGCCAUGAGGCGGAACCUUGGCAGAAUCAAUCUAGGGCUCCAGCGGAGCUGUUCUGCCGGGGUCACUUCCCUUCGGGAGGGGGAAAUCAUCACCAACGUCAUCACCAAUGAUCCUCUCACCGGGAGGGGGUCAAUCUCCAUCAACAUCUUCACCAGCACCAUCUCCUCUCAAAACCCUAGUUCAUCUCUUGUAUCCAAUCUUGUAUCAAAACCACAAAUUGGUACCUAUGGGUUGCUAGUAGUGUUGAUUACUCCUUGUAGUUGAUGCUAAUUGGUUUACUUGGUGGAAGAUCAUAUGUUCAGAUCCUUUAUGCAUAUUAUUACCCCUCUAAUUAUGAACAUGAAUAUGCUUUGUGAGUAGUUACGUUUGUUCCUGAGGACAUGGGUGAAGUCUUGCUAUUAGUAGUCAUGUGAAUUUGGUAUUCGUUCGAUAUUUUGAUGAGAUGUAUGUUGUCUUUUCCUCUAGUGGUGUUAUGUGAACAUCGACUACAUGACACUUCACCAUUAUUUGGGCCUAGAGGAAGGCAUGGGGAAGUAAUAAGUAGAUGAUGGGUUGCUAGAGUGACAGAAGCUUAAACCCUAGUUUAUACGUUGCUUCGUUAGGGGCUGAUAUGGAUCCAUAUGUUUAAUGUUGUGGUUAGGUUUACCUUAAUACUUCUUUUGUAGUUGCGGACGCUUGCAAUAGGGGUUAACCAUAAGUGGGAUGCUUGUCCAAGUAAGGGCAGUACCCAAGUACCGGUCCACCCACAUAUCAAAUUAUCAAAGUACCGAACACGAAUCAUAUGAACGUGAUGAAAACUAGCUUGACGAUAAUUCCCAUGUAUCCUCGGGAGCUCCUUCCUCAUUAUUAGAAAUUGUCUAGGCUUAUCCUUUGCUACAUAAAGGAUUGGGCCACCUUGAUGCACUUAUUUACUUUAUUUAUUUGUUACUCGUUACCAUUUAUCUUAUUACAAAACUAUCUAUCACCUACAAUUUCAGUGCUUGCAGAGAAAACCUUACUGAAAACCGCUUAUCAUUUCCUUCUGCUCCUCGUUGGGUUCGACACUCUUACUUAUCGAAAGGACUACGAUUUACCCCCUACACUUGUGGGUCAUCAAGACUCUUUUCUGGCGCCGUUGCCGGGGAGUGUAGCGCUUUUGGUGAGUGGAACUUGGUAAGGAAACAUUUAUAUAGUGUGCUGAAAUUUUCUGUUACUUGUCACUAUGGAAACUAAUCCUUUGAGGGGCUUGUUUGGGGUAUCUUCACCCCAACCAGAAGAGCAAAGAGUUGCUCCUCAACCUAUUGAACUUUAUGAAAAUAUUCAUUUUGAGAUUCCUUCGGGUAUGAUAGAGAAACUGCUAGCUAAUCCAUUUGCAGGAGAUGGAACAUUGCAUCCCGAUUUACACCUUAUCUUUGUGGAUGAAGUUUGUGGAUUAUUUAAGCUUGCAGGUAUUCCCAAUGAUGUUGUCAAAAGGAAGGUCUUCCCUUUGUCUGUGAAGGGAGAUGCAUUGACAUGGUAUAGGCUAUGUGAUGAUACGAGAUCUUGGAAUUAUAAGUGAUUGAAGUUGGAAUUUCACCAGAAUUUCUAUCCGAUGCAUCUUGUUCAUCGUGAUCGUAAUUACAUAUAUAGUUUCUGGCCUCGCGAAGGAGAAAGCAUCGCUCAAGCUUGGGGGAGGCUUAAGUCAAUGUUAUAUUCAUGCCCCAAUCAUGAGCUCUCUCAGGAAAUGAUUAUUUAGAACUUUUAUGCUCGGCUUUCUCUUGAUAAUCGCAACCUGCUCGAUACUUCCUGUGCUGGUUCUUAUAUGCUGAAAACUAUUGAUUUCAAAUGGGACUUAUUGGAAAGAAUUAAACACAACUCUAAAGAUUGGGGUUCCAACGAUGGUAAGGAGUCAGGUAUGAUACCUAAGUUCGAUUGUGUUAAAUCUUUUCUGGAUACCGAUGCUUUUCGUGGAUUUAGCGCUAAGUAUGGACUUGACUCUGAAAUAGUAGCUUCUUUCUGUGAAUCUUUUGCUACUCAUGUUGAUCUCCCUAAAGAGAAGUGGUUUAAUAUAAUCCUCCUGUUGAAGUGAAAGUAGUUGCACCUAUUACAGUUGAAGAAAAGACUAUCACCUAUAGUGAUCCUAUUGUUCCUACUACUUAUGUUGAAAAACCUCCUUUUCCUGUUAGGAUAAAAGAUCAUGCUAAAGCUUCAACUGUUUUUCGUAAGAGUAAUACUAGGACCUAUACACCUCCUGAGCAAAUUAAUGUUGAACCUAGUAUUGCUAUGGUUAAAGAUCUCUUGGAUGACGAUUUAGAUGGGCAUGUUAUUUCUUUCUAUGGUGAGACUGCAAAUAUUGCUAGACGAGAUACCAAGACAUGUAGACCUGUCGUAGGCAUGCCUGUUAUUUCUGUUAAAAUAGGAGAUCAUUGUUAUCAUGGCUUAUGUGAUAUGGGUGCUAGUGCUAGUGCAAUACCUUAUACUUUAUAUCAAGAAAUUAUGCAUGACAUUGCACCUCUUGAAUUAGAAGACAUUGAUGUUACUAUUAAGCUUGCUAAUAGGGAUACCAUUAAACCCUUUGGGAUUGUUAGAGAUGUUGAAGUUUUGUGUGGGAAGGUUAAAUACCCUGCUGGUUUUCUUGUUCUUGGUUCCCCACAAGAUGAUUUUUGUCCCAUUAUUUUUGGUAGACCCUUCUUGAAUACGGCUAGUGCUAAGAUUAAUUGUGAAAAGAAUAUUGUCACUGUUGGCACUGAUGGUAUGUCUCAUGAGUUUAAUUUCGCUAAGUUUAGUAGACAACCUCGUGAUAGGGAACCACCUAGUAAGGAUGAGAUUAUUGGUCUUGCUUCCAUUGCUGUCCCUCCAACUGAUCCGUUAGAACAAUAUUUGCUAGACCAUGAAAACGAUAUGUUUAUGAAGGAAAGGGAGGAAAUAGAUGAAGUGUUCCUUAAACAGGAACCUAUGCUGAAACAUAACCUUCUCGUUGAAAUUCUUGGGGAUCCCCCUCCACCCAAGGGUGAUCCCGUGUUUGAACUCAAACCAUUACCUGGUAAUCUUAAGUAUGCUUAUCUUGAUGAAAAGGAAAUAUAUCCUGUUAUUAUUAAUGCUAACCUUUCAGAGCAAGAAGAAAUAUUAUUGAAAACUCUGAAGAAGCACCGAGCUGCUAUUGGAUAUACUCUGGAUGAUCUCAAGGGCGUUAGUCCCAUGUUAUGCCAACACAAAAUUACAUCGGAGGACGAUGCCAAACCAGUUCGAGAUCCUCAAAGAUGAUUAAAUCCCAAGAUGAAAGAAGUGGUAAGAAAGGAGAUACUAAAGCUCCUUGAGGCAGGUAUUAUUUAUCCCGUUGCUGAUAGUGAAUGGGUAAGCCCUGUCCAUUGUGUUCCUAAAAAGGGAGGUAUUACUGUUUUUCCUAAUGAUAAAGAUGAAUUGACCCCGCAAAGAAUUGUUACAGGUUAUAGGAUGGUAAUUGAUUUUCGUAAGUUAAAUAAAGCUACUAAGAAAGAUCAUUACCCAUUACCUUUUAUUGAUCAAAUGCUAGAAAGACUAUCCAAACACACACAUUUAUGCUUUCUAGAUGGUUAUUCUGGCUUCUCUCAAAUACCUGUGUGAGCGAAGGAUCAAUCUAAAACUACUUUUACUUGCCCUUUUGGUACUUUUGCUUAUAGACGUAUGCCUUUUGGUUUAUGUAAUGCACCUGCUACCUUUCAAAGAUGCAUGAUGGCUAUAUUCUCUGAUUUUUGUGAAAAGAUUUGUGAGGUAUUCAUGGAUGACUUUUCCGUUUAUGGAUCCUCUUUUGAUGAUUGUUUGAGCAACCUUGAUCGAGUUUUGCAGAGAUGUGAAGACACUAGUCUCGUCCUGAAUUGGGAAAAGUGUCACUUUAUGGUUAAUGAAGGCAUUGUCUUGGGGCAUAAGAUCUCCGAGAGAGGUAUUGAAGUUGAUAAAGCCAAGGUUGAUGCUAUUGAAAAGAUGCCAUGUCCCAAGGACAUAAAAGGUAUAAGAAGUUUCCUUGGUCAUGCCGGUUUUUAUAGGAGGUUCAUUAAGGACUUUUCUAAAAUCUCUAGGCCUCUAACUAAUUUAUUGCAAAAAGAUAUUCCUUUUGUCUUUGAUGAUGAUUGUGUAGAAGCAUUUGAAAUACUUAAGAAAGCUUUGAUCACUCCACCUAUUGUUCAGCCACCUGAUUGGAAUUUACCUCUUGAAAUUAUGUGUGAUGCUAGUGAUUAUGCUAUAGGUGCUGUUUUAGGGCAAAGAGUCGAUAAGAAAUUGAAUGUUAUCCAGUAUGCUAGUAAGACUCUUGAUACUACCCAGAGAAAUUAUGCUACUACUGAAAAAGAGUUCUUAGCAGUUGUGUUUCCAUGUGAUAAGUUUAGACCUUAUAUUGUUGAUUCUAAAGUUACUAUUCACACUGAUCAUGCUGCUAUUAAAUAUCUUAUGGAAAAGAAAGAUGCUAAGCCUAGACUCAUUAGAUGGGUUCUCCUGCUCCAAGAAUUUGACUUGCAUAUUAUUGAUAGAAAAGGAGCUGAGAAUCCCAUUGCAGACAACUUGUCUAGGUUAGAGAAUGUUCUUGAUGACCCACUGCCUAUUAAUGAUAGCUUUCCUGAUGAACAAUUAGUGGUCGUCAAUGCUUCUCGUACUGCUCCUUGGUAUGCUGAUUAUGCUAAUUACAUUGUUGCUAAAUAUAUACCGCCUAGUUUCACAUACCAGCAAAAGAAAAAGUUCUUUUAUGAUUUAAGACAUUACUUCUGGGAUGAUCCACACCUUUAUAAAGAAGGAGUAGAUGGUGUUAUUAGACGUUGUGUGCCUGAGCAUGAAUAGGAACAAAUCCUACGCAAGUGUCACUUUGAAUCCUAUGGAGGACACCACGCUGGAGAUAGAACUGCACACAAGGUACUACAAUCUGGUUUUUAUUGGCCUACUCUCUUCAAAGAUGCUCGUAAGUUUGUCUUAUCUUGCGAUGAAUGUCAAAGAAUAGGUAACAUUAGUAGACGUCAAGAAAUGCCUAUGAAUUAUUCUCUUAUUAUUGAACCAUUUGAUGUUUGGGGCUUUGAUUAUAUGGGACCUUUUCCUGCCUCCAAUGGUUAUACACAUAUUUUAGUUGCUGUUGAUUACGUUACUAAGUGGGUAGAAGCUAUUCCAACUAGUAGUGCUGAUCAUAACACUUCUAUUAAAAUGCUUAAAGAAGUUAUUUUUCCGAGGUUUGGAGUCCCUAGAUAUCUUAUGACUGAUGGUGGUUCACAUUUUAUUCAUGGUGCUUUCCGUAAGAUGCUUGCUAAGUAUGAUGUCAAUCAUAGAAUCGCAUCUCCUUAUCAUCCGCAGUCUAGUGGUCAAGUAGAGUUGAGCAAUAGAGAGCUCAAAUUAAUUUUGCAAAAGACUGUGAAUAGAUCUACAAAGAAUUGGUCCAAGAAACUUGAUGAUGCAUUAUGGGCCUAUAGAACUGCUUACAAAAAUCCUAUGGGUAUGUCUUCUUAUAAGAUGGUUUAUGGAAAACCAUGUCAUUUACCUCUUGAACUUGAACAUAAAGCAUAUUGGGCUAUUAAGGAUCUCAAUUAUGACUCCAAACUUGCCGGUGAGAACAGGUUAUUUGAUAUUAGCUCACUUGAUGAAUGGAGAACCCAAGCAUAUGAGAAUGCCAAGCUAUUCAAAGAAAAAGUCCACCGCUGGCAUGAUAAGAGGAUACAAAAGCGUGAGUUUAACGUAGGAGAUUAUGUCUUAUUAUUCAACUCUAGUUUAAGAUUUUUUGUAGGAAAACUUCUCUCAAAAUGGGAAGGUCCCUACGUUAUCGAGGAGGUCUAUCAUUCUGGUGCUAUAAAAUCCAACAACUUCGAAGGCACAAAUCCGAGGGUGGUAAACAGUCAAAGAAUUAAACAUUAUAUUUCAGGUAAUCCCAUCAAUGUUGAAACUAAUAUUAUUAAAACCGUAACCCCAGAGGAAUACAUAAGGGACACUUUCCAGAACAUUCCAGACUCCGAAAAGGUAUAGAUAUGUGGUACAGUAAGUAAACCGACUCCAAAACAACUCCAAUGGCAAUUUUUAUCAUUUUUGGAAUAUUUAAGAAUUUUAGGAAGAAAGAAGUAGUAUGAAAGGGACACGAGGCCCCCACGAGAGUGGAGGGCGCCACCCCCCUACUGGGCACACCCCCCUGUCUUGUGGGCACCUCGUGUGCCUCUCGGACCCUGUUUUCUUGCAUGUUACAUAUUUUGGUCGGUAAAAAUUCAUUACAUAUACUCCCAAAGGUUUUGACCACCAUAUCAUGCAAAUAUCCUCUGUUUUCGUUUCGAGCUGUUUUUGUUUCAGAUAAGAGCAUUAUGUCGUCUCCAAGCGCUCCCAAGGACAAGUUUUUCGAGAGGGUUAUCAACCCCUAUCUUGUGGAGGUGCUACAACACCCUCAAACUAUUCAGAUGCUUGAGGGGGUGCUGCACAUCCGCGAUGUGGAGGGACCAAGGCGUACCGGAAGCGUGGAGACAAAGCUCGAAGCUGUGGAGCAACAGGUUUUCAAGUGCCAAGGGAUGGUGGAGCGUGGACUCAAUGCUAACCAGAUGAUGAUCACAGAGUUCACCAACAACCACAAGUUAGAUGCCAAAGUCAUUGGGGAGACCAUCUUCAAGCUUCAAGAGAAAAUCGAGCACCUCCAAGCCCAGAUCUAUGACCUACAAAACCAGAAUUGUGAGUAUGAAUAUAGAUUCAAGAGGAUGAGUUUGGCUGCAGAUUUAAGGAUCCCGGAGACUCGAUCAUCCUUCUAUGAUGGUGAGCCUAUGCCUUGGAAAACGGACGACAAGCCUACAUCAUCAAUAACUUCUACUUCACCGCCUCCGAGGACAUAAUCACAUGGGUAUGGGCACUCCCCUUGGCAACUGCCAAGCUUGGGGGAGGUGCCCCGGUAUCGUAUCACCAUCACACUCCUAUCUUUACUGCUUUAUUUAGUUCGAUCCUUUUAGUAGCAUCUUGAUCUAGUAGAUUGAAGUUUUGAUAUCAAGUAGUUUGAGUUUUUGCUUUGUGAUCUCUUUUUGUAAUCGAGUCCGUGAGCUAUCUAUAAUAAAGAUUAGUGUUGAGUCAAGGGCUUUGCUUUGUUGCUAUGAUCUUGAGAAAGUAGAAAGAAUAAAAGAGUUCAUAUUGAUCUUAUGGAUAGUGAUAACUUCACAUAUAGAAAGUAUGAGGCAUAAAAAUUGUUGAGAGUUGAUGAACAUAGUUUUGGUCAUCGUUGCAAUUAAUAGGAAGUGAUAAGGAAAGAGGGGUUCACAUGUAAAUAUAUUAUCUUGGACACCUUUUAUAAUUGGGAGCACUCAUUAAGUAUGACAUGCUAAAAGAGUUGACGUUGGACAAGGAAGACAACGUAAUGGUUUAUGUUUUCGCGCAUCUCAGUUAAAGUAUAUUGUUAUUGACCUUCCAAACAUGUUGAGCUUGCCUUUCCCCCUCAUGCUAGCCAAAUUCCUUGCACCAAGUAGAGAUACUACUUGUGCUUCCAAAUACCCUUAAACCCAGUUUUGCCAUGAGAGUCCACCAUACCUACCUAUGGAUUGAGUAAGAUCCUUCGAGUAAGUUGUCAUGUUGCAAGCAAUAAAAAUUGCCAUCUAAAUAUGUAUGACUUAUUAGUGCAGAGAAAAUAAGCUUUGUACGAACUUGUUGUGGAAGUAAUAAAAGCGACAGACUGCAUAAUAAUGGUCCACAUACAAGGGGCAAUAUAAAGCGACGUUCUUUUGCAUUAGGAUUUUGUGCAUCAACCCUAAACGCACAUGACAACCUCUGCUUCCCUCUGCGAAGGGCCUAUCUUUUACUUUAUGUUUUUACUUUAUGCUUGAGUCAAGGUGAUCCUCACCUUUCCCUUUUUCAUUUUAUCCUUUGGCAAGAUCCUCGUGUUUGAAAGAUCAUGAUAUAUAUAUAUAUAUAUCCAAUUGGAUGUUAGUUAGCAUGGGCUAUUAUUGUUGACAUCACCUAAAGGUGAAUACGUUGGGAGGCAACACAAUAAGCCCCUAUCUUUCUCAGUGUCCGGCUGAAACUCCAUAACCACAAGUAUUGCAUGAGUGUUAGCAAUUAUAGAAGACUACAAGAUAGUUGAGUAUGUGAGCUUGCUCAAAAGCUCUAUUGUUGACUCUUUCUGAUGCUACAAUAAAUUGCAAUUGCUUUAAUGACUGAGAUUAUAGUUUGUUAGUUCCCAAUGAAGUUUUUGAACCAUACUUGACAUUGUGAAUUGAUUGUCACUUGAGCAUAGGAAAUCAUAUGACAAAAUCUAUAUAUGUUAUUGUUAUUAGAAUGAUCAUGAUGCCCUCAUGUCCGUAUUUUAUUUUUAUUGACACCUCUACCUCUAAACAUGUGGACAUAUUUUUUGAUUUCGGCUUCCGCUUGAGGACAAGCGAGGUCUAAGCUUGGGGGAGUUGAUAUGUCCAUUUUGCAUCAUGCUUUUAUAUCAAUAUUUAUUUCAUUGUGGGCUGUUAUUGCACUUUAUAUCUCAAUACUUAUGGCUAUUCUCUCUUAUUUUACAAGGUUUACCAUGAAAAGGGGGAAUGCCGGCAGCUGGAAUUCUGGCUGGAAAAGGAGCAAACAUUGGAAACCUAUUCUGCACAGCUCCAAAAGUCCUAAAACUCCACGAAACAACUUUUUGGAUUUAAUAAGAAUUUUUGAGCGAAAGAAAUACGCCAGGGGGCCCACACCCUGUCCAAGAGACAAGAGCCCCCCCUAUAGGGCGCGCCCCCUAUCACCUGGGCCCCCUGGUGGGCCUCCGGUGUCCAUCUUCUACUAUAUCAUUGCUUUUACCUUGGAAAAAAUCGCGGGCAAUCUUACGGGACGAAACUCCGCCGCCACGAGGCGGAACCUUGGCAGAAUCAAUCUAGGGCUCCGGCGGAGCUAUUCUGCCGGGGACACUUCCCUCCGGGAGGGGGAAAUCAUCACCAACGUCAUCACCAACGAUCCUCUCACCAGGAGGGGGUCAAUCUCCAUCAACAUCUUCACCAGCACCAUCUCCUCUCAAAACGCUAGUUCAUCUCUUGUAUCCAAUCUUGUAUCAAAACCACAAAUUGGUACCUGUGGGUUGCUAGUAGUGUUGAUUACUCCUUGUAGUUGAUGCUAAUUGGUUUACUUGGUGGAAGAUCAUAUGUUCAGAUCCUUUAUGCACAUUAUUGCCCCUCUGAUUAUGAACAUGAAUAUGCUUUGUGAGUAGUUACGUUUGUUCCUGAGGACAUGGGUGAAGUCUUGCUAUUAGUAGUCAUGUGAAUUUGGUAUUCGUUCGAUAUUUUGAUGAGAUGUAUGUUGUCUUUUCCUCUAGUGGUGUUAUGUGAAUGUCAACUACAUGACACUUCACCAUUAUUUGGGCCUAGAGGAAGGCAUGGGGAAGUAAUAAGUAGAUGAUGGGUUGCUAGAGUGACAGAAGCUUAAACCCUAGUUUAUGCGUUGCUUCGUUAGGGGCUGAUAUGGAUCCAUAUGUUUAAUGAUGUGGUUAGGUUUACCUUAAUACUUCUUUUGUAGUUGCGGACGCUUGCAAUAGGGGUUAAUCAUAAGUGGGAUGCUUGUCCAAGUAAGGGCAGUACCCAAGUACCGGUCCACCCACAUAUCAAAUUAUCAAAGUACCGAACGUGAAUCAUAUGAACGUGAUGAAAACUAGCUUGACGAUAAUUCCCAUGUGUCCUCGGGAGCUCCUUCCUCAUUAUUAGAAAUUGUCCAGGCUUAUCCUUUGCUACAUAAAGGAUUGGGCCACCUUGAUGCACUUUAUUUACUUUAUUUAUUUGUUACUCGUUACUAUUUAUCUUAUUACAAAACUACAUAUCACCUACAAUUUCAGUGCUUGCAGAGAAAACCUUACUGAAAACCGCUUAUCAUUUCCUUCUGCUCCUCGUCGGGUUCGGCACUCUUACUUACCAAAAGGACUACGAUUUACCCCCUACACUUGUGGGUCAUCAUUAACCAAGGGUGAGGCCGCCAAGCCCCAGGACAAGGCCCAGGUGCCACCCCGCGCAUCCACAACCUUCUGAAAGCGGCUUCAUCUCGCAACAUGGUCAAUAAACAGGAUAUUCGCUUUAGAGCCAUGGAAAAGCAUGAACAUAAUAUUCUGUCCUAUUCUCCAAGAUGGACGGGUCUUCAUUAUUUGAGACCACCCAUGAAUAAGUAUCUUUUCACCUCCAAGGGGAAUGGAGUAGGUUGACAUAAACAUCAAGUUGUGACCAAGCGCAAGUCUGACCCGACCAUGGUCAGGCAUUUGUAUAGGAACAAUAGAAUAGGGCAGUUCCUGUUUCAAGAAGAUCACAACUAUAAAACUGUGUAUAAGAAAUUGUUUAUGAACAACAGAAAACUGCUCAUACCAUAAGUUUCUCGACACUGUUGGACCCGUUCAACGAGUGCAAUGAUACAUCUCCAAUGUAUCUAUAAUUUUUGAUUGUUCCAUGCUAUUAUAUUACCCCUCUUGGAUGUUUAUGGGCUUUAUUUUACACAUUUAUAUCAUUUUUGGGACUAACCUACUAACCGGAGGCCCAACCCAUAUUGCUGUUUUUUUUGCCUAUUUCAGUAUUUCGAAGAAAAGGAAUAUCAAACGGAGUCCAAACGGAACGAAACCUUCGGGAGCGUUAUUUUUGGAACAAAUCUGAUUAGGAGAGCCUGGAGUGCAAGUCAAGAAAGCUCCGAGGGCCCCACGAGAUAGGAGGGCGCGCCCCUUGUCUCGUGGGCCCCUCGGGCGGCCACCGACGUACUUCUUCCUCCUAUAUAUGCCUACGUACCCUGAAAACAUCCAGGAGCACCACGAAACACAAUUUCCACCGCCGUAACCUUCUGUAUCCGCGAGAUCCCAUCUUGGAGCCUUCGCCGGCACUCCGCCGGAGGGGGGAUCGACCACGGAGGGCUUCUACAUCAACACCAUAGCCCCUCCGAUGAGUUGUGAGUAGUUUACCACAGACCUUCGAGUCCAUAGUUAUUAGCUAGAUGGCUUCUUCUCUCUUUUUGGAUCUCAAUACAAUGUUCUCCCCCUCUCUUGUGGAGAUAUAUUCAAUGUAAUCUCUUUUUGCGGUGUGUUUGUCGAGAUCCGAUGAAUUGUGGGUUUAUGAUCAAGUUUAUCUAUGAAUAAUAUUUGAAUCUUCUCUGAAUUCUUUUAUGUAUGAUUGAGUUAUCUUUGCAAGUCUCUUCGAAUUAUCAGUUUGGUUUGGCCUACUAGAUUGGUCUUUCUUGCCAUGGGAGAAGUGCUUAGCUUUGGGUUCAAUCUUGCGGUGUUCUUACCCAGUGACAGAAAGGGUUGCAAGACACGUAUUGUAUUGUUGCCAUCGAGGAUAACAAGAUGGGGUUUAUAUCAUAUUGCAUGUGUUUAUCCCUCUACAUCAUGUCAUCUUGCUUAAUGCGUUGCUCUGUUCUUAUGAACUUAAUACUCUAGAUGCAUGCUGGAUAGCGGUCGAUGUGUGGAGUAAUAGUAGUAGAUGCAGGCAGGACUUGGUCUACUUGUUAUGGACGUGAUGCCUAUAUACAUGAUCAUGCCUAGAUAAUCUCAAAACAAUGCACUUUUAUAUCAAUUGCUCGACAGUAAUUUGUUCACCCACUGUAAUACUUAUGCUAUCUUGAGAGAAGCCUCUAGUGAAACCUAUGGCCCCCGGUCUAUCUCUUAUCAUAUUUGCUUUCCAUCUACUUUUAUUUGCAUCUUUACUUUUUGCAUCUAUAUCAAAAAUAUCAAAAAUAUAUUUAUCUUAUCAUUCUAUCUUUAUUAGAUCUCACUUUCGCAAGUGGCCGUGAAGGGAUUGACAACCCCUUUAUUACGUUGGUUGCGAGUUCUCAGUUUGUUUGUGUAGGUGCGUGGGACUUUUGAGGAGCCUCCUACUGGAUUGAUACCUUGGUUCUCAAAACUGAGGGAAAUACUUACGCUACACUUUGCUGCAUCACCCUCUCCUCUUCGAGGAAAACCAACGCAAGCUCAAGACGUAGCAAGAAGGAUUUCUAGCACCGUUGCCGGGGAGGUCUUCGCUCAAGUCAAGACAUACCAAGUACCCAUCAUAAACCCAUCUCCCUCGCAUUUACAUUAUUUGCCAUUUGCCUCUCGUUUUCCUCUCCCCCACUUCACCCUUUGCCGCUUUAUUCGCCCUCUCUUUCCCAAUCUCCUCUUCUCCUUUUCACUUGCUUUCUUCCGCCUUGCUUUUGUUUGCCGCUAUGUCUGAAAUUGGGGAGAUUAUCAUCGAUAUGGACAAUAAUGAUAACACAGAAAAUCCCAAGGCUCCGGCCGAUGAACCCCCUAUCUUGCAUACUAAAAAGUUUCAAAUCGGUAGUGGCAACACCAUUGGCAAAGGUGUUAUUCAAGAUUUCUUUACUUGUGCCGGUGCUUUACCUUCUAUCGGUUGUUCUAUUCUUCAUAGAACUAGUAGUCUUGCGGAUGCUGUCGCUAUGCUUGUAGUUGAACUUGAAAGACAAUUUAUGCAUAUGCAUCCUUGCAUACAAAGAAUUUUUCUAGAAUUCUCUAAAUAUUGAGCACUCUUCUGUUAAGUGCACUGUUACUAUCUUUUUGGCUCAUGAGUUUAGAUUUAUCAUUAGAGAGGCCAAAGAAAUCUUUGCGCACUAUAGGGUGGACGCCAGUCGUCCACCCAUAGAAGCGAUCCUCUAUGAUCAAGAGGAAAUUAGACGAUUUCAA